RNAcentral lists this long non-coding RNA (371560 nucleotides) under Coffea arabica (coffee). RNAcentral's name for it is "long non-coding RNA (CARA_LNC001359)". The record is from RNAcentral. Lineage: Eukaryota; Viridiplantae; Streptophyta; Magnoliopsida; Gentianales; Rubiaceae.
AUUUUUUUUAAAUUUUAAAAAAUAUCUCAAAAUAUAUUUUAGAAACUCUUCUACUCUUAAAUAUCUCAAAAUAUUUUCUAAAAAUAUCCCAAAAUAUAAUUUAAAAAUUCUGUUACAAUAAAAUUUUUAAAAAAUAUCCCCAAAAACAGCUAAUCCAAACGGAUUUAAAGAUAUCCCCACCUUUGAAAACAUUGCCUACGGUUUAUAGAUGUCCCCGCCUUUUUUAUAUUUGUAUGUUUCAAAAAAAAAAGGACAUAUGAGCGAAAAUGCUUCUAAAGUACACUAGUACAAUAUCCAACAUCCAAGAAAGUAUAAAAACCCACAUGAAACCGUAACAAACAGUUUUCCAGUCAUCAUUUAUUAAUUUUGCCAUGUUGUUUUCAUGGCUGCUUUUCGUUGAGGUUGCUUCUUCCCUCUUUCUUUCUUUCUUUCCUUUUGGCUUUUUUUGAUUGGCCCCAUCUACAGAUUUCAAACAAUAGCGUAUGAAGAAUGGUGGUUGUGGAAGCAUGACGCAUGUAUAUUAUAUAUACAGUUGUGCAUUUGCUUCCAAUUGUCAAGCCAUAGAGCUUCUUGACAAUUGACAAAACCUUUCCUAUAAGAAAGUCAUCUUCUCUUAUCUACUUCUUGGCCAUCUCUUCAUCUGAACAACAAUCAUAGCAACGUCAUUCCUUUGCUUGAAGAGCUAUUUCUGAAGUUUUGCUGAAACUAUCAAGCUUUUUUUUUAGUGGAGGUUCGUUUUUCUCACUAUAAAUUUACAUGGUUUUAUUCUCUUUUUUGGGAGAAAAAAGUUUGUUAUGGAAUAGAUUUUUUUUCUUGGUACUUUAACUUCUGGGUUCUUGAUUGUUCAAUAUUACAGUCAUGCUGAUAUUUAGGAGAAAGAUAACCCACAACUUAUUUUUUGUAAAAGGUGAACUUUUUGUAAUUUGUGUCCUUUCGGGGUGAUAAAAACAUUUAGUAUGCUUGGAGGGAGGAUUCAGGAUUUCGUGCAAAUAAGUUGUGAGAUUUGAAGAAAUGAUGCAUCUGCAGAACUUCAUUUUCUGUUGCUCUUCCCAAGUCCACUGUACUAAGACUGUGGGCUAAACUGGUGUACUAGCAGAUGAUUUCGUCUGGCUAUUGAACUUGUAAAUUUUUUGGGUUUUGUAUGUUUGACUUGGGUAGAGAAACAGUUUAGUACGGAAAAGGGCAUCCGUUUGAUUUAAGAAAGUUUGUGGUGUUUGUACUUUAAGAUGAACUGAGUUUAUUGAUUGAAUUUAGUGAAGGAAUCUUAAUUGUUCACCACAGAGUACAGAUGUUUUGAUCCAUCAAUUAAGUAAAUUUUAAUUGGCUUGUGAGAUUUGACUACUGGCUUAGUGGAUCUUAUUUUAAUAAUUUUUGCUUGACUUUGUGGUGGGCACACUCUGCUUUUAAUUUUGUACAUUGGUAAUCAAGGAGCUCAAAAUGCUUGUUGAUCAUGAUUAAUUUUUCCCCAGUUGAUUAAACUAUUAAAACCAGACAGGCCCUUUACGGUUAGGUGUAUGGGCACUUGAAAUCUUCUCUAAUUCAGUAUCGGUGGAGGAAUAAUACCUUAACAUGGUUGAUAAUUUCAAGGUUUAGACUCGCAUCUAUGUUGGAAAGUUGCUUUCAGUAGUGCUAUUGAUGUUAUGAUGUUGUCUGUUUUGUGGGGAUAAUUUGAUAAGAAAUUUGUGAGAGAGUUUCAUUUAAAUAAGUUCUUGGUACUUUAUUCUUUCCAACUUAAGAAUUAUGCUUUGCCUUUCAAAAAAAGAAUUGAGUAUGCUUUGAACCAAUUCAAGAAAAGAAAGGAAGAGGACAAAGGUGGGGUGUCCCAAUGUUGCAAAAGGAAAAUUAGGUUCUCAUUAAAAUGAAAUAAUGUUGCAAAAGCAAUGUACUACUAUUCUGCAGGCGAUACAGACAAUGUAGUCCAUGUGUCCGUAAUUCCAUAAUUCCAUCAGUGGGGCUUCAUUACUGACUAAAAAUUGUUUCCUUCUUCAGGGAGAGUGAUAGGAGAUAGGCAGCAUGGAAGAAGGCUUGCUUUCUGGAAGAAGCAGAGAUGAAGUCACAAGUAGGAGCUGCUCUGCAACACUUAUGGUCGUUUUUAGUACUGCAGUUGCUGCCUGCGGCUCCUUAGCCUAUGGAUUUGCAGUAAGUAUGGAACAGAUGAAAAUAUGUACUAUUGUACGGUUUGAUGAAAAUCAAUUAUGAAAAAUUCUGAACAAAUUUUGGUUCGUAUGUGCACGUCUGUACUACUAUUUUGCAAAGUUUAUGUAGAAAUUAAUCUGUGAAGAAGUCUUUCACUGUGAUGCUUAACAAAUUUGGUUGUCGAUUAGGUAAUUGGUUGUUCCAUUAAAAUGUUUGGCAAAUCACCAAUCUCUAUUUGGAGAUAAUUUUUUAAAGGGAGAAAGUAUGUUAUUUCUGCGGAAACCAAAGGAGUCUGCCCUUCGCCUGUUAAAUGUUACAAUUGGGUCAUCUGAUAACAAGCAUGAAUUUGUAGCAGAAUAAGGUCUAGUGGAGACGUGUGUUCUUAAGGUACUUGCUUUUUAGGCGUUCAUGGGUUGACAUCAACUAAUUUCUGCAGGUUGGGUAUUCUUCUCCAGCUGAAUCAGGAAUUAUGCAUGACCUCGACUUAUCUAUUGCAGAAGUAAGUGUGUGCAUUUUACUAUAGUUGGUUGGUUGUUCCCUUCAUUAUCUUAAAAGAUUUCCAGUGCAUCAGGACAUAAUAGCCGACUGACAAGAUUAAAAAAAGGAAUCAGUAAGCUGAAGAAAUGCAUCAGUAACCUGAAGAAAUGCCUGCUUAAACAAGUUGCUGCAUGUUUAAAGGAAGGAGAAUGAGAAAAACUGAACAAUACAUUGAAUAUUUACCACAAAUUUCAUUUUAUUGACCUUUCUUUUACUCUUCUAGUACAAAUAUCUGUAUUUUGGUUGAUUAUUAGGUUUUGAGUGAGCAAUUAAUUGACGGGGAUCAGGAGAAAGUGCAUCAGAUAACCUAACAGCAACCGAUAAAAAUUGGCUUUGAUGCACGUGUCUUCAGGUGUAUUGUGAAUUUGUGUCCUUGUGGUGAUAUCGGUUUAGGAGAAACAAGGUCUUUAAAUGAACCACAACCUAACAAGUCUUCCUAAGCAUCUAAACUUAGUGUUUCUUGAGUUGGGGACAUACUUGAACAUAAUGCCGAUAAGAGGUGUUAUACUACUUUUCCUUUUUACUGGAAAGUUUUCACCUCUAGGACUAAUUAUGUUUCCUUAAAAGCCUGCUCAUUUCUCUUCUUCCACGUGAAUAAUGGGGGAAGGUACUUCAAGAAAGAGGAGUCAGCCUGUUCUUGUUUUCACAAGCCUUUGUAACGUCUUAACUUCAUUAAACUGAAGAAGGACUGAAUGUUGACACACUUGAGCUGCCUGAAUUAAGAAAACCGGAAAGGUGACUAACGUGUGAGUGCUGCAAAUGCGACUAGUUUGAAUUAUGGGGAAAACAACACGAUCUUGUCCCAAUUCUGUUUGGCUUCAGUGAAUGGUUACCAAUCUUAAACUGAUAUUGUGAGCUAUUCCCACAACCAUGUGCAAUUUUCUCUCCAUGUUUCCUGCACACAUAGAUACUUUUCAAACAUAAUAACUAUACUGGGGCCAUACAUUUGAAUCAACUUUAGUCUCAGUGGUUUAUUUUUGCACAGAGCAUACAUUCAUUGGUAUAGUACCAGAUUUUGUUGUGUAUUAGAAGGAGUAAGCUGAUCUUUUCCUUUUCUUUUUGCUCCGUGUGUAGUACUCUGUUUUUGGUUCAAUCUUGACUUUUGCUGGAAUGAUGGGUGCCCUAAUCAGUGGCAAAUUAUCAGAUUUUUUUGGCCGAAGAGUUGUAAGUUUCUUAGUUGUCGAAACUUGUCUCUUUACUUCUUACAGAAUUUUUGAAUAUUUCCAAUAAAAAUUGAUGUUUAAUGCAGACAAUGUGGAUUUUGGAGAUGUUUUUCAUUGUCGGGUGGAUUUUAAUAAUGGUUGGAAAGGUACUCUUAAUUCCAUUCUAUUUGUUCUACAGCUCGAUUUGAAUGUAUUUUCAUCUUUUUCUGUUAAAUGGCUUGAAUGAGAUAGUGUAUGUAAAUAAUAAUUCUUGGACUAGCUGCACAUCAUAUUUGUAGGAAUUGCGAUACUGUUUAAGCCAGAAGUUAAUCCAACCUUAGUUUACUGAUACUCUUCCAAAUGGAUUCUGAUAUUCUUAUUUUGGUGGGACUUCACAAUCAAAGCUGCAUAGUAAUUAAAUCCAUUACUAUAAUGAAUGAGUGAUGGUAGUAUGUUAUGUACUCAUGCACUCUGAUGAUUUUACUACAGCAGAUCUAAAGCAGUUUAGCCUACAUUCAUUACAGUGAGUUAAAGGAAAUGUAGCAACAGAAGUAGUUUGUUUUUGAAAAUUUAAGUAUCAAUAUCAGUUGGUAAAUGAUUAUCAUCUUUCUUUUAGAACAUUUUUUGUCUUUUAUGUUACACAUUAAAAUUAGGUUGGGAAAAAAAAAGAUGUUAAUGACUAUCAACUUGUAUAUACACUGCACAAUUUGUGCUUUUCUCAAUAAUCAUUGUGGUUCUCUUUUUCUUAGAAGUACCACAUCAGCCAGCUGUAAACAGAACACUCUUUCUGAACAGGAAAAAAAUAUUGCUAAUAGAUCACUAUACAUGUUCACUAGGUGUCCGUAAUUUCAGAAUGUUCUCAUAUUUUACUUGGGGAUAGUUUUGUUUCUAUUCAGUGACUACUCUAGCUUUGAGUGUCUAAUCGUAUUAUGCUCUUUUUGAAAGAAUGCUUGGUGGCUUGAUGCUGGAAGAUUUUUAAUGGGAAUCGGAGCUGGACUUCAUUGUUAUGUGGUAAUUGUUACAGUUAUUGCAUGCCCAUGCCCUUUGUUAUUUUCUCUGUGAAUUAUGUAUACCAUUCGUUACCAAAUUUUUCUUGCCAAGCAGGCACCAAUCUAUAUAGCAGAGAUUACUCCAAAGAACAUUCGAGGUGCAUUUACAGCUGUUGCUACGGUAUGGGAAAUAUAUUGUUUAUUCAAUAUAGCAGAUUCAUUGGCAUAUUUUCUUCUUCUUGUUCUUCCUUUUCAAUUCAUAUAUUUUUUUAACAAUGCACUGAUUGUUUGGCAGUUCACAGUAACUUGUGGCUUUUCAAUAAUGUUUUUCAUUGGGAAUUUCUUGACUUGGCGUUCAUUGGCUAUAUUUGGUAAGAAGUGUUGGCAUCGAAUUUUUAUCUGUUUCAUACGUUCCAACUUUAAGGGAUGUAAAUAGUUACAUUUGGUUACUUUUGCAGGAGUGAUGCCUAGUUUGGUCCAUAUAUUAGGUGUAUUCUUCAUACCUGAGUCCCCUAGAUGGCUGGUGAGUUCAACCGAAAAUUCUAGUGCAUCUGUGUUUCAUUUGCACUGUGUUCAUUUUUACUUCUCAUGAAUAUGGGGAUUGGGGUAACUUCUGGAUGUUUCAUAGAAUUUGGUAUGAUGAAUUUACUGAUGUAGAAUUACUUAAAAUUGUUCUUUCGCUUUUACCUGCACUCUAUGCUGAGAGGGUAUGAGUUAUCAUCUGCACAUGCAUAUGAUAGACUAAUCAAUGAAGCAUCUGCAGGCAAAGAUUGGCAAAGAAAAAGCCGUAGAACUAGCUUUACGGCGUUUGAGGGGAAAAGGUGCUGAUAUCUUUUCAGAAGCUGCUGAAAUUAAAGUAACUUCUUACUCUGGACUAUGCUCUUAAGCAUUGAGAUGAUCUUGUUUUUCAAGUUUGUUUGUGUUUACCAGCCAAGGAAUUCUUUAACCAUAGUGGUCACUGUUUAACAGGACUAUACAGAAACUGCCCAGCUACUCCCUAAAUCAAGAUUUCUUGACUUGUUUGACAGAAAAUAUGCUCAUCCACUUAUAGUAUGUUUUACUUGAAACUCAAGCUGGAUUUGGUUCUUCCUGUUAUUUUGUGAAGUUAAUAACUAACAUUUAUUUGCUAGGUUGGUGUGGGGUUGAUGGUUCUGGUACAAUUUGGAGGGACAGAUGGAGUUUCAUCUUAUGCCAGUUCAAUUUUUGAGGCAGCUGGUAAGCACCAUAUUGCAACUAACAUCUGAACUUCUCAACACAUCUCUAGAAUACUAUACUUCAACGAAUGAUGAUUUGAACAAUAACUUUUGACUAGGUUGCUCUGCUGGCCUUGCAUCUACUGUAAUGGCAACAAUCCAGGUUUCUUUCUCUUGCAAAUGAUGCCUAUUUAUCAGAAAAAUGUUACUUCAGUCAAAUAUCUCAAACUGUGUUUGUCAUUUUCAGCUUCCUUUUGCUUCUCUGAGCGUACUUUUAAUGGACAAAGCUGGACGGCGUCCAAUUCUGAUGGUUAGUUCGAAUCUGAUUGCCAAUUCUUUUUGGUUUCAGACAUGAGUACUGAAUAUAAUUGUUGAAUUGAAACUUUGUAGUUUACUGCUGCUGGAUCAUGCAUAGGAUGCUUUCUCGUAGGACUUGGGUUCUUCUUUAAGGUAUUAAAAUUUGAGUUUACUUAUUUUUUCGUUAAUAUUCCCUGUUAAUUUUCAUAGCUUUGCUUAUGUGGAUUAUCAAUUUAUCAUACUUUAACAUUCUGACUUGGUGGUAGCAGGAUCACAAUUUAUUUAAGGAGUUCUCUGCACCUUUAGCACUGACAGGAUUGCUGGUGAGUUUACCUGAUCCAAGUAGUUUUUUCCUUUUAUCUGCAUUUUCUUAUAAGGAUUUUUAGCCCCUUAGUGAUUUAUUUUUAGUUGCUAUUUACUUCAUAUGUUCUCUUUUUAAGUUAAUCUUGUGUAUGGUGGCCUGCAUUUGUGUCACUGUUGCAUGAUUACCUAAACGAAUAUGAAAAUUCCUGCUAUCCUUCCUUCUUGAUGAAGUUCUUCUCAAACAAAAAGGUUUAUCUACUGCCAAGCUUACUAAGAAUAUGCAUGGUUAAUCUGUUUUUUUCUCAAUAACCAGAUAUACUCCGCAUCGUUUUCAGCUGGAAUGGGCGGUACACCAUGGGUAAUCAUGUCAGAGGUAAGAUUUGCAUUUAAAGCCUUUUGAGGAAUGCUAGCCAUGAACUCGACUUUCUAUGCAUGACUAUAGCUAAACUGGGAGGACUGUUUUUAUUUCAGAUCUUUCCCAUAAACAUCAAAGGUACAGGUGGAAGCCUUGUGACCUUAGGCAACUGGUUUAGUUCUUGGAUCGUUACCUACGCUUUCAACUAUCUAUUUGAGUGGAGCUCAUCAGGUGAUGCAUCCCAUCUUUUUGAUUUUCUGGUUUCCUUAAACAUCUUUUUGAACAGCUUCUCUAACACUUAGAUUACAUGCUUCCAGGAGUAUUCUUUGUAUUUUCAAUCGUUUGUGCCUUAAUCAUUCUAUUUACUGCAUUAUUGGUGCCUGAGACGAAGGGACGAACCUUAGAAGAAAUUCAAGAAUCUAUGGCGCUACUCAAGUAGAAGAUUCCCAGAGAAGUAAAGCAAAGUUCCUAGAAAUGUUUGUUUCACAGUGCAAACGAGACACAAAAGGAAAAGAAAAGCAUUAGAUGUGGAUCUUCGGUAUAGGUAUUUUAGAAGAUCAAGGACAUUACAAUAUAGUUGGGAGGUCAGGGUCUGGUCCAGCACAUUUGCAGUUGAAGGAUGCCUUCAAAGGAGAUGUCUCACUGGAUUCUACAGCAUCCAUUCUUCUAUCAGAAUUGGAGUCCAUAUGCAUAUAAUCCCUAGGUAACUUGUGUAGAGAUAGUCCAUUCUUACAAUCAAAUUUUGAUUUACUGUUACAACUGGUAUAAAUGUAAAACGUUCUCCUCACCUACUAAGGUUUUGAGGAUACAUUCUUGAGAUGCUGAAACUGAAAGCAUCUCUGUUAUUAUCAUUGUUGUUGUAUAUACUGUAUUGGAUUAGUGGAAAAAGGAAAUGAAAAACUUGGGUGAAGUCUCAUAGAGUAUAUGUUCCAAUUUCUAGUCCCACCGGCAUCUGCAUCGAUGUAAAACGUUCUGUAAAUGUCAAAAGGAACAUGAUAUCAUUGCAAAUUAUGACUUCAAAGAAACAAAAUGGUAGUUUAGUUGUUCUGCAGAACACUAACUAGUGGAGACAAAGUGAUAAGUCUGCUAGAGUAAGUGCAAAAUCUUGAAAAGAACCUAAGUAACAGUGUAAUGAAUGACAAGCCAAUGAAAACAAGUGAAAAGCCCUGAUAGAAAAGCUAAAGAAUGUUCUGAUCAAUGGUAAGCGGUAAGCCAACAAGAAUCAGUGCAAAAGCAAGAAACAAAGCCAAAAAGCACAUUGUUGUGGGUCAUUGAGUUAGAUCCACUGCCAUACAGAAUGAAGCGAUCAGUGACAGCAUAGCUCUGAGAAAUUUUUGAUAAUUAAUUUCCCUAUCCAAACUAGUUUUUUACAACUUGGAGUUAAGAAAUAUUGUGACCCUACAAGAAAUCUUUCUAAACGGGAAAAGAACUAGAAGUUGCAGCUGUAUAGCAUAAUAAUGUGCUGGACAAGCAAAUAACAAAACUUAUUAAGAAGCAUUUGUCAUUAGUUCAAAAAAGACAAAAAGAACAGCCAACUGCUUGUUGCACAAUGGAUCUCUAAACUAGUACAGACAAAAAAACCACGCAAUCUACAGCAAAUCUUGCAUUAAUUUUUGUUGAAAUUCUUUUGAAAAAUGAAAUUAUCUUUUUUUUAAAAAAUUAUUUUAGUGUUAUUAUAUAACAAAUUGCAAAUUGUCUAUUAGAGAUUCCUUCAAGUACAUGUUGCAAAAGGGGGAUCUCUCUCUUGAGCAGCAAUAUUUUCUCAUGCAAACUGAGGGUAGUUGAAAUGUUGAACUGAAUAAGAACAAUCCGCUGCUAGUUGAUCUGCCAUUUGAGUUCAUUUGAUUUUGUCGCCAAAAGAUGAAGGCACCAAACACAGUUGAUUUUGAUGAAGAGGCCACUUCCCCUUUACUUGAAAGUGGAAGUUGUGACACUGAAAAUAAUGUAGAUGCUGAGAAUGAAAAGAGUAAUACUCCUGCAAAUGCUCUCACACCUGUGGUCAUAUUCAGCACUUCUGUUUCUGUCUUGGGCUCCUAUGUCUUUGGAACUGCGGCAAGUACAAAUCCAGCAUAAUGCAUCCCCAAUAAUGAUUGCUAUAAAUUCAGACUGACAGAUUUGAGUUCAUGUUUGACAUCUUUGCAUGGCAUCAUUGCUUUUAUAGUUCAACACAUGUAUUGUAUUACUGAACUUAGUUUUUCAAAGAAUCAAAAUUUCAAAUUAUUAUAUCCACUAACAUAAUACGUUAAUUUCUGAACAGGUCGGAUUUUCAUCUCCUGCUCAAUCUGUAAUUAUGAAUGAUCUAGGCCUUUCCAUAGCUGAGGUAGGUUGCUUGAUCUUCUUAAUGAUGUAAAAGAAAGAGUCUCUUUCCAAGGGCUAUAAUUAUCUUUACUUUGAAAAAAAAAAACUUUUUCAGAGUAUCAUUUAAUUGCUUGUGUGCAAGAUUAUAGCAACCUGUUAUUUUCUAUGAUAGAAGCACUCUUCUUUAGACAUUCAUUCUAGUUUUGGGUGAUUUUAAGAAAUGCUUAUUACUAUUCAUGUGAUGCCUGAACUUGCAAAUGAGGCUAAUGCAGGUACAUCCUGCUCUGCUUAGUAGUCUAACAAUUCAUGGUUUAUUUUGGAUCCAAAGAAAUUGGCAAAGAAACAACAAAGAAGAGUGGAAAGAUAUGGCAAUGGACUCAGUAACUUGUAGACUAAAUAACGCUUGAGAAUUGGCCAGAAAAAAAAGAUAAUAAAGAGUAAAGACAGAUGUUCAAUUCAAAAUGCUUGUAAUGCACUAUCUGAAUCACUCUUCAAAAAUUAUAUGUCUGCUUCUUGACUUGAAAAUGCUUCUGAUCACACAGAUAAAACUAGGUUUUUUAUCUCAUACAUUCUGGCUCUUCUAGAAAUUUUGCAUUGCAUACUUCUCAGGAGUAAAUAGGAACCAAAGUUUGAAAGGGUGCAGAAUAUGAGUUACUAGUUCUCUGGUUCCGUAGCCUUGCCAGCAACCUGUUUCUGAUGUUUCAGUAUCUCAUCACACACCUUGUGAUUCCUCACUUUGGUGAAGCUGCUGCUUUUUUUGCACUAGUGGCCAUCCCUGUGAAGGAUCAAACAUGAGAAAUUCUCUUCUUUUUGGUUGUUUUGCAGUACUCCUUGUUCAGUUCAAUACUAACAAUUGGAGCAAUGUUCGGUGCAAUACUGAGUGGCAAGAUAGCAGAUGCCAUUGGGAGGAAAUAUGUAAGUUCUGUAACACUAAGUUUCUACAGACAAAACAUCUAAAGAACUUCAAAUCUUUCAUAGACUGAGGAUCCACAUAAAUUUUCUCCUUCCGUUCUCCUUUACUUGGUGCUAUGGUAUUCAAAAGCAUGUAAAUAAAAUUUUUCGAUCACAUUAUGUCUUGUUACUUUUGGUCUUUUUGUCUAUACACACUAUGAAUAUUCUGCUUGCAUUCAUGUUAACUAGCUGAAAAGUUACAACAGGUUUAUCAGCUGAAAGUAAAAGAAAGAUAGAUUUUAUUUCUUUUUGUUUCUAACGAAAUGAGUUGAGGUAAAAUGCAGACGAUGUGGUUCUCAGAACUGUUUUGCACUGCAGGAUAUCUCGUACUUUUAACUUCAGAGGUACUUUUUCAUCUAUUCUUUGUCUCCAAUAAUUUCAGUCCUUUUACUUUUGGAAGUCACAAUCAGAUUCUUUAAAAGUAGGUAUCCCUGGAGUAAGAUUGUUGACAUCAUUACAGAGCAAAAUCAUGAAAUUCAUACUUGAUUUUUUUUUUCUUGUUAUUGAUGUAUUCUUCUCUAUCCUGUGGAAUGACAUUAUAAGCGGUUUCCAAGUAAAGAGCCUUAUUGAAGUGAAGUCACUAGGUUACUGAUAAUACUGGAUCUAUUUUUUCUUUCGUAAAUAACUGCUUGUCCAUUUUAAUAUUAUACUUUCUGUCUAGAUCAAAUCAUCAUCUAUUAGGCAAAACCUAUAAUGAUGAAUGGUGUGAUGAUAUGCUCCACGAUAUCAAAUUUUCCUGAGAUCAAAUUAAGUUGGUUGUGGUUGUCGACAGAGUGCUUUGUGGCUUGAUAUUGGAAGGAUUUCAACAGGAUUUGGAGUUGGGAUUUUAUCAUAUGUGGUAAUUAAAGUAAUCUUUCACUUCAAGUAGUUUCUGUAACAACUAUUGGAUACUCAGGAUGGUUCAGUUUCUGAAUCUCAAAUAGGUACCAGUAUAUAUCGCAGAAAUAACGCCUAAAAAUCAUAGAGGAGCAUUUACAAUUCUCAAUCAGGUAAAGAAAAAUGGUUGUACUAAUAAAACCUUCACUCCUGUAGACAGCUUCUGAUGCUAGAUGGUUUAAUUCUUCAGGUUAUGAUAUGCUGCGGCCAUUCAACAAUGCUUGUAAUUGGAAAUUUCGUAUCCUGGAGAAUGUUGGCUUUGAUUGGUAACUCUGUUUGCCCUAUUUCCAAUGGAUGAGAUGUAUGUCACCUUAGUGGACUUUCUUACCUUCUGUGUUAUUAUAGGAAGCAUUCCAUGUCUUCUACAGCUGCUAGGCCUUUUCUUCAUUCCAGAGUCUCCAAGGUGGCUGGUAAGUGUUAAAAAAUGUAGUAACGAAUGGUAACAGAAAUAUAUGCUUUUUAUCCUAUGCUCAAUCAAAUGGUCGAUGCAAUAGAGGAAAUUUAAUGACUCUUUAACUUUCUCCAGGCUAAGGUCAAUAGGUGGAAAGAAUGUGAAAGUUCUCUGCAGCGCCUUAGAGGAGCUAAUGCUGAUAUUUCAGGAGAAGCCAUUGACAUUAGGGUAGCAUUGAGAUUCAACCUCAUCACUGUUUCGUUUUUCUGGGAUAUGUUCAACAACAGAAAAACUAACAUCUAAUGCAUUUCAGGUCUAUACAGAAACCCUGAAACAAUUCUCGGACUGUAAACUGACUGACUUGUUCAACAGAAAAUAUGCUCACGCAAUGAUUGUAAGCCAUUUUCUCAGUCUGUAGCAUUAUAUAUUCAUAAUAUUGGACGUGAAAGUAGUCAAUCCUUUAAUUUUUCUUCAGGUCGGGCUAGGACUGAUGGCAUUUCAACAGGCUGGAGGGGUCAACACCAUUGCAUAUUAUGCAAGUUCAAUUUUUGAGUCAGCUGGUCUGUAAGAAAGUCUUGCUAUUAAUUAAAUCUCCUUGUUGAUGCUUUCAGAAAGACAACAAAGUAAUUGGUACAUCAAUAACUGAAAUCUGACAGGUUGUUCGGGUGCCACGGGGACUAUGGCGAUGGCUUCAGUUCAGGUUUUCCUACACUAUGCAUGGAAACUGUUAUGUUUUGGGAUUUUGUUUCAUACAUUCCAUGAAAAUUUGGUCUAUCUACAGCUUCCAAUGACCAUUUUGGGGAGUCUGCUAGUGGAUAAAUCAGGAAGGAUACCGCUCCUCAUGGUGAGCAAUUGGAGGUUUUUAAUUAAAAAAAUUGUAGAGUAUCAAUAUCAGCUCAAACCAAGUCUACUGUUCUUCCAGGUUUCUGCAGCUGGAUCAUGCUUUGGUUGGCUUCUAGUGGGAUUGUCAUUCCUAUUGCAGGUUUUGCCUUAAAUUGUCCAGUUCUUUCAAAUUAUUGAGCUUUUAAUAAAUUUAUGUACUCAAAGAACGUACUUGGCAAAGCAGGACCUUCAACUCUGGAAGGCCAGCCCAAUUUUGGCAUUAAUUGGUGCACUGGUAACGUUUCUUUUGGUUUGUUGGCAUUUGUAGACAAAAUGCAACAUAUAUUUAUUGUAAUGAUAUAUGGGAUUCUGCUAUCAGAUAUUUGUAGGAUCCUUCUCACUAGGAAUGGGAGGAAUUCCUUGGGUGAUAAUGUCAGAGGUAAGCCAUUCAACUUACAGUUAAAAAGUGAAAUCCAAAUGACCUUAAAAGUAAAAAAUUUCUAAGGAAAAACAAAAAACCUAGUUAAAUUAAGUGAUGCCCAGAGAAUUAAAAAAGCUGGUCUCAUGGUCUCAUUUUCAUAGGUCUUUCCCAUACAUGUCAAGGGUCUAGCUGGAAGCCUGGUGACAGCAGUGAACUGGCUUGGUUCUUGGUUGAUUUCCUAUUCCUUCAAUUUCCUUGUUCAAUGGAUUACCUCAGAAGGUAAUAGUCAGAACUUGAAGAUUAUUUGUCUUCAGAAUCCCUUUUGAUGUCUAGGCAUAGGUUGAAUUUUAAUGUCUUUCUUUUGUUUUCAGGGACAUUUUUUAUGUAUUCCAUCAUUGCAGGUUUAACUCUGAUAUUUGUGAAGAAGCUUGUUCCAGAGACCAAAGGGCGUACGCUGGAAGAAAUUCAGGCAUCCUUGGUUUUGUUUACAAGCAAGAAUUGAAAUCUUGAAUUCUCUCUAAUUCAUCAUUCUAGGAUGAGUUGAGUUGAUUUUUUUCUCACAAGUCUCCAUAUGAUGCUAAAUUGUCUGACAAAGGAUGCGAGUACAAACAACUGGAAGUGUUUAUGUGAUGACUACUUUAACCACUUUCAAUUCUUUGGACAUCAGAUAUAAUAUAUUUGUGAACUCAUGUAAUGUCAAGGGAAUGUAAUAUUUGUUGCAUUUGAAUUUAUAGUUUUUGGUACUUAAAUCUCAUAUAUUAAAGAAUUAAUCUUGUUGGUAUGUCAAGGGUAAAAAUGUUACAUCAGAAAUAUAAUUAAUUAUACACAAUUUCAUACCAUACUUGAAUAGUAUUGGAAGUCUAUGUCAUUUUGUAUAACAAGCUUAGAAGUUCUAGUCUUCUAGACAACCCAAUGGCAAAAGAGAGGGUAAAUUUUACUUUGCACCCUUCAACUAUGUAUACUUGGAUUCUCACUUUGAUCUCUAAAGUAUAAUCUGUAAAGUGUAAAACUUUUUUAUAUUUUAGUCCCUAAAAUGGGAUGGAUGUUAUAUUUAAGUGGAAAAGAUUUUAUACAUUCGGGAUUAAGCAUUCAAGUGAGACAAAUAUUACUUUAAGUGAGACAGAAUCUAUACCUCAUGGAUUAAAGUGGCUCGCUUUGAAGUUUAGCAACCAAAAUGAGAAUCCAAAUAUAGUUGAAAGGUGCAAAGUUGAAUCAACCCAAAGAGAAGUAGAUAAAGUAAUAAAAAUGGGAUCAAGGAUCUCACAAGUUGAAAUCUGUCCGGUUCAAAUUAGUUAAUGUAAUUUUUACCGUAUUUGGUGUAGAGUUAUAGAGUUUUGAUGUAAUCAACAAUUUAGUUGUAUUAGUUGACAAAAUCAAAUUAUAAUCAAAAUUGUACAAGUUUAGACAAAAAAUUUUAAGAAUUACACGCAUAAUUUAAAAUAAAUAAAACUCAACUUGUGAAGCCCUAGUCCAUAAAAAUGGUCAUAAGAGGCUAAGGAAUCUCCUAUAAGUAAUUCUAGUCACACAAUAGAGAGAUUACAUAGCAGCAUUCCAUUCUCUCAUUCAGACAUUGAGUGAUCCUUUUAAGGAGCAUGAGAAACCUUUCAUACUAAUUGUCUUAUGCCGAUAAUACAAAUGAAAGAGAAAACCUAGCGGACUUGUACACAAAUUUUAAUGUUCUUGCUUUGGUAGACAGUUGGUCCUGAUCCAACCUCAAACUAAGAAUUGCUAAAAAAACCUGCAACAAAUGAAAAAUGAGGCUUUGGUAGACAGUUGGUCCUGAUCCAACCUCAAACUAAGAAUUGCUAAAAAAACCUGCAGCAAAUGAAAAAUGAGUGAGUCAAGAAUAAAUCACAUUGCCAAAUAAGUCUGCUAUAUAUAAAAUUGACAUUCAAGAUACUUCAUCUGGAUUUAUCUGUCACACAUGAGUCAGCAAUCAAUAAAUUAUGAAUGCCAAACAAAUUUAGUUGUAGCAAAAGCCAGGACAAACUUCACGUUACCACCUGUUAUUUGUCCCUGUGCCUAUCUCGGCUGUAAAGAUCGAGUACAUUAGAAAAUCAAAAUAUUCACUACAAAGUACAAUGUACCAACAUCCCCUAGAAAAAGUUUAAAUGCAGCCAUCGUCCAAGCUUCUUCUAAUUUCUUCCAAAUAUAUAAGCAGCAGCAAAUAAAGAAGAGCCUUGUUGCAUGAAAGCUUUUUAAUAGGACUGCAAAGGAAUAUGUGGGUAUUUUUAAUAGGAUCAUAUGAGAAGUUUUAAGUGAUAGGAAAAAGGUUAAAUCCAGUACGGGCAUCCCAUAGUACAAUUUUGUACUCUUUUUAGAACGUGUUGUAUGUUUGUAAUCGUGGUUGUAUUGAUUUAUCGAGUUAGUAUACAAGAACAAAAUUUUGGGGUAUAACAAAGAAAUGUAAAUAUAUAUCAAAUCAUGUAAAAUGAACAAAAAUCGUAGAAUUGUACCAAACUCUCAACUGCACUGGCCCAAAUUCGUGUUUUUGGUAGGAGCAGACGUUGAAUUUGCAGUGAUAGGGGUGAGUUUUAGAUUUUGUUUAUAGAUGAGACAAUGAUGGAUGUUGGAGGGGAUAAACCAUGGUUGGUCUGAAAGAGAGAUUCCUGAUAGCUGGAAGUAGUUCCAUAAAAAAGCUAGAAUCCAAAAAGCCGCUUGCAAAGUGGGUAAAACCAAAAUGAGUUUUUGACCAUAAUUCACGAAGAGACAAAUUUAUACAUAGAAAUUCGCAAAUAGAAUAGUGUUAAGAGAUUCCUUCAACCACAUGCCCAGAAGGGGAGAUAUUUCUGAAAUGACAGCAUUUUCUCUGAAGUACUAGUUGAACUGUUGAACUUAUAAACAACGAUCCAUUACUAUCUAGUUGAUCUGCAAAUUGAGUUGACAUCAUUUGGUUUUUGUGGCCAAAAGAUGGAGGGACGAAACACAGUCGAUUUUGAUGAAGAGGCCAUCUUCCCUUUACUUAAAAGAGGAAGUUGUGAUACUGAAAAUGCUGAGACUGAAAAGAUUGGUAGUCCUGCUCCUGCUCAUAAUCUCACACCUGCGGUCAUAUUCAGCACUUCGGUUUCUGUCUUGGGCUCCUUUUCUUUUGGAACAGGAGUAAGUACAAAUCCACUAUAAUGCACCCUGGAUAAAGGUUGUCAUAAUUCCAGAAUAAGAUAUUGAGUUCAUAUUUUUGCUCUCUUUGCAUGGCAAUGUUGUAUAAUUCAACAGUUGCAUGGUGUCACUGAACUUAGGUUCAAAGAGUCAACUUUUGGAGUUGUUAUCUGUACUAAUAUGAUGCAUUCCUAUCUGUGCAGGUGGGAUUUUCAUCUCCUGCUCAAUCUGCAAUAAUGCAUGAUCUAGGCCUUUCCAUAGCUGAGGUAGUUGUCCUUAAUCUUCUUAAAAAUGUUAAAAAAAAAAAAAAAAUUAUCUGCCUUCAAGGACUGACUCUCCUUUUUUUAUUUUCCAGAAGGGAUCUGUCUCCGAGGAUUAUAGCUCUUUCUUUAUUUUUUUUUUCUGUAUACCCUUUGAAUAUUUGUUGCAAGAUUUAGCAGCCUGUCAAUUGUCUUUGACAGGAGUGCUCUUCUUUAGACAUUUAUUCCAAAUUUGUGCGACUUUUAUGAUGCCUGAACUCGCAAAUGAGGCGAAUGAUGCUACAUUCCACCCUUCUCUGCAGUCUAAACUUUCAUGGUUUAUUGUGGAUCCAAAGAGGAUGGCUGAAAAAGAAAGAAAUUACAAUGGACUAAUUAACUUGUAAACUAAGUUAUGCUAAAGAAAUGGCUGGGAAAAAGUCAAUGAAGACAGAGGUCAAUUCCAAGUGCUUAUAAUUAAUUAUUUGAAAUACUCUUCAAAAUACCAUAAAUCUGUUUCUCUUGAAAACCCUUCUAGCCAACAGACAGAAGUAGGCUUUUUACCUUGUCUAUGGUGGCUUUUCUAAAAAUUUUGCAUUUUACUGAGCUAAUACUUCGUGGAAGUAUUUUAUUUUAUGACAGCCUAAUUUUGAAAGAACGCUGGAUCGAAUUUCUGUUUAUGACUUUAUAGUUCUCUGGUUCCAGACAUCUUUCAGCUCUCUUGUUACUGAUGCUUUCAGUAUCCCAUCACAGUUCACACACCUUAUCACUUCUCAUUGUAGUGAAGCUCCUGCCUUAUUCACACUAAUGGCAUCCCAAAAGGACACUCCAACAUGAAAAAUACUCAUUUUUGUUCUGAUUCUGCAGUAUUCCAUGUUCAGUUCAAUACUAACACUUGGAGCAUUGUUUGGUGGAAUACUGAGUGGCAAGAUAGCAGAUAUCAUUGGGAGGAGAUAUGUAAGUUCAGCAUACUAAGUUUCUAGGGACAAAACACAUCAACUCCAAAAUCUUCCAUAGACUGAGGAUCUACAUAAAUAUUCUCUUUGUAUUCUCCUCUACUUGGUGCUAUGUUGUUCAAAAGCAUGUUAAUUCAUAGAUGACAUUAAGUCAUGUUACUUUUGGUCUACUUUUUUAUACUCGAUAUCAGAACUUCUGCUGGCAUUCAUGUUAACUAGCAAAAAAGUUAGGUUACUUGCUGAAAUUAGAAGGAAGAUAGUUUUUGCUUCUUUCUCCCUAACAAAAUGAGUUGUACAAAUGCAGGCAAUGUGGUUCUCACAAGUGUUAUGCGCGGCAGGAUAUCUUGUAAUUUCAUUUUCGAAGGUACUUUUUCAUCUGAUCUUUGCAUUUGGAACCCAUAAUCAGGUACUUUUGGUUUUGGAGGAGGUAGCCUUGGAAUAUGAUCGAUGAAAUCAUUACAGAGCAAAACCAUAAAAGCUAAUGCUUGAUUGAGUUUUUUUUUCCUUCUUUAUUAAGUUUUCUUUAUUUAUCCCACUGGAAUGAACUUAUAUGCGAUUUUCAAGUAAGGAUCCUUGUUAAAAUGAAGCCACUAGUUUGCUUAUGUCGUAGUCAUAAAUGACUGAUCGUCCAUUCAUCAUCUCUUUGGCAUAACGUACAAUAAUGAAUACUGUGCUGAUAUACUCCAUGAUAUCAAAUUUUUCUGACUCUAAGUUGGCUGUGGUUGUCGACAGAGCGCUUUGUGGCUCGAUAUCGGAAGGAUUUCAACAGGAUUUGGAAUUGGGAUUUUGUCAUAUGUGGUAAUUGAAGUAGAUUUGGGGUUCAGAUAUUUCAAAUAACAAUUAUUAAAUCCUCAGGAGGUAUUCAGUUUCUGAAUCUCAAACAGGUACCUGUAUAUAUAGCAGAGAUAACACCUAAAAAUGUUCGAGGAGCAUUUACAGCUAUCAAUCAGGUGCACAAAAAUGGUUUUCUAUUAAAGACUUCACUCCAGCUGACAGCGUCUGAUGCUAGAUGCUUUAAACUUCAGGUUUUGGUAUGCACUGGCCAUUCAACGAUGUUUGUAAUUGGAAAUUUCAUCCACUGGCGAAUCUUGGCUUUAAUUGGUAACUCUGCUUGCCUUCUUUCUAUUGGCUGAUCUGAUCGUUUGAUUGUCACCUUAAAUGGACUUCCUUACCUACUAUGCCAAUACAGCAACCAUUCCAUGCCUGCUACAGUUGCUAGGCGUUUUCUUCAUUCCGGAGUCUCCAAGGUGGCUGGUAAGCGUUAGGGAAAAUUUAAUGAAAAAUUAUAAAACAUUUGUACAGUUUGAAUUCUAAGAUUAAUGAAUUGCCUUAUGCAAUGUAGAGAAAACUGAGUGACUCUCUCUCUCUGACAUUCUCCAGGCUAAGAUCAAUAGGUGGAAAGAAUGUGAAAGUUCUCUGCAGCGCCUUAGAGGAGCUAAUGCUGAUGUUUCAGGAGAAGUCGCGGAAAUUAGAGUAGCAUUCACAUUCAACUGCUUCAAUGUUUCCUUUCCUAUGAAAUAUGUUUACUGACAGAGAAUUAACUUUUGAUGCAUUCUCAGGACCAUACAGAAACCCUGAAACAAUUAUCGAACUCUAAUUUGACUGACUUGUUCGACAGAAAAUAUGCUCACGCACUGAUUGUAAGGCUUAUUCUCAGUUUCUACCACUAUCUAUUCAUAGCAUUCGACAUGGAAAUACUCAACCCUUUUAACUUUUUCCCCCCCUUCAGGUGGGACUAGGAGUAAUGGGAUUGCAACAAGCUGGAGGGAUCAAUACCAUUGCAUAUUAUGCAAGUGAAACUUUUGAGUCAGCUGGUCUGUAAGCUUGUCUUGCUAGCAAAUUAUCUCCUUGUUGAGCUUUUAGAAAGAUGACAAAAUCAUCAAUAUAUAACUCAAAUCUUACAGGUUGUUCUGCUGCCGCGGGGAGUAUCGCGGUGGUGGUUGUUCAGGUUUUCUUUCCAUUCAGUAAAAACUGUUCUCUUUUGGGAUUCUGCUACAUACAUACCCAAAACAUUUGUUCUAUCUACAGCUUCCAAUGACCAUUUUGGGGAGUCUCCUCCUGGAUAAAUCAGGAAGGGUACCAUUAAUCAUGGUAAGAAAUUCGGAGAUUCGAAUAAUAUAUUUAUAGUGUAUCUCAAUAGCAGCUCACACCAAGUCCACUGCCAUUUUCAGGCUUCUGCAGCUGGAUCAUGCUUGGGUUGGUUUUUAUUGGGAUCGUCAUUCCUAUUAAAGGUUCUGCUUAAUUCAUCCAGCUUUUUCAAUAUGUUCAGGUUUAAAACAACUCUGUACUGAAUGAAUGUACUUUGCAAAACAGGACCUACGACUAUCGAAGUCCAGUCCAUUUUUGGCAUUCAUCGGUGCACUGGUAAGGAAAUUCCUGCAGUAGGAAAAGCCUUUCAUUAUGUCUUUUUCCUUUGGUGGCAUCACAAUGUAAAAAAAAGUCAAAAAAAAGGGACAUAUAAUUACCAAUAAUAUUUGGGAUGUUGCUAUCAGGUAUUUGAAGGAUCUUAUUCACUUGGAAUGGGAGCAAUUCCUUGGGUCAUAAUGGCAGAGGCAAGUCAUUCAGCUUCAGUUGAAUUUGAUAGCCAAAUAACCUGUAGAAGAUUUUGAGUAAUGCCCAGAUUAAGGCUUUCCUGGGCUCAUGGUCAGAUGGUUUCUUUUUCAGAUAUUCCCCAUAAACGUGAAGGGUUUAGCUGGAAGCCUGGUGACAGCAGAAAGCUGGCUAGGUUCUUGGAUAAUUUCAUAUUCUUUCAAUUUCCUUGUACAGUGGAUUGGCUCUGCAGGUAAAUAGCUGAAACCUGAAGAUUAUCUGCUUUCAAUAUCGCUUCUGAUAUGUAGUCUUAUAUUGAAUCUUGAUCUCUUUCUUUUGUUUUCAGGGACAUUUUUUAUGUUUUGCAUCAUCAAUGGUUUUGGUCUGGUAUUCAUUAAAAAAUUUGUUCCAGAGACCAAAGGUCGUACGCUGGAAGAAAUUCAGGCAUCCUUGGUAUUGUUUACAAGCAAGAAUUGAACAUUUGAAUUCAUUUAUUAUUGUUAUUGCAGGAUUUGUUAUAUUUUGUUUCCAAAGUCUAUGUUGUACUGUGAAGCUAAAUUUGUCUGACGAUACAAAGAAUUUGACAGAGGCCUAAGUGACUACUGCUUGUCAUUCUUUGCAUCAGAUAUAAAUGCCAGCAGCACCUUUAAUAGAUAUAUUGAAAAUGUUCGGAUUUUAAUACAUCCAUCUCUAGAUCCAUCUGUAUCUAUUUAUAUCAGCAUCUAUUUAACUACGAGCCCAUUUGGAUUGCAUUUUUUAGAGCGUUUUUGGAGAAAAAUUAUUGUAGAACCUUUUUUAGAAUGUGAUGCAUGUGAAUAAAAAAGAAAGAUUCGAAAUUGCGAAAAAAUAAUAUUCACAAAAAACGUAAAAAUUUUUCUUUGAAAAAUUAUAAUUCAAAUAAGACGUAUGCGAUUAUAAAAAUCAUCUGUUCUUCUUUUAAAAAAAUGCCUAUUUUUAUCUGUGAUGGACAAACAUGCAGAAAUGUCAAAUGUUUUGUUAAUAUAUUACUGCAUACAUCAAAACUUAACCCUUAGGGUGUGCAGUGGACUUUUUUCAUUGAAUUCUUGGAUUUUUUUUUUCAUUUUCAUUCUUUUCUUUUUUUUAUUAUUUUUAUGACCAGAAAUUUGUUAGUGUAGACUGUAGAUGGACUAAAAAAUAUGGCGUCUCCAAAUAUGUUUUUUAAAUUGUCUCCUAUCAAUAUAUCAAAGCAUUAAAAAGAAAAAUCUUUGAAGAAUCUUUUCUUGAUUGAAUUUCAAUCUUGUGUCAAGUAAAAGCAGACAAAGAAAAGGAAGGCCGUCUCUUAUUUUAUCCGAAACAAGACAACACAACCAAACAAACAAACAAAAUACUUGUGCAAAUCCUCUAUUAUUGAGUUGAAGUUGCUACCAAUGCCAACUCUCUAAAGUUCUUCUGCAUGUUCAGUUCAUCUCAUUUCUUUUCUUGUGUCCAUUCAUUUGAUGGAGCCACAAAGCAUAGUUGAUUUUGAUGAAGAAGCCAGCAACCCUUUACUUAGAAGAGCAAGUCCUGACACAGAAAGCCGUGAAGAUGCUGAGGCUGGGAAGAUUAGCAGCCCUGCUUCUUCUGGUGCCACAGCUUUGGUGAUAUUCAGCACUUUGAUUUCUGUCCUGGGUUCCUAUGUCUUUGGAACUGCAGUAAGUACAGAAAACUGUAACUUAACAGGAUUACUCACAGAAUGUUAUGGUAAAUUCAGAUCACUAGCUAAAAUCCUGAAUUUCUUGAAGGUUGAUAAUGAGGAUACAUAGUCUUUGAUAUCUUUGAUUUAAUGUCCAUAAUUGAUUUUAUAACUCAAAAAUUGGUGUGUUUGAUCUUAUUUUCUGAUAUGACUCCUAGAAAUGAUUGUGCUCAAUUGUUGAAAGAAGUUCGUAUGCAGGUGGGAUUUUCUUCUCCUGCUCAAUCUGGAAUUGUAAAUGACCUAGGCCUCUCAAUAGCUGAGGUAAUUUCCGCAGCUCUUUUAAGUAUGCGAUAAACUUCUGCCUUUAGAUCUUAACAGUUAUGUUCCUUUAUGUCUCUUUUUCUCAGUUUCAACAUAAACAGUUGGAGUUUGUGUUAUUUCCAACCCCUUCUUUAUGGAAUUCUUGUUGCAGUAUUCCGUAUUUGGUUCAAUAUGGACAAUUGGAGCAAUGCUUGGUGCAAUAAUAAGUGGGAAGAUAGCAGAUUUCUUUGGAAGGAGAGUGGUAAUGUCUCUAGCACUGUGGUUCUUUAGAUAAUCCAUCUCAGUGACUCAAAAUCCCUUUCAUUCAUUCCCUCCAGGGUCUUCAUUAAAUUUUUCCUCACAUCCUCCUUUCGUGGUCCUAAAUAGUGAGAUCCUAUAGUAUUCUUCAAUAACCUCAUCUCUUGUUUAGUUGUUCGUCAAUUUUGCGUUUCCUGGCUGAAGCAAAAGAGGAAUUUGUAGUUUACUUUGAUCUAGUUCUGCAGGCAAUGGGGUUCGCAGAAUUGUUUUGUCUUGUGGGCUGGACCGCAAUUUCAUUCUCACAGGUACUGAACUGUGUAUUUUAUUUUGCAUUCGUUUUGAUCCUUUUACAUUUGGUGGUCAUGGAAGAGAAUGAGCUUCAUAAAUAGAUAAUCACAGAGAUUUACUUCCAUGGAAUAUGAUUGAUAACUUCAUGACUGUGUAAUAUCCUCAAACUACAUAUGUUUUUGAUUUUAUAUUUAUCCUCUCGAAGAAGAAUUUGCUGUUUUUAGAUUCUGAACACAAGUCAUUGUAAGUUUUGCAUAUGGUAUUAUUAUUCUUGAUUGGAUGAUCAUCAUCUUGACAUACCUAACAAGGAUAAAUCCUAGGCAUCUGCGUGCUCUAUAAUAUAUAACUUUCUAAGAUCCUAACUAGAUCUUUUUGGUCAUUGACAGAAUGCUUGGUUGCUUGACAUUGGACGGUUUUUAGCAGGAUAUGGAGUUGGGAUUCUGUCAUACGUGGUAUUGACCAUUGACCAAAUAUUUUGUUUAUGAAUCUGCUCUUGGACUCUAAGAUAAUAUUUAGGUUCUGAAUCUGACACAGGUACCUGUAUAUAUAGCUGAAAUAACACCUAAAAACCUUCGAGGAGCAUUUACAGCAGUCAAUCAGGUAAAGCAAAUUGGUUGGAGAAUAAGAUUUUGCAUUCAAUUUGAUGGUUUUGAUGCUAGAUGCUAAUAAAACUUCAGUUGAUGAUAUGCUGCGGGGGGUCAGUGAUGUAUGUUAUUGGAAAUUUCACCUCCUGGCGUACACUGGCUCUGAUUGGUAAUUCUGUUUGUCCAACCUCCAUUGCCUCGUAUGAUUGUUAGUCAGUUAAAAAGGACUUUCUAUACUUUGUCAUUUCAGGAACCAUUCCAUGUAUACUGCAGUUGCUAGGCCUUUUUUUAAUUCCAGAAUCCCCCAGGUGGCUGGUAAGUUCAGACACAAUUCAGUAAAUCAACUUCUUGCUAUUAAGGAGUGCAUUAGUAAUGCUUUUAUGCAAAAUAUUCUGUUUUCUUACGAGAAAGUUUAGGGAUCUAUUUAGGAGUAGAAGACUUGUGUGAAACUUCCCCUUCAAUUAUGUUCCUUUAACCCCUGUAAUCUUAUCAAUUCAUUCAAUCAGGACAAAAACUGAACUAGAUCUGGACUUUCUGCAGGCUAAGAUGGAUAAGUGGAAAGAAUGUGAAACUUCUUUGCAGCGCCUUAGGGGAGCCAAUGCCAAUAUUUCUCAAGAAGCAGCUGAAAUCAUAGUAGCAUUCAGACUCUCUUUUAUGUACUUUCUUUCUUAAGGGAUAUUUUUGACAAGGAAAAUUGCGUUUCCAGGAGUAUACUGGAAUGCUUAAACAAUUGUCUGACACUAGGAUGAUUGACUUAUUCCAGAGGAAAUAUGCUCACGGACUCAUUGUAAGAUCUUCUACUGUUAUUUGAUUUUUAUAUUAGACUCAGAAAUUCACUAAAAUUAUAAAAUUCAAUCAGGUUGGAGUGGGUCUAAUGGUAUUGCAACAAUUUGGAGGGGUUAACGCCAUUGCUUAUUAUGCAAGCGCAAUUUUUGAGUCAGCAGGUUUAUAAGCUCUUUUUGCUACUGAUUCCAUCUGCUGAUAAUUUAAGAAAGGUAAUUGAGGGUACAGAAAUUAAUAUAUGAUAAGACAAUGACAGGUGUUUCUAGUAGGACUGGGACUUUGGCCAUGGUUGUUAUUCAGGUUUUCAUUUGAUUCACUGUUGUUCAAUGUUGGAUUCUGCUCCACGCAUUUGUAAACAUUUCUGUUCCAUCUACAGGUUCCAAUGACCCUUUUGGGGACUCUCCUAACCGAUAAAUCUGGAAGGGUACCACUGCUAAUGGUAGGAAGGUUGUCGUCAAUAAGCUUUUAGGUUUCUGCUGUUAAUAUCUGCUCAUACUAAGUCCAUUACUAUUGCAGAUUUCUGCAACUGGAACAUUGUUGGGUUGUUUCUUAACAGGAUUGUCAUUCUUACUACAGGUUCUAUUUAUCUUAAUACAUUUUACUCCGAAUUAAAUUGAUUGAUCUAUAAAAAUUUAUGUACUGAAAGAAUAUACUCCACAAAACAGGACCUUCAACUCUGGAAGGACAGUCCAUUAUUAGCAUUAAUCGGUGUGCUGGUAAUGCAAUUCUUAUGAAAUUGAAAUUUUCCAGUUUCAUUGUUUUCUUUGUAUACUGAAUAUAUUCUUAGAUCUGCUAGAAGUUUUACCACUUCAAACCUGCUUCUAAAAGCUCAAGAACUAUAUACAAUUGGAGACUUACAAAUCUUCCUGAAGUUCCUCUAGCUUAGUAAUAGCAGACUAGUACCAGCCACUGUGAGGAAAUGGUUACAAAUUGGAAAAAGGGAAAUACCAUACGGUACUAAUAUAUGAUAUGCAUCCUCCUAUCAGAUCUUUACAGGAUCUUUCUCAUUAGGGAUGGGCGGAAUUCCUUGGGUUAUAAUGUCAGAGGUAUGUCAUUUAUCUUUGAAGUCUUCAUAACUGAAUGCCACAAAAGGCAAUAACGAAAUUUUCAGGAAUGAGGAAAAACAGAUUUGUACUAAAUGUAGCCCGGAGUAGAUUCUUGAAUGAAUAUUUCCUCUGUCAGAUAUUUCCAAUAAAUGUGAAAGGUCUAGCUGGAAGCCUGGUGACAGUUGUGAACUGGUUUGGUUCUUGGAUUAUUUCCUAUUCUUUCAAUUUCCUUACAAAAUGGAUCAGCUCUGCAGGUAAUAAAGCAUGCAAAAACUUAAUCAUCCCUUUUAAGACUUAGUCGUCUAUUGAUCAUAUUUUUUUUUUCUCUCCAGGGACAUUUUUCUUGUUCUCAGUCGCAAGUGGUUUAACUAUCAUAUUCGUUGCAAAGCUUGUUCCUGAGACUAAAGGGCGUACCCUGGAAGAAAUUCAAGCAUCCAUGGUUUUGUUUACAAGGAAAAGCUGAAAUUUCAAAUCCAUUCUUCAUGGUUGUAGAGGUGUACUGUUCUAUAUGCCUGUUGCUUUGAUCUGCAUAUCUACAUCUUGUUUUUGAGUUAAUUGCUGACAAAAGCACAGAAAAUAAAAAUCCAUACUUCUCCAUAUGAUUGUAGUGACUAUUUAUCAAUCCCCCUACAGAUUAAAAAUGCUUGGAGUUUUGAGUACAAGUGACUUUUCAUUAGCAUGUUGUUCUAAGAAAUGCAAGUAGCAAAUUGCACCAGCUUCAAAUAUUGCAGUAAACUUAAACUGCAAUUUGAGCUGAUGUUUGGCCCUGCAAAAAGUAUUAAAGUCAUAAUAGCUUUGGUUGGAAAAUAUUGGAUAAUAGGAAUGUCGAAGUAGGUAUAACACAAACCUUUUGCAAUGAACCUAAGAAAACUUUCCUAUUUGUUUAUGGAUUACAAAUAUUGGAGUGGAUGAAGUGCCCAAUUUGUUGGCCAUCAUACCUUCAUGGUAGCACACAAAAAGAAAGAGUGUACUUCACCAAAUGGCUUUGUCAAAUUGUUAUGUUGAGAUCUAGCAUCAGGUAUUCAUAGGGUUUUGCCACUACUCCUAUCUAUGACUGUAAGGGGGAUUUGUCGUCUUAAACAGAAAAUUACUUAUUUGCAUCAUAAACAUAUUUUUUAAUACAUUUUUUUUAAAAUCUUUUUAACUAUCUUUUUAUCACAAAUACAUCACAUCACAAAAAGUGUUAUUAGUAAUUAUUUCAAAUAAACUCCUGUCCAAACGCACACGAAAAUGUACACUCAAAAAGAAGAAAACUAUUUUGGUCGAACCAAUAUCUCAAAAAAUCUCAAAGUAUUGCCUUCUUUGAUACUUUUUUGCGUCAAAUUCUUGGUUUUUAUGAUUCAGCUAAUUGCUACAAAUAACAUUCUUGGACUUGAUUGUUAGCAAAUUAUUUAUGUCUGCAGAAAUACAAGAUCCGGGAAUGUUAAGGAUACACUGCUCCUUUUUUUGGUUAUUCAUGAUCCUAUUAUAAUUUUCUUUUUAAUCAAGAGAUUAUGCUGGUGGAUUAACCUCACUGUAUCAAGAGAUCAUGCCCUUUAUAAAUUAUUGCCCCUUCACGAUUUACUCUUAGUGAUUUCAUGUUUAUACCAUUAAAAAAAAGAAGAAGAAAAUAUGCAUAUCUUUGAAGAAUAGAAAAAUAAUAAUGAAAUAUCCAACCCACUUGAAGCACAAAAAUGCACAAACCCUAAACAUUUUCAUAGUGCAUACCUUCAUGUGUAGACUUUAGUAGGAAUUCUCGUUUUAAUAAAAAAAUUUAAAAUUUUUAGAAAAUUGUUGAUUUUGAUCAAGAUGUACAUCUUGCUUGAUUAAUUUAUCAAUAUAUUCUAUUACAGAAUUAUUUUUCAAGGUUAAUUUUCUUGUUGAAGAAAAAAUUAUUAAAAGGAUGUGUUUGCAUGAGAAAUGAGUUGCAACAUUUAUUUUUCUCUAGAAUUGUUUGUUUUUGAAUGAUAUGUGGCGAUUUAAUAGAUGCUGGAAUAGAAAAUGGGACAAAAAAUCAUUUGCGUCAGUAGUAUAUGGACAUUAAAAAAAAAAGAAAUAGGAAAGAAAAAAAUGGUAGGGGGAGUGUGAAUUAAAAAAAAAAAAAUUGGGCGUCAUUAACAUUCUCCAACAAAAAUAUCACGUGCUAUGAUUUUGGAUUAUUGGGCCAAAUUCUAGAAUAAGACUUUUCUUUUUUGGAUCAAUUUGUUAAAAGACAUCUUGUGUGACAUUUUGGAUCAAUUUGGAAGAAGUUUGGGUCGGCGUCACGUAGUCCAUGGACCGCUCUGCUACUUUAGGAGCCACAAGGUUUUAAAUCCAAUCCAUGUUUCUUUUUAAUUGCCCCACUGCCCCGUGCUUUCCCCUAAGAUAUAACAUGUACUUAAAAAAAAAAAGGAAAAACAAAAUUUACAAGUACUAUUUGCAAGAUUUGAACUAUUUUGAGAAAAACUUGUGAAAUGAUAAAUUAACCAGAAAUCAAGCUUUAAUAACUUGUGAGUUGUGACCAUACUAACUAAUUAAGUCUAGGUUUGACCAAAGGAAACUAAUUAAAUCCAUAGCAUUGAUGAAUAUUUGAAAAAUGGGAGCUUCCAGUUAAAAAUCGGAGCCUCGAUGAGUCUAAUCUAAUUUCCACUUUAUUACAAGUAAACAAUAAUAGAUUAUGAAUAUUUGAAAAAUAGAAGUAAUUUCAUAAUUCUUGCACAACUAUGUUUGCACUCAAUUUUAAAAAUCAUUUAUUUAAAACAGUCUGUCCAGGGCACCCAUUAAAAUAUAUUUCAAGAGCUACAUUUUUGGAAAUAUAAGAUUAAUUAGGGAAAGUAAAUAAAUGUAAGGAAGGGUAGUCAAGAUUAAAUAAGAAAAAUAUAUAAAUACAAACUCGGAUAAUAAUUAUUAGUAUAUGUAUAUAUAUGGUAAGUUAGAUGAAUGAUAGGUGUGUGUGUUAACGAGUGCUCUUAGAGCACUCGCUAGAAAAACCCUAUAUAAAAUAUUUCUACCCUUUUUGGAAUUUUAUAAAUACUACUACACUCAAGGUCAUGUGGGCAGGGAAAAAGGGAUGUGAUUGCUUUAAAGGUCUAAGAAGGGUACUUUUGAAAUCUCAUUUUCUGGCAUUGUAAACCGUGAACUGCCAGUCUUCUUUUCAUUAUAGUGAAAUCAUCUUAGAUACUAGAAUUUAUAUAUUGUGAGACUUUCCUAUAUAUUAAAACUUAAAUGAGAAAAAAAAAAUGCAUUCCAAUAUUUCAUACAAUUAUGAUUAGAUUCUUCGUUUCCACCCGAAACUAAUCCACAAAACAAAACUUCAUGUUGCUUCUAUUACACAAACUAGUAUGUUGGACAACUUGUGCAAAAUCAUUUUCUGCUAAAGCACCUUUAUAUCACAUGUUGAAUGUGUACAUCUUUAAGUUUGUCACGUACGUCCUGCCAAAAUCUCCCCACCUUCCUUCCUAAUAUUGCUUAUAAACCAGCAUCACAUGCAUAACAAACAUAACUAAUCCCAAUCAAUAAUCAAACACAAAUCCCUGUUAAUUUCCUUCUUCUUCUCAUCAAUGGAUCUUCAACCAUGUCUAGAACAGCAACAACAAUCCCAUGCAAAUGAUUCAACACCAAAUGGAAAACCAUAUUGUAAUUCAAUACAACAUCCGGUGCACAAAACCUUAGCCACAGCCGCCAAUCUUGCAAACCUUCUGCCAACAGGAACAGUCCUAGCAUUUCGAACUCUCACCCCUUCAUUUUCCAACAAAGGAAGAUGCCAACCUUCCAACAAGUAUCUCACUGCAUUUCUUAUCGGAUUCUGCACGGUUAUCUGCUUUUUUUCCUCAUUUACUGAUAGCUUCUUUGAUAAACAUGACGGGAAGUUGUACUAUGGGAUUGCAACUUUCAAGGGCUUGUACGUUUUCAACAAUGAAUGUCGUGAUCAUGAUGAGAAAUCAGAGGGAGAAGACAUGAAGGAAUUGUCUAAGUACAGAAUUCGUUGGAUAGACUUUGUCCAUGCAUUUGUGUCACUUCUUGUUUUCUUGAUCUUUGCUCUGAGUGAUACUGACGUUCAAAAUUGUUUCUUUCCGGAAGCAGGAUCAAAUAUGGAUGCUUUGUUCAUGAAUUUGCCUUUGGGAGCUGCGAUUUUCUCAAGCUUUUUGUUCACUAUCUUUCCUACAAUUCGUAGAGGUAUUGGAUAUGCUGAUUUGCCUACCCGUGCAAAAUAAGAAAGUUUCCAUCCAAUUAGUCACUAUCCUCUUUGUAAGUGUAUAAUUUACAGAAAGAAUUCCAGGGCUUGUUUAUUAUUAGUCGCAACAAUAUAUAACGUUGAUGUAUAUACGUAAUAAACUCACAAAUUGUGAAACUUGAAUCCAAGAGCUCUAAAUCUUAUUGUUAGUACUAAGUGAUCUUUUACCAUUUUUUUUUUUUAAAAAAAAGGGAUCUAGCUCAUGUGUGUUUUUGCAGAACUAAAGCAGAAAUUGAGGAAGAAGAAAAGAAGAGAUGUUAGUUUUAUUGUGUAAAAGGAUUGAUUUGAAGAAAAACAAAUUUCAACGAUGACACAUGAAAAGGAGUUUUGCCCACUUCGAUUUAAUGUACGAGUUUUUUUUUCCAAAGACAUGACCAAUGAUGACAAAAGACAGGAAAGUGGAAACAAAUGAGUUCGGUUUUGAUUAUUUCAUGGAGGCUAGCUGGUCCUAGUUUGUUAAGAAAAGUAUGGAUGAAGUGCAUGAGAUUCUUUAAAAAUUCUUACGUUUUAUUAACUCACGAGCAUGGAAAAUUAUCAUGAUUGAUAAGAAUGGAGACGGGCAGGGACGGUUAUCAGAAGAAUCAUCCCUGAACAGUUUACCGUCAGGAUUUGGCCCAAAAAAAAUUAUACUUCCAGAUCAUUUCUUGUACCUCGUUUUUAACAACGUGUGUAGGGUCCACAAAAUUAUUCUAAGGUUACAGGUUGUGCAAACAAAGUUACGCUGUGUGCAAACAAACUUACGCGAUGUGCAAAAUGCACAAAAUCGCUAAGAACGGUUUGCAACCGUUCCUACCCGUGGUCCGAUAAGUACAAGUAUUUUAUGAAAAAGGACUAAUUACAAAUUUACAAUUAAUCCUCUAAAAUAUAUACUACUGAUACUCACUUUACACCUUAACUUUCUUUCUUUGUAUCACUUAAUUCUUUGUAAGACAAAAGUAUCCCUCUCUCUCUCUCUCUAUGUAUGAAUUGAAUCAGAAAACUGUUUUGGAGCUUUGAGAGUUCAAAUAAAAUGUGUAUCUUCAUUUUGCAACAGCUGAGAACCAAAAUUAAAAUAAUUUUAACUGCUAUGUGAUCACAAAAAAUUGUGAAUCUCCUUUGCUUUUCAUUUUCUAAAAACAAAAUAACUUGGACUCGGUCUCUGGAGAUGAACCUUUAGGUGCGAAGAGGAAGGAGUAGAAAAGGAAGAAGAAAGAGAAAAAGAAAAUAGAAAAGAAAAACAAAAGGGAAAGGAAAAAAAAGAAAUAAAAAAUUAUAAAAUCCAAACGAUAAAUGGGAUAGUUUUGUCUCAGAGGGGAUUUAAGUGACAAAAAAUUAAGAAAAACAAUUAAGAAAUAAAUUGAGAAUCAGGAUAUAUCUUCUAACGAACCCUCUAAAAAAUAACUAGAACGUUGCAAGAUAGGGUGAAAUGAAAAAAAAAAAUAGAUUUUUGUACUUAACAAUGAGUUUUGUUUUUUUCUGAGAUAAUUUGUCAGGUCAAUGUCGCAACCUUUGUCACGAACGGCCAUAGCACGACGUUGAUACAGUCGGACGAUGAGACAAUGUAGCCAUGUGCUCCCUUUUUUACUCUGAUACAGUCAAAACGAUGAGACAAGUUUUUCAGCUUCAACUUUGGAAUCGGAACGUGUAAAACAUGGCAACAGGAGGAAUCACUGUCAUGAAAGUUGCCUACACAAUUAAUCCAAAAUUGUGGAAGCAAUUUCAUGAGGAUAUCCAAAUUGAUUCAAAUGCUUCCUAAGAAUUUGUCUAGAAAAGGAAGAAAGAAAAAAAAAUUCCCAUUCGGAUUGCUAUUUUCUGGAAUUGAGGAUGAGGAGCUACUGCCUUCCGCACCCCCAAGGGAAUUUAUUGCUAUAAAGUAAUGCCGUUUGGCUUGAAAACGCUGGAGCGACAUAUCAAAGGGCAAUGCAAAGAAUUUUGAUGAUAUGCUCCAUAAGAAUGUGGAGUGCUACGUCGAUGACCUUGUGGUGAAAUCAAAGAAGCGAGAGGAUCAUAUUCAAGACCUUCGAAGAGUUUUCAACGCCUUCGAGAUACCAAUGAAGAUGAAUCCUUUGAAGUGCGCAUUCGGAGUCACUUCUGGCAAAUUUCUCGGUUUCAUCGUUCAUCAACGGGGAAUAGAAGUCGAUCGAUCUAAAAUUGAUGCCAUUGUGAACAUGCCUGAACCGCGAAAUAUUCAUGAAUUGAAGAGUUCAAGGGAAGUUGGCAUAUAUCCGGAGGUUUAUCUCUAAUUUGGCCGGGCGAUGCCAACCCUUCAGUCGACUGAUGAAGAAAGGGGUACCCUUCGAGUGGGAUGAAUCGUGUAGGAAUGCUUUUACAAGCAUCAAAACGUAUCUCAUGAAUCCCCAGUUUGGCUGCACCCAUCCAGGAAAACCAUUGAUUCUUAUAUUUCCGCUCAAGAACGGUCGGUUGGGGCCUUACUUGCUCAAGAAAAUGAUGAAGGUAAGGAGAAUGCGCUGUAUUACUUGAGUCGGAUGAUGACACCUAAUGAGUUGAAUUACUCACCCAUCGAGAAGUUGUGUUUGGCACUUAUAUUUGUCAUUCAGAAGUUAAAAUUAUUUUCAAGCACACACUAUUCGACUCAUAUCUAAGUCUAAUCCCAUUAAAUAUGUGAUGGCAAAACCUGUACUGUCUGAUCGGCUCGCGAGAUGGUACCUCCAGUUUCAACAAUUUGAAAUUAUUUACGUACCUGCGAAGGCUGUCAAAGGACAAAUAUUGGCAGACUUUUUAGCCGAUCAUCCCCUACCUGCCGAGUGGGAGUUGACUGAUGAACUUCCCGAUGAAGAAGUGUUUAUGGUCGAAUUGCCGUGGUCAAUGUAUUUCGAUGGAGCUGCCCACCGUGAUGGAGCUGGUGCGGGAGUUGUCUUUUAUACUCCUGAAGCAGAUAUAUUGCCAUACUCUUUCACUUUAACACGCCGGUGUUCCAACAAUGUGGCUGAAUAUCAGGCGUUGAUUCUCGGUCUUGAAACGGCUGUAGACAUGAAGCAGUUGCAUCUUAGAGUCUACGGUGAUUCAAAAUUGGUGGUAAAUCAACUCCUUGGUGUUUAUGAUGUCAAGAAACCUGAAUUGAUCCCAUAUUACAAGUAUGCAAGGCAACUCAUGGGAUAUUUAGGUAAUGUCACUAUAGAACAUAUCCCUAGAAAUUUCAACCAACAAGCUGAUUCUUUGGCAAGGGUGGCGUCCAUGAUCACUCUACCUUCUCAUCGAAAUCAGAUUUCAAUAUGUCAAAAUUGGGUCAUACCUCCGAUGUUUGAUGAAGGUAAUGAUAGUGAAGAAGAAAAUACUUAUCAUAUUUUUGUCCAUGAGAUCGAAAAGGAGGAUUGGCGUCACCUCAUCAUUGAUUAUCUUAAUCAUGGAAAGUUACCAGAAGAUCCUAAGAAAAGGGUUGAUAUACGUCGUCGAGCACCACGUUUCAUUUACUACAAAGGGACGCUUUACCGAAGGUCAUUCGAUGGGGUGUUUCUACGAUGUCUUGGAGAAGAUGAGGCCAUGCAAGCAAUGGAGGAGGCUCACUCUGGGAUAUGCGGUGCUCACCAGUCUGGCCCGAAAUUACACUUUCGUAUUAAAAGAAUGGGAUACUACUGGCCAACAAUGGUAAAGGAUUGCAUUGACUUUGCUAGAAGAUGUCAAGCAUGUCAAUUUCAUGGCAAUUUCAUCCAUCAGCCCCUGAACCAUUGCACCCAACUGUGGCUUCUUGGCCGUUCGAUGCUUGGGGUUUGGAUAUAGUUGGACCACUUCCAAAGUCUUCUGGCGGACAUGUUUUUAUUUUGGCGGCGACGGAUUACUUUUCAAAGUGGGCUGAAGCGAUUCCUCUAAGAGAGGUCAAAAAGGAGAAUGUAGUGGAUUUCAUUCGCUUGCACAUCAUUUAUCGGUAUGGAGUCCCGCGUUAUAUCAUUACCGAUAAUGGUAAGCCUUUUUGCAAUGUAGCAAUGAACAAACUUUGCGAGAAGUUUCAUUUCAAACAAUACAAUUCGUCCAUGUACUACGCUGCUGCAAAUGGACUCGCUGAAGCAUUCAACAAGACCUUAUGUAAUCUGUUGAAGAAAGUCGUGAAUAAAUCGAGAAGGGAUUGGCAUCUUCGAAUUGGAGAAGCACUUUGGGCAUACCGAACUACUUUUCGAACUCCCACGCAAGCGACCCCAUACGCGCUUGUUUAUGGUGUUGAAGCUGUUCUUCCACUUGAGUGUCAAAUACCUUCGCUAAGAAUUGCGAUUCAAGAAGGGCUCAGUGGAGAAGAUAAUGUCGUCUUCGCCUUGAGGAGUUAGAAGCACUCGACGAAAAGAGAUUGGAAACCAGCAACGGAUUGAGUGUUAUCAGGCCCGCCUUUCAAAAGCAUUCAAUAAGCAUGUCCGGCCACGCUCUUUCAAAUUGGAGAUUUAGUACUCGCUGUUCGGAGACCGAUCAUUCUCACUCAUGGCGGACAAAGAAAGUUUACUUAAGUGGGAUGGUCCAUAUGUCGUUCGAGAAGUAUAUACAAAUGGCUCAUACAAGUUGGUUGCUGAAGAUGGAUUAAGGGUUGGCCCCAUCAAUGGCAAGUACCUAAAAAGGUACUAUGCGUAAUCGAACCGCGAGAGCUCCUGGCCCGCAUGAGCUAAAACUGUGGAUGGCAACCACCAAUAGUGUAGUAUGUGGUUAAACUGCUGAAACACUCCACCAAGUCUAAGGUGGUAAACAAAUAGAUACUCCUGGCCCGCAUGAGGUUAAAAUGUGAACGGCAGGAACUACGUGUGACUUGAUUCCCUUGUUGGGAUACGUAGGCAGCUUGGAGGGCAACUUCUAAGUUCAGUUACACCACUCCAAAUCAAAUCCUUGUCCCUUGUAAAAAAAAAAAAAUUUUCUCUUUCCAAAAAAAAUAAAAAAAAUAAUAAUAAUAAUAAAAUGCUCCAUUUGAGUUCUUUUCUCUUAAAAAAAAAAGAGAUAAGAAAUGAAAAGCGUUUUAUUAUUAAAAAAAAAAAUCAUUACAUGAAAAAAUGAGUGAUUCAAGGAAAAGAAGAACAUGGUGGAAAGCUAAAUAUCAAAUUUGUAUUCCACUACAGCUACUUUAUAUGAUUCAAGUGCAGACUUCAUGUCCUCAAGUUCCUUCACAGCAUCAUCAGUCAAGAUGCUAGUAUUUCAAUGGAAGAUAGCUCAUCAUGCGCUUGGGUUAUUUCGGCUGGAUCUCUUUGAAAUCUCAUGCUUUUGAUCGAUAGUUGAGGUGAUUUCCAAGUUUGCUUCUCCAAACUGAUGAGUUCCUGUUGCAGAACCUUCUUCCUGGCUUCAAUGGAUUGCAACUCUUCUUCAAACUUUGCAAAUGACAAGUUAGUCUUCUCCCUUUGCCUUAACUUUCUCGAGUUGGACGGUCGCUUUGGAAAGGAGUUCUGCAUGUGUUUCUUUGCUCAUCCUUUCCCACGAUGAAGAUGCUAGAACAUCAUAAGCCUCCGCCUUGGCAAACAAUUCCAUCAAGUGGUCUUUUAAAGGGAGACCAUUGGCGGGAUCCGUUCUUGUGAUUUCUACAAUGAUUUCCUCUGCACACUCUUUUAAAGAAGAGAUCUGCUCAAUUGGAGUGUCAAGAAUCUGUCCGCGGAAAUCCAUCCACAAACUCUGCAAGUACUUUCUUCGAUGUGCCUGGAUCAACUUUUGGCCAUGAAAUUCUGAAACCAAUGCUACCUUAGGUUUUUCGAAUUUCGUGUGAACUAGUCAGCUCCUUCUUAUGCAUUGACGAAGUACCUCCACUGGGGGCAAAUUGUCUUGGAGUACUGAUAGCUACUUCGUCACUCUUGUUGUUUGAGAUUAUCAUCAGUUUCGAGUUCGGGUGAUGAAUUGUUACCAACACCUUCUUGACGGAAUUCAAGAAACGGGGGCUGAAAAGGAAAAAGUUAAAAAAAAAAUUUUAAAAAAGGAAAAAGAUGGAGAGAUGAUUACCUUAAGUGGCGACACUCCAACCGAACGGUGGUGUAAAGGAAAUCUCCUCCAAAUCAGAAGAUGUCCUCUUUCGAUCGGUUCCAAUGACGAUCUUGACUACUACUACCGCUCGCCAAUGAAUGGACCCCUUCUUGGGUAGAUCCGAUGUCCUGAACUUGAGUUCCUUCCUUUUCUAUAGCCUCGAUAGAAUCACGAUCGUCCACCGUUUCAAUUUCGAUAUCUUUUCAGUACGAGUUGCCGAUAAGGAUUUCGAAACUUUGGGCGGCGUCUUUUCGCUGGAACCGCUGGUUGCGCCUCUUUGAUGGCCUGCCGAGAGUCCUUGGAAGACUUAUUUUUUGUAGCAAUAUUUUUCGAGGGACUGCUAGUAAUUUUGUUCUUUCGCAGGUGGAUGAGGCAAGACCCGUUACAAUCUCUAUAGCUCCAUUAUGAUGCUGACUCGUUAGCGGAGGUAAUCUUACCCUUCUUCGAUGAUUGCUGAGGGAUCUUAACGGUGAAUUUAAAGGAAGUUGAAGAGACACUAUUUGACCGAGUCGACCACCAGGCGUCAUAGUCUUUUGUGAUCAAUGGAUGCUUCCUAUGCGCUGGUAUAGUCAUCCGAGAUCGCGUCUGUGUGCGAACUGAAGAAUCCCAUAGUUGAAUAGCCUCGCCCAAAGUGUAAGUAUGAGUGAUUUCUUUCAAGUUGUUGGGAAUGUCUUGACAAAAGCCGAAUUGUCUGCUAAACCUGCAAGGAUUAUAUUUUUCAAUAAUAAAAGUAUUGUCCUUACGUAGAGUUAAAUGGCAAGAGCGUUGACUAAUGAAAUAGCUCGUGAGUCUUGAUGAUAAGGAUCCGUCAUCGAUCAACGCCUUUUCUUCAUUCUCAGUCCAGCACAAUUUAGGGAGCAUCAAAGGAUUCACUUCUUUGAAAAUUUCCUCAUCUUCCAAUUGACCAUAAAAUAUUGUCAUUUUCUUACCACUAAAUCUCGUCAUGCGCGCGUGGUGGCUACUCACUUGAUUAUUCUCGUGAUAUACGUCAAAGUAUUGGCCAAUCCAAGCAUAGACGUAAUGGAUUGGAAAAGCUACCCCGCAUUCUCCAAGGUUAGGGGCGUAGACGAUCUCCCUCAACCCAUGAUAUAUGCUCGCAAGGACGGGAAUUGCAAGACAAAAUCUUUUCCCUGUAGCCAUUAAGCAUGCAACUUUAAAGACACUUGGGCGAAUGCGAUCGAUCUUUUUGCUUGGCAAAAGAAACUUGCAAAUCCAGCACGCUAUGAAUGCCGCAAUAUAGGUUUCCUUUCUUAAAUAUCCUGGAAUGUCCAGUGUGUCGAAAGGGACGUUGAAGUCCUUCGUAUCAGCAAGGUCGUAAGUCUCCACGCUUCCAGAAGGGUUGUAAGUCAUUUUUGGUUUAGAUGUGGUUUUCCUUCUAUUCGCUCUACUCGGAGGAGCACUAUACCUAGUCUCUCCUUUGAACCAGAAGCGAAUCCAGUCUUUCAUCCAUACCCCUUGGUCGUUCGUCCAAAGGUGGUAGUAGGCAGAAAAGAGGUGCCUGCAGCUCUCGGGGAAAGUGGCUUCCCUUCUUUGUCACGAGUGAGGAGCUCCCGCGCGAAGGAACAACUUCAUCGAAAAACGCGCCGUCAAUCGAAAGGCCACCAAGUCGAUAAAGGUCCCAAAGUGUGAUGGACAACUCCCCAAAGGGCGUAUGGAGCGUGUUCGUCGAGGGACACCAAUAUUUGAAGAAGGCCCGCAAGAUAUUUUCACAGCGAUCGUAGGAGUAUCUCGACGCGUAGACGGCUUCAAAUAUACCAGCACGUGUGAGUAUGUCUUUAUACCUUCCAAGCAUGUCCUCAACCCACUCCCACUCAUAAUAAUGGGAGGUGAAACACGCCUCACCGAAGAAGGACGAAGGGAUUUUUCAUGUAGCUUUGUCAACAUUGAAUCCCACGAACGGAAGUGUGAACUUGGCUAUUUCCGGAUCUCCAUUAUGAAGAGACGAGUUUAACACAACCACUUCUUCUUCUCUCGACGUAGUAGAGAAAGUCGACGGCGCCACCACUUCCUUAGUCCACUUGCUAGUCCAAUUGUCAAGAUGAAAGCAUCCUUCGAGGGAUAUGAAGGAUUCAGCGAGCGGGCCAAUUGCGGGUUUGUAAACAUGUAGUGACAAGCUUUUUGACUGCGUGCCUCCCCGUUCAUCUGUCAGCGAAAUAUGUGACAGUGGCACGGCGUAGUCCUUAAUUUGCAUGGUUACUGGAAUUUUGAAAAAAAGGCACGAGGUGGGCUAUCUACGGGAGGACAAGUUAGUAAAAUUGAAAUAUUGACAUGAGGUGGGGUAAAAAAAAAAGACAAAAAAAAAAAAAAAGCAAAGCAAAAAAAAAAAACAAUUGAGGUCGGAGUUCUAGAAAAAAAAAAGAAAAAAAAGGAAAAAAAAAGAUAUUUCUUGUUCAAAUAUCAUAUUGGGUAUUGUCCUAAUAGAUAAAAAAAGAAAGAAAAGACAAAAAAAAAAAAACAAAGCAAAGCAAAAAAAAAAAAAAAAACGAGGCAAACAAAAAAAAAGGGGGCAAACGAAAAAAAAAACAAACAAGCAAACAAAAAAAAACAGAAAAACAAAAAAAACAAAAACAGGGAAAAAAGAAACACUUAGCAAUUAAACAUUACGGACAGAAGAAAGGGAACUUCAAGUACCUGGUGAGCAAAAAGAAAAAAAAUUGUUCAAACACUACCAAUGGAUGACAGUUGAUGCUUGCGGCUCAGUGAAGAUCUUAAGCGUUAGACGCUGUCAAGACAAAUUAAAGCAAGUAUGGGUACCGUCGAUACAAGAAGGUAUGAAGGUGUGUGAACGAGAAUUAGAGCGACUACCUUCAAAGCUAUAGUGGAAGAAGCAACCAGAUCCUUCAAACGGCUUGCAACAUUGACAACGAAAAUGUUGUUUCCGAAUCUAUUGUUGCACAGACUACAAGGGUAAGCCGCGGUUCCAUGCAAAGUAGUAGAACAAGAAACACAAGCAGGGUGGUACCAUAGCUUGGAGGAGUAGUGCGUACCUUAAAAAUAAUCCUAGCGUAGCUCGGCACGUUCUGACCAACUCCAAAUUGAUUCUAUUAGUUUAAGGGGCGGCAAGGCCAAGCAAACUAGCAAAUUGUGAAUGACGGCAGUAGCAAAAAUAGGGGACGUAGCAGCGGCACCUCGUGACAACAAUAUUCGGGAAUCAAAAGGGAAGAGAAAUUUUUUUUUUUUCUUGAGCAAGUUCACGGCUUUGGACUUGGGGAUUUAUAGGACGAAUCUCUACUACAAAUCCGGAAGAAAGUUGAGUUUAAAUACAACUAGCUUCCUGGUCCGCUUCAAUCGUUUGAAGGAUAUCUUCAGGGGUCCUAGCAAUUAAGUCGGCUGUAUAUUGGGAAGUGGAUUCUACACUGGUUUCAGGGGGCUUGCUUCUAAAAAGGACCAGUUUAUUAUCCCAUGCGAUAUAGCUUCCAUUCAUGUUGGCCUUGGAAGGAAUUCUUGUCGCAACCAACCCCUAUAAGCUGAGCAAGUCAUGUCGGCAUGGAAACUUGCGCAGCGGUGGAGUUCAUGAUUGAUCAAAGAAUAGGAUGUUUGUCUCGCAAUUGAAGUUGAAAACUCUAGGCAAACCAAAGAGUAAUUUGCAUGCAAGGUGCACCAGGACAAAUGCUUACGAGGUAGAGUUCAUGUAUGGUUUCUGUUCGGGUAUUGAAGGCUUGUUGCGGUCAGCUUCUUAUUAAGUGAUUUACCUCACGAGAGUAAUCUCCGCAAAACUUCAGAACUCCAGAAGAGCUAAAUCCUUUGAUCCAAGGAGUCCUUAAGGUGAGUUUGAAGUUGAUUAGAAUCUGGCUUCGGGACCUUCCUGAUUGGUCAAUUGAGAUUGGAAUGUGCAUGUCCCGUAGGCUUCUAGUGAAUUUCAAAUCCUAAUGGAUAUGGUGUUUACCAUCCGAAGCCGAAAUUGGUUUACCGAAGUCUUUGGGAUUGCGUUGGUGUUAGUGGAAUUUGUGAUAACAUAGAGUUUUAAAUCAAUGUGGAGUUGGGCAAGUGAGCAAGCAUGACUUGUUGUGUCGUGGGCUAUGGUUGUGUUUCAACAAAGCCGUGGACUGGAGGUAGUUGCACGUUUGGGUCUUGGAAAUUGAGAUCACUAAUUCACCAAGUUUUGUAUGCAUUUGAUAACAUAGCGGUGGAAUUUAUAAUGUCUUGCAUGACCACCUUAUGUCAAUGAAAGCAUCUCCUUUAAAGUAUCAUUAGUCUAUAUUGGUCUAUGAGGCACUUGAUAAUACCAUGUCGUAUGACUUUGCCGGUGGUUUAAUAGACACGGCAUUGCAAAGGCUUUGGAUAAAGUCCAUGAGUUGAUAUUUGAAUUGCAAAACUUUGAGCAAAGCCAUGACACUAAAUGGACUUUGCUUGGAUUGAUAUUCAAACGGUGGACAUAAGGCUUCCAAAUGGAGUGAUCCGGCCUCGGGAAAUUGAAGGCACUAGUGGUCUUGGAAAUUGAGAUCAAUAAGGCAUGAAUUGGUGGUAUUCCACGUAGCUAUCCUAUAUGAUGCAAGUCAUUGAUAUAAAGUUUGCAAAGCUUGGAAUUUAGCCCAUUUAGGAGUUUUAUUUGAAAGGCUAAAAUAUCAACGGUGUUCAAGUUGAAACAAAAAAAAAUGUCAAAACUUGUCCGUUCAAAAUUUGCUUCGGUCUUCAACAUUCACGAACAAGUUUCGAGAGGGCAUUUGUAGACAAUGGAAUUUUAAUUAAAUUCUAAAAAUUACCAUUGGUCUAUAAAAUAUUUUUGUCCAAUCGGAUAUUGCCAUAUGACACGUACACUUGGAAAAAUUGGUUAUUAAAUGACCAAUUAUAUUUUGCCACGUGUCAAGGCGAGGUGUUCCAGAUCAAUUCAAAUUGCAGGGAUAUCUCCACCAAUCAGAUUAUAUCAUGUCACAUGUCCAUUGGAUAAAUAUCUAAAUAUUUAUUCCGUAUAAAAGGGAUAAUAUUUAGAGUUAUUUAAUCCAAGUAUAUCUCUUAUAUACUGCAAUAGCUUGGCCAGUCAAACGGCGCCAUGUCACGUGUCCCACGAGUUUGGCCAAUCGAUAAAUUUCUUAUCUCUUUAUUAAUAAAUAUAAAAUGAAGAGAUAAUAUUUGACUGGUACAGUCCUAAUAUGACUGCACGUCUUGCAAGACAAGUAAAGUGGUACAUAGGUUCUCAACCUCCACCUCUUGCUACACCUAUAAAUAGAGGUCUCUUAACCAAAUCAAACACACAGACAGAGACACAGAGAUAUCAAGAAGCAUCUCAUACACUCAAGUAUUGAAGCUUCAAGCUACGAAGGUCUGGGUCUCAAAGCUCCUCAAGUCUUCCGCAUAUCAAGGCUUGAGCCUUCAAGUAUUUUCAAAUCCUUCAAAUCUUCCAUAUCAAGAUUUGAAGGAGUCGGUGGUUGAUCCAAGAACAAGCUGCGAAGCCCUUGGAUUGGUGUUCGAGGAGAAGAAUCGAAGGAAGCUCUCCAUAAGUUCGAGAAACUUCCAGAGAUUGUACCUACAUAUUUUUGCUAAGUUUAUAUAGUACAUAUUUGUCGUGUAUUUCUUUUUCUUGUCGUUUUGCAGACUUGAAAUUUUUAUCGCGUACACUAUAGACCUGCCAUUUUGUAAGGAAUGCUAAGUGAGUUGAACGAAAUACAAAGUAAGAAAUAACAUGAAAGAAUUCCUAUUCAAGUGCAUCCCAUCAUGGAAACUUAAACUUUUUUAAAAAGGCAUGUAUUUACAUUGGUCAUUCUUACCUAUCUUUGGAUUUAUUGUCUAUACAUAUCUAAAAGCUUCAAAUUGAAAGAAUUGAUUACUUUGUAAUGCUUCUAAACUUAAUCAACACAAACAUUUCUCUUAUUACGUGAUAGAACAGUUGCAUUUCAUUCUCAACUGUCAAGAUUACCUUUUUCAAAAUCUAUAUGAAAAGCACAAUAGAAAGCAUUUGUUUGCAACUAUAAUAAAAGUUGGCUUUAGUUAUGAUUUUUUUUUUGUCAUCAAAGAACUACAUCUAGCCAGGAAAAUGCCACAGUCUCACAUCACCGUUUAAAGGCAAUAUCUAAGACCACAAAAUUCCUAGCUAAGGUUCCAGCAAAAAGAAAACAAAUCAUUUAAGAAAUUUUCUUUCCUCACUAAGCUUGUCAUUGUCUUUUGAAAAUACAACAAAAUGGAUAUAUCUACUUGUUUUGAAGUUUAAUUUAGUUUUAAAUUAUUUUGUUACUACACUAUCAUAAUCAUAACAUGAGAGAAAAUUCAACACAAUUGUUUACUAAUCUUUCUUAACGAGGACUAGGUUCUUUAGUUGAUAGCUGUAAAAUUAUUCUCCCUUUCUCUUGUUUUAGGGUUAAUGCCUUUUUACUUGUUAGAACUUGUUCUGUUCGUAUGGCAAUUCCUUAUAAUUGAGUAGGAGGUAUGUGCUGGAUAACAAUGGAGUUGCCAAGUAUUUAUCCACAUAAAUCUCCUUGAAUUAGUUUUGUAACUAAGAUUUACCAUCCAAAUGUUGAUGAAAGUGGAUCGAGGAUGUUAUUACCAUAUUGAAGUUGUUCAACAAUCUAUAAGCUCAGUGAGAAAAAGAGUGAUAUCUAAUCAAAAAAUAUAAUCUCUAGGAAAAUUUCCUAAAGCUUAUCAAUUAUUAUCCGUCCUACAUAAUAUCUUAUUAUAGUGAAAAAUUGCACAAUAAUAAAAGCAGGCCUUAGUUUUUUCUUGUCAUUAUUUUCCUUGCUACAUCUAGCAAGGAAAAUGUCAUUGUCUCACAUCACAUUUAAAGGUAAUAUCUAUGAUAAUAAAAUUUCUACCUAAGUUUUUAGUAAAAGAAAACAAUUCAUUUAGAAAAUCUUCUUUCCUCAUUAAGCUUGUUAUUGUCAUUUGAAAAUACUACGAAAAGGAUAUAUCCACUUGUUUUGAAGUUUAAUUUAGUUUUAGACCUUUUUUGUUGCUACAUAAUCAUAAUUUGAGAGAAAAUGCAGCACAGUUGUUCACUAAUCUUUCCCAAUGAGGACCAACUUCUUUAGUUGAUUGUUUUACAAUCGUUCUCCCUUUCUCUUGUUUAAGGGUUAAUGUCUUUUAAACUUGCUGGAACUUGGCUUGUUCUUAUGGCAAUUCCUUAUAAUGGAGCAGGAGGUAUGUGCCGGAUAAUGGUGGAGUAGCCAGGCACUUAUCCAUGUAAAUCUCCUUGAAUUAGUUUUGCAAAUAAGAUUUAGCAUCCAAUUGCUAAUGAAAGUGGGUUGAGGAUUUAUUGCCUUAUUGAAAUUGUUCAACAAUCUAUAAGUUCAGUGAGAAAAGAGAGUGAGAUCUAAUCAAAAUAUAAUAAAGUUUAUCAACUAUUAUCCGUCCUACAUAAUAUCAUAUUAUAGUGAAAAAAUUGCAUGAACGCAUGAUGCACGCUGUAUUUGUGAAAUAAUUAAGUUGUUGAAAUUAAUUCUUUGACAACAAUUAUGUAUUUGAUACCUUCACGAGUUAUAUUUAAUCAUGCCAUAGUGGAAAUAAUAGAAAGAAAAAAAUGAAAAGGUGCAGAGACAUUCUUGGACAACUGGAUGGCCAAUGAAACAAAAAAGGUAAAAAAAAUUAAAAUAACUCAUUUUACAAGCUCAACUACUUUGCCACACCUACCUAAAACAUGGUUUUCCCUUUUGCACAAAACAUGUUUUUCAUUGAUUUUGAAUUUUCAAAUUACUCCUCUACUUAACCCACAAUAAGGCACAAAGGUAUCAUUUUAGUUUAGGUAGACAAUAUCUUUAAUGAUAAAUACAAACUACCUCCCAUAUUCAAUCAAGUAAUCACUCCUACUUUCUUCAAUACGAUGACCUUGUUGUAUGAGUAAAUUCCAAGAUUGGUUAGCAAAUGCAUGUCUUUCCUAAGUCUCUCCAAAAAAAAUGAAAAAAGAAGAAUAUACAAUUUGGAGUGUUAAGGGUUUAUUAGAAUGUAGCGAUGUUUUAAUUAGUAAUAACCCAUGAGGGUAACCAAAUAAAAAAUUAAAAUUUAGUUAUAUAUGAAAAAAAAUAUCUGAUUCUGAAAGAUUUUAGCAAAUUCUAACUCGCCAUGUUCUAAAGCAUAGGAUUCUGCACCCUAACCAAGAUUUAUUUUUUAUUUUCAACUUGUGUUUAUUACACAGAAGGGUUUUCUGGAAUAAUGGUCAUAUAGUUUGAUUAAAGUUUAAUUUGGACAAAACACUUUACCAACCAAUAAGAUAACAUCCAUGGUAGAAGAUCAUCUAUAUGUGGAAUUCCCUUGAGAUUUGCAUGCUAAUCCUUUGCCAACUAUACUUUCUUGGAUGAUUUUCUUAUCAUCUCUAGAACUAUACACCUGUCUAUUUUUAAGGAAUGCUAACUGAGUAGAAUGAAAUACAAAGUAAGAAAUAACAUAAAAGAAUUCCCAUUCGAAUGCAUCUCAUUAUCAAAACUUAAAAUUUUUUUACAAAAAAAGCAUGUAUUUACAUUGGGUCAAACAUUAUAACCUAUCUUUCAUUUACUAUCUAUACACAUUUAAAAGUUUCAACUUGAAAGAAUUAAUUACUUGUAAUGCUUCGAAACUUAAUCAACACAAACAAUUCUCUUAUUUUGUGAUAGAAUCGUACCAUUUUAUUCUCAACUGUCAAGAUUAUCGGCUUCAAAAUCUGCAUGAACAACACAAUAAAAGACUUUUAUUUGCAACAAAUAAAAGUGGGCAUUAGUUUUUUUUCACCAAAGAGCUAUAUCUAGCAAGGAAAAUGCCACUGUCUCACAUCACCAUUUAAAGGCAAUAUCUAUGACAACACAAUUCCUAACUAAGUUUCUAGUAAAAGAAAACAAUUCAUUUAGAAAAUCUUCUUUCCUCAUUAAGCUUGUCUUUGUUAUUUGAAAUUACUACAAAAAGGAUAUAUCCACUUGUUUUGAAGUUUAAUUUAGUUUUAAACCUUUUUUGUUACUACUCUAUCAUAAUCUGAGAGAAAAUGCAGCACAGUUAUUCGCUAAUCUUUCUCAAUGAGGACCAGAUUCUGUAGUUGAUUGCUUUACAAUCAUUCUCCAUUCUCUUGUUUAAGGGUUAAUGUCUUUUAAACUUGUUAAAACUUGGCAUGUUCUUACGACAAUUCCUUAUAAUAGAGUAGGAGCUAUGUAUUGGAUAACAGUGGAGUAGCCAGGCACUUAUCCAUGUAAAUCUCCUUGAAUUAGUUUUGUAAAUAAGAUUUAGCAUCCAAUUGUUGAUGAAAAGUGGGUUGAGGAUGUUAUUGCCUUAUUGAAGUUGUUUAACAAUCGAUAAGCUCAGUGAAAAAAGAGAGCGAAAUCUAAUCAAAAUAUAAUCUUUAGGAAUAUUUCCUAAAACUUAUCAAUUAUUAUCCGUCCUACAUAAUAUCAUAUUAUAGUGAAAAAAUUGCACGUACUUAUGAUACAUGCAGUAUAUGUGAGAUAAUUAAGUUGUUGAAAUUAAUUCUUUGAGAACAAUUAUGUAUUUGAUAGCAUCACAAGUUAUAUUUAAUCGUGCCAUAGGGGAAAUAAUGAACAAAAAUGAAAAGAUGCAGAGACAAAUUCUUGGAUAACUGGAUGGCAUAUGCAACAAAAAAGGUAAAACAAUUAAAAUUAACUCAUUCUACAAGUUCAACUACUUUGCCACACCCGCUUAUAACAUGGAUCUCCCUUUUGCACUAAAUAUGUUUAUCAUUGAUUUUGAACUUUCAAAUUGCUCCUCUAUUUAACCCACAAUAAAACACGAGGGAAUCAUUUUAUUUUUGGAAGACAAUAUCUUUAAUGAAAUAUACAAACUGCCCCUUAUAUUCAAUCAAAUAAUCACUCCUACUUUCUUCAAUAAGAUGACCAUAUUGUGUGAGUAAAUUUCAAGGUUAGUUAGCAAUUGCAUGUCUUUCCUAAGUCUCUUAAAAAAAAAAAAAAAACAGAAGAGUACACAAUCCGAAGUGUUAAGGGUUGGACAGAAAGUAGCGAUGUUUUAAUUAGUAACAUCCUAUGAGGGUACCAAAUAAAAAGACUAAAAUUUGGUUGUACAUGAAAAACAAGAUCUAAUUUUAAAAGAUUUUGGCAAAUUGCAACUCACCACGUUUUAAAGCAUAGGGUUCUACACCCUAACCAAGAUUUAUUUUUAUUUUCAACUUGUAUUUAUUACACAAUAGGGUUUUCUAGAAUAAUAGUCAUAUGGUUUGAUUAAAAGUUUAAUUUGGACAAAGCACUUUACCAACCAAUAAGAGAAUGUCCAUGGUGAAAGAUCUUCUAAAUGUGGAAUCCCCUUGAGAUUUCCAUGUUAAUCCUUUGCCAACUAUAUUUUCUUGGGAGAUUUUCUUAUCAUCACCAGAACUAUAUACCUAUUUUUUUGUAAGGAUUUCUCACUGAGUAGAAUGAAAUACAAAGUAAUAAAUAACAUGAUAGAAUUCCCAUUCGAGUAGAAUUCAUCAUUAAAACUUAAAAUUUCUAAAAAAAAAAACAAGUAUUUACAUUGGGUCAAACAUUCCAACGUAUAUUUGGAUUUACUAUCUAUACAUAUUUAAAAGUUUCAAACUGAAAGAAUUAAUUACUUGUAAUGCUUCUAAACUUAAUCAACACAAACAUUUCUCUUAUUUUGUGAUAGAACUGUACCAUUUCAUCAUCUUUUUUUUAUUUUUAUUUUUUUAACUUUAAUCUUUAUUUAUGAACUGAAAAGAGUACAAAGAGAGACAGCAACCAACUACUGCCUAACAAGCUAAAGAAGCUCUACUCCUACGAAUGUUCGGAACGCCUAACCGAUCAAGAUUAACAUCACCCCUCACCAGGCAAGGCAACUCAGAAAAUGAAACAUAUGUUGAGUUAAACCCAGCGUCCACACCCACAUUGGCCAAUCUAUCCGCAGGCCUAUUCGCUUCCCGAAAGCAAUGAGAAAUCUCUCUAAGCAACCCCUUAGCAUUCAACACCUCCUGUAAACCUCGUUGCAACUGCCAUGGACACCUCACCGUUCCCGAAUAAUCUGAACUAACACCAAUGAAUCUGAUUCGAUGUGCAAAGCACUGUAUCCCCGAUCUACGGCCAACCGAAUCCCAUGAAGAAGCGCCUCCAAUUCCGCCUGCAAACUUGUUAGCUCCCCAAAAAAACAUGAGAACCCUAGCAGAAACCUUCCCUCAUAGUUACGAAUGAUGCCUCCCCCUCCACUCAUGCCAGGAUUACCUCUAGAGCAACCGUCAGAGUUUAGCUUCACCACCGACUGCUUCGGACACCGCCAACGAACAAUUUGCACAUGAUAACGACGUGCCAAACCAGCCACAGAUUCAAAGAACCUCGGCCACCGCGGCAAGAAGAAACAGUAUUCUUAAACCUAAUCUGGAAUAGGUCUCGCAGAUCACAAAAAAUUCUAUCACUGACUAUAGCAACAGGCAAACUCUGACCCUCGAACACAAACUUAUUCCGCAUUUUCCACAAGUGCCAACAAAUCAAAGACGGCAGCACACGAAAAAGAAACUGAAGAAACGGGUUCCGAGUAGGCUUCAACCACCAACCAAUCACCUUAUGUCGUAUUGUCGAGAAAACACCAAACCCUCCCACCACCACUUCAAAAGACUCCCAGAUUUGCCGUGGAACCUCCCCAGUGCAGAAAAUAUGAUCCAGAGACUCCUGACAUGGGAAGGAACAACAAAAACAGCGAGACGGCCCGACAACCCCAAGCUUUUGCAAACUAUCCAUCACUGGCAAUCUAGCCCCCAGCAGACGCAGCAUAAAAAAGGACACAUUACUCGGCAAUUCCUGACCCCAGAGGGAGGAGUAUAGACAAGACCUGUUACCAACCCCACGAGCACUUUGGUAGGCCGACGAUAGGGAGAAAUCCCCUGAGGUACUGGGAGACCAGACCAUUCUAUCCGAAUGCGUCUCAGCGGGAGGUUCAACACACAAGAUCUGCCCCACCCACCAGCUGGGCAGCACAGAGCACAGCCUCUGCACGUUCCACCGACCAUGCUCCACGAAAUCGGAUACUGCAUAUUCCUGGAAAGAGUCGACCUGGCGACAUAAAGGACCUUGUCCUAACCAAUCAUCAUGCCAAAAACUUGCCGAUCCAUUGGACAAGACCCAGCGAAUCUGCUGCUCAGCAACCCCCUGAAUAGAUAUCAAUCUCUUCCAAGUCCAAGAACUCCCCGGCGAGACGUCCGCAGAGCAAGGGUGGAAAUUCGGCAGUAUUUACAAUGUAAAAACUCAGCCCAUAAAGACUUCCGCAAUCUAAACUGCCACCAAAGUUUCAUCGAGAAAGCGUCGAACACAUCCCUCAACGACCUCAAACCUGCACCUCCCCUGUCAUAUGGCUGACACAACUGCUCCCAUUUGAUCCAGUGACGCCCUCUUCACCGCGUCAAAAAAUGUUACCGAACUGCUUACGAGACCAAACUUGCAAGUCCCGUUUGACAUUCCUCAGUUUAGCGGUUAAACGACUCAAAGGCGCCCAGAACAAGGAACUGCCCAACUCCAACUGUCAAGAUUAUCACCUUCAAAAUCUAUAUGAAUAACACAAUAAAAGGCUUUUGUUUGCAACAAAUAAAAGUGGGCAUUAGUUUUUUUUUACCAAAGAGCUACAUCUAGCAAGAAAAAUGCCACUAUCUCACAUCAACAUUUAAAGGUAAUAUCUAUGACAACAAAAUUCCUAACUAAGUUUCUAGCAAAAUAAAAUAAUUCAUUUGGAAAAUCUUCUUUUUUGACUAAAGUUGUCAUUGUUAUUUGAAAAUACUACAAAAAGGAUAUAUCCACUUGUUUUGAAGUUUAAUUUAGUUUUAAACCCUUUUUGUUCUCACACUAUCAUAAUCUGAGAGAAAAUGCAGUACAACUGUUCGCUAAUUUUUUCCAAUGAGGACCAGGUUCUUUAGUUGAUUGCUUUACAAUCAUUCUCUGCUCUCUUGUUUAAGGUUAAUGUCUUCUAAACUUGCUGAAACUUGGCCUAUACUUAUGGCAAUUCCUUAUAAUGGAGUAAGAGGUAUGUGCCGGAUAACGAUGGAGUUGCCAGGCGCUUAUCCAUGUAAAUCUCUUUGAAUUAGUUUUGUAAAUAAGAUUUACCAACCAAUUGUUGAUGAAAAGUGUGUUGGGGAUGUUAUUGCCUUUUUGAAAUUGUUGAACAAUCUAUAAACUCGGUGAGAAAAAGACUGAGAUAUAAUCAAAAUAUAAUUUCUAAGAAUAUUUCUUAAAACUUAUCAAUUAUUAUCCGUCCUAUAUAAUAUCAUAUUAAAAUGAAGAAAUUGCACGUACGCAUGAUGCACGCUAUAUCUGUGAGAUAUUACGUUGGUGAAAUUAAUUCUUUGAGAACAAUUAUGUAUUAUAUUCCUUCACAAGUUAUAUUUAAUCGUGCCAUAGUAGAAAUAAUGGAAAGGAAAAAAUAAAAAGUUGCAAAGACAAAUUCUUGGACAACUGGAUGACAUAUGCAACAAAAAAUGUAAAAAACUAAAAAUAACUUAUUCUAUAAGCUCAAGUAGUUUGCCACACUCACUUAUGACAUGGUACUCCCUUUUGUACAAAAUAUGUUUAUCAUUGAUUUUGAACUUUCAAAUUGCUCGUCUACUUAACCCACAAAAAGACAUGAAGGAAUCAUUGUAUUUUUUAUAAACAAUAUCUUUAACGAUAAAUACAAAUUGCCCCUCAUAUUCAAUCAAGUAAUCACUCCUACUUUUUUCAAUAUGAUGACCAUGUUGUGUGAAUAAAUUUCAAGGUUGGUCAGCAAUUGCAUGUUUUUUCUAAGUCUCUCCAAAAAGAAAGAAAAAAAGAAGAGCACACACUCUACAGUGUUAAGGGUUUGUUAGUAUGUAGCGAUGCCUUAAUUAGUAACAUCCCAUGAGGAUAACCAAAUAAAAAGACUAAAAUUUGGUUGUACAUGAAAAACAAUGUCAAAUUCUAAAAAAUUUUGGCAAAUUGCAACUCGCUUCAAAGCAUAUGAUUCUACACCCUAAGCAAGAUUUAUUUUUUAUUUUUAACUUGUGUUUUUUACACAGUAGGGUUUUUCGGAAUAAUGGUUAUCUAGUUUGAUUAAGCGUUUAAUUUGGAUAAAGCACUUUACCAAUCAAUAACAAUGUAUCUCAUCAUUAAAACUUAAAGUUUUAAAAAAGACAUGUAUUUACAUUGGGUCAAACAUUCUUACCAAUUUUUGGAUUUACUAUCUAUACGUAUCUAAAACUUCAAAUUGAAAGAAUUAAUUACUUUGUAAUGCUUCUAAACUUAAUUAACACAAAAAUUUCUCUUAUUUUGUGAUAGAACAGUACCAUUUCAUUCUCAGCUGUUAAGAUUAUCUCCUUCAAAAUUUGUAUGAAGACCACAAUAAAAGACUUUUGUUUGCAACAAUAAUAAAAGUAGGCAACAGUUCCUUUUUUGUCUCCAAAGAGUUACAUCUAGCAAGGAAAAUGCCACUGUCUCACAUCACCAUUUAAAGGCAAUAUCUAUGACAACAAAAUUUCUAACUAAGUUUCUAGCAAAAGAAAACAAUUCAUUCAGAAAAUCUUCUUUCCUCACUAAACUUAUCAUUGUCAUUUGAAAAUACUACAAAAGGAUAUAUCCACUUAUUUUGAAGUUUAAUUUAGUUUUAAACCUUUCUUGUUACUAAACUAUCAUAAUCUGAGAGAAAAUCCAGCAUAGUUGUUCACUAAUCUUUCCCAAUGGGGUCAGGUUCUUUAGUUGAUUGCUUUACAAUCAAUCACCCUUCCUCUUGUUUAAGGGCUAAUGUAUUUGUUACUUGCUGGAACUUGGCCUGCUCUUAUGGUAAUUCCUUAUAAUGGAGUAGGAGGUAUGUACCGGAUAAUGAUGCAGUUGCUGAGCACUUAUCCAUGUAAAUCUCCUUGAAUUAGUUUUGUAAAUAAGAUUUACCAUCCAAAUGUUGAUGAAAAGUGGGUUCAAUAAUCUAUAAGCUCAAAGAGAAAAGAGAAUGAGAUCUAAUCAAAAUAUAAUCUUUAGGAAAAUUUCCUAUAGGUUAUCAGUUAUUAUCCAUCCUACAUAAUAUCUUAUAAUAGUAAAAAAAAAAUUGCAUGUACGCAUGAUGCACGCUGUAUCUGUGAGAUAAUUAAGUUAUUGAAAUAAAUUUUUUGAAAACAAUCAUGUAUUUCAUACCUUCACAAGUUAUAUUUAACCAUAUCAUAGUUGAAAUAAUAGAAAAAAAAUGAAAGGGUACAAAGACAAAUUCAUGGACAACUGAAUGGCCUAUGCAACAAAAAAAUUAAAAAUAACUCAUGCUACAAGUUUGACUACUAAUUUGCCAUGCCCACUUAUAGUAUGGUUCUCUCUUUUGCACAAAACAUGUUUACCAUUGAUUUUGAACUUUCAAAAUGCUCCUCUAGUUAACCCAUAAUAAGAUUCGAAGGAAUCUUUUUAUUUGGUAUACAACAUCUUUAACGAUAAAUAUAUACAAACAGCCCUCAUAUUCGAUCAAGUAAUGACUUCUAUUUUCUUCCAUAUGAUGACCAUGUUGUGUGAGUAAAUUCCAAGAUUGGUUAGAAAUUUCAUGUCUUUCCUAAGUCUCUCCAAAAAAAAAAAAAAACAAGAAGUGUACACAAUCUGGAGUGUUAGGGAGUCAGUAGAAUGUAGCAACAUCUUCAUUAGUAGCAUCCCAUGACGAUAACUAAAUAAAAAUAUUAAAAUUAGAUUGUACAUGAAAAACAAAGUUCAAUUUGGUAGGACUAGGUUCUUUAGUUGAUUGCUUCACAAUUAUUCUCCCUUUCUCUUGUUUUUAGGUUAAUGCCUUUUUUACUUAUUGGAACUUAGCCUGUUCUUGUCAAUUCCUUAUAAUGGAGUAAGAGGUAUGUGUCGAGUAGCGGUGGAGUUGCCAGGUGCUUAUCCAUAUAAAUUUCUUUGAAUUGGUUUUGUAAAUAAGAUUUACCAUCCAAAUAUUGAUGAAAAGUGAGUUUGUGGAUGUUAUUUCCUUGUUGAAGUUGUUCAAUACUCUAUAAGUUCAGUGAGAAAAGAGAGUGAGAUCUAAUCAAAUAUAAUCUCUAGGAAAUUUUUUAAAGCUUGUCAACUAUUGUCUCUUCUAUAUAAUAUCUUAUUAUUUUGUAAAGAACUGCAUGUAUGCAUGAUGCAUGCUAUAUCCAUGAGAUAAUUAAGUUGCUAAAGUAAAUUCUUUGAGAACAAUUUUGUAUUUGAUACCUUCGCGAGUUAUAUUUAAUUGUACCGUACUGGAAAUAAUGGAAAGAGAAAAUAAAAAGAUGCAAAAACAAAUUAUGGACAAUUUAAUGGCUUAUGCAAUAAAAAGGGUAAAUAUAACUCAUAUGAUACAAGUAAAAGCUCAACUAUUACUUUGCCACGCCGAUUUAUAGCAUAGCUCUCCUUGAUCAAUUCUUUACACAAAACAUGUUUGUCAUUGAUUUUGAACUUUCAAGUUAGUCCUCAACUUAACCGAUUAGCUAUUGCAUGUCUUUCUUAGGUUUCUCCAAGAAAAACACGAAUAUUGCACAAUCUGGAGAGUUAGGAGUUUGUUAGAAUGUGGCUUGUCUUAAUUAGUAGCAUCCCAUUUAGUAACCAAAUAAAAAAGAUUGAAAUUUGGUUAUACAUGAAAAACAAAUUUCAAUUCUAAGAGUUAUUAAGGGUUAUCUUUGGACGCCGUACUUUUCCAACCUAUAAGGGAAUGUCCACAGUAGAAAAUCUUCUAUAGGUGGAAUUCCCUUAACAUUUGCAUGAUAAUCCUUGCCAACUACACUUGCAUAGAUGAUAUUCUUAUCUUCUCUUGAAUUAUAUAUCUCUUUUCUUUUCUUUUUUUUUAAAGAAAUGCUAAAUGAGUAGAACGAAUACAAAGUAAGAAAUAAUAUGAAAGAAUUUCCAUUCAAGAGGAAAGUUUUUGUGUGACAGCCCCAUCUCACCCUAAGGCAAACCAAAGGGUUCGGCGGACCGCCUGCCCAACUCUCGCCGGGACUCAGUCAUACCUCCAUCAAAAUCGGAAUAAAACUACAAGAAUUAAAACGAAAUGGAAGGGGCCGCUACCACGUCUCAGUCCAACCAAAUACAAGUAAACUUUGUUUGCUAUGAAAGAAUGUACAUUCCCGAAUCCGUAUGUCACCUAAAUAAGAGGAAACACUUUAAAAUAUUAGCAAAUUUACAAAUCCAAAAGGAAAUAUUAUAUUAAGAUACAUUUAGGGUUUCCAAAUUGUCAAGGAACUAUACCAAAAGAACAAGAGAAUUUCUACCUAGCUCAACACAUUCUUCAAAACAUUGAAGUUCCAAAAGAUGGUUCCCUGUAAGGAAAACAAGGAUAACGGAACGGGGUGAGCUAAAAACUCAAUGAGGUACCAACAGUAUAAAUAGUAGAAUCAGUAGAAUUCAUGAGAAAGCAUUUUGGAGGCACAUAUUCACAUCAAAUACGAGAAAUGAAUGAAUAUCACAAUGUAAAGGAUACAGGUGGCUCUCAGGAGCCAAAUCCCCGUUGCUAUACUUGAUCCAAUCUCGUUGACUCUCCGUCAACGUUCAAAUACAGGAACCAGUCCAAUAGAACACCACUUUAAUGCCAAAACCCCGUUCACCAAACAUACCCCUUACAGGGCCCGAACGCCAAACAGGAACAGGAAUGGUAAUACUCGAGUAUACCAGAAAUUCAGAAUCUCCAAUACCCAUAGAUUCCUCAGGAACAGGCACCCAUGGAUUGUCAAUUUCCUCGACCAAGCCCUCGCUGACUCGAUUCAAUUAACUCUCCAUGAAGUUGAGCUUAAGUUUAACAGGAAGGUCGUUGGAUACACUUCCAAACGACAUCAUAACAAGUGCAAGUAACAAAUUCAAGUAUAUAACAGGUACAAGUAAUAGAUUUCAGUUCGUUCAGUACAGGCAAGAGAACGAGUGUGAUAAAGUACACCCUCGUCUCAUACAAGAUAAACAGUCAGGAAAGACAUUCAAAUAGCAGUUUGCAAGUACAGAAAACCAGUUUAGCAAUAAUUCAGGGGAGUGGUGCACUCACCAGUUCAAGUACAGAUACUUCAAAAGUUUUCAAUUGAACCAAAGUAAAACAAUUGAAGAUUCCACAUCCAAAAUCGAGUAAAUAGAAUGCACAAGUGAGGCUCGACUGCUAGUCGUAUGCCUCGCCAAAUAAUUACUAAUGCAAGGUGCAAAACAUGAUUUUUGGGAACGAAAAGGUAACAUGAAGACCUAGGGUUCAAAUAACCCAAAAGGCCUUCAGUUCUACCAAAAGGCAACUCAAACUUAAAAGAACCAAACGGCCUAAAAAAUUGGACAGCAUUCCUCCUAAAUUUGCUUACUUUUCCGGCCAUCAAGGCUUCCUUUUUCCGUCAGUCAAUCCCAAAGUCACACACAAAAUAAUUUCAUUUCAAUAGCCGUUCAAUAGGCUCCAAGUAGUACAAGUACAAAUUCAAGCUAGUGAAAAGUUCGGAAAGGAAAACAGGUUUGACGUUGUUUUGCGUAACGGACACAACGGAGGCUACGCUUAUCGGAUUGGAAUGUAAUUUAUACUAUUUCGAAGCUAAGACAAAGGCCUAUAACUUUGAUGAAGACCACUCAGUCCAGUUCGUAGUGUAGCUAGGUCAAAAGUGCAAUAUAUGAAACCAGAAUCUCACAAAUAGGUUAGCUAACCGCACUAUGGUUAAACGAAAAUAACUUAGGCUACCGAGUCCGAAUGAGGUGUAUCUUAUGGCGUUUCGAAACCAAGACAUAUACUUACAUUUCUUAUGAAGACCUACAAAGCCAAAUCAUGCAUUUUCAUGGUCAAAAAUGGAAGUUUCCACGAAAACAGAAAUCUGGCGCGCGAAACAGGGUUCAUGGAUAGUCAAGGGUAUUUUGAUCAUUUCACAUGAUACAAUACUUGGAUUGAGCUGAAAUUUUUCAGGCAACUAGCUAACACCAUUUUCUACAACUUUCAUGUUUUAACCUAAGCCUGAUUCAUCCUCUAACAUGCUCAAAUAAAUCCGGUCAGAACAAGACAGAUUUGAAACCCUAACCUGAAAUUUUCCGCACAAGCUGAAAUUUUUCGCAAAUAACCGCAAUUAAUACACAAGAGCUUCAUUUAACACCAUAACAAGCUAUCAAUCCAAGACCAAUCCAUGAUUUUAAUAUAAAAUCAGAAAAUCCCCUCAUAAAUCAGAAAUUCACCAUAAAUUCCUUCAACCCAUGAAAUACUCCACAACAUAACAUACAUGACAACCACAAACCAUUAAUUAACCAAUACUAGAACAAAAGGAAACUUGUAUAUCCAACUUAUCUCAAAUUCAAGAAAGCUAUCAACUUAGAGCUUCCCUUCCAAAACCAAUCCAUCAAAAGCUUUAAACCACCAUAGUGAGCCCUUGUAUGAAAUAUUUUCCAAAAUCAUCGAUUAAAACUCAAGAUUUUGGCAAAGAUUGAAACUAGGAAAUUUGAGAGCUUUCUCUCUAUGAAGCUCGGUCAAGCCAGGUGAAAAAUGAAGAUAUUUUGGGCCAAAAAUAGGAUAAGUAAGAAAGAAACAGCCGGUCAAAGCCUCUGACCGACUGUGACAUGUCACAAUCCGGCCGGAAUCUAGCCGGAUUCGAGGCAGAGGCAAAACUCUUUUUUUUUUCAAAACUGCAAGGCAAUCUGGCCAGAAACUGGCCGGAUUUCCAGCCGGAUUUGGCCCCUUCCUCUUUUGAAAAAUUUUUCUUCUUUUUUCAAGUUUAAAAACUGCGUUCCUCCGCUCGUCCAACAAAGAUUUAUAUAAAAGGAAAACCCUCCUUUUCGGGGCGUCACAUUUUGAAAGGCAUGUAUUCACACAGGGUCAAAUAUACUUACAUGUCUGUCGAUUUAUUGUCUGUACAUAUCUAAAAGCUUCAAAAUUGAAACAAUUCAUUACUUGACAAUGCUUCUAAACUUAAUCAACACAAAUCUCUCUUAUAUCAUGAUAGAACAAUAGCAUUUCAUUCUCAAUUUUCAAUAUUAUCUCCUUCACAAUCUUUGUGAAGGCCACACUAAAGAGUUUAUGUCGAUAUGAGAAAAGGCUUUUGUUUGCAACUAUAAUAAAAUUGGGUAUUAGCUAUGUCGUUUUUUUUUUUUGUCGCUAAAGACCUACAUCUAGCAAGGGAAAUACCACACUAGUCCCACAUCACCAUUUAAAGGCAAUAUCUAUAAUGUCAAAAUUCCUAGCUAAGUUUCUCACAAAAAGUAAUAAUUUAGUAAAGCAUUUUUUCUUUACUCACUCAGCUUGUCAUUUGAAAAUAAAACAAAAAGGAUAUUCCCACUUGUUUAGGUGUAGAUAGGGCUGCAAACGAGCUGAGUCGAGUCGAGUUUUGGCCUAAUCGAGCCGAAUCUUGACUUAAUUUUAUUGAACUCUAACUCGAUCUUGAGUUCGACGAGCUGACAAUUUAAAAGUUGAGCUCGAGCUCGAAAAAAUAAAAAAUAAUUAUUUUAUUUUUAAAAAAUAAAUAAAAUAAUUUUUUUUAAUAAAUAAUAAAAUAUUAAGGAUAUAUAUGUAAUUUUACUAUUAAAAUAAAAAUAUAUAUAUACUUAAAAUAAAAGAAUAAAUAAUAUAUAUUUAAAAUAAUAUAUAUAUAUAUAUAUAUAUAUAUAUAUAUAUAUAUAUAUAUAUAUACUCGAGCUUGCAAGCCGGGUUUAAUAUUUUGAACUCGAUUUCGACUCGAGCCAACUCAAUAUCGAGCUCGCGAACGGCUCGAUUCAUUUGCAGCCCUAGGUAUAGAAAAUAAACGGAUCCUGUUGUAUUUGGCGAGAAAGAUUCCUUACCAAAAUUCUAUACCUUACGGCAAAAAAAAAUCGAAAAACAAGAACUCCAAAAAUCUGGCCUUUUUAAAGAGCAAUAGAGGACGCUAGGUGAAGAUGUUGGUAAGUUUUUUUUUUUUUUUUAAGAAAAUGAAAUUUUUCAAAGGAGAGAAAAUUGCAACUGUUAUGAUAUCGUACAUAAACUGAGAACUGAUAAAUUUUGGGAAAUUUUGUUAUGAAGUGGCUCUUUGCUGCCACUCAAAGUAUGGUGACAUCUAACAAACACAUCUCUAAUUGGGCUUGUCAAUUGGGUUGGACUGACCUAAGUUCAGUCCGUUCGGUCUUAAAUUUAUUCGAUUGAGUCUUAUGCAAUGCAAUAAGUUGGACUAAAAUAUUUUACUACUCGAUAUGAGUGUAAAUUGAAUUUGGUCUAUACUAAGGUUAACACACUUAAAAUUCGGCCCGACUAACAUAUGUAUAUUGAAAUGUAUACAUACAUACGUACAUAUAUAUAUUGUAAAUCUAAUUAUUUAUUUUUGGUAUCCACUACUAAAGUACUAUAGUGAUUGUAUUUUAAAUGGCUAAUUUUAUGAUAAAUAUUUUUUCUAUCUCUUAUGGAUGUUUUGGUAAAUUAUAGUACUUCUCAUCAUGAAAUUCAAACUAUUUUUUGUUUUGUUGUUGCAAUUUUAUUUAGAUAUUAUAUAACAUUUAUGAAUUUUCUAAUAGUUUCAUUUAACUAAAUUUCAUUAUCAUGAAAGACAUAUCUUUUUCUUUUUGAGUCAAACAGGAGUUACAAACUUGUGAGUGUAGCUGACUUGAGAUUAGGUUCAAAAGAAUGGUAUGUUAUGUGAAUUGAUUUUGAACGUGUCAAAACUCAACUCACAUAACCCAAUAGAAAAGCCUAUCCCCAACUUAUGAAGCAAAAAGAGUUUUUUUUUGUUAAUUGUGGCAUUUGUAUUAAGCUAUUUGGAAAAAUGGAAGCCCAAGUAAAGCAUAUAUGUGCUUGGUAUUCACUUCACACCGUAUUGGCUUGAGAAUUAUGCAACUUAGCAAAAGCUUGAAGACUUUCAAAAAGGAAGGUUGAUUUUGAAACACAUAAUAGGUGACACCACUGCAGGGCAAAUUUUUAAAGAUGACAUCAAUUUUCGGUCUAUACAUUUUUACUAAUGAAGAUUAUUUGUUUAUUUGUUUUCUAUAGCUUAAAACAAAUGAUCUAUUACUUGAUUGACCAUACAUGAAUUAUGAUGUGCAUACUACCCUGGUAAAAGGACAUGUCUCUGGCGAAAUAGUCUCUGCAACCACCAAAAUACAUCAAUCAGAAGGUGCUAGGGAGACAUCUCGAAGAGUUCUUUUUCAUUACUUAGAAGAUUCAAGUUUGAAAAUUCGUGAUGGAAAGGAAAAAUGUUGGUGAAUGAGUGAUCUAUACAUUUCAAAGUACUUUUUCUUCAUCAUGGUGCUACACAACUGGCUGAAAAUUUAGUGGAGACUUCAAGUCAUAACUGAAUCCAAAAAUGAAUCUUGAAAACAUUAAGAAUUUUGUCAAUCCACAACAAUCAAGAGACUAAAUUUCCUGUUCACUUUGAUCAGAAAUGAGAACGAAAAAAAGGAACAAAGGCAGAAAGAAAAUUGCUGUCCUUAUCAGUCAUCAUACACCAUGUUACUUUACAUUUUGACAAUUUCGCAAUUCGAUAACCUUACAAGACUAUGUUGACAGAGGCAUAGUUGAAAGAUCAAGAAAACAUUCUUGAAUCUACAUAAACUGCCAUAAUAAACGAAUACGGUAAAUUCAUGCAUACGGUUUCUGAGAGAAACAAAGAGUUUGUUUGGAUAAGAGUUAUUUGAUGAUUUAUUUGAGAUAAUUACUGUAGCACUUUUUGUGAUGUGAUAUAUGUGAGAUAAAAAGGUGAUUGGAAAGAUAAAAAGGUGAUUGAAAUUUGUGAAGUAAGUUUUUUUAUUUGAAAUCAAAGUUGUCCAAACAAACCCUUUCCAAUUGAAAACACUUUAAUGUCAUCACAAACAAGGAACUAGAAGAGAAAACAAUUAAAGUUGUCCAGUCAGGUUAAAAUCGCUCUAAUCUGUUAGCAAAAUGCAACUAAACUUUUUACGAUUCAUCUAACAUACAAAUACAACACCAAAAGGAUGUCAAUCUUUAACACAUGGAGGUUCAAUCCACACACUUUGCCGCUCCAUAUCUGCCUUCCAUGAAUCUUCAAUGCUCCAAAUGUUCUAGGCAAUUUGUUCCAUAUUUCCCUCAAUUGCAUUCCAUCCAAGGCUUUUCAGGCAAUUUAUACCACUCAUCGCCUCAAGGAAUAAAUCCUCCAAAAACCUAUUCCGAAAGAAGUAGCAAAUGCAGUCGUCCACGGUCCUCUCCAGCCUCAGCAGCCGGUACACAAAAGCGAAGCAUCACUGGCAAACAAUGUUCGCCCUGCCAAGCUUUUCGAAGCCCAUUUCCAGUCAGAAUUUCAAAGCUAGACCUAUCAAACCCGUAAACCUUCCACAGAAUCUCUCUUGGAAUCCCGUAACCCCUAAUAUCAUCAUCUUGAUUAUAAACUACAGCAGUUGCCUACCGAAUCUCUCCCCAGAUUCAACCAAAUGAACGGAUUCAAUCAGGUAAGCCAACCCCGACCCCCCAAAAAUAUCUCUCAUUUUUUAUCCAAAAAAUCGAACUAAUCACAAAGUUCCAUCCUGGAAACAAAAUAAAGCAUCGCCUCGACAUGAAUAUAAACCAUUACUUUUCACCACUCUGAACUUAAACUCGACAGGGACCAAAUAAGUGCUCCAAGUUCCAACUCCAUUCAUCAUCCCCGAACCUAUACGUGUCAAUGUGGGUAUUUCCACGAUUACGGUGGAAAGAAACGAAGAAAACACAAUCAGGAGAAUAGGAAUUUACUGAAAAAGUUGCAACAUCAACCUCAUAGCAAAACGUCCCGGGCAACGGGAUAACAUGGUUAGUGAAAGGUUAUGCAAGUUCAGAAUUUGCGAAACUGGAGAUUCUUCCUCUACUAAAUCUAACCCUUUCUUGAAGCGAAAGCCCUUGAUUUAUACUGCAAUUUGUUAUUACGAGUGAGGUAAGAACUUGAUUUUGGAAGUCCAAAAUAAAUCUUGUGGUUUUUCCUUCAUGUGGGUCGUAAAGUUUGUACUUCAUGAUGAAUUUCGGGGUGGUUUGUAGUCAAAAGGGGUUGCAGGAGUUGAGAACUGGCCAUGGCAGAUUGCUGAUUGGUCUUUUCUUGUUUGCCAUUUGACGCCAUCUUUUGCAGACUGCUCGGAAACGAAUUAAAGUGGAAGAAUUAGUUUGUUCUUGAUAACCCUAAAAGAUUUCUUUCAGGAAGAUUAGCCCAGGAUCUGGUGGAGCUGUUGUUUUCGGCUUUCUGCAGUUUCUCCAACACCAUUUUUGGAAGGGCCAAAACUGUUUACUUGGGGUUAAUCCUUGACCUGCAGAGGCUCUAUCUACAUGGAAAAGCGAUCCUACGGUGGAGAGUGGUUUUGAAAAAUAAGGGACAAAAUCGAUGGCUAAUAUAAAUUGGUUUUAGAUGUCAAAUUUUACAGAACUUCAAUUUUCCUAUCAUUAAGAAAUAGAUUUUUUUUUUGUUUUUUUGGAGAAUACUAGAUAGCCAUUUUUUGGAAAAUUUUCUAUAUUUAUCACAAAAUGUUUUUUUUUCUAAUUUCCUUUCUAUUUUUUUAAAUCACUAUAUAACUCGUAGAGAAAAAUGGAAAGAAGGGGGAAUAAUAAAUGAGUUCUUGCAGCAUAAGAUAGAUAAGAAAAGAAAAUAACUUGCCAUAUACAAAAAAUCCGUGAACUGCAGAUCAAAUUCGUUAAAAGCACAAAACUCGUAUGCAUGCACGCGAACCAGGCAUAGAAGUGGUCAAUACGCUUGGCACUCAAUUAGAUAAUUUUACAUUUUUCCCUUUGGGUAAUUCAGUACAUAUUAAAAGGGUUAACUUGGCUUUUUGACCCUAAAAUACUACCCUUAUCACACUUUCACCCCCUAACUUUAAUCGCUUAUCGUUAUUUUUUUUCUUAUUUUGUGAGUAAGAAAAGAAUAAGAUUUAAGAAAUGAAGAGAAAGGAAGGGAAAUUUGAGAUUUUUUUUGAGUGUGUAUAAGAUUAAUAUCGCUUUUCUUUCUAAGUUGCAACUACCGACGUAUUAUUUCAUUCAAUUUACAUCACAGUUGAAAAGUUAACCAUUGAAAUUCGAAAUUUUGAGAGAACCUCUAAAGCAUAAGUUUCUAUCCUAGUCACUUAUUUUCUUCUACAUAUCUUGUCCAUUUACUAAAAAGAAUUUAUAUAAGGCACACAUCAACUUAUUUUAUGGGAGCCUUUUGUUUUUACCUGUAUUAUUUUAUUGGAGGAAUGAGACUUAAGAAGUGAGAAGGAAGGAGAAUUUGAGAUUUUUGAGCGAGCAUAUAACAUUAAUAACACUUUUCUUUGUAAGUUGCAACUACCAACUUAUUAUUUCUUUCAAUUUGCAUCACAAUUGAAAAGUUAACUAUUGAAGUUCAGAAUUUUGGUAGAACCUCUAAAACAUGGAUUUUUUCGAUCCUAGUCACUCAUUUUCCUCUACAUUUCUUAUCCAUUUACUAAUAAAGAUUUUUAAAAAAUUUAUAUUAGGCAUACAUCAACUUAUUUUAUGGGGCCUUUCGUUUUUACUUGUAUUAUUUUUUUUUAUGUGUGGCUGGAGUGUGGUUAGUGUCAAUUUCAUUUCCAUCAUCACUAAACGCAAGUGCAACAUGUCAUUAUCAUUUGAUUCAUAUAUGUGUCUCUGUGUGCUUGGAUUAAGUUACAAAUUGACACAAGCAAUGAAGCAAAAGUCAUAGAAACAUUCUUGGAUUCCUUCUCUCGAGGCAGAUGAAUGGACAUGCAGAGCCAUUUGUUUUCAUUACACUCGUGAGACUUUGACUGCAGCUAAAUUUCAAAUCACUACGGCUACGGCACUUAAGACUGGUUCUACUAGUUAAAUUCACGAGCAAUUCCCCACGUUAUGAUGGAUUUAAAAAAUCAUUCCACAAACGGAUUAUUUGUUGUGGCGGCUUCUUGCACCAAGAGCCCUCACACUUGCGGAAUGUGAGAUCUAAGAGUUCGCAAUCUUCAAAUGCGAGGAAAGCAGACCUUUUGCUCCAAAGAAGAGAAUGUAUUUCUUCCUCCUUUCUCUAACAAUUAUCAAUUAUAUCUGACUGAAUAAUUCAAGUUUCUCUUCAAUAGAUUUUGUCAUCUUCUGUAACAAAAGUUAGCAACCACAAAUGAGAAAAUGUUGUCCUUUUUAGAUGAAAUAUGAAUCAAAACUUAGUGAAUUCGGUUAUACCUCGCAUUUGAAAAAUGCAAGCUUAACGAAAAAUGCAAGCACCUCAAAAGCUCACAUUUUUGUGAAUACGAAGAUUCCUCUUGCUGGAAACAUACAUCACAAUCUGCCCUUUUGAAAAUAAUUUUAGAAUUCAUCAUAAUCUUGGAAUUUUCUCUAAAUUCACAGGGAAGAAAAACUAGAUGAUUGCUGAACUCAAUAGAGAAUUAGAAAAACUCGUAAUAACGUACAUUGGCUUGAGACCUUAGAUGAAUUCUUGACAAAAUAGCACAUGUUUAACACUUACAAUGAAAUUUUUUUUCACACAAAUCUUUAAGGAGUAAGACAGAUAUCCAAUUCCAAGUUCUCAAAAUUACGAGCUUUUAUCAGACCUUUUAUUCAGAACAUUAUUGGCAGUGGAGCAGUACAUCCUUUAGUAUGACAAUUGGUAUCCAAAUAUGAUCCCAACAAGUAUGUUUUCUGAAAAUCUUUAGUGAGCGUUGGGGUGUAAUAUACAAAUGGUUUGUUUGGAUACCAUAUUAUUCCAAAUAAUAUAUAUUUUGCUUGCAUCAUAAACACAUUUCUCAACUCACCUUUUUAUAUUCCCAACCAAUUUUUUAUUUCACAUACAUCACAUCACAAAAAGUUCUACAGUAAUUAAUUCAAAUAACACUCUAUCCAAACAAACUGCAAUUGCUAAUAUUGUUGAUGGUCUCAGUGGAAAUGCCCUGUGGAAGACCGAGUCCAGCUGAAGUUAUUAAAUUAGUUCAUCCAUUCCAUCUCAUUCUCUAAUUCCUCGUGUUGAUCAGGCAGAUCAUUGCAAUGACUGCUUAUGAAAUUCUUCAAGAUAUUGUGCUGCAUGUGGACUAGUAUAACGUGGUGUGACAUAAAGAUGAUAUUCCCAUAUAUUUCGUGUAUCUUUUUUUCUUUUCGUAACAAAAAAGUUUAGGUAGGUUCGACUCCGAUCAUAUUACGAAUUAGAUUAUACCUCUAAGAUCAUAGGUAGUUUAUAAGAAUUCUUAUAAAUCGCCAACUAACGCAACUCUCAUAUCAGUAGCGGAAUUUUCAUAUAUCUUGUGAUUAAUAUGUUAACAUAGAUUCACAAUGCUACUUGUGUUUUUUUGUGGAUUAGAAUUAGGAAAUGAGUCCAUGAACCAUCUCUUCUUCCUCUUUCCCUACACUUGUGAAGUUUAGAGGACUACUCGUAUAAAAAAAGGCCAUUUUCCAUAAGUUGAUCAGACCUUCAAGGUAUUGCAUUGUCACUGGCUUCAAGAACUAUAUUGUUGUGGGCUGGAAACAGAUGGCACAACCAAGCAAAAAUUGGCAGAAAGAUGGCCAUGCUAGGUCUAAAUUGUGAGUUACCCUAAAUAUAUAUUUUCUUGCUAGCUCUGUUGAUGUAGCAUGGGAUCUACUUUUUUUUUUUUGGGUCACUUAUCAUCAUCUACAUCUAUACCUACUCCUAAUCCUAAUCUAGCCUAUACUAGGGGAGGGACCCAACAGGGUCACGGGAAAUCGAUGGGGACUAAACCACCAUCGGACCAUACGGGUGCACAGCACCCACAUAGAUCUUAAGCAUGGGAUCUACGUCUAGGAGAAAGAUAUCGAUGGUCACACUGAUUGGGAAAUGGGAUCUGAGUCUAAAUUGUGAGUUACGCCAAAGAUUAUGUUCUAGCUAGUUCUGUUGAUGUAGCGUGCUUAGGAAUGGCAACGGGGCAGCGUGGUCCCCAGCCCAAUGCCUCCCAGUCUUUCCCGCCCAGACUCGCUCUGUUGUCCCCGCGAGGCACUUGCGGGAACUAAUAAAAAUGUGUCCUAUAAUUGUAUUGUAAUCAAUAUUUUUUUGUCAAAAAUCAAGUACUUAAAAUACCAACAUAUAAUCAAAUCAUUAUUUAUUAUAAUUUCACAAUUGAAACCAAUAAAAACAAUCAAACAAAAGUUAUUUGAAUACAAUCCAACAACAUGAUGAGAUAAAUACAACUAGAGUAGUUAAGUUAUCACUUUUGAAUUUUAAGAAUCAUUCUAUCAAAACAUGCCAUUAGUCAUUAAGUCUUCAAUUUCCUUCUUUAAUUGCCAUUAAAAAUGUAAUAUAAAUGUAUUAGUAAAUUUAAUAUAACUAAUUAAUAAUUUUUAUUAGUAUAUAUGUAUAAUUAUUAAUGUUAUAUAUCCUAACAAUAUGUUUAUACCUAAUUAAAUUAUAUAUAUGUAUAGGAUUAAUCUUGUAUAUACUGUUAGUGUAUAUAUAAUCAUUGUUAGAUACAUGACACAUGCUCAAAAUUUGAAUUUGAAAUUAAAAUUUUGAUCAUAUGUCGUCCAUCUAAUGAUGAUAGUGUAUAUACUGACAGUAUAUAUAAGAUUUACUCAUAUAUAUAUACACACACGCGCACGCACACAUAUACAUCUAUAAAUCUAGACCUUUUUGGCAAGCAAGGUUUUUUGUCAAGUUUGUUUGUUACAAGUUUUUUAACAACUUUAGUUACAGUAAUCUCAAAAAUUUUAAACUAUAUACUUCAAAAUAUCCAAAUAUUUACACAUUUCAAAAAUUUUUUUACAACUUCUACAGUAAGUUACAGUAAAGUUUGGAUAAAAUCCAAAAAACUCACUUACCAAAUAGGACCCUAAUUUUUCUAAUGGAUGGUAGGGCAGGGAUGGAGUAAGGGUAUAUUCCCCCCCUCCCCGGCCUUGUUUUUUAACCGAGAGGAAAAAUCCGCCCCUUCCCGCCCCACCUCCCGCGCCCCUAUUAGCCCUCUGCGGGACAGGUGCCCGCAAUUGCCAUCCCUAAGCAUGCUUACUUUAUUUUUAUUUAUUGUAUUCUUUGUCUAGAUUGUUUGUUUGCAACUUAGGGCAGAUAAGUCUGUAAUUUCGUUUUGCUCUUUGCAAUUAUUAUAUUUGUUAGGAAAAUUUGUUCAAAAAGUCUUUCACAUUUUUGUAAAUGAAUUUUUUCUUCAUUCACUUUUAAAAUGUCAUUUUUAUAUCCCUUACAAAUUCAAGUUAGCAAUAUAUAUUCCCAACCUAAGUUUUUUACCACUAUUUCCCCUAAAAUCAUCAUGUGAUUUACAUGCAAUUAUCUUUCAUAUGCAAAAAAGUUAGAUUCCACUGCUUUAAUGGAAAAAAUAAGUAUGAAUUGGGUCCAAACUCACCUUUUAGGAAAAAUAAAUAUAAUUCGAUUAGAUCUUACUUUUUUAAAGCAAAAAUGAAUAUAAAUCGGGUUAUUUAUUUAAAUACAAAUAGGAUAUAGUAACAUUUUUAUCCUUAAAAAAAUGACUAUGGCCCUGUUUGGAAACUUGGUUUUUUACCAAAUUUGUAUAAAACUAGUUUUUUAACAACUUUUGCUACUGGAACCCCAAAAAACUUAUCAAAAAUUUUAACCUACACACUUAAAAUAUCCAAAACACAAAAAAAAAAAAAAAAUUCGCUUCCCCUUUUUUUCUUCUUCCUCCCCCACCACCACCUCCAUUGCCAGCUCCAUCACCAAUUUCCGGUGCCGGUCUUUUUUUUUCCCUCUCCCCCUCUUCCUCCCCUGCCAUCAUCCUCUCUUGUCUUUUUUUUUCUCUCUACAUCCGGCGCAGAGAGGGUGGUGCAGAGAGAGGCGGCGGGGGGGGCAGAGGAGGGAGGGGAAGGCGGUAGGGAGGGGGAAGCGGGAGGUGGAGUUGCAGCUGGGGGUAGCGGAGGUAACGGGGAAGAAGAAGAAGAAGAAGAAGAAGAAGAAAAAGAAGAAGAAAAGGAGAGGAAAGAAAAGAAAAAGGAAAGAAAGAAAAAGAAAAAGAAAAAGAAAGGGAAAGAGAAAAAAAAAGUUUUUCAUCUUACAAAAACUUCUACAAAAUUUUUCACCUUACAAAAAUUUCUACAAAAUUUUUUUAAAAACUUCUACAGUGCACUACAGUAAAGUUUUAGACAAACUCCCAAAAAAUUCAGGUUCCAAACAGGCCCUAUGUGUGGAUCAUGUGAUGAAUUUAGAGUAAAAAGUGAGUGAAAAUCUAAGGUGGGACUAAAUUUAAUCAACUUGAGUUUAUAAGGAACAUAAAGUUACCAUUUUAAAAGUAAAAAUGAAAAAAUUCAUUUGGCGUAAUGUGAUAGAUAUUUUGAAUGAUUUUUCCUAUUUGUUAUACUAUUUGGUAUAGAAUCACAAUUAUUUGUUGUAUUUGUGAACAAAAUAUAUAUAUAAUAUAAUGUGAUUAUAAAUUAAAGAUUAUAACAAAUGCAACAACAGCAGAGGAUUGAAUAUAACAUAACUGCUCCAGCCUCCAAGUUCGUUUAUUUGUAUCAGAUUGCAAUACCUUUACUGUAUCAAUGCCAGACAAGUUUUUUAGUAGGACCCAAAAAAAAAAAAUCUAGUCCCAAGUUGUAACAGAUCAUACAACACUUGUUAAUAUUAAUAAAAAAUCAGUGGCCAAGAGAGAGUAAACAGACCUACAUUUUUAUACUUUCAAUUCAAUAACAAUUAAUAAUUCCACCCAAAAAUAAUAUAUAUAAAUCAAAUCUGCAAAUCAAAAUAUCUGUUACACUUGUAUUAUUUAAGUCAAUUAAUCUAAUCCCUCCAAUAUUUAAUCCGAAAAAAAAAAUCCAAAUAUGAGUAUAUCAGUAUAUCCCAAACAAGGAUAAAUUACAUAUAACCCCUAUGGAUUCAUUUAUUGUCACACGACUUCAUAAUAUUUUAAAAUAUCCAUUUCACCCCCUAUAAUUUUUAUGUAAAGUGAAAAUUUGAUGAAAAAUAGCCUAUGAAAGGUUGUUAGGUGAAAUACCAAUAGCGCCCUUUUUAAAUGUCAAAUCAAUCAAUGGCUUAACCACCAUAUAUAAAACAUAGGUGAAAUUAUGUAGAUAUAUGCAAAAAUUAAAGAGAGAUUAAGUGAAUAUUUAUACAAUCAAUAAGAGAGUUAUAUGAUAUUAGCAUUUUAUCACAUGUGUUUUUAAAGUGCAUUUAGUAUAAAUAUCGUAACUGAUUAUACAUUCCAUCUAUGUUCUACUCUAUAUAUAUAAUCACAAAAGGAUUAUGUGAUUAUUUCAAAACUUUAAAGAGAUCAUUUGACAUUAUGUAAAACUAUAGGGGGUAAUGAGUACUUAUCCCAAAAAAAACACACACACACACAACACAAAAGAAGAAAAGCGCUGAUAAUGCCUUCCUUCCUUCAGUUAACACUCACGAAGGUUGCCAAGUCAACAUUUCGUUCGGUUAGGGGCAGCUUCUUCUUCAACCUCCCUUCCCUCCUCCUACCCCACUAGCCCCGCCGGACCAAGCCGAUAGGCGAAGACCAGAAUUCUUUUUAAAUUCAAAAUAAACAAAAAAAAAAAGAUACAGAGAAAUAAGCAGAAGAACCUUAUCAUACUAGGUAGUUCUGAUUUCUCAAUCGCCCGACCAAAUGGCACGGGCAAGAUUUACUCCGGCGGUCAAGACAAUAAUUCUGAUCCUCUUCUACGUCGUCGUAUUAAACUUCGGUGACGCAGUUUUCUCGCUUCAAAUUUCGCAGCUGGAUUUCAAUAAAACCUUUAUUUUUCCUAACUCCGGCGGUGAAGGUGGAACUGCCGACAAUACUCACCACACCACCAUGUUCCUCCCUCUUUUCCUCUCGCCUCCUCGGAUCAACCACUACUCCUCCUCUUACGAAGUUUCUGUCCAACAGUCCCGUCGCCACCUCCAGAGCCGCCGCCCGAAACGCUCGCAUGUCGCUUCACGAUGAUCUCUUACUCAACGGGUCGGUUCUUCGGCUUACUCUUCAAUUCAAUUCAGCUCCACUAUCUCGUUUGAGUUCUGAAUUUUAACACGGAUAAAUGAAAUCAGUGUUUGAUUUGGAGUUUUAUGAUGCAGUUAUUACACGACGCGGUUGUGGAUCGGAACGCCGCCGCAGGAAUUCGCUCUGAUAGUGGAUACGGGGAGUACUGUUACUUAUGUGCCUUGUUCCACUUGUGAACAGUGCGGCAAGCAUCAGGUGAGUUCAGCUAAGUUUCAGUUAAUUCACGUAGUCAAUCAGUUACGUUUGAAUAGAUGAGAAUGCCUUUUCAUUUUAUUUUAUUUUAUUUUAUUUUUCUGUUACAAUUGAAAGGUUUUGUGUGCUUGAGUAUUGGUUAAUCAUUCACUUUAUGUCAUUGAGACUUUUUCUUUUCUUUUCUUUUUGUGUUUUUUUUUAUUAACAUAUAGAUGGAGUCGUUCAGUUAUGAUGAAUUGGAGACAAUAGUUUAUAACGGUAUUUGGUAUCAAGUUGAGAUUUUUGUGUGACGUCUGAUGCAUCCGGUUGCAAUUACAGGCCAAAAAUAAACAAAAUAUCUUCUUGUUGAACGUAGUUUUGGCGUAGUGGUUGCCAGAGUAGGUGGCCAGGAAAUGCCAGAAUAUCAUGAUUGGCCAUUUACUUUGUGUUUGUUUGUGCUUGUGCAUCGAGAUUUGUUAUUUUGUGGUGUAUGAUUUCGUUUGCUUAUUUGGGGAAAUUGAGUGGAAUAUAUUGAGCUUUAAAAAUAUGGAUAUUGCAAUUAGAGUUGAUCGUUAUUGCUUUCUCUCUAUCUUCAUGACCAUUAGGACCGAGGUUUCAGCCAGAAUUGUCUACUAGCUAUCAAUCCUUGAAAUGCAACAUUGAGUGCAAGUGCGACAGUGAGAGAGAGAACUGUAUUUAUGAUAGGCAAUAUGCAGAAAUGAGUUCCAGCAGUGGGAUCCUUGGGGAGGAUAUCGUGUCCUUUGGUAACCUAAGUUCGUUUAGGCAUUUGGAAAUGAAUAUAGGGACCGGAAGUGAACAGGAACCUUCGUUGAAUCGAAUAUACAUGCUUCACAUUUGGAUAAAUUCGGCCUUCAAAGAAUCAAUGGCGCAAUCUGAGUUUUGAAGAUCGGGUCUAUCUAAGUUUUGAAUACAUAACCAUUGAAAAAUCAACUAGAAUUCAUAUAAUUGAGAAGGAUAAAGCAAAGUAUUCAAAAGUGAUAAAUCCAUCUGUUGAUAUUAAAAGGAAAAAGUUAAAAAAAAAAAAGAAUAAGUGAAAAUAUUAAUUGGCAACAUUAUCUUAAGUGAUCUUAUUUUGGGUAAAUUGUUAGCAAAAAGAAAAAAAAAAGUCAUAUUUAAUGUUGCUUGCUUUGGAUUUUACAUCUUUCUCUAUCUACGAUCAUAACUCAAAACUCAUGGUUUCCUGUACAAAAAAAGAAAAAAAUGAUAAUAGAACUUUUUCUUCUUACACGGCAGUCGUCUUUAAGCAUUGAGCAAAUUAAGUCAAUAGUCUUUUUGUGUUAUCCUUUUAAAACUUUGUUUGGGUUGUGAUCUUUUGGUGGAAUUUUUUUUAAUGUUUUUCGUGAAUAUUCUUUCUACACAAUUUCUAAUAAUCUUUUGUACCUCACGUAUAUCAUAUUAUAAAUAAGUGUUAUAGUAACUUUUCUCAAAAAACUCCCAAAAAAAUGCAACCGAAAUAGGAUAUUUCACCAUUUCAACCUUCCAUUUGUUUUCUAUCCUUCCCUUUGUUUUCUAUCCUUCCCCUUUUAGAGGAAUUCACAUAGUAGAAAUUACUUUUACAAAUUUAACCUAAAACAGCACAAGAUUAGAUUUCUCUCUUAUUCAAACGUCAAAAAUUAUGUUCAUUUAUCUUAAGCCCUUAUUUUAAUCCAAUGAUCUAAUCCUUUGAUAAUUGAAAGAAGUCUGCCUAACCAAAUCAGUCUUGUUUGUAUUGCCAUUUUUUUCUACAAAAUCUUUUCAAUUUUUGUGAACAUAUUUUUCAAUAAAAACUCUAAAAAAAACAAUCCAAAUGGAUUCUAAAACUAGUGUCGAACCGUCGAUGGGAUUAGACCAACUGGUAACGUUCAUUUAUAAAGACACCGACCAAACUUUUCCCGACCACAAAGGAAGUCGUCCUAAACUAUCAAACUUGACUAGAAUUCAAAAGCCACAAAUGCUGCAUCCAAUCUUAAAAAAAUGAUAACCCCACGUUCCUAUCACCAUCCUAUUCCCCCUUCCUCCUCCCAUCCUACCUGCCCACGCGGCCAAAACAAUCUAUAAAGGUCAGCUCAUGGCCUUCCUCAACCAUGUCAAACCCUCGCAGUUGAUGAACUUCCAUAAAAACAAUAACUUCCAUUAAUCUGCAAUAGCAAGAAAUGGCAAACAACGGCAGUGCAGAAAUGCAGGACUAUAACAAGUACCUCCCAAAGCGCAUAAUCCUGGUGCGCCAUGGGGAGAGCACGGCCAACACAGAUGACAAGAUAUAUGGCAUUACAGCAGAUCACAAAAUCCCAUUAUCCACGAAUGGGAUUGAGCAAGCCAGGCAAGCUGGUAGAAGCAUAUUGGAUGUGGUUUCUGAGCAGGGAAAUUCGCAGAAUUGGAAGGCCUACUUUUAUGUGUCUCCUUACGAACGUACCAGAUCAACUCUCAGGGAGAUUGGCCGGGCAUUUCCAAGAAACAGAGUCAGGGGAGUCAGAGAGGAGUGCAGGAUCAGAGAGCAAGAUUUUGGGAACUUCCAAGAUUAUGAGAAAAUGAAGGAGCUCAAGCAGAUCAGGAAUAGAUAUGGAAGGUUCUUCUAUCGGUUUCCUGAAGGAGAAUCUGGGGCUGAUGUCUAUGAUCGCGUUUCCAGUAUGUACCAUUAAGCUCUCUUAGAUAAAUUUUAUCUUUUUCAGUAUGCCGAGUAAAUGAGGAGUUGAUUUAGUACAACUUUUGCAGGCUUUCUUGAAUCUCUAUGGAGGGACAUAUACAUGAGGAGACUAACUCAUGAUCCUGCUGAUGAGCUGAAUCUAGUGAUUGUAUCCCAUGGAUUAGCUGUUCGCAUUUUUCUGAUGAAGUGGUUCAAGUGGACAGUCGAGCAAUUCGAGUCUCUCAAGAGUCCCAAAAAUUGCGAGUUUCGAGUUAUGGAAUUAGGGGCAAGUGGAGAGUACAGCUUAGCGAUCCAACAUGAUGAUGAAACGCUCAAAAGAUGGGGGUUCUCUCCUGAAAUGAUAGAGGACCAAAAAUUGAGGGCCAAUUACAGGGAUACUUGGAAUGACAGGAGUCCGUGGUACCUCAAUACUUUCUUUGAGUUAGCUGAUUCUGAUCAUGAAACUGCUAAGAAAGAUGGCCAUGAAGAUGGUCAGAACAAGUGAUUGUUUGCAUAUUUGUGAUUUUCCCAACUGAGAUUUUAUUGUAAGCUCUUCUGAUUCUGAUCAAAUGUAACCAAAACAAGUUACUUGAAUGAAAAUUUUUAAUUAACCACUGACACACAAAAUUUUCUCGCUUUCACCGGUCCAAAGCUUGGCUCAAUGAUAGAAAGGGCUAUUUCUUUUAUUCGAAAGGAUUCAUUGAAAUAAAAAAUAACGAGUCACCAUUGAUAUCGAUACAUCUGAGACCGCCAAAUGUUCGGGAGUUCCUCUAUUCAACCUUUUUCCUUCUUCUGCUGCAACGUUUGUCUACUAUCCUAAGUCUGUAUUUCUAUGUUGUCAAUUUUAGGGGGGUAAGAGCGAUGCUUGUAUGAAUUUAGACGCAAGUAAUCUUGCAAGCAAAAGUACUAUUUCUAGUUUUCCUUUUGAGUGUACUGUUAUCCUAAGCUUGUUUACUUUCAGGGUAAGGCAUCAUGAAAGUGCCCUUGGUAUGUUGAUGCUUUCGCCUUCCGUUGCUGGCAGGGAGGAAAAUUCUGAAAAGGAUGAUGAAAAGCAAAAGAGUUCUUGGAUUGCUUGUGAAAGGGAUGUAGAUUCUUUCUUAUUCAUCUUAUAUUCAUUUUUAGGGAGGCCAAACCUGACCUCAAAAAGAGCAAGAGCUAGAUUUCUUUCCUAUAUUCAUCUUAUAUUCUAGGAGCAAUUCAAAGGAAUCAGUGGUUUAAAAUGAACAAUUUUCCUUCAUAAUUGCAUAAUUCCAUUCUAAACUAAAUUCUAUUUGAGGAAGUUCACUCUUCGUUUGGAUUGAGGGAUUUAACAAAAAAUUCAAAAUCCUCUUAAAUCACUCUAAUUGUUUAGAUUAUUUAAAAAGGUAUUUGAAUUUCUGAAUCGCAAAUUAUUAUAAUGUUAAAAAUGUACUUUGAUAAUUGGUGAAUUAUAAAUUUAAAUGUUUUUUAAAUCAUCUAAACAACUAUAACGAUUUGAGUGUACUUCAAAUCCUUCGUCAAAUUCUUCAAUCCAAAUGAUGCUUUUAAUAGAAUUUUAUUCCUCAAUAAAACAUCAAAGUCAGAUACUACGGAAAACCUCAAAAGUUAUAUAUUUAGGCAUUAGUGUCUCAAGAUAUCACAUCAUAAUUAAUAGUAAUUAGAGUAUAUGGCAAAGGUAUUGUUGGAAAAUACCUAAAUCACUAAAUUACCAAAUCAUAUUGGUGAUUCACUCAAUCUAUCUUUCUUUUCUGUCAUUUCUUUUUAUUUUUUUCCCUUUUUCUUCGUUUCUCCACAGUUCGCGCCUAUUUCUUCCAUGUAAAAUUAAUUUACAGAAAUUUUGUUUUCCCAUUCAUGUUUAGUUUAUAAAUUACCCCGCUAAAUUUUUUUUCUUGUUCUUCACCAAUGCUAGUAUCUAUUUUUUAAAACUCUAUUCAGGAUGGAGAUUUACAUCCGGAAGUUUAUUUUCCAAAAUGAAAUUUAAAGGCUAGUAUUAAAUGAAUAAUAGCAAAAAAUAGAAAAGGGCCUUGGGAACAUAAUGUCGUCAUUAAUGGGUCACUUAUUCUGUUAAUGCUAAUAUAGAAUUAGAUAGGUGUCAGCAAUAUCCACCUUGGGGUGUGUCUUUUGAAAUCAGUUAACAUCAUGGAAAAGGAAAUCAAAAUAUGAGUAUUAGGGUUUUGAACUGAAUUUAGCUGUGUCUACGUUCUUUGUAUAACUAUCUUAUGUAUUCGAAUAUCCAUCCACUGACAUAGUGAUACGCAACUUGUUUAAUGUAAUGUUAUGUAGUGAGACAUUGAAUUUAUAAAAGUUUCUAAUCAACUUGGCAAGAAUUUAUACAAGUUUAAGAAAGUUGAUAUACAUGAAAUUAGUCAAGAAUUUUAAGAAUAUGGGCUAACUAAUGCCUGGUCAUUAAAUUUUAACGAAAUUUUUUUUUCAAGCAAAUUAACUUAUAACCUAUAAUCUUUCCAAAUCAAUUUCUAUUCCAUAAGGGAUUCUACUUCUAAAACAAAACUUAAAAGUUGGUAGUACGUAAAAAGCUCCAAUAAUACGUGGAAUUACAUUUGUGUUUGGAAAUAGAGUAAAGUCGUUAAUAUUAGUAAUAAGGGCAUUUUAGGAAAGAAAAACUAAAUUACUAAAUUAUAUUGGCUUUUUUUUAAAAAAAAAAUUAGUAUAAAUGGGAGGGUUCGAAUUUAAAAUAUUUCACUUACACUCCUUUCCCACGGCCAUCUAAUUCAUCCCCACCUAUCCCCACCCCUCAAGUGCUUUUGAUAUGUAUAGUGUAUAGAGAUAAAAUUUGUUUAGAAUACUAUCUAGCACGUAGUUUCGAAGAACAAAUUGAUAAGCGAUCCCCUCCUUGUCCUCUCUCAAGAGGCUUAUAUCUACCCUUUCACCGGUUCUAGCUAUUCUUUGAUUUGAAACACAGUCUAAACGCCCGUGCUACACACAGUAGAUCAUAUUUUUGGAAGAAAUUAUAAUUGAGGGAGGAAUUUAAAAAAGAGUAAGAAAUGUAUGUAAUUGUUCAUAUAAUUUAGGACACAUGAAAGUAUAGUUAAAAAAUGAGAUUUUGUAGUAAUAGUUCAAUAUAUGAUAAGAACAUUCCCAUUAUUUAUAAACUACCACAUUGAUGGAAAUUGGAUCCUAAAAAAAAUUAAAAAUCUAUAUCAUAAAUUGAGCGACAUAAGGGUUCAAUUAAAUGUAACUGAAUAUUUAAUUUGAUAAGUAAAUGAAAUACUUACAAAUAUUUAGGCUUUGAUUUGAUAAUCUUCUAUGAAGGUGGGAACAUUUUUCACACCAACCAACUCUGAGCAUGAAUGCCAAUAUUGGGAGUUUAAUUUAUUCUGUUGAAUUUUGUGGAGUUCGUACUAUAAAUAGGAAUGCACAAUUUUUGCAUGAAUUAAUGUGUUGGUCGAACAAUGUACCUCCAUUUUUCUAACAAUUAAGAGCAUACGAAGUUCAGAAUUAUCAUUUGUUUUAGAAAGUUUAUAAAUAAUAUUGCAUAAAAAUUUAUAUGUAAAAAUAAUUUAUACCUUCCCUUUUAAAUCUCUAAGAUAAGAAGCAUCAGAAUGAAAUAUAAAUCGUGCAUGUCUGUCUUGAAGAGCAAGGUAUAAGUUACCACUAGAAUUUUUAACUUGUAUGUUAACAUUGUAUCUGUUAAGAAAAAAUUUUGAUAUACGAUAAAAAAAAAUUAAAAUUAAAGAUAUAUGAAAAUAAUUACCUGAUAAUAGUGUCGACUACGUCAUUACAAUGAAUGCACACUAUUUUGAAAAAUGACAUUGCCAUGGUUGUUCGCAAUUUUUGCAUAACUCAUGAAACAUAUUGUCUAUGCUAAUGCUUUGAAUGUAAGUAAGUAUCCGAAAAUAUUUAAUCUAAAACCAUUCAAAAAACAUAUAGAUUACAAUUAUUAAUUCAAAAUAAUAUGUAGAUAAGUGUUCAUUAAUUAAUUAAUUGAGAGAAUUUUUACCGUAGGUGUCACUGCAAAAUGUUUCCUCCUUUGCAAUAUGGUGAGUUUGAAAUUUAGGCAUUGGUGAAAUGUUUGUAGGCGGGCAUGUUUCAUGGUGAAAUUAAGUUGAGGGCUAAAAUCGAUACCAGAAGGAAGUUGAAAGAGAUUGAUACCAAAAGGAUGUUGAAAGAGAUGGUAAUUUGUGAUUUUUGAUGAAAUUAUGUUGUUAUCUCUUAUUCUUGGGUUGGAGGAAUUUUAAUUGGAGUGGAAUUGUUAGUUCGAAAAGUGUUAAUUGAAGUGGGAAGGUAUGUGAAGGGAGGAGUUUUAGUUUGAGUAGAAUUCUUAUUUGAUGAAAAUGUAGUCGUGUGACAUGAUGUAUUUUACGAAAUAAAUUAAGUGUAAAAUGCUAAAAAAAAUGGAAUUGAGGGUGGGAUGGUGUGUGGAGGUUUAUUGUUAAAAAUUCCUUCUCUAAUUUAGGGAAAAUCGUUCAAAACGUCCCUCACAUUUUACAAGAUGACUUUUUUCGUCCCUCACUUUUAAAAGUGUAAUUUUACGUCCCUUACAAAUUCAUAUUGACCAAAUUUAGUUCCUACCUAGGUUUCUGACUAGUUUUUGGCUAGAAUCCACCAUGUGACUUGCAUGUGAUCAUUUUUUAAGGGCAAAAUUGUCAAAUCAAAUUUUUACAUAAUCUGAUUCAUAGUCCCUCACAUUUCACAAAAUGAAUUUUUUCAUCCCUAACAUUUUACAAAAUGAGUUGUUUCGUUCCUCACAUUUGAAAAAAUGAAUUUUUCCAUCCCUCAUAUUUUUCAAAAUGAAUUUUUUCAUCCGUCAUUGAUCAUGUAUACGAAUAGCUUUUUUUCUAUAAAUCCACGUAUAUGUCUAUUUGAUUUUACCUGAACAGUAUAAAUAACAUGUAAUUUAUCUCUAUUGGAUUUCAUCUAAACAUGUUAAUCGUAGUUAUACACAUGUUAUAUAGGGGUUUAAAACUAAUAAUUUUGUUUGAAACCGAUGUAUAUAUUUAUAUGAUUUUACCAUUUAAACCUAUUCAAUAUUUGUGACAUUUUUCUUUUGGUAAUAAUUUAUUUAUUGAGUUGUAUCAUAAGAUCAUCUAAUUAAUGCGUCCUAACUCGAAUUCUAUAAUUGUGCUAACAAAUUUCAGUUUAAAUCUGAAAUUUCUACUCGAUACUUUUAAAACUAACUGUUGAAUUAUUUGCCUUGUGAUUUUGUUAAAAUUUGAAAGUGCGAAUCACUUAUUUCUUUUUGCCAUACUUUUCUUUUGUUUACUUUUUCUAUCCAAAUUUAAUUCGAUAUAAACAAUCGAUAAUAUUUAGGAUUAAAUGCCUUCUUUAUUUUCAAAUUUUGAGUAAAAGAAAAUGAAUAUACGUGAAAAAUUAAUAAUUUUUUUAAACCGAUGUUUGUAUCUAUUUGAUUUCACCUGAACAGUACAAAUAGCAUGUGAAAUCAAAUAGAGAUAUAUUACACACUAUUCGUAUUGCUCAAGUGAAAUCAAAUAAAUAAAUAUAUAUUUAAAAAAAUUAUUCACACACAUGAUCAAUAAAAGAUAAAAAAAAAUUCAUUUUGAAAAAUGUGAAGGAUGAAAAAAUUCAUUUUGUGAAAUGUAAGAGAUGAAAAAAUUUAUUUUAUGAAAUGUAAGAGAUUAUGAAUCGAAUUAUAUAAAAUUUGAUAUGACAAAUUUGCCAUUAAAAUAUGAUUACGUGCAAGACACGUGGUGAAUUCUGACAAAAAACUAGUCAGAAACCUAAGUAGGGACCAAAUUUGACCAAUGUGAAUUUGUAAGGGACGUAAAAUUACAUUUUUAAAAGUGAGGGAUAAAAAAAGUUAUUUUACAAAAUGUGAGGGACGUUUUGAACGAUUUUCCCUCUAAUUUAUAUAGAUAUAGGAGCACUUCCUCUCUUUAGGGAGAAACCGCCUGUCCAAUCUUUAUUCUCCUUGUCUAUAGACCUUCCUUGUAUAUGCAAUUAAUUCCUCGAUCCAUUAAUGUGCAAGAGGAAGCGAUACAAUAUAAUUUCAGUAGUAAUAUUCCAUUAAUGUGCAAAAGAAAGCUUGAUGAACAAGCGCAAAAAGCCCAUAUAUUCUAUUUUCUAUUUUUUAAAGAAUUUUUUCUUCUCUUGACUCGCGCACUUGCCUUUGUGCUAAUUCAAGAGUUAGGAUGCGUUUGAUAAAACUGAAAUUUGAAAAUUAAAAUUUAAAAUUUAAAAUCUGAAUGCAUUAAAUUAUUGAAUUAUUAAAUAUUAAAUUAAAUACAUUUGAGUGUAUAUCACAUUCGAUGAUAAGUGAAUAAUUUAUUACUUAUUUUUUGGAGCAAAUUUUGUUUAGAAAAUUCAGUACCACUUAAUUAAUUUAGAUGCUCAAUUUUUUAUUAUCAAACGUGUCUGAACAUAAAGCCAUAUGACUUUGUUUGGAUCUCAAAUUUUUUCAAAUAAUAUUUCAUUUGCCUCAUUAACACAUUUCCCAAUACACCUUUUAAUAUUUUCAAUUACCAUUUUAUCUCACAUAUAUCACAUCACAAAAAGUGCUACAGUAAUUAUUUCAAAUAAUACUUUAUCCAAACAAAUAAUAUGAUUUGAAUAUAUUAAAUUUAAAUGCUGAAUUGAGUUAUCAAACAGACCUCACAGAAGGAAGUCCUUUCUCUAUAGCUAUUUAGUAAAUUCCUAAAGCACUUGCUUUAUAUUUAAUAAUGAGUCCUUGCUUGAUCCAACAAGGGCACUUCAGUAAACGACUUCCAGCUAAGGUAAGAAACAUCGUGUUGCGGUUUCUCCACUUUGUUACGUUCUCAUGAACUGAACUUGGUUGACUUACCUUGCACAAAGCGAAUAGACACUGUGCUGUGGAUCUGUUUCGGUGAGGGAAAGCUGAAGAAAGACUAGAAGAAUGAUUCAUUUGGAUCGACGAGCUUUUUCAACCCAAAAGCUAGAUAUCAAUGGAAUGUCCGUCUACUCGUAAAACAUCUAAUUAAUCUACAACUAAUCUAUCAGUUUUAGGGGAUCUCUCUGUACAUAUACAAGUUUGUUCGUUAUGGCAUAAUACCGUCGCCUAGUCGUAGCCACAUAUUAGCAGCACUCAAUCUGCAGGAUGGAAGUUUUGUUGGAUUAGAUCUUUGGUUUGGACCUAACAAAAAGGACUCUAGGCCUUCAGGCAAACAAGCUAGUAUGAGAGAAGCAAGCAAAACAGAAGUAGAAGCAUCUUGCUCAAUAGGAAUAGGUGUAGCUUAGAGUUAGUGUUUGUGUAAUUUAUACUCAAGCACACAAUAGUGCAGAAAUUUGUAUUACACCAAUUUCACUUAGAAAGUGGGGAUGAAAUGAUGAUCUUAUUGUUAAGGUGUUAUUUGCCCCCGUUGCACAAAGUAUUUGCUAUAGGGCUAUGGCAAAUUACCUUUAGAAUACAACAAGAUUUUUGAGAAACUUGAUAGCAAAUGUCAAGUUUAUUCUACAAGGAGAUGAUCGAGAUUCUAAUUAGUUUAUGCAUUAGAGACUUGCCAUUUUUAUAAUGAAAAGACAACCUAAGGGUUACAAGUUAUUCAGCCAUUAUUUCACAUAUUUAUGGACAUUCAUGAACAUUAAAAGGUACCAUUAAACCCCUUCGAUGGAUAGAGAACGUCAAAAACAUUUUAGAAACCUUUGAUUUCCAACCGGACUCUUUUAAGUUUCCAAAUUCUUUGUCGUAGCAAGUCUCAUUUCUAUUUCAUUCACAAUCUAUUCCAACAGUUAGAGUUUAGCAAGGGGUAAGAUGAGGAAAGUGGUUGCCAGAGAGGACGCCGAAGUGGCCUAUUAAGCAUAAGCGUAGUAGCGUCACUAAGCAAGGGCAGGUCCCUUCACUGUCCUCAUUCAAAUCAAAUUUGGGAUUGAAUCUAGCUUGUUCAGUGAAGCGAAUAAUGGUAAUUUACUAGUACUUUAGAAAAUAGAUCCUUAGUAACCCCGCUAAAUGUUGAUUCAACAUAAAUUCUACAUCUUGAAACCAAGUGAAUUUCGGAGCUACUUUAUGAUAAUGAGAACAAACAGCAAAAAAGCAUUACCGCUGCAAAGAUCAAUAUUCCAAUUGCAUACCAUAGAGUUGUAAUCCACUAGUUAUUCCAAAUGCUCUUCAGUAUUUCUUGGCCCACCGUUGGCCAAACCACCUGGGCAGCAGCCCCCAUGGUAAAGUUAAAGAGAGAAAAAGAACUCUCCUGUAGUUAUUGACAUUGCAUAUAUGGAUGGGUGCCUUACUGCCUUCCUUGCUUCGACUUGAAUGAAAUCAUUUAUCUCUACCUUGCAUAUAAAAAAAAAAAGCCAAGUUACUGUAGCUAACCAUCUUUUUGACACAUGUAUUGUAUAUAUUUUUGACAAGUGGACCUUUGGUUAUUUUACCUAAAUUUUUUCUUUCCUUUUUUGAUUCAAUUGGGCUAAAGAAUUAAAAUAUUUUUUCUCCUUGAGAAAAUCAACUCCAUCUCUUCCUUUUCUUCUUGCAGUAACUACUGUCAUCCCUCACCUUUUUUAUUUUUUAUUUUUUAAAACUAAUCUAACUAAGAUUGUUGCCAUGUUCUUUUUUUUUGUCAAUAUGAUAACUACUUAGCAAAAAGAAUUCUUUAUUAUUUUUUAUCCCAUUUUACAUUUUCUUUUCUUCCUUUUUUCUUCAUCUCUAAUCUCACAUGUUUGCUCUAUUUUUUUUUAUCAUAAUGUUAUAGCCAACUAGCAUUCGUUUGUUAAAUUUAUAGGAUGAUGUUUUAUUUAGUAGUUCUUCAUGGAUAAAAGGUGAAAUUUUAAAAUAUGUAAAAAAAAAAUUUAGAAUUCAUUUUAUACCAAUGAUCAUUUUCUAUGAAUAAUAGAACAAAAAUUCAUUCUUUUAUUUUCUUCUCCUAUGAUUUGAUUUCUUACUUCACAUUUUGACUUCUUACUUCACAUUUUGUUUCCUUUUCUUUGUUUUUUGGUUACAUUUUGUAAUUAUCUACAAUUUUGUGUAUUUGUUUAGGAGAAAAAUAUAUCAUGUGAUGUUUCCACCAAGAUAAAUCUAGCUAGACAUUCUUGUACCCCUGUUUUUCUCCAUUUCUUUCUUUUUGCAAUUACUUUAUGGCCUAUUAAAUUUAAUUGAAGGAUCCAAUAAGAUUUUGUAUAUAUUUAAACUAAAGUUCAUUUUUGUUUGUUUUUAAAUUACUCAAGUGUUGUAGUAUGAAUUGGAUUGGUAUACAAGGAUUGCAAUCGGUGGUGAAAGUCACAAUUGAGGCUUUCGGCCUAGAGUGCGACUUGACAAAAAAUUGUUAGAAAUUUCAAUUUUGAUUAGGAAGAUGUUUUUGCAAUAAAAAAAAUAGUUCAAUUCUAAUUUGUAUAUGUAGACCAGGAAAUAUGGCAAUUUAUAUUUUUAUCUAACCUUGCUAUUUAUAUUCAGGAGCUGCAGGAUAAUGUUGUCACUUUUAAGCAGAAUUUAAAUAGACGAACUGGAUUCUUCUAUCAAAAGAAAGAAAAAUAUGAAAGUUUAUAGUAAGCUAUAUUGAUGUUGAAAAUUGUGCCAUGUUUUAAUAGCUUCCUAAAUUUUUUCUCAUUAUUAAAGUACUAAAAGUAUUACGACUGCUUUUGAUUUAGUUUUAACUAAAACUAUACUACUAUUAAUACACCAAUGCACUUAUAGUGUAUUAAGUUUCUCUCCUUUUUGGGUAUCAUCAUAAUAGUGGUUCAAAAAUAUUUAUUUAAAUCACAAUAAAGAGAGAGGUUGACUUUAUAGAUGGAAUUUUCUUUUCACAACAAAUUUUGAGAGAAAUUUUAUUUAUACUCCAUAUUGUGUUAAUUGUGUUCCUACAAUAAACAAAAACUAUACAAUAAAAAUAAUAGCGAAAGUAUGAUUAACAAAAAUGAGAGUUCAAAUAAUAUUUGUCAAAUUUAAUUGCUUUAAUGCUCAAUUUUUCUCCUAUAUUUCUAUUAAUUCAUCAUGUGUCAAAAUAAUUUGAUGCUAUGCAUUCGACGGACAGUGGGCAUUUUGGUCAUUUUACACAGCGCGUAAUUUUGAUUGCACACGACGUAACUUUGUUUGCAUAACGUGUAACUUUAGUACAAAAAUUUACGGGCCCCACACACGUUGUGAAAAUUGAUAUACAACUUGUAAUUUGGACCGCACAAUUUUUUUGGCCAAAAUCUGGCCGUUGACUGUUCAGGUCCCUGCCCCUUGUCCGCAUUCGACUAAAUUUUUAGGGGGCCCAAACUGUGCUUUGCACAGUUCAAGUACCUCUAGUACCUGUUAUAUAAGAAGAAAGUGGAAUUAUUGUAGCAACCCCAAAGGUUGCCAAGUGGCUUCCUCUUCAUUUUGACAGAUGGCAUAUUUCUUUUCUUUUCUUCUUCUUGCUUUCUUUUUUAUUUUCACCUUAUUUCCUUUCUUCUUUUUUGCUAAAGAUAACUAAGCAAACUCUCAUCUACACUGCAAAUUCCUCAUUUAGUUCCUACUCUGUACUACUUUUCUUUUCUUCCCUUCAUCCUAAUUGUUUACGCUGCCAUUUUCUCUAUUGGAUUAGUUGAUGCAUUUUCUUUCAAUUUUGUCCACAAUUAACUAAAUGAAUGGUUUCAUUGUAGGAGACCAAGAAUGGGUUUAGUAUUUCCUUUCUUCCUUAGUCCAAUAAUCAUGAUUCAUGAUUUUCUAAUUUUACCAUGUCUCUUUGUAUAUGCUAUUUAAUUUUUUUUGGUCAUUUUUUGUGUUCUGAUCAGAAACCUUUGCUUAUUCCUUUUUUCGCCACUUCCUCCUUCAUGUGACUUUCUUUUCCCCCAUAAAAGAAGCAAGUUGAUGUUUGUAUGUGAUGCUAUAAAUACUUUUUUCCCCUAAAUCUAAAGAAACAUGUUUUUUCAGUUUUUUAAUUUUUAUUUAUUCUGAAAUAACUUUUUGGCCUUUUAUUUUUGGAAAAAAAAAAUCCUAAGGCUGACAAGAAAACGGGUAGUGAUUACAUGAAGAAUCUUUAGGCUGACAGUGAAAGAAUUGUAACUACUUCCCCUAUAAAAUAAUAAACUCCAUUAUACAUAUUCAUUCUAAUUCUAAUUUUUUAUUUAUUAAAACUGUUAUUUGAUGAUAGGGUGAUAGUGCUAGAGUGGAGGAGAAAGAAUAUGACAAAUGAAAGUUCAAGGUAAACGAUCAUUAGGAAGGAAAUGGGUGAGGCUUGUUGAAUUAAAAAGUAAUUAGAGUCUCUUAAUUUAUGGAUAGAUAAUUAUAUUUUGAUAUUUUGAUUUAUAUAAAGUUUCUUAAUAGUGAAAAGAGCUUAUUUACUAGAUAAGGUGGAUUAUGUGUAAAAUAAUUGUUGGGGCCAACAAUUUAGGAUGUGAAGAAAAUAUUUUGUAUCUUUUCAUUCAACAUUUUGAAUGACUAGCCUGUAUUCAUGAUAGCUAGUUUAUUUUCAUGAUUUUAAUUUUAGCAAAUGAUUGCCUAAGAAUAAAAGAAGUGUAAAAUUAGAUUUCAGAAUCUUUUGAUAAAUUGGUUCUAUAUGACUUUGUACUCUUAUCUUUUUUUAUUGUCCCUAAUGAUAGAUAAUGUAAUUAAAGUUUGAGGUGAUUGUUAGGUGUGGAACUGGACAUAUUAUUACUAUUUGACUAAAGGAGUUAGUAAUAUUUUGUCGAUUUAACUAGCUAAAAUGAUUGCAGUUGUGAAAGGAUUGCAUUUGGUGGAGGAAGUUAGCAUCGAGGUUUUCAGUCUAGAGUGUUAUUCAACAAAAUAUUAUUAGAAAAUUCUAUAUUGAUUAAGAAGACAUUUUUAUAAUCAAACAAAUUGUUGGAUUCAAACUUGUAUAUGUAGAUCUGGAAACAUGGCAAUUCAUGUUUUUUUAUUUAAAACUCUAUUUGUAUUUUAGAGGUGUUUGGUGAGAUAAUGUUCUCACCUAUUUAUAAUGCUAUUAGGCAUGAUUUUAAAUGGAUGGAUUAACUCACUUUUCUCUCAAAAAGAAAGAAAAAUAUGCAAGUUUGUAUGUUUUUAUUGAUGCUGAAGAUUGUGACAGAUCUCGGUGGCUUUCUAAGUUUUUUCUAAUUGUUAAAGUGCUAAAACAUUAUGAUUGCUUUUCGUUUAGUUACAACUAAAACUAUACUGCUAUUAAAUCAACAAUCCACUCACAAUGGCUUUCUCUUCUUUUUUGGUAUCAUUAUGUACACCUAAUAUUGGUUAAAAAAUCUUUGUUGAAAUCACAAUAACUUAGGGCUAAUUUCAUAGAUGAAAAUUUUCUUUACAACAAAUUUUAAUUGUUUUGAUAUUCAAUUUUUCUCUUAUAUUUCUAUUCAUUAUGUACCAAAAAGAUUUGUUACUAUAUAUUCAAUUAAGAUUCUAGGGGGCCCAGCUAUCCCUUGCACAGCCGAGGUACCUGUAGUUUGGAGAAGGUGAAAAUUGGUUCAUUCUCUCUUAAGUGAAUUGGGCUUGGGAGGUCUAGGAAAGAGUUGUUUUAAGACCUGAAGUAAAGAGGUCAAACCAGGUUAGAAACACCCUCAAGUUUUAAGGGGAAAAAAAAAGCAUUAAAUACGGUACUGGGGAUAGAAGCUCUGUUUUCAAACUCGGACCGGACCGGCCGGUCGAACCGGUUGAACCGGGAACCGGCCAGGUAGCCGGUCCGAGUCACAUUAGAAAACCGGAAAUUUAAAACCCGGUCAAAGCCGGUCAAAAACCGGGUUUGACCGGGUUUGACCGGGAAAAAACCGGUUUUUCCGGUUCAACAGUAUUUUUUUAAAAAAAAAAUUCAAACUUUUUAAUAUUAUGUUUUGACCCCCUAAAUUGUUAAAACUUAUUGAUAUACCUCAAAUAUUUGAUACUUUAUAAAUAUUGUCCUAAAAUUUGAUGUUAUUUUUCAAUUAAAUUCAUAAUUUUAAUUCUAAACUUGUUAAUAUUUAUUAAAUAAUAUAAAUUGCUACUUGAUUGUUCUAAUUUCUUUGUAUUUUUCUUGUUAAAUAUAUUGAAACAUCAAAUAUAUAUGAAUAUGCCUUUAUUAAUAUCAAUAUAUUAUUAGAUAUUAUAUAUAUAACAUUUUAAUUUUAAAAUAAUUUUUAUUUAUGACGUCAUCCGGUUCGACCCCUAUCGACCCCCGGUCGAACCCAUUGACCCCUGACCCCUGACCUCGGCCGAGUCGCUAUCCGGUCCGGUUCUGAAAACAUAGGAUAGAAGUGGAACACUUGACAGUAAGCAAUGGAGAUUGCCAGUGGUUUUGGUUUGGGGGGGGGUGGAGGUGUAUUUUGAAAAAAAUAUGAUGUUUCAUACAAAUACUUCCAUUUUUCUAAGACAAUUACAAUAAUCUACUAUUAAUUUUUGACAAACACUCAAAUAACACAUCAUUCAAAUAAAUAGACCCCAACAUAUUUUGGACAUGAAUGAUCCUAUUUCUAUCCCAAAGUUGUAAAAAGUAGAUGGAAUGGCUACAAGUAUAUCACUUUUUGCAAGUUUAAUAAUCAAUUUAGAGGAAAAAAAAUAGUUGAGUAACUAAAAGUAUAUAUAGGAUCUAAGUAGUUGGGAUAAAUUACUUAUUACCCCCUUAUAAUUUUACAUAAUAUCAGAUGAUCCCCCUGAAGUUUUAAAAUAGCCACAUAAUCCUUUUGUAGUUUUAUGUAAAGUGAAAAAUAGAUGGAAUGCACAAUCAAUUACAGCAUUUAUACUAAACACGCUUUUAAAGUGCGCGAGAUAAAAUCUGAAGAUCCAUGUAACCCUUUUAUAGUUUGUAUAAAUAUCCACUUUACUUCGCCAUGAUUUUCGCAUUUAUUCACGUAAUUUCCCUGUACUUUUACACAAGAUGGUUAAGCUAUCGAUUGAUUUAGUAUUUAAGUAAGGACACUAUUAGUAUUUCAACUAAUGACAUUAUAUAGACUAUUUUCCGUCAAAUUUCCACUUUAUAUAAAAUCAUAGAAGAUGAAAUGGUAUUUUGAAAUGUUAGGAGGAUCAUGUUGCAAUAGAUGAAAUCAUAGGGGGGGUUGUAUGUUAUUUAUCCAAGUAGUUGAGUAGCCGAUAACGUUUUUUUUUACCCUAUUUUCUAUGUUCAUUUCCCAAGGGUUGUUCAUCUACCCCGGCCUAGGGAAAAAAAGGGCUGCCAAAAUCUUUCUUGAUGAGGAAACUAUUAUAUCAUAAGUUUAACUCAAUGUAAAUAUAUGAUACUGUGUAAUCAAUACGUGAAUUCAGACCGAAGCUAUGUAAAAGCUGCGACGAAUCAAGAAUAGCUUCAUCAUAUGGCAAAAAAGUGUCAUUUAAUCAACUUGAAACUUUGAAACAUACAACUUAUAUCAAUUAUGAAAUGAAUCACAAUCUGCCAUGAUUUGUAGAAAUAUCUUUACAGUUCCAUUUUUCAAGAUAGGCCAAUCAUUAUCCCUGAACUGAGAGGAUUAUAGAAAUACAUCUAUACUAUGGCCAACACCAGCCAAAUCAGAAUUAUACCUCUCCUAUCCAAGCAAAUUAAGCAACCAUUGUCAUGUCUACCAUACUACAGAUGUCGGCAAUGGGCAUGCCCCAGAUUAGUGGAGAUGUCGAAUUUUAAUUUGCACUGAUCAGCACAAAGCAUUUAGGCAUUUCUUGUUCCACUUGUUAUAAGACUGUGCUUUUGCUUAAAAUAGCAAAAGCAACUUGAAUUGCAACUUUUGAAGGGAAGCCUUCAUGAGUACAUUAUCUUUAGUAUAAAAGUCAUUGGAAUUGCACAAAUCUAACUCAGAUUAUGAAAAUUAUAUUGCAAAAGUGGAAAUCGCAUUUAAAAUCUAAUCUAUAUUUUAAACAAACAUAAAAUAUAAAAAGAGGAGCUCACUGCACAAUACAAUUUAUAUCAUAAACUAAUAAUCAUUUAUUUAACCUUUUUUUUUAUAUAAACAUUUCAUAUAAUUUAUUGUUUAUAAGAUUUCUUUCUUUUUCAAUUUAUAAGUUAUAUUAAUGCUUAUUAAAUAUAAUAUAAUACUAUAUAAUGGUUUUGAGGACAAUUAAUUAAAGAAGACGAAAAAUUAACAUUCAAAAAAAAGAUUUGACCAAAUAUGAAAUAAUUUGACAAAAGCAUCAAUAUUUUGAAUGGUUUGUACAAUAUCAAUAUUUCUAGCUACUUCUUUUAAUUUUUUUCUUUUUCUCCACGAUGAACAAAUUAUGGUAAUAGCCCUGAAAUUGUUUGAUUGUUAAUUAGAUAUAUGAACAAUUUUUUAUUUUUCUUUUGGAAUUGGAUGACCUAAAUUUGCAUGGUAAACAAAAAUUAAUUAUUUGCUAACCACUAGGGUUGGCCCAAUGGCUAGAAGAAGGCUCUUAGGGUUUUCUCCGACAUCAAAUUCAAGGUUCGAAUUCUAUGCUUAGGGAUGAAAAGGGUGUGGGGAUGAGGGAGGGCAAUAAAUUAAAAUAAAAUAAAAUAGAAAAUACUUGUUUGCAUAAAUAUCAGUUGCACACUCUACCAUUAUUGUUUUUAUGUUACGUAAGUUGAAUUUGACAGAAUCUUGAUGAAAUUCCUCAAUAUGAAGUUAUAUGCACCAUUUUUUUUUUUUUAAAAAAAUGAUCAUGUACAUUCUUUGAAGUUGAACUCUUUGUAUUACUUUAUGUGUUAUUUCUAUUAAAAUGGGAGUAUAAAUGAUCCAUCACAUUUAAAUUUUUCUAUCUAACUAUUCAUUUUUUGAGAAUUGGAAUUUUAUUGGUAGAGUUAAUUGAGUUUUUUUUCUUUUAUUUUUUAGGCAGAAUCUAACAUAAACCACAAACAACAAUGAAUCUAUUAUCCUAAGAGCACUUUGUUUUGGUAUCAAUAGCAAUAUUUUUUAAAAUUUGAAAAUUUAAUUAGGUUGUGAUUGAUCAAGAAUUUUUAAUGAAAAUAAAAAAAUUAAAAGUAGAAUGCAAAGAGACACAUUGGUUUGGAGUGUUAUAUUUUGUUCAUAAUUGAAAUUUAAUAAAGGUUACAGUUUUUUUCUAACUACUAUAAUUAUUGCUAUUAUUAAAAUGCAAUAAAUCUAAUUAUUAGGGUGAAUGAUAUUUUAGACCAAUAGAUAACUAAAGACCAGAUCCUACUUAGGCCCUAUUUGAUAAUCCAAUUCAGCACUUAAAUCUAAUGGAUUCAAAUCUUAACAUAUUCAGACUGUUUGAUAAUAAAAAAUUGAACAUUUGAAUUAAUUAAGUAGCAUUGAAUUUUCUAGGUAAAACUUGCUUCCAAAAUUAAGUAAUAAGCUAUUCACUUAUUACUAAAUGUAAUAUGCACUCAAAUGUAUUAAAUUUAAUACUUACCAAUUUAAUAAUUUAAUGGAUUUAGAUUUCAGAUUUCACUUUCAGACUUCAGUUUUAUCAAACACACCCUUAACCUCUAAUGCUUAUUGUCAUCAAAUUGUUAUUUUCUUCUAAUACGACAUAAUGAAUUUUAAUCAUCAUAAAAAAAUAAAAAGAUUAUAAUAUGAGAUUUCAAUCAUCAAUUAAUAAAGGCAUAAUUGGACUAGCAAAAAACUAAGAUUACUUACAAUUGCAUUUUUAUGACACCUUUAUAAUUGAAAUAGUAGUACUCAAUUGGAGAAAAUAAAAUUCAAAACAUCAACCCAUUAUUAUCAUUAAUAGCAACCCCUCAAAACAAAAAAAAAAUUGAAAAUUAUUCAUAAAAUGACACAAAGUGUAUAGCAAAUGAAUCAAAAAGAUGAGAAUACCAUUCCAAUGAUACUGUAGUGCAAGACAAAAUUUUUACUGGCAGUGAUUGAAUAGUGCUACAUUUGUAUUGUUUUGUACAAACAAAGUCUAUCCGGCAAUCCAACAAGCCAUGCAAAAGCCACCUCCAAUGGGCAAAGAAAAGGAGAAAAAGAAAAGGUUAGCAUAUAUAAUACUCUAAUUUGUUAACCACCUUUCCUAUCUUGUGCAUAGAAACUAAUUGUGCUCAAAUUCUGCUUAAUUUAGCAAGUACGAUAGAUCUGCAGUAUCAUUGUUGGUGCUUGCAAAAUUCUAUUAGAAGACAUAUUUUGUUGCAAUUCAAAGAGAAAUGGAAUCUACCCAUAUUCUAUAGCGAGUAGUCCAUGUACACGUCCAAGUCUAUGAAUGUAUUAAUAUUUUUUUCACAAGGCUUGAAGUAGUCAUAACACAAAAUGAGACAUAGGCAGUCUUGAAUUGUCAAGAUGUUGAUAACGACCCACCAACACAUUCAACAGACGAAAGUAGUACUACCAUAACUUGUAAAUAGUUGGAUGCAAAAUGAGUCCUACAUACUCCAGAGAACUAAAAAAGUUGCAGCAUUUUAACUAUGAUGAAUCUGCAAAUGAGAAGUUCAGGACAACUUCUGUAGCCAAAAUUUGAUUUUAUAAUAGUUGAUAAUUAUAAAUUGAUUAUAAUAAACAAAUAUUAGUUAUGAAUAAACUAUUGGAUAAUAUUUUUAUAAACUAACAUAGUUUAUAAUAUUAUAAUAUAUUAUUACCAUAAAUAAACAAAUAUUAUUAGUUUAUGGUAAACUGCUAUACAAUUUAUUAUAAACUAGUAUUAUCAUAAAUUGUAUAUAAUACUUUAUAAAUAGAAAAUAAACUAUUUAAUAAUAUUAUAAACACCGUAAUAUUUUUGCUUUUAAUACAUUGUUUAUAACCAUAAACUGUUUAUAUAAUCUUAGUUGAAUAUAUUAGUUGUGUGUUUAAUAUCUUAUAUGAACAGUUUAUUAUACUGUUCUUAUUUUGUUUGUUUGUUUGUUUCAAUUAAACGUUAAUAUAAACGUUUUAUAAAUAGUGUUAAUAUAAACGUGUAUAAUAAUUUAUACUUAAUAUAUUUACCUUAUAUUGCAGUUUCAUUUUGAAAUAGGUCAAUAAAGUUACAAAAACUUGAAAAUAAGAACUACGGAAAUGCGUUUUCUUUUUAAAGUUUAGCGGUACCAAUUGAUAUUAUUAUAAAAUUGAGGGGAGGUUUCUGAAAUUCUCCCUUACAAUUAUGUGCAAACAAGCCACUUAGUUUCUUGACGUGGCAUAUAUGUGAUGUUUGUGCACAUGUAGAAGUCUUCUCCAGUAACAAAACUAAUCUUAUUCCAGUCCUCGUCCCAGUCAAUAACUUCUCCUUUUCAUCCCCUCCUCAACUCCGAUUUGCUGUUAGUUUUAGACCUGAUUCGUACAAAACAAACCCUGCAUUCGUACAAAACAAACCACAAGAUUUCUCAUGUCCUUGUUUGGUGACCAAACUUAAAACUUACGCAGGCAGUUGAUAUAAUAUGAGUUUUAGUGUAUUAUUAUAAGCCUUGGUGCAAUGGUUGAGUUUGAGUUGAAGUGGAAGUUUUGAUCAUUCAGGUAUUGAAGUGGAUUUUUAAUUAAAACAAUGGGUCGCUGUCCACUUUGUGAUUACUUAUAGGCUUUUGUGUUUUUUCGGUCCCUUUUGUCUAGAAGUUUAAAGAUUUGAUUACUCUCCUAUCUGCUUGUUUUUGCAGAGGAUAUUUAUGGCACACCCGUCAAACCACAGAGUGAGAAAUGGCGGAUUUUUGAGAUUCUUAUCGAUUCUUGUUGGCUUGAUAUUGGUUGUUUACGUCUGGAGACCGUCUCCAUCUUCUUCUGGACGGUCUCAUAAGCCUAAGAAGAAGUUUAAGGCUUUGGUUUCGUGUCCUGAAUGUUCUUGUGACUGCCCACAAUCGGAUUCAUUCACCCUGCCUUCAGGUUAGUUUUCUGAUUUUGCUUCUGCUUGAAUGAAUUAGGGGAUUGACUAGUUGAUCGCCUUUGUUCUUUCCUGUUUUCUCUGAUGUUCAUUAGUUAAAUAUGUCAAAAUGUAUCCUCUGCAUUGGUGCAUAUUGAGAAUUGAUUGUUAUUUGAAAUAUGUUUCGUUUUUACUCGUCACUAUUUGGAUGUGAAAUCACUGCGGCUGUCAUGGCUGUAUUCUUUGUUUCGUAGUAAGAUUAGAAUGCCAAGUUUCGGGUGAAUAAAGUGCCAUUUUUACCCGCAAAGAGAACCAGAGAAUAGGAUUAAUAGGUUUCGUAACCAGUGGGCUUAUCUUGAGUGAGAGGAUGCCAAGAUAUUGUUGGUGAAGGCAGUAAACUGAGAAUGAUAAGUCAGAUCCAUGUUGCGGAUUGUACUGACUUCUCCCAGGGAAGCUUCAUGAUCUAUGUUGAAGUUUUGAAGUGAAAGGCUUCCUCUUUGUAAUAUUUAGGUGUCUUGCUGUAAUAACUUUAGUAUUGAACUGCUGUGAUCCUUCUUUAAUUGAAUAUUUGCAGCUCCUUCUUUUGGUUUCUCUAUGCAUUCUUAUCUGUCCAUAAUGACUUCUCAUGUUCUUUUGUUUCAUCAAUUGCAGGUAUAUUUAACGUGUCAUCAUCAGGUAUGUUGAACCUUCCUCUUUGCUUAUCAUUAUGUUUCCCCGUUUGGCAAGUGAGUUUUUGUUGGUGUUUGUCUAAAACUUUACUGUCUAAAAAUCCUUGAUGAAGUUAUACAUCUUCCUGUUUUUCUUGAAGAACAAAAAUCCUUUAUACUUGAGUCUCAAUAGAAAAGAAGCAAACUGUAAAUUGAUAUGACAGAAGAAGAAUCUGAGAAGCGCAAUUUGUCAUUAUUUUCUGAAUCACAUUAUAACAAUUUCUGUUAAAGACAGACCUGUUAUAUCUCCAUGUCUUUAAAAAAUAGAACUAACCGGUAGUGGUAGUAGCAACCAAAUAUUGACUGUCAUGCCUCUCUCCCCCUCCCUCUCUGCAAUCUCCAUUGCAGAGAUACAGGCAAUGCUGUAGCUUAGACCAUAGUUGCAUUGAAAUGCAAUAUGAUUGGAAUCAACUUACGGGUUUUUUAAGUCUCUAACAGUAACAACUCAAACUUUUUUUCCCGAACUAACCACUGGUUUGUUUUGAUUGCAGGUUGUACCAGUGAAGAUCCAGAGAUGAAUGAGGAAUUGAAGAAGGAUACCAUAACUUUACUUUCAGAGGAGAUUAGCUUACAGCAAAAUGUAACACGGGAUAUCUUGGACCAUGCUUUGGAAUUAACAAUGGAUGCAAAGCAAAUGGCAUCAUUUCACCGAAGAGAAGCGCAGAAGUGCUAUGUACGUGUGGAUACUUGUGAGACUGCACGGGAAAGGGCUGAAGCAGCAUUACUGAAGGAGAGCAAAUUGACUCUGCUAUGGGAGGAACGAGCUCGUAACUUUGGCUGGAGAGACUAGAAGACAGUAUAGUUGGAAUCAACUCAUUAGAGCAUUUUUUUUGUGACUUACAUUAGAAAUUCAAUUGAUACGUUUAUGCACCAUUGCCUGUUAGCGAAACCUGUGAAUAUAGCUUCAGUUCUUUCACAUUUUAGGAUUUGAUAUCCAGUCAACCUGAGAGUUAUACUGCUGCUACAACGUAAUAUUCAUUAGCAUAUUCCUAGGUGCCUCCUGCUCUCUUUUCGUUGGGCAUAGUAACGAAUUUCAUUCAGGGCAGUAUGGAUUUUUUUUUUUUUUUUUUUAUUUAUUGUAGAUGGAUUGUUUGGCUGAGUCUUUUGUUGCCUGCUCUAUCGAUGAUAAUCUGUCGGAAAGAAAGUGAAAGAAGGUAAAAGUAGGCUUCUGAUUAUAAGAGAUUACUAACGGACUAUUCAACUGUGGUCCUUUAUUAUUCCUGCAAUGCACAUAGGGGUGUCAACGUGUCUGGUUUGGAUCCGGGUCCGACCCAGAUCCAAUAAAUUUUUCCGAAUUUAGUUUGAAAAAUAAUUCUGUUGAAAAAUAAUUCUGAUACCCAGACCACCUGUACCUGUAUCCGUUUACUCUAACGAAAAAAAUGGAUCGAAUAUGAAAUAUAGAAUUUCGACCCGUAUCCGAUCUGGACCCGAACAAUAUAUUAAUAAUUAUAAAAUAUAAAUAUUUUUAAACACACUCUUUUACCAAAUUAACAAUUUGGUAAUGAUUUUGUAGAUUAAUUUGUGGUUAAUUUUAGAUUGACUUUUGCGAGUUAUUUGUGAUUUAGCUUUAUAAUUUGAUCUGUUUAAGUUUGGAGUAAAUUUAUGAUUGGUUUUGAUUUUAAUUUUGAAAUGUUUAAAUUUGGAUCUUUUUUUUUCCGGGUAGACCCCACCUUGACUCGAGACCCAUCGGAUUCGAUUUCGAAACUCUAAGGUCAAGACUCAUUGAAUAUAUGACUUGGGUCUGAAUCUACUACAUAAAAGCGGUUCGGAUCCAAAAUUUUCAAUUCCGACUCGUUGACACCCCUAGAUGCACAUCCGACCAUUCUUUUCUUUCACAAAUGUUAGAGAAAACACACGCACACCUCUCACGCAAACGACGCAGAAGGCAUCGCUAAGAUCGGCCCCAAGGACAAUCUAAGGGGGAUUCAUAGAAAAAUUCCAUCCAGUCAAUUGGUGACAGAAAGGGCUCCCCAUGGACGUUAAACCUAGAGUAACUAUCCCACGAUCUUUCGAUGUGGGAUGGUGAACCCAACCCCCUCCCGUGCAAUCCUCGCCAGAAAUCUGGUUUUUGUCUUUCACAAAUGUUAGAGAUAACACACGCACACCUCUCACGCAAACAACGCAGAAGGCAUCACUAAGAUCGGCCCCAAGGACAAUCUAAGGAGGACUCACAGAGAAACCCCAUCCAGCCAAUUAGUGACAGGAAGGGCUCCCCGUGGACCUUAAGCACAUCUGACCAUUCAACAGAUGUAUUUUGUAAUCAUAUUACUGCAGGGUUUAACAUUUCAACCGCCCACCAUCAUGCAGAACACUACUCAAGUGUCAAAAUUUUUUUAAUCUUUACGAGUGUAAUAGUAGUAUCAUUAACAAUUAAAAAACUUGACUUGACACAUAGGCAAAACUUGACACUGCAUAAAAAUUUUCAAUAUCUUCUCAUAGUUCUCUAGAAAGGGCCAAAAAAUUUAUAAAUGCUUCACACACACACAAACACAAAAUGAUUCCAAUUGUCACCAUCCACAAUUUUAAAGAAAAAAGGUAAACAAGUUAGUAUCCAUCAUACCAGAUUUCCACCCUUUUCAGAGAUGAAGAAGAAAAGGUUAGAAUCUUCACUGAAAAGCAAGGGACUUUUGUCUUAAACAAUCAGAGAGAAAGUGUGACAAGCGGAAACAAGAUGGCCAUAAAGCUAAACAGAAUCUUCAUCUUUCUCCUUGCCUUCAUGUUUGAGUUAAAUCAACGAAAGCAAUACACCAGAACACGCUAGUACAAUAUUAAAUCACUGGCAGCUGAAGUAUACCAAGAUCUCUCUAGAGGGUCGGACUUUAUUAGAUCGCAACUAUACAUGUUUGGUAAGUGAAGUUACGAUACGAAAAAUUGGGAAGAUCAUAAAUCAAACCAAAUAUAUGCUAUCCAGAACUGCAAAACCGGCUGCAACCCCACCCUCAUUUGAGGAAGAGACCUUUGUGCGCAUCAAGUAACCGCAGUUGUCAUUCAUAAUCACCUUUGUUUUGUUCCUGCACGUUGAAGCCAAAAAAGCUGGUCAAUAAGGAGGGGCUAGAGAAUGAGCACCUACAAUUCUGAUUGGUGUACAGAAAUUACCUCAAAUAAGCGCCAUAAACCCCAAGUUCUGAUAUGGUUUGAUCUCUAUGAGAAACACCAUCUCGCAUAAGAAUGGCUGGAGAAACAGCAGGGAAAAUUCUUUGCAUAAGGAUGUAGGCUGCAUCUUCUUGGUUACCUGUCAUGUGCAACCUCAGUAGGGUCUCCUUCACAUCGUCACCGUAGAUGUUGUUUCCUGAAACGAAAUUGAUUCACAGUUAAUAACACAAAUCACUGUACUAGAGCUAAGGGUAGUGAUAAUAGUUAGAAAAAGAGACCUCCUCCUUCUCUUUGUGGUUUCAUCACAUAUAAUCCAGGUCUCUCAAUUGCAUCCUUGAUAAUUUGCAAGUCAUCUAGACUCCACAGCCCAGCAAAGCAUCUCCUUAGUUUGGAAAUGUCAUCUUUAUUCUCGAGAAACCUGUUUAGAACCAAGAAAUAGUUUGACCUCAGUUGGUAGAAGAGAGAAAUAGACUGUCUGUGUAAGAGUGCAAAGAAUAAUACUGAGUCCUCCGAGGCUUGACUCACUAAAUAAUACGGUUCAUCACAUUCCAUAUCAUUCCAUGUUCUUAGAGAGGUUAGAUAGUGCUUUUUUCUGAAUUAAAUUUAGAAGUGAUUUAAUUUCUCAAUGAAAUUUAAGGUUACAUAUUAGCUAAACAUGAAAAUGCCUCUUUUCGUGUGACGAUGACCAAGAGGCACUAAAGGGGUUUCCACUUUCUGGUUUACCACAAGAACGACUUGUGAUGUCAAAGGUGAUACCAGAAGUUUACAUUCACCUCCACCAGAAAGAAUGUUAAGAGCAAAGUAACGUUCUCCAAAAAUAACUGUAUCUCUCAUUUGUCUUAAUUGCAGUGCUUUUCCAGUAAAUUGCUCUCAAGCAACUAUUAACCAAAUUACCGACCCCAUCUUACAGCAACAUGACAUGUUUGAGAAGGUUUUAGUCUUACCUUUCAAGCACACCUGGUUUUGCAAGUUCUUGUUGGAUUUUCUUUGUUCCUGCCAGAUGAUAGGCAAUAGAAGGGCACUUGAUUGCGGAAGAUUGCUCCAUCAGUAGCCUAGCUCUCCAUUCCUAUCAUAAGAUGUACCGAAAAUAAAUCAAUAACAUCAACAAGCUACAUACAUAAAAUAAGACUUCUCAACGAGAGUAAGCAAUACAAUGAUACGAGCCGCGACCUCAAGUUCGUAAGAUGAAGUGUUUUAAAAAAAUAAAUAAACACCAAGUUGGAUGCAGAAUCAAGUAACACGUGAUAACCACAUCAAACACAACAAAUAUACAUAUAUAUAUCUGUGUGUGUGUGUGUGUGUGUGUGUCCCCUUAACAGCCAAACAUUUUCACAUUUGGACCAAUGUAUAUUGAGAUAAGCAAUAGUCGACGAAAACUCAUAGGGUAAAAAUAUCAGCAGCACAAGCAUGAAGCAUCUGUACUCACAAACUCUGAAGGAUAAUCAGUCGGUGCAUACCCAGCUCUGAAAUAGACGACUGCAACCGCUUCACCUCCUCUGCAAUGUCCAAGAAUUUGACUUUUUCAGACAAGAGCCACAAGUUGAUGUAACACUGAUAAUUGUACUUUUGUUCCUUAAGAUACAUACACAAGAAGUGUUCCAUCUGCCUGAAGCUCUCCUGUUGCAUCGAUUUCUGCUAAACUCUUCCUAAUAGUUGUUAUUUGAUAUGUGUCAACAAGUUAUGGAAACGCAUUCUAGGGUAACAUAUCAAUAUUCAGCUAUAACAACUUGCAUCUAUGGAUUUUAGGACAAAGUACCAACUAGAAGUAAAAUAGAUCUGAAAAUAACCUUGUCAUAAAUGAUAGAAUAGAAAAGGAUAUUGUUCCUUGAGUACUGCACAUAGCCAAUGUUGGUCAUACAUGUUGCGUUCUUCAGGUUGAACCACAACCAUAAUUACAGCCCUGUACAGAACUUUUAAGUUAGUCGCAGAUUGUGUGACCCAACAAUAGCAGCUUGAGAACAAUAACAAUAAAUUUAUUAAAACCAAACCUUGGGUUAUUAUAUUCAGUCCAAGCUUUGGCUAAAGCUUCAGCAAAUCCAUUUACAGCAUUAUUUCUGGGAACUCUUUCAGGAUCUAGUAACAGGUGUUCUCUAAAUUGAAGAAGUAACAAUCUGCGCACAGGAAGAAGGAUGAAAGAAUCUCAAUCUGGACUGCUAAAAUUAGCACACAAAGUUUUGUUUUCUUCAUAAUUAUUUUUAUCCCUUAAUCAUCUGUAUCUCUGGACAGACUUUUUCUUUUCACUUAAUUUCUCAUGAAUACACACACAUUGUGUGACAAUACAAGCCAGCUAGAACAUAGGCUCAUUUUAGGUAUAACCCCCCAAAUCAAGAGUAUUCAGCUAAAUAUUCAAGCAAAGACCUUCUUCUCCUUUAUUAGACUACUAUCACCAAACAUCAAAGUAAUGAGGGCUUCCACCCCCAAAUGAUUUAUAUGUGAACGAGGUUUCCUCAUCUAAUUAGUCAAUUGUUGUACUCAAUGUCCCCCAGGUACACCCUUUUUGCAUGUCCAUUAGCAAAUGCCAAUGUUUAAAUAAGUAAUGACCAUCAUAACACCUCAUGCAUUUUCUCUAAUAGAAAUAGAAUACAAGAAGAUGAUUAUGAGCUGAUUAUUUCAUUAAUAAUCAUAUUAGAAAAAUAUGCAUCCCAGCCAACAAUUUGAUAAAUGUCACUGAUGCAUAAAAAUCUUCAUUGCUGUAGCCUUAGAACAUUGCAAGAAGACAGCAAUUGUCAAACGAAUAAAAAUGAGUCAAGUUUGAUUUGUUAUAAAACUUUGGGUGGAGUGAAGGUUCCUUUCAUUAUAAAACUGAACUUGAUCACAUUUUGACAUUCACUAAAUCACGUGAGAUUUUCAUCAGCAAAUGUACUAGAAGAUUUCCUUUGUCAGUGCUAAAAAGUUAGUGAAACCAAUUGCAAAUAAACAUCCUACAACUGAAAAUUAAAGCUAUUUCACUUCCUUUGACAAUAGAGGAUAAGCAAAUAGAAAGACAUACAAAGCACUCCAUUGAUGUGCUUUCAACUAAUCAAAAAUGUAAAUACCUAAAACCUUCAGUGUAAACAAUUGCAGUGGCAUUUGCUGAGCAAUUUUGAAAUGCAAGAAUCAUUAAAAUCCAGAAUAACAUAAACACAGAGAGAGAAGGCAAGAACAAGUAACAAUUGAUAACCUGUGAAGCUCACUGACAAGACAACUCAGCCCGGGAAAAGAUGAUGAAAUUGUGUUAAGCUCUAUCUGAAGAAGUAAUUUGGUUUGUUCAUCUAACAUGUAAUCUGAGCGAUGCAAUCCCAAGCGUAUGUCCUGAAGAGCAGUUUCGGUAAAAGCUAGUAAAGAUGCUAACACCACAAAACAAAAUAUAGGAAAUCUACUUUUCUUUAUCAUUUUGCAUUGGUUAGUUUACAAAUAUCAGUUCCACUGAGAUGAAAUGAAGUAUACAGGUAACCAAAGAACUAUAUUCAAAAAGUAUUCCCUGCCCCUUCAAUGGCAGAUAAGAUAAUAAAAUUGCACAAGGGCACAACUCAGAACAGGUAAAUUUGAUCACAUGAAAACCCCCUCUUCCCCCUUUCCCUGUAAUAAAUCUGCACCCACAACCAUAGAUUAACAUCAAGUGGAGAACUAAAGGAUUUGAAACAGGGUGACCACUAAAAUGUGGAUCCCAAGUUAAGCAUCACAAAGCUAUAUUAAUGAGUAGCAGCAAAAAUCAGAGAGAACCAACCAGCAUAACAAGAGGAAGUGAAACAUCAAUUUCAUGCAAAGGAAUCUAAGUCAAAUGCUAUAAUCAGAAGCACCUCUUUCUUAUUGAUCUCUAACAUCUUGGAAUGAAUGUCCAAGAGUCUGGAUGUAAAUGUAUCUACUUUCUUUGUCCUGCAUUAUUGAAACAGAAGAGGAUAAUUAGUUUGACAAACACACACACACACAGAGAAAGGAAAUGUAAAGCAAAGAUGACCAACUAGAAAUACAGGAAACUAACAGCCUAAACAGCUACUUGUAACAGAUACAUAAGAAUGUUGUGAGCGGAGGAGAUUACCUAGAUAGCGACUCCUGCAAAAAAUUUCCAUCCAAACUCACACGAUCAACUAGUUCAUUAAAAAUAGGAGCUACUUCACAAGCUUGUUUCCAAUGACUUUCAGGGAAUGACAUAGGCAACAAGGCAAUUGGGGCAUGAACCAUUCCUACACCAGGCACUUUUCCUGAUCUCUGCAUUCAUUAAAAUACUACCAAACAUCAAAAUGUAGAACCAUAUGCAUCCAAUUCCAAGACUGUCCGUUGUAUUCAUCCUCCCCAGCAGUAACAAAGCAAAUAAGUGCUAUCCAAUGGAUAACUUUCUCGCACAUAAAUAAGUAUAAGGAUUGGAUAUCAACUUAAAAGACAUCUUAAACAGAAACGUUCAUUCAGAAUGCAUAAUUUUAAAUAUCACAUUAGUCAAAUGCAGACAUAAAUAAUAAACAAUUAGAACAAUCUAAAAGCUAUAAGAAAAGAAAAUUAGUAAACCAUAAAGAAAACAACCCUUGUUCAUUUGCAAUCUCAUCUUGUUGAUCAGAAUAAUAUGAAGAAACUAAAGCUACAAUAAUGCCCAAAAUAAAACAAGAAUCUUUUCAACAAUGACCUGUGAAUUUCUGUCACCAGCAACAAGGCCAUGAAGUGAACUCCAGACAAGAGCAUCAUAAGCAAUCUUUUGAACCAAUUCUUGGUCAAUACUAUGAGGAUCAAAACUGGGUUUUUGUAGAAAAUCAUUUCCUUUUUGGGUCUCCAUCUGUUCAACAACUCUGCCACACCUCAAAAAGAAAGGAGCUGAAGAUGGUGCUUUACCAAUGGUUUUUUGGGCUAGUUUCCUGAUAUGGGUUUGCAAGAAUUUAGAGGUGGGCUUGAAAAGAAGAUGAUUUGAAUGUGAUUUGUCAGAGAAAGUGCAAGUAGUUUUCGAGUUGGAUAUAGUGGGGCAGUAGGAGAAGGAGCAAGUGGAACUGGGAAAAGAGAAGGAGAGGGAGCUGCAAGAGGAAUAUCCAACACCCAUUUAGGCCUUUUUAGUAAAAGCAAGAAUCCAUGAUGAGACCCUUAUCAUUAAUUUGUUAGUAUAUUUGGCAGCCCGCAGCCGCACCGUAGAAUAUGCAGAAGAAUUUGGUUAUGAAUUUGGCUCUGCCGCAAACUUUACCUCAGCAGCAUCUUGAAUUCAGCUAGUACUUUUUAAAGGGAAAAUACUUGUUCUUGAUAGACGGCUCAAUUGAUUUCUUUCCUCUAAUGGCAAUUUUGAUGAUAUUUUUUUUUUGGAGUUAGCUAAUUUAGAUAGUAAUACCUUUUUUUUUUCUUGUCUUUUGGUUUUUGAAUGAAACUUGCUUAAUGAUAUUGGAAAAGAAUUAUAUGCAAAAAAAAAAGAAACUUUUUUUAAAAAAAAAACUCUAAUUACAAAUUUUUGGAUGACUUUUUUUUUUCAUUUUUAAUCACCUUUUUACUUGUCUUAUAUCAUCAAAAAGUUCUGUAGUGAGUUUGAAUUCGUUUGGAUUGUUAUUUUUUGAAAUAUUUGUAGAAAAAUAUAUUCUAGCAGUUUGAUAUCUAUGAGUAAAGUAAUUGAAAAAUGUACUUAUGAAAAAGUAAAAACUUUUUGUAAAAUUUUUUUUCUCAAAUAAUAUUCAACGAGAAAGGACUCAUAUUUCAACUUCCAAAUUCUUUAUUACUUCCAUAGCAUUCUCUUUUCCUAGACCGAAUCAACUCGAAAGCUCUCUAUAAUUAUUUUUUUCUAAUUCACUUCUCAUCUUUUUUUUUUUUUGUGAAACAUUUACUUUUCCAAUAUGAUUUUAUAGUUUGCUUAUACUCUUGCAUAGGAAUUUUAAAAAUUAUUUGUAGACAAAAAAAAAAAAUCAAUCUCACUUAUACUCUUGUAUUUAGAAAAUAGACUGACAAAUGCCUUUAGAAACGAAUAUGAAUGUCCAAAAAUAUUUUGCUUUGAAAUAAAUAUAUUUUUCACGGUUUUCAUAUGGAGUGACAUUAAUACUAAUUGCAAAAGGCAUAUUGGUUUCUUGGCUAAGUUUUACUUCGAUAAGAAAAGCGAAGAAGAGAUUUUUUUUCCUUUUUUUUUUAAAAAAAAAAAGAUGAAGAGAUUUAUAAUACAAGAAGGCUAUCUAGUCUCCUUUUCUUUAUUUUUUUUUUUACUGAUAUCCCUAUUAUUACAAUUAACUAGGAAUGUAAAUUAUCCCACUUAACAAACAUUAGACUUUAAAAGCGUUAGAAAAGUACAUUAUAAUUUGUAGAGAAAAUGACCUGUUUCAUCCCUUACAUUUCGUAAAAAUAUUCUUUUCGUCCCUCAUAUUUAAAACGAAGCAAAUUGGUCAUUCACAUUUAAAAAUCGAAACUUUUACAUCCUAGAAAUAAACUCUCAGUUGUGAAUCAAACCAUCUAACAAUCCGGUUACAAAUUUUAUGGGUAGAAUUGGUAGAUCACUCGCAAAACAUAUUUCCAACAAAUAAAUUAAAAUAAUUAAAAAAUCUUAAUUAAAACUCAUUUGCUUCUUCAAAAGAUCGAAAUAGUGCUAAAGCUCUCAAGCACUAAACCCUUAGACAAAUUCCUCAGUUUUGUUGCACUACGGGUUUAGUGCUUGAGAGCUUUAGCACAAUUUCGUUCUUUUGAAGAAACAAAUGGGUUUUAAUUAAGAUUUUUUAAUUACUUUAAUUUAUUUGUUAGAAAUAUGUUUUUGCGAGUGAUCUACCAAUUCUACCCCCAAAAUUUGUAACCAGGUUGUUAGAUAGUUUGAUUCACAAUUGAGAGUUUAUUUCUAGGAUGUAAAAGCUUCAGUUUUUAAAUGUGAAGGACCAAUUUGCUUCGUUUUAAAUGUGAGGGACAAAAAGAAUAUUUUUACGAAAUGUGAGGGAUGAAAUAGGUCAUUUUCCCUAAUUUGUAUCACAUAUCUUUUUCUAAUUUUAAAUUUUUUUCUCAAUGCCCCAAUAAAAUUACUUGACUUGGAAACUUGAUUUUGAGACCUUUCACUUCAAUACUAUUUAAUUAAAUUCAUAUUAUGCACAGUACAGACUUUUUGAAAUUGACUAAAAACUUGAUUUUGACACCUUUUACUUCAACACUGUUUCCCUAUGUUCAUAACCUGGACAAUAUGGCAGCAGUUUAUGAACUGAUUCCUACAUUUACCAUGCUGUAUAAAACGAAGGACUGAUUUAAUUUCAAUGAUGUAACACAUCUCACUUGACUUAUGUGCUACGCAAUUUAUCUUUUAAAUUAGAAGCCACCUUCAGAAUUGACCUCAGAGGCUUUGAUUCUUGAUCUCCAUCUUCCCUUCAAGGCAACCUUUCCAGUGAUGUUCUCUUGUUGUUGAUGGGGUAUAUCUGUUGGCGCAAAAAAUCACACGUACAACGAAAGCAAUUUUUAAUACAUAUAAAAAUAUGUGGAAAGAGGGAAAGAAAUAAACUCACAAUCAAACCUCCAAAAUUUUAUGAGCAAGAUGUGUCAAAUGUCACUAAAUUAUACCAUUGUGCUAAUCUAAAUCACUAAACUAUUUUUUUUAGUUGAAAAUGUCACUGAACUAAUCAAAUUGUAUAUUUUGCUUCAUUCCGUCUAAUUUGACAAUCAAAACAAACGGAAUGAAUAUCAUGAUACUUGCAGGUAGGAAUAACAAUUGGGAUGGGUGCCCUGCGGGGAAGUAAUAGGGGGGGAGGGGAAUUUUUCCCCUCAUUAAGAAACAAGGUUGGGGGUGGGAGAGUAUACCUCCACCCCACCACUUGUUAAAAAUAUAUAUAUAAUAUUUAAUUUAAUUAGUUAUAAAUUUGCAAUAAUGAUAUUAUCAGUUAUAAAUAUUAUAUAAUGUAUAUUAGUAUAUGUAAUAUAAUUGAUAUUAUCAAUUAUACUAAUAAUUAUGCAUGUCUACUAAUAGAAAUUAUUAAUUAGUUAUACUAAAUUUACUAAUACAUUUAUGCUAAAUUCCUAAUUAUACUUAACACAAUAACAUUUUUUUCUAAAAAAAAACACAAUAAUGACUUAGUGAUUGUAUUUAUUUCAAAAGUAAAAACUCGUUUACUUUAGUUGUAUUUGCUUCAUCAUGUUAGAUUGUAUUCAACUAGUUUUUGUUUGAUUAUUUUUAUGGGUUUCAAUUGUAAAAUUAUAAUGGAUAAUGACUUGGUGAUGUGUUGAUAUUUUAUUACUUAAUUAUUUGCUAAAAUUUGAUUACAAUAAAAUUAUGUGACAAAUUUUUAUUAACCGUGCAAGAGAAGCAGGGCGGCGGGGAAGGGGGGGAGGGAAGUAGUGGGCAGUAGGGUGGGGGGCAUGGAAGGUGUCCCCCGCUCCAAACUCGAUCUGUUGCCAUUCCUACUUGCAAGCUUAGUUUGUAGGGCAAAUUUGUCAAUUUAUCUUUUUGGUUGAUGUUUGUCUUCGCUCCUUAAACAUUAUAGAUAAUAAUCAGACUCUAUUCUCCUUUUUCACUAUAAAAUCCUUGUGAAUUUGUGCCCAAAUCUAAAAUGAGUUUCUCCUUGUUGUAUCUCAUAUCACCAUUGUUGUUUCUGGCAUGAUCUUUUCGCCUUUCAAGAAAAGUAAGAGAAUUUUUUCAAGUUUUCUCUUUGUCAUUUUUACAAAUAGGUAUUGGGCAUUACAUAAAAUGAAAUGUUUUAUUCAAACUUGUUUCUUGCUUUCCCAAAAUUGCAACCAAUAAAAAAUUAGUCCAAUAAAAGAAAAAAUCAUAUCUCACCGAUUCUUUUGUGGGCUAAAUGACAAAGAUUUGUAACCGUUGUCUUUUGAAUUGGCAUGACCUUUUCAAAAAAAGUAAGAGGAUUUUUUUCAAAAUUUUUCUUUGUCAUUUUUACAAACAAGUUUUGGGCAUUACAUAAAAUAAAAUUGUUAAGAGUAAAUCGCGCGAAAUGUCACUAAACUAUUACAUUGUGCCGCUUUUGAUCACUAAACUUUUUUAUUAGCCAAAAAUGUCACUAAAGUAGUAAAUCUGUGUUGUUUUGGUCAUUUCGUUUAUUUAUGCCGUUAGAAGAGACAGAAAGUAACUUUUUGAGGAAUAAUGUUGUCUACACAGAUUUUUGUGGCAAUGAAGGGACAAAACAAACAAUCAAUGAAAAAACACAAUUGUGAGGAGAAUCCAGCAAAAUCGUACCGCAUUAAUCUAUCAAAAUCAAAAUAAUCAGUGAGGAGAAUCAAAAAAUCGGCCAAAGACGAAGAUUAGUAGUGAAACACAGGUGAUAGAUGGUAGCAAAGCAGGUGAAAAGGCAAAGGGAUGAGUUCAUUGACCUGUACAUACUAUACGGUAAGAAAUCUUACAAUCCCAUCCUUAUAGAUUUGGAUAAUGUUUGAUUAAUUGUGUUGUAUGAGUUAUAAGUCUAAUGAAGUAUUUAGCCAGAGUGUUUAUUGGGUUUAGAGUUUGCCAAUGCGAUCUGGUUGUUUGGAUAAAGACAUAAGAACAAGUGAAAUCCCCUUUUGUUGUAGUAGUAGGUUGCAAAGGGACCUACAAGAACCCUCUAUCUGAUAAUUUACUCAUAAACAAACAAACUUUUGUGGCAGUUGUCCAAUUCGGGUUAAUUAACAAUUGGAGGUUACGUAUUUUUAUAGGAAGAACAAUGUGUAUGACAAUAAAAAAUAGUGAUUAACAAGAAUCGUGUUGUUUGCCUUUGCAAUUGUUGUGGUUCCUAAUAAACCUGUUUUUCCAUUAAAUUCCACCAUGGUGAUAAAAUUAAGGGAGACAAAUACAAGAAUUAUGUGGGUGGAUAGAUUGGUUAUUUCGAUUUUUCCUACACUGAUUUUAUGUCGAUUCAUGAAAUAAAUGAAAUAGUUGAAGAGUAUGGACAUAAUGAUACCAUGUUAUAUUAUUACAUUGACCCUAGUAGGGAUUUGAACCAUGGACUGAUGGAACUUCAAACGAUGAAGACAUUAGACAAUUCUAUUGUUGGGUUUAUGAGUACAAGUUGAUAGAAGUAUACCGUUAUCAUAUAACAGCUAAGGAAAGAUAUGAGUUGCAGAAGAAAAAGCAACUGGAGAAGUCCUCAAGGAUAAAGAGUUCAAUUGUAAUGCAAAAGUUUCUAGAAAAUGGAGAUAAAGGCUGCAGUCAAUCUGCUCCAACUCCUAAAUGUGCUAGAAAGUCUUGUAAAGGUACCAAAAAUGUGUCAAGCAUAAUACCAGCUCAUUUUGCUCAUGAGGAAGUUGAAGAUGACCCUACAAGUGGUGCCAAUUCUUAGCAACAUGAAGUUGAAGAGCAAGCUACUCCACAUAAUGACACCUUUUAACAUGCUAAAAAUAGUGCACAUGUUGCGGAGCCAUCAAAAUUGCAGAAAUAAUCACCUCAUAACAUUGAAGUGUUGAUGCCACCAAUAGUAUGAAAAAACAAAAGAUUAGGAAGACUAAGACGUCUGUAGGUGUUCAAUUUAUUUUCAAUUUUAUCUUUAGUUUUACUAUAGUUGAUAGCUACUAUAACUAUGUUCUAAUGUGUACAGGUGAGGAGAGUUAGACUUGUCAAUGAUGUCGACUAGUCAACUGUAGGAGCCCACAAAUAGUCUCUCCAAUCAAAGAGGAAGUUAUCUGAAAUAGACAAGAUAAGAAUCAAUACCAACUAUGAGUACUUGGGCAAAGAAUUCUCUUUCAAGAUUGGUAGAUGGGCUGGAAUAUCAAGGAGCAGUAAAAGUGGAAGAUCAGAUUAAAUGACUUAUGAAUAUUUUUUAGGGCUGUUUGGAUGUAUUAAAUCUUUUGUUUGGAUAACUUUUAUUUUGAUGUAUUCUAUGUCAAGGACAAUUAUAGACUAUUUACAUGUGAAACAAGGCUAAAGGCCUUAUUUGGCAUUAGAGUUUUUUGCCAAGUUUGUCUGCUACAAGUUUUUUAAAAAUUUUAACUACAGUAAUCUCAAAAAAAUUUUUAAAAACUUUAAACUAUACACUUAAAAAUAUUCAAAAAUUUAUACAUUUCAAAUUUUUUUAAAAAAAUUUCUACAGUAAGUUACAGUUAGGGAUGGCAAUCAGGUCGAAUUCUGGUUGGCGGGUCGGGUUGAGACCCAUGUAUAACAGAAAACCCGUUGACCCGAACCUAACCCGUCAACUCGAAACGGGUCAGGAUACCUGACACGAACUCGAAAAUUUCGGGUUGGUGGGUCGGCAAGUCGACCCAAAAUGACCCGAAACUUAAUUUUAAUUUAUUAAUUUAUCACUAUAAUUUCUAAUAAAAUCAAUUUCUCACAAAACUAAUUACAUAAUCAAGUAAUAAAAAUUUAAAUAAAUAAUCUCAAACCAAAUCUAAAAUAAAUUAAACACCGUAAAAGUGUUUUAUCCCAAACCCAAAUAUAAAUUCAAUUAAAUCAGUAUAAAAGUAAAAAAAUAAUAUAAUAUAUUAUUUGCCCAAAUAUAAUAAUUUCAACUUCACACAAGUUAAAUAAAUUCAUUUAGGAUUAAAUAAUUAAUGCCUUUGAAAAAAGGAAUAACUUAGUUUAGUUAGAUAAAAUAAUUUUAAUAUUUAUUAAAUUAUAUUUAAUUCGUAAACCGGUCAUAUCGGGUCACCCACGGGUUGAUCUAAAAUUGACCUGUUUUCUUUUCGGAUUCGACCCGAUUCUGAUCCGAACCCCUGAAAUCUCAACCCAAACCCAUUAAUUUCGUGUUAAAUUCGUGUCGUGUUUUCAGGUCAUGUCAGAAAUUGCCACCCCUAGUUACAAUAAAGUUUUAGACAAACACAAAAAAACUCACUUGCCAAACAGAGCCUUUGUUGGAAUUUUUCAUUAGGGCAUUUUUGGUGAUGAUAGUGACAAUUAUAACUCUUUUGUAAGGCAGUUGUUUGGAAGUAUGCAUAUUUGAUCUCAUUUUGCUAGGUCCACUGGUCUUUUGUUGUAUUUGACUUUAUGCAAAUGCAUUUGUGAGCUACUUUUCUUUUGAAUACUUAUGUUAAAAUUAAUACUUCACUCUUUUAUUCAUAAACUACAAUUUCAAAAAUCCAAGGUGUAAACAACACCAACCAAAAUGAGGUUUAUAUAACAACUGCACCACCUUAACUAAAACGAGCUAUCUAUUAAACCAUUUGAUAGCAUUGGUUUAGGAUUUGAAAUAUAAUAAUACCCUAGUAGCCAUCAAUUUUCCCCUUCGAAACUUGUAUCCCUUGCUAGGCCUCUAAAUCCACAUAGAUGCACUAAGAAUUGUCCAGGUUACAAUAAAAAGAACAAUGAGCAUUUUUUUCCUAUUCUUUCUUCCAAGUUUCUUCUUUCAGAUUUUUUACUUGAACUUCCUUUUUCUCAGCUUUAUUUUGCCACUUGAGAACUUGCUCCUGCAAGGCUUCAUUCUUAGUUUUCAGCCUAUUUACUCUCCUUAAAAGACCGGGUAUGACUUGUUUGGAAUGCUCACACAUUUCUUCAUCAUACCAAUCCCAAACCACAACUAUCAACUUAAAAAAAAAUUAUCCAAGUUUUUUUUAGCUAAUAAAUAUCCAAAAAUUUACACAUUAACCUAAUUUAACGAAUUUCCUACAUCUUCACACACUCAUCUCGCCAUGAGCACAUUCAACAUAUCUUCUUGCUAGGUUCCUAUUAAGGCUGCAAACGAACCAAGGCAAGUCGAGUUUUGGUCUAAUCGAACCGAGCCUUAACAUAAUUUUAGUGAACUUAGAGCUGUUAAACGAACCGAGUUGUUCGUUAGCUCGGUUCGUUUCGGCUCGUUCGUAUUCGUUAAAGGCUCGUUCGAAGCCUUAAACGAACCGAACACGAACGAAUUUUUAUGUUCGUUUAAUAAUCAAGCGAACACGAACAUGUUCUCGUUUUAACAAACGUUCGCGAACAAGGACAUAAUUGUCAUUUGACAAAUUUUAGCGUUACUCAUAAAAAAUUCUAAAGCUUUCCCCUUCCCUUUCCAGCCUUACUUCUGUUUCCAUUCCCCAUUGGCCGCUGCUGAAAGUCCAAACUGAUAAGCUCGCUGCUGUUCUAGACUUUCUACCGUCCAAAGUCCAAACUGAUAAGAGAGAGACUGGAGUUUCAGUUGCCCCAAUCAACAUCUUUGGUGGCUGGCUGAGUUCGGAGAUCGCGUGCCUCCCUCCUUUGAUUCGGUAUGAUUUUUCACAGAUCUAUGAUUUGUGUUUCUCAAUCUGGAAUUUUUUAAAUUCAUUAGAUCGAAUUUGAUUGCAAGCUUGAAGGGGUCAAAGUUUUAGCACUAACGCUAGCCAAAUUGUCCCUCACUUGAUGUCUUCGGUUGUAGUUUCAUCUUUUGGCAUCUAAUACUUGAAAUCUUGGAAUAAUACUUGUGCAUAUCAUUUCCUUUUUUUACUUUCAUCAAGACACAUUCAUUAAUCAGUCAAAACUGGCGCAUGAUGAUUUAAGACAUCAAGGCAGUAGCAGCAAGCAGCAAAGCAUUUUUUUUCCUUCCAUUUCCGUGCUUUUGAGCUUCAAGCUGCUAAAUCAAUAGCUAGAGAUCUCAGAAUGGAAACUUGAUGCAGAGAAAGUAAAAUUAUAGGACAAGUAAACCACUGGAUGGAUUAAGUUUGAUGUGAACAAUGGAUUGAGAGGUUGGGGACAUAAUUCUAAGUCUAAGAUGUCUGGUUUUGUUUGACAGAAUUUUUCAAGGUAUGGGAAAUGAUGAUGAUGAUGAACAAGGGUGGAAAAGACAGAAACAAAAAAAAAUUAAAUACCUGUAGCAGUAGUGUAAUUUUGGUCAAGUUUCUCUUUGUCUCUUGAGAUAAAUCUUUCCUGGAUCCAAUUAUUUGAAUUUGGACCACUGGUUGGUUGAUGGUAAUUUGACUUUUGCUGGACAAGAGAUUCGCAAAGAUGACGCACCAUGGCUUGCAAGGCUGACCAAAGCUCAAAAUUUACACUGUUCUGUUAAAUCUUCUAGACUUCCUACUUGUCAAAUAUUGGAGAGAGAUGUGGACAGAUUUCUACAAACAUGGAAAUUCGUUUUUAAGUAGUAGUAAAACAUCAACAAGUUUCAUAUUUAGUACUCAAUUGGGCCACAUACUAAAUAGGAUCAGUACAUAAUUUUUUAAAGAAUUCCAAACUACCAAUAGUACUUUCAGCAUGUAUUAAUUUUAUGUCUUUGCUUCGUACAUAAUUUUGCAGAUUAUGUUUGGUUAAUUUUUCAUUGAUUAGUAGUUUUAUUUUUCAUUCAUCAAAUAGGGUAUGUCAAGCUCCCCUUAUAAUUCACAUCUGGGCUCUUCCACAAGUCCUAUUAUGGAUCCUAGCAAUGAAGAUGUGAUACUUGUUGGUGGUGACGAGAAAGAUGAUGAGAUGCAUGAAGAUGUUGAUAUUGAAAUACUUGCUGAAAACAAGGAAACAAAUGAGGCUAAACCAUAUCAAAAAAAGAGUAGAACGUUGAAGUCUAAAGUAUGGAGUGACAUGGAUUGAGAACCUCAAACUGAUGGAUCAACUAAAGUGACAUGUAAACAUUGCAAAGAGGUAUGGAAGAUGAAUGCUAGUGGCACAACAACAACUUACACUAGGCAUUUGAAGAAUUGUCUACAAAAGAAACUAGUAGACGAGGGGAACAAAAGGAUGCAACAACAAGUUCUUUCCUUCACAACAGAAACACCAUCGGAUGGCAUGACUUCAAUAACAAACUUUAGAUAUGAUCAUGCUAAGGUACGGGAACUUGCAUCCCAUAUGAUUUUGGCACAUGAAUACCCUUUUGCAAUGUUGGAUCAUGAAAUUUUUAAUAAGUUCAUGAAAGCUGUUUCUCCAUAUUAUAUAAGGAUUAGUAGGCAAACUGUGAAGAAAGACUGCAUUUCUACUUAUGAAUUGGAAAAGAAGAAGCUGAUGUCAUUGCUAAAGGGGGUCAGUAAAAUCAGUAUCACAACAGAUUUGUGGAAAUCAAAUCAGAAAAUUCAAUAUAUGGUUGUAACUGGGCACUUUAUUGAUUUCAAUUGGGUGCUACAAAAGCGUGUGUUGAAUUUUUGUAAUGUUCCUCCCCCACAUACUGGAGUUAUUAUAGCUGAUGCUCUUAACAAGUGUUUCAAUGAAUGGGGCAUAGAGAACAAAAUUUGUAGUAUUACCGUGGAUAAUGCUUCAUACAAUGAUGUGUGUGUUAGGAGGCUGAAAGAUGACUUUUUGUUGGGAAAACAAUUAAAUGUUGGGGGAAAAUACUUUCAUGUUCGUUGCUAUGCACAUAUACUUAAUCUUUUAGUGCAAGAUGGCCUUAGUCAAAUUGGAGAAGUGAUUGAUACUGUUAGGGAGGGGAUUAAGUACCUAAAUUAUUCUGAGUCCCGCCUCAUUGAAUUCAGCAAGAUAAAGAAACAGCUUCAUUUAUCUCUAAGAAAGUUGAUUCUAGAUUGUCCAACACGUUGGAAUGGGACAUAUUUGAUGUUAGCUUCAUCUGUAAAAUUUAAAGAUGUGUUUUGGAGAUAUGCAGACAUUGAUCAUGGCUUUCAUUAUGUUCCUAGUGAAUAUGAUUGGAUGAGAGUUGAAGAAGUGUGUCAAUUUUUGGGUAUUUUUCAUGAAAUAACUAAUAUGAUUUCUGGGAGUGAACAUCCAACUGCCAACAUUUUCCUACGUAAGCUUUAUAGAAUCAAAGAGCUUCUGAAUGAAAAAUCUAUUAAUCCUUCUAGCCAUAUAAGGGCUGUGGUUGCAAGCAUGGCUUCGAAAUUUGAUAAAUAUUGGGGUGAAAAUAAUAUUCUGCUUUCUUUGGGUGCAAUUUUAGAUCCAAAAUAUAAAAUGGUACUCAUUGACUAUGCCUUUCCAAUUAUUUAUGGUAGCGAAGCAGCUCCCAUAUACAUUGCUGAAAUAAAAGAGGUUUUGAAUGACUUUUAUAAUGAGUAUGUUUCUUCAUUCACUCCAUGUUCUGCUGAGGAUGUGUAGUUGCCAAAACGCAGAAAAGUUGAAAUUAGUCAUGCUUGUAGUUCAACUUCUAUGGUGGUAGAAGAAAUUGGAAAAAAAUAUGUUAACUGGAAAAGCUAAGUUUGAAAUGCAUGUGAGUAGCCAAGAAGAAAUGCCACCAGAAGAAUCUGAAUUAGAUAUUUAUUUGAGUAAAAAAAGAUACAGUGGUGCUACGAGUGCAAAUCUGGAUGUCUUGAGUUGGUAGAGACAGGAAAGAUGGAGAUUUCGGGUGCUGUCAAAAUUGGCUGCUGACAUAUUAGCUAUUCCAGUUACUACUGUAGCUCCGGAGUCUACUUUUAGUGCUGGUGGGAGAGUCAUUGAUGAUCGUCGUGCUUCCAUGUCUAUUGAAAUAGUGCAAAUGUUACUUUGCGCUAAUAAUUGGGUUCGAAAUUUGUAUGGCCUUUCAAAAAGUCAUUUAAAGGUAAUAUAUAAUAUAUGUUACGUUUCUUUAUUUCUGCAAUUUUUAUAAAUUUACUGUUCUUACUUAAUUGUGAUUCAUUUUUUUCCUUUGGUAGGAAUCAUCAAUUGUUGAUGACUUCAAGGCAUAUGAAGAAGUUAUACUUCCAGAUUGAAAGGAUGCAACUCAUUGUACUCAUUUUAAUUUCUAAAGUUUCAGUCUUCAGUUGGUUGUGUGGAAAUUUUCAAUGUUUGUCAUUCUUAAUUCCUCUAUAUGCGUGUAUGAUGUCUAGUUCCUUUUGAUUGAUAUUUUUAAAACUGAUUGAAAACUUUUGUAGUUGAUUAUUAUUCUAUUCUUUGCAGAGUCUUGGGGAAAAAAAUUCGAUUGCCUUGGCCCACCUAGCUCUUUUCAGCUACAAUGAAUUUGGUCCAGUCACUUCAUUUUCUUUGCCAUGGCUGAUGGAUUCAAAUGGAUAGAUGAAGUGGAUGUAGUAGUAGUCAAAUUGUGAAGUGGAGCACAUUUGUUGUUGUCUUAUGGCUGAAUUUUUAUAUUUGAAGGAUAAAUUACUUUGUUUUAUUUGUUGUUUUUAUGUUAAUGUUGGUUAUGCAUUUAAUGAAUAAUGAAAUUUAGUCAUUUGGUAUUUCAAUUAUUUUUUAGGAUGAUUAAUGAUUUGUAUGGCAUAUUUAAGGCUUAGAAUAAUCUGGAUUCGAAUUUUUCGAGCGUGUUCGCGAACGACUCGUUUAACAUAAACGAGCCGAACACGAACACAAACACAAACUUUACUUAACGAGCCAAACACGAACACAAGUUUAGAGUUCGAAAGUUAACGAACGAACACGAACGGAGUUCGAAGCGCUUAACGAACAGAGUUCAAACAUAAGAUACUCGGUUCGUUUCGAUUCGUUUACAGCUCUAAGUGAACUCGAACUUAAACUCGAGCUCGACGAGCCGACAAUUUCAAACUCGAGCUCGAGUUCGAAAAAAAUAAAAAUAAUUAUUUUUAUUUUUUAAAAAAUAAAUAAAAUAAUUUUUUUUGUCUUAAAUAAAUAAUAAAAUAUUAAGGAUAUAUAUGUAAUUUUACUAUUAAAAUAAAAAAUAAAAAAUAUAAAAAUACUUAAAAUAAAAAAAUAAAAAAAUAUAUACUUAAAAUAAAAAAAUAAAAUAUAUAUAUACUUGAACUCGAGUUCAAGCUCGAUUUGACUCGAGCCAGCUCGAGCUCGAGUCGAGCUUGACUCGCUCGCGAGCGGCUCGGUUCGGUUGCAGCUCUAGUUCCUAUCAGUUCAUGAAGUCUUCAAAUUGGUUUUAGUGCCACAAGACCAAGUCGGAGUUAUUUUCUUGCAUCUUCCUCUCAUGAAACUUGAACACAUUCCCAACAAUUGCAGCUGUUAAUAUUGCCCCUCCUACUCCAUAUUUGAAGACAAAUCUAUUAGAGGAUAAGGGUUUGUACUUUCUAACUGAACUUGGGAGUUGUCUGGUACGUUUACGGGCAAUUUAUGUUGGAAAGUUUCAACGAAAAGGUUGUGCAGAAAAAAUUGCCCGAGAAAAAAUUACUUUCCGUCUCUCAUGAUGGCACAAGUACACGGAGUGACCUAAACUGUAUAGAUUUACUAGUUCAAUAACGUUUUUGGCUAAUAAAAAAGUUGAGUGACCAAAAGUAGCACAUUGCAAUAGUUUAGUGACAUUUCACGCAAUUUGCUUUUAAUUCAAACUUGUUUCUUGCUUCUCAAAAUUGCAACCAAUAAAAAGUCAGUCAUAUAAAAGAAAAAAGAUCAUAUCUCUCCAAUUCUUUCCUUUCCUUUUGUCUCCUAUUUGCUCAACAUGCUAUGAUCCAAAUCAAAGCUAUGGCGAUGUAGCAAUAUGCGCAUAGAAUCUCUCAUUACUAUAUGUGGUUAGAUCUUCAUUGUUGACAGUUGGGUUCAGCACAUUAUUUAUGAAAAGGGGAGCAGGAUUGACUGCUAGGGCUCCACCACGAUCCCUGCUGCUCGGUAUCUUUGUUCUGGGUAAAGCUUUUGAAAAUUUUCACCGAUGACUUGAACAUCUAUAAUUUUUUAAGAAAAGAUUUUUUCACAAUCACAAAAAUUUCACCGAUGACUUGAGUUCCCUUGUGACAGCCCCACCUUCUCUUAAGGCGAACCAAAGGGGUUAGCGGACUGCCUGCCCAACUUUUGCCAGGACUAACGGUGCAGUUUAGAACGAUCUAUUGCGUUCCGGAACUGAUAACGCGCGUAAACAAGUCAAAAUUCCAAAAUAACCCAAAAAAAAAAAAUGAAAUUCGAAAUCGGCCAUGAAUAGUAACCGACCCGUCAUAACCCAGUCAAACAUCAAAAUACAUAUACAACAUAACAUUUAGUAUUUACAAGCCAAAAUGGCAUACAAAAGUGAUACAAAAGUUACUACAUAUAUGGUUUGCCAAAAUCAAAAGUGAAACGGCCCUAAAGGUACAUUUAGGGUUUCGAUUCAUAAGCUAUACAAAAGAGACAUUCAUUUAGCUCAUCCGGCAACCAACUAGCAAGAAUCAUUCCAAAAGUAGUCAUAUGCCUGUAAGGAAAACAAAAGGAACGGUGUGAGCUAAUUGCCCAGUGAGAUACUAUCACUUAAGCAACCAAAUUCAUGUACUCAUACAGUUUUUCAUUUCAAUUCGCCAAAAGUAAAUAAAGGCACACAUUAACGGCGGUGAGAAAAGGAUACGGGUGGCUCUCAAGAGCCCUUUUCCCUCAUUUGCAUUUCUUGAUCGGACGUCAUUGACUCUCCGUCAAUGUUCAAAAAUAACCAACCGUAGACUCCACUUGACUUCCAUUCCUUCCACCUAACAUUUCCCUACCGGGCCCGAACUCCAAACACUUGCACUUUGGUAUUACUCGAGUAAACCGGAAUCGAGAGUCUCUCAUACUACAAGAUUUCAUAUAACACUUCCCCAAGGCACAUCAAUUGGCACGACCAAACCCUCGCCGGCUCGAUUCAAUCAACUAUCAAUGGGGUUGAGCUCAAAGAUGACAAUUGUAGUCGUUGGAUACUCGUCCAAACGACACCAAGCCAUGUACUUUUAUUUCAUGUAACAUUUCAUAUAACAUUUCAAGAACAUGAUAAACAAUAAGUGAGAGUGAUAAAGUACGCUCUCACUUCAAUCAAUUAACAUUCAACGUAUCAAUUUCAAGUAUCAAAGCCAUAUAGUAACACACAAGUGAGUAGUACACUCACCAAGCUUGCAAAUGGUGUUUCAUGCACUUCCGUCAAAAGAACGUCGUGAACCACCAUCACGCCCUAAAACAUGCAAACAAGCACAAUGAGACUCGAUAACGAGUUAUAAACCAAUGCCAAAUACGACCCCAAUAAGGUUCCAUAAACAUAUACAAGCAUUAGAGGAAACCAGAAAAUCCGGAAAUGGAUUUAGCUUUGCCCUGAAAAAAACAGUUUUUGACCUCAUUUUACGGUAAUUGUACCCAAGGCACUAUGAUUACCGGAUGAAGGUACAAGAUCCACCGUUUCGAAGCUAAGAGAUAGGGCUACAAUGUUCCAGAAGGCAACUUUGUCCAGUUUUGAGCGUAGCAAGGUCAAAAAUGUAAGAUACUAUACCAGAACCGGAAAAACAGAUUCACAAAAUGCAUUCUGCUGCAAACAGCAUAACUCAGCCUACUUAAAUCCAAAUCCAGAAAUUCUAAAGCCAUCCGAAAGCUUAGAAAUAGGGCUACAUUUCAUCAGAAGACCUCAACAACCAAUUCUGAAGCAAUUCCAGCCAAAACAACCAAUUACAGGCGCAAUUUUUACAUUCGGGUAAAACCAGGACAGCAAGGGUAAUUUCGACUUUUCUCAUUCUACGCUAUUCCGAUUGACCUGAAAUUUUGUAGGCACCUCUAAAAUAUCAUUCCCUACAACUUUCAUGUUUUAAGUCAAGGCCAAUUCGAUCUCUAAUUAGGAGCUAUAAAACCGGACAGAAUGUUCCCAAUAAAACCCUAACUUUCUAAAAUUUCUUCCAAACCAGAAAUUGGUUGCAAUUAACCACUUUUUUCACCUUCUAGAGUCAUCAUAUACUAUUUCCAAUCAUUAUAGAUAGCCACACAAUUAUGUUCAUAUUAAAACAGAAAAAUCUCCAAAAAUUAUAAAAAUUCAUCAAUUCAACCACAACUUAAAAUAUAAUCCAUAAAAUGGCAUCUCAUACUACCACUAAGCAUGAUUUAAGCAUCAAUAAAGGGAGGAGAGUAGUUCUUCACAACUCACCUUAGAAACAAGAGAGAGAGAGAGCAAUAAGUUCUCUUAACUUUCCAAAUAACUCCACACAAUACCUCACUAUCACUCCCUUAAGUGGUUUUAUGGAGCACAAACAAGAUUGGAAGGUUGAGUGAGUUGCUUGAAGCAAAAUUGAAGCCAAAAACUUGAAGAGUUUUCUUUCUUUUGUUGCUCAAGGAGCUCGGCCAAGAUGAAGAGAAAAUGGUGAAGUUUUGGUUAUUUUUUUUUGAUUUAUUUGGUCAAUGGUAAGAAAAUGAAUAGUGGUCUUACAAGUCCCUCCAACCAAAUGGUGACACUUGUCACUUAUUUAAUGCAAGUUUAUCACUUUGUUUCCUCUCACACCAAUCUAAAUUGCAACCUCUACUUAUCUUUUAACACCUGAUAAAUUACAUCCAGUAUCCAAAACUUAACCUAAUUGGCCGAAUUUUUCUGAACUUUUCGCACUAAUGGGUCCCACGUCCGGUAUACGCUCUUAAUUUCUCAAAAACUAUUCGAUACUAGAAAAAUCAUCUAAAAACUAUAUCUGCUCAUUAAAAAUAUCUAGAAAUUUUCCUAAUCACGAAAAUGCAGAAAACAAACCAUGAAAGAUAAUAAAACCUAGAAAAUGGGAAAAUUUACGGGUUCUCACACUCUCUCCCCCUUAAAAGAAUUUCGCUCUCGAAAUUUCUUACCUUAACUCACGAAAAGUUUAGGGUACUCCUUUCGCAUUUCUUCUUCCACUUCUCAGGUAACUUCCUCUACCCCAUGAUUUCUCCACAGUAUUUUCACUAACGGAAUCUGUUUGUUUAUGAGCUCUUUGACUUUCCGGUAAAGCACUUGGACAGGUUUUUCUUUAUAAGCAAGCGAUUCGUCCACGUCGAUCUCCUCUGGUUGUAAGAUAUAGGAGGGGUCGGGAUAGUACUUCUUGAGCAUCGAGACGUGGAAGACGUCAUAAAUUCUCGAGAGACUUGACGGCAGCUCUAGUCUAUAUGCUACCGCGCCUAUCCUCUGCAGGAUCUUGUAAGGUCCGACGAACCUCGGUUGCAAUUUCUUUCCUCUACCCGCCAUGAUACUCCGUAAUGGUGUAACCUUGAGGAAAACACGGUCUCCAAUUUCGAACUCCAAAUCUUUUUUUCGGUUGUCUGCGUAGCUCUUUUGUCGGUUUUGAGCAGUUUGGAGUCGUUGCCGUAUCAACUUGAUCUUUUCUCGAGUCUCUUCCAUCCAUGGAAUAGUGGUUGGAUCUAAUGCCUUCCUCUCGCCAACUUCAUCCCAGUAGAUCGGUGAUCGGCAUUUUCGUCCAUAUAGUGCCUCGUAUGGAGCCAUUUGAAUCGACGAAUGGUAGCUGCUGUUGUACGCAAACUCUACUAAGGUCAUGUGUUGACCCCAGUUGCCUCCAAAAUCCAGAAUGCAAAUUCGUAGCAUGUCCUCGAAAGUUUGAAUUGUUCGCUCCGAUUGUCCAUCCGUUUGAGGGUGAUAGGUUGUGCUCAAGUUGAGUUCCGUCCCUAGAGUCUCCUGGAACUUUUGCCAAAAUCGAGAUACGAAACGUGGAUCUCAAUCAGAGACGAUACUCACAGGAACACCAUGUAGCCUUACGAUCUCAUCCAUGUACAGUUGGGCCAAUUUGUCCAUGGAAUACUUCAUGUUUACCGGCAAGAAAUGGGCCGACUUGGUUAAUCGAUCGACGAUUACCCAAACGGUAUCGUAUUCUCGCUGCGUCCGCGGCAAACCUGAGACGAAAUCCAUAGUGAUGUUUUCUCACUUCCACUCGAGUAUCUCAAGGGGCUGUAACAAACCCGAUGGUUUUUGAUGCUCUGCUUUAACUUGUUGGCACACGAGACAUUUCUGCACGUACAGAGCGAUUUCCUUCUUCAUAUUGUCCUACCAAUAGGUUCCUUUCAGGUCCUGAUACAUCUUGCUACUCCCCGGAUGAAUUGUAUAAUUGGACCGAUAAGCUUCCUCUAGAAUUUCUGUUUUCAACGACUCCUCUUUCGGCACUACUAUUCGCUUCCGGUAUUUUAAAAUACUCUCAGGACUGAAAUUGAAAUCAGUUGUUUCUCCUUUUUCCACUUUCUCUCCCCACUUUCGUACCAUCACAUCCUCUUUUUGCACUUCUUUAAUCCUUUCCAACAGGGUGGAAGUCACUUUAAUAUUGCCAAAAAUCACCUUAUGACUCCCAAGGCAGGGUCUCCACUCGCAAAUCGACUCGAGCAAGUUCCACUCUCUAAUCAUUAAGCUUGCGACCUAAGCUUUGCGACUUAGAGCGUCGGCCACUACGUUCGCAUUUCCUGGAUAGUAGUUGAUGGUACAGUCGUAAUCCUCCAGAAAUUCCAUCCAUCUCCGUUGCCUCAUGUUCAAUUCCUUCUGUGAGAAGAGAUACUUCAGGCUUUUGUGAUCGGAGUAAACCUCGAAGGUUACCCCAUAUAGGUAAUGUCUCCACUUUUUAAGAGCGAAAACAACGGCAGCUAACUCCAGAUCGUGGGUUGGAUAAUUCAGCUUGUGAGAUUUUAACUUCCUUGAGGCAAAAGAGAUCACAUUUCGGUUCUGCAUUAAUACACAACCCAGGCCUUCUCGUGACGCGUCCGUAUACACAGCAAACCCGUCACCUCCAUUAAGUAAGACCAGAACUGGAGCCAUGGUCAAUCUCUUCUUUAACUCUUGAAAACUUGUUCCACUUCGGGCAUUCCAACUGAACCGACUAUGUUUCUUUGUCAAGUCGGUUAAGGGACCGGCUAGUUUGGAAAAGUCCUUGAUGAAAUGCCUGUAAUAUCCAGCCAACCCUAGAAAACUACGGACCUCGGUGGGAUUUUCUGGCCUCUUCCAAUUAGUCACAGCUUCUACUUUCGCCGGGUCAACUGAAAUACCCUCUUGAGAAAUUACGUGCCCCAGAAAAGUAAUUUUCUCCAGCCAAAAUUCGCACUUGCUGAACUUGGCAUACAGUUGAUGGUCUCUUAGGGUUUGUAAGACAAUUUUCAAGUAUUGCUCAUGUUCUUCACGGGUCUUGGAAUAGACCAGGAUGUCAUCGAUGAAGACCACUACAAAUCGAUCCAGGUAGGGCUUAAAAAUCCUAUGCAUUAGGUCCAUGAAGGCGGCAGGAGCAUUGAUCAGUCCAAAGGGCACAACUGCGAACUCGUAAUGCCCAUAUCUCGAGUUGAAGGCGGUUUUCGGAAUAUCCUCCUUCCUGAUUAAUAACUGGUAAUACCCUUGGAGGAGAUCCAGUUUCGAAAAGACCACUGUUCCUUACAACUGGUCGAACAACUCAUCUAUGUGGGGCAGUGGAUACUUAUUUUUCACCGUAAUAUUAUUCAGACCCCGAUAAUCGAUACACAUCCUCAACCCACCAUCUUUUUUCUUCAUAAACAGCACAGGAUCUCCCCAAGGAGACCCACUCUCUUGAAUGAAUCCCCGCUCCAAAAGAUCCUGUAAUUGCAACUUUAGCUCCUUGAGCUCAGCAGGAGCCAUUCGGUAUGGUGUUUUUGAGAUAGGUGAGGAUCCCGGUUGCAGGUCGAUUUUGAACUUAAUUUCUCUUUCCGGAGGCAGAGCUACUAGCUCAUCAGGAAACACGUCCGGAAAUUCCUUCACUAUGGCCACGUCCUCCACUUUCAACUUAUCCGUAGGGGUAUUAAUUAGAAAGGCUAAAAAUCCUUGCGCCCCUCUACUUAGCAAUUUCCUAGACCGAAUGCCCGAAAUCAAAGCAGAUUAGACUAACCUACUCCUUAUAUCCAACCUUAAAGUCGCCUCACCAGGAAUGCGGAAUUCUACAACUUUCGUUUUACAGUUCAGUUGGGCAUUAAACUUGGCUAACCAAUCCAUACCCAAAAUUACAUCAUACUCCUUAAUAACCAAGCUUAUCAAGUCUCCUAACAAUCUCUUCUUUCCUACCCACACUUCGCAAUCCCUAUAAACCAUACUAGCAACCAAACGUUGAUUCCCCGUAGAUGUACUAACUUCUAGGUCGUAUGGUAAACUAGCAGAUUUUAUAUCAAUGCCACACAUAAAAUCAGGGUUAACAAAAAAAUGAGUGGCAUCAGGAUCAAUUAAAACUUUGGCAAAACGGUGAAAAAUAGGGAUCGUACCUUCUACAACCUCUGAGGAAUCCGAGUCCUGUCGAGGUUCUAUUGAAUAUACUCGAGCUGGCACUUUAGGUUUCGCUCCAUUCCCCUUAUUCGGUCCCAUAUUAGUUUUGGAUGUGGUUUGAACUCCCCUUCCGUCUUGCGUUAAGAGUGGGUAAGUAGCAAGCUGGUAGUCUGCGCUUCCGCAACGCAGACAUUUGCCUCUCUUCUUCCAGCAAUUGUCUUCAGAAUGAUUCGGCUUUCCGCAGUACCCGCAAGGCCCGUGGGACGCCGAACCUGAACCCUUUUGGAAGUUUCCACCUUGGCCUCUCCCAAGUAGGCCGCCCCUAGACUGAGCCCCUCUGCCGGAACCUGACUGUCGUCCACCUCCAACUCCGCGUCCAAAUUUGGAGGGAGUACCUUUGUCCCCUUGUCCAGAGCUGCUUCCAGGAAAACCCCGCUUCUUCGCCUGGAAGUUCCGGACUUGCAAUCGUGCACUCUCUACCCUUUGAACCUUUUCUACGACCUCGCUAAAAGCAUUGAUUUGAGCCACUGCGAGGUCCUUCUGGAUUUCGACGUUCAAGUCCUAGAUGAAACGCCUGAUCCGCCGCUGCUCAGUCAUGAUCAAUUCAGGCGCAAAUUUGGACAGGCGGGUGAAUUGACUCUCGUAUUCCGCCACCGAUUGAUCUCCUUGGCGUAGUCGAAUAAACUCGUCUUCCUUCCUCUCCUGCACCAGAGGAGGAAAGAAUUUCGCAUUGAAUUCCCUGAUGAAAUUCACCCAAGUCCUGGGUGUUUGUUCCCGUUCCCAUUUUUAUCGUAUUACGUUCCUCCAGGAACGGGCCGCCCCUUCUAACUGGAAUACGGCAAAAGUUACCUACCGUUCAUCGGUGUAGUGCAAGGCCGCAAAAAUAUCGACCAUCUUCUCGAGCCAUCUCUCGACAACAUCCGGAUCUGGCCCCCCAAUGAACUUGGGUGGAGCAAACUUUUGAAAAUGUUCGAGAGCUCUAUCUUCGCUCUCGACGUAGUUGCCAGGGUUCCCGGGAUUAGGGUUUGGGUUCUAACCUUGUUGCUGCACCACUUGUGCUAGCAGGUUAGUCAUUUGCUGCAUAGCGGCAGCGAUUUGCACAUUAGGGUCAGGGUUAGCUCCAGUAGAGGUUUUCCCAGUACCCCUAUCCGGUGUGGGUUGUCUAUUUUCGCGCCCACGUCCCCGUCCACUACGUGUUCCUUCAAUAACUUCACUUGGUCCAGACAAUGGUACUAAACCAAUAUAAAACAAUGCAUGUAACUAAAAUCCAAAACUUUUCCAAACAGAUAUAUACAUUCCAAGCAAGGCAAGCAACACACAUAUAUACAAUCAGUCAAAUCAAGUACAGUCAAGCCAAAUACACACCUGAACAAUCCCCAAGGGAAUGGCCUCAACAAAAGAAAUAUACACGUAGCUAAUCUAGACGUACAAAAUGAUUAACUAAGGCUCUUUCCCCUAUCCGCCUAUAUACAAAACAAAACUAUCCCAAAAGACACUAAAAGUCGAGACCUAGUCCGUCGAUGGCCUAGUAGACCCCCUCGAUGGGGUGGAUUCACCCGACAGGGUAGAUCCAGUCCCAGCUUCGGCCCCCGCACAUGAGUUCUCGUUGCUCACGCGCUCGACCACCUCGGCGCAGAGGUUCAGGAUCGAAGUGGCACGAUUCUUCACCUUUCGAGCUCGCUUGGACUCGCGCUCAUAGACUUCCCUCAGUUGAGUGCAGAGGUCAUCAACCCUAUCCUCUGCCUCAAGCACAUCGUACUUCAGACCAUUAAUGCGCUCGACCUGUCCCUCAUUGGCCACCCUAAGUUGGGCCACCUCGACCUCAAGUCUCGCAUUAUCUCUGGCCAACUCCUUAAGCUCCUCGGCCACUGCAAACACUAGAGUGUUAGGGUACGCAUACUUAUGUCGACACUCGCACCGUCUAAGGCGGUUAGACAGGCUCCAACGAACGACGGCCCCUCCUGGCCAUAUCUGGUAUGGUAUCACUGGGAGUGCUCCACGAGGUCUCUCGCCCAAAGGACUAUCACUAGGCUCACCCUGUCCGGCCAUCCUACACCAAAAGAGCAAUUAACGAUAAAUAAGCUUAAAGGCCAUAAACAAAGAACCCUCACACUGAGCAUUUCUAUUACACCCAGGUUAAUUCAAACCUAGAUUCUGAUACCACCUGUGACAACCCCACCUUCCCUUAAGGUGAACCAAAGGGGUUAGCGGACUGCCUGUCCAACUCUCGCCAGGACUAAAGGUGCAGUUUAGAGCGAUCUAUCGCGUUCUGGAACUGAUAACGCGCAUAAACAAAUCAAAAUGGCAAAAUAACCCAAAAUAAAAAAAAAUGAAAUCCGGAGUCGGCCAUGAAUAGUAACCGACCCGUCAGAACCCAGUCAAACAUCAAAAUACAUAUACAACAUAACAUUUAGUAUUUACAAGCCAAAAUGGCAUACAAAAGUGAUACAAAAGUUACUACAUGUAUGGUUUGCCAAAAUCAAAAGUGAAACGGCCCUAAAGGUACAUUUAGGGUUUCGAUUCAUAAGCUAUACAAAAGAGACAUUCAUUUAGCUCAUCCGGCAACCAACUAGCAAGAAUCAUUCCAAAAGUAGUCAUAUGCCUGUAAGGAAAACAAAAGGAACGGUGUGAGCUAAUUGCCCAGUGAGAUACUAUCACUUAAGCAACCAAAUUCAUGUACUCAUACAGUUUUUCAUUUCAAUUCGCCAAAAGUAAAUAAAGGCACACAUUAACGGCGGUGAGAAAAGGAUACGGGUGGCUCUCAAGAGCCCUUUUCCCUCAUUUGCAUUUCUUGAUCGGACGUCAUUGACUCUCCGUCAAUGUUCAAAAAUAACCAACCGUAGACUCCACUUUACUUCCAUUCCUUCCACCUAACAUUCCCCUACCGGACCCGAACUCCAAACACUUGCACUUUGGUAUUACUCGAGUAAACCGGAAUCGAGAGUCUCUCAUACUACAAGAUUCCAUAUAACACUUCCCCAAGGCACAUCAAUUGGCAAGACCAAACCCUCGCCGGCUCGAUUCAAUCAACUAUCAAUGGGGUUGAGCUCAAAGAUGACAAUUGUAGUCGUUGGAUACUCGUCCAAACGACACCAAGCCAUGUACUUUCAUUUCAUGUAACAUUUCAUAUAACAUUUCAAGAACAUGAUAAACAAUAAGAGAGAGUGAUAAAGUACGCUCUCACUUCAAUUAAUUAACAUUCAACGUAUCAAUUUCAAGUAUCAAAGCCAUAUAGUAACACACAAGUGAGUAGUACACUCACCAAGCUUGUAAAUGGUGUUUCAUGCACUUCCGUCAAAAGAACGUCGUGAACCACCGUCACGCCUUAAAACAUGCAAACAAGCACAAUGAGACUCGAUAACGAGUUAUAAACCAAUGCCAAAUACGACCCCAAUAAGGUUCCAUAAACAUAUACAAGCAUUAGAGGAAACCAGAAAAUCCGGAAAUGGAUUUAGCUUUGCCCUGAAAAAAAACAGUUUUUGACCUCAUUUUGCGGUAAUGGCACCCAAGGCACUAUGAUUACCGGAUGAAGGUACAAGAUCCACCAUUUCGAAGCUAAGAGAUAGGGCUACAAUGUUCCAGAAGGCAACUUUGUCCAGUUUUGAGUGUAACAAGGUCAAAAUGUAAGAUACUAUACCAGAACCGGAAAAACAGAUUCACAAAACGCAUUCUACUGCAAACAGCAUUACUCAGCCUACUUAAGUUCAAAUCCAGAAAUUCCAAAUCCAUCCGAAAUCUUAGAAAUAGGGCUACAUUUUAUUAGAAGACCUCAACAACCAAUUCCGAAGCAAUUCCAGCCAAAACAACCAAUUACAGGCGCAAUUCUUACAUUCGGGUAAAACCAGGACAGCAAGGGUAAUUUUGACUUUUCUCAUUCUACGCUACUCCGAUUGACCUGAAAUUUUGUAAGCACCUCUAAAAUAUCAUUCCCUACAACUUUCAUGUUUUAAGCCAAGGCCAAUUCGGCCUCUAAUUAGGAGCUAUAAAACCGGACAGAAUGUUCCCAAUAAAACCCUAACUUUCUAAAAUUUCUUCCAAACCAGAAAUUGGUUGCAAUUAACCACUUUUUCCACCUUCUAGAGUCAUCAUAUACCAUUUCCAAUCAUCAUAGAUAGCCACCCAAUCAUGUUCAUAUUAAAACAGAAAAAUCCCCAAAAAUUAUAAAAGUUCAUCAAUUCAACCACAACUCAAAAUAUAAUCCAUAAAAUGGCAUCUCAUACUACCACUAAGCAUAAUUUAAGCAUCAAUAAAGGGAGGAGAGUAGUUCUUCACAACUCACCUUAGAAACAAGAGAGAGAGAGCAAUAAGUCCUCUUAGUUUUCCAAAUAACUCCACACAACACCUCACUAUCACUCCCUUAAGUGGUUUUAUGGAGCACAAAUAAGAUUGGAAGGUUGAGUGAGUUGCUUGAAGCAAGAUUGAAGCCAAAAACCUGAAGAGUUUUCUUUCUUUUGUUGCUCAAGGAGCUCGGCCAAGAUGAAGAGAAAAUGGUGAAGUUUUGGUUUUUUUUUUUUUUAUUUAUUUGGUCAAUGAUAAGAAAAUGAAUAGUGGUCUUACAAGUCCCUCCAACCAAAUGGUGACACUUGUCACUUAUUUAAUGUAAGUCUAUCACUUUGUUUCCUCUCACACCAAUCCAAAUUGCAACCUCUACUUAUCUCUUAACACCCGGUAAAUUACAUCCAAUAUCCAAAACUUAACCUAGUUGGCCGAAUUUUUCCAAACUUUUCGCACUAGUGGGUCCCACGUCCGGUAUACGCUCUUAAUUUUUCAAAAACUAUUCGAUACUAGAAAAAUCAUCUAAAAACUAUAUCUGCCCAUUAAAAAUAUCUAGAAAUUUUCCUAAUCACGAAAAUGCAGAAAACAAGCCAUGAAAGAUAAUAAAACCUUGAAAAUGGGAAAAUUUACGGGUUCUCACAUCCCUUCCUUCCCAAUCACAAACAUAUUCAAAACAAUAAAUCCUUAUUUUAGAGCUAAAACCAUGCCAGUUUAAGACUAUAUUGAACCUAUAAGUUUUUAGCCUAAUUUUGGGUUUUGGGGGGAAGGGAGUUUUAAACUUUUAUCUGCUAAUGAUUGAGAGAAAGAGAGAGAGAGAGAGAGAGAAAGAGAGAGAUCUAUUAGUAACGAGGGAGAAAAACUUCAAGCAAAAAUUGUUUAGACGAGUUUGGUCCUGAAAAAAUGCGCCUGCAAAUCACGUGACGCCCAUUCCAUUUGAUUUGAUAGUCAAAUUACACGGAAUGACACAAAACAUGUAAUUUGAUUAGUUCAGCGACAUUUUCGACUAACAAAAUAGUUUAAUGACCUGAACUAGUACAAGUGUAUAGUUUAGUGACAUUCACCACAAUUUACUCUAAUUUUAUUAAACCAAAUCUCAAAAACAACAAAAGACAAGUCGGAGACCUUUCACUCUUGUGCUCACGGCUGUCACAAUUCUCACCAGACUCUAACAAUUUCUUGGAGUAGUCCCUCCUCAGUGUUAAUAUGCUAGCAGCAGUGCUCUAUGACUAAUACUUGAAUCAUUACUAUUUGGACCUGGACUCAAUUACGGAAACUAUACCUUAUCAAAACUAGACAUUGAAAUAAGAAACUAAAAGGAUUAGGAAACUAAGUAAUAAAAUAGUUUGGUUUAAUUUCCUUCAUUGCCUCCCUUAAAUCAAGUUUUUGAUGUUGUCAUUUCCAAUGCCAUCACGAGUUUGAAUUUCCAUGAAAAUCUCGGUUGUAGUAUAAACGACACAAAACACUAACUUGCAAUGGAUCUCCAAUUUCAUCUUUACACGUGAUAAUGGACGAAACUUGUACUUUUCGAAUAAUUUCUUGGCUUGAUCACCCUUGUUAAAAUAUUCAAACAUGUCCACCCAUUCUUCAUUAGAUACUCCAUAAUAUAAUUUAAUUCAUCCACAUCACCAAGAAAAUUUCCUGAAAUCACAAAAUCAUACUUUCCAUUACCAAAAAUUUCAAUAUCAUCAUGAACUUGUUUUGAUUCGUCCAUAACAAUGACCACAUUAGUUUUUAGCAAUGCCAUAAUCUUCAACUAAUAUUUCGACCUCACAAUUAUUUUUAAUCAACUUUAUCACUUGAUUUUCUUCUUCAAAAAAUUCAUCAAUUCCAACAAAAUUAACAAUAUCUACAUUGUCAUGAUUUCAAACCACAUCAAUAAUUUCGCUUCUUUCUCAACAACUUGCAAAAUUUCUUUUUUAGCUAUAAAUUCUUCAUCUUCAUAUGUACCCAUAAAUUCUGCAGUUUCUUCUUCUUUGUUUCAUCAACAAAUCCUUUUUCUUCUUUCUUGGCACAACUUUCUUAUGCACCAUGACUACAAUAAGAAUUUAUCAAAACUUUUCAAGCAUCCUUUGCCGUCUUUGCAUGUAUGAAUUUAUUCACUACGUACAAUUGGACAUAUGUGUUGAGAUAGUGGAAUGCCUUACAAUCCAAUUGUCUAUUCCUCUCUAACUCUUUAAGUGCAUCACCUGAUGAUUCCAUGCCUCAUAUAGGUUCCAUGAACCCCUUUUGAACAAUAUUUCAAAUUCCAAUAAUUUGAAAAUCUUUUCAUCAUCUAACUUCAAAUCUCAAAAUUGUUUUAACCAUCAAAGAUAAAACAACACAACAUGCUAAAUAAUAUAGAUCCAUACUUCAACUUCAAGAACAAUCCCUAAGCCCGAGAAUUAAAGUUUAGAACUCUGAUACCACUUGUUAGUACGAAAAAUCACGCACAUAGUGAAAGUAAUUUUAACACAUGUCUACAUUAUAUAUAAGAAGAAAGCCAAGUUGCUAUAACAGCCCAUCUUUUUGACACAUGUAUUACAUAUAUUUUUGACAAAUGGAAUCUUGGUAAUUUUAGCUAAAUUUUUCCUUCCCUUUCUUGAUUCAAUUGGGCCAAAAGGAUUAAAAUAUUUUUUCUUCUUCAGAAAAUCAGCUCCAUCUUUUCUUCUUCUUCUUCUUGCAGCAGCUGCUGUCAUCCCUCACCUUUUUUAUUUUUUAUUUUUUAAAACUAAUCUAACUAAGAUUGUUCCCAUGUUUUUUUUUUUUUGGUUGAGAUGAUUAGCUACUUAGCAAAGAAAAGCCUUUAUUAUUAUUUUUAUCCCAUUUUACAUUUUCUUUUCUUCCUUUUUUUUCAUCUCUAAUUUCUCAUAUUUGCUCUAUUCUUCAAUCAUAAUAUUAUAGCCAGCUGGCAUUUGUUUGUUAAAUUUAUAAGAUGACGUUGUUGUUUGGUAUUUCUUCAUGGAUAAAAGGUGAAAUAUUAAAAUAUAUAAAAAGAUCUUGGAAUUCAUUUUAUACCAAUGAUCAUCUUCUGUGAAGAAUAAAACAAAAAUUCAUUCUUUUAUUUUCUCCUCCCACAAUUUGAUUUCUUACGUCACAUUUUUUUUCCUUUUUUUUUUGUUUUUUGGUCACGUUUUGUAAUUAUCUACAAUUUUGUGUAUUUUUUUAAAGAGAAAAGGUAUAUCAUGUGAUACUUCCAUCAAGAUCAAUCUAAUUAGGCAUUCUUCUACAUCUAUUUUUCUCUGUUUCUUUCUUCCUCCCCUUCCCGCCCUUUGCAAUUACUUUAUGGUCUAUUCAAUUUAAUUGAAGGAUCCAAUAAGAUUUUGUAUAUAUUUAAACUAAUGUUAAUUUUUGUUUGUUUUUUAAUUACUCAAGUGCUGUAGUAUCAAUUGGGCAGGCAUACAAGGAUUGUAGUUGGUGGUGGAAGUCACAAUUGAGACUUUCAACUUAGGGCGUGACUUGACAAAAAAAUUGUUAGAAAAUUCAAUUUUGAUUAGGAAGAUGCUUUUGCAAUAAAAAAAAAUGCUUUAGUUCUAAUUUGUAUAUGUAGAUCUAGAAACGUAACAAUUCAUAUUUUUAUCUAACCUUGAUAUUUAUAUCCUGGAACUGCAGGAUAAUGUUGUCACAUUUAAGCAGGAUUUAAAUAAAUGAAUUAGCUUCUUCCAUCAAAAGAAAGAAAACUAUGGAAGUUUAUAGGAAAAAACUAUAUUGAUGUUGAAUAUUAUGCCAUGUCUUAGUGGCUUUCUAAACUUUUUCUCAUUAUUAAAGUACUAAAAACAUUAUGACUAUUUUUGAUUUAAUUACAACUAAAACUAUACUGCUAUUAAUACAGUAAUGCACUUAUAAUGUAUUAAUUCUCUCUUCUUUUUGGGUAUCAUCAUAAUAGUGGUUCAAAAAUCUUUAUUCAAAUCACAAUAAAUAAGGGGUUGACUUCAUAGAUGGAAUUUCUCUUCACAACAAAUUUUGAUGAAAAAUUUAUUCCUACUCCAUAUUUUGUUAAUUAUAUUCCUAAAUAAAUAAAAACUAUAUCAUAAAAAAUAAUAGUGAAUGUGUGAUUAACAAAAAUGAGAGGUCAAACAACUUUUGUCAAUUUUAAUUGUUUUGAUUCUCAAUUUUUCUCCUAUAUUUCUAUUCAUUCAUCAUGUGCCAAAAUAAUUUGAUUUUAUGUGUUCGACUAAAUUUCUAGGAGGCCCAAGCUGUACUUUGUAUAGCUCAAGUACCUCUAGUAUAAAAAUAUGUAGGAAAAGGGAAAGAAAUAAACUCACAAUCAAACCUCAAUAAUUUUAUUGAAUCAAAUCUCAAAAACAACAAAAGACAAGCCGGAGACCUUUCAUUCUUGUGCUCACUGCUCUCACAACUCUAGCAAUUCCUUGGAGUCGUCCCUCCUCAAGUGUUAACAUGCUUUUAGUAGUGCGAUAUAUAUAUAUAUAUAUAUAUAUAGCGAGAGAGAGAGAGAGAGAGAGAGAGAGACUAACCCAAGGGAGUAAUCAAUUCAAACCAACUAGGAGUUGGACUAACACUUGACUCGUCACUAUUUGGACCUGGCCUCAAUUACGGAAACUAUACCUUAUCAAAACUAGACACUGAAAUAAGAAACUAAAAGAAUUUAGGAAAUUAAAUAAUAAAAUAAUUUGGUUUAAUUUCCUUCAAUAUCUCUACAUUCUCAUUUUUGCUAACCGACUCCUUGGGAGCUCUUUUUUGAGGGAAAAGCACGACGGUUGGCACAGUUGACUCCUGAUCUUUUACCAUAUCUUCACCAUCUUUCUUUUGUAUAGAUGAGCAGGAAGAAAGAACUUCAUCAUCUACACCGUUUGGGAGUUGUGAUAGCUCUCUUUCAUCUCUGGGGAAGCUCGAGUGGUACCUAACCGGUUCCGUUUGUUUUGCUGCAUUCAUUGGACAAUAAUCCUUCACUUCAGAUGGAUUUGUAUGAGAAGUCAAAUGCAGAUUUUGAUCUUUUCUGGUGCUAGUUCGAUGUUGCGAUUGUGCAGCAGCAAUUCCAGGCAUGCGUCCUAAAGUCACAGGCUUCAUGGCCUGAGCUUCCAGGGUUUGCAUGAUCCAAUCAUGCAGUCUCUGGACGAUAUAAAAUCCAUGGCCAAGAAAGCCUCCCAAACUCAAAUGCUGCUUCAAGUCUUGUGCUGCUAGAACUGCAGAACUUGCUAUGAAGAUGAAGAGUCUGCAGAAAAUGGCUAAAGCAUCCCGCACAAAACAUUCUGUAGGCAGGAUGAAAUUGAUGAAUAUGCGAAAAAUGCCAAGGCUUUCAGGGCUGCCCUUUAAUUCAUCCAUAUCCUCCUCCAUUCUUCAGAGGUUGCAUUAAAAACAUUGAGGGCUUGCUUCAUCUGAACGCAAGGUAAUCACGGUGUUAUGGGAGAGAAUCUCCCACACGUCAAGCAACAAGGAUUACUUUAUGCCAGAAAAGUUCUUUUCUUUCUUUUUCCUCUGCCCGAUAUCCACCCAGAGUUGAUUAUGCUUUAAAGAAAUAGGUCGCUUUCGGGAAGAUACAAGAUCCAGUUGCUUGACUGUUACCUUGAAUAUUAGUUGAAGGAUUUACCAUGAGUAAGAAAAAGGAUGACUGUUGAUAUUCCUACAAACAUACAAUUUAGGGGAUAUAAGUUUAGCAUGUACAACAACCUUGGGACCAGUUAGUCAAGAAAGGACACAAGGAAUCUCUAACCUGGUAUGGUCUUCAGUUCCCAGGAAUACCCGAGUCACUUUAGCCCAAUUCUUGAGUUCCGCAAAAUAUUCCUAAUCUUGACUGAAUUUAGCACAUUUGACAUAUAGAUUUGUAGAAAUUUGAAACGGGCCAAAGUGCAAGAUUUGGUAAAGGAAAUGAAUGGGGGGAGGACAACCCCCAAGACUAUUAUCUAUACAUGAAUGCCAGAGAUAAUAACAAAACAUGUUAGUAUGCUUUCAUGUUCAACGAACACCACGAAACCAAUCACAACACUGAAUGAAUGCCAGGGCUUUACCAAGUCGCAAAUUACAAUCCUAGCAGCACUUCAUCUGAAGGGUAAAUUAAUGUUCAGCAGAUUAGAAAGAAUAACAAAAAUGAAAAACCUACCUUUGCUGGUUUUUCAUUCAGUAAAUCUAGUGCAUAAAGUCUUUCCCUUCACCUCCUUUCUCCCCCCUUUGUCGGGAAGAGGUUGUGUUCAUAAACUGAUGUCCUGUGUAGUAACAAACCUUAAUAUGAACCAUGCAUGUAAUUCCACAAAAUGGAUUAUUUCAAAGAUCCAGCAAAUAAGUCUCAAGGUCUGAAAAUUAAAGAUAAAUGAUCCGACUACCCAUGAUCUAAGAUUCCCCAAAAUGGUUAAACAACUAGACCAACAAGAAUUCGAGUAUAUCAAUGCUGUAAAGUACAUAUCCACUGGGAAUUCACAAGUCGUUAGAUGAAUAUCACUUAAAAUAAGUGCAGUGUUCAAAAACUCCAAAACGUCAUCCCCUCAUUCAACUUUACAAGCAUGAAAGCAGCUAUUUGAAUCUGCCCAAUGACUUACAGGGAAUUCACAGUAUAAGCUAUUCGUGGCCAAAAAAAAAAAUUAAAAUUAGUCCUUUACAUCAGAAAUUUUACUGAACAAACAAAUUCUAAAAAAUGAUAAGAUGCCAUUAUUCAAAAUUUUUAGUUUACAAAAUAUCUCCUCAUCAGAUAAAACCUCAUGAAGUGUUGAUUCGUCCACAUAGACGCCAAUAUGCUCCAGGGUGGAAGAGAGAUUUCUCAAAAACCCAUAUCUCACGCACAAGAACCUGAGGCAAAAGGGUAAGCGUCAGGUACAUCUUAUUAUCUUAUUUCAGGAGAGAAGCAAUAGCUUCAGUCCUUGUCAUCAAAGGUGGUGAGCAUCACUGAAUUUCAAAUGGCAUUAGAUUCCAACUCUCAUGGAUGACAAUUAAAUGUGAACAUCUACUAAUAUGAACAACUACCAAAGGGUAGGUUUUCGUUCAUCCACCAUGACCUGUACUAAUCCUCAGUAAGGGUGGGGAUUCAGUUCUCAACUAGUCACCUUUCAGAUUCCUAUAAUCUACAAUCCCCUUUUGUCCAAGAACUAAUCUCAGAAGCAUUGGCAUAUGUAAUCUAUUUACACGCACUUUCAAAUAGGUCCCUAGAAAGUAAGAACUAGAAAGUAAAUGGUUAACUUGUUCAAUGUUCAAAUGCUCUAACCAGGAGGGCUACCACUAAAACCUUCUAAGGGGCUACAAGAUGUUUUGGCAUCUUAUUGGAGGCAUGAAUACUAUCCCGAAGCAAUUUAACUAAUUAAUUUUCCUUCAAACAGGAUUAGAGUAAGGUACAUUUAUUACAAAGACACCCAGUAAAUGGACCAGGUAACCAUGAUGAUAAUACUUACCCAAAAAAAAAAAAACCAUAAAGAUAAUAACAAAAGUUACAGAUUAGCACUCAUUUCUUCAAGAAAAGUUGAGAAAUAAUGUUAUGUGAUAAACUUUGAAAGACUAGAUAAACCCAAUUAGUAACUUCUAUUGGUAUCAUGUAAUUUGUUUACUAAAGUGCCAGAGUCUGGCAAUUCUUCCGUGCAAGGACAAUAUUCAUCCCUCGAGCAGGACAACUAAAUUUUUUCAUAUUGAAACUCUCCAUCAGAUCAUGGCUAACACCUAGAAGCACAUCUCAGAAAAGAUUAGCAAAAUUUUACCAGCAUAUUUUCAUUCACUUCACUUAAGAAGAAUAAGCAUUUAGCACCUACCUCCUUGUCCUUGUCUCCAGCAACAACAGUUCCAUUUGUAUCAUAUGCCUCAUAUUUCUGCAGAAAUAAAUAAAAGUGUAUUGGCAAAAGUAGACAGACAAAAUGAUCAUGAACCAAGCAAACACAAAUGGUGACACUUGUGUAACAAUCUAUAGAUGAUCUUUACUAUUGAACCAGAGCAGUGGGGUUAUAAGAUGAGCUUCUUCAUGCAAGAUUUGUAACUCCUAGGAUAAGCAAGCCCAAAAAGCAUUCUAAUUUCCAAUAGAAUACUGCUUUUAGGCCACAGAUUCGAAACAAAGAAUUGCCAGCAUGUGAAUACGACCACACAUAGACCAUAGACGGCACUGGCCAUAAGCGAUAUAUAACCUUCCUAAGGCAUCCUUCCAAUAUUGAAAUCAUCCUCCUUGGACUUACUAUUAUGUUAGUUGCUAUUUCAUGUGGUUGUACUAUUAGAAAAAGAAGUUACUUGUAGAAAGGUCAAUCUCUACAGCACACUUGGACAUCUGGCACAAUCCUCCACAUCAUGACAUCUGGCAUCACCCAAAGAAAACACAGGAGUUCAGGGUCUCUCUCUCUCUGUAAAAGGACGCUUUGAUCUUAUUCUCUCAGAUCCAUAAUCACUAGUUCCGUUGCUGUGUUAACAUUUCGCAAAAAUCACUAACCAACUAUGCAGAUCUGAAACAUGCACACACCUCAGCAACUUUCACCCUAGAGUUCGCUGCAAGAUUUGACUUGAACCAACUAUGCUUAGUUUUCUGUCCUGUUUCCCGCUUAGACAGAUGCUAAGAAGAGUAUUUCACUUAUUUCUACUUAUAACUCUGCACGCAUGAACAACCAAAUUGAAAAGAAUCAAGUACCAUUGCACAUGGUCCUAAUGCUCGAAUUAACUAAUUGACUAUAAUUGACUAAACACAUUGUAAAUUAUAAUCAAAACAGCAAACAAAAUUCAGCAAACAAUGACAAACCAUUAAACACACUCACAAAGCAGAUUUACCUGUUUAGUCAAAAAUUCAAGUGUAAGCUGUGCAAACGCCUUAUUAAGAUUUUCCCGAUCAAUGGCAAUCUGCAAAGAAACAGAAAUGCCUUAAUGCAGAAUGAAAAUACUGAAAAUGAUAAUCAUCUUAAGGUUAAAUGUAACAAAUGAUUAAAUUUCGCUAUUUGAAUAAUAACUCGUAUCUUGAAAACUAUAUGAAUUUCGAUGACAGCAAUGAAGCAACACUGAUUUGCCCUAUAGACGCUCUUUUUGGUAGAAUUUUAAGCCUUUACACUAGAACUGAUAUUGGUAGAAAGAAGACACUACAAACCCAAAUCCCCUCCAGACAUUGGAAAUUAAACAAACUAGUGGAACACUAAGGAUAGAAAGCAUGAAGGGAAUCCCAUAAAGUUUCAAAUCGUUGUGGAACAGCACUUGCUAUAAAUAAGAUCUGCCACCUAAGGUCCUUCUCAAAGUCAAGACUAAUGACCACAGUAGAAAGAUUAACAAGUAAAACAUGCGUGUACGCAUAAACAGGUAGCAUUCCUGCAAACACAUACAUGCACAUGAAGCAUCCAGACUACAGAAAAUUUCUAUGAAGCAUUCAUAAAUCAAUAAGACAUGCAUUUUUUACCAGACACCACAUGUGUCCGGAAAAAUGUUCAAAGCUCAACCAGCAGAAACAAAGGUCCAUGUCUGGUGUUGGCGCAAAAUAGCAUGCAAAUAAAGAAAAAUCACAAAGAAAUAUGCAAAGAAGCAAAAGAAACAUUGUAACCCAGACACAUUCUCAAGUUUGUCAAACUCUGCUCUGGAAUAUGUUACAACUUGCUGAGGAAAGGAAAUCUAUUGGUUAGCAUUUCAUCUGUGUAGAACCAGAAUAACAAGCAAUGCCUCUACAUCUAUGUUACCUCUUCAGCACAUAAAGAUAAACCUCAAAAUAGCACAGCGUUUAGAAUUUAUGUCAAUGUUCAUAGAUACUUGCCAGUCGAGCACGUAGUGUUCGUAUUUGAACUGCUGGUUCCACCAGUUCCCAAUACAUUUUACUCCACCUGGAUUCUCUUUGCUUGAUUUCAUUCUUGAGAGCCUGUUAUAAGCAAUGAAGGAAUUGAGCUCGUCUGGAUUUAUAUCCAUAUACAAAUUCAAGUGGUUCCUAUAAGUCAGCUUCAAGAAAGGUAGAUGUUUUUAACGUCCAUAUAUAAUUGUGCCUAAAAAAGCACAUUUUAGGAGAAAAGCGCACGUACAGAAUACAUCUUCUCUGUAACUAAUUUCCUCAAUGAUGUUUUGUCUCCAUUAGCAACUUUAGUACUUAUCUGAGAAGCUCAGAAGAAGAAAAAGUUCCAUGAGAAAGAAAUUCCACUAAACACCACAAUCAAAAGGAUAACAGCAAAUAUAACUUGCCAAAGUUCUACCGCAGAGUAAUUUCUUGAUGGCAAAAGCAAACCUCUUUGUACAAGUCAAAAGCUUCAUUAUAGAACUUCUGUUUAGAGUAUCCAGAUUUUCGCAAUUUAGCAAUGGCAUACGCAGUUUUGAGCUGCAAACACAAAAUCAGUGUCUUAAGAACUUAAUAAUCAACAAGAAACAGGUUAAAGAUCUGCAAAGAUUUAUUAUACAUCGCUCAAAUCUAAUCAAAGCUUCUAUAUAAGAUCCACAUACACACGCAUGUGGAGCAUCAGGUAACUAUAAGCACUUCUAUUGAGAUAGAAAAGUACAAAUGUGGAAAUACAAUUUUCAAAUGACAAAUUCAUGCAAGUUUGGACAACUUACAAAUGUGAAUUUCCCGCUGUUUGCUGCAAUAUGAAAUUAGUCCGGAAGGAUAAAACAACUAUCGAACUCACAGAUUGACAAAUCUAAAUUCAAUCGGGUUCAUUACCUCUAAAAUAAGAUCAUCUUUUGUUCUACGCCAACCACUUCUUGUAAACCACCUGAAAUCACAAGACACAAGUAUAAGCCAAGUUGAUCUGUACCCAUAAAUUCCCUAAAGAAUCAUAGAGCAUUUAUAGUUCCAAUGGAACUCAAGAACAUGCUGAUAUCUUUUUAUAAACACUCUAGGGCGUUAAACAAGAGGUCAAGAGAGUCAAAAUGUCUUGCCAACUAGCUAACAGAUCAGCUCUUGAAAUAGUGGGGAGCAGUCAAAAUCAUAAGCAAAGCACAACAUGCUGCUUUUUUAUUUAAAUAGCAGAUGAAAAUUUCAUCAAUAGAACAAAAAUACAACAUAAUUAAUCUUUAUUUAAAGGAAAAUUCAUUCUUUAACUCUAUCAAUUUCUACCAUAACCUUGGUAAGGACAAUAACGUAGAAAAAUGAGAAAUCAAUAGUCUUAGUACAUGAAAGUCUUCAAUGUGUUCUUGGAACACUAGCAUGCCUAUCUGUUAAAUGCUUGCAUUGUUCUCAAAAUAGGUAAGAAAAUGAAACCCAAGAAGGAAAUGAUAUUUCACGGAUGAUAUAGCUGAGGAAUGAUUAAUAUUUUAUAACCAAAGAAUCAUUUUGUCACAAAUUAUAGAAAACAAUACUGGAUAGAUUUGAAACCUACAUUUAGUAAACACAGAUUGACCAUUAGUACAUGUAUACUUUUUUUCACUUUGCUCUUUCGAGUAGCAUAUAUAAUCACCGCAGCUACUAAAAUUAUUUGUAUCCAUAUACUAUAAAGAGUUCGAAUUCUCCUUCACUUUUAAAAUGGUGAAGUUCUUGUCACAAGGAAAACUUUAAUAGUAAUUAGCAUUGUCUUGAAGAGUAUGCUAACCUUCUCCAGAAAGGAAGCUUUUCACGAGGUGCAUAUGGCUCAUACACAAUUCCAGGACUCUGCAUAGAUACCUGAAGUGCUCCCUGCAUAUUAGGAGUGUAAACGAGGCAAUAAGCUAACAAACUAUUUCUUUUACAGCUGAUUAUAUCUUCAUAACCUAGCAUGCACAAACAAAUGAUGCCACCAAGGCUACUACAGGUCAAAAAGAACAAUACAUCCUGGUAAUCUUAAACCAUAUUUCUGCAAUGGCCUCAAGAUAACUUCUCUGAGCAAUAAAGAAUUGCUAUAUGUGGGUUUACAACAUGAUUGCACUUUAGCAGAUUGUUGAAAAGACCAACACUUAAAUGUAUUAGAACACUAGAGGGAAAAAGCAUUGACCACACCAUAAGUAUCCAUUUCAGCAAAACACAAUUAAUUGAAGAUUAGAAAUUAACUAAUUAACUAAUAAUAUUUCUUUUGCUGUUUAUGGAUGAUGUCAACUUUUCCUGUUUCAGAUUCAACAGUUCUAUUUCUGCUCAAAAAAUUGAGGUAUCCAAGUUUUGAUGUUUCUCAUCCCAGGACAUCACCUUUUCACUCUCCAAACAUAAGCAUUAGGGGAAAGAUGCUCGUUUCAGUGUAAAAUAUCAAGUUGGCAGUAAUAUAGAUGCUUUGGUAGUAUAUGUCAUUAGAUUUUUCAUCCUACCUUUAAUUUAUAUGCAAAAGGGAUGUUUAAAAAGUACAAGGGAGUAACAAGAAGGUAAUUAACCACUGGAGGAUGAAGAGUAAUCUAGUUGGAAAGACAUUCAUAUGCUGUAAAUGAAGAGGCAGCACUUAUAAAUAAAUUGAGAGAGCAAAGAACUCAAGCACAAAUCAAGACCAAAAUGAUAUUUUCACACUCUAAUGGGCCAGACAGUCGAAUAAGAUGUUAAGCUAGAUGUAGUAAAAACUGCAAUAGGUAGACCAAUGAUUAAAACCAUAACACAUGGUCAAUAUAUUAGUAGACAAUAGAAAUAGCAAAUCAGAUACAUGACUUUCAGUUACACAUUUUGCCGUUAGUAAAGCAGCUAAACCUCAUAACCCACAGAAUCUAUUGGCCAUUAAUAAUUCACCUGGCAAACAACAUUAACAGCUCUCAAUCAUUUCCAAACCAAAAAUUUGCCAUUAGCAACAAUUUCUUAGGUGAGAACCAGAAUGCUAAUACCAUAGCAAAUUAUCAACUUUUACAACCUUUUGAACAAGAUAUAGGACAGUAUUUGUCACCAUAUGUUACAUUGAAGAAUUAUGACUAGUUGUGCUCCCACUUUAUCUACCUUUUUUCGUAAAAAGACGAUAACACAAUGGGAAAAAAAGCAUGAAAACAUUAUCUAUCAGGAACUUUGAUACCCUUGUGCUCAACUCCUUGUUGCAUACCAAGCAAUUUAAAAAUUGACCAUUAAUCAGCAAUAUCAAGGAUAAACUCCCAUACCAUUAGUCGUGCUUGGGCUGGAGCUUUUGCUUGUGUUGUAACAAAUCUAGCAUAGCCAAAAUUGGAUAGCUCAGCUACCUAUGAGUAAAAGUUAAAUGCUCGGUGAGAUUCAAACAUCACGGUUUAUCAGACAGGAAAUUUGACCAAAAAAAGAAAUUCUAAAGACAAAACAAAUAGCAGCAGCAAACAGCAGAGAAAAAACAGUGGAAGAGAGUCAAGCACAGAAUCCACAAAACUAAGACUCAAGUAGAUGCAUCCAUGUAGGAGGAACAGAAGUCAUCCCAGAAGAGACCAAGCACCAGCAAAGGAAUAUAAUCCAAAACAUGAAAGCAACAUUGCCAUUUCACUUUCAAAAAACCUACCGUUGUUGCUUGAAGUAUGAUUUUAGUACCAGGAGUCCAAGGAAGUCCUCUAGAGUCCUUGGUUACACAGGACGACAUGGUCCUACAAAUAGCUAGUGGAACAGUCCCUGCCAGAAAAAUAUAGAGAAAUCAACAGUGUCAGCCUGAAAUUUCUUGAACUUUUGAAUAAACAAACCAAAUGUGAAAAAAAUACUUUCCUAGAAGUGUAAAAGGUGAAAUGAGAAAGAAUUAAUGAAAACGUAGGAAGUUUCUCCUUACAUUUAUUACAUGAUUGAUGAUUAAGAUAUCUUCCAUCCAAACAAGAGGAAUUGCCCCAGGAUUUGGAAUCUGAUCAUAAAGAACAUUACAGCCCAUCAACCAUACCAGAAUUUAGAAUUACGAGUCCCACAUAACAAGGAGCCAAGUCAAAAUUCAUAGGAAAAACCCAUCUUUGAGAUAAAAAGGGAAUUCAAAUAGGAAAUUAAUGGUCAAAAAAAUUAAAAAGAAAUCAAUAAAUUAGAAAAAGCCUAUAACUUUGUUCAGCAAGCAAAUUUCAGAAGCACUCCUGAACUGUAAAAAAAGACAAUAAGAAUCCCAUUUCGCCUAAUUUAGCUAAUGUAAGCGAGGAAAAUAAUUUUCUUUCUUCUUAACUUUUUUCGAAGGGGAAAACCACUUCCCUGUGUGAUCCGCAUAAAUCAAUUCAAUCCAAAAAAAAAAAAGGCACAGCAGAAACUUUUCCAAUGCAUAGACAUAUUACCAGAAAGAACCAGUCAUACAGAAAUUUUUCUUCAAAAAAAAAGAGAAAAAAGAAAAAAGAAAUACAUGCGCAAAUUACCAUGUGAAAUGACAUUUGAAUAUCUUCCUGAGCUCCCAAGCCUGCAAGACAGUUAUACCAAGUGAAAUUUGAAAUAAAGGGGCAAAAGAACGAUUCUUGAAAGUUUUCAACGUCUUAGGAGUAAAAAUAAAGGAAACUAACAAACGGGAGAAUUCUGGAAUUUGAUUUUUUGCUCGAUAGAGAUUCCGGAUCAAUUGCAAUCGAGGACCCAAACCCAUUUUUGAGUUUCCACAGAGGAGACAGAGACAGAGACAGAAAGAAAGGGUUUUUGGGUUUCAAGGGUUUAAGAUUUCAGGGGAUUACCAGCAGCGCUAGAGUUGCUUUUUUUGGUUCAGUUGAAGGCGCGAUCUAUAUUUCACGUCUUUGAACUUUGGUUUUGGUGGCAAAAAAAAAACAUUUCUUUUGUUGUUUUAUUUUAGGGAAAUAACGGUGCCGUUUGGAUAGUGUAUUAUUUGGGAUAUUCAAACUUGAUUUUUGUGAAUGAUAAAAGUUCCAAAUAAGCGUCUACUUGAAAUAAUUGUUUGGAUAGCUAAAACAUUUAUUUAUCAUUUUCCCACCAAGAGCUAUUCUCUUAUAAGUGGUUCACCACAAUUUGACUAUAAAUGCUUGACAUUGGAGUUUCUACUUACAAUGUACCUAUUUGACUUCAAUCACCAAUUCUAGUUCGCUCCGGUUGGCUCUAGUGUGGCAUUAGUUCCUUGGAUAGUAAUGAUAUUGUCCAUAUUUCAGAUACUGUCUUCUAGCGCCUGCGUCGCCCUUGGGUUACAUACAUUUCAUUAGCCAUUGCAUCUCGUGCUGCCUUUCACGCCUCAACCCCUUCUCGAGAAACAUUUAAUGGCUACAUACAUAUUUUUUCUUUGGGUUGGGGUUAUACCUUGAAAUGGACAUUCUCAUCCUCAAACUCUCAAAAGUAAGCAUCCCUAGGCUAUGCUAUUCUCAAAAAAUUAUGUAACGCGCAGCAUGCAAUUACCAAACUAAUUUGGGUGCUCAUAUAGAAAUUCGGCACUGUGUUUAUGAGGAAUUUAAAUCUUGCCUUCAAUACACCAAAACUGUUCUCUAUAACAUUCCGAAGUUCUGAAUGUCGAGUGUUAAACAACCGUUUGGUUGGGUCUCGUUCACGUACAUUCUUAUAUGGUGGUAAGAAAUUCGGAAUGUUUCUAUACGCUGCAUUGACCAAGUAGUACUAGCCUAUAUUUCCAAAAACUGUAGGGGAUGUUAGCACAAAAAUUAAUAGUCAAACUAUUGCCCCCAAAGUGUGUGUCAAAUAUUAAUGUCACCACUUAUGACCUGAAAGGCAGAAUCAAAAAAUCUGAUGGCGGCAUCAACACAAAUUCAAGAAUGCGAGUAUCAUGGAUACUACCUUCCCAUCCAGCGUACACGUAGUUGAAGCGCAUGUCAAAAUCACAGACUGCUAGGACAUUUUGUGAGUGAAUCCUAUGUCGAUUGGUAUACGUCAUUUGCUCUCCACUAAACGGAUAUGUUGGAAUAUGUGUGUCAUCCAAAGCUCUAACAGCACCCUGUUCAUUUGGAUCUAUCAAGUAUUUUAUUUUGGACUGUCUACACCUCAAAAUUAAUGAGGCAAAUGUUAUGCUCUUUAGCCAGAGUUAACAGCUACACAAAAUGUCAGUUCUUUUUUACUUGAAAACUUAAUAUAAAGUCACGAUAACUUUACCUUGAACCAUUGAUAGAAAUGUCUUGAAUUCGCUAUUCUUGGGUGAACAUUAUCAUGGUCAUACGGCCUUAUUAGUGUGGAGGCAAAUCUGUAUAGGCCAAGUAACUCUGUGCACGUUCCGGUUAAUUGUCCUCGUUAACCGAUUGAAACAUUCGGCUAGCAUACACUGAGUGUGGCGAUGACUGACCAUGACUAAUGUCAUUGCCAAAGCUUCCUCGAUUUCAACCCUUUGCUGAUAGGAUCUAGAUACAUAACCAUUCUGCACUAGUAUGUCACAUAAUCGAAAGAAAUUAUCAAUCAUUAUCCGCAUGUUUUCUAUUUUUCAUCGGUGAUGGCCAUUGAUCAACUCUUCGACCCAUUCACGUCCACUUAAAGAGUUCUCAUGGUGAGAUAUUUUAUCCCUAUUCAAGUCUCGAUGCAAUGUCAUUAAUUCUAUUGCCAAGGGUAGCAUGGCCUCGCCCCGUUCAUUUUCUACAGAUAUAGAGUGCCUUCGUCCUCUUGCUGUAUUCCUAUUGUUAUUUGUCAUGUUCCUAAUGCAUAGAGGAAAUCUAUAUAAUAAGUUAGGGAAUAUGGACAAAUUGACAUAUACAUUAGGACAUGGUACGUGAGUAUGUUUACCUUCAUAGUUAGUAGGCCACAGACAUUUCGAUAGCAGAAAAAUUGAAAUUGUAGAGUGAGAGCAGAGCAUGAGCAAGAGUUUUGCGUGAGUUGUAGUUUCCUUCAGACAUCACACGUUAUACAGGAAUUAAGCCGCUGACACCCAUUAAUGUACGCCAAAGUUUUGCAUGGCUCUCUAUGUUAUGUGCACCCACUUUCUAUUAAGGCUGACAUGUUACAGGUGAAAGUCUGAUUUCCAUUUCAAUGACUACUCAUUCGCUUUCAAAAUUAAGAUGAUAACUUUUUGCUGACUUCUUAUAUAUAAUUAUGGUCUCCAAGACCGGGAACAUAUAAGGAAUCAAAUUGUGAAAGAUAUGGCAGAGAUACGCUCUUGAUUAUAUUAGUUCUUUAAAUAUUAUUAUAUUUCAUAUUAGUCUGUGAAGUAGGACCUUUAAUCAUAUUGGUGCCUUUAAAUAUUAUUAUAUUUUAUAGCCUUGUUUUAUUUUUUUAAAAGAAAAAUUUGCAUUUCUUUUAACAACUAGACCGGUAUACCUGUGGAGCAGAUGACAUUGGUUUGGUUUGGACUUACAUCUUCAUCCUUUCAAUAAUUCAUAUCAACAUGCUUGUCAGCUAUCAGUUCUUUUUUACCUGCGUAGUUAGAAUCUUUUUUAGUAGUCUGGGCAAAGCUGAUACCCCUGUAUCUGCACAUGACAAGCAUAUUUUUUUUUAUAUGUCUAUCACUACAGUUGUUAAAACAAUCCACUCACCUUCCAAAGUGGGAACUAGAUAAGAAAGCAAACUAAAAAACUAAUUGAAUUGUCUUUAGGAAAAACAACAAGACAUACGUCUGUCCAACUUAAAUUUAUACAUAACAAUUUAGACGUUAGACAAAUAAACAUCAUAUAGUAACACAAGUGGAGAAAUAAUUAGUGACCCCACUACACUACUACUUCACAAAUUCAGAAAUUGGAAUUAUAGAUAUAAUAACAGAUUCAAGUUUUUUUCAAUCACACUAAACAAACUGGAUGCUUUCGGACAUGAGCAUGACCACUAGUUCGAAAAUGGUCAACGCCAUAUUCCCUCAAAGCACAACUAUAGUCCAUUAUUAAAGAACACAAGCACAGCAGCCAAAUAGAUACAUUAAAUCAUGCAAUAAUUAACCCCCAAUUCAACCAGCAAGUAUAACGGUCAUUGUUUCUGCUAGGAAUGAAUUGUUACUAUGCCAAACUUUUCUUCCUCAUUAGUCUUGCGACAUAUGCAAUCUGUCUAGCAUCAUUGUACUGCAUAAAGAGAAUGCGUUAACCUAAAUUUGCAUCUUUUGUGAGAGAGGAGUCUGUUUCCACCUUUCACUCAACGGGGACAUCCAUGUUGGAGACAAUGUUUUGACAGUGCUCAACUUUGUACGUUUCAUCUCUAUCCAUGUGGUCCUUUCAGUCGCAAAUCGCCACAUCCGUGAAGUUCCCGAUCUUGCUUAAUGCGUUUUCGAUUCUAUCCAUAGACGAUCGGGUGGAUUUAUUGCCUCUGGAGCUCUCUCGCUCACCGAAGUUUCUCAAACUGGAUGCUGGUUGCUUACCACUACUGGCUUCCGAAAUAGGCUAGAUGUAGUACACAUCCUUCUCUUUUUAAGGGGAGAUGCUAGAAAGAGGUUGGGAUGAAGAUCGGACUUUGGCCUUGCCUUUUGCACUCUUCCUGGAGGUGGACUGAUCAAUUCCCCGCUAGUUGAGAGCGAUGGGCUAGGCUGGCUAGCGGACUGUGCUCGAAUACCUAUAACGAUCUCCCCGAGUAUGAUGAGAGUGAACCGCUUUUAUAGACCACAACUGAAGGACACAGCGAAUUCGACAAAGUCCUGGUUGGACUGUCGGUAAAGAGACAAGGUAAUCAAAAGUCUAAUGUGGCAGCAAUUAUAAGUGAACAUGCAACAUGUUUUAUAUGUAAAGCCUAAGUGUUGUGCAUGGUUUGGUAAAACACAGCAGGAACCUAAUUGCUAUUACAAUUUAAUAAUAGUCGAGUUGUAAGGAGAGAAAACACUAACCGACUACAAAGCAGCCCAAUGGUUAAAGCUAGCAGUGAAAUUCUAGACAUUCUCUUCCUAUCCAAUGCCAGUCUUGAUCUUGUUAAAAGUCCACAAAACAGGCAAAAAAGUUGCCAUUUUUUCUUGAACCGAUAGAAUCUUGAUUGGCACUAGGCUGCUGUGAUUUCAUGACUAUGAUUUUCACGCAAAUGCUCGGCUAUCUGGCCAUAAUUCCAGUCUAGCGGCCUAAAUCGAUCCCAUUUUUUGGACACCUUGAAGGCGAUAUAAGCAUCAAUGAAGUGUUCGUCCAUUUCGGGAGUCCACUCGAAUCUAGCACCAAUCUCCUACAGUAGACAAGCACUUUGUUGAACAAAACUAGCUACAUGACAAGCACUUUGUUGAACAAAACUAGCUACAUAAAUCUUCCAAUUCGCUAGAAACUGAGUGAAUUAUCGUACCUUCUGGUUUGCUUCAAAGUUACUGAUGCACUUUUCUAGAUUGUUCAAAUCAGUGGAUGACUGGACUGUGCAAAUGGAAGUGCAGCUGAUAGGAGAAGGUGAAGACAAAUAAAUAUGUGAAAUUGAUAAUACAACGGAGUAGGAAGUUGUAGUUCAAAGAAUGUGAACCAGGCCUUACACUAACUACACUUGAGCUGGUUGUUCUGUUUGGAGGGGCAUCACCGGAAGCUCUUUGACAUGGCCUUUACAAAACAAAAAAAAUCAACUAUUUCAAAGAAGCGCGAGGUAGGAGGAACUAUAUGCUUUUUCCCGGAGUUGUUGUUGAAAUGAUUCAAUUGCUAUGUGUGUAAUACAACGACUAAGAGAGAAAAAAAUAGUAAUUGAGGAUGAUUGCUAAUUGCUACGUUUACCCUAGAUAACUGAACAACAUACAUUAAAUCAAGACAAUUGUACAUAUUUUUUUUACUUAAACUACACUGUGCAAACAAUUUAUGUAAAAAAAAAAAAUCAAAGUUUAACUGAGUGCCUUCUUCCAUCAAAGGAGCAAGGCUUCAAAUGACUGUUACAUGAAUGAAAGCAACUUUGGAAUGAACAGAAUAAUAAAUUCAGCAACUAUAAGGUUCAUGGGUGAAGAUGCUUAAUCCCAAACCUGAUGCAGGAGGUUGCAGUAGUAGAAAGGAAAAUGCUUAAUACCAAAACGGAGCAUUUGAGGGUUUUUUCUCCUCUUCGCAACAAGAGAUUCAAAGCAAACAUAUAGUCCCAAAAAUUGAUGUGUACUUUGAGGGUCUUUUCUCCCCUUCCCAGAAUUGAUAUAUUUGAAUCUUUACGAAUAUUGUGCUAGAUAGAAAGCGAAAUAGACAUUACAAAUCUGGACUGUGUUGUUUUCAAAAAAAUGAGGCAAUAUGCUUAAGGAGUACAAUUCAAUCCAAUAUUGCUUCAAUUAAUACUAUGGAGUGCGCAAUAUAUUGGUAAUGGAAAAGCGAAUGCAGCAACUGAGCAAGAUGUGGGUGCUGUCAUGGUAACUUAGAGACGACUACCGAAUUCUGUAUAUAGACAAAAGUCGGUGUCGGUUGAACUCUGAUUUGCCGAUGAGCCUUUCUUGUAUUCGUCAAGAAAAUGCCACUUUGUGAAUCGGCUAAAAUCCAAUAAGAUGCUCUAUUGGCAAUUGUGAGCUGAGGUGAAUGGAGAACAAAUCUAAGGGUGUGAUUUUCUUGCCGGUGAAGGUGGAAGAAGUUGUAGUGAUGGAAGUAAGUAAAUGUUCGGUAAAAGUGGCUAUACGAAAUAGUAAAUGUUGGGGUGUGAGUUGUGGUUUUUUUUCUUUUUGUUUGUUGACUACUUUGAGGGGUCUCAUAUUGAGGACCCAACGGAUAAGUAAUCUGAGCCAUCUAUCGGGUUGACAUGCAUCAGUGUGCAUAGAAAGGGUGCAGAUGACAGGGCUGACAAGGCAAAGAUAAUAAACACAUAGAAACAACAUGCUAGGUAAACUAUCCAGUGAAUCUAGACACUUUUUGUAAAAUAUAUUUCAAAUAAACUUAAAUAAUUCAAUCCAAACAGAGCCUUAUUUGCACUCCUUUUUUUUUUGUUAUUUGUACUUCUAUCAUUUAUUUUUUAUUUUUCUAAAAUUACCAUUUAUUUUAUCAUAUAAUCUAAUAAGUAAAACUAUGUGAUUAAAAUUAUAUUGUAAAUAUGAUUAACAAAAGUAGGAGUGCAAAUAGCAUUUCUCUUUAUUUUUAGUUUUAUUUUUAUUUUUUUUCAGUGCUAUUAAGUUAAAAUAUUUUGUUUUCCAAAUGGAGCAAAAUUGGAAAAUAAAAUCCAAUCUAAAAUAAAAAAAAUCAUAAUUAAAAUUAGCAUAACUCUUCAAAAUUCAAAUUUAGUACGAGUGUUAAAUAAUAUAAGUCUUUAAUAGCCUAAAAUGUAUUUUUAAUUAUUUUUAUUUCAUAUUUAAUUAUAAUUAUAUGUAUUUGAAUUUAAAAUUUAACUUUUACAUUUAAAUUAUGGAAUCAAAAUGUAAUAAUAUAUAUAUGCUAUUAGUGUAUAUAUGUUUUACUCUAAAAAUUUAAGAUAAUUAUUCAAAAUGAAACAUGUCAAUGUACAUAAGGGCGGUAAUGGGAUCCCCCGCCCCCCCGUCCCAUUGUCAAAUAACCCCCUCCUCCCCUCCCGAUCCCUCACUCCAUUUUUCCCAUGGGAAAAGAAAUCAAUCUACCAUAAUUAACAAUCUACUCAUCUACAAGACAAUUUUAUUAUUCAUUUUAUUUCAAAAUAUUCAAUAAAGACAUACUCAAGUACUCAACCUUAGACUAAACAAGGAUUUAGGAAAAGAUUACAAGAGAGAAGAAAUAUACUGGAGCCAAAAAGCUAGAGUCAAAUGGCUGAAAGAGGGAGACAAAAAUUCCUCAUACUUUUCAUGCAAUUGUAGCUGCUAGAAGGAAGAAAAACAAUAUAUCUAUACUCUAGAGAGAGGAUGGAAGCUAGUGUGAAUCUAAAGAGGAAGUGGAAGAGGCGAUAGCAGAUUAUUUCAAAAAGAUUUUCACCACAUCAAAUCUAGGGGGAGAGGUGAGAUUCUGAGGAGAAUUCCACAUACUAUUUCUAACUAGGUGAAUAGGAGACUGACUAGACCAAUAUAAAAAAUAGAGAUAAGGGAAGCAGUCUUUCCCAUGCAUCCUAAUAAGGCACCAGGACUUGAUGCUAUGUCCCAUUUCCUUUUUCAAAAAUUCUGGAGUAUUAUUAAAAAUGUUGUAUUGAGUUUUUUACAUUCUGGUAUACUUCUGAAAGCCUUCAAUGAAACAGUAAUUUCCCUGAUUCCCAAAGUAGAACACCCAGUGUUAGUGUCUCAGUUUAGGCCUAUUAGUUUGUGCAAUGUGGCUUAUAAGAUCAUCACAAAGAUACUAGUUAAUAGACUGAAGCCUAUACUAGGACAGUGCAUAAGUCAGAAUCAAUCAGCUUUUGUACUUGGAAGGCAAAUCAUUGACAAUGUACUAAUGGCUCAUGAAUAUAUCCACUGAUUAAAUGGUAAAAGGAAUGGUAAAAAAGCUUGCAUAGCUAUCAAAUUGGACAUGUCCAAAGCUUAUGAUCGAGUAGAAUGGUGCUUCAUAGCCAAUAUCAUGAAAAAAAGGGGCUUUUGAAUGAAGUGGAUUAAGUGGAUAAUGGAAUGCGUAACUUCUGUUUCCUAUAGUGUUAAUAUAAAUAGGGAGAAAAUGGCUAUAUUAGACCCAUUAGAGAGAUAAGACAAGGGACCUUCUCUCCCCUUACCUUUUCCUAAUCUAUGCAGAAGGCUUCACUAGUCUCUUAAAUAUACCAAAGGACAGAUACCAAAUUUCUGGCAUGAAAAUUGCACAUAAAGGCCCAAAUCUAACACAUCUUUUCUUUGCGAAUGACUCUUUAAUUUUCUGUAAAGCAAGUGUGCAGGAAGCAAAAGUUGUGAUUCAGAUUGACAAAGGAAUAUGGGAGAGCAUCUAGCCAAGUGAUAAAUGCAGAAAAAUCCUCAAUUUUGUUCAACAAAAAUUCAAGGGAGGAAGUGAGAUAGCAAGUCCUAUAAGUCAUGGGGGGAAUGAAACAGGUCAAAAAGAGCCAAUAUUUGGGACUGCCUAUGGUGAUUGGGAGAUCAAAGAAUGCAGUGUUCAAAUACAUAAAGGAGAACAUUACAAAGAAACUAAAUAAUUGGAAGCAAAAUUGCUCAUGGUGAUUGGGAGAUCAAAGAAUGUAGUGUUCAAGUACAUAAAGGAGAACAUUACAAAGAAACUAAAUAACUGGAAGCAAAAAUUGCUCAAUCUAGCAGAAAAAGAAGUCCUACUCAAAACACUAGCUAUGACCAUGCCAUCAUAUGCUAUGAACUGCUGCAAAUUACCAAAGGGGUUGUGUAGAGCAAUUAGUAGUGAAAUGGCAAAGUUUUGGUAGGGAGAGGCAGAAAAGGGAAGAAAGGUACACUAGGUCAACUGGGAGAAGUUAUCAAAGGUGAAAGGAAAAGGUGGAUUAGGAUUUAGAGAUAUAGAAAGUUUCAAUGAUGCUAUGCUUGCAAAACAGCUCUAGAGAAUUGUAUCACAACCAAAUUUGCUAGUAAGCUAAACAUUGAAAUCAAGGUAUUUUAGAGGGAAGUCAUUAUGGGAAAUGGAAUCCAAACCAUCAGAUUCUUGGAUAUGGAGGAGUUUGCUCAAUUCAAGGUAUGUCCUCGAAUCAGGAAUGAGGAAAAGGAUUGGUGAUGGAAAAAAUGUUAACAUAUGGAAGGACAGAUGGUUUCCAAAAGGAAGGGAUGGGAAAGUAAGAACAGUAAAGCUAAAAGAUAGCAUGGUGCAGAAGGUGAGUGAACUCAUAAAGAAUGGAGAAUGAUAUCAAAUGCUGCUGGAAAAGACAUUGCAGGAGAGGGAUGUCAAUAAGAUAAUGACAAUUCCCAUUAGUUAAAUAGGAGGGAGAGAUGGGAUGUAUUGGGUGGGAAAUGAGAAAGAAAUCUAUAGUAUAAAAUCUGGGUAUAUAUGGGCAAAGCAGUUGAAACAGAGAAAGAGGAGAGAGGAUAAAGGAGAAUCGAAUUAGAGUAAGAACAUGCAGGGGUCUAGAGUAUGGAAGGAAUCAUGGGGCUCAACAUGAAGCACGAACUAAAACAUUUCAUAUGGAAGUGCUUAAGAGGGGUCUUACCAGUCAAUGAAGUAGUGGCGAACAAAACUGGAAAAGUCCCAUGUGUAACAGAUGUGGAGAAGCAAUGGAAACUUUGGAACAUAUGCUAUUCCAUUGUAGAAGGGUAGCACUGAUCUGGAAAGCAGCACCGAUACAAUGGGACGGGUUAGAGGGGCUAAGAAAUUCUUUCUGGCAUUGGUGGGAAGAACUGAUGCAAUCAACAAAGAGAGAGGAGGGGCGUGAUCAUAUUAUUCUGACAGCAAACUUGCUAUGGUAAUUCUAGAAGGCAAGAAAUGACAGCCAAUUUAAUGAGGUGGAAAGGGACCCUUUCUUUCCAGUCAACAAAGCUUUGGGAGAAUGGAGAGAAUACCAUAAAGUAACAAAGAAUCAGGGUGGUGAAGGAAAUAAGUUGACCAGAGACAAGAUUGAAUGCAAACAUGGGAACCCCUCGAGAAAGGAAGCAUAAAGAUCAACAUGAAUGCAACUUUCAAUAAAAAAUUGAGAAAGGCAGGAUGGGGAAUAGUUGCAAGAGAUGACAAAGGAAGGUUGAUAGCAACAUGGGCUGUCCCAAGAACAUGCAGCCGAAAUGUGAAGAUGGAAGAAGUCCUAGCAAUAAGGAAAGCCAUGGAAAUAGCCACACUGGAAAGCUGGAAAAGGGUGGAAUUUGAGUGGAUUGUAAGGAGAUAGUGGACAAGAUAGCAAAGAAAGAUUGGAAUGAUAAAUGGUUUGGCACAUACUUGAAGACAUCUCCAUAUUGUGCUGCUCUUUUGAGAAAUGUUGUUUGUCUUUUGUUAAAAGGAAUUUCAACUAUGCAAGUCACACUUUGGCACUGUUUGUCACUAACUUUUGUAAAGAAACCUCUUGGAGGAACUUCUUCCCUGUCUAGCUGAUGAAUGUAGCCAGGGUCUGCGAGCAGUUGCUCAAACUUUUGUAACUAAAGUUUAGUAGAUGUGAAAUAUAUUGCUGCUUUUGAAAAAAAAAAAAAAAAGUACUCAACCUUAGACCAUUCAACGAAUUGUAAAUAUUAAUAACUAAAGAAGAUUAGCAGCUUAUCAAUACCAUGAAAAUGACAUAAAAACAUCCAAUUGAGAUGUAAUAGAACCAAGUCACAAUUGUAUGUUCACUUACAAUAAUACAAUUGUAAACAACACUAAAUAAGAUUAAUAGCGGUCAAGAUGGAAACAAAACACAAUAAGUCAAGUUACAUUCCCUUAUUCAACAAACUCAAUCAAGUUGAUUUUUCAUAUUCAACAAACUAAAGAUACUCAGCAAUAAGUCCAACUUUUCUCUUCAUCAACCUAGCACAACAACUUCAGAACAUUUGCUCUUCAUCAAUCUCGAGAUGUGAUAAUUCACUUGAUAAAGCAACCUUGACAUUUGAUGCCAAAAUAAAAGAAGAAGCUUGUCACCAAGCUAUAGUCUAUAACAAAAAAUUGGAGAAAAUCAAUUUAGAUAAAUCAAAUUUCUUUAAUACCUAUUCAGUAACACAAUCAACAUCAUCUUCUUCAUCAAACAAUGUAUUACAUGAUAUCCUUUCGGAAGUAGAACAAGUAGCUUGCACUAAAAUAAAAAAAUAGCUACAUAUUAUGUUAGAGAUAUACAAUUAUGUUAUUAAUUAUAUUAUUAAAUAUAAAGAAUUGGAUUAUAACUAAUUUAUUAUAUUGUGUAUCUAUUUGUAUUAUGUAUACAUCUAUAAAUUUAAAUAUAUAUAAGUUUUUUUGUAUGCGUGGAAUGGGCCGAGUGUAUGUUGCCCUGCCUCGCCCUAUUUCUACCCCUACUAGGUGGGUGCCCGCCCGUUGCGACCUUUAAAUGUAUAUAAGAUUUAAAUGUAAAGAUAAUCAUUCAAUGUAUAGAAGAUUUAAAUGUAAAGAUUUAAAUGAUUACGUGUCAAUAUAAUCAUUCAAAAUGAGAUAUAAAUGUAACGUCUCAAGACGACGCUAAAUAUAGAAAAAGGACAAUUUUUCGUUGGUGCCUGGUUAGAAAAUUAAAUUUUCUAAUCUUUAAUUUAUAAAAGACGUAACGUAAACGUAACGUUUAUACAAAUGUCUAUAUUAUCUUUAUAUAAGUAAACGUAACGUCUAUAUUAUACAGUCGUUUAAAUUAUCUUUAUAUUAAUGAGAUAUAAACAUAAUCAUUAAACGAGAUAUAAUCGUUAAAGAUAAAAAUAGAAAAAGAAUAAUUUUUCGUUGGUGCUUGGUUGGAAAAUCAAAAUUUCAAAUCUUUAAUGGAAAAAAAAUCUUUAGUGGGAAAUUAACCCUUUAUAAUUCAAAUUUGGGACCAGUAUAAAUGCUAAUAAUCCAACUGUAUAAUGCAUGUUCAGCUGGUUCAUUUCCUAUUGUUCAUAUCCUGUUAGCCACUAGAAAAAUCUCUCUAUUUCUUUCCAUCACUCCUAUCCAAAAUACAAUAAUCUUUUUCCUGCCGCUACCGUCGAGGUGUGAUCGGCGGCGGGGGCGGCGGCAACUUUCCGGUAAGGGUAGCUAUUAAAAAGGGUAGCCGUUUGAAUUUGUUUGUAAAGUUUUAUGAUACUUACGGGUUAAAGGUUAUGCUUUCGUGACGAUUUUUAUACCUUUUGCUAUUGGAUUUGGGGGGGGGGGGGGGGGGGGGGGGGGGUUUGUUUUUCCUGUUUCCCUAAAUUUUGUGACAAAGACAGGAAAAAAAAAAAUCUGUGAGGGAGAAUUGUGAAAUUGGGGAAUUUUUUUUGGUAUUAACAUUUUUUUAAGAUUUAUUUGUUUUCUGUGAAGCUUUUGUUUUGUUGAAUUGGAUUGUCAUUUUGGUGAAGUUGAUUAAGAAAAUGCUGCGGGUUGUCUGUUUUUAGUUGUCUUGAACGGAAUGAGAAAGGGUUUUUGCUUACUGCAUUUUGGGCAGAAUUAAAGUUUUCAUUGAUUAAGUUUAUUAGCUUAAGCAAUGGGAAAUGGAGUCUUGAUUAACAACUAUGUAUGGAAAACUAGCAAUUUUAGCUCAUUUGUUGAGUUUACGUAUAUCCCCUGAUACUCUAAUCAGUGAGCUGUGUGUUGUGUUUAAUGAUUUUGGUUGUUCACAUUUUAUAUUGGGAGAAACCUUGAGAAAAAUAGAUCGAAAUUAGGAAUCCAGAUUGUAGUUGAGUGGGUGGAAUUCUGGUCUUUUGCUAACAAAAACUGUUCAUGAAACUAAGAAAUCUGUUUGCAUUCCUUAAAUUUAUGUGGAUGUCCCUAUUUUCCACGUUGCUGACCGUGGAAGAAUUUACAGGCUGUUUAUUUUUUGGAUUGCUUUGUAUUUACCAGUUUCAUUAGUGCUAAAUUCACUUUGCUUUGAUGAACAUCAUGUUGCACUUUUUUCCUGUUUGAUUCUGAACAUCAAGAAGGAUCUAAUGGGAUUUUUCUACCCAAAAUAAUAUUAGGGUUCUAACAGCGUCAUGGCAUCACCAGCAUCACCCUGUAGAUCUUUUAUUUGGUAUCUGUAGCUGCUUUUGGACCUUCUGCUGCGUUAGUAUUGCUCUAAAGAGGAGAAAAGGGCCAAAAGGCCCAUUUUUAGGAGAUGGGAGGGGACAAAAUUAGUGAGAGGACUUUGAGGUACAGAAGGAGGUCAACCAUUGUUGUUGGAGCAAAGAAGCAGAGGUGCAUCCCUAGAAAAAAGCAGAAGACUGAAUACAGACCUUGGGCAGAUCUUCACGAAGACAUGUUGAGGAUUAUCAAGAGCAAGUUAUGCCUUUCUGAUCAAGUAAGGCUUAGUGCAGUUUGUAAAAGUUGGCAGCUUUCUGGGAGACCGCUGAUGGCAAUGGCCUAUUUCUCUAAGCAUUGCUAUUCUGCAAUCUCGCCGGAUCCAUGGGAUGACUCAUCUGAUCGAGAUGUUACCUUUGCAUGCGAGAUUUAUGACUCUUGUGGUGGAAAGAUUCACAAGGCUAGUUAUAAUAUAUCAGAAAGAGGUUGGCCUUCUUUUUUCUACCGAUGGCCAGAGGUUUGUGCUUCCAAAGAGGGCUGGUUGCUUAUAGUGGACUGUGCACACACUGCUGGAACUGUCACCUUUUGUAACCCUUUUUCCAACCUUGUUUUAUCAGUACCCAGAUUGGGACAUCAGAUAGAUGUGGCAACUUUCUCUACAAUCCCUACUUCGUCGAACUGCAUAAUCUUUGUUUUCUAUCGUAGUUGGGGCAAGACACACCUUGGUACUUACCGUUUUGGUGAUAAAAGUUGGACCAAACUAAUAAUUGCCGAGAGAAAAGCUGCAGCAGAAGUAUUGAGCAUGUUAUACAUCGAGGGGGUACUCUAUUAUGUUUUUGAGGAUGGAAUGUUGGGCUGCUUUAGUUAUUCCGGGAAAUAUUGCAGUGUACUUACUGAAAGGUUUCCCAAACGCGAUUCUAAAAGCUCCUUUGUUAGCUAUCACCUGGUUGAACACAGGGAACAGAUUCUCUUGGCAACCGCAGAUGAGGACGCCAAUUGGUGUAUUUUCAGAUAUGAUGAGUCUCAGAUGAAAUGGAUUGCUGGGAUAAGCUUAGGAAAGUGGGCAUUAUGCGUAAGUAGUAAUUCGUUUGUAGUACAAGCUGUUGGGGAUCAAGUUGACCUUGCAGACUGUAUUUGCUACUUUGACUAUGAAACCCAUGAUUUGAAGGUGUACUCGUUAAAGGAUAAGCAAUUGAAGGAUCCGCAGCAUAAAAUACUGACAUCUAGCGGUACUUUCGACCUCAAACAUGACCUUACAAUCUGGAUUGAACCUCCUAAUAUUUGAAAGGGAAUGACCAUGUAAGCUUGCUAAUAUUUGGAAGGGACAGUUUAGUUGCUUUAGUUCUCAUAGACAACAAUUUGGUGGAUCCUUAUAAAAUUUCAGUAUCAAGCCCUUUGGUUGAGGAUAAUUUAAGAAUUUUUCAUUUACUAUGGUGACUUUGUUAUAAAAUGGAUAUCCAGUACAGACUGAGGUGGGAAUAGGAUAUUGCCUGCAAAUGACUCAAAGCCAUUUCGGUUUUCUCAUUGCCAGAAACAUGUGAAAGAGGGGAUCUGAUGUUUGUAUUCAGGGGUUAGAUGAUAUAGUAUAUUGCAUCAAAAGUUGGGCUACUCAGACCAGUGCUGCUGGUUACUUGAAAUGUUUGUCUUGUAAAUAACGAUCUCAAAAAUUUGUUAUUCAUAUCCUUGGCAAAUUCUCAUUACUGGACUUGAGAACGUUGACUGGUACUUUUGUCUUUCCUACCUUUGCUUUCUUCAGCUGUCCCUGCAUGUUAACUUGCUUCUGAUGCAGUGAUAAAACAAUCGGAGAAACUACCCUGACAAAGAAAGAGGGUUUGAAUUAGUGACCCUAUAACGCUUCCAAAGCCCCACCUAAAGGCGUGAACUCUACCCCGUAGGAUCGCGUACUGAUUUGCCGGAUUAGUAACCACGCCUUCAGUUUACUCAAAAUAACAUGUUCUUAGCGCACCAAGUUGACCUAUCUGAGGUUCAGUUGAUUGACUUCAAUUAGGAUACACAUUUCAAAACAAUUUUGGUUAAGAUUGGGGGGGCGGUUUGCCAUUCGGAGUUAUGCAAGAGUACAAUAUUUUGUGUACUCCUGAUUUCAACUGCUUUUCGUUAAUCACUCUAUACCUCAGAUAUUUGCUAAACACACUCAAACCUAAUGCACUAGCUGAUAAAUGACUGUUAACUUUUCCUGUUGGAGACUGUGGGAGUGUAGGGUAAUUUUGUGAGUGAUUCAAAUAUGUCAGUUUACAUGAAUACUAUCAUCUAGUAUCAAACUAGUCCCAUGACAGUAAUUUAAGCUGAUACCAAGCACAUGUUCAAGUGGUAGAUUGAAACAAACAAAAUACAUAUUUCCACAGGCUUCUUAGCAUAUCAUCAGAUAUGCUUAAACAGGGCAGAAAUUCUUGGAGUUGUUGGCCUGAUCUUUUCUGUCAACCUGAAAUGGCUGUAUUUGAGCAAUCGCCGCAAAAUUCAUUCCUGAAUGUAGUUGUCAGUUUGAGUUGUUUAAAUCGGAGGUUUCUCCUGCUGUACUUCUUGGUGAACCAGGAACAAAAGGAACAAAGCCUCGUCCACCGAAAACUGGUCUCAUGAAUUUAUCAUCAAAUUUCCUCCAAAGGUGAUGAACAGUUGAUGUUGGAUGUCUGAUGAACAAUUGGAGUUUACUUCGUCUUGGGGCUGAUUGGUUGUUGCCAUUAUCUACUGGCCCUCCAUUUUCCAGAGACAAGAGUCUCAGGUCUUCUAAACUUACAAAAUCAUUUUCCCUAGAAGUCAAUGGGUUUGCAUUGUUUAGUAGCACUGCUUGAAUCAGAGGCUUUGUCACGGAACCAAAAACCUGUCAAAAAAUGUUCCAGAAAGGAAAAAAUUUGACUUACAAAAGAAAAUGAACAGACUAUAAUAUAUAGUGUAGAAAAAUAUAUAUAUACACUGUUUGAGCCUUCAUGUUUAAUGGUAAAACUUACCACUGUGCUAAAUAGUACAACAAUGAUGAUGCAAGUAAUCAUCAUAGAGUCCACAUUUGCUGAUUUUGUCCCAGACGAUGAGAACUGAAGUUGCAGAUUGAUGCUUCAAUUAGAUUGCAAUUAAACGUACUUCUCACCACUUGAUCAAGAAUUCAAGAAUUCAUCUUAUUCACCUGGUUGUAGGCUAAAGCAAUAGUGACUGCACCUCUUAUUAGCCCUGCCCACCAUAUAAUGAACUGAAAUGCUAAAAGGUUAGCAGGAGGAGGAGGAGAAUUGCUAGUAAGAAAAAGUGUAUUAACAUGGUAUCCAAGACAUACCUGCUUCUUUAUCUCAAUCUCUUCACUGCCUUGUUUAGUGCAAUUUAGAAUGCAAGAAAUAGGAUAAACAAAGGCAGCUCUUCCUACCAAUACGAGUGCAAACAAAGCCAAACUAACAAUAAUUGAAGUUCCUGCACUGAAACACAAAUUAGUGAAGUCCAUUGCAAAACUCACCAAUGCAUCUUCGACUUGAGGAAAAGAAAACAAGGUAGUAACCCUUACCUCGCAUUGCUUUCUUUCCACUUUGUGAUGUCCAAUGCAUCCAUUCCCACGUAAAUGAAUAUAAAAGUUUCUGCUAUGAAAGAUAGUGUGGCAAAUGCGUGCCUGGAAAUGUCUAGAAUAUCAAAUGGUAAUUCUCGAAGCAAUUUUAUUAAAUCAAGUUAAAAUCUGAUGUCAGGAUUCUUCAGAGUCAUUAUACUUCUAAAAGAUGUUUCACUUGUUGUUUGAUUCUCAAAAGCGCUCUGUGACCUAGAACCUGAUCAGAAACUAGGCGGAGUGUAAUGAGAGCUAAACUCAAAUAUGGAUGAUGGAAAAUUUUCAAGGAGUAGAUCCCAGAGAUGAAACAAAUAAUUUGGUCUAUUGCAAGUGUUUCCUCUACCAAAGAGAGAGCUGGUAAUCUCUUGCAUAUAACACUUUUGGUUUUGUAAAAGGUCAAGAAAAGAAAUUACAGAGGUUGAUUUCUUGAUUAAGUUAUUGGCAUUAAAUUGUUCUAAACCUGAUGCAUGCUAAUUUCUGCAAGACACAUUGCCCCUUUAAACAUUCAGUCCGAUAAUCAUGAAGCUAUAUUAUGCAACAAGAUAGUCCCUACCAAUAGAACUAUGCCCAUGCUUAUACAACAGGGAGAUCAUAGAAUUCAAUCAGUAGUAAAUUCUCACUUGGUUGUUACACGAGAGCUUUCAGUUACGUUGUGCCAUGUGUAAUGUGACAUGACAAUACCACAGAAGAAAAUUGUCAGAAUUCCACUUAGCGACAACAGCUGCAAGAUGAGAAUCACUUUCCUCAAUUUUCAGGAACACAAGUACCCAUGGAAUUGCAAUGAUAAUGGUUUAAACAUUCCAUCCUAGUUACUCUAGAAAACUAUGCUGCUCUAGACGUGGAAGUGGUUUACGUUAUUCUGGAAAUUAGGGAUGUGUAUGUUCUAUUACUUUUAACAAUAUUCUGCCAUCAAUCCAUCUUGAAAUAUUAUUCAGAAUAUUCCCCAAUCAUCUGGGGCAUGGCAUGUAAGAUUCCAGAAAACAAUUAUAAAAAACAGUUCUGCAAGUAAGGCAUAUUUUAUACUAGAUAAUGUGGGAUGAAAGAUGGAAUAGAGAAGCAUUAGGUUUUAUUGGCAUAUGGUUAACUGAAAGAUCAUUUCUGCAAAUAAACAGAUAAAGAUGUAUAAAGACCAUGGUAAUGAAAAUGAUGGAUCCAAAGGUAAUGAAAAUGACGGAUCCAAAGGAAAAAAGGGGUGAAACUAUCUGUGUCCGAGUUCUCUCACAUAAUCGAGCAUCAAUUAGUUGGAAAAGAAAAAGUUCUACUUUUACCUAAUUUUUAAUCACCAUGCAGAUUACUACGUGACUAAAUGAUCAACUCUCCAGCUAGAGGGACUCAAACUUGGGGCCUUUUAACUUCAAGUCAUCCAUCUUAAACCUUUUUGUCAUUAAACCAUUUACUUACAGCUUUUGACUUGUAUAUAAGUGAUCAAAUCAUCUGUUUUGGAUGAGAACUUUGAAGACAUAAUGUAUAUGAAAAAACUGGUCUUUGACCAAAUCCUAUUUCAUGAGGAAUUGGUUUCAGUGUCUCCUUUGCAACAGUAGACUAGUGACAAAAGCAUCAUGGAAUGCACUAUUAGUAUAGCAAAACAAAAAAGUGGAAAACAAGUCUACAAUAUAUGUAGAAGGGUGUGGAAACCAGUAAAUAUUGGUACCUCAGCCACCAUAUAUGAUAGAUAUGCCAAGAGCAUCAUGAUUGCAACUUCUCUAUCCGUUGAAUGCCUAUCAAUAUGAAAGAGUUAUAAAGAUGAGUAUCAUGACAGGAAUGCAGUAAAAUGUUGAUUUGAUAUUGUAUUGUCGCCCUUUUACUUACCUUUCCACAAGUACAUCUUGAUUCUAGAAAAACACAAAUUGGUACCUGAAUCUUUUGUUUUCUCGAGUUGUUUAUGCAUUGUGCUGUCAUAGUCAUAUUCAACGUUGCUGACAUAGUUUUGUGGUAAUGUACUUCUAGAUCCAGUAAGCUAUGAACUAGUCUACUUAUUUUCACACUAAAAUAUCAACAGAAGUAAAUUGUCCAAAAACUAUUUCAUGCAUCAGAAACAGAAGGAAUUCUUGUCUAACAUGUUUGUAACUGAUAUUCUUCUCAAGCUCCAAAAGAAGAUAUUUAUGAACAAGGCAUGGUACCAACAAAACAUUACCUCCCAAAGUACAGUGUCUUUAUCCCAAAAGCACUCAAGAGUCCCACCUAAUAUAGAUGCACAGAGACCAAGUUAAACUAUCAAAUAGAGAAGAUGAAAGAUCAAGAAGUUUAGGGGAAUCUUAUUUUGCUUCCUUAAAGAUGAGAAUAUGGUACAGUUAUUGCUUUUCCAAUUACUACUAUAGUAAUUUAUUGUAAAAGAACAAGUUACCAAUUUGCUAACUUAACACAAUUUUUUGUUUCUCUGGAAGAUAAUAUAUAAACUGGCUUAUACAUAGUGGAUCAGUUAAUGUAUCAUCACAAUCACAAGUUACAUAUCGCUCGAAUUUAUGUUUUCUGAGGGUAUACUUACAGCAAUACCCAGAAUAGUACUCGUGAAGAAGAGGUAUAAGAAGUUUCCCAGCAACUUUAAUGCUGUCAAGCCAUCAAUAUCACUGAUGUCAAUUGACUGGACUGCGUUGAAAAGUACAAUGGAGGUUGCAUCAUUCACCACCCCCUCACCAAAGACAGCACUGUAAAGGAAGGGUGUUUGCUCUUGACUGAGGACCUUUUGCAUGGUGUGUGGCGAGAAUUAGUGGAAAUUGUAACAUCUUCAAACGUGACAGGUUUAUGAUCAAUAGCUGAAAGUAUGUAAAUGUACCUGCAAUGUACAUACUGAAUCUGUUGCCGACAAUAUUGCACCAAUAGCUGCAGCAUAAAAUGCCUGGUUAGUGAAUACCUGAAUAUAGAUGGCCUUUGAUGAAAUCUUUAUUUGUCUGUUUUUGUUACCUAGACAAUCUUUCAUAGUCAAGGAUGUUAUACCAAUCUUUUUAAACAGUAGAAAGGCACCUGCAAAUUAUCACGAACAAAUAAAGUUAGUAUAUUUCUAUUUGUUGAGGAAUUAAAUCCAAUUCCUGAACAUAUAUUGCUAUUUCCAAAGUAAAAUCUGCAUUUUAAAUAUGAAGCUGAAUUAAAGUCUUGAUACAAAGUCAAAAGGUGUUUGCUCUUCUGCACUUCAACUUCAAAGGACAAGAGGUACUAUUAGAAUCUAUGCCAGUUUCAAGCAGCAUUAUUGUGAUUUAGAAUAUGUGCAGAAGGAAAAUAUUUAACUAGCAUUAUUCCCGAAAAAAAAAUUUUUUUUUGAGCUUUCACAUAGGAUGACCAUGUUUUUUAUUUUGUUGUAUUAAGAGCUCAUUCAUGAAAGAAAAGCAACUCAAUCAUUGUAGCAAGGCUACUAGAAAAGAAGAUAGUUUUUAGAAGUGGCAGCAAAGAGGAAAUUUCAUGCAAAACAAUUUAUUUUAUAUUUUUCUUUUAACUUCUGUUUGAUAGCAAGUGAUUGGCAUUGCAUAUUAUGAAACACAAAGUACUUUAAAAGAACUGGUGUGAGUUUUGGUCCAGAAAUCAAUGCUGUACUUGGAUUGAAGUUCAUGGAAUGGUGAAAUUUUCUUUUGAUAGCGCUUUUCAGUUUCAAUUAUUAGAUUAGUAGGUACUAACCUUGAUCAAUUUGGUAAACUACUUGAAUUUGGAAAGCAAGAAACAGUAGAAACAGCAAUAGAGACUAGAUGUUACCCAGAGUUAUAAGGCAGAAAGAUAUGAUUGUUCCGAAUAUCCCAAACAACAAUAUCACCGAGAAAUUUUUGAAAAAUCGUUUUUUCUUGACCUGGAAACUGCAAACAUUUCAAAGUUGGAAAAGUUAGAUACAGGAGUCAUCGCGGCCGCUUAAUUCAAAUAUUUCUGGCUAAGAAUUAGACUAUGUCCUUGAUAUUUAAAACAUGAACGGUUCUACUGCUGCAAUUUCAAAAGCUUAACCAGACUUCAACCAAAACAACCUAAUCUUAAACAGCAAAAUGAUGGAUGGAUAAGGCUCUUACCCAGCAUUGAAAAUGAUUGGGGGCAACAGAUAUAUGAAGAAUAAAUCCUCAUUGAAAACCAACACUUGUGAACUUUGGCCUUUUCUGACAAGCAAUACCACAGCUCCAGAAGCCAAUCCCUAUACAUGAAAACUCGGUCUAAGUUCGUAUAUACUAUAAUAAUGAAGACUCGAAUCACAUUGGAAUCCAUUGAAAUUUAGCUUAAAAAAACUUAAAAAAGAUAAAACUAGACUGGCUUUUACUAACCAGCAGAAGGGCAGCUAUUGAUUCAUUAGCCCAUCGAUUCUCUUCCACCAGGUGACCGAUUACUAUGCAUGCACAGAGGAGAGCCACAAAUACAGUAACAGCUAUAACAGUUGGUUGGUCAAGUAUGGCGUUGGCCAUGGAAGAUAAAGUUUGCACCAUGCUGGACAUGGAGGUUGUCUGGGGCUUCACAGUGUAGUAUUCAACUAAACUUAGCUAUUUCUAUGAUCUAAACUACUGUUGACUGCUUAUAUGCGAAAAGAACUGGUGAUCAUUAAUUUUUGUGCAUAAAAACUACGGUCACUUAUCAGGAAAUUAAGCAAAGGUACGAUGAAACUUUUUUUUUUGUUGAAGCAAAGGAACGAUGAAACUUGAUUUCAGAAGAGUUUGGAAGGAGGGAAGACUGGUAGUUGAAGGUUGCAUUGUCUUAUUGUUAGGAAAAAAAAAAAGAACUGUCCGUCACUGGUAAGAUUUUUCUACAGCUUCUGAAUCACAUUUUUCUUAAGGAUCUGUCAAUUAGUGCAUUUAAUGGGGCUUCAUUUUCAGGCAAGUGAUAACAAGUUGGUAGGGCUGUUAGUUGGCUCUCACACAUUUUUUUGAUGAUUUUCACUUGCUUAUGACAAGAGGGGCAUCUGAUUUAGUCUGAAAUGGUCUACAAUGAUCUUGGAAAGAAAAAUUAUGAUAGUGUUUGAUAAAUUCAAACCAUGUAAUUUCUACGCUUAGCUUGAUAUUCUACAUUUAGUCCAACCUAAUUUGUUGAGAGUGGUGCAGGCAACAUCAAGCCAUCUACCUUUCCUGAAGUGUCAAAUUUGAUGGCAUAGGUAAAAAUAUUGCCAAAAAGGCAGAAACCGAAGUGGUUACUUACACUUCCCUGCACAAUGCAAGGGAUAGCUAUGAAAUCCAUGCAAAUGAUUUAUCCCCUGAUGAUCAAGAAUUAACACUUACCAUGGAUUUUUGCAAGGAAAUAUUAACAACCACAAUCUCAAUGGAAUAUAGAAACAGAACUACCCCAAAAGGGAACAUAGACAAAUCAAAAACUCGAUACUUGACAAUAAGACCACGGCUCUAUCUGUACUAGAUACUGACACAGUAGGUCUUAUUUCGGAGAAGAAAUUGCAAACUUUCUUGACUUUUCAGCUAGGAAAGGAACUCCACUGUAGGAUUGGGAAUUUGAACACGAUAAGGUAAUUUGGUUAUCAGCUAUCACGCUCCACACCAAAGACUUGUGUUUCAAUUGUCACUGAAUCAAGCUUGUCCUUCUUAAUCAGUCUUGAAGAUUAGCAUAAGAUAACUGAUGAUUGAAUCUUGGGAAUACAAUUUGAUAACGAGACUCAAAUUUAUGCUUGUCUUGGGUGGAAAAAAUGUAGUGCUUAUCAAAAUGUUAUGUUUGACAAGAUAAUGUUAAUGCGAAUGCUUCAUCAGCUAGAACUGUCAUGUGAUGAUGAGAAUAGAGAUUUUUCACAAUGAUAGAUUAGUUCAAAAUGCCACAAGAUUUAAGGAGAUGAGACUAGCAAUUUUGCACUAACCAAACCAUCUUUUGCUAGGGAAAAUGGAAAUUUCUAUUGAUACGCAACAAAGGACCUAACUGGCAAGGUUCAACAAACGCUCCACGGUUCAAAAAGGAAUUGAAAUAAGUCAAGUGACAGUCUAUGUUUAAAUUUUUAUGAAGACAUCAAACUUUGUGUAUGAACUAAUAAGUAGGAUAGGAAGAAAAUUAGGGGGAAAUAGUGGAGUUUCCAACUUCAUCUAACACAAUAAGAUUUCAUACCAUUUUUUUUUUCUUAUAUAGACCAGGUUUACCAAUAGGCCGUCUCAAACAAAUUUGAUCCCACACUGGCGAGUCCUGCUUGGUCGUGAGAUAGUCUACUGGUAGACCUACUUCAUAUUUUGUACGAGCAUUAAGCAUGUAAUUCACUCCUCUGUCAGCUUAAGCUGAAUAGUAUAGUUUCCAAAAUGAGAAAGAAAUCAAUGUAAUGAUUAAGGAUCUAUCUUCAACACUCCCCCUCUCGUCUGUCUUUCAAUAAGCUAACUCCAAUUAAAGGCAACGUGCAAAACCUGUGAUGGGUUCAAACCUUGGUAAUAACAGUGAGAAGAAAACAAGAAAAGCAGCAGCCUGAUGCAAAAACCUUCUCAGGAUUCAUCUAACAUCAGAGAGUUCAGGUCGUGUGCAGUAAUGCUGAGUUAAAGAGGACAAAUGUACAGUAUCGCAUGAUUGAGUUAUAUAUAUAUGAAAUAUUUAUUUAUAACGUAAUAACAUGCCUGAGUCUUAGACAGAUUCUUAUGCACGUCAAAGAUUCAAACAUGAUUUUACAGCCACUCCAAAAAAAAUAUUAAGAUAAACAAGCCUUUGGGGAAGAAGAAAUUAAUGAAAUGGCAGGUUUUUUGCUAAUAAUACAGUGGUUUGUUUGGUCUCCUUCACCAAUGUCCGCACAAAUUUUAGAAAGAUCCACCCUUGACUCCUAAAAGAAGCAAACAAAACAACCAAUGAAGAUGAAAAUUUGAAGUCAUGAAAAGUUGAUUACAUGUCUUGGAGCUGACAAGAUAUAACAACUAGCCUACUAAGAAAAAUCUCAGCACCCAAAAAGGAAUGGACCAAUCAUUCUCAGCUUCCUGUUUGAAACUACUACAAACAAAAAUUUAGGCCCCUUUCCAGCUUAAGUAAAUCUCUUGCCAUAUGCAUACAACACAUGUAUAUAUCUCUGCUCCUAUAUGCUGCUAUGGCAAAGAAGAAAGUUUUUGCCUAUACCAUGCAUCCUCAGCAGAUAUUAUUCAUAAUGCCUAUUACUGAAAAGGCUUGAGAUAACUGAUGACAGUGUCAGUAUUUACUUUUAGCUGUUAUCUGUAGCAUCUUCUUUGUCCUAGUCAAAAGGAAACUCGGUUUAUGAAAUCUUAGCACCAGAUUAUAGGCUAUAAGACUGUCAACGAGACAGCAGCAGAACGAAGCUUCACACCGUCAUCAUUCCACUUGUACUGUGGUGCAGUAGCUCCAGCAAUAAUGGCCUAAAACAUUUAAAGCAGACAAGAAUAUUGAUGAAACAAAUGCACACCAAAUAAGUCAAAAAAGUUAGUUAAGAAGAGAAACAUAAAUUCAAGAUUACAGGAUAAUUUAAUUCAUUUAGGAAAUUGUUGAAUCCAGUGAUCUGCAAGCAAUAGUGAGAGAUGAAAUUACAAAAGUGUACUAACCAGCAGAAUGAGCACUCUAAUUUUUCAGGACAAAAAGAAUCAAAGCUAUUUAAGAGAAUCGAAGCAACAUACUUUUCCACUAUUUACAGCAGCUACAAGUGCAACAUGUUGCUCAUCUCUACCAAACUCAUAGAAGUAGUAAGUCCUGAAAUGCAAAUAUUAUGGAAAGAUAUAAGGACACAGUUAUACUUAAAUUGCAGGAAUAACAGUAAUGAGAGGUGGUUUUCCUGUAAAGAUAUUGAAGUCAAGAAAGCUUUCUAGUCUGAAAGUGCAGGGAAGAAAGAAAAACAGGGUACUUCUAUGGUUGACAAAAAUCCAAAUUUUCCAUUUACACCUUUUAAAGCUUAAUGUUUUUCUCUCGUAUAGUAUUUAGAAUCCAUUCAUAAACAAGAUAGCAAUGUGUACUGAUAUGCUUUAAGAAACCUGUUCUUACCUAAAUCCUUCAUCCUCCUUUAUUUUUAUUGUGCGGGCAGAAUAAAGGGUUGCUCCACCUGCCAGGCCAUGUUCGGAAUUGAAAUAUCAACACCAAAAAACAGACAAAUCACUUCUGAAAAUGAAAGAAAGAUCUGAGGGGUAGACCAUGAAUUAUCUUGAUGGAUGGAAUGAUGUUCAGGCCUUUGCUCGAAAGUAAAAAGCAGGUAAAUCAACUAAUACCAAAAUACCUGGAACAAAUAUUUUAGCUGCCUCCUUUAUGGAGCCUAAAUCAGUAACAUCUUUGGCCUGCUCAAAAAAUUAUAAGAAGCCAAUUGUAAAUUUAGUAACAGGACUGCACAAUCUGUUCCCUUUCCAAAAAGGUUUUUUGCAUAUGCACAAAAAAUGAAAAACGGAAAUAGCUAAUGACAUGAGUUAUUUACACCAAUAUUGCUUUUCAUAUCAAAGUCAAGCAACCAUUGCUGGUUUUGAUUGAUUUCUGUAAAAUAGAAAUCGAUUUGUCAAAAAUCAGCUUUAAAGUUAAUUUAUAAGAAAGCAACUUCUGUUUUCCUCCUCAUGAUUACUUUUCUUCUUUCCGUUUGCAGUUCACACCCAACACCUUAAUUCCUCUUCCUCCACACCUCAAAAGUACAACCACAAAUAUUGAUGGACCUUACUUCAGUCUUGAUUGCAGUAAUUUCCCAUCUACAGCCAACAGAAGCUGCGAUACAAGCUUUAUUGCCUACAAGUAUGCUGUCGAAGUCCAGCUGCAUAAGCCUUGGAUGUUUGCUACCAUUAUGUUGUCAAAUUGCAGCUGCAAAUAAGCAGGCAAAAGCUAUCCAACUUCUCACCACCUCCCCAUGACAUUCCAAUUACUUUCUUUAGAUCAGUCAUUCACCUUAGUCAUCAAGUGGUAGCAGCUAGAAAUUGAAAACUUUGUAUGGGUCUUUGAAGCUGUAGAAAGGAACUCAUACGUAUACUGCUUCAAGUUCCAGCUUUAUAAAAAGGAACUCAGAAAUCAUAUACUUAUUUGACACUGAACACCUGCUAGUCAUAUAGCAUAACUUAGGAUCACUAGCUAGAAAAACUAAACAACUAAUCCACAGAAACUAAAUUGUCUUGGGGAGCUGGGAGGAAGUUGGCUGGAUAUAAUUUGGAAUUUACAACUGUAUUUUGACUGAAGAAUUGUAGCAAACUUUCAAGGCUUUUGCAGCUGUAUUUUCACAGCACACUUGCAGCAAACUGCCAAGUAUUCUACCAACAUGCAGGCACUAUUUGAUCAGCCACUUGUCCGUCUCUUACAGUAACAGUAUCUUACUUCAUUCACAUCUGACACUUGGUCUGUCUAUUUUUCUCCUUCGUUUGACUACUCAUUUGUUUCCUUCUGAAAACAUGUAAAAUGCUCAAGACCUUGGUUUAUUGUGUUGGUGUCAUGCAAAUACUCAUACUGGUCCAUGUGUAUUUGGUUAUGUCACCCUGUGUGCGUCUUGUGAAUUGCAAAAGGAAAAAAAAAAAAAAAGAAAGAAAACAAGAAAAGGGGAAAAAAGGAAGUCAAUUCCUCUCCAAAAUCGACUUUCAAGUUGAUAUUUGAAAAAUCAAUUUUUAUAUCUAAGGGAACCAAAUAAAAGCAUCAUUAUUUCUUUAAUUUGGAAUAGAAUUUGUAAUAAUAGUGUAUGUAAGCCCAAAUAAAUCAUAUUAAAAAAAUAUUAUCAGAAUAUUCAGUUUUAAACUAUGGGUAUGUCAUAAACAGCAUGCAUAAUUCUUACAGCAACUGUUUCAUUUUUGCUUAAGGUGAAAGAAGCAUUUUCAGAUUGGUUUCUAAAAGAUUGACAUCAUUGUCAACAUUUCAUGAUGAAGCUAAUUGGACAAAUCAAUGUCUGAUGAGCUCAGAUACUUAAAUCAUCUCAUUUUUAGUCUUUAGUACCUUUUACUUGCGAUAAUGCUACAAAAGUAGCAGAUCCUGAGAGCUUUUGCUUUAGUGAAAGGGGAUUAUCUCCUCCAGGGAGUAGGAGUUAGCAAGCACUGGAUCAAGCUCAAAGCCCCACAUACAAGAGCUCAAGAACUCUCUUGUGGCAAUGAAAAUCUCCUUUUACAAAAACAGAAAGCUAAAGUAUGAUAAAAUAUUCUGCAGCUUUUGUCAAAUUACUUCAUACUAACCAUGGAAUAAUUUAUUACAACAUUGCAUGCAUUAUACUACAUAUCACAUCAUUUUGAUGCAUGCAAAUGAAAGUAAUGCUAAAGAAGUAUGCAAUCAAGUGACAGAAAUGGCAGGACACUUUUUGACAGCUUUCAAGUUUACUGUUUGUAAGACAAGCUUCUCUCCUCCAAGGAUGUGUCAGAUUUGAAAUGAGUUUUUAUUGUGGGAGAAGCUCCCGAACUCCAAAAGAUUUUUUGGUGGUGGUAUGUGGGGGGGGGGGGGGGGUGACAAAUGGAACAAUUUUCGGUUUGGUAUGCUUGCUUAUGCUUCUCCAAUGUCUUAUGCCUCAAUCUGGAAAGGUAGUGUAUAAUACAUAUACAUAUGGAAGUAUGAUACAAAAUAAGGCAUGUAUGGGUAUGUUCACCUUGUGGGGCAAACUCAAAAUAUAAGUUAAUCAGAUGUCUGUAUGCUUUAAAUAUUACCCAUAUUCUCCAUAUGAGUUUCCCCUUUGCACGAAAAAAUCAAGGGUGCCAGAAAGAAGUAUGAUGUGCCAAAAGGGGUUGUUCAUGCUUUUAGAAAUGGACAGCUUUUAUGUGUUGUAGGAGGAUUAGAAAACUAACCUUACUAUGUAUGGGGACAGGUUAUCAUGAUUGCUCAAACCAGCAGAAUUGUAAACUUGAAUAUAUUGGCUAAAAUCCAAGUUCAGACUUGGUUGCACACGAACAACAUGCUAAAUUCUUAUUGCACAUGGAAUACCCUCAGAGCAUAAAAAUUAGGUGUCAAUGUCACAUAUCGUACAGACUGUAACUCGGCUGGACUAUUUUAUUCCUAUUCUCAAAUCUCAAUUUAAGAUCAAGCCAUAGUUCUUUUUUCUUGAGUACUAUUGGUGCCAUAGCACCCAUUUUAAACUCAACAGAAACAAGGGAAAAAUGAAUUGGCCAUGCCCAUAACCAAAUUAUGCCACAUCUAGCACAAAUGAACUGAAGCCAACCAAAGUUUGACAAAUACAAGGAUGCCAACUGCAGAAAAGAAAAGGUGGGUUGCUCUUUCUAUAUAUUUCCCAAAUCACAUUAGAGGGGAAAUAGAUAUAUCACUUAGAGAUUACUUCUUGAGCAAAUAUUCUUAGUAAUCACUCUUGCCCUUCAUUUACAAAGUUUUACAAUAACUUACAUGCUUCAAACAAGGUGCAAAUUAUGGCCAAGUCCACCAAAAUAACCACUAGCGACUAGCGCUUCAUUUAUGAUGUUAAACCCAUAAAAAAAGAGAUUUUGACUCCUUUUGAGUCAGGAUUAUUGGGUUAAACUGGAGGAAAACUCCUAGGCCAACCACGGUCUAUGGUGGGAUGUCAAGGAUUUGUUGGAGAACAAACAUUAGAUGCACUUAAGAACAUCCAGUUCCCUAUUUCUCCCAUUUACAUACGAGUUGCUCAAAAAAUCCACCAAAAUGGAUCUCCUCAUCUACAUUGUCUGAUUCAAUUCACAGGUAAAUUUCGCACUGAAUCUGCAAGGUUCUUCGAUAUUAAAUCACCCAAUUCAAAUUCAAUGUUCCAUCCAAAUGUUCAAAGAGUAAGAAAUUCAUCCGCAGUUAGGGAUUACAUAUCAAAACAUUGAGACUUUGUCGAAUGGGGAAACUUCCGACCAGAUGGUUGGAAUAGAUUCUCAUUUAACAAAACGGGGGAGGUAUAUGCUGCUGCGCUUGCCAGGGACGAUAAGGGAAUGGCCCUUGAUGUCAUCAAGAAGGGUGAUCCUCGAUCAUUCAUUAUUCACUACGACAAAUUAUUGAGUAAUCUGGACAAAAUAUUCCAGAAGCCACCAGAACCAUACAUGACUCUCUUCCCUCAGGCUAAACGCGUUCCUACGUUCUUGAUAAAUUGGGCUACUCAAAAUGUAACUGAGGCUGCUAACAGAUCACACAGGCGCAUGUCCAUAAUAAUCGAAAGCCAAGUCGAACAGGUAAAACAUGUUGGGUUAGAAGUCUCAAUCCUCAAGCACACAAUUAUUAUGCAGGUCAUAUUGAUCUGGUCCAUCACUGUAAUAUUAUAGAUGACGUAAACUCUCAAUUUCUCAAACACUAGAAAGAAUUCAUAGGGAUACAAUGAGAUUGGUCAUUCAAUUGCAAAUAUGUCAAACCAAGGAAAAUAAAAGGGGGAAUUCCAACUAUUGUGCUCUGCAAUUCUAGUCUCAAUUUUUCGUAUCAUGACUACUUAAGUAUAUCAGAUUGCGUGGAUCUCCUCAACUGGACUAAGCACAAUGCAGCAUUCUACUUUCUCGAACAGUCUCUAUUCGCACUCACAAAUUAAAAUCAGGCACCACCUGUCCAAGAAAAAAAAGAAACAAACAACAAUAGUUAAGUUCGUAUGUGACUGUAUAUUCCUCAAUUCAGGCAAACUACAACCUCCGCAAAAGAGUCCUGAUCAAAAGUCAUACCCACAUCUUGUCGAGGCUAAUCAGGAGCCGUGCCCACAGGCAGUGUCUCUUGCAGAGGUUGUAGUUUGCCCGAAUUGACACCGACCAAGUGGUGGGACUGGUCUGGAACGUGGUGUCCCUUAUUGCAUCAAUUCCACUGGAGGAAUAUAUAGCCACAUGCAAACUUAAUUAUUGUUGUCCGCCUCUUCUUCGUCUUGUACAGGUGGUGUCGGCUAAUUUCUUAGAUUAUACGUUAAAAAAAAAACAAUCCAUCAAAUACACCUCUGACAUUGGGUGUUUCUUGUUCUAUAGCGGCCGUGCUGAUAAUAAAAAAUUCCACCGUCUGCAAAAAAAUCAGUUUCACAGCAGUGUUAGGUGCGGUGCCCAGUCAGCACGUCCGUGCCUGAGGAAACAGACUUCUGGUCUGCGCAUGUGGAUAGAUUAGAAAACAACCCCACCUCCCCAAGAGCAUCUCAUCUCAUUUUGUCAGUCAGCCAUGUUUGACCAUGCUUUAUGAGAACAAACAAAAUCAUUACUGUUGUAAUUAUGAGCAGUACCUGAUUAAUGUUCUUUUUUUUUUUUUUGAACCUUUUUUUGAUUUAUUGCGAGGUGGGCACGAAUGAAUGCUUCCGUAUUACUUUCUUUUUUUGUUAAAAAAAAUAUAUGAAAUAUCGGAUCGAAUUAGAGAUAAACCUUGACGUCAUUCUCGAAGUAGUAGUAUAGGUCGUCUUCGCUCUGUAGUUAUAACUUAUAAUCAAUCAAGCAGGAAAAAAAAACACUCUGUGAUAAAGAUGCGAUAUAUCUUGUAUAUCCUUUUUUUUAAUUUCGCUAUUCCCAGUACUUUUUGGUUUAAAGGUUUCGUAGAGUUAUUAAUUGAUGUCAAUUGUGAUACCUUUUUUAUUUUUAUUUUUAUCCUAUUGUUUGGUAUUUUCCCUUUAUCCAUCCAAAUUCAAAGGCUUAAUUUUUUUUUUUUGUCAAAAAUGACAUAUCUAUUUUAUUUUUUACAAGAUUACUGACAUAAGAUUUUGUUUACACAUUUAUCCUUUUACUAAUCUAGUUUGUACGUAAUGGCAAUUUAGAAAGACAUUAUUUGAAUUGUCAUUUUUAAAAUAUUUUUAUAUUUUUUGUGAAUAUACUUUUUCAAUUACCUUUUUACUUUACAUAUAUCAUGUCGUUAUAAUAAAUUUAUUUUUUUCACAAAAAUCCUAGAAAAUAGCAACCUAAACGGCUCUUAUAUAUGUUGAUUUGAUGUUGUCAUAGUAAGUCGAUUUUGAGACUAGUCAUAUUAUUGGGUCGGAUCUUACCCAAAUCCAAUAUAAUUGGAUUGCAUUUUGAUUUAAUUUCUUAAACUCACACCCAGACCCUGUAAUUCCAUACCAAAAUCCAAACCCAUGUAUAUAUAAUUAAAUACUAGUGUGUGUGUGUAUCUAUACAUAUAUACUAGUAAAUAUAUAAAAUAAUAUUGGACAUUGAUAUAAAACUUUGAAAAUAAAUAGAAGUAGUUAAUUUAGUUCAUAAUAUUGCACUUCACUUCUUGAAUAUUAAUUUUAUUAUUUGAAAGUAAAAAUUGGAUGAUAUUUAUAUUAUUUUUGAACUCUACAUGUUUUAAUAAUUUUUUAUUUUAGUAUGUUUAGAAAAACAUAACGAAUAUCCGUUGGAUAUUAUAAGGUUUGAGUCUGAAUUUGCUUUUUAGACCCAUAACAGUUUGGAUUUGGGUUUGGAUUUAAUCAAAUUUAAUAGAUCUAGAUUUGGAUAAAAGAGAUUACACUCAGCUUGUACCUAUUAACAUGCCUAAUCAAAAGAUAGAGUAGUUUCUUCAAAAAAAGAAAAGAGAGAGAGAGAGAGAGAGUAGUUAAAAGAGAAGAGUAAUUAUGGGAGAGUGCCAAUUUGUAGUCUGGCGUCUUCAAUAAACAAUAAUAAUGUCAUACAACGUAAAUUAAGUCAACGUAGCUUCCAAGAUACUACUUAACCCCUAAAAAAAAAAAGACUCCUUUUAAUACACUCCUAAGUCAUGAAUGGUAGCAUAUGUACAAUUAUAAUCCCUUUACUAUUUAGAAGGGAAUUAUAAUCCCGCAGACCAGAAGUCUGUUUCUUCAGGAGCACGAGCACGUCCGCGCCAGACAUUUGCGCAGACCAGCAGUCUGUUUGCUCAGGUGCGGACGUGCUGACUGGGCACGUCCGCACCUGACACUGCUGCAAAACUGAAUUUUUUGCAGACGGUGGAAUUUUUUAUUAUGCGGCCGUGCUGACGCUAUAGAACAAGAAACACCCACUGUCAGAGGUGCAUUUGACGGAUUAUUUUUUUUUAACGUAUAAUCUAAGAAAUUAGCCGGUGGUGUCUGAUCUUGAUUUGUAAGUGCGAAUAGGGACUGUUCGAGGAAGUAGAAUGCUGCAUUGUGCUUAGUCCAAUUGAGGAGAUCCACGCGAUCUGGUACAUUUAAGUAGUCAUGAUACGAAGAAUUGGAACCAAGAUUGCAGAGUAUAAUAGUUGGAAUUCCCCCUUUUACUUUCCUUAGUUUGGCAUAGUUACAAUUGGAUGACCAAUCUCGUUGUGUCCCUUGGAAUUCUUUCCAGUGUUUGAGAAACUGAGGGCUUACGUCAUCUAUGAUGUUAUACCAGGUAUUGUCACAGUGAUGGGCCAGAUCAAUAUGGUCUGAAUAGUAAUUGUGUUCCUGAGGAUUGAGACUUCUAGCCUAAUGUGUUUUACCUGUUCGACUUAAGUCCUCAAUUAUUAUGGGCAUGCAUCUGUGUGGUCUGUUAGCAGGUUCAGUUAUAUUUUGAGUAACCCAAUUUAUCAAAAACGUAGGAACGCGUUCUGCCUGAGGGAAGAGAGCCAUGUAUGGUUCUGGUGACUUCUAGAAUAUUCUAUCGAGAUUACUCGAUAAUUUGUCACAGUGAAUGAUGAAUUAUCAAGGAUAGCCCUUCUUGAUGACAUCAAGGAUCAUUUCCUUAUUGUCCUUGGCAAGCGCAACGGCAUAUACCUCCCCCGUUUUGUCAGAUGAGAAUCUGCUCCGCCCAUUUGGUCUGAAGUUUCCCCAUUCGACAAAAUCUCCGUAUUUUGAUAUGUAAUCCCUAACUGCGGAUAAAUUCCUUGUGUCUUGAACAUUUGGAUGGAACAUUAAAUUUGAAUUGGAUGAUUUGAUAUCGAAGAAUCUUGCAGAUUCAGUACGAAAUUUACCUGUGAAUUGAAUCAGACAAUGUAAACGAGAAGAUCUAUUUUGAUGGGUUUCUUGAGCAACUCGUAUAUAAACGGGAGAAAUAGGAAACUGGAUAUUCCUAAUUGCAUCUAAUGCUUGUUCUUUGGUAAGAACACACUUGGAAUAGGUGAGGAAGAUGUUCUUUGCGUUGAUGAAGAAGGAAGAAGGAAUUUGAAAUGAAUGACCCAAAUCGGACAGAGCUGAGCUAGCCCGGUUUAGGCCACCCAUUGUGCACUUGCAACUGCAAACACACCAAAUCCCAAGGCCCAUGGACCAAGGUCUACCUAAGAAUUUUCCUACAAUGAAAGCCAAUACAGGCCCACUGUUUGUCCAUGUUUCAAUGCAUUCAACAUUGCAAUAGCAUCAGUCAUAACGUUGAAAGAACUUACUCCCCUCUAGAGCACCUCCUCUCCCGUUCCACCAAAUGCCUAAAUCUGCUAUGCUCAAAUCUUUUCAUUUAAUUGAAACCUAAUACAUUUGGAAAUCAAUAGGACACUCAGUACAAAUAUUAGCUAUAUAAGCUCAACUUGAAUCCAAACUCAUCAAUGGUAGUAACUAGGGUUACACGACAUAAGAAAAAACAUGGCAUAUAUACUUUCAUGAAUCCUCUAGAAUAAAUUUGAAAAGACCUAGAAAACAUUCAAAAACUACUUUUGCCCAUAUAUCAAUAAACAUAAGGCAUGAGCAACUUUGGUGUUACACCUUUUGAUCGUUCCAAAAAUAUGCUCAAUCACAUGCUACUAUCACAUGGCUACCUAAUAACAACAACAUCCAAUAAUUUUCACUCCUUUUUUUAUGUCAUUUUCUUUUUAGUUCCCUUGCUAAAUCCAUUUUUCUAAAUUGCACAAAUUUUAAGGUGUGAGCUUCCAUUAUGCUAAAAUAUGUCAGGGGUGGGGGUUUGGCAUGUUUUAGUCUUGUUUUAGAUGUGCAAAAGUUUUAUUUAAACACUAUCUACAGUAACUUGUAAAAACACUCAAGUUUUAUAUAAAAACCACCAACGAAAACACCCAACAAUACCAAAAAAACCCACAUCCAUUCCCACUUCCACCACCAUUCCCACUUCCACCACCUACGUUACUAGGAGUUGGGUACGAGUGUUGAAUUCGAGUAUGUGUAAGUGUCUAAUUCGUCAACUAUCUAAAAUUAGGCUGAUUCCUUUGAAUAUCAAUGAAAAAAUCGCACAAAUAUUGUUCUGAUAGGGUGCUUUUCUUCAACUCUGCCUGCCAACUUGGGAAAAUUCUUUUUUUAAAAAAAACACCUAAAGGCUGCCAAGUUGACUAAGCACGACAAGCUUGGGGAAAUUUGAAUCUAGAAUACCGGCUACGUGCAUCACCUUCUGCUGACAUCUACGUUCUCGGGUGAGUUUGAUCAACAAACAAAUCGCCCUUGAUUAUCUCUAAUGACAUCUAAAUUAGGUAACCAAAUUUCACGAGUACUCCUCUCUAAUCCCUUGGACAUUUAGGUUUCAAGAAAUUGUUCCUUUAAACGCUAGUAAUGUCUUGGGUACAGAAGACAACGGGCCAGCUAAAAAAUGGUUAGCACUUAUUAAGAAAACUAUAAGCAGUCUUCUAGGCACAAGUGGUGGUUACUACACGCCUCCCUAGUCCCUGAACAGUCUUCCGGGCACAAGUGGCAGCUGCUACACGCAGGGCCAGCUUUCUUUUUGAAAAGAAUCACCUGACAUGCCCUACAGAUUUCAUCCUUUUUUUCUUUGGCAUCAUUUCUGCCGGGCUGAGUCAUUCAAUUUUUUCAAAAACAAAAAAAAAAAUUAGCUAGGCUGUCGAGCUGAGUCAGCCCGGUAGCCUUCAGAUUUUAUUUUUUUUAAAAAAAUAUUUUCCCAACCCUACAUUUACUAAACCCGGCAGGUAUAGUUGAAGAAAAUCCUGUCAAAACAACAUAUGUGCAAUUUUUUUUCACUGGUAUUCAAAGGAAUUAGCCCUAAAAUUAGGAUAUGCGGACACUUCUAAGGACUCAAAACACGAGUACAUGGGUACAGCAAAAUUUCUAGUAAACAUAUGAUUUGGCAAAUUUCUUAAAUUAAUACUAAAAAAUAUAUUUGUCCUUUAAAUGAGGAAAUCUCCAAUCCGUUUCUCAAUCUAGUGAUGCCACAUCUAUUUAAAUAAAUUUUUUUUCAUUUUUUGGAACAUUGUAUGUGGCACUUCUCACAAAAUUGUAUUUGCAUUUCAAUCCUUGAAUUGAAAUGAAAAUUUUUUUUAAUGACCGUGAGAUAUGCCGCAUCAUUCACACAAUCUGUUAGAGGUGUUGCACACUCACAAUAUAAAAAAAAUUUUUCCAUCAAUGCAGUGUGGCACCUCAAAUGAUUUUAAAAUAUAUAUAUAUAUAUAUAUAUAUUGCAAUGGCUAUAACAGGGCAAUAUUUUUUUAAAUCAUUAAUGGAAAUUUUUUUAAUAUUGUGAGGUGCCACACAGAGCAGCGUGCAGUACCUCUAAUGGAUUGUAAUUAUGAGAGGUAUCGCACACCCUCUCACGGUUAUUAAAAAAAUUUGACAUUUAAGUCUCUAUCUAGGGAUUGAAAUGCAAAUAUAAUUUUAUGAGAUGUGAGCACACUAUUUCAAAAGAAUGAAAUAAAAAUUUAAGUUUGGUGCACUAGAUUGAGAAACGGAUCGAAGAAAUGAGGGGCAAAUUUAUUUUUCGGCAUUAAUUUAAGAAAUUUGCCUAUGUGAUUUAUAGAGUAUAGCCAAACAUACAAGUUAAUAGCCCAAUAAAGAUUGGAGAAUUCUAAAUCAUAGCUCAUUAAGGAUUCCAGUGUAACAAGUCUUCUAUAUCCAUGAGUUUUCUCAACCAUGUCUCCUCCCCAUCAACAUCACAUCUCACAAAAGUCAAAGUUUUUGACGUGUCAAACUUGUAUCCCAUACUAGCACCAGCGUCAGGUCAUGUCAGCACGGGUACUUUGGAGUCAAAUGAAGAGUCCAAGUAACAUAGUCCACCAGCCCACCUCCUCCCACCACUCUCUCCCUCCUUUUCUGCCACCGUUUCUUCUACCCGCUCCCUCCUACUUUUCUCUUCCCUUCUGUUCUUUUCCCCUCCACCACCAAAGCGGCCACAUCCACCCCCUUUUUUCCCCUCUUUUAGAGGAAGGGGUGAGGAGGGAAAGAGAGAGUGGAGGGGGAAAGUGGGGUGGGUAUGGUGGCUUGGAUGGUAGAAGGGGAAGAGUGGGGAGGGGUGGUGGAUAUGGGGAAGGAGGAGAAGUGGAGGAGAAGUGGGGAAGGAGAAGGGGGGAAGUUGGUGGAUAGGGGGAAAGAUGAGGUGGGGAGGAGAAGCGAGGAUGGAGGGGGAAGGGAGUGCUUUCAAAAAUUCAUCAAUUAUAUGAUGUUUUGGAAAAACUCCUAAAACCACUGUCGUGAUCUAUAGUGAAGUUUUAUACAAAAUCCCAAAAAACAACCAUCUAUUUGGACCCAGCAUGGCGAUGCGUGUUUACUCAAACAACAUUAGUAAAUACUUGAAUAUCCCAAAGAAAGGCUUCAGAUGGGCAUGAACUAACUUUUCUGCCAUUUUUGCUACAUGAUAACCAAAUACAUGCAAUAGGAUAUAUAUUAAAAGAAAAGGUUCCAUUUUGCAGGAAUUGAACAGAGAGCACUUGUUAAGAGUCUUCAAUUUUUUGUCUUAAAAUGAAAGUUUGAUUCUCGCUAUCCCCAUCCCCUUUGCUCUCCUUUCUUCCAAAAGCUCGCCUCUAAAUUAUUGAGAAACACAAAGUGGUACUUGAUUGCAUGAAUUGCUCUGCUCACAUAAAAUAGAGGUAUAGACUACCCCUCAAAAGCCUUUCCUUUGAAAAUGAUCAUUUGGCAAAGAGAAAUGACAGCACAUGACAGUUAUCUUGACGGAAACAAAAGGCAAACAAGAAUGAAUGUUAGCUUAGUUUCUCAAUGCGUAGGCAGCCAAAGAAUUUUCUGUUUUGGAACAUCUUCUUAUCUAGCUCAACUACCAGACAGUAGAUGCUUCAAAUGCGACAAUAAAGCAAUAAGAGUGACAAAAGUAAAUCAGUUUCUGGUGUUACUGAAAUUAAUUCAGAGUAAGCACUACAAUUCCACUUACCAACCUCUAAGAAUGUGAUCUUCAGUUGAUUAGAAGGGCGAAUGACAACAGUUAACACUUCGGAUCUGGAUCACAAGCCAAAAGUGUAAAAAUUGAUUGUUAAUGAACACAAAUUCAAGUCUAAAACUCCAGUAACUUAAAAAAAAUUAAAAAAAUUACCAUUACAUGGAAUGGUGAAGGAAGAUGAAGAGGUAGAUGAUCAAGCGAGUAAAGUGAUAAUGGAAAACAUAGAGAUGCUACAGAAUGUACUCAACAAAGCCCUUAAAAUUCACUCAAAAUCCUGUCUGAUCAAUCACCAGGGGAAUUUAUGGCAAACCAAACAUAAAUUCCUGAAGAAGGCAAAAGUUAAACUUUGUAAUAUUAGCAACUCAGAAACAUUCUGUUGUCUCAACUGUUCAUUUUUCCCAAAGUAAUAACUUGAGAAUGCCAAGAACAUUUUCACAUUGAUUUCUUCUAUACAAGCUUCAAUACAUUCAGAUUCUGAUCCAACUUAAAAUACUUUAGAAGGGCUGCAACAACUAACUAGGUUCCUUUUAGGCACUGGAUGAUGGAGGGGCAGACAACAUAAAGACAUGAAUUCAAAGCCCUUUAUUGCGAGGAGACGUAUCUAUAUAAAUCAGUCACUCAGCCGAAAGCCAAUGGAAAAUACCAUAUUCUACAUCUCUUCUUCCACAGCCAUAUGUCAGUAAUUUGAUAUUGAUAUUGAUAUUGCCUUUGUGCAAAAUUUUCAACCCAAAAGGGCCAGAAAGACAAGGCAGUCCAAGAGAAAAGGACUGAGGUCAGGAAAACAAGGUUCUCUAUCUCCUCUUAAGUCACCAAGUAUGGUACAAUAACUAGACUCCUAGAAACAACCAAGAAGAACAAGCUGAAAUGACAAUCCUUAUGCCUGUUGGGAAAAGAAGGUGGCAGUGACUGUUGGAGGAGUGGUCAAAGUUUAGCACUAAGCCUUUAUCUUAAGGGCCAAAACAAAAAUAUACAAGCUAAAAGCUAAUAAGCAUAGGGAUUCCUGGACUCAAAAAGUCUUGCCACCCAUUUGGUUCACGGGUUUUGACACUCCCCACUGGGUAUAGCUGGGAUUGACACCCAUACAUGAUGCUUAGUUUAGCUCUAUGGAUAUGUAUCUAUCACUUUCAAAAAACCUAAAAUUAGGCAAUGGCCAUUAUAGACCAAAUUGGGCAUAGGCACUUUCAGCCCAUAAAAGAAUUUGAAGUGCAAACAAAAACAAAAAAGAAAAAGGAAAAAAGAACACAACAGUGGAUCUCUUCCAAGUUUCUUUCUCCAGUGAUGCACGCCUUCCCCUCACAGCCUGGAAACUCUCAUCAAUUUCCCCUUCUUUUGGCCUCUUCCCUCCUGAAAUUCUCAGCAAUAUCCCCUUCUCUUUUGGGCCCUUAACUCCUGAAUUCUCAUUGAUUCCCCUUCUCUUUGGCACCUCCUAAUUACAAUGCAUAACAACAUGGCAACAUGGCAGUGAAGAUUUUGUGGCAGUGGUCAUGGUUGUUUUGGUUAACAGGCUAAAUUUCAUGAGUCUGGUAUUUGUUUCAACUUUGGUGCAGUAGGUGUCAAUCUAAAUUUUAUAAGUUUGUCUUAUAUUCUAUGGCCUACUUUGAGUUAUAUUAAUUCAGAUUUACCUCUUCCACAUCAAGGGUACUAAUCUGAGUUUGAUCUCAAUUUGAGAAGGGCUGGAGCUGGAGAUGCCUUAGCUGGCAGCGCACUUGUCUGUUAGAGGUGAAGUUGGACAGUAGCAAUGAAAGAGGAAGCUUGCUAUGGAAACAGAUAAAGGAAGGAAGAAUGAAAUUGAUGAAGGAAAAAAAAACUGUGACCCAUUACUGAUGGAGAUUAAACCAAACAACCUAAAAAGGUUUGACCAACACCCAUUGACAUCGAGGAAUUUUCAUAUCCAUUACCAUUGUCAUUGAGGAAUUUUCACAUCAAGGGUACUAAUCUGGGUUUGAUCUCAAUUUCAUUUUCAGAAGGGCUGGAGGUGCCUUAGUUGGCAACGCAUUUGGCUGUUAGAGGUGGGGUUGGACAGUAGCAAUAAAAUAGGGAGCUUGUUAUGGAAAGAGAUAAAGGAAGGAAGAAUGAGACUGAUGAAGGGAGGGAAAACAAACAAUAACCAUGGAGAUUAAACCAAACAACCUAAAAAGGUUUGACCAACAACCUUAACAUUGAGGAAUUUUUAUAUCCAUUACCAUUGUCAUUCCGUAGUAUCUAACAAAUGGGUGGUCACCCAGCCAAAUUAGCAGCAUACCAUAUCAGAGCAAUUCAUUGUACCAAAAAGAGAAAGGACUCCAUCACUUGCUCUUAAAAGGAAGGACGGAAGGUAAUAGGCAAGAGAGAACCAAUAUUACGUUUGUUCUCUUGAAAGUUACUGUGUAGCAAUUUCAAAGUCCUAGCAAGCAACAUUCUUGAAGAAUUACUUUGACGAAUCAAUAUUAUAAUGGUACAAGGUCAAAUAAUGAGAAAGGGUUAGGACAAAGAGGCAUCAGUAAAUGUUUCCUGCCACAAGCAGUUGAUCAACUAGAACAGAUACUAUUGCAGGCCUCUAUGCAAGAAAGAAGUGGAAUUAGAUUUCACAAGCAUAGUUAACACCAAGAACAUUGCAUUAAUCAGAUCUCUAGAAAAUCUUUACUUUAGUUGAAUAACCAGGAUAAGACUUAAAACUUGAUAGCAAGAAAGUGCCACCAUAUUGUCACCAAAUGAGCCAACUUCACAAACUGAAAACCCAGUAAAAAUCACUAAAACACUCUAAUGAGACCUGAAAAUAUCAGGCAUGUUAAUGUCUACUAAGUGCCUCUCCACACCAACCUACCAAAAUUAGAGGGACUAUUUUCCACCUAACUUCUUAACCCCAUAAAACCUGCUCAGCUGCAUUACCAUUGCAACUGAGAGCCAUAUCUUUGACGAGCAAUCUCAAUCACAUGCUAAAUUGUUCAUAAGAAAGAGUCAUUACAUUAUAUAGUGUUCACUUCAGUUUAUGUAUUUUGCUGGAAAUUCUGGGUUCUCAAAAGAUAUUUUUCACAAGUGAAACAAAAAAGGAACAGGACAAGGCAAUUGUAAAUGAAACCAAACAUCAGAACAAUUACCCAUCUGGAGAUGCAAAUCGCGCAGCAAAAGUCUUUGGCUUUGCCUUAUCUCCAUACAGAGACAGUCCAGCGUUAUAAUCCUAUAACACAGAAAAGAUUAGACCCUGUACAUUAACAAAAAUGAGAUAUCUAAGAUAUUAGCAGAAGACCACUAUCAAAACGUAGGAAGCUGGUUAAUUGAGAUAUCAUAGUGUUACUGCAUCAUAACUGCAUUUGGUGAUUAGUAUGCACUUUUACCAAAUAGUGAGUAUUUGGUACCAAAACAUAUUCAAAGGAAGCUGCAAGAUUUAGAAAGAAAGCCACUAAACAAGAUUACAAUUCAUCUGCUGGUAAAACUAAAACAUUACUAGCAAACAGUAAACUUAAAGAAAACUUUGAAAUUUGCUUCAGCUGCAAUGGAAGUCCUUUCAAGAUGUUCCACAGCAAAUUUGAUCCAAAUUACAGUUUUAACUUGGAAUAGAGUCCGCAUUUUAGCUUGAUUUUGUUCAUUAUAAUUGUAAUUUUGAAGAAACUCAGAGUUAGAAUGAAUUGCUUCAGGAAAGUUACGGCUUUUACUGAUCUUAACAACUUUACAGUCAAUCUCAUGAGUUUUCCACAAGUAAGUAAGUUUGGCUAGUUGGAAUACUGUAAUAUGUGAACUCUACAGAGUGGAUAAGAUCAUUGUAUGAGCAUACGGAAUUUACUUUUUAAUUUUUCCAACAAAUCAUUUUGAACCUUUAAAAAAAAAAAAAAAGAAUGAGAAGAAAGUUCCCUAAUGGAUCUAAUCUAGCUUUUUAAAAAAAUGGAGAGUUUCACUAAAUACCAAAAAAUGUUACACAAAUGCAGCUUACCAAACUGUGACAUCAGUCCAAUAAUACCAAUGAAUUACUAAACAAAUAUUUAAAAAAGAACAAGCUUAAAAGAAUUGGUUCCAAACCUCAGGCUCCAAGAUGUCUUCAAACUGAGGUGGGACCCGGAUGGCAAAUCCAUCGCCAUAGAACUGAAACCAAGAUUUGGUAUUGGCAAUUCCUGAUAGAAAAGAAGUUGAUGAUGCUUCAGCAGCAGAAGAUGGGGGGAUUUGAGGGCAUUGAAGGACCAAGGAGAGGACAGAGCUCAGUGAAGUGGUAGUGAAAAUAAUACCAAGCCUCCUUGAGAUAAGAAUGCUGGGGUGCUUGAGAGGUGAAAUGGGCUUUCUUGAAAUGGGGUUUUGAGGGGGUUUCGGAAAGAGGGAGAGGAGGAAAGUGGACAUGGCCAUGAAAGAUGGUGGAGACGAUGGGGAUGGAGACAGGGAGUGGGAUUCAUGGCUGGUGAUGUGGGGAAUAGAUAAUGUGGGACAGUUCUUGGGGAUUUUAUCUGUGGGAAUCUUUUGCGCUUAGGGGGUUGGUGGUAAUUUCAAAAAAUGGAAUUCAGGAUGUGGAGAAAAUUAUAAAGAGGGAAAAUAGCGAGAUUGCACGCAAAGUAAAUUUGACGGUUUUGGAGACAUAUUUGGACAAUGACAAAUUCCAAUUUAUACUCCAAAACUUAAAUGCGUUUGGUAAGAGGUUUCGAAAUGAAAAAUUAAAAUAAAUUUCAUAAUUAUUGUUUGGAUUACUACUAUCAGAAUUGAAAUUUUGGAAUCAUAUAUAAAAAUUUGGAGUUCCCCAAUUCCCUAAUAACCUGGAGAGUUUUUAAAAAAAUCCAAAUCUGAUUCCUGUUUAGAAACGAGGCUCGUCCGGCCAUCCGUUAAAAAAUUAAUAUAUAAUUAUAUACAUAUUUAUAUAAUUAUAUAUAUCAUAUAUAUUAUAUAAUUAUAAUAUUUAAUUAUAAUUAUAUAUUUAAUUAUAAUAUUAGUAUACUUAUUAUAAUAUAUUUAUAAUAAUAAAUAUAAAUAUAAUUAUUAUAUACACAUACAUAAUAUAUUAUAUAUAUUAUAAUUAUUUAAUUAAAUAUAAUUAUAUUGUUAUAAUAUAUAUUAUGAAUUUGUUAAUAUUGUAUAAUAAUAUAUUUAUAUUAUUUAUAAAUAUAUUUAUAAAUUUAUAUUAUAUGUGCACAUAAUUAUAAUAUAUUAUAUGUGUAUAUAAUAAUAAUGCAUUAUAUAAUUAUAUUUGUAUUUAUUAUUAUAAAAUAAUAAUAUAUAAUAAUUAUAUUUAAUAUAUUAUAAUUAUAUAUUUAUAUUAUAAUAUUUGUAUAAUUAUAUUCAGUUAUAUAUAAUAUUUAAUUUAAUUAGCUACAAACUUAUAAUAAUGAUAUUAUUAGUUGUAUAUAUUAUAUAAUGCAUAUUAGUAUAUGUAAUAUAAUUGAUAUUAUCAAUUAUACUAAUAAUUAUACAUGUUUACUUAAAAAUCGAAGCAAGAAUAUCAUUAAUAAAACAUCAACCUAUAGAUCAACUCUCUACAUCAAAAACAAAUGAAAUAGUUAUUUCUGCAAACCCAUUAGAUGAAAAAUAAUAUUUAAAUAUAAUUGAGAGAAUAACAUUUCAAAGAUGGUAUGCUUUAGUAAUAGUAAUGGUAGAAGAUUUUAAGAAAAUAUUUGUAGCAUUAUUAGAUAGUGGAGUAGAUCAGAGUUGUAUAAAAGAAGGAUAAUCCCAACAAAGUAUUGAGAAAGCACAAAUGAAAAAUUAAGAACUGCAAAUGGAGAAAAAUUACAAGUAAAAUAUAAAUUUACUACGGGAUCAAUAUGCAAUAAUAAUUAUUGUAUAAGACAUAAUUUUAUUAUAGUAAAAAAUAUUCACAUAGAUAUAAUUUUAGGAACACCCUUCUUUAUUCAAAUAUAUCCUUUUGCUGUAAAUAGUGAAGGAGUUCACACAAAUAUUAUGGAAAAAACAAUAACUUUUAAAUUUCUAACACCAAUAAAACAAAAAGAAUUACUAGUAUUACAAUCAUCUUCUAUCUAUAAAACAAUAAAUACUAUUCAACAUGUUAAACAACAAAUCAAUUAUUUUAAAGAAGAAAAAUCAUAUUUAAAAAUAGAAGAACAAUUAAAAUAAACAACUAUGCAAAAAGGAAUUUUAGAAUUAGAAGAAAUAAUAAAAAGAGAAGUAUGCACAGAAAUACCAAAUGCAUUGCAUGUAAUUAUAAUAUAUUAUAUGUGUAUAUAAUAAUAAUAUAUUACUCCCUCCGUCCCAAUAUAAGAGACGUUUAUAGGGAAUGCAACUUUUUAUAUACAUUGGUAUCAUUAUUGACAGUCAAGCCUUUGUUCCAAAUUUACCCCGUCGCAAGUACAAUGGUCAGCUGCACUUUGUGUUUUUCAUGGAGUAAUGAUUUCGUGGGUCCCAUCUUAACCAAAAGCAUCCCUUUGUAUGUUAGAGACACGCGCUAUUAUUGGCCUUAUAAAGUGAGAGUUAGUCUCACGUACUCCUCUGACUUUUCCAAAUGGAUAAUAAAUAGAAGGUCCCACCAAAUUUAUUUGGAUUUUCUAGCACAUGCACUAUGAGGGCAAGGACGGAACAUUAGAAGGAAAAUAGUGUAGCGUGACUCUAAUUUUGGGACAAUGAAAAAGGUGAAACAUGCAUUAACAAUGGGACGGAGGGAGUAUAUAUUUAUAUUUAUUAUUAUAAAUAUAAUAAAAUAUAAUAAUUAUUAUAUUUAAUAUAUAAUAUACAUUAUAAUUAAUAUUUAUAUAUAUUAGAUAAUUAUAAUUAUAAUUAUAUAUAUAAUAUUUAAUUUAAUUAGUUACAAACUUAUAAUAAGGAUAAUUAUUAGUUAUAUGUAUUAUAUAAUAUAUAUUAAUAUAUGUAAUAUAAUUGAUAUUAUCAAUUAUACUAAUAAUUAUAUAUAUUUACUAAUAGAAAUUAUUAAUUAGUUAUACUAAAUUUACUAAUACAUUUAUAAUAAUACAUUUAAUUAGUGAAAAUUUCUUAUAUCCUAUUUUGAAAGAGCCAAUGAACCAAACAUCAACUAUAGUAAUGAUAUACUCAAACAGAUAUAUUGGAAUGACUGACUCAUUCCAAACUCAGAAUGAAUGAUUUCAAACCCAAAUCCAAUUCCAAGGUGUGAACCAAACGCCACCUUAUAUCACCUUUUCACUUUAUAAUUUUAAUUUUAAUUUUAAACAUUUUGCAUCCUAACUGUCAAAUUUGUCCCAUUUAAAUCCAAUCAAUAGCUACGUUUGCAAAAUUAACCAGAUAAAGGAUUGUAAAAAUUAAUGACAAUGUAUGGCUUUAAUUACUAAUAUUGUUAGUAAAAUUAACGAGAUAAAUAAUGGUGCAAGUUAAUGCCAAAGUAUCUUUUUUUUUUUUUAACUACGAUACCGUGGUACCUUUUGACCAUUUUCGGCAUAUUAUCAUUGAUUUCUUAUAUCCUCUAUGCACUUAAUUUUUCUAAGUUUUUACUAUUUGGAUUUAAGCAUGAUAAAUUUGAAAGUUCAAGGAGCAAAGUGUCUAAUUUUGGGAAUUUGGGGUGUAAAGUGUUCAGAACUAAACUUUAGGGUAUAAAAAUGGGAAAGUGAUAUAAAUUUAGGGUGCAAAAUAGAAUUAGCCCUUUGGACUAUUGAUAUUUGAAUAUAACUAAACAAUUUGAUUAAAUUCCUAAUCUAAAGUUAAUCAACUAUUCUUAUUCCUCAAUUUUUCGCACGAAGCCUUUUAGAAUUUCAAACUGUUGGACAAUUUGAAUCUUCUACAUUAUAUAUGAUUCCAAACUCAUAAUGUUUCUGAGACUAUAAUAGCGUUUAUUUGUUUUGCUUGUGUUGUUUUAUUUUAUGGCUAUAGCACAAAGAUGAAGAAAAGGCAAUAACAUGUUCCAUAGACAAUACAAUGAAAAGUUACCAAAUUUAUUAGACAGGCUUUUUAGAUUUUCUACAGCUUUGUUGUCAUCCAGAGUUCAGACUUAACCCCUUCUUGUUUUGGGAUAUGGUAGUAUAUUUGUUAUGAUUUGAAACCAAAUUCCAACUUCAAAUAUUUGUUAUAUGUGAAUCAAUUAUACCUCUCUUUUUUUUUUUUUGUCAAAUAAAUUAUACCACUCUCAAUUUUUGUGUUCGAAUAUUCUGUGCAUGUCUUUAUUUCCAAUUGCGAAAACACUUUAACCACAUUUCGAGAUUUUUUUAAUUAAAACAAUUUAUUUAAAAUCAUAUUGGAAUAGCUCCUAAAGUUAAUUAGUAAUAGUAGCUGAAAGAAACUUUGGCAACUUGAGAGUAUUUUUGCCCCAAGGAAUGUCAUUGCUAUACCUAUUAGUCCAGCAAGAGCAUGUUGAGUCCUUAAGUCAUGACUAUAUAAAUAUUUUUCAGUGUUCAACUAUAAAGAAUUCAGACAAUCACUUGCUCAAUUUUAGGUAUUUCAUUUGUAUUUUAGCCAUCAAGACAGGUUUGAUUUAGGAAUUCUUCCAAGCCAUACCCGCCAAAACAGUGUAUGUUGUAUACCCGCCAAAACAGUGUAUGUUAUUAGUCCAAAAGGCCCCUAUCCUUUUUCCAUGGUUCAGAAAUUAGAACGUUAUCUGAUUCAAAUCCAGCCAAGAAUUCAAGCCACUCAAAAAUAUGAACCCCAAAAAUUCAUCAGAAAACUAUCUGAGCAAGAGAAGGAAAAUCACUUUCUGUUUCCAACUUCCAAUGUCCAAAUUCUUCGCUUUCAUAUCCCACCAAUCCUGAUCUGUUGCCGUUUUAGUUUCCCCCUGCCAUGGAAACCAUCCUCUCCCCUUCUUCAUUCUGCCCGCUCUUCAACCCCAAGAUUUCAUCCCUUCAAUCCAAACCAACUUCCCUAGUACUCGGUAAAAGUAGCAGUACCAUUUGCUCUUGCCUCGAGAAACAACCAACUCAGUUAUCUGUUAGUGAUAAACAAUCUUCUUCAUCUCCUACAAAUUGGCUUUCUCAUGUCCAGCAAGGUCUUGCAGCUCUAGCAAUUUCUCUUGCACUCAGUUACUGCCCAAUCUUACCUACUCACUCUGCAUUUGCAUCUGAAUUUGAUGUACUAAAUGACCGUCCACCAACAGAAUCAUAUGUGGUUGAUGAUGCUAAUGUUCUUAGCAGGCUCACAAAAUCCGACUUGAAAAGAUUGUUAUCUGAUCUUGAAUCAAGAAAAGGGUACCACAUUAAUGUCAUCACUGUCCGAAAACUCACUGUAAACCUUUUUACUCUGCCUUUCCCUUAAUUUCAUCAUUUUGAAUAUCCUUUUUCUUUUCCCCUUUUGGAAGACAUAAAAUGGAUUUUUUUUGUGUGAACUAAUUUGCUGUCUUUCACCAUGAAUUGCUCCUUGUUUGUCUUGUGUGAUGCUGAAUUACUUCACCAAUUUAUUAAGACUUGGAAUACUCCACGUCUAUGUCUCUUGUGUCAAACAAGGAUUAGAGACGGUUGGAAUAUUGCUUCCUUGGUGUUUGCCAGAAUCCGGACUUGUCAAAGAUUAGUCUCCUAUGUUUCAUUUUUGUUUAGUACUUUAGAUUCUUUUGACCUCCACUUCCAAGUUUCCUUGAGAUAAUGCAGUUCAUGCACCGUGCAUAUAUUUUGCACGGGGAACUAAAAUGAGAACGAGAAAGGUUUAAUAUGAAGUACCAAAUAUGUUGAAUUUGCAACAAUUUUACUAGACUAGAAGUAAUCUACAAUAUACCAUCAGAGCUGGAACAUUUCCUUUAACAUGUAUUGCAUGCAAACUAUUUUAGGUGCUAUGGUGAAAUUCAAACCUUAACAGUUCAACUAAUACCGGAUGCUGUUAAGGGAAAGGUUUGUAAUUGUUCAUGUUCUUUGGUUGUAGAGCAAAGCUGAUGCUUUUGAGUAUGCUGACCAAGUUUUAGAACGUUGGUACCCUUCUCUUGAAGAAGGCAAUAAUAAGGGGAUAGUUGUUCUUGUCACCAGUCAAAAGGAAGGUGCAAUUACUGGAGGCCCUGAAUUUAUUCAGGCUGUUGGUGAUACUGUUCUUGAUGCCACUGUCUCUGAAAAUCUUCCAGGUAUAGUUCUUCUUUCUUCUUCUUUUGGUUCACUUUACUUUCACUGCACUUGUUUUUGCUGGUAGCAGUGUAGCUUCUGCUAUUAUUGCCAUUGUGUAUGUAAACUAAAAAUACUGGGGCAACCUUCAAACCAAAAUGUUCAUGUUUCUUGGUUAACAAAAAGUGGAGAAAGACUUUCAUUUCUUACAACAAAGAAAAUGUAGGAAUGAGAACAUUCUGCCAAAAGGCAUUAUUUUACCACAGACAUGUUAUCAGACAGAAACCAGAAUAUUAUUUUCCUAUUACAUCCUGAAUCUAUAUAGUAUUAAUUUACCAAACACAAUUAAUAAACUUCAUCUUGAUUGUGCCUAUAUUUGAUUGUUUAGAAUAGAUGUCCAAGUUUGAUGCCGUAGAUGAGCUAGGUUUCAAGUCUUAUACUGUGGAUAUGGCCUCAACACCACUGCUUGUAUCAGAGAUUAUUGUAGGACUCCUAUUAUUUAUGGCAAAAGCUUUCCAAUAGGUGAUCAUGUCUUCAUUUUGCUUGGAAAUACUAGUUUAUGUGCCAAUUCGAUUAGAAAGUAGGACAUUACAUCUCUGGAUCCAAAAUACACCUGUCAAAUAUACUUCUCUGUGCCUCAUCCCACUCCCCGGUCGAAGCAGGAACCAUUUCUUCGACAUGUUCAAUCCAAACGAAAUAACAUAAGAAUCUUAAAGGGAUUUGUAAAGGAAAUCCCUGGAAGUUUGGGAAACUUUCAGAAAUUAAGGUCCAGCUUAUCUGAGUCUGAGGUAAGACAAUGUGCACAUACUGGCUUAAGCAGUAAAGAUCCUUCAGUCGAAAAUACAUUGUCAAACCUAUUUUCCAUCUCUCUUUGUUUAUUUGGGUUAUUUCAAUUAGAGAACCAAACGAAGAAGCUCCAUUGUGUACCCAUUCUUCAACUAAGUUAGUAGCUGCAGAUAAAAGGGUCAAGUUCAGGAGACAGAAACCGCGAUUGCAUGCAUACUUGGGUUUAGUUAUGGGCUUCAUCUGGGGUAUGCAACGUCUGGAGUGUGUCUCAGGGAUGAACAUUGCCCUAAAAUUGUUGCCUAUGUUUCUGCUGUUCUCUAGUCAAAAUAACCAAUAUCUAGAACGGAGGAUAAGCUAAACGAUGCAUGAAGGACAGCUUUUUAUUUGUCAUGCCAACUGCCAAGCAGUUAAGAGCCUGCUAACUAUGAGCAUGUUUUUUUCCUUUCUGUAGUGCUAGCAACUGACGAGAAAUACAAUGAAGCAGUAUACAGCACUGCCAAGCGUCUGGUUUCUGCAAUUGAUGGGCUCCCUGACCCUGGUGGCCCCAAAUUCAAGGAGAACAAAAGAGAAUCUAACUUCAAAUCCAGGGAGGAAACUGAGGAGAAAAGAGGGCAAUUCACACUUGUUGUUGGAGGUUUAUUAGUGAUCGCAUUUGUUGUUCCCAUGGCUCAAUACUAUGCUUAUGUCUCCAAGAAAUGAACUGAUCUCAAUUUGUAGUUUUAGUUGGAUUCUUAUUUUGCUCAUAGCUGAGCAAAGAGGUAUAAAGAUAUUGUACAAAAUGGUCAUUGAAAAGUGACAAAGUGAGUGAAUCCACCUCUCUAACAUUUCUUUAUUUUCUUCUUCUCUUGCUCUUCUGUAAUUAUGUGAAGUCUGCAAGAUAUCAAUUGCACUCUUCAUCACAGUGGUUGCUACAGUUGGAACUUGGAACUCUUUCCAAUUUCGAAUGCUUUUCAAACUUGAUUUUUAUGGAGCAGCAUUUUGCGUACACUCCUUGGCAAAUUUUGAAGCAUGCAAGUUUCUAUGUGUCAAUUCUAGUUAGGAAUUUCAGCAGGCUACUCAAUUUUUACAUUGAAUUACUAGAGGUACUAAUAAGAGACCAUAAUUCCAAGAGACCAUUUCACCUGAAACAAGUCAAUAGUGAUAAUCUCUAUGGAAAAGAGGGAGCAACUUUUACUAAGACCCUGUCCGUCACAAUACUCCCACUUUUUUUCGCAACUUUAUUGAUGCUUUUCAUGGAACAACACCGUAGUCAAGCAAACACUUAAAUUCUUUUUUUUUUUUCUUCGCUUCGAACUUCCCUUCCAUUGAGAAAAUGACUUUCUUUAUUUCAGAUUCUUCAAUAAAUUUAGUUUCAUUACAGAAAAAAAAUGAGAAGCAUAUCUUAGCUUCAUUUUUUUUUUGUUGGAUCUCAAAACUUGAGUUUAAGUAGGAAGGGCAUCUGAUCCGCAAAGGGUGGAUCAGAAUAUUUUCCAGUGAGAAUUUGGGAAGCCACAAAAUGAUUUGCAGCUUCAGUGUAAUGAAUUCCAUCCCAGUUUACAUAUUCAGUACUAUCAUUGCAUGCUUUCACUGUCACUGAUGUUCCAUUCAGAACCUUGGUUUGGCCACAGGUUAUCCGACUGUCAUAGUUCAAUGGUGGACCUCCAGUUCCACAGCAAACCAUUAUAGGUUGUUCAAAUCCUGCAAGUUUAAUGCGGUCACGCAAUCAAAUUUCUUUAUGCUGCAGAACUUUGUUAUGAAAAUACUACAUAUUCAUAAUUCUUGACGCUAUUCACCACAGAUUACUUCCUAUUUAAUACUCCCUCCGCCCCAUUUUAUUAGUCUUGAUUUCUAGUUUGAUUUUUUCCAAAUUAUUUGUCAUGGUCUUAAAAGGAAAAUGCAAAAAAGAAUAACCUCCCUAUUUUACGCUUCAUUCAAUUUCCAAAAAGAGCAGUAAACUUAUGUUUCAACAUUAAAUGUUCUAACAAACUAAUGUAAAAUUCAAAACAACUAACAACGUUUUGAAUUUAAGUUAAGAGCUAAUCAUGGAAAGACUUUUUUAAUACUCCAUCUGUCCCAUUUUGAUAGUCCUAUUUUUUUUUUUUCACAAAGUUUAAGAAAAAAUAGUUAACUUUGUUGGAAAAACAAAUUUAGAUUGCUAUUUUUCUAAAAUACCCUUACAUUAAAUAAAGUUGACUUUUCAUAUAUCAAUAUGUCAUGGAAAAUCUAAAUGCAUUAAAUGUAGUAGGUUAUAUUCAAUACUAACAAUCCAUAUUAAAUAAGGUAGUUUAUAAUAAUAACAAUUUACAUUGAAUAAGGGUAUUUUUGAGAAAUUAAAAAACAACUACAUUAUUCAAUUAGAAAGUGGAUUAUAAUUUGGAACAGACGAAAAAGAAAAAUAGAACUAUUAAAGUGGAACGGAAGGAGUAGUUGAUCAAAAAUUAAAUUUCUUAAACUGUGUGCAAACUGACAGUGACAAAUAAAAUGGAAGGGAGGAAGUAGAAGUUAUUGUCCAAACAAAUGAUGUGGGGAUUCCACAAUUCAAAGACAGAUUGUAUUGGUUUGAACUUCUAGAGUGUAGUACUAGUACCAAGUGCCUACCAACUAGUCCAUUCCACCUAAAAUUCUGAAACCUACCAUUAAUGAGUCACUGAAACUUGGAACUAAAAAAGCAGGAUAAAAUCUGUUUUCAGUGUUGUCUAGACCAUAAAGAAUAUUCAUUAGACUAUCAUGCCAAUAUUGUUAAGUUUAAAUUGAACCAACUUUACUGGUAGGUUAUGCUUGUGAUUUAACGGUCAAAAUGAUAGAGCCAAGAACUUGUUAAAGCCGAUAAAGAAUCCAAAAACCAAUAGUUAAAACAGGUGACAGGAAUUUCACAAUUUGACUUCAAAUGGGCAUCUUAAUUGCAUUUCAACAAGUAAUGAACAAUCUCUGAUUACACACAUUCUUUGUUUUCUAUUAUUGCUCUAGCCAAGAAAACCUUUUUUUUUUUUUUGGUACUUAAAAGGGUUGCUGAUUGCUUAAGAAUACAUAAAUCCGCAUGAUGGGCAAGUAAUGAUUGGGACUGCGUCCGAUGAAACACGUCUAUCAACUAUCAAGCCCGCCUACACAUGUCCCAAAUAAAUUUGCACAUUCAAUUUCCCUAAUCUAAUCACGAUCUAUAUUGUACCAGACAUAAAAUAUUUAAGUUGAAGUUCUUUUAAUUUUGUAUCAAGAAAUAAAAGUUAGUUAAAACCUUUGGAUUCAAGUUAAAGUUGAGCAAAAUAUCAUGUGCAAAUAUAAGCAAAUAAAGGGUGUAAAAGUACUGACCGAAUUUGGAGUAGUUGGCAAUGAGAUUGGAUUUAAUUGAGAAUAUAUCAACAUGUGUAACAUUUGCGUCUGAAUAUUGGCCUUGCAACUUCUUGCAAAGUGCAUAAAGCUGGAGGUUUAGAAGUUUGGAAGCUUGAUUGUGGGUGAUGACACAUCCAAGCUCGUCAAGCUUGGAUGGAUCAGUUCCAAAUUUGGCAAUAUUUUGAGCUAAGCAACCAAGAGGACCCGUGUUGUGAAUCCAAAAAUUCCUUGCUCCUUCAUCAUAUAAUUUCUGCCGAAGCAAACAAAAAAUCCACGGAGGAGGCACAUUUAGAUACGACAAAUCAUUUACAAUAUGAUUAUACGACAAUUACGAAUGAUAUACAUAGAAUUACUAUUGGCAUUUUUAAGGAAUAAAAUUCGUGUUGUUAUCUUAUAUAUAUGUUUUUUGUUGUGCAAAGUAGCUAGACUCUCGCCCCCGGGGGUUAGCUCGGCCAGUCCUGUCGUCUCCUCUUUAGGAGCAAGGUCCAGUAUUCGACUCUCCCCCGUAACGUGCUGGAAUCCUUGGGGCGGGCUCUUCCAGCCUGGGGGAUUAGUCUGGUCAGAAAUGACUGGGAUACCCCCGGUCGACAAAAAAAAAAAAAAAAAAAGUAGCUAGACUCUCCAGAUACUUUUAUCAUGUUACUCAUUUGGAUGAGAACUUAGUUACUACAAGUUUAUUAUAGUUCUAAAACUAUGAUAAUAUUAGUACAUGGCAUAAUUAUGUGUGCCAAGCUUGAUGCAGAAGAAAUUAACUAACAUUUGCGUGUGUUGUCUACAUUUUACCAACCUUAAUGCCAGCUUCAAAUUCUGCUAAAAUGGUUGGGAUUGAAGCAAUAAUUUGAUCGUAUGUCUUCGAAUAAAAGGCACCAGCAAGAUCAUUCUGACCUAUAUCGAAAGUGUAAAGCCCCUUCUGGAAAACAUCUGCUGCUGGAAUAUACUUGUCUGAUUUCCUACCUGCAAUCGAGUCAAUCAAAAUUUACGUUACACAAUUAAAUUGUCCUUCAGUACUUGUAUUUGUACUAGCUUGAGAUGCAAAACAUCAUUUUAACUUAUCUUUGAAGAUAUGCAUCUGUUCAACAUACCUUUGGGCUGAAGGUCAAGAACUCGGCUCUUGAAUCUGAUGAACUGGUCCACUUGAACCCCAAAUGAAAAUGGGCUAAUAGCAUUAGCUGUCGCUGGAAGUAUGGUAGAAGCAGCAACCGCGAAAUCACAUCCCCUUUUGAAACUCGGCGCACCGAUGGAAUCCAAGUAAGGAUUUAGAUAUGGAAGUUCCAGUGCAUCCACUGCAAAAUGGAGAAACACUACCUUAAAGCAGAGAAACAGGGGAAAUGGUUGAAGCUGAAGUGGACGAAACAAAAAAUGCAGCCCCUUACUUAAAAAAUCUAUGAUCAAACGGCCAUCGCAGAACCUGCCAGAUGGUUUUUUGAAGUAAGUUUGUCCAUUUGGUGGAAGGAGGGAUUCUCCCACACCAGCAACAAGGCCACCCGUGUCAGAAUUUGAAUCACCAAAGUUGAACACUGCAGGGUAAUUGAAGUCAAUUGAAUUGGAAAAGGGAAUGCAAAUCAAGAAUAAGGUGAAAAUGUGGACAGUGGAAGCCUUUGAAGCCAUGUCCAGUUUGAGACACAGCUCCAAGGCUUUUCCGUGUUUUGGCUGUGAAUUGAACCGCUCAACCGGCUGGCAUACCCCAUUGAAAAAGGAAUAUCUGGUAGGCUUUUGUGUGUAUCUAAAGUUAUCUUAAAUUAUGGGAAAGCCCAAAAAUAGAAGGGUCCCUAUUGAUCAAUUACUGGGUGUAUAUUUAAUCCUUGCAGUCUUAAAGAUAUGGGCUGCGCACAAUUACCAUUUACCGUACAUGGACGUUGAAGGCAUGGAUUGUAGUCAACAUGUAAUGUUAGCUCGUAUAAUAGCGUAUUAUUAUUUAUUGAAUUUCAGUUUAGAUCCAUUCAUUAGACAUCUACGUUAUUUGAGUCUACAAGUGGCAAUACACCCACGGUUGAACGUAGUUAUGAAAACAAGGGGCAAAAACUUGUUGGAAGGAAAUCAUCUUUUUAUUUGUUAUUUCUUAAGCAAGAGUCAAACUUAAAGAGAGUAAAUACAAAAAGAUUUAAAGAAAGAGCUUUUUGUUUUCAAGCAAAAAAAGUGCAAAAUUGCAAAGACUUGUUGUUAAUGGAUCUUAUUGAGAGAAUGUGUGCUUUGAGUGCACGAAGUGUUAAUCGAAGUACUCUAGCGGCUGUUAACUUUAUUGCUAAUAAUAGUACCAUUUUCUGUACCAUUAGAAUUGAGAGGGUUGUAAAGCGCAAAUAAACUCAAAAAAUCAAAAUGCAUAAAAAAAAAUGAGAUUUUUAUGAAUUUUCUGCUGCAUUUUUUAAUUUUAUAUUAUAUAUUUCUUUUUUUAAACUGUUGUAUUUAUUUUUUAUUCAAUUAAUAGUUAUUGGAUCUUAAAAAAUAAAAAAAGAACUAAAACAUGGUGUUUAUAUAGGAGAAAUAGCAAAUAUAAUAAAAAAUGGGACAGAGAAUGGCACAGGAUGUGGGACAGAAGAUCUGUUGCGCUUAAAUUAUAACAAUUUCAAAAAUUCAAAUUUUAAACAAAUAUCAUCAUUAAGAGAUUUCGAUUGAGGUGAUGCUAUCUUAAAGAAACCAUAGAACUUUACAUCAAAACAUAUGGAAAAAAACAUAUAUUAUGAAGUUUAAAACAUAUUUUUAACUUUGCCCUAUCCUGUAAUUUAAUCUUGAUCGGCCAAUCUGCUGAACCGAUCACUUUCCUAUUUUAUCUAGGUUGGGUUCUUAAGCUCUCCCGACAUGGAACCAACGGAAUUUUUUUAUUUUUUUAUUUUUUUUGGGGGUGGAAACAUUAGUGCAUUAUCCAUGAUCUAUGAAUAAGUCUCCUAAAAAUCAAGAAGAAGAAGCAGGACCAGUUUUUUAAAAAGCAAUUCUGCAAGCCAUGCUUUUCUGUAUUAGCUUCCACGUGUGGGGCAUACUUUACUUCUUGUUUCUUCCUUUUCCAUAUCACGGGUGAGGAAAAUGCAUCAUUCCAAAAUCUUCAAGUCACAAGAAAGAAAAAGAAACAUGUCUUCAAGUAACAAGAAUAAUUAUCCCUUCAUGGGGAAACACAAUUGGUCCCAAAUAAUUAGCAACUGACAAAAAAGAACCUUACCAGAUGCAGCCUGUAAAACUAGAGCCUGUACGAGUGUAAGAUCUUUUCAUUUAUCAAGAAAGAGGGACGCCCAAAAUUCAGGUCCUAGUAAUUUUUGUCCUUCUGGCAAUUGCCAUAGAAAAGUGAACCACGAAAGCAAAGUCGAAAUGUGAAACAAAUCUUCCCAAUGGACAAAGUAAGAAUCCAAAACAAACCGAGGGAUAAGGGUCAGCGUGAUUUCAACUUUGAGAGACUUGACAACUCAUGAAAACUAAGGGGCACUUACCUACUAUACUAUGGAGUGAGGACUAACAUUGCCUUGCAGAAUUUACAGCUAAAUGAGGACGUUAAGAGAUCAUUCUCAACUCAGUAAGGGACCCCUCUUUCAUGCUUGGGAGGAGGGAGACCUCCCUUUGGAGCCAAGCUGGAUCAUCUUCUCGUAUGUUCCUGUCAAUUUUGAGGUCAUUUAGUUUUAACCUCACACCAAAGGAUAUCAAAACUUGACCUCAGCAAUUUUCAGUUCCUUUUUACAGAAAUGAAUAGAUAGGUAGAUUACCUAAACACCGUUUGACAGAAAAUUUUAUGCUCAUGUAACAACUUGUGUUGAAAGAAAAUCCGCGUUUAUGAGGAGCAAAGCUUAAGGAAGUCCAGGUGAGAGCGAAUACCAUAAUUCAUGGAGAUGAAGUUAUACCCCAACAGACGCUCCCUCAGGAAGGUGAUGCAAUUCUAAUGGACUCACCAUCUCUGCCUUUCACCUAAGUCUACUCUUCACCAUUGUCUGUACGCUUUUCCUUCUAAAAUUUUCAAACCUCAAGGUUGUCAAUUUCCUUUCAGUCCGCAUAUUAAGUGGCAUUUCUGCAUGGCGCACCUUGGGCAACCACAUACUGUAGAUGUCAAUUGACUUCGGUUGAACAUAUGCGUAAAUUCAGUAAUAGAUACCAAACGUCAAGCACAACUUCAAAGGCAGCUAAAGAAUAAAAUGAAUAAAAAAAUUCGAAAUUGUCACUAAUCAAGCCAAUCAGCUUUUAAACUGUGCUUCUCAUAUUGAAUGUUUGAAGUUGGACUCCUAAACAAAAGUAACAUAGCAACCAGUGAUCCAUGUAAAGAAACUUAGAAGAGCAUGAAGAACAAAAACUUGUAUUCAGUAACCAUGCAGCUGUUAUCUUAAUUUGUUCCAUGGAAGAAUGAAGGAACCCAAAGGUUGAUGCCGAAAGUCCCACUCAAAAAGCUUGCGCUUCCUUUUGCUUCUUUGUGCAGAGGGUAAGACAUUUCAGUAGCCCUCAAUUUGGCCUUUAGAAUGGCAUUCUGUUCUGUAAGCUGGACAAAUUUGAACCGCAAAAGUAAGUUUAAAACCAUCACCUAUGACCGUUGUAUAUUUUUCAACCAUAACCCAAACAAUUUAAAUUACGUGCAAUGCAUCCUACCAUGUCACAACUCAGUCAUAAUAAGAGACCACAUCUAUGAAGACCGAUUUUGCUAUGGUAACUCGUAUCAAGAAAACCGAAUCCGAUCCUUUCCUUUUCUUUUUGUAAUUAAAAUUUCAAAUUAAAUCACACAUAAUAUGCUGGAUGGAUUAGCUUCUUGUGUUCUGCCUAAAGAAAGCAAGAAAGCGUUUUCUAUUUCCCUCUUACCUCUUCAACCUUGGAAUUCAGAUCUUCAACAGCUUUUUGCAACAGUGAAAUUGUUCUUACUGUAAUGUCUUCAUAAGCAGCUUCCACCUCUUCAACAGAACCUGGAUCAAAGAAAAAAUCAUCCAGUAUAAACAGCUGCUCUAGCAAAUCCACAUCUUCAGCUUUGAAAUUCUCCUUCAACUGCAUAAAUUAUAGAAAGUUCCUUAGGCAUAUAAGAUAAAAUUGAAAUACAGAAGUCAGAUUUACUUUGGUGAACACAAUUCAGAUAAGACCUUGUUGAGUAUCCUCUCACGUAGCUCAUCUUUAUUUAGAGACAUGGCUUCAUGCUUUUUGGCAAUUAUGUCUUCUGGGGAAUUCACACGUAUUGAUGCCUUUAUGUGCUUUGCUCUGCCAAUUAAACAGAAACAUCUUUCAAUAGUUUCCCUUCGUGCAACAUAUAGAACACCAGGAUCCGAAGAAUUUUGUGAAAACAAAAGGAUACCAAAGAAUAUCUGUGUAACUUUCAGUUAUCUAUAAUGAGAAACUGUAUAAAACUUUCAAGACAGGUAGAAUGACAUGCCUCGCACCAAAUCGAAGAGUGGACAGGCUUUCAGGAGCAUUUGAAGGACUUGGUGAGCAGCAGCAAAGCAAAGCUGUUUGGGAUUUACCUCCCUGUAAAAUGGAAGCUUAUUGGCCCUAAGAGGAGUGGAAGCACAACAAACAAUUGGAAUUCAGGAAAGGAAACUAACAAAAACAUCCUGUAGGAUCCUGGUAAGUUUAGAAUCUCGAAAGGGAACAUGAUUUGCUUUUCCAGGGGAACCACCAGUCAGAGCAUUUAUUACAUUUCCCAGAGCUGAAAGGGAUUUGUUGAUGGACUUGGCUUCUUCAAGAACUCUACCUUCAGCUCCAGUUUUUUCAACUUUCUCAGAUCCAGCCAAGUCCACAAGUAUCAACUUUCCAGAUUUUAUCCUGUUCACACAUUCAACAUCUUCAAGUUUCAUUUCAUACAAAUCUUCACAACGCAUAUUGAAGUAUACCUUCUAGUCUUUGUGAUUUCUUGCUGGACAGUGAACGUGUAAAUGCAAUGACUUCUGCUGCUAGCCAUAUUCAUUUCUGGACUUGUUAAACUAUACAAAGUGAUAUGCAUAAAAAAGAAUCUAAGACCUCUAUAAUAUUUAGAAAGGCACAAGACAAAGGAAAGGGAAUUAUUGGAAAGCCAGAAACAAUAAUAAAAAGAUAUGAGGAUACGGGUUUCUCCAACCGCUCUGUUAGCUAUCCCAUUCUGCAAUUCAAUCAGCGAUAAAAACAUCUGUUCUGGUACUUUAACACAUGGAAAAGGACAAGAAUAGAUAUCGUACACAUAGAUUUUGCAGUGCUUCUGUACAAUUGGUAACAUUAAUCUGUAAAAGAGAAAACAUACACUCCUGAGAUCUAACAAGAUAUAAAUGAGCAAAAAUUUACAAAAGCAAGCAGCCAACAUGACAAAGCAUACGAGUGAAGUAACAGAUGAACACCCAGUCUCUUUGGAUGCAAAAGAUUAAGCUAAAAAAACCACUAAAGGUCUAUGUUAAAAAUUUCCAAUGAAGGAGCUCUAGUCAACACGAGCAAAUACCAAGCUUGCACUACCCUGCGAAGGAUUUAGGGCUGGCAGUAGAAAAGCACCAGUUCUUGUUCCUCUAAUACUUAAAAUAGGUGCAGUUAAGCACAGGAUACAAAGACCAAAUAAAACCAAAUUGUGGUAGAGACUUCUAUGAACCUGUCUUCCUCAGGCUCACAUAGACUAUUCUUAUUACUGGCAAAGGUGCACCAUAAUCAAAUUAGGAUAAUAAGGAUGGAGAAGGUAGCAUAUCUUACCUCUGUAGCUCCAUAAAGAAAUAUUCCCUGCUGCCUAUUCUCCUUAAUCUGUAUGUUGUCAUUGACUAAUUCAAACAGGUCCCUAAAAGAAGAGAACGCUUGUUAUUAAGAACAUAAUAUCUCUAAAUUAGUGUACAGGUUAGGUACUGCAAACUGCAAGUCCGAGAAGUAUGUCCCAUUGAGAACGGACCUUACUUUCUCCAUGUAAAUCUCAACCUGAAAGCAUCAAAUCAACAGGUAAGUCAUACAGCAUGAAUAAAGUAAAAAAUGAAAUUGCAAAUCUCAAGUAAGCAAUUAAUAAAACUUUCUACACACCAUGGAUAACUUGAUCAUGGAGCUGGCCGUCUCAUCUGAAAGUGCGAUAGCCUCAAAAAGGCCAUUCACCACUUUUGGCAACAGUCCUUUGUUCUUCUCAUCUCCAUCCAUGAUGCUAGGCCCCUAAAGUUGAGAGAAUUCUAUGAAACUCCUAGUUUAACAUGCAUCUACCUAUUGCAGCUUCACUAGACUGUGUAGCAUCGUCCUCUUACCUCCAUGGUAUAUGUCUUCCCUGCUCCAGUCUGUUGCCAAUAAUAUACAACAGCUUCAUUAAAUCAAAUGUUUUUCAAGUAACACGAGAAAUCUAUUAAUAAGUCUCUGAAGGAAACUUCAUGAUGCAAAAAAUGCAAGUUUCAAUCCUGAUCUCUAAAGUUGAUGAUGUUAAUGGAAGCAUGCCAUUUAAUUUGGCUUUAUCUCACAAAUGUCUCUAGCAAACUGUAUAGUGCUCAAACUCAUCCUGAUCUGAUAUUUUUACUCGAAUUGAAUUUCAUGCUACAUCAACAGUUCCUCAUUAUCUACAAAAAAUGAGUACAUUAGCUACGUGAUGAAUAGAACAAAUCAAUGUUCUUCUUGGACCUUAAUUCGAGCUUGACAUAAUUUGAAAAACAAGAAGAUGUCCUACAAUAUUAAUUAGAAAUAAUUAGACACAUCAACAAAAAUUUUCAUUCAAACUCAAAUCAGGGUCUGCUAGCUGAACCUGCCAUUUCCCUCCGCCCAACCCCCAACACAAACCAACCAAUUGGAAAAAAAAAUAAGAAGAAGAAAGAAAAUAUUGUUUGACACAUGUACAACUUAUUCUUCUGUAGCAAAAUGACCAUAUACACUUCAUAACUCUAGAACAUGUGAACGAAGGACUUUUUUGACACUUAAAUCACCAUCAUGACUCUUGAAGUCAAAUUUCUAACAUAUACAUUCCACAACUUUAACUAUGAUGAAAGUUAAGAUGGGGAAGAAAUUAUCAACAUUUGGAAAAGAAAUUAUUUGGUUUCAUGAGAAUAUGGUGAGACAAAAGCUUCUUUUUGCUCAUCAAAAACUCAAAUAAAUGUAUGGUCAGGUCACUACUUUUGACUUCAGCAGUUAAGCUACUGCAGGAUUUUGAGAACUACCAUAAUGCAGCAUAUGUAGAAUUUCGUUAGCUGAACUCUUGAUAGAAAUUGAGGAAUAAUGUCAGGUAUUCACCAAUAUCAGAACUCUCAAUAACUAAACAGAGUUUUCAUCAUGAAAAACAUGAUACCAGCAAAUCAAGAAAAUAAAUAUUGAUCAACAUUAUCUGCCGUGGCAGCUGCAUACUAUUAUCUCUGACAUUUGGGAACGUAACCUCACUUGUUUUAAUCAAGUGCCUCAUUCUAUGUAAAAUUUAAGAACAAAACAAGACAGAAGCAGCUACAAUCUCAAACAUCUGGAACUUUAUGCCUUCUUUCAUACAAUUCUUGAUUUAUCUUAAUUUUUCCUCAUGAUCAUAAGUAUGCUGUAGUUAUGAUGGUUAAAGCAACAAUUAAGAAAAGCUACAAAGUGGACAUCUCAUGUUUAUUAAUUCUGCAAUUAUUUAUUCUGAGAUGCAUGUUCUGCAAUCAAGAAGUUUGUUAAAUCUGCUUGGAGAAUACUCAAUAUAUUACUACAAAGCCACUGCAGACGUGAAAAGACAAAAAUGGGAAAUGUCGAAUCAUGACUACCUGUCCAUAGGUGAUAAUUGCCCCAUUAAUUCCAUCAACAGCAGCUGUUGAAUCAAAAAAUAAAGAAGAAAAAGAUGUGAACAAGAAUUACAGGUUAAACUUCUUGUUAAAAGACAAAUGUAGGAAGUGAAAGCAAAUCCAAUUGUUCCACUAAUACUGCCUGUUUCAUAAAAAAAAUGGAUCAGCUUAAGUUAAGGUUUACUGACUACAGACAACAAGAGAUGAAAUCGUUCCUGGUUUACAAACACAAAACGAGAUUUUGAAUCUACUAACAUCAACCGCUAACGUCUUCAAUCUUUGGAUGUAACCAAGAUAUAGAGUUUUUGAGUCGUAAUCUUACUAAUGUUCCAGUAUAAAGGACCAGAUCAACUUUGAUAUUUCCAUUCUUUUUUUUUCACUUCUGAUCAACUUAGCAAUUCUAAUCUACAGUUUGCCUCAUCUUUUGUUUAAACCAACAUCAACCAAACAUUAAAAAUUAUAAAAGCGCUAACAACAUUCAAUAAUCUCAUUGUAGAAAGCUGAAACCAGAGAAUCAAUAGAAAUUUGAUACCUUGCACAAGAGGCAGAGCAAUAAAAUCAUACACGUCAGAUUGUGGAGAUCCUGGAUAGAAAACUCUAUCGAAGCUAAAAUUGAAGUCCUCCUUCUCAUCCUACCAUACAUCGACAAAAUUCACAAAAUUUUCUUAUUUCACAAAUUCAUCACUUGAAAUUAAGCUUCGACAACUCAACAGGAUACAAUUUUAGUAGAAAAGCAUAUAACUUUCGAACACAUACUAACAUUAUUGUUGAAAUUGAAAAUUAGAACCUUAAAUAUGAAGGAUUCAGAGUCUACGCCGUGUAUGCAGAUGGAAUCGCCGUGAUCGGCUCUUUCUUUCUGAUUAAGAGGUCUGAAUAGCGCGCAAACUUUGAUUUUCGACAUUUUCCGUGUAUGAAUUGAUGGGAACCUGAAAAUCGACCACAAAAUUCAACUAAAAAUAUUCAAUCGAUUAUUGAUCAAAGUUCGGUUUUGAACUACACAUUCACAGUUCACAGACCAAAAAUGCCUAAGCACAGGGAACUAUACCUGAUCGGAGAAGAAGACUGAAUGCGAAUUCGAGGAUUUUUUUGAAGAUUUUCCCGCCAAAAUCUAGAGAGAGAAAACUUUGGAGUGGAAAAUUAACGGAAAAACAGAAAUUCGGACCUCUAUUUAUAGUUAGCAUACGUGUACACUUGUGGGCAAAAUAUGCUAUUGCCUAGUUGAAGAGAAUUACGUGAAUUGCCCAACUAAAGCCUAUAUUUACCUUUUCGGACCCUAAAAGUUUUUCUUUUCUUUCUUUGUGUUGACAAAUAUUGACAAAUAAAGGAUUAGUGGUUUCCUAUGCUUCAAAUUGAACUGCCAGAAAGCGGAAUAUACCAAUGAAGGGAUCUCAACUCAUUUGUUGGAUUAAAGAUCAAUUUUUACAAGUAGGGUUUGGUUAAGUUUGCCAUAAAACUUAUUAACGAAACUAGAUAGAAUGAUAGCUUUCUGUAUAAUUUAUCCAAGUAGUAUGGCUAUUAAAUGUGACUUUGUUCAUAUUUCUUUCUCUUCUACUUGCAGCGAAUCCAUCUAUAAAGCUCAAGGAAUCCACCUUCCUAUCCUCAUAUGAUACAAAGCAGCAUUGCAGUUUCCCAAAAAAAGCCAUAAGAACAUGGCAACGGUGGCUGCUCAUUGCCAUGAGCUAACCCAAAGUCAAUUCUUGGACCUAGGGGUAACAAUUUUCGGCACGAUUUGAAAACCCGACACGAACUUAAUACGAAAUUAAUGUAUUUGGGUUUAGAUUUUGAGAAAUCGGGUUAGACCCGAAAAAAACAGGUCAAAAUCAGGUUUAAAACGGGUUGACCCGCUAACCCAAUUUUAAAAUAAAAAUAAAUAAAUAAAUAUUAAAAAAGUAUCUAAAAACUUAAUAGUAAAUAACUAAAUAUAAUAUACCAAUUAUCACUUAUCACUACGCAAAAGCAGAAAUCAUGCCGGCCCUAAAUCUUUCUUUUCCUUUUCAACUUUUCUCCUCCAAAAAUCUAAACGCAGCUUUUCUCCUUCAAAAAUCUAAACGCAAAACCAGAUUUAGAUCUAGAUCUGGCUGAUGAUGACACUGAUGCAUACAGGACUGAUUUGAUGACCAUAACCAAGUUUGUAUUGAACGAGCAGUCCAACUGUCUAAGCACGCAGAAUCUCGCAGGGAUUUCACUAUCUUGCUCAAUCACAUUUUGUUUUGGGUUGCAAGUUGAUUUGUUCUACUGUCAACAAGGUCCUUCCGUAGAGUUCUUUACUUCUUUUCCUUUCUUGAGCAUUUUCCCUCUUUUCUAACAACAGAGGCAGAAAGAUGAAACCUUAUGUUUUGUCACUUACAUUUUAACUACAUUAUAUAACCGCUUCCACUUUUUCUCUCUUUCUCUAACACAUACACACACACCAAAAAGUCUCUUCAGUAAAAUGUUCACCGGAAAUCAAUUAACGACCUUUCCAACCUCAGAAAAACAUUUAUUACGAUUUUUCUUGGGCAGAGCAAUCUCAUUCGAUGAAUUAAAUUUCAGGUCAUUUGGGGUCAACUCGCUUGACCCGCCAACUGAAACUUUCGAGUUCGGGUCAAUAUGCUUGACCCGUCAUGGGUUGACGGGGGUCGGGUUCGGGUCAACAAAUUUUUUGACAACGUGAUUUGAAUCCGAUUGUCACCCCUACUUGUAGGGGUGGCAAUGGGGCGAGGGACACCUCCCCCAACCCCCUCCCUGUUGCAUUUUAAUUCCUCCCGUCCCCCGUUCCUUGCUUCCCCCGCGAGGGUAUCUGUGGAGUUAAAAAAAUUUUAUUAUAUAAUUUCAUUAUAAUUAAAUUUGAGCAAAUAAUCGAGUACUAAAAUAUUAAUACAUCACCAAAUUAUUAUUCAUUAUAAUUUCACAAUUGAAACUCAUAAAAAUAAUUAAACAAAUGUUAUUUGAAUACAAUCUAAUAUGAUAAAACAAAUAUAACUAAAAUAAUCAAAUUUUCACUUUUGAUACAAAUACAAUCACUAAAUUAUUAUUGUAUUUUUUUUUAGAAAAAGUAUUAUUCUAUUAAGUGUAGUUAGAAAUUUAACAUAAAUGUAUUAAUAAAUUUAGUAUAAAUAAUUAAUAAUUUUUAUGAAUAGACAUGUAUAAUUAGUAAUAUAAUUGAUAAUAUCAUUAUGUAUAUAAUUAUGCGAGUCUCCUGCCCCCGUCCCGUUUCUAAACGAGGGGAAAAAAUUCCCCCCCCCCAUACCCCCACUCCAAUGACCCCCGCAGGACGGGUGCCUGCCCCCGUUGCCAUCCCUACCUACUUGGACCCAAGCUGCAACAAAUGGUUUCCUAUAACUAUUCAGCCUUCUGCUUAGAUAUGUCUACGACCACAACUGAGAAUCUAAUCGAUAGUAAAUAACCCUUUAUGGUUUCACACUAUGCCACCUGAUUUUCCUUGCAUGUCAAAAAUUUCUUUCUUUGUAUCUCUCUCAUAGUUUUUGACAGAAAGUGGUGACCAUACUGUCGUUAGUUGAAAUGUUAGUAUUGCCUUUUCUGAAAUACUAGCAGAACAACUGCAUAAUGACUUCACAUAAAGUUAUAAAGAAAUCAUGUCAAUAUAUGCAAAACCACAGGGAAGUUGGAAUAGAUUUUAUAGUGUUUUAUCACACACGUUUUUGGAGGUCAAUUGAACGGAAGUACUUUACAUUCACUUUAGACUUCAUAUCAAAUCACAGGGAAGACAGUGGGUUACUAGUAAUUUACCCAAAUAAUUACUAGAUUUCCAUCUGCAACGUCUGAUACAAAAUUGAUACACCAAUAUGCCACCAGAGAGGGAAUCUCUGCAUGGAGAACAGAAUCUUGGCACAAGUUAAUUGUAUGAAAUGCUAAAAAUCCGUAUGGUGGAUCGCUGAUAUGAUUUUGCAUAGGGAAGCAAAUCAAAUGGCUUCGAAUUCUCAGUAAUGUCGGCGACAGUAAGGUUUGCCUCCUUCAUUAGCUCAAGAAAGUAAUUGAAUGUCUCAAUGUUACGAAUCACAGACGCAAUAUAUGCUACAGGGCGUCUCUCCAACGCAUCAUCUUUGUCCUCAACACAUGGAGCACUGCAACUCUCGGCUUUUCCUUUGCUGCUAUCAAACUCGAAAUCCGCAUGUUGCACUUCACUUCUGAUACAUUCAGAAUCUGGUUGACAUCCCUCACAGCGAACACUUCCAUCAUUAGGGAAUGAUGUUCCACGUUUCAGAAGAACAGUCAGGACUCGAACAAGAUGGGGAAGGUAUAAUGGGUCAUAAAUGACAUCUGCACCCACACUGCAGAAUAGUAGAGAGGUUAUAAGGCUUACUUUAACCUAUAGGAGAGGAAAAGCAGAAAAAACUAGGAAGUCUAAUUUACAUGAACUGGAAAAAGGAUGUCAUAUGUUAGAUCUCAACGCUGUAGUUGUGAACUGCUUAAGGUGCAAUUAGCACCAAGAAACCAUGACGGAUAAGUGCAAUGCACAAAGGGAGGUGGCUUUUAAAAGAGAGGCAUGGGUAGAAUGCACAAUAAGGUGGGUUUUGUAAUGACGUGCAUACAGUAUUACAAAUACUGGCUUCUAAGGGUAACAACUCACACCAAGCAAACCAACAUUUAGCAAGUGGUUGAGAAUUGGCAGCAGGAAAGUACGGGAUACCAGAACAGAUUUAAAGGAAGAUGUGUGAGAGAGAAAGAUGCCAGUAUGGAUACUUGGGUAGGGAGGGUAAAGCAGGGAGAGAAUAUGAACAUGGAGCAAUCAGUAACUUCCCAGCUAAAAUAUGCCAAAAAAAAAAAAUCUCUCUUAGUUCCCUGGAAAGCAUUCUAAAAGUUGGAACAUUGAUGAUACAUGGACAAACUAAUCAUUGCAAAACUAACAAGUUCCUUUCUACAUCAGAAAAGAGAACCAAAGGCCUGGAACAAUGUUCACAGUCUCGUAGAAGCCAAAUAGAUUUCUACUGUAUUUUUUAAAAAAAAAACAACAACAAAAAAAAGAAACAAAAAGCAAAAUAACUUACAUUAUGUCUGGUGCAAAGUUUUGCAGCUCAAUUUCUGUUGCAGAUUCCCAUGGUAAAUGAACACACUGCACCUGCAACCAAAAUUAUGUCAAGUUGAUUAGCUGCUUGUCCUUGUCCUAGUAAAGUAAAUCCAUGAACAGCAAGGCAAGCUUUAUAACAAUGAAAAGCUUCUAGCCCUUCGCAGAAAUUACCUCCAAAUUUUAGGAAGGACCAAACCUCAUCAAAAUGACAGCAGAAAUAAGAAAUGUCUUGAAAAUGCAAGGUUUUCAGAUACUUAUAUUCCUAGUUUAACCUUGUAUGUAGUGGUUAUAUAACCAUUAUAAAAGCAUCUCAGAAUAAAUUCUCGUAAAAUUGCACAUCAGAAAAAUUAAAUCUUCGCUUGAACAUAAUAUGUCAUUCAGUCAUUCAAUGCUUUAUUGCACGUCCUCCUGCUACUAAACUCACAAGGAGUUGACCAUGGAUGUAAGUUUCAUGUUAUGAAAAGAAUCCAACAAUGUGACUUUCCUCUUUAGUUCAGUAUUCAGUAGCAUAAGCUAAGCAUAUACACUGAAGUUGAGCAUAAUAAAGGAAAUCAGUUUCUUUACAAUUUAGCUCUGCUAGUUUUAGGAAACCAGAACACAAUACUAAGAAAACCCACAUAUGUAGGAACCAAAGUCCUAUACUUACUGUACUUGCAUCUUUUUUGCAUUCUGGUACAUCAAUUCUUGUGCUGAGCAGAUUUGACUCCAAAUUAAGCCUCAUAUUGGAUAAAGUGGACAGGUCGCCAUCACUCAAAACCACCUGCAUAAAGAAAUCAAUUAUGAUGAUGGUAUCAGAAGUCUUUUAUAUGCUCUCAAGAAUCUUUUCACUCUGAUGAGAGGGAAAUAAAUGCAUAAAAAAUCAUGCCAUUUAACAAAACUGAGAAGGAUGUUCUUGAAAAGACAGUAAACAUACUGUUUAACCAAUGAUAAAAGCAGUUUUAUUGGACAAUUUUAUCUACUAGUAGCAACUGAGACAGAAAUGGUUGAAAAGUUUAGAUGUAUUCCCAGAUAUAGCUCUUGCUUGAAAAGACUCUCAAGAAGUUUACCCAACUAGAAGCAGUCCAAGCCUCAGCAGGAAUCAAAUUUUCUUUGGCAACAUUGACCAAGAUAUCUACAUUUCAAGAUUAUAUUUUUAAAGGUGAAAUUUGGACUCUGAAGCUUUCUCCUAGUUGCUAGAAUCCAUCUACUGAAGACCAUAACAAUUGUGGAUAUUUAGACACCACACAUAGUAUGAUCAAAUUAAUCAACAAAUUAUAUAAGUGCUCCAAACAGAGGAGUUAAAAUGCCAAUAUUGGGAAUUAUUUGAGAUCUCAAACAGUAAGACCCAUAGAGAUAUUAUUACCUAAGGAACAUUGCAACACAGUAAGCGCAUAAAAAAUGUACUGGAAUAAUAAAUUACCAAUUCUAUUCCUAAAGCUGCCAAUCCAAUUUUGUAAGCUGAAUCUUUCCUGAUAAAUAGAUCUAACAUCAAUCGUAAUCUCAAUAAAUAUGUCAAACCUACUGUGGAAUCAACGUGAAUGGAGGCACCAAAAUGCAGGUAUAGGUGUCAAUGGUAUAAACGGUGAAAAAUUUGUUGAUCAAACCAAGAAUUCAACACUUUUCAGUGAAUUGAAUUAAGCAUCUCAGAAGUAUUCAAGCUUUGUUUGCAAAAUCAUAAGAAUUAUCAAAACUGUACUUAUAAAUCUUGAGCUCUCUUUAUGGAGGUUUAGCUUUCCCAAAAUAGUUAUUGGAACAGUUCAUUGCAACUUGCAUUGCUUUGCUACAACCAGGCCUCAACACAAGAAAUAAUACUUUCAUCUCUAACCAAGCUGUCAACAUUUCUCCAAUUUAAAGAGUUAAGAGUAUUCUGAACAAAGCCCAUGAAAAUUACCAAAAUCAGAUGAUUGCUAUUUGUAUACAGGCCUUCAUAAGAGGUGAAGUGCUUUGCAUCAGGUAAUUACAUAAUUGAACAUCAAUCUCAGAAUUGAAAUAUAUCCAGCUGACAGUAAAUGCCAACCAGUGCCCUCAACGAUAAAAAUGAAACUUUUAGGCACACAACUCAAAUUCUAUAUGCGUCUUAAUUGCACAGAAACGAGAAGGGUUCACUGUAUGAUCUUCAAUAUAUUAAGAGUAAAUACAAGUCUCUGGAUAAAGAUGGAAGAAGGCCUUACAUAAAACCAAUAAGAAAGAUGGUUGAAAGCAUAUGGAUGCAUUUUUUUUUUAAUUCAACAAAAAGCAUGCUGGUUCCUUCAACGAACUGUAAUACAUGCAUAACAACUAGAGAGGAGAGAGAGUUUGUGAGAAAAGCACACUGACUGCUUGCAGAAACCAUAAACAUACACAUAAUGGCUUGAGUUAGGGAGCGACUUACAGCAGAAGCUUUCACGUGGGCCAAACAUACACCAACCAAACCUACACCUGAACCAACCUGUUUCUUGGUCAAUUACCACAAAAAUAAAAUUCCACUAGGAAUAUAACAUAAUCAUGAUUAGUAAAAUGAAGAUGAAUAAGCAAGUCAAAUUCACACUCUUCCCAGGGAGUGAAAGAUGGAAAAAACAGAACAGCAACUAAAUUCUGGAAGGCAUACCUCACCUCAAAACAAGAUCUAUUGGAAAAUAUGUUUGGGAAAGAAAGUAUAAACUCUGAGAGGUAAAGACUUGACGGCCAGAUUGAACACCUGUUUAGACCAUGACAGAAAGGAAAUCCAAUGAGGUCACAAACCGAUCUCAGACCAACUAAAGUACAUUAGACAUUAAAAAUAUAAAAAGAACAAUGGUCAGACUAUAGAAAACCACUAAUAGGGACAUUAAAAGAAAAUCUUGUCGAAUUUCAUUCCUAAGAAAAUAAGAACAAAAAUGUUUUUUGAGGAUAUAGCAUUUUCUCCUAUAUUGCAUUUUUGCAUUUGAACAAAUCAGUAGGUCGCAUUUCAGCAACUCAAUAUUUGCCUACUCAUACAUAUAUGCUAAGUUACGAAACAUGCCAAUGAGAACAUGCAAAUAAAAGACACACUAUUAUUGCACGAGGCUCCCCCACUUCAGGUCUAAUUAGAUUUCUUAUUUUUAUCUUUUUCUUUGUUUUACAGGCCCCGGGGGCCCAGGGAGUACACUUACCAGUCUGUUUAAGUUAUUUUCAUUUACUGAACAUUUGACUUCCCAAGUAACAAAACGCAACCUUAGUCUUACUUAUGGUCAAAGAUACAGAAAAAUCCUUCUCCAGGUUUUCCCAACUCCCCAGACCACUUCUUUUCUCAUUUUUAAUCCAGUACAUCCACCCUUCAAAACUUUUCCUGCAACUCAAUGUUAAGCAAACCAAACCUGGUAAACUCAGUUAGAAACAUUCUCUUACUUAAAAAGAGUAAUCAUUUUCACCAUAUUUGAACUACAAAUUCAUAUGCUGCUGUAAUGAACAUCUCAAAUCAGAAAAAAGAGCAACUGCGUAUAUAAGGUCUCUGAAUGACCAGUCUGAAAUCAAGGUAAGACACAAGUUGCCUAUCACCCAGAGUCUAUCUUGCAUCCAUGAUUCAGGAAUCCCAGCCAAGCUAGUUGGCCUUCUUAUUCAGUUACGUCUUCAAAUAUGAAACUAAUUUCUCUGUCAACUUAUGGUCUGUCCUUUUGAGAAGAAGCAUGCCACUUGCACUGAUGGACAUUGAAAAAACAACAUGAAAGUUCUUGUAUCCUUUUCCACAUCCUCCUGGCCAAAAAAGGGGGGGGGAGGAGAAAUGGUAUGUCCAUCUACCCCAUUACUUUGAUCAAGAUUGAGCUCAAUUUCAUAUGUGGCAAUUCCGCCAAGAUCUAUUCAUUAGUUGGGGAGAGAAAACGAGAAGCAGAGUGGGCAUAACAAAGGUAAAACUUGACAAUCAACGUGGAGUAUGAAGAGGGCCAUACAGUAUGGAAAAUCACACACAACAAUUCCCUUCCCAGACACUGGAGAAUUAGCACCUCACAGUGUAAAUAAAAAAUGUGACAAACAUUAUCAUUUCCCUAGGGUUGGUUUGAAGAGACAAGUAGAAUAGAAAUUUUAAACGAAGAAAGCAUGUAUUUGGGAACUAUUAACAUAUCCACAUUCACCACUCAAGAAAGCACAUCGAUAAUUUGUUCACUUUCUGCACUACUUCUAUCCAGCAGCGGGGGUGAGAUUGGCAAAAUAAUACCUAUGCACCAGUAAAGAAAGCAACCUCUUUCCAAAUAUAUUUUCUCAUUGCAAUCCUUACAAAAUUGGAUUCCCUCAUCAACAUUUAAAAUUAAAAGGAAAAAGGGUAUACCCCGUAUCUCCUUCAAGCAUGUCCACUGAACAAUGAAGUGACACUUCCAACUUCUUAGAUUUCGGACAACUUGAAAGUUCACAACAUCCUACAAGUGCCAAAUCAACGCAAAAACUAUUAGUAAUCACAAUAACAAAAGAGAAUAAAUGCAAGGUAUAUAAGCAUAAAAUCCUCACCAUCAGGAAAAAGAAAUGAAAUUCUUUUCAAAACCCUUGAGUUCCCUCCUGAAAAGUGGUCACCCUGGAAAACCCACAAAAAUUGAACCCAAAAAGAAAAAACUUAUCUUUCAAAUAAACUUUUGCAAGAAGGCCAUAAAAUAUAACAAGAAAAAAAAAAUUUAAGAAAAAAUCACUACCUUUAAAGAAGUCAUGAUAAAAGCAUAACGCUCAUAUAAUUCAUCCAACACAACACCUCCAUCUGACUCAAUUUCGCCAAUUAGCUUCUUUAAAACCCUUUUCAAGUAAGGCCCCUGCUGGCAACCACCAUCCCCUACCUAAACAGAUACAUGAAAACCUCUCCCAAAAAAAAAAAGAAGAAGAAGAAGAAGAGGAAGAAAGAAAGAGGACCAGUCAAAAAAUUCAAAAAUUUCAUUAACUUACUGUAGUGUUAAUAUAAUUGUUCCAGAUGAAGCCCUGUACUCUUUCCCCAAUCAAACCACCACCACACUUCCUGACAGUUGUUCAAAAACUUUGCAUGUGAGCCCCAGAAAUUUACCGUUCCGCACAAUAUGAUAGCAUUUGUUUACCUUGCCAAGGAGAUUAGGACGUCAGGGGGUUCCAUUGCAAGAAAGGCGGAAAUCAGAUGUAGAUACGGAGGCUUAGAAAUGUCUACUGCUUGCUGGUUUUCUUGGAUAUCCAUGGCCUUUCUGAACAGAGUAUGCUUGCAGACGACGUGUUUGUUAUUUUGCGCCAAAGACUUUUUUGCUGGGGAAAUAAAAAAAAAACCUUUUUAAGGAAAAAUCGUUUUUCAAGUGGAUAAAAUUUCGCGUCCGAACCUCUUCCGACCAUAUUUUGACCUGAAUCCAUCAUUUUAAAAGCAAAAAUGUUAGAUCUUAUUUAUUAUUUGUAGUUAAACAAAUAAUCCAGUCCAUUUUUAUUUUUGCCAUAAAAGGUCAGAUCUAUUAGAAGUAGCAAAAUGAAUCAGUAUCCACCGAUCCAUCCAUAUAAAUCAACCUUAAAUGGAUUUGAAUGACUCGUACAAAUUCAAUGAUUUUAAAUAAAUAAUUUAUUUAAAUCUAAUUAUGUUGAUAGGUAAACCAGACUCUUCAGUCCAGUCAGCUCCUUGUAAGCAUUCUGCAAUCUUUGAGUCACAGGUCCAACUCGGCCAUCACCAACUAUGCGCCCAUCAAUUCUAAUAAACUGCUCCAGGUUCGUGACAUUACAUCAUUCAUGAUCAACAUAAGCAAAACCAGCAGCAUACAUUAUUAAAAAAUGAUGCACAGGAUUUUGAUGAUUUUAGAUCUUUCAUUGUCUAAUUACAAAAUGACGCGUGGUCUGACGCUACAAUGAGUAUAUUAAGAAGAUUUAAUUGACUACACUACAAUGAACAUAUUAAGAAAUCAAGAUUUUGAACAGCAACCCCUCUUAAGUAGUAGAUGGAUUAAAUGUGACAUCAAUUCAAACACCAUUUUGAGCUGCAUUUCUAACAAGUGCAUUUUAGUAUUACCCAACCAUAUAAAGCCAAUUUGGAUUUUGACAGAAUAUGUAGCUAUAGGAAGAACAAGUUAGCCUUCUAUUGCCACCCAAAGAACAGAUUACAAACCAAAGUCUUUUGAUGAAUGCCUUAGUUCAGUCAAAGAAAAAUUGAAAACAAUAAAAAAAAAAUGACAAGAAGCUGGUGAUAAACAAUUGAAACAGAAAAUUCACUAGAUCACAGAAUGCCACACUGAUUAAAUGAUGAAGUUUGUUUAUUAAAAGGUGUUAAGAGAAUAUAAGUAUUCCUGUAGAUAAUAAAUUAGUAAGGGUAUUUUUGUAAAUAGUUUGUUAGAUUUGUACUAUUAUAAAUACUAGUUGGUCACUCAUAAUAUGGUGAUUAGAUAUUUUUCCUCCCAAAAUACCUAUUGUCAUGGUAUCAGAGCUAAAGUCCUAGGGUUAGGGUUAAACAUCUAAGAAAAGUACCACUGUUCAUCGCGGCACUGUUCACGCUAUUACUAUUCACGUCGUUACUGCUCACGGCGCACGGUUCGUCUCGAGUUUUGACCCUUUUCUUUGGUUUGAAAUGCUAUUCCCUAUGACUAAAAAUUUAUCAAAAAGUGUCAAAAGCAAAGGAGGUCGCGGAGCUUUGACGAUGCUCUAGGUUCAACCGGACAAAAGAGCUUGGCCCAUAUAAUUAUAUAUUUAAUGUAAAAAUUAUAUAUAAUAUUUAUUAAAUAAAAUUGAUAUAAAUAAUUAAUGUCCCGGGGAAUCAUUCUGACUGAAACAAGGGGCGGGUCUUUACGAACUUCAAAAUAUUCGAAUAGUGGAUUUAUUUUGACUCUUCAUAGAUAGCCAGAGAGUAGAGAUGCUUUUCAUAGCGUAGUUUCUUUCGCACCCUUGGCUGUGAAAGCCCGUUUUGAUGCCUGAAACCUAAUGAUGUAAAGGAGCUGAGCUCUUUUUUUUUGACAAAUGAAAAGAGCUGAGCUUGGAUGAUUGAAAUUUGAAUGAACUCAUUUUUUAUAUUUUUAACUGUGAUUGAGCGUGAAAAAUUUAAAACUUGUCCAAUUGACAGACCUACUAUACAUACACACUUAAUAUUAAAUAUGAAUGAUAUGUCUAAAUAUCAUGUACGACGAAUUUUGCAAAUUGCUACUUAUAUAACUAACUAGUAUAAAAUUUGUUAGUGAAGUUAGGAAUCUAAAUAUCAUAACUCUCUCAUUUAAGAUGUAAGAUAUAUAACCCUUUUAAAAAGAAUUAUAACGCCCAAAAUGUAACUCCCAUAAUUCCCAAAAUAAAUUCUUUAGAAAGCUAUGACUCGUCUAAAAUUUGGUCAAUACCAUUUGAUCUUUUAUUAAAAUACCCCAAUAAAGGUUCCCUUGUCUAAUUAUCAACAUGUUUGGAUUGGCAUGAUUUCAGAUAAAAUAAUUUGCUUCACAAAUUCCAAUCACCUUUUUAUCUCACAUACAUCACAUCACAAAAAGUGCUACAGUAAUUAUCUCAAAUAAAUCAUCCAAAUAAACUCCUAUCCAAAGGUGAAUCAGAAGUUGAAGGGUAGAUGAAAAUACUAGAAAUCUAUCAUAAUAAUGUUGAUUCUAACACAAUAAAUGUUGAUACUAAAAUAAUAACAUACAAGAACGUGCUCUGAUACAAUAAAUGUUAAUUUUAAGAUUGCAACAUAUAAAAUCGUCCUUAUACAAUGAAUGUUGGCGCAAAGAUAAUAACAUACAAAGAGAUGCGAUAACUUUUGUCACUUAUUAAAAAUUUUGCCUACAAAUUCAAUUUUCAUCACCUAAUUUUUAAUUACUCCAUCUAUCAAGCAUGAAUCGCUGCCUCCAAUGACUACCGUGACGGCGGAGAAUCCGGAUCUGCGUAAUGGCAGCUCUUGGGGCCUCUGUUUUCAAACUCGGACCGGACCGGCCGGUCGAACCGGUUGAACCGGGAACCGGCCAGGUAGCCGGUCCGAGUCACAUUAGAAAACCGGAAAUUUAAAACCCGGUCAAAGCCGGUCAAAAACCGGGUUUGACCGGGUUUGACCGGGAAAAAACCGGUUUUUCCGGUUCAACAGUAUUUUUUUAAAAAAAAAAUUCAAACUUUUUAAUAUUAUGUUUUGACCCCCUAAAUUGUUAAAACUUAUUGAUAUACCUCAAAUAUUUGAUACUUUAUAAAUAUUGUCCUAAAAUUUGAUGUUAUUUUUCAAUUAAAUUCAUAAUUUUAAUUCUAAACUUGUUAAUAUUUAUUAAAUAAUAUAAAUUGCUACUUGAUUGUUCUAAUUUCUUUGUAUUUUCUUGUUAAAUAUAUUUGAAACAUCAAAUAUAUAUGAAUAUGCCUUUAUUAAUAUCAAUAUAUUAUUAGAUAUUAUAUAUAUAACAUUUUAAUUUUAAAAUAAUUUUUAUUUAUGACGUCAUCCGGUUCGACCCCUAUCGACCCCCGGUCGAACCCAUUGACCCCUGACCCCUGACCUCGGCCGAGUCGCUAUCCGGUCCGGUUCUGAAAACAUAGCUUGGGGCAUGGAAGCGGUCCGAAAGACAACUAAGACGAUACUAGCUAGUCUAGUAAUAACCAGUUAAAGAAUUGUCGUCAUUCAAUUAAAAAUUAAAAAUUGACUUUAGUAGGAAAAGAAUAACUGAAUAAUUAAAGUAGAACAUUUAUUUGUGACGCGUGGUUGGUAGGUUUUAUUAACUACUGCUUUAGGUGUUUGUUUGGACAGCAGAUUAUUUAGUCAAUUAUAUUUGCUUACAUCAUCAUUACAAUUUUUAAUACAUCUUUUUAUCUUCUUAAUUACCUUUCUAUUUCACAUACAUCACAUCACGAAAAGUGCUGCAGUAAAAAUAUCUCAAAUAAUUUACAAUCCAAACAAUUUUAUGUCUGAUGUCCAUGACGCAAGUUUGGAUUAGGUACACAUCUAGCAUUAAUAAAAAAAUGAUUCAUUUGAUGGAUUAAUUGAAAAAAUUAUAUUAAGCAAUUCAUCCUGGUAAAUAUUGGCAGUGUUAAUUUUAUUUGAUUGAGGUUUAUAUCCUUUACAAGAAUCAUUUGGUUGUUAUAACUGGCUUGUUUUAGUUGAAAAUCAUUUGAAUUUGUUUGGAUAAUUCAUAAUUGCAUUUUUGUGAUUUCAUAGAUAUGAAUUAGCUGGAGAGUAGGUAGAGGAAUAGGAUACAUCAAUAUCUUUUUUUUCUUCCUUUCUAGCCAUAUAUUUUCCAAAAAUGAGUCCACUUAAAUUGCUUUUGUAAGCAAUUUCACUAAUACUCCCUCAUAUUUGAUAAAUUUAAAAUAGAUAUUAUAUUGGGCAUAGUAAAUUAACUAUCUAAUGCAAAAACUUGAGGGCUGCCAUGGAGUCAAAUUUUUUUCUCUCUCUUAAUACCAAUGAGUAAUUAAAUGGAUUGUUUUUCUAUUUGAAUUGGAUUGAUUUGUUACAAACUAAUUAAUUUUAGGGGAGGUUUCUGAUAUUUUGAAAACCUCACAGGAGGGCUUAAAUGGUAUUGUCCUUUACUACAGGACUUUUCUUUCCAAAUACUUCCCACAUUUGGACCGAAACUGUAGCUUCCCUUAUUUGUCAAGAAAGAACCGCUGGAUUCCCCUCUGGAGAAAGAAAAAAGUCAAGAGAACCAAAUCGACAUCAGUCAUAUGAGAAACCAACGGCGAGCAAAAUUUGUACCGUUUGACGUCCGACAAGAACAAAAAGCCAGCACUAUCGUCGGUCACCAUUAGGACACGCAUGCGUCAGUAAGGCGGUAAUUUGGCACACUGAAAAAGUCAAAAUUUAUUACUCCUACUCUGCAACUCAACCAUCUUCAAUCCUUUUCAAGAACACAAGAACCCGUCCCAGUUCGUCGCUGUACUUUCCUUUCCAAUCACAGCGAUCCCAGAAAGAAAACAACCAGAAACAUGGCAGAAAACAAUGGAGGAAUUGAGGUGAUUCAUUCAUGGUCUGCUCCCAGGUCUCUCAGCACCAGCCUCAUGUACUCUUUUGCCCAGGUAUUGAAUCCUUGUCAACCGCUUUUAUGAAAUAGUGGCAUUGAUGAAUGUUUCUGUCUGUCUGUCUGUCUCUCUCUCUCUCUCCUUCUUUUAUUCUAAAUAUAUUCAUUUUCAGACGCGGAUUAUGUCUUGUUUCGCUUUAUUCUGAGUCCCUUUUCAAAUUUGUUUCCAUUCUUUCCAUCUACUCUGUUCUUUUUUCCUUCUUCUGUGGUGCUUUUGAUUGUUUUGGUAAUAGAUAUGCAGUUCACAUUUUAUGUAGAGUGUGGAAUGAAUACUAACUGCGUUAUAAGAAUGUCAAUUGUUGGUGAUUUUGGCCUAAUGGUGGUUGUCUCCAGUCUCACUCUCUUGGAUUUCUUGAUUUCAUUAGUCAAUAUUUGAAUUGUUUAUUUCACGUGUUUGCAUUGAUUCUAGUUUGUGCUAACUGAAAGUAUGUAUGUUGCUUCCCAACUGUUUAAUCACCAGGCUAGCUACUCAGUUUAAUUACAGUGACCUCCCCUGUUGUUUGGCCCGUAUGGAUAGUUUCCACAACCUCCAAACUGAAAUUCUAUAGCUAAUAUUUUCAUAGCAUGGAGUAGGGUACUUUUGCAAUCCCACAUCCACUUGUUGCUGGCAUACAGGGAGAGAUAGAUGGUAGAGAGCUGCCUGUGCCAAAAACAUUUUUUAAACUUGAUAUGACCUUGAGAUAACCUCACUCUAAUUUUAACAACCAGAAAGUAGAUUUUUGUAGUUAUCACAAAACGUCAGUCUGUUCAUAGCAGGGUAUAUCGUGCAACCAAAAAUGCCAAAAAGUGAUAUGAAGAAGUCUCGUCCAAAUGUAACUUAUUUGAUCAGCUCAUCUCUGCAAAAUUUGCACGUAUAGUCUCUUGGUUGAACUUUUUGGAAUUAAAGUGUCCAGGUAUGGCCCACUUCUUUUAGGAGGCAUUAGAACUAAUGUACUAAACAGGUGGUCUUCCAGAGUACAAUUGUUGUAUGCUACAUUAGAGAAAGAUUAACCAUGCUUGUAAUUGAUAAAAAUUGUACCUCAUGGCUGCAUAUGCUUAACAAACUAUCUGGAAUUCAGGUUUCACAACCUCAUUAACACGAAGUUCAGUUGCUAAGUAAACUUCGUGGUUAGAGUGUCAUGACAAGUACUUUGUUAGCAAACAGCAGAGAUAAGAAACUGACAAUACAGUACAAAUGCCUUUAUUUAUGAUUCAAUUUAGUAGCUUAGUUGCGUGUAGAUCAACUGAUCACAGGAUUGUGUAGCUUCAUUGACCAAUUAGUCAAAAGAUUUCGUAGUCCACUCUCACAGUUCUGUGUAGAUAAUUUGAUUGUUAUGUGAGGGAGAGAAGUGUACUAUUGAUAGUUGAUCAUUGUUUCUUAAUGGCUUGUGUAAACUUUUAAUUUGAUUUGCGCAGAGAGAUGAUACAGAGGUGCUUGAUGAACCACUAUAUGCGAAUUUCCUGCGCGUAACGGGGUUAGAAAGGCCAUACCAACAAGAACUUCUUUCCAAGUUGGUACGCCCAUAUGGAGCUCUAGCAUGUGCAGUUUGAAUUGCGGAAUCCAUUUCUUUAAUUGUGUUUCUUCUCAAAUUCAGCAGUACAAAUUCAUAGUUUAUUCCCCUAGUUUGAAUUUGCUUCUUUACUAGUCUUAUUCUAGCUUUGCCUUGUGAUGCUGACAUGUGCUGGAUUGUGCUUAUUACUGAACUAUGGGAUAAUUAAUUUUAUGCUUCUAGCAAAGUUAUGUGUUCAUACAAUGUUUUGAGGUGCUUAGCCAGCUAGCUUUCUAGGUGGUAUUUAAAAAGUACAAACUUCAGCAUUGAGUAUAUCUUGAGGAAGUUUGUGUAGUACCAAUGACCUUGUUGCUAUCUGAAGAAAAUUUCAUUGAUGAGCUGAAGAUCAGGUAUAUCAGGCUUGGGAGAGAAUUUUGAUCUGUGAAGCAAUUGGAGACAUAUAUUAGGUUAUGGUGUUGAUCUUAAGUGAUGGUGGUCACCAGGAAUUUUGUUAAAGCAUUGAUGCCUAAGUAAUUCCUCUACUAGGAGGCUAAGAUUUUUGCUUCUUUGUGGGUGGAGUUGAAGAGUUUAAGGUAGAGCAGACGUGCACUUGUUAGAUUGCUGUAUUGGUAAGGUUUGAUUAAAUGAAAGUUUAGGCCUAUUCACGCCAUGUCAUGUCAAAUAAAGCAGAGAAAAUGGAAAUUGUAGGAAGAUCUUGUUAUUAAUAAAUUACUGACAGAAGUCUUCUUGGACCACCUAUACGGAUGCAGUCACCUAGGAUUUGGGGACUAAAACCUGCUGAAGUCACAUUAUUACAUACCAACUGUAUAAUUCAAAUUAUUUGUUACCCUUGACCUAAAUGCUUAAUCCAAGUAACUCAUUGACCUAGGAUAUUGUAUACUAAUCACAUCCUUUACAAACAUUUGAUGUGGGACUUCGGGGGUCUCACAUUCAUUUUCUCAAGUUGAACUAUAACGAAUUACAUAGACUGCAUUCUGAAAAUUGUAGAUAACUAGAUUUGCAGCUCUAAAUCAGUUGAUAAUUUGACGAAGCUUUCCACGCAUAAAAAGUUGCCAAUUAGUAGCACAUACAAGAGCAGGUUGGAAGUUUAUUGCAUAAAAGUUGUACUUUUUUUCAGCUUAGACAACUGUAUUUUUCAAAGACUUACUUUCUUACUUUUAUUAUUUUUUUUUAUCGGGUUCUUUACAUUAACCUUGAUUUCCAUAGGAUGGCAUAUGUUCUAUUUUGUUAUUGAGCUUCUUAUAAGCUUCAGUCAUUGUAAUCUAGUUGUUAUUCUGAAAUGAACAGGAAUCUGAUGGAAAUAAGGUGGUCAGGGAGAUUAUUUUUGGUCCUGGAGGAAAGAAGUAUCGGUUUUGUAAGGUAGUCUUCUGAUACUCCAUAUUGCAGACUCUUUGCUUGCCUCUCUGUUCCUGCAAAUCUGUCCCAUAUUUUGGUCUCUUUGCCUUCAAUUUUUCAUUAAAAAAGAUUUUCUCAUCAUGUGACUGCAUCAUGUUUUAGGUUAAUCUAGUUAUCAGAUGCGAAAAUAUACUCAGUGAAGUUUCCUGUUUUGUUGUUAUUAUGUUUUGGCGGUGUUGAAAUAGGUGAUUGUUGUUCUCAGUGUUUUUCUUUUUCCAUAUUUUCUUUUAAAAAACUAGUACCUAGUAGAGUAUGUGAAGUACAAAACCUUUCAAAGCAGAUGAAGAGUUGGAAAGACAAAUUAGGCUUAGUGAUAUAUGACCAGCUUCUGAUUCCUGCGAGGAAGAAUAUUGGGCUGAGGAUUGAUGUACACAGAUUUUGAUACAAUUUGCACUUCUUCUGGCUUUGAAGUUUGUUGAAAUUCAAUAUAUGUUUGAGUUUUGUGUAUCAUCAAUAUCAAGAAUCAUGUUUAAUGUUGAAGGAUAAGAUUUUUUUUGAUGAUUUUUCAUCAAAUUGUAGGAACUAAUUUGUGUUUUUCUUCAUCUAAUUUAUAGCAUUUGGCUAAACAACUUCUACCUGGUUUGAGUGAAGAUUUGAUGAAGAAAGGAAAGCACUUCAUACUUAUCCGGAAUCCUCUUGAAAUUUUGGUGAGUAUGUACUGUAUUACCUUUAAGUUUCAUCUAUUAGACUUGAGAUUUACUUUGCAAAUUGCAUUUUAAUUCACACUAAAAUACUCUUUCCUUAUCUAACUGCACUUUUGUUCAGUUAUAGGUUAUUAACAGGUUUAUUUUAGUAGUUACUUCAAGGCAAAAGCCUGAGAACAUGCUUCAGAUAUUAUGAUUAAGUGUAAAAGUUUGUAUGGCAACAACUUUUUUUUUUUGUCUGUUAUUGUUUCUGAGUAGAUCUUUGUCUAUUAUUGUCAUUUUUCUGAAUUGAUUUCCUAUAUUGGUUGUCAGCCAUCCUUUGAUAAGGUUGUGCCCCCAUCCUUUUCUGAACUGGGAUUGGCAGGAUUGGUCUCCAUAUACAGUCAGCUAUGCGAAUUGGGAAAGCCUCCAGCAAUCAUUGAUGCGGCAGAACUGCAAGCGGAUCCUGAGGUCCUGAAGAAUUUUCCCCUUCUGUAUGGUUUUCCUUGAGGCAUUGUCUUUCCACUUCUCCUUCAUAUGGGACUUUGACUGCUUUUUUGUGCCUUCUGGUCAUUUCCCCCGAAGUAAAGUUUUGAAUUGUGAUUUUAUCCAGGAUGUCAGGUUAUUACCAACUAAGUGGCCCAUGGUCUAAAUAAUAUAGGAUGGUCAUGGCACUAAAUUCUUUAUGCUCCUAUCUUGAUUUCAUUUUACACAAAGAAGUACAAAGAUAGGUGUGUUGGCCUAGAAAAGAAUAAAACAGGAGUGAGAGACGACACAUAAAUCAAGAAAACAAACAGAUACUCUACUUUUCUUCUUUAGCUUUUAAUGUGGAAUCUAGAGUACUAGUUUCUGCCGAAACAGUUCCAUCUAUUGUGGAACUCUUGCCUAAAUGGGCUUCAUCAUGUUGGAAGUUAGUCUAGGGCUUCUAGCCUACUCCUUAGAACCAUGGGGUUCUAUGUUAGGGGGACAGAGGUUGACUAUAGUUGCAUUCUUUCUCCUUCCCCCUCAUAUGCUGCUCUUCUCACUUGCUGCCUUGCCCUUCAUUUUCUUUUUAAUUUGGUUACAAUAAGUAGAGUUUUAUCUUGAUAGAAGGUCUUAUACUACUUGAAAGUUAAAAAUGGCCGAACCAUUUCACAUCAUUUUUGGGAAUUUUAAGCUAACAUGUAAACCUUUUAAAAGCGUGAUUGUUAGAUGAUAGAAGAUUGCUUUUAUUUGACUAGUUUUGAAAAUCUUCAUCCACGUAUUUGUAGUUAUUAGCGUGCACUGAAUAUCACUUGUACAUUAUUACCUGAUAUUGAACAGCUGAAUCCUUCUACUCCUUUAAGUAAACAUUUUUGUUGCCUAUUGUCCUUCUGCAGUUUGCUUUACGUGGACUUUGUGAAGAUCUUGGCAUUCCUUUUCAAGAUUCAAUGCUUAAGUAAGCCAAAGCGAUGCUCAAACAACCUUCGCUCUUAAGCUUUGCUUCUAAAUUAUUAGUAAACAUCAUUGUAAAUUAUUAUGUUAAGUUGGUAUUUCAUCCUUCAGUUUUGAAACAAACAGCUUGAUUUGUGUUAGGUGAUGUGGACAAAAUGAAUGAUACAUGUUCUUGGAUAAAAAGAAAUUGAAUCGCACAUGUUCUUGGUCCUCUGAGUUGGGUCAAUCCAUUUUGUUUUCUUUGUAGACAUACACCACAAAUAUCUGGAAGUACAUGCCUUUUGGAGAUUACUGCAUAUAAAAUUGGCAUUGAUCAAGCAGCAGAAACUGUUCACUACGUGACAUUAUUAUCUGGGAUUCACAAAUAUUUGAUUUUAUCAUAAAAUGUCACUGAGAAUCCACAGAAUAUACUAAUAUUAUGGCAUUGUAGAACUAUAUUAUCACGUAAAUUCUGAUACCAAAAGGUUAUUCAGUCAAGAAGAUAAUUCCUUAAUGCAUUUUACAGCUAUGACCUUAUUUAGUAGUCUUCUCGGUAAACUUUUUAGAUUUGCAAAACAAGCAUGUAUACUCAGGAAUUCAUUUUGGGAUAAAUAGAUCCACAUGCAUGCACAUACAAACAGGCAUAUAUACAGAUUCCUAUCUUGCAAAAAGUCUGAUAAUAUAUUACUCUAUCUAAUGCAGAAUAUAGGCUUUAUUUUUGCGCCUGCUUCCACGUUGUUCUUUGUUUUUUAAUUGAAUGCCAUGCCUUAUGGUAGUUGCGGAAGAUAAUAUUAAUAUUGACUGUUGACCAAUUUAAUCUUUGUAUUUGUAGAUGGGAAGCUGGACCAAAAUCCUUUGAUGGUUUGUGGGCCCCAUGGUGGUACAAAAGUGUACGUGAAUCAACAUGUUUCACACCCAAUACAAAGUAUCCUUCGGUAGGUAGUAUUGCAGUCAACUACAUUUUGAGUGGCUUCCAAUAUUAUAUAUUGACUUAUAGGGAUAGCUCAAGUGUUGUUCCUCAAAUGUGUUCAGGCACUUUGAGUUGGAAGCUUACAGAAUCUUAGACUUAUGAUGCCAUAGUAUGUUCUCUGGAAUCCAACUUGUUUGCAUGUGUCGACAUUUUAGCUUGACAAAUCUUUCUACUGACCUUUUUUAAUCUAAACAUCUUUACUCUCUUUUCCACUUUCUGUACUGGCUUUUCGGAUUACCUCACUCUUAAUUAAUUCUUCUGUUACUCUUUCAUAGCAUUAUGACAGAUAUACACAAGUCACUAGCAUUAUCUUGUUCUCCUGUUAGAUAUAUGAACACUUAUGCUUCAAUAGUUGUUUAGAAAGUGAGAGUUGGAGUUUCUUAAACUUGAGAUUCCUUGAGUUGAUCUGUUUAUAGAAUAACCAGUGCCUCAAACAGCUGAGAAUUCUGUUGUUCGUAUGAUUUAGAAUGCUAGAUUAUAAGCAUGAUUUUGAAAUUAGAAGUGCCAUUCUUAGCAUGAGAUAUAGAAGGGGCAACACUGAAUCAUCAGAUGACCAUUUAAUUUUAUUAGCUCAAUAUGCACGUGCAUUGGAGAAUAAUAGCGGAUAAUCUGUACAAUGCUUUAAAAAUCUCUGAAAACCAUUUCUAGUUUCCUUUGAUUCUAUAUUUCUUGUGUUUUUUCAGCCCCUUCCACAACCCCUGUAUGACCUGCUGGAGCAGAGUUUGCCUUUCUACAACAUGCUUAGGCACCGAGUAAAACGGAGGUCUUCUUUGCCUCCUCCAAGUCUUCCUGUUCCUGCUAAUGAGAAGCUGCUUGCUUGGGUUGGAGAUGAAAUUGUGCCUCGUGAGAGUGCAAGGGUACUUCUUUACGGAACUUGGCAGGAAAACACUUUAUGAAAUUACAAUGCAAAAUAAACCCUAUUUAGUGAUUAAUGUAUCUUCAAGGUUAAUGAAUCUGACCCUUACUACUGGAAUUGUAAAGGUUUCAGUCUUUGACUCAGUUGUACAAGGUGGCGAUGCAGUUUGGGAGGGGCUGCGGGUGUAUAAAGGAAAGAUAUUUAAGCUUGAGGAGCACUUGGACAGGUUAGUUAAAUGAAGUUAACAGAAUUUUUGGAAUACUUGGUUUUCAUACUACCUGCAUUUCUGAAUUACUGUAAUAUACUUUGCACAGAGACAGAAGGGUUCAAACUACAAACACUAAGGAUUUGACAAAAUUGUCAAAAAUGGUUGACUAUGUUUGUGGAUGAUUAAUUUUAUAUAUUUGAUUUCUAACCUCUUUAUUAAAAUUUAAUAUAUAAACAUUUAGCGCCUUUGCUAGAUCAAAAUAUCUUUCUUCUAGCUGAUGAUUCCUUGAGUAUACUAGCUUCGAUAAUGGACAAGCGGAAAAAAUUAACUAAAUUUGUAACUGCUAAAUGAAGAAACUGAUGCAAUUUUUUCUUGAUCCUUGCAUCACUCUUUUGAAUCCUUCUCCUUUCACCCAUCGCAGAAGUGAGUGUUUUUGAAUUGAGUGGCUAAUGCUUCUCAAAUCUGGUGAUGUCUAAAUGAGCUGUUGGUUGGUAUCCUUCGUACUUGUUAUACUUUUUACUGAAUGUAAUGUCUUUUCUGCUGAAAUAAUAUUCUUGUAAUUAUUUAAAUUGGUAGCAUACAGGCAAUGUAAUCCUCAAUCUUACGUCUUGUAAAGUAGUUCACAUUCUUUGCACAAGAGCAAAUUUUGUUUUUAUGAUUGCUACUAGAAAACUGACCUUUUAUCAUUUCUUAUUUAAAUUGGUAGCAUAAAGCCAACCUAGCUGAAUCCACAAUCAUACUUCCUGUAAUGUAGUUGGCAUUCUUUUUAGAAGUGCAAUUGCUUGUAUGAUUGUAUAAUAGAAGGGUGAGUUUUUGUCAUCUCUUAUUUAAGUUGCCUGGUUCAAAAUUUGUUCUGGAUUUAUGCAGUGUAGUGUUAAGGAUGAAUGCCUUGUAGGAGUAAAAGAUGACCAUUUUAACAGAGUAAAUAAAGAAAUCUAAAUUACUAAGUUCAUGUCUCUUGUCAGAUUGUUUGACUCAGCAAAAGCUUUAGCUUUCAGCAACGUACCAACUCGUGACGAGGUGAUGACUCAAUAUACUUCUUUCAUUUUCUUAUCUCCUGGCAUUAUGAAGCUAUAAUUGUAAACAACUCUACUGGGAUUUUACCAUAAUAGAACACCUAAAAUACCCUUGAAUGUCUGAUGCUGAAAAAUGUUAAUUCUUGAGAGUGAUUCUGCUACAUUAUGCAGGUUAAGGAAGCUAUAUUUAAAACUCUCAUCUAUAAUGGGAUGUUUGAUAAUGCACACAUCCGACUAACUAUGACUCGUGGCAAGAAGGUUUCUACUUCUCAUAUAUCUUUAUCAUUGUAACUGUGGAGAUUUACUAUAUAGAAGCGUCCGUUUUCUUUUUUGUUGUGAAAAUAUUUAUUUACAAAUUUACUAAAACUUUGUGACUAACAUUUUAUUGAUUUUCACAGGUUACCUCUGGAAUGAGCCCAGCAUUCAAUCUUUAUGGAUGUACUUUGAUUGGUAUGAUGGACUUAAAAUUUUCAUAGAUGUUAUCUGCCAAGGGCAUGGCUCUAAUUAUUGUGUAUCUCACUUUUAUUUUGGUUACUACAUGGUAUUGUUGCUUUAAAAGAAUUGCUGGUGUGGUACUAGGUUGGAAUUCUGUGUGUUUCUUGGUAUCUUGUUCUUUCUGAAGAAUCAUCAUUGAUCUCCUUUAUAUAUCUAUAUGUUCCUUAAACCAAAUAAAACAUAUUCCAUAAGGAGAUCAUCAAGUUGAGCCUUCUUGCCCAGUUGAAUAUCCAAAAGAUUUCUAUUUAGUUGUUUUUUACCAUUACAUUUGUGCCUCAAAAUUUUCUGUUGUUUUUGAUGUCUUUUGGUCUAACACUUCCAUUUUUUAUAACAUUAUGAAGGAAUGAUAUAAUGAUACAAGUUCUACAAGUUAACUAGUUGCUAGUGCCAUAAUAUAUCCAAGUUACUUCUGACAUGUGAGACUGUCAACAAAAAAUUAAAAAAAAAAACCUGUGAGACAGGCAAUGAGGUAUAGCAAGCUUCAUUUGCAAUUCAAACAUUGUCUAGGCUGUGUACUUUUCCCUGAUUCUUGAAGAAGCCUACAACUUUUUCCAUUCAUGGAAGCUUAUUUUUACACCAUAGAGACCUAUGCAACCGAAAAUCUUUUAAAAGAAUGACUGAAUCCACAACAGAUUAUGGGUUGCCUUUCUUGACAAACUGACCAUGGAUUUGGGUAUUGGCAAUGACCUAGGCAAUUUUUGAUAUUUUUUAAAAUUAUUACUUGGUCCUCAAACCCUUCAAACCAGACUAAAAGAUGCAAGAUAUGCAUCUUGAUAAACAGUCUGAGAGAGCUUGUUGAGGCUCCGUGACUAACAAUUUUUCGUAUACUGGCAUCUGACUGAUAGAGUUUCCAUGUGCUGUUGAGGAUAGGUUGCUUCUGAGAGAACUCCACCUCAUAUAUUUGCACCAUCUAUAGCAUUUAGAGGGAAUAUGUUAGUUAAUGUAUCAGCUACUUUGUCACUUUUCAUUUCCAAAAAAAAAAAAAUGCAACAAUCUGAUUCUUUACAGGAAAUUUCUCUUUCCAAGUUUGCCUUUCCAAUUAGCUCUGGCAGUUACUCUACAUGAGCAGAAAAUUUUGCCAUAAGAUGUGCUUGAGAACCAAUCCUAAAUUAAGGCAUCUAAUAUAGCAUAUUGGCUAUUUUACUUUACUGUAAUUGUCUCCUUUGUGUUUUGGCAGUGCUUGCUGAGUGGAAACUGCCAGUGUAUGAUAAUACAAGGGGAAUAACUCUGGUGACAGCAGCCACACGUCGUAAUUCACCAAAUGUAAUGUUUUUAAAUGGUUUUUGUUGUUGCCUUCUACUGUAUGCCAUAUUCUUCUCUCAUUUAGAACUGAUCUCAUCAACAAAUUAAAGGGUUUGACAAUUAUGAUUGUUUUCCAUGAGAGGGGUUGGAGUUAUGCAUGGACUAGCAUGUGUAAUUUUAAUCAUCAGAGUAUUCGUGUUGUCCCUAUUUAUGUUAUGACAUAUGACAUCUGGCAUCGUAAUUUCUUAUACUGAUCCCAUUAUCCAUGAGCAUUGUAUUUCUGGCUUGCUUGCAACAUCAUGCAUUAUGCUCAGUGACCUAAUGUCAAACACGUGCUUCCUUCAACAUCAUGACUGCACUCUGUGUGGCUCUCCAUUGUCAGAAUAUUCUGUUUGAUACUCAAACUCAUCUGCUGAAUAGAUAUAUGGGAAAGAAAAUCCAUCUGGGGUAUAUUCAAAACAUGUGGCUAUCAUCAGCAAGUUUCACAAAGAAUUCGCUCUAUGCCAGUUAAAUUCAGUUCAAUAUAAUCAGCCGAAUAUGGAAGCUUAUUUGUUAAUAAAUUAGGACUAUUUUUUUUUUCCAUUAGUGCUUGAGACAAGCAAUUACUGAAGCCUGUUUGUCCUGUUUUCUGUUGAUGCUCCUUGUCAUUGGAUGGAACUUGUUUUGAAUUGGGAAAAAUAUAAAAUUUUUUAAUAUGAAUAAGAAUUUUUCCUUAUCUUAGUUAUAAUAUGUAUUAAGUUGGAAAGUGUAUCCCUGUUGUUUUUAAUAUAUUAUCGCCACCAUUGUUGUCAUUAGCUCACCUGAACCCAAAAACGGCCAUUACUUCCAGCCACAGAUGUAUCAUAUCCAUUGACAAAAGAUUGCACCACCUACAUUGCAAUUUUACUGGCAAGAAAAUAUACAAGAAUGAUGGAUGUAGACCACAAUAUCAGAGGCAUUCCAUGUCAUAGAUUUGCUGUGGUAAUUAGAUCAUCUGAUGUAAAGCUAGUUCUUCAGAUUUUGUGAUGAUAUUGUUGGUACACUCGUAUUUCUUCCUUAGGAAUAACUUCUACAGAGUCUAGCAGUUGAUUCCCAGGUGACCACAUUAACAUUUAUGUUUCAUUUACUGCAUCAUCUAGUUAUAUACUUGGCUAGCGGUGUUGUCUUUCAUCUUCUAGAAAACUUUAUAGGUGAAAAAUGAUCAAUUGUGCCAUCUUUCCGUCUACAGUUAAUAUUGAUAAACAAUCUUUCCAAAGAUCAUAAUGCAAAAGCUUCCUUUGACUAAAUUUUUAUAUGUGACAAUGAAAUCAAUGUUCACUUUUGCAGAAUCUGGAUUCCAAGAUUCACCAUAACAACCUUCUUAACAAUGUUCUUGCCAAGGUAUAAUCUUAUUCCAGGUCUGCAACUUAUUCUUGAAAGAGAUAACAAAAGUACCUAAUCCAAUGUUUUUCCUGUCAACUUCAUAUGAUUGGAAUCCUAUUCUUGACUAAGAUGUCACAUCAUGCAACACGAUGUACAUAUAAUAUCAGAGAACUCCUCUUCAGUAAUUACCUUCGUGCCCCUCUCUCUCUCUCAUGCUGUUUCAUUUUGUAUCAUAAUUCGAAUUUGUUACCAGGAAGAAAAUAAUGCGAAUGGUCUUUUUUUAUCUGCUGUAUUUUGAAAAUUGACAUAUUUUCAAACUGAAAAGCAAACUUGGAAGAAUGAAAAAAAGAAAACUUUGAAGCAUUCAAUCAUGGAGAAGAAUAAUGGUAAAAAGAUGUCCAGUCAACAAUUUCAUUAAAAGGAAUGGGGUGGCAAGCCAUACUUUUCCUGUUGAUAUGCAACAAUGAUACAUUAGUGUUGCCAAUUUGGUGCAGAUAGAGGGGAAUAACGCCAAGGCUGAUGAUGCCAUUAUGCUCGAUAAAGAUGGUUAUGUGUCAGAAACAAACGCUACAAAUAUUGUAAGUUUAUAUGCCAGCUGCAUAUCCUUUGUUUCUCUUGGUUUUUAUUGAUUUUUUUGGCUCCCCUCCCCUUCCUUUUCUCUUUAAUGGGGUUUUCUUGGAGCCUCCUAGAGAUGAGCUCGCAGCAUGAGGAAUUGUCAAUCCUAGAUAACAUAUUCACUCUAUUCAGUCUCUCUCUCUCUCUCUCUCUCCCCCCCCCCCUCCCUCCCCUUCAUGUGGGUCCUUGGGUUUUGUGGCAAUUAUCAGGUCCAGGCUUGUUGCAGCCGGCCUUAUUUGUUUCUAGUUGUCUAUUAAUACCCACCAGCUCUGCACUAAUAAAGCUACUGUGUUUGUACGAUGUUAGGGGGUAGUCUAGUUGCUCCCAGAUGUGCAAUUUUUCUCAUGCCUCUUUGAACUAUUUAAAAGAGAAAUUUCUGAUUGGUUUCCUGAUGAAGUAUUGUAAUGUUACUGUUGCAGUUCUUAGUCAAGAAAGGUCGUGUUCUGACACCUCAUGCUGAUUAUUGUCUUCCUGGGGUGACUCGAGCAACGGUAAGCUCCAUAAUAUUCUGUUGGAUGUAAAAUUCUGAAGAAAGGGAUCUAUCUACAUUUCAGGAGUGGUAUCUUAAUUUUCUCAGAAGUCAAUUCUAACACAUAAAGACACAAAACAUUAGUAAGGCAGGGCACCAGUUGAUGCUUGUUUUGCAUUCUCUUCCAAUUUGCAAGCUAAAGUUGUAUGCAGUUGGCGCGUGUCUGCUUUCGAACAUCCAGAAAACCAGCAUUGCAUGGCCAUUUACUUCUUCUCAUGAAUGUUUCAUCUUCAAUGAUGAUGUAAUCAGAACUUGUUACCUAUAGUUUUUCUUAUUGUUGAUCUGAUAUUUGUUUUGGGAUGUCUGCAACUGCAUGACUCUUAUGGAUGUGGCUUAUAUUUCUUGGACAGUAACACCUACAGAAACAUUUUUUAUCAUACUAUAGAUAAAUGGUUAUAGUAGUAGUCCUGUAUAAGCCAUGAACAGCUAGGAUGGUUGUAAGGGUUCCUAUCUUAAAGCAUAUAAACUCCAUAUAGACUAGACCCAGAUAAAAUCAUGAAUAUCUUCGGUUAGCAUAUGAAAGGACAAAGUUCCACAUGUUGCCAUCUCAUGCAAAUGCUUUAUGACAUCUGCUUGCUAAGUGUAAUGGUAAAUUUUGCGGUAUCCAUAUGCUUGAUCGUAAAUAUUCUUUAAGUUCUGCAGGUUAUUGACCUUGUGGUAAAGGAGCAGUUGGAAAUACAGGAGCGGCGUCUUAGCUUAUCCGAAUUUCAUACUGCAGAUGAGGUCUGGUUUUGUUCUUCUAGAUACUAGCUGAACAUCCCAUUAAGAAAUUUUCUAUUCUGCUUUCUUAUAGUGAAUCUUGAGCUUGGCAAAGUUUGUGAAUGCUUAAGAAAUUACCAAGGUGGAGCUUAUUCUAUUAGGCCAAAACCUCAUCAAGAGGACUGAUCUCAUAUUUACACUAAUGAUAUCCAUUGCGAAAGGUUGCAUAUACUUCUUCACACAUACGUGAGGAUUUCUGUCGGAAAUAUAAAAAAGCAUCCUUCUUUCUUUUACACACUGAGGUUUACAAGUAACUGCAAGAUUCAGAGGAACUUAGGCCAGUAAUGUUUGGAUACCCUUUCAAAAGUUAGUUUGACUUGCAUGACCAUCCUGGCACCAUGACUCAGUAAAUGGAAGUGUCACAGUUAGCUUAUUUUUCUAUUUUCCUGUGGCUGGAACUCCUUCAGGAAGUAGUAUAUUCCUAUGCAUAAAGAUGAAGCAAGGGGUUUGCUAACCCUUUUUUGUCUUCUUCUGCGGUUCCAUUCUUUCUGUCAUUUAACACUUGUGAUGAUGCACAUCAAACUGGCAAAAUGAUGAAACAAUCCUUGCUACAUCAACCGACUAAUGAUAAAUUUCUGAAACUUGCCAUCACCUUCUUAAAUCCUAUCACCUCUCAAGUACAUUGUGAUUUUUAAGCUUCAUUCCUGGACAGUGUGCUGUUCUAACUAGUUGUCUUGCUUCCAGGUCUGGACUACUGGAACCGUGGGAGAGCUUAGCCCGGUAUGUCUGUGUUUUCAUAUCCUUGAGUACGAACUACUAACAUCAUCUUUAUAGCCUUUUAAUAAACAAACUUCAUCAUUUAAUCAGUGUGGCAUUCUGUGAUCUAGUGAAUUUUCUGUUUCAAUUGUUUAUCACCAGCUUCUUGUCAUUUUUUUUUAUUGUUUUCAAUUUUUCUUUGACUGAACUAAGGCAUUCAUCAAAAGACUUUGGUUUGUAAUCUGUUCUUUGGGUGGCAAUAGAAGGCUAACUUGUUCUUCCUAUAGCUACAUAUUCUGUCAAAAUCCAAAUUGGCUUUAUAUGGUUGGGUAAUACUAAAAUGCACUUGUUAGAAAUGCAGCUCAAAAUGGUGUUUGAAUUGAUGUCACAUUUAAUCCAUCUACUACUUAAGAGGGGUUGCUGUUCAAAAUCUUGAUUUCUUAAUAUGUUCAUUGUAGUGUAGUCAAUUAAAUCUUCUUAAUAUACUCAUUGUAGCGUCAGACCACGCGUCAUUUUGUAAUUAGACAAUGAAAGAUCUAAAAUCAUCAAAAUCCUGUGCAUCAUUUUUUAAUAAUGUAUGCUGCUGGUUUUGCUUAUGUUGAUGAAUGAUGUAAUGUCACGAACCUGGACCAGGUUAUUAGAAUUGAUGGGCGCAUAGUUGGUGAUGGCCGAGUUGGACCUGUGACUCAAAGAUUGCAGAAUGCUUACAAGGAGCUGACUGAAGAGUCUGGUGUUUCUAUACCAACCUAUCAGAAAACCUGAAUUGAGGUUCUAAAGGUGUGUCUAUUAGAUUGCAAGAAGCAUUGUCUUUAGACUUUUCUCCACUAAUACAUAAACUGUGAAUUUUCUGGAAAUAAGACCGUGAUGUAAACUGACUCAUGUGGAAGUUUUUAAUGAAAGAGAAAUUUUGUGGAAAGUUUCUUCUUUAAAAACAAAAGUUAACAAGUGAAUCUUUGCAGUAGAGGGAGGAGAGAUGAGUAGCUCAAACAAUCAAAGAUUUGAUUCUGGAAGCUGGAGAAAUUGAAUGAAUUCCUGCUAGUUCCUCCACUUCUUCAGGAGAACUAAAACCACUGUAUUCUCUAUAAUUGGCUUUCAGCAAAUAUUCUUAGAAACUCAACUUGUUGCUUGUACACAGCUGUAAAUGAGUCAAACAUCUCAUUAAUGGUCGCGUAAAUUGUAUGGGGCUUAAAAAAAUUUAGGGAGUAGGGAAUUUUAAUACCGUGAAUUUUUCGCUGAUUUGCUGGGAUUAGAUUAUUUUUUCAUUGCCUAUUGCCUACUAAUUAUUGUUUUUAUCAAUUCCUUCGUAAAACAUAUUGGGGCAGGCUGCCAAGGUUGACAAGAUCUCGGCCAAAAAAAUUGCAUUUCAUUGGUUGAUUCAAUGUAGCAGCUGAAAGCAUGGAGCUGAAGCAAAUGUCACCAGAAAUAAUUUAUCAUUGAUAAGGUUUAAUUUGUGACAGAAAUAAGAGAUGGCAGGGGUGAUAAAUCUACUGGAAAUUUCGGCACAGAGCUAUAUUUUGUAGCUGGAUUCUGUUUCUUUAAUCUUUUUGUACCUUAUUAAGGUGGGUUUGCCUACUUUGUCGCAAUGAUAAAGCUUUGAACUCGUUAAAGAAGUUAUUUCUACUGUCAAACUCUGUUAUUUGGAACGAGGAGUUUAUAUACUUCCAUACAAACUGGAUCUUGUGCCCUCCCUAUAUAUUGUUGAAUAGAAAGCCUGACAGUAAUCCUUUUUCUUUCCUGUUUCAUUCCUUUCCUUCUUAGGUUGCUUUUUUCUUUUCUUUUCUUUUCAAAGAAAAUGAAGGUUUUGAAAUUCUCUCCUAAAUCUUUCUUUGUUUUUGAUUGUUAGACCAUAACUCCAAAAUCCCAGAAUGAUAUGACACCAGAGCUUUUGGAAUUGAGUUCUCCACCCCAAAUUGUAUGAAAAGAAAAAGAAUCUGAAUAAACUUUGAAAUACUUUCCAUGAAAUGUUUCGCAUAUAUUGUGUAUCAAGAACCACUUUAACACCAAGGCUUUAGUAGUAGCAUCCUUCGUAUUUCGCCUGAAUUUUAAAAAACUGUAAAAUUACGAAUGUGUUUUCAGUUUCACUCACAACUAUAUGCUGUCAAGUUUUUCUCUUCAAAAGAAUUCAAUCAUAAAGAGUGACUGAAUGACGCGGCAUAUAAAAGCAAUAGAUGUAAAUACGAGAAUUUUUAAAAUCAGCACGUUUAAGUCAUAGAUACGAACAUAAAAAUUUUUAAAAUUACGGUGUCAGACCAUCAUUUAUUUUGUAUUUGUCAUAUAAGUAAUAUGUCAUUUAGAGCAGGAUUUUCCUUUACAGAAUUAGCUCAAGAGAUUCAAAACCAACUAGAAAGGAAUCAUAAACACCUAAAAGAUAAUAAUACUUACGCUUAUGAGCGGAGGGCAGAAAAGUACGCCAUUUUCUAAAACUAUUUCUAUCAUCCAAUAAAAAUAUAAUAAUAAGAUAAUCUUAAAAAACAUUUUUACAUGUCCAGGAUAAAGUUUGACAAUAUUGAUUGCACUAACAUGUAAAACCCAAUAAAAAUAAAGAAAAGGAAUUUGACUAAUUUCCUAUAGCACAAGGUUCAACUAGACAUUGUUUAUAGCUAAAUACAGGCGUAAACGUGAAAACCUUCAAAUUGAUGGCUGAUGAGGCUGACAAGGGUGAAUCCUGGUCCAGACAAUCUUCUGCACAGUGGCGGAGCUAGGAAUUGCAAUUAGGGGGGCGAGUCUCUGUUAUUUGGACCAAAUCCAAAUAACUUUCAAACAUUAUUGUUUGGGUCCUUGAGAGGGGGCAAAGUGAAAUUUUUAUCAAUAUUUUGGGGGGGCAAAGCAAUAUAAUAAAAAUUUUUUUACUUAGAAAUUUUUUUUAUAACAAUUGGAGGGGGGGGCAAGGUGAAAUUUUUUAUCAAUAUUUGGGGGACAAAGCAAUAUAAUAAAAUUUUUUUUACUUAGAAAAUUUUUUUUUUAACAAUUGGAGGGGGGGGCGGUUGCCCCCCCCUGGCCCCCCCCUUCCCUCCGCCCCUGCUUCUGCAUCCUCAACUGUGGAUAAGAGUUCACAAAAAAUAAUAAGUGGGAGGGUUGGAAAACAUUAUUACUAAUCCUGCCUACGUUAUUUUUUAAUUUUUAUAAAUUUAUAGCCGAAGAUGGGUGGAAUUUAAAAAGCAGUGAGCAAGAAUAGGGAUGCGAUUUGAAUGCACACAUUUAAUUCGUAAAGAAUCAACUUUAACCACUAGACAAGAUCUCCUCGGAGAUAGACUAUCGAUUUUGGGACCAAUCAAAGAAAGAAAAUACUAUAUAUGAAUUUUCUUCAUAAUCCCAAACCUUUAAAAUUAGGGGAAGCUGACCAUCAAAUUCAAAUAACCGACGGACGGUCAAUUGAUCAUGUGUGGACCUGGUGAUUUCGCGUGACCAGAAGCUCCAAUUUCGCCCAAAAAUGGCUUAUCUUGCUGGAUUUCCCCUAUCAUGAUAAACACAAUAAAAUUCAUAUUUAAAUAACCAACGGCAAACAAUUGUCGGCCAACAAUUGCAAUCUUGCUAGAUUUCCACUGUGAGUAACACAAUACAACUCACCAUUUUUGUUCCAUUAUAAGCCACACUAGGUGCAUCUUAGGCUUCCAACCAUAAGAAUAGAGGAACAUGUUACUAAAGAAUUCUAACAAAAUGAUUUUUAGGUACCACUAAUAGUAAGUCAAAAUUUUAAAAAAAAAAAUUUUUUUCUACUCCAUGGUAAAUUUGUGAACUUACAAGAUAAAAGUAAAAUUUCUCACAAAAAAAGAGCAAAAUUUUCUAUUAAUUUGAGGAGCAACCUAAAGUAGGAAGGAAAUUUUGAAAAAUAAAAAAAUUUUGGGGGGCGAUGUAAAAAAAAUAAAGGGAGUAUUUUUAAAUUCAAGGGUGCAAAUGUGAGUCAAAUAAAUAAAAAUAGAAACUUUUACAAGUUACAAUCAUAAUUUUAAAAGUUGACAGCCACCAUCAACAUAGCAUGGCUCUACCCAUGAACAUGGAUGACAAUUAUAACUUAGCAUCUCCAAGAAAAAAACAUUCAAUCAUCAACAUUUAACUUAUAAUAUGAUUGUUAGGUUUUCAAAGGCUGAGUAUUUCUGUCUGUCCGACUUAUAUAACAACUGUUUGCGUUGUAAAUUAUUUGGAAAAAUACUUUAAAAUAAUUUGUAGCACUUUUGGUGAUUGUGGACUUUUUGUAAUAUGAUAUAUGUAACCUAAAAAGUUGUUAAAAAUAAUAUGUGAUUCAAAAAUGUGUUUAGUAAACAACGUUUAUUCAAAAACAUUGGCUAUCCAAACACACUUGUCCUUUAAUUAGUUGGAUGUUAGCAAGGUCUAGCAAACUAGAAUAAAAAACGUUUAUCCCAACCCCCCCCCCCCCCCCCCAAAAAAAAGAAGAAGAGGGGAAAAUGAUGACAAAGGAAAUUUAGAAAAAGAAGUAGUAGAGUAUUAAAACUGAAAUCUGAAAUUUGAAAUUCAAAAUCUUAAGGUGCGUUUGAUAAGGUGCUCUACUCAAUUUAUCAAGAAGUAGUAGAGCAUUAAAUCAGAAAUCUGAAACUUUAAUGGAUUCAAACAUGUUUGAGAAAAUUUUUUAAAAAAGUUUUGUUGUACUGUUUCCUUUAGAAAGAAAAAAAGAAAAACCUAAUUUAUUUCUAAACAUUAAUAUGCAACCACAUAAAUAAUCCUAAUAAUGUCAAAAGCAUACCAGUGAUAAAGGAACAAUGAAGUAUGCAAAAUUGCAGAUGAAUUCAGUAUAGGUUGAAUCAAUCAUGCACAUAAAUUUUAUUCCCGUAUCAUUGUAAACAGUUUAAUCAAUAACUACUCUAAAAGUCAACUCAGAGUUUGAAUUGCAAUUACGGUUAAAAUGCUUUCCUAAAGAAAUGGAUUCUCAGCGAUCCAUACUGCAUAUGUUUCCAAUGUAUACGUUAUUCUACUUGUUAAAACUCUGAAUCCAUUCAUUUGGAUUAGUUAUUUUUUUGGGUGUUUUUCAAAAAUUUUACUGUAGUAGAGUUUUUAUAGUAUAUUUUGGGAUAUUUUGAGAUAUUUAAGAGUAGAAGAGUUUUUAGAAUAUAUUUUAGGAUAUUUUUUAAACAUUAAAAAAGAUAUAAACUACUUUUUAAAGUACUUUUUAGAGUAAUUUUUGGAUGGGACUGUUUUUCAAAAACUGGUUUUUCAAAUACAAUAAAAAUUUUUAAAAAGUACUCUAAAAGGUAAUCUAAAAAUUAGUUUAAAUUUUUUUAAAAUUUUAAAAAAAUCUCAAAAUAUAUUCUAGAAACUCUUCUACUCUUAAAUAUCCCAAAAUAUUUUAUGAAAAUAUCCCAAAAUAUAAUUUAAAAACUCUGCUACAGCAAAAUUUUUCAAAAAUACUCCUAAAAACAGCUAAUCCAGACGGAGCAAGAUCUAUUAUUUAGAUUAUAGCAAUGUAUGUAGCUAUUUAUACACUUGAUUUUGUCCUCUCCCUGUAAAUUCUUGACUAGAAAAGUUGACAAAAAUCCCUUUUCUUUUCUGUUUUCUCUCUUUCGUAUGCUUUUUUUGAUGAUGGGGGAACUAGAAACCACCAUCCACUAUCUUUUGGUUGUGCAGCAGGUUGAACCAUUCUUAAGCUGCGUUUGAUAAAACUGAAAUAUGAAGUUUGAAUCCAUUAAUUUAUUGAAUUGAUAAGUAUUAAAGAAGAUACAUUUGAGUAUAUAUCACAUUCAAUGAUAAGUGAAUGGUUUAUCAUUUAUCUUUGGGAAUAAGUUUUGUUUAGAAAAUUUAGCGCCACUUAAUUAUUUCAGAUGUUCAAUUUUUUAUUAUCUAAACAUAUUAAGAUAUGAAUUUAUUAAAUUUAAAUGCUGAAUUGAGUUGUCAAACAAGAUCUUAGACUUAUUAGCACUUCCAUUAUAGAUCCAAAUGAGAAGAUUGUUGUCCACUUUGUCCAUUAAUUACUGCCUUCUUUGCUAGUGAAUAGAUCAAUUACCAAUAAAACGGAGACUUUAAGCCAAUAAUUAUGAAUUUAUGAGGUCAGAAAUCAAGAAAAAACUAAAAAAUAAAAAAUAAGAAAAACGAAAGUCUCUGGAACUACAUAUGUUGCUAAUGUAUUUUUUAAUCUAAUUUUUGAUUAAAAAGAAAUAACUAUUUUGAAUUAUUUAUUUCUAAUCUCUCAUAUUUCUCAAACUUUCUUUACGCUUGAUGUUCUGGACUAUAUAUAAUAUCACAGAUCCAGAAUUGCAGGCAUAACAGAAUUUCCAUCCCUUUUCAACUCUUGACAGAUUUCUAAGCUAAUCUUAGCUGAGUUGGUGAUGGAAUUGACCUAACAACAAAGGCCCCGGAAUUGAAUCCCCCAUCCCCAGUUGCAUAAAAAAGGCAGAAGAUGCUAUUUAUUUAUUAAAAUUUGGAUGAUUUGCACCAGAUGCUUAUCAAAUAUUAUUUGUUAAGAACCGGUCCACGUAGUUGAAAAUUUUAAUCUACAACAUGCUUAGAGAAAGGUAAACGAAAUAAACCUGAGUGCAUCAAAAGAUUACAUCAAAGUCUAGAAUCUAGAAUCCAGCCGUUUGAACGAGAACCUUAGUAAUAAUAACCGUCUUAGUUUGUUCGGAUCUUCGUUGCUGUAAAAUUGGGAAACUUCUUUCUACAACUGCAGUCAAAUUUUUACUAAUAAUUCUUCUUGAAAACUAGCUAGCCGGAGAAUAUUCAUAGCUGGAACAUACACCACUGGAGAAAAAAGUGAAAAGCCUGAGUGAUAUACUUUUUUUUUUUUUUUUUUUUUGUGAGAGGGGCAGGGGACUCGAUGUGAGUACAGAUUCCAUCGAUGAAGAUCAAUUAAGACCGCCACAAAUUGUGGCAAAUUUUGAUGAGAGGCAAGGAUUGAACCCUUGAAUUCCCAUCUUCCCAAGACUUAAGAUGUCUUUAGGUUACCAACAGUCCAAGAGGCUGUUGGCAAAAAGCCUGAGUGAUAUACGAUAAUUACAAAAUAAAAAUACAAGAAGGGAUAAAAAUAUGAGUAUACUAUCCAAGACGUAGGUUAUCUUUUAGUUUAUGUUUGUUGUAUUAUAGUAGGAUUUUAAAAAAAAAAAAGUAUAGCAUGUAUAUUUUUAUAGACCAUAUAUAUUUGGGUUCCGCUCAUAAUACAAAAAGAAGAAAAUCUCAAACUACAGAUGAAAAAAAAAUGAGAAUCUUAAAAAACAUUUACAUGUACUAAAGGAUGAUAGAUACCCACAAUAAAAUUUGUCAUUGAUAUAGAUUGGAUUAUGAAAUGAAAAAUCCAUUUCAAAUAACCAAAAAAACCAAUGGGAUUAAUUUCCUAUAGAACAAGUUUCAGCUAGAUAUUGUUUACAGCUAAAUAGAGCCUCAAACGUGUAAACCUUCAAGUUGCUAACUGAAGAGACUUCAUCCUUGUAUAAACAGUCUUCUGCAUCCUCAACUCUGGAUAUUAGUACACCAAAGGAAUAACUGUAAAGGCUGGAAAAUAUUAUUGCUAACCUACCCACAUUGUCCUUAACAGCCCACGCAUUCUGAGGCCAGUCGAAAAAGGAAAUACUAAAUAUGUCUUUUGAGUCGAAACAAUUCGUGACCCUUAAAUCCAGUAGAAGUUGACCUUCAUAUACAAAUAACCAACGGUCAAUCAAUCUUGUGUCUACCCAUAGAUGCUGCCAUAUUGUUCUUGCCACCAAUUUUCUUCCACAGGAGGACGAUGAUUUUGUGUGAUCAAGCACCAACAUCGGCUAAUAUAGCCAAAUCAUGCUAGAUUUCCACCAUGAUAAACACAAUAAAACUCACCAUUUUGUUCACUGUAAACUACACUUGAGAUUGGUCGACCUUGUAAAAUAUAACCAACAUCAACUUUUUGUGCACUCUUAGCCUUGAUAACCCAAUACAGUAUUUAAAUUUAAUGGUUUCAGAUUUCAACAUAUUCAUAUGUAUUUGAUAACAAAAAAUAGAACAUCUUAAUUAAUUAAGUGAUAUUUAAUUUUCUAAGCAAAACUUACUCUAAAAAAUAAGUGAUAACAUAUUCACUUAUCAGUUAAUACAAAACAUGCUCAAAUGUUAAGAUUCUAAUAUCUAACAAUUCAGUGACUUAAUAGAUUCAAACUUUAGGUUUCAAUUUUAUCAAACACACCCUUAACUAUGGAUUUCCGUUCUGACUUAUUCAGAAAAUUUUUGAAUAAUUUAUAGCAAAUUUUGUAAAGUGAUGAACGUAAAAAUAAAAAAAUGGUGAAAAAGAUAACAAAAUGAUAGUGAAAUGUGUUUAAUUAUACAAUAUAAAUAUAUUUUCAACAAAUUGGCUAUCCAAACAUACUUAUCCUCAAAUAAGUUGGAUGCCACAUUAAUGUACCAAACAAGAAUAGAAAAAGUUCAUCAUAUGACCAAAGAGAGACAAAACAAAUGUGAUAACCACGAAAAAUAAAAGAAUAAGAUGGUCCAAUUAAUGACCACGGGAAAAAAAUGUAGAGCAUUCAAGUGCUCUCUCUCUCUUCUACCUCUGUGUAUAUGUGUGUUACAGAGAAAAAAAAAAAAAUACUAUGUGCAAUCCAACAAAGAGUUCCAGUCAUGUAGGUUAGAAAGAAGCAUUUUUAAAAAAAAAAAAUAAAUCAUGUAGGUAAAAGUAGUUCCACAUUUUUGUGAAGUAAUAAAUUAAUAAAUAAUGAAAAAGUCAAAUUAGAGUUUUAAACUUAAUUACAAUCAUUGUAAUUAAAAUGCUCUCUUUUAAAAUUGGAUUUCAAUGGUCCGUGAUAUUGUGACCGAGUGACGAUGGCUAAUUUUCCCUGCAUAUUUUUUAAGCAUGUGUGCUUGUUCUUGAACGCUGUACUAGCUGACUGGGGGCCUCAAGUAUUUCCAAGAAAUUACAUAUAACCCCCUGUGGUUUAGCAAUGCUAGAUGAUCCCUUUAAUGUUUUAAAAUGAUCAUAUAACUCCCCUAUAGUUUUAUGUAAAGUGGAAAAUGGGUAGAAUGCAUAAUUAGUUUUAGCGAUUAUAUGAGAUACGCUUCAAAAGUGCGUGUCAUAAAAUCAUAAUAUCUAUUUAACCCCAUAUAAAUUGCAUAAAUAUCCACUUUAUCCCUUAUAGGUUUUGCAUUUAUCCACGUAAUCCCUCUGUAGUUUUAUAUAAGGUGAUUAAAUCAUCAUUUGAUAUAGUAUUUAAGUAAAAGCACUACUGGUAUUUCAACUAAUGAUGUUAUAUAGGUUAUUUUCCAUCAAGUUUCCAUUUCUUAUGACAAUAUAAGAGGUAGAAUGGAUAUUUUGAAAUGUUAGGAAGAUUUUGUGGUAAUAGAUGAAACUAUAGGGGGUUUAUUUGUAAUUUACACAUUUAUAAUUGAACGAGGGCAUUGUGUACUAAUAUAUUCAAUGAGUUAUUGCUAAAAUCAGGUGGUGUAGAUGAAGUUUUUUUUUUUUUUUUUUUUUUGUGCAUAAGGGUACGUAUUUUAACAAAUGCAGAUUAUGUGAAGCAACCAAUAAGGCAUUAUGAAUUGAAUAAUGUCAGAUUUGAUUUAGAGUUUCGCAAAUUCUGGGCAUUGAGUGUAUGUCUAUUAUUUUCAGUAGUAACCGCAUGUAGUGAUAAAAUAUACGUCACCCGAGAAAAGAAAGGGAUUAACGAUGGAUUCGUGUCAAAUAAUUUCCUGACUGGCCACGUCAAAAUGCAAAGCCAAAGCAGGAAUUGUUUAUCCAUCAUAAAAUUUGUCAAAGUCAAUUGCUCUAUGAAAUGCAAAAUCCAUUAAAACAAAAAGGGAAAACCAACAAGAUCGAUUUCCUAUAGCACAAAGGCUCAAUUAAACAUUGUUAACAGAAAAGGAAAAACCAAUGGGAUCAAUCUCCUAUAGCACAAGGAGGUUCAACUAGAUAGUACUGUUUGCAGGUAAAAAAUAGAGGCCUAUACCCAUAAACCUUCAAGUUGCUAACCGAGGAGACUUGAUGCUUGCAUAAACAAUCUUCUGCAUCCUCAACUCUGGAUAGUAGCACAGAAGGAGAAUUACUCGAAAGGCUGGAAAGCAUUACUGCAAAGUUACCCACAUUAUCCUUGACAGCCCACCUGUUCUGGGACCAGUCGAAAUAGGAAAUACUAAACAUAUAUUUCCUAUCCUUAAGAUUUCUAACAAGGAAAACUAGUAGAAGCUGACCCUCGUAUUGAAAUAACCAAUGCCUAAUUGAUCCUGGGACUAACCAUUGAUGCUGCCAUGUUUUUGCUGCCAAUUCUUUUAGAGGUCGACGGUUUUGUGUGAUCACGUCCCAACGGCGGCCAACAAUGGCAAAUUUUGCUAGUUCUCCUCCGACACAAACACAGUAAAAUUCUCCUUUUUGUUCACUAUAAACCACACUUGAAAUUGGUUGAUCGUAUAGAAUAUAACCAAACUCAACUUUUUGUGUACUCCAGUUAUCCUUACCGGAAGAAUAUGUAGCAAUGUAAGUGUCGCCAAGAUGUCGAUACGAUAUGAAAAAUACACAAUCUGGAGCAGUAGGGUUUGUGGAAAAAGUAGCAACAUCAGAAUGAUGAUACGUCAACGUGGGGAGCCAGAAGUAAUCGUUGGAAAUAGGACUGUAGACUAAAAAUAAGGUCUCACAUGGUACCUCAACCUUCCUAGCAAAAAGCAACCAGCCUUUUUUCGAAGCGCAUAAUUUUGCAGCGUCGAUAAAGUCGAAUAUCUUUGUCCGAUUGGCAGUUUUAAGGUCGUAUGAUUCCCUGGAACAAGGGUCAAACAGCUUUGGUUGGACAAGGUAUAGACCCCUCUCUAAGUAGAAUAUCCAUGGUGGACUGCUUUUACGCCUAAUUCCUUUACUUUUGUCCCACCAAUCUUUGCAAACUGCACUCGAACGAACUAGGUCACCAAUGCUCAAUUUCUCCAAGAUUGUCCUGAAAAGAUCCUCAGGAAGACCAGCCCAAGGCGCCAUGAUCAAGCUAGUCCUUAGUGUGUUUCGCCCGAACAGCUCAGCGAAGGUCGAACACCUGAUUCAAGGCAUCCCAAUAUAUAUGUUUGAUGGACCUAUUUCGAGUUCUUGGUACUCAAAAAAAAAAAAAAAAAAAAGAAGCCCUUGUCAGUCUUCACCUUAAUAUGGAAAACUAAUACGAGUUUGGUUGGGAAUGCAUGUCUAAUCUGGGUAGUAAACAGGGAGAUAGCGAAACACUACUAUUUAGCAUAAAUUUAUCCUCAACUAUGGGGCCCAAAUUAAGCUCAAUUCGUUCUUUCUUGUGAUUAGCAAGGAGCGAAGGACCAAUCUGCCCUUGAGAAUUGAACUGUGCGGCCAUGCCCACAGCUCAUUGUUCUGAAUUUCGAAGCUCUAGCCUUGAUAAAGAAAUUUUGGUAAGAUAAUCGGUUUUUAUGAUGUUGUUGUUUGCUCUUGUAUUUAGAUUAUAAAUUUUUUAAAUGAUUAAAAAAGAUAAAAUUCAUAAUCAACCAAAGAGUAGCUUUCACUGAUUCUAAUUGUUACACUUAAUCACUUUCCAUAAUUAGAUUAAUUUUACAUAUAAUCACUUUUCAUAAUCAAAUUCUGUAAAAUCUAAAACAAAUGGGAAUAAAGCCUAACUUGCAAAAUAUUUGACAUUUGAGGGGUAAAACUUACACUAAAAAUUUAAUUUUCACGGGGCGUCAAAAGUUAAUUCACGAAUUUUACAACUCAAAUUCUCAACAAUGAAACCAUCAGAAUCUGCCGUUUCCGAGGAGAACCUUAGUAAUAAUACUCUUAACUUCAAUUGACACAUAUAAUGCCAAUAACUAGACUCAAUCCUUUCCAACUGCAACCUUAGGAAUAAUACCUCUCGUAUUAAUUCAUCCGAAUUCACCACUAUAUGCCUUCAAUUUUUCACCAACGUUUCUUCAAAAGAGCAUUUACAUUUGGAUUAUACGCCACAGGCGUAUGCCUAACUGAUACUCAAUGCUUGCCCAAAAAAAAAGGGGGGGGGGGGGCGGUUGGGUGGAGGAGGAUAAAAAGCAUAAUUUUUUUUUUCAUGAAACCAUUUGUCUUUCAUUACCACUUAUUUACCUAAGAAAAUCUCCAAUAACAAUAUAAUAACGUGAAAGGAAGUUACUUAUUUCCAUUUCCUUGCUUCUUCUUUUUUUUUUUUUUUUUUUUUCUAGAAUUACAACUGAAAAGUUAUUCUUAAGAAGGGUGAUUUUUUGCCAAAAGUGUAACCAAAUAGACAAGUGUUUUCUUUAAUACAAGACUUAGCAGUGCUGUGUUGCAAAUGGGUUUUCAAUUUAUAAUGUGUUGAACCAAGAUUUUUUCCAUACGACAUGGUAGUAAUACCUCAAAUGUUCUCAUCUAAUUAGAGGGGAAAACAAUUAGAAAUUUUGAUUUUGUUACUUACUUCCCAUAACUUUCAGGGAAUACGUUCUUUGGAAUUGUAUGAGAUAUUAUUCUAUAGGAUAUGUGAGAAAAAUCUAUUUUAUUUUUCCUUCCCGACCGACAAUUAAUUUUGUUGAAGAGGCCCGAUCGAUUAUGAUGGCUUCUCUUUUCUUUCUCACUAUUUUUUCCGUUGCUGCAGGCAUAAUUUUCUUCAUCGAAACAAAUUUAUCACGAAUUUAUUUCUCACUAGCUCUUGAUCCUUCCAUUUUUUGUAUGGUUGGAACAGUUUUGCCAAUUUUUGAGAACCAGGCGAAACAAAAGCAUUUCGUAAAACUUAUCGAGUUACCAGCGAUAAAAAUAACUAGCUUAAAUAUAACAUUUUCCGAAGCAUAAUAAUGUUUCUAAGAACAUUGGAAACAAGAAGUACGGUAUAGUACAAGAAGUUGGAAAGAGAAAUAUUUGGGAUGAGAUUAAAACAGACUACCAAUUUUGUAAGGAAUCCUAGAGAUAAAGCAACAGAAAAUUAAAAUUCUUGAUUCCUUAGAAAACCUUUAGCCAUGAUAAAACAUAUGCAACUAAAAGGGUUUUUAAGUGUAUUACCUCAAUCAAUGAAGAAACACACGAGCGUUUGAUGCAGAGAGAUGCGAGAGAUCCGUGUAGCCACUCAAAUGUUCAGCCUCUAACAGUGAUCCACACGAACUUUUAGCCAAAACUUCCAAACCCGAAUAAGCUUAAUCUAGAUUAGUGCUAGUUAUUGCCAAGACACCUCUCACAAAUUGGUUGAGAAAACCCUAGUUUUUCACUAUGAAAAACUUGCCCUAAUAAAAAAAUUAAGAGAUGCGAUUUUUUUCUUAUUUUUUUGGACGACUUUUAGGUAUUUUUUCUCUCAAGAUUUUUCUCAAAAAUCUCACAAGAUAAUUUGGGUAUCCAUUAGUCUUGCAAGUAAAAGUUUAGUGAGUAUUUAUAAAUAAAUAAGUUAUCCAUAUCCUUAUUGGAAACCUCAAACUAGUUUCUAAUAGAAUUCAACUUCCUUAUUCUAAUACAACACCUGUAUUUGGAAGAUUUAAAUUUAUUUGCCAAUUAAACUAUCCAAUACAAAUUAAACUACAAGUUAUAAUACUUAUCCUUCAAGUCCCCGCUUGACAUUUAUUUAAUCCAAUUAAAUAAGUUCUUAAUGUGUGUGGCCCAUUAGAUUCCCAAAUACAUUGAUAAUAAGAACUAAUCAUAGUUUCUAAUUAAUAAGAACUAGAUAAAUUAAAAGAAUUUAUCGUUGAUUUAACUUAUCAAUCAACUCAUUCUUACCGAUCAAAAUUGGCAUCUAGUAAUGUAUCAUGACCACCCAAGUAAUGAGAACGUCAAGUGGAUGACUUCACCUUUCAAUGAACAUAUACCAUACAAUUAAUAUCCUUUUAUCACACUUGUCUCACAUUAAUCAUGGAAUAAGUCAUGUCAAUUUCACUAUAUGAUUAAUGUUCUUUUUCUUGUACCAAAAUAUAACUUCCAAAAGAACAAGUACAUAGAAACAUCUUUCUAAGAUUUAUUCACUUAGUACAAAAUUUCUUGACUUAUAUUUCUACAAAUGCUCGUAAAUGAGAUAACUCCUCUUUCACAAGAGGUGGUAAAUUAUUAAAGAUUAUUCACUACCUUUCCGUAUUUCAAGUAUAUACCCAUAUGUUAAUUUUUUUAGCAUUCCCUUUAUGGGAGCAAACAAAUUACACAGAGUAUAACAAUCUAUACUCAAAGUACCAUGAUAAUUCUAAAUCAAAGAAUCACUUAUAUAAUACAUCAUUUAGAGAUUAAUUCUUUUGGCACAAAAGAAAUCUCUAUACGGAUCAAUAUAGUGAACUUAAUUAUGCUAUCAAGCACUCAUAUACUAAUUUAGUGUCUCACACACUAUAGUAGAUGAGCUUUACUACUUCUCUAAUAGAACCGACAUAGUAUAUGCUAGUUUAACUAUAUUAACAAUGUUUCAAUCUUGUUAAUACUUUGACUAGAGAUAUUUAAAAAUAAAUUUUAUAUUUAAUCAAAUGAACCUCAUCAUCAUAGCAUUUAUGAUUUUAUUGAUCAAGUUUAUUCUAGGAAAUCUAUCAUACAAAUAUAAAUAUACAAGCAAUCAAUAUGAUAAAGAUGUUAUUUAUUAAUGCAUAAAUAGUUCAAAUACAUAUAAAAUUCCUAAAAGUGAUUGUGUUUAGAGCAUACAUAAUUUCAAAUUCAUGGGUCCUUACCACAUAAUCAUUUUCAGUUGAUUAGGGAGCAAUAUAAUUACAGAAGGAUUCUUAUUUAAUCACAUUUGACUUGGGACAAACGCAAUAUGGUGCAAAACAUUUGGCAUCGCAACCCUUCAUUAGUUUACGGUUAUGAGAAGGGAUACCAUGAAGAAGAGGCUCGAGAGUUGGUGUUGCACGGUCGACAUCUGCAGCCGCCAACUGGGCAAAGGAACCUGGAACUGGAUCAUCAUCUGCCACUACUUCUAAAUGAAGGUGGACACUUAGUGCUAACAUGCCUAUUAUUGCAACAAUUAGCAACCCAAUCUUGGCCAUUGCAAAACUUAAUUAAAUUUAAUUUAAUUACUGCUAUUAGAUAGGCCUAUUCUGAACAAUGAAGUAUAUAUACAUAUAUAUAUAUAUAUAUAUAUAUAUAUAUAGGUUUGUCUUCAGAUGUAUUUUAGAUGUACUUUAGAUGUUAGAUUUUAGAAAUAUUAGAUUAAUUAUGGAAAGCAUAUAUAUGCAAGGGGACUAAUUAGUGAAAUUGAAUAAAUAUAAGAGAAAGUAGUAAUUAUUAGCAUGUGUAUAUACAUGGUAGGUUGGCUGGUUGAGUGGAAUGUAGGUAUGUUAACGAAUGCCUUAUAGGCACCUGUCAGAAGAAUCCUAUAAAAAUAUAUAUAUGUGUGUGUGUGUGUGCGUGUGUGUGUAUAAUGUAUUUAUGUAUAUAUGUAUGUAUGUAUGUAUGUAUGUAUAUGUAUAUAUAGAAUUUUAGAAACAAAGUUGUUUGAAUAUGAUUCACAAAGUAGUUUGAAAAGCUAUACAUAACUUCUUCAUAAUUUGGAUUAAAGUGUCAAAGUUACAUAAUUAAUUUGCAUUCCAUAAUGGAAUCAAUUAAAAUAUCAAAAGUACCCCUUUGUGAAGUUGGAAUGUAUAUAUUUUGAAAACUAUAAGGGGGUUAUGUAGUAAAGUACUAAACCAUAAGGGGGUUAUGUAAUAAAAUAUAAAAUCACAAGGGGUUAAAGUGUCAUGUAAAUUAAGUUUAUAUAUGUUGGUCACUUCAAUCAUUUUAAUUUUUAAACAAGGAUAUUCUCGACAUUUAAUUUGGGUUCCAUUGUGGAUGAUCAUUUCCAUUGCAUUAACACUUUAAUUCAAAUUAUAAGGGGACUGUGUAUAGAUUUUGAAACUAUAGAACGGUUAUAAAGAAAAUCGCUAAACCACAGGAGGUAAAGUGUAUUUUACCCUAAAGAAAUAUGGCUAUAUGCACUUGUUAUAGUGGGUUACCUGCGGUGCACUUGUUAUACAGCUAACGUAGCAAUAUGAAAAGAUAUAUGUGGUACAUAUGGAUUGAAAUAUUAUGAAAAUUUGUCAAUUGAUUAUUUGCAAGUAUCGACACCUAAAUGCAGACGAUCAUAUGCUCAUUUUCUCAUAGGUAAAUUUUGCAUGUGUCAAAACACAUAAUGGAUUCCACGUUAUUUAUUUCUUUGAUCUUGCUAUUCUUUAUGUGUUAACUACUACGAAUAUUAAAUGCGUUCUUGCUUCACAGGUCAUAUAGUUUUUUUUCAGCUCUCCAGAGCUAGAAAAUCCUGGGACAGAAUGGAAAAUCUGGGUUCUAUAGCGAUGAUUUGCAAUGCGACUAUUCGUUUCUCCUGAAGCAAGGACAAGAAAGAAUCAAAGCAUAGUGCAUGGCUUGGAGUCCAUGACAUAUCUGCAAGACUGCACCAAUAUAGAUCAACAAUUGCAGAUUCAAGGAGGUUCACCUUAGUUGGCGAAAAUACGCUAGAAGCAUAUUUGCCUGGAAUGGGACUUGAAUAUCUAAUUUCCGGCAAGUCCGAAUGAAGCAUAUUUAUCAGACACGCUUGCAAGGAUUGGUGGAAAAUGCUUUUGUCAUACUUUUCAACUUUUGUUGACUGCCCUUCUCAACUAAGACCAAUUUUGAUUGAUAAGCUGAGGGGUGUGAGCUACCUCAGAUCUGUGUAAUGACUUGACUUCCAUAUAUAUACACACACACGCUACAAGGACUUUGCCCAACGAGUAGCACGUCCUUAAAUGGUGCGAAGAGGGGUCAUUUCAAAAGUUGGAUAUUUUUAGUUCUUUAAAAUAUGCUAUUACCUUCACCUUGUGAUUGUCUUCUGCACAAUGCCAUGCCAGCUGGUUUUUUAUUUCCUUUGGGUUUACCUUGUUCACACUGAUCUCAUGGCAGUAAGAAAAAGCAAUCUUCUAUAUUUUUUUUGGAAUUCUUUUGGUAAAGAAAAAUUUGUAGGUGUUGAACUCCUGUUACUCCAUGAAUCAAAGCAUUGUAGACGCCCUAUUUUUUCAAAAUUUUUUUAAAUUUUUAUUAUGUCUUUGUUUAUGUCAUUGUUUAAACAAUCAUUUUUAUUUUUAUUUUUGUAGGAAAAAGCUGAAAUGAAAAGAAAAAAAAAACAGAAAUGAAAGUGCAGCUUUGCCAAAAAAAAAAUUAAUUUUUUUCAACCCCUCUCAUUUUUGCAGCCCAGGAGCAGGAAACGAGUACAAGGAAGUCGAAUUGCAGCUGCCAUUUUUUGUCUAAUUUCCACUCGAUUUUUUUUUUUUGCCUUUUUCUUUCCUCCAAGCCUUGCUUGUAUGAUGCCAACUCAUAUCAACCAGAAUCACCAUGAAAGAUCUAGAAAAUCAGCCAUCUAUUGGCCCUAAAAUGCCCCAAAAACCCGACCUUAUGUCCACUGUUUAGAUGAGGGUUUUGGGAGCUUUGGUUCAUAUCAAAAGAGUUCAUAACGGAGCAUUAGGGUAAGAAAGAAAGGGGAGGUGGCAGAAAAAGAGAAAAAAAGAAGAAAACAGAGAAAACAGAGAGAAAAAAAGUAAGAAAAAAGUGCAGAAAAUUUCCAGAAAAAUUGAGCCAGGGCUGGUUUUCUGACACUGUUUCGGAUCAAAUUCAAUCUCGAUUUUAGUUCUUUAGGCGAUUUUUUCAUUUCUACACUAUAUAAGUUCACCAAAAAACAACUUUUGUUCAGAAAAAUUCUUGAAAAAAUGCCUCCAGAUCUCUCAAAUAUCAGCUCGAAAUCCACCAAUCAUCAGUUCUUAGACACUUGUCAGCAGAGGUUUGCUGGUCCCAAUCUUGCAUUCGGAUGAAUUUUCUUCAGCCCCUCCGCGUUCAUUUGGCUCCAUAAAGCAUCAAGAGGUAAUCCUCAUUCGCUUUCCUCUCUUUUUCCAACUUGUUUGCACAUAAAAAGCUCAGAAAUCUGGCUCUUUUUGGUUCAUGAUGCAUGCUUUUUGUGAUUUUGUGCUGGGAUUUGAAACUUGCAUUUAGGAAUAGAAAUCUUGUAUUGAUGCUUGGGGUGCAUGAUUUUGGAUUGGGCUCUUACCCAAACUUGCGGCUUGUUUCUUUUAAGCAAAAAAUCUGGUGAUGAUUCUUGAGGUUUCAUGUGUGUUCUUGCGGCACUUGAAGAAUGGCAGCAAUCGCAGAAAGCUGCGAUAGCCUUGCAUGGUGUUUUUCAGAAAUUUACAUUUGGACCCCUUAAUUUUUACCUAAUUACACUAUUGUCCAAAAGCCUCUGCAAAUGAAUCAAUUCUGCCCCUUUUAAACUUUAAUCUUCUUUUGCACAUUUUAAGUAGUAUAUUUUUGAGCAAUAUAUUUUAGGUUUUCAGGGCAUAAUUAGGGUUAAUGAUUUUUAGUUGAUUUAUUAUCUUGCUGGGUUUUGGUAAAAUAGUUUAGCGUUUGGUUGAAGGGUAAUUUGUUUGGGUUUUGAUAGUGGGUUUUCUAUUAUUUUGGUUGGGUUUUGACAUGGGUUUCGGAUGAUAAAACCCAAUGUAUUUCGGUAGGGCUUGAAGGGUAAAAACAACGAGCUUGCCCAUCCUUUUUCCUUGGAUUUUCCAUCGGGCCAAAGGGCUUUCAGCCCACAAGAGGAAAUAAAAAUGGCCCAGUGGACUUUUAAUCAAGAAAUCUGAGGACGGAAAUUGUAGAUUAGUCCAUGUCCUUUUAAGUAAUUUCACUCUGCCUCUAAAACCUUUAGAUUUAUUUCAAUUGAUCCUUAAUUUAAUUGCAAUUUGGUCUCUAAACUUUAUUUUUCUUUAAUUGUGACAUCUAGUCUUUGUAAUAAUUAUAAUCUGACCCUAAAAAGUUCUCAUUUUUGUAAUUAGGUCCCUAAUAACUUUAAUUUCUUAAAUAUAAGUUGUUUAUCUUCUUUAAUUGUUAAUUAUACUUCAUUUAAAUGCUUUAAUUAGUAGAUUUCAUGGUUAUUUCCACUUCUUUAUCAUUUAUUUAUUAAUUAAAUUGGUGCCUCGAUUAUUUUGUUGAUUUUAGAGUAUAAAUAGGACAAAUCCAAUCUCAUUUAACCACUACUUCAAGGGAGGUACCUUCUUUUAUUACUUUAAAUCCUCUUAUGUGCUCCUAUGUGUUUUUGUGUGUGUAAUUGCAUGUUUUGAGUGCUUUUUCUCUUAUUUACUCAUUUUAUUCAUUAUAAGUUUCAUAUAUUUUAUUUAAUUUUGAUGAUUAUUUGAGAGGCAUGUAAAUGCCAAAUUGUAAUAAAUAGAUGCCCCAAGACAUGUAUUUAGCUAGGUUAUGUAAUAGAUAGGUUUUAAUUUUGCCAAAAUGUAAUUAGUUAGAUAAAUAUAAUAGUUAGAUUAUUAUUUUUUCAAAUUGCCCCUUAGAUUGUAGUUAGGAUUCCAAAUGUAAUAGUUAGGUCUUUACGCGCGUUUUUUUGCUUGUGUGCUUGCAUAUUGGUGUGUUUAUGCGUUUAUUUGCUUUCUUUAGGAUCUUUACAUCUAGAUAUUAUGAUUAUGUGCUAUGUGUUCUAUAUGUUUUAUGUGUUUAUUCGCUUUAAUUAUAUUUUAUGUAAUUUAUUUAGUUAUAAUAAAUGCAUGACAUCAUCACACUAGUCCAAUACUAUUGUGGUCUUUCUUUCCGAUUUUUCAUUAGUCCAAUACUAGUGAAGACUUGUAGAAAUGAGCUAAUCCAAUGCUAGACUCUUUGGCCCGUUUUUGUGCUUGAUUCACAUUCAACCGUGACUCCUAAACUUUUUUCUUUUGUUUUUCGAAAAUCUGGAGUCAUCUAAAAAGGGUUUUAUCUAUUUUUUUUUAUUAAAAAUACAUUUUUAGAUGACUUGAUACACCUAAACCUGAUAUCAAGUGGCGACUCUUAUUUUUUCUUAAAAAUUUUUUUUAGACUAUUAUUUUGAGCCCAAAUCGUCACACUUUUUAAGCCCCAUUUUAGGCCCUUUUCCUUUAUUUAUUUUCCAAAAAUCAAAAACUCAUUUUUUCAAUUCACUCAUCUUUUAAUAAAAAUUCAUUUUUCUAACAUCUUAUUUUAUUUUCAAAAAAAAUGGGGUGCGACAAGUAUAUUUCUGAGACCGUGAGCUCUUUAUGAAAAUUCUUAUAAAUUGUUCAUCAAUACAGUUUUUACAUUCACAGCAAACUUGUAGAUUGCCCAUAAAAUGCACGAAAACUCCAAUUUCACAUAAGUUGCAUGCUAUGAAUUGAAAACGGAAGUCUUACUAAUCUAUUAGUUCCUCGUACAUUGGUACAUUUGACAAUUUCACGAAAUGCUACAUAAAUUAAUCCAAAAAAACAUGAAUUUUAUAAAGUAUUCAAUCUCGAUAUAUAAAUUAUUCAAGACUUUGAGUUAUGAGACAAUCUCCAUAUAUAAAAUAUUCAAGAGUUUUUUCAUGUUAAUACCUAAAUGAUAAACAUGUAAACUAGCUUUUUUCGAACAAGAUAAUUAAAGACUUUGCUUAUAUAGCUCUUAAAAUGGAAAUUAGGUUUUAUAAGAAAAAUUAAAUCCUUAAUAUAUCUAGCUCAUGUUUUGCAACUAAGAAGAACUAAUGACAAGAUCAUAGGUUAGCAGAUAUUGGAAGAUAUAGUCUUCUCCUUCAAAAUGUUUGGAGAUUAUUUGAAUCAUUUAUUCUUUUUGGGUUGAGCUACAAGGCAAUUUAAAAUUGUAGUUAGCAAACUAAUACAUGACUUUGACUAAUGCAAGUAUAAACGACAAACACCUUGUAAAUUGUUAUAAAGAGAAGAAGAAAGAAGAAAGGUUGAGAGUCGAACCACAAACCUCACAAUCAUAUGCAUAAUGUUAAUACCAACUAAGCGCACUUGGGGAAAAGGCAGACCUUAAGGAUUGAUUGGCAAAAGUACAAGAGAUUGUAUUCGAUCUUACAAUUAAGAGAGAGGAGAGGAUCGAGACAAAGGGAUUUAGGUUCAAAUUUCUUCUACAACCUUGUGGCAGAUUAGGGAGACAAUUGUAUACUGUGAUUGUACCUACAACCGUAGCAGUUGACCAGUUAAACUUUAACUAGUAGAAUCCUUUUGUUAGGACUGCAGUUUAAGAGAUAAGUUGGAGCCAAAAAGCAUUGGUGCUAUCAUUGAGUUAAGAUGAAGUUUUGAUUUAUGAAAUUUGUUUGAACUAAUGGAAAGAUAGAGAACCCGGGAAGAGAAGAACAUUCUUCUGACACAGAUUUGUCGGCAGGUCUCCUGCUAAGAGUUAGAGAUCACUGAAAAGAAAGGCAUCUUAUCUCACAUAUUUUUCUAUUACCUAUGUAUUUGUAGAAUCAACUGUGUUUGAAUAUUUAACUGCAUACAAACUUAUCUUGAUUGACGUUCCUUUUGCCAACAUAAGAAGGCAUUGCAUGUCCUAAGCAAUGCAUUCUUGAGUACGAGACUUUGACUUCUGAGUAAAUUAGACGGAUUCUCUUCUUCCAUAUAGUGAAGGACUAUUACUCGAUCAACAACAGCAGCAACAAAACAAAGAAAAGGAACUUGUUUGGGGUUAAUUGGGCACUUCUUCUCUUUGGAUUGUUUUGCGGCUACAGGCAAACAUGUACAACAUAUAUAAAGACCAUAGCAAAUAUUUAUACAAAAAUUCUACAGUGAUUCCUGCCCUUUCUGUUGUCAUAACAUAUUUAAGAAACUUCUUCAUGGCAAGAUUGUAAAUGAUCGAUUAGGUUGCAAAAUCUUACAUAUGCUUUUAUCUAUUUUGUUGGCCUAGAUUAAGGAGCUCCGUGGCUAUAUCACUUGGACAUCUCGAGAAUUUUGAAAUAUCUAACAUGUUUUUCAUUAUUUUGUUGAUAAUAAUAUACUUAUUGGUAAUAACGAGAGACUAUUGCAGUUGAACAAAUGGUUAACUACUGCAGCAUUAAAUAGUCAUUUAAGUUGAUUGUUAAGUGUGAAUAUGCAUGACUUUUUUUCGAACUAGUAUGGGAGAAUGUGCUUUGCAUGUUAUCAAUGUUUGUUCUCAUAAUAUAUACUAUAAUAAUCAUAUUCCGAAAAUUAAUUACAAGAAUAGAUGUUUUAACUAUUUAAAGUAUUGUAGUGCUAUCAAUCUACUUCUUUGAUAAAAAAUUAUACAUCACUCAUGAUUUUUUAGAAGCAAUAGAGAAGUAAAUUAAAAAAGAAAGGAAAAUUACAAAAAAAAGAUAAUUACUUUCCUCCAAAUUCUAAAAUAAGCAAACUCCAAAAUAGUUAUCCUAGAUUGGUUGAAGAAUUUGUGACAGCCCCACCUCCCCCUAAGGCGAACCAAAGGGUUCGGCGGACCGCCUGCCCAACUCUCGUCGGGACUCAGACGUACCUCAAGCAACCUUCGGAAUAAAACCACAGGAAUAAGUAUAAUAAUGAUCCAAACUUAAAGUAAAACUUAUACACAUUACUAUUUAAAAAGGAAAUACAACCUUCGAAUAUUCAAGGGUUCUCAAUUCUGCAUACAUCCAGCUCGUGCCAAGCACUAGGGCGAGAACCAUUACAAAAUCAAAGGUCUAGCCUAAGCUAGUCUAUACAAAGCUCCCGUCCUUGCUCGCCUUCCCCUGUUAAGGAGAACAAAACUAAAGGAAUGAGUUAAAAGCUCAGUGAGGUUCCGAACACAUAAUCAAACAAUUAAUCCAAUACAUUAAACAUAGAGCAUCAAUAAUUCAAAGAACAUUUACAACGGAAAGCGAUAAUAACACAUAUAUUAAAAGGAUACGGGCUCACAGGGAGCCAUUUAUUUGUUCGUUCAUUCGUUCUCCUGUCAUUCCCCUUAUUCUUCCAAUCAUUUGAAAAUGCAUUUUUUUUUAUAAAUAAAACCCUCGUUCGUUCUUUCGUUUCAUUCAUCCCCUCCUGGACGUUGGCCAGGCUCCACCAGAAUACAAGAUAAUACUCGAGUAUACCAAAUUCACCCAGGGUCAUCAUAUCGCCCGACCAAGUCCACUUCUGGCUCGAGUCGAUCGGUAAUGAAGGGCAGGGCCCAAUUCAGCCAAAAGGCUUACAUCAUGCGCAACUAACGUUUCAAUCAUUAAAUCAUUGAAAAUUUCACGUUCAUUUAGGUCGAGUGCGAUAAAGUACACACUCGCCUAAAAACUCGUUUUGAAAGUCAUUGAAAGCACUUAACACGUUAUCAAACAAUAACACAAGUCAUGAAGUCAAGAAAAUAUAACAAACAAGGAAUACUCACCUAUUUAUAUGCAAAAUAAUGUCCAAAAUAUCCCGCCGGAUAUUACCUUCAGUCACCGACAAAACCUAGGAUUAAACAAGAGAAAAUAUUAUAGUUCCUCUAGCACAACAAUUAGGUUAAAUCGAAGAAAAUCCGACUAAUUACGAGUAAAACGUAUAAAGAUGGAUUUAAAGUGAAAAGAGGACAUUUGGAUCCGUGGACGGGAAUAACUAGGGUUUCAUAAACCAAACGCAAAACCAAACUAAAAAGGGUUAUAAAAUUCCAACGGAAACUUUUGACCAAGGACAAAUUAAAAUCCAAAUAGAUAGGCUAAGGAAAUAUUCUUUCUGAAUCGUUUGUGUGGCUAAAAGUCAAUAUAUAUUCAAGUAAAGGUUAUAUAGCAAAGGUUUUAAUGAAAAUCAUAUCGAAAAGGAGGACACUUAAAACCUUACUUGAAAGUAGUUCACGUGUGACCGAGAAAACCCUAACUCAUACCUCUAUAUUUUGGUACGGAGUAAAUAACCAUUUGAAGUUUCAAACGGAAGAGGUAUCAUGUUUUGAAAGGGUAAAACGGUCAUGGUAUUCACCAAACUCAUAUAUAUAUGAUCAAAUAGAAACUUAGCCCUCGUACACCUCUCGAGCGAAUCGAUGAAAUUUUUAAUGAAAUACAUUCAACUUGAUACAAACACAUUUCCAAAACCAUUUUACUCAUUUACAAGACAAGAAAAGAAACGGACAGCAUUUCCCCUAAUUUUCCUCACUUCCACCUUACAAUCAAAAACCCAUUACUCAUACCGUUAAUUACAAUCACACACAUGGUCCAUAAGUAAGAAAACAUGUCCAAUUAGGGCACAAAACCCUUCAAUCAAGGCCAAUUAGAGACUCCAAAGCCAACUAUAAGAAAACCUCCAAAUUGAAACCCUAGAACCGGAAAUUAUCCCCACAAGCAGAAAUUUUCCGCAAUCAACCGCAAUUAACGUACAAAGGUCCCAUUUAACACCAUUUAAACCACUAAUCCAAGUCCAAUCCAUGACUAUCAUAUAAAAUCAGAAAAAUCUCCAAUAAAUCGAAAAUCGGACCAACUUCACUUAGAACCUUGAAAUCAUCCACAAUAUAGCACAAUCAACCUCUACUAAGCACCGAUAUACCAUUAUCAAAACAACAAAGAAACUUGUUUAGCAACUCACCUUAUAAGUUCAAGAAAGGUAGAAACUUAGGGCCUCCCUUCCAAAAACAACUCCACCAAGACCUCUAUUCCCCCUUAGCUAGCACUUGUACGGAGUAGAUUAGAUUUCUAACGGUGAAAACUCAAGAUUUGAGUAGAAAUUAAAGUUGGAAAGAUGAAGAGCUUUUCUUGUUUUCUCUCUAUGAUGCACGGUUGGCCAGGAAAAGAAAUGAAGAUAUUUUUGCCCCAAAACAGUAUAAAAAGAGAAGGAAACAGGCGGUCAAAAUUGGUGGCCGCCUGUGCCACGUCACAAUUCGGCCGAAUUCAAGGCAGUAGCUAAAAUAAUUUUUUUUCAAAACCCCUCAACAAUCCGGCCAGAAAUUUUUUGCGGCCGGAUUUGGCCCUUUCCAAAUUUCAGAAAAUGUUUUCUUUCCAAGCGCGAACGUGUGAUGCUCAUCCGUUCUUCCAACAAGGAUAUAUACAUACAUACAUAUAACCUACACGUAAUACACAUAAUCACACGUUCAUAUAUAUGCAAUGAAACCCUCCUUAGAAAUGGAUAGUGAAUGGUUUUCGUUUCAAUUAAAAGGAAAAUGAGAAUAAACAAAAUGUUGAGAAAAUAUGAAACUUUUAGGGUUCUCACAGAAUUGCUUUUGUUAUUAGUUUGAGUGUACUUGUGUUGCACGUUACGCACACACACACAGAGAUAUACAUACAUAGAUACAUACAUAUAUAUAUAUAUAUAUAUCUUUUUUCUAAGAAAUGAUGUGGAACCUAUGGGUGUAUUGGGUGUGUGGACCCAAAAAUUUUCUUAUUUAUCGAAUAUUACAAGUUUACUUAAAUAUUUAAUUACUCAUUUUCUUCGAAUUAUUUAUUUCGACCAUUUAAAAAAUCCAUUUAUAUGGAACAACGCCUCUUUUAUAUUUUAAAGCGUUUUGUUGGAAAAUUCACUUUUCGAAAAUUCGUUUAGUUCAGAACAACGAGUGCACGUCUUUUUAGGCUAUACUUGAAUCGGGAGUGUAUCAAUAUUGGAGAAUUAAGAAUGAUCAAUAGUAGAUUAAGAAAGGUUAAUUGAAAAAUUAAUACUAGACUCCUGUGAGGACUCGCAAAAAUUUAUUAUUUUAAAUUACUAUUUCGAACUUAUUCAAAUAUUUAAUUGCCUGUUUGCUCCGAAUAUUAUUUUCUAAUCUCUUGAGACCUAAUUACAUUGAUCUAUGACUUACUUAUAUUUUUAAAGUGACUCAUUUCAAAAAUUAAUUUUUGGAAGCUCGAAUAAUGAAAAUAGUGAAAACAUGUUUGGAAAAUUUAGUCAAUUGAGAGUACAAUAAACUUAGAAAAUUGGAGACAUGUACAAUGGUCCUAAAAUAGGUAAUUUUAGGUUUAAGUACUCAAGUGAUAGUUAGUGGUACGAUCGUUAUAAGAAUUUCUUGGAGAUUUCACUCUAUCGCGUUUAAAGUGGAGAUACGCGUUUUCACGCGCGCGAUUAAUUGAGGAACUUUAGACCAUUAUUUCGGGAUAAUUAAGAAUGAAUAAUAUUUAUAUGAAUAUAAGUGUAUUAGAGGUUUAGUGCACUAGUGUAACAAACUUAAGAAGAAUCGAGCACAAAACGCACGCACUAAUUGCGAUUGACUUUUGGGCAACUUUGGACCACACACUAAAGCUUCCUUUGGAAGCUUCAUUUCAGAUCAGAAUUCUUUCUUUCCUAGCUCCAUUUCCAGUGUGCAACUCCAAGAGCAAAGAACCAAACUUGCUUCCUCAAUUUCUACUCCAAUUCUUGCACCAAAUCCCAACCAUUUCACACCAAAAUUGAAGACCACUUAGUUUAACACUUGAGAAACUCAUCUAGCUACAAAAAAAAGGAGCUUUCCACGGUUUUCUUGGACCAAGAGAGGACCGAAAUUUCUGCUUAGUUCAUCAACCAAAGUAAGUAAUGAUCAAACCUUCUAGUUUUGAUUUAUGGAAGUUGAUUUACACUUAUGAACUUAGUUAUUCAUGUGAGUGACUUGUUAUUGUUGAAAAAUUUUGAAUGUGGGCUCUAUGAACUCCCACUCUUGGAUUGAUGGCUGAUGUGAUGCUUGAUAAUGGAUUUAAUGUUGGUUUAAUGCUCAAUUUGGUAGAUUAAUGGUGCAUGGCUAGUAUAAACUUCAAGGAGUGCAUGGAUGUAAAGUUUCCAAUUCUGCCCCUGUUAUGAUCGUGCCUCUUUUUGCAGAAUUUUGAGGUUUUAAUAGCUUGUAUAUGAUGUUUAUAUGUUGUAUAGAUGGUGUAUAAAGUUUCAUCGAAAAAUAUUGAGGUUUGGUUGGUCAAAUGGAUUAAUCUCGCAAAGCUAGCAAACCUGGAAAAAUUUUCCCGUAAUGCUCAGACAGCCUUCUUGUUUCAUCCAUAACUCUGUGCUUCGACGUCGAAAUCAAGUGCCGUCAGUGGCAUUUGAAACUAGUCAUUCCCAACUUUCCAACGGUAAUGCAACCCCUAAUUUCACCCGAGUAUCCCGUACCAACCGUUUAAAGAUGACUGUCCUGUUUCUCUGUUUUCCUGGAAUGAAAUUCAGAAGCUGCAACUUGAGGCUUGAAUUUGAGCUAGUUGUUGCUGAAUUUCAAAACAAUUUCUUCUGUGAAAUUAUAGUUUUAUGAAUGUAUUUUCCAACGCCACAAACCAUGCUAAAUUUCAAGUUGAAUUGAGUGAUUUGUGAUCAAAAUACGAAACCUGCUCUGCUCUUGAAAACCCUAAAUUUUGGGCAGAAUUGACGCUAGACUUGGUGUGGACUUGCCAAUUAAAUUUCUUGGAGUUAAAACACUUACCAAAUGUACCAUGAAUGUUCCUUAGGCUUUUCCUACACAAAUGAACCAUGUUUGAAGGAUUUUCCUUGGCCAAAUGUUUGGCAUGGAAAACAAAAAGCUCAAGGCAGUUCUGCCUUAGGAUUUUUCGAAAAUUUGGUUGUUUGGUUGAUACCUUCCCGAAGGUAUUUUUCUAUGAAAUUUGAUAGAGGGAUACCCUUUAUAUAGGAGUAUUAUAUUGCCGAAUUUGGUACCCAUCCGAGUCCAUUUCGCUGCUCGACUAAAUUACCAAAGUUCAAGACUUGAUUUUGGAAAACCCUUGUUUAAUAAGGAAAUUUGGGUAACUUUGAGCUACCAUAUCUUGGUGCUCAAAACUCCGUUUCUCGUUCCGCUUGUUUUGUUGUAAACUUAGAUUAUAACACUAAUAGAUUUACAAAUUUCAAAGGCUAGUUCCAAUCAAGUGAAUUUUGCCGAAUUUUCAAAAUUGGCCAAAAACCAACUUAAAUCUGCCAUAUGAACCAAAACAGCGACUUUGAGCUCAUUUUUGAAUAUUUUUCAUUUGGAAUCUUAGAAAAGUGUAUUCUAGGAACUUUUAGUAUUUUGGAAGAGGUUUCCAAUGCUACCAAGUUUUCCAAUUUUGGAUUUGUAAAGAGUGAGAUACGAUUUUUCCAAAAUCUCGUAUCAAAACUGGAAAAAAAUUUUCCAAGCCUUAAGGAAAUAGAGGUUUUCAAAUUUUCCUUAUUCCUUCGAUGUUACUUGAAUGUAUUAAACUUGAUUUCCAAGAUAAAACCUCGAUUGCUUUUGUGCUUUAAAAUUCCAUCUUUGAACCCCGAUUUACGAGUGAUUGUAGUUCGUUUUCAUGAGAUUUUUUUAGAUUGUACACUAAGUACAAUUUUUGUAAUAAUUGGGGGUUUAUGAGUAAUAAGUCCUUAUCAAUUGUUCAGGCACACAAGAGGAAUUUCAAGAGGACCCCACGGUGGACGCUUGAACUUCGAGUGCCGUUUUUUCUUGUUUAUUUGGUGAGUGUCAAGUGCAUGUUUACUUGAACUCCGUGAACUCAAUACAUGUUACCUGUUAUUGAUACUUGAGAUAUUUAAAAAUUCAAGACGGGGGUGCACUUUAUCGCGCUCGUUCUCGUUUGAAAUAAAUGACUCGUACUUGAAAUACUCAAAUGUCUCAAUUGCUCGCACAUGUUACAUGCUUGCUUGACUUGAAAUAGUAUGCUAUGGCUGUAUACGUCGUUUGAGUGAAUCUCCUCAACACUCAAACAUGCUUGGGGGACGCCCACAUCUCAUUGGCGAUCCUUAGACUCGAGCCGGCAUGGGUUUGGUCGGGAACCUUGGCGAGCCAUGAAAAUCACAUGAUAAGCUUGAUCUAUUGGAGAGAUCUUGCUUGGCAUAUUCGAGUAGUAUUGCCUUAAACAACAAAUGACAGGCGGGCCCGAAACAGGGGUAUGUAAGGUGAAAGGGGAUAGGUUAAAUGUGGAGUUCUACGGACUAAAUCUACCCGAUUGACGGAGUGUCAAUUCGUGGAGAUUUUUGAUCAUGCAAGUGGAACAUAGCUCCUGAGAGCUCCAGUAUCCUUGAAUUGUUUUUGUUUACUUUUCCAGUGAAUUGUUAAUCAUUGAAAUAUUAUUGCUCGACUUGUAAAUUUGGGAUUGUUACUUGAACAAUGUGCUUGUAUGUGUAUUCUUGGCCUCACGAGCGUAUUGCUCACCCUGUAAAUUUGUUUUCCUUAGCAGGAUUGGGUAUGAAAUGAGACUUGGAAGAGCCCUUUUGAUGCACUUUUGGUUUAGGAUUUCUAAUAUAUUUUGGGUUUGACCUUUUAUUGGUCACACCUUUGGGAAACUGAUGUAUGAAUUGGACAUUUGAUGUACCUGGAUGUUAUAUACUUUGGGUAUUGAUGUAACUUUUGGAAAAUGAUGUAAGGGUUGGAUAAUCGUUAUAUAUAUUGUGUUAAGUUUGGAAGCUUUCCGCAUUUUCUUACUUAUCUAGUGUUGUUGAAUAGUUUUUCUUUAAGUUUGAACGGAAAUUGCUUGAAUCCUGGCAAGAGUUGGGCAGGCAUCCCACGGAUACCCUCUAGUUCGCCUUAGGAAGAAGUGGGGCGUCACAUUGGGCUUUUGGAUUUUUUCUAGUCUUCUGAAAAAAUUUGUGCCUUUUUCACUUUCAUUGCUAUGAAUUUUUUUUCUCAUUAUUUUUCUUUUUCCUUGGUAGUGAAUCUAAGCAUAAAUUUAAGCUGGGUUUUGACUUAUAUUUGUGGGUUUUGAUUGACGUGUUUGUUAUUAUUCAGCUCAAUAUUUAUCAGUUAACCAAGAUUGUUCAUUGAUCUUUCACAGUUGUAAACUGAUCUUUCUCAAUGAGGACAAGGUUAUUUAGUUGAUUUCUUUACAAUUAUUUUCACUUUCUCUUUUCUUGGGGUUAAUGUCAUUUUUACUUGCUAGAACUUGGUCUAUUUUUGUGGCAGUUCCUUAUCAUGGAGCAAGAGGUAUCUGCUGGAUAAGGGCGGAGUUGCCUGAUGCCUAUCCAUAUAAAUCUCCUUGAAUUAGUUUUGUAAAAUAAGAUUUACCUUCCAAAUGUUGAUGAAUAGUGACUUUGAGGACAUUGUUGCUUUGUUGAAGUUCUUCAACACUGUUUGAGAUUCCAAUGUCAAUUAUUUAGUGUAGCUUUGUCAUAUAAACUUGCGGAUUCUAGGAAUACUCUCUAGUUUGCUCUAUGCUACACAGGAAUAUGACUUUUUGAAUAUGUUGCUUAAAGUUACAAAUCAAGAUCAUACAUUAAAAUACUACAAUUUAGCUCUCUUAUGCUAGAAAAACUUGUUUAAAGUACUUCAUUUUGGAGCUAACAUAUUAAAGUAUGUCACGUCUUCACUCCUUUACUCUCAUAGCAAGUUUGGAUGGAAAGAUUUGAACAGAAAAGAUAAGAAAGGAAGGAAAAAUUGACUUGUUAGAUGUUUGGGAGAUUUUCAUGAGAUAGAAAAGAAAGGAAGGGAAUGGAUUCGAAGGAUAAAACCUGUGCUAAAGUUUAAAAAAAUUUUCUCACCAAAUUUGAGUGGAAAACAAAAGAAACUUGUUGAAAGCCUACUAAUACUUUCUAAAUACCUAUCUUGCCCUUAAAAAGCUAUUGCAUGAAUUUGUAUUGAUUUAUAUGCCCAAAAUCAUUCAGCUUCUUUCAAAACUCUCAAACAACAUUAGAAUCACUUCUCUUGUCUUCUUUUCUUUUCGUUUCUUUUAUCUCAUAAUUUAAGUUUUCUCAUCCUUUUCUUUUCUAUCCUAAAGUCACAAACUAGCUAUGAUAGUUAGUUUGGGAAAACUGAUUUGAAAAGAAAAAAAAGAUGUUGGAAGGAAAGUGAAAGUAUUCUUUCAUUUGGGAGUUCCAAUAACAAAAGAAAGGAGAAGAAAGGGAAGGAUCUGACAUCCUCCACAAGCCAAAAAAUCUUUCGUCCAAUUAUGGGCAAAAACUGAUUAAAUAGAAAGGGACUUUAAUAACUUUUUUAAUAUACUAGUUUUACCUUUGAUGUUUGCCUUGUGAAAUUAUAUACUAAUAAAUGAGUUCUAAAUUCAAGGAUACUACUGUAAAAUAAGAUCUUUUCCUUCUACUUCUCUUCACUCCCAAACAAAGUAAAAUUACUUCUUUUUUUUUUUCUCUCCCAAAACUCCCAAACAAUAUGAAAGGAUAUAACAAUCUUUUCUCUUGUCUUCUUUUCUUUUUCAAUCUAAACUUUCUCUUCUUUUUUUUUCAUCCUAAACUCCCAAACAAGCCAUUAAUCUCUUAAUUUUGGCAACCAGUGCGUUCAUUCGCCAAUGCUGUAAUUAAUACUAAAGAAACAAAAAAAACCAAAAAAUUCUAUUAGUCUUUAUCUAGUUUCUCUAAUAGAAUGUAUGACCUCACAAUGGUCUUCAUAAGAACUUUUUAGCUUUAUGACUUUAUCUUCUCCAACAUAUUGAUGAAUACCACACAGUUAAAGGGUUUAUGGUGUAUUAUUAUAAUUUUAUAAGUUAUCAAAUCGUUUAAGUGAGAUAUAAUCAAAGUAUAAUCUCUAGGAAAAUUUUUUAAAGUUUAUCAAUUAUUAUCUUUUCUACAUAAUAUCUUAUUAUAGUGUAAAAAACUGCACAUACGCAUGAUGCACGCUGUAUCUGUGAGAUAAUUAAAUUGUUGAAAUAAAUUCUUUGAAAACAAUUAUGUAUUUGAUACCUUCACAAGUUAUAUUGAAUUGUGCCAUACUGGAAAUAAUGGAAAAAAAAAUGAAAAGAUGCAAAGACAAAUUCUUGGACAACUGAAUGGCUUAUGCAACAAAAAAAGAUAAAAAAUUAAAAAUAACUCAUUCUAAAAAUUCAAUUACUUUGCUACGCCCACUUAUAAUAUGGUUCUUGCUUUCGCACAAAAUAUGUUUACCAUUGAUUUUGAACUUUCAAAUUGCUCUACUACUUAACCUACAAUAAGACACAAAGGAAUCUUUUUACUUGAUAAACAACAUCUUUAAUGAUAAAUACAAACUGCCCGUCAUAUUCAAUCAAGUAAUCACUUCAACUUUCUGCCAUAUGAUGACCAUGUUGUGUGAGUAAAUUCCAAUGUUGGUUAGAUAUUGCAUGUCUUUCCUAAGUCUCUUCAAAUUUUUUUUUAAAGUUUAUCAAUUAUUAUCUUUUCUACAUAAUAUCUUAUUGUUGUGUAAAAAACUGCACGUACACAUGAUGCACGCUGUAUCUGUGAGAUAAUUAAAUUGUUGAAAUAAAUUCUUUGAGAACAAUUAUGUAUUUGAUACCUUAACAAGUUAUAUUGAAUUGUGCCAUAUUGGAAAUAAUGGAAAGAAAUAAAAUGAAAAGAUGCAAAGACAAAUUCUUGGACAACUUAAUGGCUUAUGCAACAAAAAAAGAUAAAAAAUUAAACAUAACUCAUUCUAAAAAUUCAACUACUUUGCCAUGCCAACUUAUAAUAUGGUUCUCCAUUUCGCACAAAACAUGUUUACCAUUGAUUUUGAACUUUCUAAUUGCUCCACUACUUAACCUACAAUAAGACACGAAGGAAUUUUUUACUUGGUAAACAACAUCUUUAAUGAUAAAUACAAACUGCUCCUUAUAUUCAAUCAAGUAAUCACUUCAACUUUCUGCCAUAUGAUAACCAUGUUGUGUGAGUAAAUUCCAACGUUGGUUAGAUGUUGCAUAUCUUUCCUAAGUCUCUCCAAAGAGAAAAAAAAACCAAGAAGAAUACACAAUCUAGAGAGUUAAAGAUUUGUUAGAAUGUAGCGACCUCUUACUUAGUAACAUCCCAUGAGGGUAACCAAAUAAAAAGAUUAAAAAUUGGUUAUACAUGAAAAACAAGGUCCAAUUUAGAAAGAUUUUGGCAAAUUGCAACUCGCCAUGUCUUAAAGCUUAGGGUUCUACAUGCUAAGCAAGAUUUAUUUUUUAUUUUCAACUUGUAUUUAUUACACAGUAGGGUUUUCUGGAAUAAUAUAGUUUGAUUAAGAGUUUAAUUUGAGUAAAGCACUUUAUCAACCUAUAAGAGAAUAUCCAUAGUAGAAGAUUUUUUAUAGGUGGAUUUGCAUGAUAAUCAACCCUUAUGAUUUGCAUGAUAAUCCUUUGCCAAUUAUACUUUCUUGGAUGAUUUUCUUAUCAUCUUUGGAAUAUACACCUGUCUUUUUGUAAGGAAUGCUAAGUCAGUUGAACGAAAUACAAAGUAAGAAAUAAUAUGAAAGAAUUCGCAUUCAAGUGCAUCCCAUCAUAAAAAUUAAGGUUUUCGAAAAGGCAUGUAUUUGCAUUGGGUCAGGCAUUCUUAUCUAUAUUUGGAUUUACUGUCUAUACAUAUCUAAAAGAUUCAAAUUGAAGGAAUUAAUUACUUUGUUAUGCUUUUGAACUUAAUCAACAUAAAUAUUUCUCUUAUUCCAUGAUAGAAUAGUAGCAUUUUAUUCUCAACUGUCAAGAUUAGCUCCUUCAAAAUCUCUAUGAAGACCACAAUAAAAGACUUUUGUUUGCAACAAUAAUAAAGUGGGCAUUAGUUUUUGUUUUUGUCACCAUAGAGCUACAUAUAGCAAGGAAAAUGCCACUGUCUCACAUCACCAUUUGAAGUCAAUAUCUAUGACAACAAAAUUCCUAACUAAGUUUCUAGCAAAAGAAAACAAUUAGUUUAAGAAAUCUUUUUUCUUCACUGAGCUUGUCAUUGUCGUUUGAAAAGAAAAUACAACAAAAAGGAUAUAUCCACUUGUUUUGAAGUUUGGAUUAGUUUUAGAUCUUUUUGUUACUACACUAUUAUAAUCUGAUAGAAAAUGCAGCAUAGUUGUUCACUGAUAUUUCUUGAUGGGACCAGGUUCUUUAGAUGAUUUCUUUAUCUCUUGUUUUGGGUUAAUGUCUUUUUUACUUGUUGGAACUAGCCCUAUUCUCAGGGCAAUUCCGUACAAUGGAGUAAGAGGUAUGUGCCGUGUGACGACCCCACCUUCCUCUAGAGCGUACCCAGAGGUUAGCGGAUCACCUGCCCAACUUUCGUCAGGACUCACUCACUAACAUUUUCAAAUCAAUAAAACUAAAAUCCUUCAAUGUAACAUUUAUAUAUUACAAAUCGUCCCAGUAUUCAAACCAAAGUACAGGCCAAAAGAAAAGAACUUAACGACUAGUACCAUGAUACAGUGUCGGCCAAAUACAAAUUCAAGAUUUCCUUUUACAAACUAUUAAUAUUCUUGUCUCUCUCAUCCUGCACUCUGUUAAGGACAAGAAAUAAUGGGGUAACCUAAAAGUCCAGUGGGGUUUUGAGAAAACAUGCAGUCAAAUUAGUAAAUUAUCAAUCACAUAUAUCAAAUCAUAAAGCGAAGAAGGUCAACAAUUACAAGUAAAGUUAUUAACAGUUCACAUAUUCAAAUAAGUAAUUUAACACCAAAAAGAAAAGGAUACAAUACUGAUACGGUGGCUCCCACCAGGAUCUAGGCAGAGCACCCGAGAUUCAAACAUUGAUACAACUGAUAUGGUGGCUCCUGCCAGGUUUUCGGCAGAACACCCAAGAUUCAAACGUUGAUACAACUACAGUGGCUCCUACCAGAUUCUAGGCGUAACAAUUAGUCUCAUUAAAUAUUUCACUUACAACUCAAGAAUGCAGUGGGUUCUUGCAAGUCAGUUCCGCAGCAGUGUUUUUCAAGUCCGUUGAUACUCCGUCAACGUUUGAAAUGCAGCAAUAACAAUGUCCGUAAAUCACCGCUUAAUUUUAAUAUCCGUCCACCGAUCAACCCUCUUGUCAGGCCCGAACUCCAAGAACAUAGAACACUGGGUGGUAAUACUCGAGUAUACCAAUUUCAAAGGACGCAUCCAACGGAUUAAACAAUAAAUACUAAACACUACCUAUGGUUCAUCAAUUUUCUCGACCAAACUCUUGCUGAUUUGAUUCGACUAACUAUCCGAUGGGGUUUAGGAUUCCAAGCACACAGUAUAAUUGAUGAGAUAACAUUUCCAACCAACUUUCAAGUCAUGUACAUGUAUAUCAGUUCAUUUGUAAAUAGUUCACUUAUAAAUAGGAUAGCAAGAGUUCAAUCAAGUUAGGUCUAGUGCGAUAAGGUAUGCACUCACCUAUUCAUUUGCAGUUCAAGAUAUAUAGCAUUAUCAAUCAACUAGGCGAAUUGAGUAUCAUUCAAGUAAAGUUAGGUCGAGUGCGAUAAAGUACACACUUGCCUAUUGUAAUAACAAGUCAAGAUAUCUAGCAAUUUUAAGAAACAAAUCACAUUUCGAUCAACAAAUCACAUAAAACAUCAAUCAAUUAAAUCACAUGGUCCUACCAGGCAUUUGGAACACCCAACAAUUGAUUUCAAUCUUUUCACUUCAUACCUCAGUUCUUUCUCUUGGUCAUUCUCAAGUCCUGUGGUCAUAUCAUACAUCAAGAGUCUAACCACUUAAAGCCAAUGUAAAUGAGUAAGUUUCACUUAACAAAUAUAGCAAUUUGCAAGUUUAAUCCUAGUAUAACUUCCAGAAGGGUAAAGUUUUUUUGUUCAAAUCAAAGGGCAAACCACGUGCUUGUUAAAUCAAUGUCUCAAUCAAAAUAUGGAGUAAAAGUAUGUCGAUUAUAGUCAAGAGUUUAGAAGAAAAUUGGUCAAGACUUUCGAUGUUCAAAAUUGAAAAUUUUGGACGAAAAGUCGGUUUGGAAAAAACUCAUUUCCUUUCGCUUAAAUCUCUUUGUUUGGCUCAAAACCAACACACAUGUGGAGAUCAAAGUCUUGACAAGCAUUUUGAGCAAAAGUAUGUCACAAUCAUCAUACAAAUUUAGCACUAAAACUGAAUUUUUCUAACAAUCAAGCGUUUUGAGGCAAACAUCACUUUCCUUCCCUUAAAUUAUUUUGUUUUUGGCUCAAAUCCAACCUAUAUAUGAAAAUCAAGGGUUUCUCUGAUAACUCGAGCAAUGGUAGAUCAAAAAUAGCCCAAACCUAAAACUCAAAAACUCCAAAUCAACAUACAUGUGAAGAUCAAAAUAUUAGCAAGUAUUUUGAACAUAAUAUGUCAAAACCAUCCCAAACUUUCAACUCAAACAAAAAUUUUCAGCAACUUAUCCUUAAAUUCCUUUCCUCUAAUUUCAAAGUUUCAACCUUAUUUUCAUGAAAAAAAAAUACAAUAAAUCAUGGCUAGCAUAGUAUGUGUCAUAUGGUAUAUACUUGGUCAGAAAAAUCAUCAAAAUCACACAUAUAUAACUUGAAUUUAGGCUAUGCACUUCAUGUACCAAAAUUGAAAUUGAAAAUUGACAAUAUAACUUGAGAACAACAAUCCUUCGAUAGAAAUCCUUCAUUUUCAUCAAAAUUGCACAUAUAACUCUAGACUAAGCUAAAGAGAUUAUGCACCAAAGUUAGAAAAUUACAAUAUAACUUGACAAAAUCAUGAAAUCUUCCAUAAAGAUUCUUCCUUUAACUUCUAUAACAUCAUAUCUCAAAUAAACUCAAAAAUAAGGAAAGAAAACUAAGGUUUCUAGCCAAGCUCACCUCUUUACCUCCAACCCCAAGGAAGGCAAGCAAAUCAAGAAAGAUGCAAAACUUUCUUCCUCCAAGAACUCCACCAAUAGCUUCCUUCCAAGCUUAAUUCACAGUUUUAUGGAGUGGAUUAGGAUUUUAUCUUGUUUUUCUCACUAAUCAAGUAAAAAAUCAAGGCUUGAAUUUGGAAUUUUUAUCUCCCUCUCUCUCUCUCUCUCUCUCUCUCUUUCUCUAUUCAACCAAGACAAGAAAGAAAAAGAAGAAAAAAUUGUGAAGAACUAAAGUUUUGGUUGAAUAAGGCUUAGUCUUGAUUAAGAAAUUGUAGUGAUUUGACAAGUGGUAAGAUAAGGAUUAGUCUUGGUAGUCAAGAUGUUGUAGUGGUGUGACAAGUGGCAAGAUAAAAAUUAGUCUUGGUCAAGGUUUUAUGGAUAAGUGACAAGUGGCAAGAAAUCAAUUUAUCGCUAUCCAAUUGUCUCUAAUCACCAAAAUAUCUAGUGUUUCUCCAAUUAAUUCUUAACAUCUGUUGUCUUAGAAUCCAUUUUGCACAAAACUCAUUCUAAUCCACCAAAUUUAUUACACACAUCUCACUAGUUGGUCACACUAGUACAAUGUACUAUGAAACUUGACAUGCACCAAGUUAAAUAAAACAAAAGGAUAAAAAUCAUAAUUCAACCAUUAAAACAACAAAAAAUGCAAGACAAGUAAGUGAAACUAACAAAAACCAUAAGAAACGAAUUUUCAAAUCCUCAUAGCGGCAUAAUGGUGGAGUUGCUGGGCACUUAUGCAUAUAUAUCUCCUUAAAUUAGUUUUGUAAAUAAGAUUUGCCAUUCAAAUGUUGAUGAAAACUGGGUUGAGGAUGUCAUUGCCUUAUUCAAGUUGAUCAACAAUCUAUAAACUCAAUGAGAAAAGGGAGUGGGAUCUAAUCAAAAUAUAAUCUUUAGGAAAAUUUUCUAAAGUUUAUCAAUUAUUAUAUUUUCUACAUAAUAUCUUAUUGUAGUGUAAAAAAUUGAAUGUACGCAUGAUGCAUGUAGUAUCUGUGAGAUAAUUAAUUGUUGAAAUAAAUUUUUUGAGAACAAUUAUGCAUUUGAUGCCUUCGCAAGUUAAAUUUAGUCGUGUCAUAGCAAAAAUAACGGAAAAAAAUGAAAAGAUGGAAAGACAAAUUCUUGGACAAUUGAAUGGCUUAUGCACCAAAAAAAGGUAAAAAAUUGAAAAUAACUUAUUCUACAAGUUCAAUUGCUUUGCCACGCCUAUUUAUAACAUAGUCCUCCUUUUUGUACAAAACAUGUUUACCAUUGAAUUUGAACUUUCAAAUUACUCCUCUACUUAACCCACAAUAAAACAUGAACAAAUCUUUUUAUUAGGUAGAAAACAUUUUUAAUGAUAAAUACAAAGUGCCCUGUUAGUCCCACAGACAACCAAGAGGGGGGGUGAAUUGGGUUGAUUAAAAUCUUAACCAAGUUUAUGCACUUUUUCUUUAAUGAAAGUUUACCUUCCUUUUUAGUAAUGAUCAACCAAGUAGAUUAGAAGACAAUAGCAAUAUUGAUCAGAGAAGCAAGUAUAGAUAAGCAAUGAAGAUUUUAUUAAACAGAAAAGUAAGAUAGGGAAUCAAACCAAGUGUCUACCAAGCUGUCCUCAAACUUGAAGACCAAACACUAGGAAGAGCAACUUCUCCUUGAUGAAAGAAGAUCAACUAGAUGUACAAUGGAGGGAGCACUUCCUCCUUGCCCUAAGCCGCACUUAGUCAAGCUAAGAAGUUUUACAAUCACUCAGAAAACCCUCAACAAAGCUACACUAAAGAUCCUUUCAACCACAAAAGAAAUGCUCACCAGAAAUUCACACCACUUUAAAACAAAUCUAGCUUUGGAGACUAUUUUCUAGCUAAAAUAUCUCUUGAGAUCUUGUAAACAAAGUGUGCAAAAGUCCCUACUUCGUUCAGACCAGUUUGAUUUUAAAGGGAACCAGAAAUGGGCUUCAUCAAUGCUUCCAACGGAUAGAAGGCAGCUGAAGAGUCAACUAGCCGUUGGGGCUGUCGGACGUCCGACGAUCGAAUCAUCGUCCGAACCAAUCGUCCGAUGAUAGCCAUGUUGAGGUUCGGACGUCCGAUGAGUUUUUUUGUCGUCCGACAGCACAGCGUCCGACCUUGGGCCGAGAGCUAGCAAGUUAUUUUGGAAUUUUUCGGACGUCCGAUCUGGUUGAUAUGCGUCCGAGGUGUGCGUCCGAUCCUUCCGGACGUCCGAUGCUCCCAUAUGAGCGUCCGACAGAGCUUCCUUCCUGAUGUUCUUCAUCCUUUCGGACGUCCGACAGAUUCCUUUCGGCCGUCCGACCUGAUUGUCCUGUUUUUGCUUCACAUUUUGGUUGUUUUGCUUUUGAUGACAUAUUCGAACCUGAUUCUUGGAUAGACAAAAACACUUGUUUUCGAGGAAGGUUAGAUAAACAUUUCAAAGUGCCAAGAAUGACACACAAGACACACUUAAAAGACAGUAUCUUUGAUCGGAACAAAACAAUUACUAAAUUCAUUUAUAUUAUUUCAAUCUUGUUUGCCACAUCCAAAGCAUCGUAGACUGGAGUCAAUCAGACAUAUGCUUUCCUUGUUCCAUCAGGCCUGAUCAAAGUGUUCACUUUCUUGGUCUGUAUAAACGAACUUUUGUGAUCAUCAAAACCAAGAAUAACAUGCCCCUCAUAUUCAAUCAAAUAGUCACUGCUACUUUGUUCCAUAUGAUGACCAUGUUGUGUGAGUAAAUUCCAAUGUUAGUUAGCAAUUGCAUGUCUUUCCUAAGUCUCUCCAAAAAAAAGAAUAGUACAUAAUUUGGAGAGUUAAGGGUUUGUUAGAAUGUAGCGACGUCUUAAUUAGCAACAUCCUGUGAGGGUAACCAAAUAAAAAGACUAAAACUCGAUUGUACAUGAAAAACAAGGUCUAAUUCAGAAAGAUUUUGGCAAAUUGCAACUCGCCAUCUUUAAAGGCUUAGGGUUCUACAUCCUAAACAAGAUUUAUUUUUUGUUUUCAACUUGUGUUUAUUACACAGUAGGAUUUUCUGGAAUAAUAUAGUUUGAUUAAGAGUUUAAUUUGGACAAAACACUUUACCAAACAAUAAGAGAAUAUCUAUGGUAGAAGAUCUUUUAUAGGUAGAAUUCCAUUAAGAUUUGCAUGAUAAUUCUUUGCUGACUAUACUUUCUUGGAUGAUUUUCUUAUCAUCUUUGGAACUAUAUACCUAUCGUUUUGUAAGGAAUGUGAAGUGAGUUGAACUAAAUACAAAUGCAUUAAGUAAGAAAUAACAUGAAAGAAUUCCCAUUCAAAUGCAUCCUAUCAUGAAAACUUAAAGUUUUUGAAAAUGGCAUGUAUUUACAUUGGGUGAAACAUUCUUACCCAUCUUUGAAUUUACUGUCUAUACAUAUCUAAAUGCUUCAAAUUAAAAGAAUUAAUUACUUUGUAAUACUUUUAAAUUUAAUGAACACAAACAUUUCUCUUAUUUUGUGAUAGAAUAGUAACAUUUUAUUCUCAACUGUCAAGAUUAUCUUCUUCAAAAUCUAUAUGAAAACCACAAUAAAAGGCUUUUGUUUACAACAAUAAAAAAGUGGGCAUUAUUUUUUUUUGUCACCAAAAGGUACAUCUAGCAAGGAAAAUGCCACUAUUUCACAUCAUCAUUUAAAGACAAUAUCCAUGACAACAAAAUUCCUAACUAAGUUUCUAGCUAAAGAAAAUAAUUCAUUUAAGAAAUCUUUUGUCCUCACUAAACUUGCCAUUUUCACUUGAAAAUACAAUAGAAAGAAUAUAUUCACUUGUUUUGAAGUUUAAUUUAGUUUUUGAUCUUUUUAUUACUACAUUAUCAUAACCCAAUAAAAAAAUGCAGCAUAGUUGUUUACUGAUAUUUCUUAAUGAAGUCCAGUUUCUUUAGUGGAUUACUUUAUCUCUUGUUUUGGGGUCAAUGUCUUUUUUAGUAUUUGGAGCUUGGCCUGUUCUUAUGGCAAUUCCUUAUAAUGGAGUAGGAGAUAUGUGCCGGACAACGAUGGAGUUGCCAGGUACUUAUCCAUAUAAAUCUCCUUGAAUUAGUUUUGUAAAUAAGAUUUACCAUCCAAAUGUUGAUGAAAAGUGGGUUGAGGAUGUUAUUGCCUUGUUGAAGUUGAUUAACAAUCUAUAAGUUCAGUGAGUAAAGAGAGUGAGAUAAUAUAAUCUCUAGGAGAAUUUCCUAAAGCUUAUCAAUCAUAAUCCGUGCUACAUAAUAUCUUAUUAUAGUAUAAAAUACUGCAUGUACGCAUGAUGCACGCUGUAUCUAUGAGAUAAUUAAGUUGUUGAAAUAAAUUCUUUGAGAACAAUUAUGUAUUUGAUACAUUUACAAGUUAUAUUUAAUUGUGCCAUAGUGGAAAUAAUGGAAAGAAGAAAAUGAAAAGAUGCAUAGACAAAUUCUUGUUCAACUGAAUGGCUUAUGCCGCAAACAAAGGUAAAAAAUUAAAAAUAACUAAUUUCAAUAGUUCAACUACUUUGCCACGCCCACUUAUAAUAUGGUUCUCCCUUUUGCAAAAAACAUGUUUACCAUUGAUUUUGAACUUUCAAAUUGUUCCUCUACUUGACCCACAAUAAGACAUGAUGGAAUCUUUUUAUUUGGUAGACUAUAUCUUUAACGAUAAAUACAAACUGCCUCUCAUUAUCAAUCAAGUAAUCACUUUUACACUCUUCCAUAUGAUGAGCAUGUUGUGUGAGUAAAUUCCAAGAUUGGUUAGCAAUUGCAUGUCUUUCCGAAGUCGCUAAAAAAAAAGAAGAGUACAAUUUGGAGAGUUAAGGGUUUGUUAGAAUGUAGCAAAGCCUUAAUUAGUAAUAUCCCAUGAGGGUAACCAAAUAAAAAGAUUAAAUUUUAGUUGUACAAGAAAACAAGUGUCUAAUUCUGAAGAAUUUUGGCAAAUUGCAACUCAUCAUAUUUUAAAGCAUAGGGUUCUAUACCCUAAGCAAGAUUUAUUUUUAUUUUCAACUUGUGUUUAUUACACAGUAGGGUUUUCUGGAAUAAUGGUCAUAUAACUUGAUUUUAAGAGUUUACUUUGGACUAAACACUUUUCCGACCUAUAAGAGAAUAUCCAUGAUAGAAGAUCUUUUAUAGGUGGAAUUCCCUUAAGAUUUGCAUGAUUAUCCUUUGCUAUCAUUUCUGGAACUAUACACCUGUCUUUUUAUAAGGAAUGCCAAGUGAGUAUAAUGAAAUACAAAGCAAGAAAUAAAAUGAAAGAAUUCACAUUCAAGUGCAUCCCAUCGUGGAAACUUAAAGUUUUUGAAAAAGACAUGUAUUUACAUUGGGUCAAACAUUCUUACCUAUCUUUGGAUUUACUAUCUAUGCAUAUUCAAAAGUUUCAAAUUGAAAGAAUUAAUUACUUUGUAAUGCUUCUAAACUUAAUCAACACAAACAUUUCUCUUAUUUCGGAAUAGAAUAGUAGCAUUUCAUUUUCAACUAUGAAGAUUAUCUACUUCAAAAUCUAUAUGAAGACCACAAUAGAUGGUUUUUGUUUUCAAUUAUAAUAAAAGUUGGCAUCAGUUAUUUUUUUUCUUUUUUUUUUCUGGUCAUCAAAGAACUACAUAUAGCAAGGAAAAUGCCACUAACUCACAUUACCAUUUAAAGGCAAUAUCUAUGACAACAAAAUUCCUAACUAAGUUUCUAGCAAAAGAAAACAAUUCAUUUAAAAAAUUUUCUUUCCUCACUAAACUUGUCAUUGUCAUUUGAAAAUCCAACAAAAAGGAUAUAUCCACUUAUUUUGAAAUUUGAUUUAGUUUUGGAUCUUUUUAUUACUACACUAUCAUAACCCGAGAGAAAAUGCAGCACAGUUUACCGAUCUUUCUUAUUCAGGACAAGGUUCUUUAGUUGAUUGCUUUAUAAUUAUUCUUCAUUUCUCUUGUUUUGGGGUUAAUGCCUUUUUUACUUGCUAGAACUUGGCUUGUUCUUAUGACAAUUCCUUAUAAUGGAGUAGGAGGGAUGUGCUAGAUAACGGUGGAGUUGCUAGGCACUUAUCCGUAUAAAUCUCCUUAAAUUAGUUUUGUAACUAAGAUUUAUCAUCCAAAUAUUGAUGAAAAGUGGGUUGAGGAUGUUAUUGCCUUGUUGAAGUUGUUCAACAACCUAUAAACUCAGUGAGAAAAUAGAGUGAGAUCUAAUCAAAAUAUAAUCUCUUGAAAAAUUUCCUAAAGCUUAUCAAUUAUUAUUUGUCCUACAUAAUAUCUUAUUAUAGUGAAAAAAAUUGCAUGUAUGUACGAUGCACACUGUAUCUAUGAGAUAAUUAAGUUGUUGAAAUAAAUUCUUUGAGAAUAAUUAUGUAUUUAAUACCUUCACAAGUUACACUUAAUCGUGCCAUGGUUGAAAUAAUGGAAAAAAAAUGAAAAGGUGCAGAAACAAAUUCUUGGACAACUAAACGGCCGAUGCAACAAAAAAGGUAAGAAAUUAACAAUAACUCAUGCUACAAGUUCAACUACUACUUUGCCGUGCCCACUUAUAGCAUGGUUCUUCUUUUUGCACAAAAUAUGUUUACCAUUGAUUUUGAACUUUCAAAUUGCUUCUCUACUUAACCCACAAUUAGUUGGUAGGCAACAUUUUUUAUGAUAAAUACAAACUGCCUUCAUAUUCAAUCAGGUAAUGACUUCUCUUUUCUUCCAUAUGAUGACCAUAUUAUGUGAGUAAAUUUCAAGGUUGGUUAGUAAUUGCAUAUCUUUCAUAAGUCUCUCCAAAAAAGAGAAGAGUAUACAAUCUAAAGUGUUAGGGGUUUGGUAGAAUGUAGCAACAUCUUAAUUAGUAACAUCCCAUGAGGGUAACUAAAUAAAAAGAUUAAAAUUAGAUAGUACAUGAAAAACAAGGUCCAAUUUGGUGGGACCAGGUUCUUUAAUUGAUUGCUUUACAAUUAUUCUCCCUUUCUCUUGUUUUGGGGUUAAUAUCUUUUUACUCACCAGAACUUGGCUUGUUUCUGUCAAUUCCUCAUAAUGGCAUAGGAGGUAUGUGCCAGAGAACGGUAGAGUUGCUAGGUGCUUAUCCACAUAAAUUUCUUUGAAUUGAUUUUGUAAAUAAGAUUAACCAUCCAAGGUUGAUGAAAAGUGAGUUUGUGGAUGUUGUUUCUUUGUUGAAGUUGUUCAACAGUCUAUAAGCUCAGUGAGAAAAGAGAGUGAGAUCUAAUCAAGUAUAAUCUCUAGGAAAAUUUUAUAAAUCUUGUCAGUUAUUAACUCUUCUACAUAAUAUCUUAUCAUAGUGUAAAAAACUGCACGUGUUGUAAGGAUCGAAAACAAUCUAAGAGGGGGUGAAUUAGAUUGAUUAGGAAACUAAUCAAGUUAUGAGCAUUUUUGGCUCAAUAUGAAAUUUACCCUCUUUUCUAAGUGAUCACACAAUGAAUCAAUCAAUGAAUGAAUAAAAUCACUUGAGAGAAGUAAAAAAUAUAAGCAAUUUAAAGAUCACAAGAUAACAAUAAGUAAAUAAGAAGGGAAGAAUUGCAAACCAAUUGACUACCAAGUUUCUUUUGAGCUUGUAGAUCAAUUCAAACAAAUUUCUUCAAAUUGAUGAAAUACAACCAAUCUUAUGUACAAAGGAAGACUCACUUCCUCCUUGCCCCAAGAUACACUCGGUCAAGUUAGGAAGUUUUACUAUCCCUUAGGACAACUCUCACAGAACUACACUAUUGAAGUAUUCACUCACAAAUGAAAAACUUACAAAGAACUUCAUACCACCAAGACUACAAAUCUUCUUUGGAGAGUGUUUUCUCACUAAAACUACUCUAUAUCUUUUGUAUCUUCAGUGUGCAAAAGUUGUUUGAAGUUUCUGACAAUCCUCUAUUUAUAUGAGACCAAAAAAGUGUUUCAUUAAUGUUUCCAACGGAUAGAAGGUAGUUGAAGAGUCAACUAGCCGUUAGGAGUAUCGGACGUCCGGUACAACUGAUGCUUGCGUCCGACAGCAGAUAGUGAGUUUGAGAAAUCAUCUUAAUUCUUUCGGACGUCCGGUGAUGGAGUUUUUCAUGCCUCCGAAGUGUUGCAUUAUUUAUCGGACGUCCGAUGUUGUCUUCAUGAGCGUCCGACAGUUUUCAACUUACUUUAUCUCUUGCAAAUGCUCUUGUUCUUUGAAUCAGAUUUGUUUCAUAGCUGAAAAUAUUUCUUGAAGAGAUAUUAAUAUCAUUCAAUUGUUUUAUAAACAUCAAAAGUUAGGGACCAUGGUCAACACGUGUGCAUGAUGCACACUAUAUCCAUGAGAUAAUUAAGUUGCUGAAAUAAAUUCUUUGAGAACAAUUUUGCAUUUGAUACCUUCACGAGUUAUAUUUAAUUGUACUGUACUAGAAAUAAUGAAAAGAUGCAAAAAUAAAUUUUGGACAAUUUAAUGGCUUAUGCAACAAAAAGGGCAAAUAUAAUUCAUGUGAUACAAGUAAAAGCUCAACUAUUACUUUGCCACGCCCAUUAAUAGCAUGGCCCUCCUUGAUCAAUUCUUCGUACAAAACUUGUUUGCCAUUGAUUUUGAACUUUCAAAUUGGUCUGCUAGUUGACCCAUUAGCUAUUGCAUGUCUUUUUUAAGUUCCUCCAAGAAAAACAUGAAUAUUGUGCAAUUUGGAGAGUUAGGGGUUUGUUAGAAUGUGGGUUUGUCUUAAUUAGUAACAUCGCAUUGGGUAACCAAAUAAAAAAGAUUGAAAUUUGGUUAUACAUGAAAAACAAGGUCCAAUUUUGAGCGUUAAAGUUUUUAAAUAACGCAUGCAUUUACAUUGGGUCAAACAUUCUAACCUAUCUUUGGAUUUACUAUCUACAUAUUUAAAAGUUCCAAAUUAAAAGAAUUAAUUAUUUCGUAAUGCCGAAUAACAGUGGAGUUGCCAAGCACUUAUUCAUGUGAAUCUCCUUGAAUUAGUUCAGUGAAUAAGAGUUGGCUUCCAAAUAUUGACGAAGAAAGGGUUUAGGAUAUUAUUGCCUUGUUGUAGUUGUUCAACAAUCUAUAAUUUCAGUAAGAAAGUGUGUGAGAUCCAAUCAAAAUACAAUUUCAAGAAAAAUUUACUAAAUCUUAUCAAUUAUUAUCUAUCUUACAUAAUAUCAUAUUAUAGUCGAAAAAAUUACAUGUACGAAUGAUGCACGCUGUAGCUAUGCGAUAAUUAAAUUGUUGAAAUAAAUUUUUUGAGAAUAAUUAUGUAUUUGAUACCUCCACAGGAUAUAUUUAAUCAUGCCAUAAUGGAAAUAACAGAAAAAAUGAAAAGAUACAGAAACAAAUUCUUGGACAACUAGAUGGCCUAUGUAACAAAAAAGGUAAAAAAUAAAAAAUAACUCAUUCUACAAUUUCAAUUGCUUUGCCACGCCCACUUAUAACCUGGUUUUCCCUUUCGCACAAAAUCUGUUUACCAUUGAUUUUGAACUUUCAAAUUGCUUCUCUACUUAACCCACAGUAAGACAUUAAGGUAUCAUUUUAUUUUUGGUAGACAAUAUUUUUCACGAUAAAUACAAACUGCCCCUUAUAUUCAAUCAAAUAAUCACUCUUACUUUCUCCUAUAUGAUAACCAUGUUCUAUGAAUAAAUUCUAAGGUUGGUCAGCAAUUGCAAGCCUUUCCUAAAUCUCUCCGAAAAAGCAAAAAAGAGGAGUACAUAAUAUGGAGUGUUAAAGGUUUGUUAGAAUGUAGUAACAUCUUAAUUAGUAGCAUCCCAUAAGAGUAACUAAAUAAAAAGAUUAAAAUUUGGUUGUACAUGAAAAACUAGGUCUAAUUUUGAAAAAUUUUGGCCAAUUGCAACUUGCCAUCUUUUGAUGCAUAUGGUUCUACACCCUAACCAAGAUUUAUUUUUUAUUUUCAACUUGUGUUUAAUACAUAGUAGUAGUAUUUUCUUGAAUAAUGGUCAUAUAGUUUGAUUAAGAGUUGAAUUUGGGCAAAUCGUUUAACCAAACAAUAAGAGAAUGUCCAUAGUAGAAGAUCUUCUAUGGGUGGAAUACACUUGAUAUUUGCUUGUUAAUCCUUUGGCAACUAUAAUUGUUUGGAUGACUUUCUUAUCUUCUAUAGAACUAUGCACAUGUCUUUUUGUAAAGAAUGCCAACUGAGUAGAGCAAAAUACAAAGUAGAAAGUAAUAUGAAAGAAUUUCCAUUCAAGUGCUUCGGAUCAUUAAAACUUCAAGUUUUCAAAGAUGGCAUGUAUUUACAUUAGGUCAAAUAUUCUAAUUUAUCUUUGGAUUUACUAUCUAUACAUAUUUAAAAGUUUCAAAUUGAAAAAUUAAUUACUUUGUAAUGCAACAUAACAGUGGAGUUGCUAGGCACUUACCCAUGUAAAUCUUCUUGAAUUAGUUUUGUAAAUAAAAUUUACGUUCCAAAUGUUGAUGAAAAAAGGAUUGAGGAUGCCAUUGCCUUGUUGUAGUUGUUCAUCAAUCUAUAAACUCAGUAAGAAAAGUGAGUGAGAUCUAAUCAGAAUAUAAUCUCUAGAAUAAUUUCCUAAAACUUGUCAAUUGGUAUCCAUUGUACAUAAUAUCAUAUUAUCAUCGAAAAAAUUGCUUGUACGCAUGAUGCACGCUAUAUCUAUGAGAUGAAGUUAUUGAUAUAAAUUCUUUGAGAACAAUUAUGUAUUUGAUACCUUUAUAAGUUACAUUUAAUCAUGUCAUAGUGGAAAUAAUGGAAAGAAAAAAGAGAAAAGGCACAGAGAAAUUCUUUGACAACUGGAUAGCCUAUGCAACAAAAAAGGUAAAAAAUUAAAAAUAACUCGUUUUACAAGUUCAACUACUUUGCCAACCCACUUAUAACAUGGUUCUCCUUUUGUACGAAACAUGUUUACCAUUGAUUUUGAAUCUUCAAAUUACUCCUCCACUUAACCCACAAUAAGACAUAAAGGAAUCAUUUUAUUUUUAAUAGACAACAACUUUAUCGAUAAAUAGGAACUAUCCCUCAUACUCAAUCAAGUAAUCACUCAAACUUUCUCCAAUACGAUGACCAUGUUGUGUGAGCAAAAUCUAAGGUUGGUUGUCUUUCCUAAGUCUGUCUGAAAGAAAGAAAAAAAAGGAGUACACAAUAUGGUGUGUUAAGGAUUUGUUAGAAUAUAGCGAUGUCUUAAUUCGUAAUAUCCCAUAAGGGUAACCAAAUAAAAAUAUUAAAAUUUGUUUGUACAUGAAAAAUAAGAUCUAAUUCUGAAAAAUUUUGAUAAAUUGCAACUUGGCAUAUAUUAAAAUAUAGGGUAACAAGGCUUGAUUUGAGGGGAUGAGCAUGUCAUCCGAUCAGAUAAUCAACCAGGUGUGCAUAUUUCUCGACCAGUUGGGUAGGGGUGGCCUACUUAGGGUGGAGUAUUUCCAAAGGGACACAGAUUGUGCUUGGGUGUAAGGUCAAGGAAAAAGUGGUACAACUUCGUGCCUUUUCUUGGGUGAAACCUCCAGGGCAAGCUGUGAAACUCAAUACUGAUGCAAGUAUCGUAAGCGGGCGUGCAAGUGAUGGAGGGGUGGUGCGUUCGGCUGAGGGUGACUUAGUGUUUGCAUUUUAUAAAGAGUUUGGAGAUCAAGACAUUCUCUCUGCAGAAGCAUUGGCAUUGUUGGAGGGCAUACGGUCUUGCCAGGAUAACAAUCUCCGGGGAUUCGUAGCGGAAGUGGAUUCCAGUACUUUAGUGAGCGUCAUGUCCUCCAAGUUGCCAUCUCGCUGGCCACUAUGCAACAUUAUUAGGCAUAUUCAAUUCUUGGUGGCAAAUUUAGGAGUGUCUUUGGUUCACACGUUCAGAGAAGCAAAUGUGGUUGCAGAUGCUUUGGCCUCCUUGAACCUACGAUCGGAUGUCCGGUUCUCAAGUGAUGCAGAUCUCCCUUCUAAAGUUCGGUCACUUUUGCAGUUAGAUAAGUUGUCCAUUACGUAUGGGAGAUUAUGUACGGUUUCAGGUUAGAUCAGGUCACAUGGUCUGUGUAAUUUCUCGUUUCUUGGCUAAUAAAGAUCGGAUUUUAAAAAAAAAUUAUAGGGUUCUAUACCCUGACCAAGAUUUAUUUUUUAUUUUAAACUUGUAUUUAUUGCACAGUAGGGUUUUCUGGAAUACUGGUCAUAUAGUUUGAUUAAGAGCUUUGUGACGACCCCACCUCCCCCUAGGGCGUACCCCAGGGUUUAGCGGACCGCCCGCCCAACUCUCGCCAGGACUCACUCACGCUUAACUCGAGAAAAGAUAUCACGAUCAUAGAAAAGAAAUGAAAUAAUAAUUUCAAACUUAACAUAUACAUUGAUGCUCAAAUCCAGUUACAAGACUUGUACACAGAACGUUAAAGUGUUUACAAUCCAAAUACAAUCUACCCUAGUUGGGUGCUAGCGCGAGUACAAUUGCAAAAUCCAAAAACUAGACUACGCUAGCCUAUACAAGUCUCACGCCUAACUCGUAUCCCCUGUAAGGAAAACAAAUGGUAUGGAAUGAGCUAAAAGCCCAGUGAGGUUUCAAAUAGCAAGUUGAUCAUUAAUUAAAAGUACAAGUAUCAAUGUGGCAAAACAGCGAGCAUAACAAGUUCAUAAAAGUGAGCGAUAACACUUCAAGUAGGAAAUCUCAAAAUAAGCGAGUGUAAAAUUCUUUUUCUAAAAGAAACAAUAGCACUAUGAAUAACAAUCAAAGUAUAAGGAUACAGAUGGCUCUCAGGAGCCAAAUUCCCGUUGCUUCACCAGAGUUUGAUCAAGUAUUAGUUGACACUCCAUCAACUUUCAAGUAAAGUAACCAAUCCAAUAGUAUUUCGCUUAACACCAAUUUGUCCUCCAUUCAACCCCCUCAUCGGGCCUGAACACCAACUAAACAUUGGUGGUAAUAUUCGAGCAUACCGAUUAGUCGAGGAGAUAGCACUCCACUCGACAACGCUAGAUACCCAUGGUUCAUUGUCUAAUUGACCAAACCCUUGUCGGCUCGACUCGACUAACUAGCCAGUGAGGUUUGGGUUCCCAAGUAGUCACUAUAGUCGAUGACCAAUCGACUUAGUCAAGAGAAAAGUACAGAGACGGGAAUGAGAGGUACCUCCCACUUGUAUCGAUUGUGGUACAUACGGCCACUCAGUACUUACAAGUCAAGUACAAGUACAGGGCAAUGCAAAUCAAGUCACUUGUACAAGUAUGAAUGAGAUAUCAAGUGUUUAGUUGAGUUAGGUCAAGUGCGAUAAAGUAUACACUUACCCGACCAAACCAAGCAAAUCUUAUCCGAUCACGUUGGUAAAGAAUUUAAUUAAGUAUCAAGUUCAAUCAUGUAUUUGGAAGCACUCACCAAAGAUUUAGUGCUUGUCAAAAAUCACGUUCAGGUGUAACUCCUUGGUUGGAGUCCAAAUCUGCGAUACAAUAUCAUUUAAAAGUUUGAAAUCAACUAGGGUUCGAAACAUAGGAGUUUCGCUUCAAGAAAAUCAAAUAAAUGAAACUCAUUUAGAUAAGAUUCAUGUUACGUAUCAAACUCUAGAAAAUUCAGGCUCACUCUUUUGGUGUUGCUAAAGGAGCAACUAAAAUUUUGGAAUUCGCAUUUGAGUCGCAAAGACGAGGAAAACGUAUUUCUAUUGAUUUUUCUAAGGGUACGAGUUUUGGCCGAAUUCUAGCUUAUAUAUCUCUACGAAAGAGAACUCGAAUAACGUAGAUAAUUCAAAUUCAAUUCAACCUCAAUUCUUUACUCAAAUCACAAGUACACACACCUAGUCCUCGAAUGAAAAUUUGGGUGACAUGUCCUUUGUAUUUAGCUAUUUUUCCAGCCAUUUAUGGCUUCUUUGGUUUUUCUCAAUUCAACCCCACAAUCACACACAAGUAAUAUUACUAACAUAGCCCUGCAAUUAGGCUCCACAAUCAUCCAAUUACAACACAAGUGUAAUAAUACAAUCGGAAAUCAGUUUUGAAGACAAAAAGCUAAACAGCAGAUUUGACAUCUUAUAGCAUUUUGGUCACAACUAGAGUUAUGUUUAUUGGAUUGGGGUAAACCUAAUACCAUUUCGAAUCUAAGACAAAGGGUUACAACUUUCAUGAAGACAACUUAAUCCAUUUCAUAGUUGAUCUAGGUUGAAUUUGCAAAUUACAGAACCAGAAGUUCAUGGUCAAUCUGGUUGUCAGUACUAAAUUCAAAUGGCAAUAACUCAAGCUCCACAAUUCCAUUUGAGGCAUUUUUAGAUGCGUUGGAAAUCUGAAACAUAGGGCUAAAAGUUUUGUGUUUUGGCCAAAGGCUGAUUUGAUACGGAUCAAGGUGAAAAACGAAGCCAAACUUGUGAAAUCUCAAAACUGUCCACGAAAUGAGGCUUUUGGCAGUAAGGGUAUUUCAGUCAUUUCACAUGAUACAGUACUCUGAUCGAGCUGAAAUUUUACAGGAAGCUAUAUAAUAUCAUUUCCUACAACUUUCGUGUUUUAACAUAAGUCUAAUUCGGCCUGUAACAUAGACGAAUGAUGCUAGUCAGAACAUGGCAGUUUCAAUCCUUAAAACUGGAAUUUGAUGAAACCAAAGUAGAAAAUGCUCAUUCAUGUCUUACACCACUAUCCCAACUCCCUAUCCAUGAUUAUAUACAUCAUAUGCUCUCUAAACAACAAGAAAUACAACUGAACAACUCAAACCCUAACUCAAAAUCCACCAUAUCCAUCAAAACUACCAAAAGAACUAUCAUUUGCCAUAAGUAUGAGUUGUUAUACACACGUAAGCAAGAGUAAGGAAGUGAUAAAGGAAGAUGGCCAUAAUACCUCUCUAAGAUGCUUGCAAGAGAAAUCCUUCACCUUUCCUUUCAAAAACUUUAGAACACCAAGCUUCCUAAGCUCCCAAUUUAGAGUUUAAUCGGUUUAGAUUUUUGGUUUUCACUCACCUAAGCUAGAAAUCAAGAUGGAAUGAAAUGGUUUUCACUCUUUUCUUUUUCCUCUCAUAAGUCACGACCAAGAUGAAAGAAAAUGAAGAAAAAUGAGCCAAGAAGAAAAAUAAGAAGAAAGGAAAAUGUUUUGGUCAAGACCUUGGUUGGAUUUUUGACAAAUGGCUUAAUUACAAAUAUUUCCACCAAAAUAUCUCUCUUUUCCUUAGUCAAUAAUGGUGGCUGACUUAAGGGUUAAUUAAGAGCUAAUUAGCUCAACUAAAACAAGGAGAUUAAGGUAAUAAAGUGGUGUAUUCCAUCGGUAGCGAACGGUACCCGUCGGUUCAAACCGAUUUUCCUUAAAUCGUGUGUACUAGGGUUUUAUCUUAUGUUUCACUAACUUAUUAUUCUCGCUUCUAAUCACACACUUUCUCUUAUCUAAAACUUACUCUUAAUCACCAAAUUGAGUACACACUCCACACUGAUUAAUCACACUACCAAAAGACAAAAAAAACCCUAGUUUACCUUAACGAUGAAAGUAAAGGGAAAAUCCUUGGUUCUAUGAUUAAUUGUAACUAUUGAUGAAGUGAAUGAGUAGUAAAGCUAUUGUAAAAUAAUGGAUUCCAAAUAAAAGGAAAUUUUUAAGAAAAUAUGAGGAAUUUUACAAGUUCUCACAAUCACACUACCAAAAUGCACACAAAAACACACACCAAAACCCUAGUAUGCACAAAACCCUAACUCAUGCCCUUCCUUCAGAAAAAUCAUAACUUGAGUUAUAAUUAUGAAAAAUUUAUAAAACUUGGCUCGUUAAAAACUAGACUUCAAAUACUAAGAAUCUUUAGAAGACACCUCAAAGAAAUUUAGUUCAUAAGUUGGUCCAAAUUGAGCCAUAAGCUACUACAACAUUCCUAUGUUUACUUGUGCAGGGUAGAAUUUUCAGUCAACUUUGCCAAUUUCCAAGAAUUUAUAGACAUUGAAUCAAACUCUAAAUUUUACAUCGUAGGAAGCUCUCUGAGUCUAGUUUCAAACGCAACAAACGGAACUCAAUUCUGACUUUCGUAUACGAAGUUAUAGCCAAUUUUCCAAAGCUGCGCAGUGCCUUCUGCUAAAAUUUCUAGAUUUUCUAACAACUUGAGAUAAUGAAACUUUUCUUAACAAAAUUCACUCCCUUGGCUUAAAUUCAGCCAUUACAACAACCAAGAAUCUAAGGCAAGUAAGUUCAAAUAAGAGCUAUAAAGACAAGUAAAAUUUCGGAGUCUCACAAGCUUAGUUUGGACAAAACACUUAACCAACCAAUAAGAGAAUGUCCAUGGUAGAAGAUCUUCUAUAGGUGGCAUUCCCUUGAAAUUCACAUGUUAAUCCAUUGCCAACAAUGCUUUCUUGGAUGAUUUUUUUAUCAUCUCUAGAAUUAUGUACAUAUUUUUUUUGUAAGGAAUGCUAACCGAGUAGAAAGAAGUACAAAGUAAGAAAUAACAUGAAAGAAUUUCCAUUCGAGCGCAUCUCAUCAUUAAAAUUUGACGUUUUUAAAUAAGGCCUGUAUUUACAUUGGGGCAAACAUUCUAACCAAUCUUUGGAUUUACUAUCUAUAAAUAUUUAAAAGUUUUAAAUUAAAUGAAUUAAUUACUUUGUAAUGCCGAAUAACUAUGGAGUCAUCGGGCACUUAUCUUUGUAAAUCUCCUUGAUUAGUUUUGUAAAUAAAAUUUAUGGUCAAAAUAUUGAUGAAAAAAUAGUUGAGAUGUCAUUGCCUUAUUGUAGCUGUAAAACAAUCUACAAGCUCAGUAAGAAAAGAGAGUGAAAUCUAAUCAAAAUAUAUUCUCUAGAAAAAUUUUCUAAAACUUAUCAAUUAUUAUCCAUCCUAUGUAAUAUCAUGUUAUCAUGGAAAAAAUUUCAUGUACGGAUGUUGCACGCUGUAUAUGUGGGAUGAUGAAGUUGUUGAAAUAAAUUCUUUGAGAACAAUUAUAUAUUUGAUACCUUCACAGGUUAUAUUUAAUCGUGCAAUAAUGAAAAUAAUGGAAAGAAAAAAAUGAAAAGGCACAGAGACAAAUUCUUGGACAACUGGAUGUCUUAUACAACAAAAAAGGUAAAAAAUUAAAAAUAACUCAUUCUACAAUUUCAACUACUUUGCCACGCCCACUUAUAAUAUGGUUCUCCUUUUUGCACAAAACAUGUUUUCCAUUGAUUUUGAACUUUCAAUUUGCAUCUCUACUUAGCCCACAAUAAGACAUUAAGAAAUCAUUUUAUUUUUUGUAGACAACAUCGUUAAUGAUAAAUACAAAUUGAAAGAAUUCCUAUUCAAGUGCCUUUCUUCAUUAAAACUUAAAGUUUUUAAAUAAAGCAUGUAUUUACAUUGGGACAAACAUUCUAACCUAUCUUUGGAUUUAUUGUCUGUACAUAUUUAAAAGUUUCAAAUUGAAAGAAUUAAUUAUUUUGUAAUACCGAAUAACAGUGGAGUUGUCAGGCAUUUAUUCAUGUGAAUCUCCUUGAAUUAGAUCAGUGAAUAAGACUUGCCUUCCAAAUAUUGAUGAAAAAAGGGUUGAGGAUAUUAUUGCCUUGUUAUAGUUGUUUAACAAUCUAUAAUUUCAGUAAGAAAAGUGGGUGGAAUCUAAUCAAAAUAUAAUUUCUAGAAAAAUUUUUCAAAUCUUAUUAAUUAUUAUCUGUCCUACAUAAUAUCAUAUUAUCGUUGAAAAAAUUACACAUACGAAUGAUGCAUCUAUAUCUAUGAGAUAGUUAAGUUACUGAAAUAAAUUUUUUGAGAACAAUUAUGUAUUUGAUACCUUCACAGGAUAUAUUUAGUCGUGCCAUAAUGGAAAUAACGGAAAGAAAAAAAUGGAAAGAUUCAGAAACAAAUUCUUGGAAAACUUGAUGACCUAUGCAACAAAAAAGGUAACAAAUUAAAAAUAACUCAUUCUACAAGUGCAAUUACUUUGCCAUGCCUACUUAUGACAUGGAUUUCCUUUUUGCACGAAAUAUGUUUACCAUUGAUUUUGAACUUUCAAAUUGCUUCUCUACUUAACCCAUGAUAAGACAUUAAGGCAUCAUUUUAUUUUUGGUAGGCAACAUCUUUAAAGAUAACUACAAACUGCCCCUCAUAUUCAAUCAAGUAAUCACCCAUACUUUCUCCUAUAUGAUGGCCAUGUUCUGUGAGUGAAUUCUAAGAUUGGUCAGCAAUUGCAUUUCUUUCCUAAAUCUCUUCGAAAAAAAGCAAAAAAGAGGAGUACAUAAUAUGGAGUGUUAAGGGUUUGUUAGAAUAUAGCAACAUCUUAAUUAGUAGCAUCCCAUGAGGGUAACCAAAUAAAAAGAUUAAAAUUUGGUUGUACACGAAAAACUAGGUCUAGUUCUAAAAAAUUUUGGCAAAUUGCAACUUGCCAUAUUUUAAUGCAUAUGGUUCUACAUCCUAACCAAGAUUUAUUUUUUAUUUUUAACUUGUGUUUAAUACAAGUAGUAUUUUCCUGAAUAAUGGACAUAUGGUUUGUUUAAGAAUUGAAUUUGGACAAAGCAUUUAACUAAAGAAUAAGAGAAUGUCCAUAGUUGAAGAUCUUCUAUAGGUGGAAUUCCCUUGACAUUCGCAUAUUAAUUCUUUGGCAACUAUACUUUCUUGGAUGAUUUUCUUAUCUUCUAUUGAACCAUGCACAUGUCUUUUUGUAAAGAAUGCCAAAUGAGUAGAAUAAAAAACAAAGUAAGAAAUAAUAUGAAAGAAUUUCCAUUCGAGUGCAUAUGAUCAUUAAAACUUAAAGUUUUUAAAUAAGACAUGUAUUUACAUUUGGUCAAAUAUGCUAACCUAUCUUUGGAUUUACUAUCUAUACAUAUUUAAAAGUUUUAAAUUGAAAAAAUUAAUUACUUUGUAAUGCCGAAUAACAAAGGAGUUGCCAGGCACUUAUGCAUGCAAAUCUACUUGAAUUAGUUUUGUAAACAAAAUUUAUGUUCCAAAUGUUGAUGAAAAAGGGUUGAGGAUGUCAUUGCCUUGUUGUAAUUGUUCAACAAUCUAUAAACUCGGUAAGAAAAGAGAGUGAGAUCUAAUCAAAAUAUAAUCUCUAGAAUAAUUUCCUAAAACUUACUAAUUGGUAUCCGUCGUACAUAAUAUCAUAUUAUCGUCGAAAAAAUUGCUUGUACGUAUGAUGCACGCUGUAUCUAUGAGAUAAUAAAGUUGUUGAAAUAAGUUCUUUGAAAACAAUUAUAUAUUUGAUACCUUCACAAAUUAUAUUUAAUCAUGUCAUAUAGUUUGAUUAAGAGUUUAAUUUGGACAAAGCACUUAACCAACUAAUAAGAGAAUGUCCAUGGUAGAUAAACUUCUAUUGGUGGAAUUCCCUUGAGAUUUCCAUGUUAAUCCAUUGCCAAUUAUACUUUCUUAGAUGAUUUUCUUAUCUUCUCUAAAACUAUGCACAUGUCUUCUUCUAAGGAAUGCUAACUGAGUAGAACAAAGCAAAAAGUAAGAAAUAACAUGAAAGAAUUUGCAUUCGAGUGAUGAGGUUUCUAUUCGAGUGCAUCUCAUUAUUAAACCUUAAAAGUUUUUAAAUGAGGCAUGUAUUUACAUUGGGUCAAAUAUUCUAACCUAUCUUUAGAUUUACUAACUAUACAUAUUUAAGAGUUUCAAAUAGAAAGAAUUAAUUACUUUGUAAUGCUGAAUAACAGUGGAGUUGCGAGGCACUUAUCCAUGUUAAUCUGCUUGAAUUAGUUUUGUAAAUAAAAUUUAGGUUCCAAAUGUUGAUGAAAAAAGGGUUGAGGAUGUCAUUGCCUUGUUGUAGUUGUUCAACAAUCUAUAAACUCGGUAAGAAAAAGAGAUAAUCAAAAUAUAAUCUCUAGAAAAAUUUCCUAAAAUUUAUCAAUUGGUAUCUGUUGUACAUAAUGACAUAUUGUCGUAGAAAAAAUUGAUUGUACGCAUGAUGCACGCUGUAUCUAUGAGAUAAUAAAGUUGUUGAAAUAAAUUCUUUGAAAACAAUUAUAUAUUUGAUACCUUCACAAGUUAUUUUUAAUCAUGUCAUAGUGGAAAUAAUAGAAAGAAAAAAGAGAAAAGGUACAGAGACAAAUCCUCAGACAAUUGGAUGGCCUAUGCAAGAAAAAAAAUAAAAAAUAAAAAAUAACUCAUUCCACAAGUUCAACUACUUUGCCACGCCCACUUAUAUCAUGGUUCUCCCUUUUGCACGAAACAUGUUUACCAUUGAUUUUAAACUUUCAAAUUACUCCUCUACUUAACCCACAAUGAGAUACGAAGGAAUCAUUUUAUUUUUGAUAGACAACAUCUUUCCCUAUAAAUACAAACUGCCUCUCAUACUCAUUCAUGUAAUCACAACUUUCUCCAAUACGAUGACCAUGUUGUGUGAGUAAAUUUUAAGGUUGGUUAGCAAUUGCAUGUCUUUCAUAAGUUUGUUUGAAAAAAGAAAAAAAAAAGGAGUACACAAUAUGGAGUGUUAAGGGUUUGUUAGAAUGUAGUGACGUCUUAAUUAGUAACAUCCUAUAAGGGUAACUAAAUAAAAAUAUUAAAAUUUGGUUGUAUAUGAAAAACAAGAUCUAACCCUGAAAAAUUUUGGCAAUUUGCAACUCGCCAUGUAUUAAAGUAUAGGGUUCUAUACCCAAACCAAGAUUUAUUUUUUAUUUCCAACUUGUAUUUAUUGCAAAGUAGGGUUUUCUGGAAUAAUGGUCAUAUAGUUUGAUUAAGAGUUUAAUUUGGACAAAACACUUAACCAACCAAUAAGAGAAUCUCCAUGGAAGAAUAUCUUCUAUAGGUUGAAUUCCCUUGAGAUUUGCAUGUUAAUCCUUUGCCAACAAUGCUUUGUUGGAUGAUUUUUUUAUCAUCUCUAGAACUAUGCACAUCUUUUUGUAAGGAAAGCUAACUAAGUAGAACGAAGUGCAAAGUAAGAAAUAACAUGGAAGAAUUUCCAUUCGAGUGCGUCUCAUCAUUAAAACUUGAAGUUUUUAAAUAAGGCAUGUAUUUACAUUGGGAAGCAUUCUAACUAAUCUUUGAAUUUAGUAUCUAUAAAUAUUUAAAAGUUUUAAAUUAAACAAAUUAAUUACUUUGUAAUGUCGAAUAACGGUGGAGUCGCCAAGCACUUAUCCAUGUAAAUCUCCAUGAAUGAGUUUUGUAAAUAAAAUUUACGUUUCGAAUAUUGAUGAAAAAGGGUUGAGGAUGUCAUUGCCUUAUUGUAGCUAUUAAACAAUCUAUAAACUUAGUAAGAAAAGUGAGUGAGAUCUAAUCAAAACAUAAUCUCUAGAAAAAUUUCCUAAAACUUAUCAAUUAUUAUCCGUCCUGUGUAAUACCAUAUUAUCAUGGAAAAAAUUUCAUGUACGCACGAUGCACGCUGUAUAUGUGAGAUGAUUCAGUUGUUGAAAUAAAUUCUUUGAGAACAACUAUGUAUUUGAUACCUUCACAGGUUAUAUUUAAUCGUGCAAUAAUGAAAAUAAUGGAAAAAAAGAAAAGGCACAGAGACAAAUUCUUGGACAACUGGAUGGCUUAUGCAACAAAAAGAUAAAAAAUUAAAAAUAACUCAUUCUACUAUUUCAACUACUUUGUUACGCCCACUUAUAACAUGGUUCUCCCUUUUGCACAAAACAUGUUUUCUAUUGAUUUUGAACUUUCAAUUUGCAUCACAACUUAGCCCACAAUAAGACAUUAAGGAAUUAUUUUAUUUUUGGUAGACAACAUCGUUAACGAUAAAUGCAAAUUGAAAGAAUUCCCAUUCAAGUGCAUCUCUUCAUUAAAACUUAAAAUUUUUAAAUAAAUCAUUUAUUUACAUUGGCUCAAACAUACUAACCAAUCUUUUGAUUUACUAUCUAUAUAUAUUUAAAAGUUUCAAAUUGAAAGAAUUAAUUAUUUUGUAAUACCGAAUAAUAGUGGAGUUGCCAGACAUGUGAAUCUCCUGUGAAUAAGAUUUCCCUUCCAAAUAUUGAUGAAAAAAGGGUUGAGGAUAUUAUUGCCUUGUUGUUGUUGUUGUUCAACAAUCGAUAAUUUCAGUAAGAAAAGAGAGUGAGAUCUAAUCAAAAUAUAUUUUCUAGAAAAAUUUCAUAAAUCUUAUCAAUUAUUAUCUGUCCUACAUAAUAUCAUAUUAUUGUCGAAAAAAUUACGUGUACGAAUGAUGCACGCUGUAUCUAUGAAAUAAUUAAGUUGUUGAAAUAAAUUUUUUAGGAACAAUUAUGUAUUUGAUACCUUCACAGGAUAUAUUUAAUCAUGCCAUAAUGGAAAUAAUGGAUAGAAAAAACCGAAAAGAUACAGAAACAAAUUCUAGGACAACUAGAUGGCCUAUGUAAUAAAAAAGAUAAAUAAAUAAAAAAUAACUCAUUCUACAAGUUCAAUUGCCUUGCCACGCCCACUCAUAAUGUGGUUUUCCCUAUUGCACAAAAUAUGUUUACCAAUGAUUUUGAACUAUCAAAUUGCUCCUCUACUUAACCCAUAAUAAGACAUUAAGGUAUCAUUUUAUUUUUGGUAGACAACAUCUUUAACGAUAAAUACAAGCUGCCCCUCAUAUCCAAUCAAGUAAUCACUCCUACUUUCCCCUAUACGAUGACCAUGUUUUGUGAGUAAAUUCUUAGGUUGGUCAGCAAUUGCAUGUCUUUCCUAAAUCUCUUCGAAAAAAAAAGCAAAAAAGAGCAGUACAUCAUAUGGAGUGUUAAGGGUUUGCUAGAAUGUACCAACAUCUUAAUUAGUAGCAUCCCAUAAGGAUAACGAAAUAAAAAGAUUAAAAUUUGGUUGUACACGAAAAACUAGGUCUAGUUCUGAAAAAUUUUGGCAAAUUGCAACUUGCCAUGUUUUAAUGCAUAUGGUUCUACACCCAAACCAAGAUUUAUUUUUUAUUUUCAACUUGUAUUUAAUACACAGUAGUAUUUUCUUGAAUAAUGGGCAUAUGGUUUGAUUAAGAGUUGAAUUUGGGCAAAGCAUAUAACUAAAUAAUAAGAGAAUGUCCACGAUAGAAGAUCUUCUAUAAGUGGAAUUCCCUUGAUAUUCGCAUAUUAAUUCUUUAGCAACUAUAUUUUCUUGGAUGAUUUUCUUAUCUUCUAUUGAACUAUGCACAUGCCUUUUUGCAAAGAAUGCCAACUGAGUAGAAUGAAAUAAAAACUAAGAAAUAAUAUGAAAGAAUUUCCAUUCGAGUGCAUCUGAUCAUUAAAACUUAAAGUUUUUAAAUAUGGCAUGUAUUUACAUUAGGUCAAAUAUUCUAACCUAUCUUUGGAUUUACUAUCGAUACAUAUUUAAAAGUUUCAAAUUGAAAAAAUUAAUUACUUUGUAAUGCUGAAUAACAGUGGAGUUGCCAGGCACUUAUCCAUGUAAAUCUCCUUGAAUUAGUUUUGUAAAUAAAAUUUACGUUCAAAAUGUUGAUGAAAAAAGGGUUGAGGAUGUCAUUGUCUUGUUAUAGUUGUUCAACAAUCUAUAAACUCAGCAAAAAAAGGGAGUGCGAUCUAGUCAGAAUAUAAUCUCUAGAAUAAUUUCCUAAAACUUAUCAAUUGGCAUCCAUCAUACAUAAUAUCAUAUUAUCUUUGAAAAAUUUGCAUUUACGCAUGAUACACGCUGUAUCUAUGAGAUAAUUAAAUUGUUGAAAUAAAUUCAUUGAGAACAAUUAUGUAUUUGAUACCUUCACAGGUUAUAUUUAAUCAUGUCCUGGUGGAAAUAUUCGGAAAAAAAAGUAAAAUGGCACAGAGAGAAAUUCUUGGACAACUAGACGGCCUAUGCAAGAAAAAAGGUAAAAAAUUAAAAAGAACUCAUUCUACAAGUUCAACAACUUUGCCACUCCCACUUACAUGGUUCACCCUUUUGCACGAAACAUGUUUAGCAUUGAUUUUGAACUAUCAAAUUACGCCUCUACUAAACCCACAAUAAGACACGAAGGAAUCAUUUUAUUUUUAGUAGACAACAUCUUUAACGAUAAAUACAAACUGUCCCAUAUACUCAAUCAAGUUGUGACGACUUAAAAAUACGCUUAUAUUUUCUUAUAAUUCCCUCUUAUUUUGAAUAAGUUAAUUUAGAAUUCCUUUUACUACUAAUUUUCUUCCCUCGAUAGUUGUAAUAUAUAAUAGAAUUGAGAGUUUUAUUUUUAUUUUUAUAGUUAGAGCAAAUUAGAGUUUUUGCGCGUUUUGGUAGUGUGAUCACUUGGUGAGGUGUGUGUACUAAAUUUGGUGGAUAAGAAUAAGUAUUAAGUAAGAGGAAGUGUGUGAUUAGAUGUGAGAACCCGAGAAAAUUAUGUGCAUACCCUAAAAUUAUUUUAUUUUGUUUCCUUUGAUAUUAGGAAAUUAUAUAUAACGAAUAAACGGUUACCUUAAAUGCCUAAUUGAAUCCCUAUAAAUUGAGAAUUUAGAAAAUAAAUUCAAUAAGUACAUGUCUAGAAGUGUAGAAAAUUUUAUAAAUCAAAUAAAUAUAUGACGUGCAUAUCGUAAAUUGUGUUAAUUGCAAAUAUUACUAGACACGUAACAUACAUUAGAAAUUUAACAAGGUCAUGUCGAAUAAGUAUUUCUUCAAGGUAAAUAUGUCAAAUCGACUAGAUUAACGUAAGAAAAUUUUCCCCGAAAAUACGAAUGAAGUUAGGAGUCCAUGCAUGAAAUCAUAAAAUUUUAGGCCUGGGUGAGCAAAUAAACUACAACAAAAAGACUAAACUACCCUCAAGAUUUUAGCCUAACUACCAUGAAGCCAAGACAUAAACUAUCAAAGCUUAUAACAAAACCGAGAAAGGAAGGCUUCUGUGAUUGGAACCGAAUGGACGCUAGGCAAUUAUCUGCUAAAUCCAUGCGGUGGGAAGUUAGAAUGUAACUGAGCUUGGGCGGUGAAUUGAGACAGCUGUCAGGAAGGAAAUGUUACUAAGCCAGCUGAGUAAGCAAUAACCAAAUCGAGAGCAGCUUAAAAGAAACAAAAACUGGGCGGUGGCCGAAAGGAAAACAAUCUGAUCUCCUUAAUCAAUAAGGCCGAGAGAGUUGAGAAGAAAAGUUGUCUUCCUUUCUUGCUUUCUUCCUAAAGCAGACUCGAGUGAGUGAGACGGAGUGUGAGGGAAAAGAAAGUGUAAGCUUCACCAUCAGCUAACUAUACGAACGAAAACAGAAGGGAGGUCGAGUGAGGAGUUGUGAUAGCAAACUUGAGCAGUCUGCAUUAUCGAUUUUUUAAGAGAAAAGAGGUAAGAAUCUACCAUAACCUUCUGCUUAUUUGGCACAAAUGAGUAUAUAUACAAGCUGCAUGUUAGUUUUAGCAAGGCACAAUGAGUUUUAACCGAGGAGAAAUCUGAUAAAGGAGAAAAAAUGGGAACUGGACAGAAAUGGAGGGAACCGAGAGUUGUUGUUGAGUUCCAGCCCAUAAAUAAAGAAAAUUUUCUGUAAUAACCUCGUAGUUAUUCAGUACACUUGAAUAUUAAGGUUGCAUGUUGGAUUGUAGCUAAGAAAAACUAAGUUUGGUUGAAGGAAAUAGUUGGAAGUUUCUGCUAUGCUGGCCGAAGGAGGAAAGAUAGAAAUGUCCAGGUUUCUUUAUAUAUUUUGGUUCUAAACUCCUACGUUGAGGCUUAGUUCAUUGCAUAAUAUUUUAGUUUUGGCAUGCAUGUUAGAUUUCGGUAUGAAAUGAAGUAGUUAAUGGAGGAAUUUCUUGCUAAAAGGUUGAUUGCUGUCCGAAGCUUUCUAUCAAGGCCGAGAGAGGGAGAGAGUUAAACCUUUGAUAAGUUUUUCCUUCAAACUCCACUCUGUAAACUUUCACAUCUGAUAUCUAAAGUUACUCUGUAGUUUAAUACUUGUAUUUGGCAUGAUGAGCUGGAGUUAAAACUGAAGGAGUUAUGGUAAAAAUGUUGCAUAUUAAACUGCUGCACUGCUGGAAGCUUUAGUUGUCCAAUGUCUUAGCCGAUGUCAGAUUGUUGUGCGUGGCUUUUGGGUUGAAUAAUUUGUUGAAACUAGAUGCUAAUUGCUUUGGUUUAUGCUGGAUUGAAUGUACCUUAAGUAUUUAGAGCUUUAAGCAAGUGAAAGAAUAGAGUUUUUGCUUAAAGUUUGAAGUAACGUUACUGAAAUUUUUGUGGUUGCUGUCCGAGAGAAUGAAGCAGAAUGUGCUUCUGACCGUCCCUUUUUGGCCUUGAAAACGCGAGAACUGGAUGUCAAUAUCUUCAUAGGAAAUGUAGGUCUAGGUCUUAGCUUCGAAACGCUAUAAAAUUUGCCUCAAUCCGAUGAGUGUAGCUUCAGUUGUGAUCAAAAUAUCAGAGGAUGGCAAAGCUGCCUUUCUCGUUGCUUUUCUCUUGUUUCCCGAAUGUAACUUGCUUUGAUGCUGGCCUUGACGAAACCAUAUUUUGAGCAGCAAUUCUUCUAAUUUCCAACUUUGUAAGCUUACAUAAAUGAUAGUUACGGUUGCCCUAAGAUUUAAUGACUAUAUCUAGUUCUACGAGUAGAGUUAAACUAAGGCAAAUGAGAGGAAAACUUAUGAUAGUUAUGUACAUAAAUUAACUUUUAAUCAUAAUCUUGUCUCACGAAUAUUUUAAAUACUAUAAAAUUAGAGGGACUAGUGUAGUGGAAUAAAUUGGAAGAAUAUACAAACCAGAAUCUAGUUUAAUCUAAAAAGGAAGGAAUGAAAAGUUCACUAGCCUUAAUCUUUAAAUUUGGGUUGAAAAUAGUUUAACCUUAGUUUAAACACCUUACAAGACCUUAAAUUUGGAAUACCUGUAUACCUCCCUUGUUUGAGUUGAUAAAAUUGAUAAAUCUCGAAGAGAAAUGUAAGAAAGAAUUGCUGGAAUUUUACAUCUUGUUUAAUAAGCUAAGGAACUUGGUUUCUAGUGAUUUAAACCUUAAGUUGGUGAGAUUUUAACGCUUAAAACUUCCCUCCUUACACUUUAGAACCUUAGAACUUAUGUUUGUGGUUGUACACAAAAUUCCUAAUCUUAAAAGUGUGAAUCCAAUGGGAGUUUUAAGAGUACUAGAUUGCUUGGAUUAGUUGAACUAUGUUUAGAAAAUCCUAUAACUCUAAAUAAACUUAUUAGAAUACAAUUAAAGAAUACAUGAAUGAUUGUAGUUGUAUUUUACCUUAGGAAUUGAGAGUGAUCAAGGGUUUAACCCAGAAAGUGAAACUUAAUCGACCUUUAACGGUGAGUGUUUUCCAAAUUUAUGUGUUUAACUAUUUAUGUGUAUCUAAGUAAAAUUAUAUGACAAACGUGCUUAUUAUGAAUUAUUACUAAAUGAUUCCUUGUGAAGUGUAUCUCAAUUGUCCCUCGCCUUCUAAGUCGAGAGUGUACUUUAUCGUACUCGACUUAGUUGAGCUUGAAGGUCGAUAAUUGACUGAAUGUUACCGUAAGUGUGCAUGAAUGUAAGCUGUAUGUGUACCUCGCCGCAUUGGCUGAAUUGGGCUCCAAAACCCUCUGUUCAACGGACUAUUCGAACCAGCAAAGGGCUUGGUCUGGUAGGACGGUAGCUUUGGGUAAAUGUUUAGGUAUACUCGAGUAUUACCAUGAGGUUGGGUGAUUAUUGAACUGAUUAUUGAAUGUAGGGGAUUGUUUAUUGUUUUGGAGGACAUAAGGAGGUGACUCGGCAGAAUGUGCAAUGAUAUUGAAAUGAAUGUACAAUGACAGUGAAAUGAGUGUCUUUUGACACUGAAAUGAAUGCUCAAUGACAUUGAAGUGGCUCCAAUGCGAGCACCGUAUCCUUUUAAAAGUGAUUGUUUAGUGAAGUGUUUCCUCAAUUGCUUAAUGAAAGUGAUUGUACUGAUAUUUAAGUGUUUAUUAAAUGUUACUUGCUCGACAAACCUCGCUGAACUUUACCUUAGCCUUUUAGUUUUUUUUUCCUUACAGGAGUUGGAGAUUGAAGAGUGAUUAGAUUGAACUAGAAAGUUAUUUUUGGGAAGAUCCGUUACUCUGUGUAUAUAGUGUAGUCAUGGUUUCUUUUGUAUUUUGAGACGGUUGAAUCUUUUGUUUGAGUUGGUGUGAUAUUAAGAAUUUAGAACAUGUAUUUUGUUUCUUUUAUUAGACAAAUUUAUGUUUCAAACUGAUUGGAGUUGUACUUAAGAGUGAAUGUUCAGUUGUCCAAUGACAGUGUUAUCUCUGAAGUUAAUGUAAAUGAGUGAGCCUUGGCGAGAGCCAGACGGGCGGUCCGCUAUCUUCUAGGGUAUGCCUUAGAAGAGGGUGGGGCCGUCAGAUUAGAAGUGCUAAUAAUAAGUUAGUAAAUCAUAAGUUAAAAUACAAGUACAAGAGAGUUAAGGAAAAUAGACUUGAAGCGACGUGCACCGUUUGUUACCGAUUGAGUACACUACUUGACCACCACUUUCUUACCCUAAUCUCCUUGUUUUUAUUUCAUUUAAUUUCCCCUAAAUUACUCUUAAGUCAGCCACCAUUUUUGACUAAAGAAAGGUGAGAAAAGAAAAAAAAAAGAAAGAAAAGCAAGGGUACCAAGUGUUGGCAAUCCAAAGGAUUGGUUGACCAAGACCAUUUCUUCCUUCUUGGCCAAUUUUCCUUCAUUUUCCUCUUGUGUUGGCCGAAUUUUGAGAGAGAAAAAAAGAGAGAGAAACCUUCCAUUUUCACCUUGAUCUUGCUUUGUUUGAGUUGAAUCACAAAAACUAAACCGAUUAAACUUGCAUCAAGGGUGUUAGGAAGUUUGGUGUGGUGAAAGUUUUGGAAGAAAUAACUUGGUUCCUCACUUUCAAGAAGCUUUUGUAAGGUAUAAGUCUAAAACUUCCUUUAUUUUUCUUAAUCUUGCUAAAUAUGCUAUAGAAGCUUUGGAUCUUGGAAUAUUAUGGAUGAUUUUCAAGUUUUGGGUUGUUUAUCGAAAAUUUCAGUUAGGGUUUUAUAUAUUUUUUUUAGCUUUGAUUAUGUUGUUUAACUAGCAAAUGUUGGUAUUGAGCUUGGAUAUGAAAUUUGUGAGGUGAUUAAUGGCAUGAUUGUGACUUUUUAGCAUUAAAAGAUGAAUUUCUAGCUUUGAUGAAAAAAUUCCAGCUUUGGUAGUGGUUGAUUAUUUGCUAGAAAUGAGUUAUAUUUGGAUGUUUUUAGCCUAGAUAAAGAGCUAUCUUGAUAUAUUUAUUGGUGGUGUUUCAAUUGGGUUGAUUUGAGGAAAAACAUGAAGCCUUAAAUGGGUGAAAAAUUGGACAAAUACAAAGGGUAUGCUGCCCAAAUUUUCAUUUGAGAGAUAAGUGAGUGAACUUGGAACUUGAGCGGUGAUUUGUGGUUGAAUUGAACUUAGAUUGCCUAGGGUAUUCAAGUUUCCUUUAGUAGAGGUAUAUAAGCUGAAUUUUUGCCAAAACUCAUAUACUUUUAAAGGUGAAAGCAGCGACCACUUUAAAAACGAUUUCCUAGGUUUUUUAUCACCAAGUCGCGAACUUAUAAGUUUUAAAUGCUUCUUUAUCGAAAUCAAAAAAGCAGGUUUGAAUUUUCUACUACUUAAACGAGUUUUAUUUACUUGAUUUUCUCCAAGUGAAACCCCUAUAUUUUGAACCCUAAUUGAUUGCAAACUGUUAAAUGGUAUUUUAUCGUAGAUUUGGACUCUAGCCAGGGAGUUGAACUUGAGCGUGGUUUUGAAAAGCAAUAACUCAUUGGUGAGUGUUUUCCAAUGCAUGAUUGAACUUGAUCUUUGAAUGAAAUGAUUUGCUAAUGCGAUUGAAUAAUACUUGACUUGUUUGGAUGAGACGAUGGUGUACUUUAUCGCACUCGUCCUCCCCUUCUUGAAUGAUCUCAUACUUGCUUGAGCUUGAUUGACCUGUACUUGUAUUGGUGCUUGUACUUGACUUAUAAGUGUUGAGCGAUAGCAUGUACCACACUCAAUCUGAGUGGGAGAUGCCUCUCAUCCCGUCUCACUACUUUUAUUAUCACCCUGUUAGUUAGUCAGUCAAAUCAAGCCAGUAAGGGCUUGAUCGAGGAGACUGGCGAAUCAUGGGUAUUGUUUAUUGUAUAAUCCUUUGGAUAUGGUCCACUGGAUUCGGUAUACUCGAGCAUUAUCAUCACUCUUACUUUGGAGUUCGAGCCCGGUAAGGGGAUUGAUUGGUGGAUGGAAUUGGUGUAAAGUGGAGAUCUACGGUCAUGGUUUUACUUCUUUAAACAUUGACGGAGUGUCAACAAGUUUAGAUCAAGUAAGGCAACGGGAAUUUGGCUCUUGAGAGCCAUCUGUAUCCUUAUACUUGGAAAUAAUUGUUACUUGUAGUGUUAUUAUUUUUUUUUAUGAACUUUUACACUUGCUCAUUUUGAGAUUUCAAGUUUUACAUAUGAUCAACUUGCUACUUGGAUCUGCAUGAAGUUUUGGAACCUCACUGAGUUUUGACUCACUCUAUUAGUUUUUGUUUUCCUAACAGGGGGUUACGAGCAUAAGCGUGAAGUUGGAAAGGCUAGUUUUGUCUAGACUUUUAACUUUUGUAAUUCUACUAGCGCUAGUGUUCGAUUAGGGUUAGAAGUGCAACUAGAACUUGAAUCUUUUGUUAUAUUCGGAUAUGUAUGAAUCGUUGAGAUUGCAAUGAAUGUAAAUGUACUUUCUAAACUUAGGAACUAUAGUCUCCUUUACUUUUGAAGUUGCAACUUAUUUUUUUGACAUGAGUGAGUGAGUCCUGGCGAGAGUUGGACAAACGGUCUGCUAAACCUUGGGGUACGCCCUAGGGGGAGGUGGGGUUGUCACACAAGUAAUGACUCCUGCUUUCUCCAAUACGAUGACCAUGUUGUGUGAGUAAAUUCUAAAGUUGGUUAGCAAUUGCAUGUCUUUCCUAAGUCUAACUGAACAAAAGAAAAAAAAAGGAGUACACAAUACAGAGUGUUAAGGGUUUGUUAGAAUGUAGCGAUGUCUUAAUUAGUAACAUCCCAUAAGGGUAACCAAAUAAAAUAUUAAAAUUUGGUUGUACAUGAAAAACAAGAUCUAAUUCUAAAAAAUUUUGGCAAAUUGCAAGUCGCCAUGUAUUAAAGUAUAGGGUUCUAUACCCUAACUAAGAUUUAUUUUUUUUUUCAAUUUGUUUUUAUUGCACAGUAGGGUUUUCUGGAAUAAUGGUUAUAUAGUUUGAUUAAGAGUUUAAUUUGGACAAAGCAAUUAACAAACUAAUAAGAGAAUGUUCAUGGUGGAAGAUCUUCUAUAGGUGGAAUUUCCUUGAGAUUUGCAUGUUAAUCCUUUCCCGACUAUACUUUCUUGGAUAAUUUUUUUAUCAUCUCUAGAACUAUGCGCAUGCCUUUUUGUAAGGAAUGCUAACUGAGUAGAACAAAGUACAAAGUAAGAAAUAACGUGAAAGAAUUUCCAUUCGAGUACAUCUCAUCAUUAAAACUUAAAGUUUUUAAAUAAGGUAUGUAUUUACAUUGGGUCAAACAUUCUAACCAAUCUUUGGAUUCACUAUCUAUAAAUAUUUAAAAGUUUUAAAUUAAAUGAAUUAAUUACUUUGUAAUGCCGAAUAAUAGUGAAGUUGCCAUGCACUUAUCCAUGUAAAUCUCCUUGAAUUAGUUUUGUAAAUUGAUGAAAAAAGGGUUGAGGAUGUCAUUGCCUUGUUGUAGUUGUUCAACAAUCUAUAAGCUCUGUAUGAAAAGAGAGUGAGAUCUAAUUAAAAUAUAAUCUCUGCAAAAAUUUCCGAAAGCUUAUCAAUUAUUAUCCGUCCAACAUAAUAUCAUAUUAUCGUCGAAAAAAUUGCAUGUAUGCAUGAUGCCCGCUAUAUCUGUGAGACAAUUUAGUUGUUGAAAUAAAUUCUUUGAAAAUAAUUGUGUAUUUGAUACCUCCACAGGUUAUAUUUAAUCAUGCCAUUAUGGAAAUAAUGGAAAGAAAGGAAUGAAAAGAUACAUAAACAAAUUCUUAGACAAUUGGGUGGCUUGUGCAACAAAAAAAGUGAAAAAUUAAAAAUAACUCAUUCUACAAGUUCAAUUACUUUGUCACGCCGACUUCUAACAUGGUUCUCCUUUUGGCACAAAAUAUGUUUACCAUUGAUUUUGAACUUUCAAAUUGCUUGUGAGGACCCAAAAUUUUUCAUAUUUUAUAAUUAUUUUGGUUCAUUUUCUUUCAUGCAUUUUCGUACUUUACUUUAUUACCUUAUUUCCUAGAUAAUUUUAUAAGUGAAUAUAGUUUUUAAAUUAUUUUCUUAGUAUAAGUUAGUUCAUGUUAAGUUUAAAGUAUAUUAUGGAUGUGGGACCCGCUAAUGCGAUAACUGCGAUAUAUUUUUGACAAUUAGGUGAAUUUUCAUAAAGGGAUAUUGUUUUACAAGAUAUUAGGAGAUAAUUAGAGGUUAACUAGAUAGAUCAGCUUUGGAGGAUAAGAAGAUGAGAAUAAACCCUAGGAAGGCCAAGUAUCAUGAAACGCUUGGACGUUGGACUUUGACCAAAUUCUUCCUAACUUUACUAAAACUAAAAUUUGACCAAAAUCUUCUCAUUUCUUUGCCUUGCUUGGCCUGCCACGAAGAGGAAAAAGAGAGAAAGAAAGCUUCAACUUCAACCUCUAUUCUUUGCUUGAAUCUUGAGAUUUCACCGAUAAUCUUGCAAAAUACUCUAUCGAAGUUGUUCUCUAAGGAAACUUAAGGGUUUUUGUGGAGUGAUUUGGGAAAAUAAAGGUGUUGGUAACAUCUUUGCAUAAGGUUUAAGGUAUUUAUAGCAAGAAACUCUCUCUACUUCAAGUAAUUGUAAAUUAGUGGCCUAUAGUUGCAAUUUUGGUAGUUUUAUGCAAUACUUCAUGGUUGGAAGUAGUGAUAUGAAAAUUUUCAGUUUUAUAGUGAAUUUUCUGCCCAUAUAUGAAGCUUAAAGGUUGGGCAUGAUUUCCUAGCUUUGCCAUGUGAAAUAUCUAGUGUUUAUGUGCUAGUUUACUUUGCCUAAAGAAAUUUUCAGCUUGGGUGCAAAAAUUUCAGAUUAGGGUUUCCAAUUUUGGUUUGAUUGUGGUUGGUUUUUGGAGCUUUCAUUUGGCUUAAAUUGAAGGGUGUUGUGACCCUAAUUAAGUGCGUUUAAUAACUUUUGAUUUGUAUGUGCAAUUGUGAUUGAAUUGAGAUGUGAUUGGUGAUUAAUUGUAGGAUGAAAAAGUAAAGGAAUUUAAGGGGAAGUGCUGCCCAAUUUUUGGGACUACUUGAUUCCUUCAAGUUUGGGUUGAUUUGGUGAUAAACUUGCUUAAGAUGCUUGGUAUAUCUAUCAGCUUUACUUAGGUGUUGAAUUUUGAUUGAAAUGGAAGAAUUUGCAUUGGUAUUUUCCUCUAAGUUGUUAGCUAAAAUUUCCAUUUAUUGGUCAAGUGAUAGCGAAGUCUAUUACCUUGUUGUUUUCUAACCUUUUCAUGAUUGGUUUUGGCCAAAACCUGUUCCAAACAGUGGUUAAGUCUUUUGUGUUUGAAUUUGAGUGAAAACUAUAUAGAUUAGGGGGUGAAAACCUCAUGAUUUCACUUGUGUCAUGGCUGCGAAAAUUCUGGUUUAAAAGGCAAAAUUGCACCUUUUUACCUUCGAGCCUUAAAGUCUUUAGUUUGGAAGUCUUUAUGACCAACUGUUACUUACUUUCACUCCCAAGCCACAUUUUGCUUUGCAUUAGUAGUUCGUUGGAUAGGCAUACGAUUCGUAAUCGAAUCUCAAUUAUUUUUUUUGUUGUUCUAGGACGUGCCAGCGAUUAAAGCCAUACUUUGGGAGGAAAUUUUUAAAGUUGUUUGCUUGAUUGGUGAGUGUACCACUCCCUUGAUUUGUUGCUUAAUUGGUUUACUUGUACUUGAAAUUUGUGUCUUGAAUGACUGUGAACUCUGUUUAUUCUGAAUGAGAUGAGGGUGUACUUUAUCACACUCGUUCUCUUGCCUGUGUGACUGUUUACUGUAUAAAUUGAAAUAUGUUACUGUGCUUGAUCUGAUGUCGUUUGGAGGUGUAUCCAAUAACCUUCCUGUUAAACCUGAACUCAACCUCAUGGGGAGUUAAUUGAAUCGAGCCGACAAGGGUUUGGUCGAGAAAAAUUGACAAACCAUUAGGGACUAUUCCUGGGGAAUUUUUGGGUAUUGGAGACUCUGAAUUUCCGGUAUACUCGAGUAUUACCAUCCACUGUUACUGUUGAGGCGCUUGGUCCCAGUAAGGGGUAUGUUUGGUGGACGAAAUUCGGUGUAAAAUAGUGCUCUACUGGACUGAUUAUUUUACUCGAAAGUUGAUGGAGUGUCAACUACUACUUGAUCAAGUUCUGGUGAAACAAUGGGAAUUUGACUCCUGAGAGCCACAUGUAUCCUUUUAUUGAAUUACUGUGUUUAACUGAGCUAUUGUUCAUUUUGUAUUUGGUGGGUAUAUGUGACUGAUUAAAAGUGAAGUGCCAUGAUUCUUAACUGCAUGUAUUUUUGGUACCACAUUAAGCAUAAGCUCACCCCAUUCCCAUUAUCUUUGUUUUUCUUACAGAUGACAAACUUUGAAACCAUAAUUUUGGAAGAAAGGGUCGAGUCAGUGUAGACAUUCUUUUAUUUACGCUCCUCUAUAAUAGAAAACCCUAAUUGUAUUUUGAUCAAGUAUCAUAUUUUGAUUUGUAAAGUUUUCAAUGUAUGUAUAUAUAUAAGUGUUUAUUCAUGCGUUAUCCGUGUGUUUUUUUGAGAAUGUACGUUCUCUGGGUUGGCAUGAACUAUACUUGUAUUCCGUUGGAAAUCGGAUGAGCGCGGAGCUUGAACAACGAAAGAAAAAUUUCUGACAGGAAAAUCCUUCAGGGAAUCCGGCCGUAUAUCCAGCCAGUUCUUGGCCGGAUACUUGGCCGGAUUGGCAGGGGAGAAAGAAAAAAAUUGGUUUGGUUCAUUGCCUUGAAUCCGGCCUGAUAUUCGGCCAACUGUUGGCCGAAUCCUAACGUGGAGUUUGUUCUUUUCGCUUUUCGUUGAAGCGUUUAACCAACAUUCUAUUGUAUCAUUUAAUUUAACUAAUUCAGUUUCCGACAAUUCGUUUUCUCGAAGUUCGUUUGCUCGUCUUGUAGGGUUUACGUAUGUUUCGGGUUAGUAGUCUUGGCGAGAACUGGGCAGGCGGUCCGCCGAACCCUUUGGUUAGCCUUAGGGGGAGGUGGGGCUGUCACAGGUAGUAUCAGAGCCGCUUCGCGUGUGUAUGUGCGGAGUGAGUUUGGAUCAAGUGGUGUUAUGGUCCUGAUAUCGUGAAUGAAUUAUAGGGUUAAGUGCUCUUUUGAGCGUAAGUUAUAAAUUAUGAAGUGUUAUAGGUUUCAAACCUUUAUCAUGGUACUUGAGGUACAUAGAUAUGUAUAUCGGGUAGGAAUGUUAAACUUGGUUGAUUUGUACUUGGGAGCGUACGGCCUGAGUCGUAAAUUCUUCUAGUUUUGGAUUCUUGUACUUGAGUACUAAAUACUUUUCCGAAGGGAAUAUUUGUUAAUUCAGAAGGCAUAUAAUCUAGUGUAUUAUGAUGUGAAUUGAAGUCAUAAGUGAAUUUGAGAUAAGUUAUAAUGGCAAAGGUCAGAGCACGGCGAAUUCUUGUAUUGGAUUUGGCAUUUACUCGAUUGAGGAGAUUGGAACGAGGAAUGCUAUCUCGAAUUUGCCCAAUAAAAGUUUGGCUAGGGUUUUGACAGAUUGUGGUGAGAUUUGGACUUUAAUAGUUGCUGUGAAUGUUUAAAGUGUUAGCUUUGCAAACCUAUUUCAUUUUGGUAGUGUGGCUCACUAGUAAGUGUGUAUUAAAUUUAGUAGACAUGAACGGAUGUUAUAUACCAAGGAAUAUAUGCCUAGAAGUGUUAAGAGUGAGUUAGAGGAACAUCGCAUAGAUGAGUGAUUAGAAACUAAAAAAAAAAGGUUUGCCUACUUGUUUUCAAGGUGUUGGUAGAUAUAAUCAUUAGAAACUCCUUUUGUUCUUUAAUCUUGCGAUUAAGUUGUUGAAUAACUUGAUUUUGAUUAAUAUUAUGGAAAUUCUUGUGAUUUUAGAGUUGACGAUGAUAAAUGUCAGUUUGUGAUAAGUUUGAUAUAGGUUGUCCAAUCAUAUUGGAGGGUGGUUGAGCUUUGAUAUGCAUGUUUGCAACUUCAAUAAGUGAUUUUUUUACUUGAAUUUAGAACUUUCAGCUUUGAUGUCUUUCCGUUAAUCUCUAUUUGUGUGAAUAUUGAAGGGCUUUGAUAGAUGAGAAUACGGAUUGUAAUAUCCUAUGACUUGUGGCUUUGAUUGUGCUAGGAUUGCUGUGGUUUACACUUUGAUUUUCAAUGGGGAAACGGACCGAAAAUAGCGGGGUGCAACCGAAACUUUUGUAUCUAGGGUUAAGUUAACAAGAGGUGCCUUAUGUUGUGAACGAUUUGUCCAUAUACCGUGGAUAAGGUAAGAACUCGUAAGAGUAGUAACCACAUUUCAAACCUGCUUUUCAUCGAGAUUGAAGUUGUGUCACUUUCAUCUUUUGAUAUCUUCACUGACUUACUGAUUUUCUUAGCAUAGUGUUUUAGCCAUUGCAUUAGUAAGAUAUUCUCUCUAGAUAGCUUCUGGUAGUGAGCAGAAACUCUUGAGAAGUAGAAGGAAAUACUAUAGAAUCAAGUUUCUGAGCAAAGAAGAGAAUUUCGAGGAUGAAAUUCUUUUAAGGGGAAGAGAGUGUGAGGACCCGAAAUUUUUCAUAUUUUAUAAUUAUUUUAGUUCAUUUUCUUUCAUGCAUUUCCGUACUUUACUUUAUUACCUUAUUUUCUAGAUAUUUUUAUAAGUGAAUAUAGUUUUUAAAUUAUUUUCUUAGUAUAAAUUAAUUCAUGUUAAGUUUAAAGUGUAUUAUGGACGUGGGACCCGCUAGUGCGGUAAGUGCGAUAUAUUUUUGACGACUAGGUGAAUUUUUCAUAAGAGAUAUUAUUUUACAAGAUACUAGAAGAUAAUUAUAGGUUAGUUAGAUAGAUUAGUUUUGGAGGAUAAGAAGAUGAGAAUAAACCCUAGGAAGGCCAAGUGUCAUGAAACCCUUGAAAGUUGGACUUUGACCAAAUUCUUCCUAAAUUUACUAAAACUAAAAUUUGACCAAAAUCUUCUCAUUUCUUUGCCUUGCUUGGCCGGCCAUGGAGAGGAAAAAGAGAGAAAGAAAGCUUCAACUUCAACCUCUAUUCUUUGCUUGAAUCUUGAGAUUUCACCGAUAAUCUUGCAAAAUACUCCAUAGAAGUUGUUCUCUAAGUAAGUUUAAGGGUUUUUGUGGAGUGAUUUGGGAAAAUAAAGGUGUUGGUAACAUCUUUGCGUAAGGUUUAAGGUAUUUAUAGCAAGAAACUCUCUCUACUUCAAGUAAUUGUAAAUUAGUGGCUUAUAGUUGCAAUUUUGAUAAUUUUAUGCAAUAUUUCAUAGUUGGAAGUAGUGAUAUGGAAUUUUCAGUUUUAUAGUGAAUUUUCUGCCCAUAUAUGAAGCUUAAAGGUUCGCCAUGAUUUCCUAACUUUGCUAUGUGAAAUAUCUUGUGUUUAUGUGCUAGUUUACUUUGCCUAAAGAAAUUGUCAACUUGGGUGCAAAAAUUUCAGAUUAGAGUUUCCAAUUUUGGUUUGAUUGUCGUUGGUUUUUGGAGCUUUCAUUUGGCUUAAAUUGAAGGGUGUUGUGAUCCUAAUUAAGUGCGUUUAAUAGCUUUUGAUUUGUAUGUGCAAUUGUGACUAAAUUGAGAUGUAAUUGGUGAUUGAUUGUAGGAUGGAAAAGUAAAGGAAUUUAAGGGGAAGUGCUGCUCAAUUUUUGGGACUACUUGAUUCCUUCAAGUUUGGGUUGAUUUGGUGAUAAACUUGCUUAAGAUGCUUGGUAUAUCUAUAAGCUUUACUUAGGUGUUGAAUUUUGAUUGAAAUGGAAGAAUUUGCAUUGGUAUUUUCCUCCAAGUUGUUAGCUGAAAUUUCUGUUUAUUAGUCAAGUGACAGCGAAGUCUAUUACCUUGUUAUUUUCUAAUCUUUUCAUAAUUAGUUUUGACCAAAACUUGUUCCAAACAGUGGUUAAGUUUUUUGUAGUUGAAUUUGAGUGAAAACUAUAUAGAUUAGGGGAUGAAAACCUCAUGAUUUCACUUGUGUCAUGGCUGCGAAAAUUCUGAUUUGAAAUGCAAAAUUGCACCUUGUUACCUUCGAGCCUUAAAGUCUUUAGUUUGAAAGUCUUUAUGACCAACUAUUACUUACUUUCACUCCCAAGCCACAUUUUGCUUUGCAUUAGUAGUUCGUUGGAUAGGUAUACAACUCGUAAUCGAGUCUCAAUUAUUUUUUUUGGUUGUUCUAAAACGUGCUGGUGAUCAAAACCAUGCUUUGGGAGGAAAUUUUUGAAGGUGUUUGCUUGAUUAGUGAGUGUACUACUCCCUUGAUUUGUUGCUUAACUGGUUUACUUGUACUUGAAAUUUGUGACUUGAAUGACUGUGAACUCUGUUUAUUCUGAAUGAGACGAGAGUGUACUUUAUCACACUCGUUCUCUUGCCUGUGUGACUAUUUACUAUAUAAACUGGAAUCUGUUACUGUGCCUAAUCUGAUGUCGUUUAGAGGUGUAUCCAACGACCUUCCUAUUAAACUUGAGCUUAAUCUCAUGGGAAGUUAAUUGAAUCGAGUCAGCAAGGGCUUGGUCGAAAAAAAUUGACAAAUCAUUAGGGACUAUUCUUGGGGAAUUUUUGGGUAUUGGAGACUCUGAAUUUUCAGUAUACUCUAUGUAAGGCCCGAAGACAACCCAAAAGGGGGGGUAAAUUAGGUUGAUUAAGAAACUAAUCAAGUUAUGGACACUUUUUGCUCAAUAUGAAAUUUAUCCUCUUUUCUAAGAAGACCACACAAUGAAUCAAUCAAUGAAUGAACAAAAUCACUUGAGAGUUGUAUAUGAUAAAAGCAAUUUAAAGAUCACACGAUAACAAUAAGUAAAUAAGAAGGGAAGAAUUGCAAACCAAUUGACUACCAAACUCCUCUUGAGCUUGUAGAUCAAUUCAAAUAAAUUUUUUCAAAUUGAUGAAAUACAACCAAUCUUAUGUACAAAGGAAGGUUCACUUUCUCCUUGCCCCAAACUCUACUCGGUUAAAUUAGGAAGUUUUACUAUCUCUCAAGACAACCCUCACAGAGUUAUACUAUUGAAGUAUUCACUCACAAAUGAAAAACUUACAACAAACUUCACACUACCAAAAUUACAAAUCUUUCUUGAAGAGUAUUUUUUCACUGAAAUUACUCUAGAUCUUUUGUAUCUUUAGUGUGCAAAAGUUGUUUGAAAAUUCUGACCAUGCUCUAUUUAUAGGAGAUUAAGAAAGUGCUUCAUUAAUGAUUCUAAUGGAUAGAAAGUAACUGAAGAGUCAACUAGCCGUUGGAAGUAUCGGACAUCCGGUAGCCUGGUUUCUUGCGUUCGACAGCAGACAUUGAGUUUAAGAGAUUUACUUCGAUUUUAUCGAACGUCCUGUGCUUGCGUCCGAAAACAGACAAUGAGUUUGAAAAAAUAUCUCAAUUCUAUCGGAUGUCCGGUAUUGUCUUUGUGAGCAUCCGACAGCUUUAGUCAAGUUUGAAGGAUCCUAUCGGACGUCUAAUGCUUGCGUCCAAUCGAGGUCAGUGAGUUAUGGGGAAUGUCUUAUUUCCUUCGGACGUCCGGUGAUGGAGUUCUUCAUGCGUCUAAAGUUGCACAAUGAUUAUCGGAUGUCCGAUCCUGUCUUCACAAGCGUCCGAUAGCUUUCAGUAACCUUUGUUUCUUUCAAUAGGAUUUGAUUUUUGAAUCUGAUCUGCUUCAUAACUGAAAGUAUAUCUUAAAGAGAUAUUAGUAUCAACCAUUUGUUUUGUAAACAUCAAAAGUUAGGAACUAAGAUCAACACUCGAGUAUUACCACCCACUGUUAUCGUUGAGGUAUUCAGUCCCGGUAAGGGGUAUGUUUAGUGGACGAAAUUCGGUGUAAAGUGGUACUUUAUUGGAUUGAUUACUUUACUUGAAAGUUGGCAGAGUGUCAACUACUACUUGAUCAAGUUCUGGUGAAACAAUAGGAAUUUGGCUCCUGAGAGCCACCUGUAUCCUUUUAUUGAAUUUCUAUGUUUAACUGAGGUGUUGUUUAUUUUGUAUCUGGUAGGUAUAUGUGACUGAUUAAAACUGAAGUGAUAUGAUUCUUAACUGCGUGUAUUUUUGGUACCUCAUUGAGCGUAAACUCAUCCCCUUCGCGUUAUCUUUGUUUUCGUUAUAGGGGACAAACUUUGAAACUAUGAUUUUGGAAGAAAGGUUCGAGUUAGUGUAGACAUUCUUUUGUUUACACUCCUCUGUAAUAGAAAACCCUAAUUGUAUUUUGAUUAAAUAUCACAUUUUGAUUUGUAAAGUUUUCAAUGUAUGUAUAUAUAUAAGUGUUUAUUCAUGCCUUAUCCGUGUGUUUGUUUGAGAAAGUGCGUUCUCUGGGUUGGCGUGAACUGUACUUGUAUUCUGUUGGAAAUCGGACGAGCGCGGAGCUUGAACAACGAAAGAAAAAAUUCUGGCGGAAAAAUCCUUCAGGGAAUCCAGCUGUAUAUCCGGUCAGUUCUUGGUUGGAUACUUAGCCGGAUUGGCAAGGGAGAAAGAAAAAAUUGGUUUGGUUCACUGCCUUGAAUCCGGCUGGAUAUCCGGCCAACUUUUGGCCGGAUCUAACAUGGAGUUUGUUCUUUUCACUUUUCGUUGAAGCGUUUAACCAACAUUCUAUUGUAUCGUUUAAUUUAAUUAAUUCAGUUUCCGAAAGUUCGUUUUCUCGAAGUUCGUUUGCUCGUCUUGUAGGGUUUAUGUAUGUUUCGGGUUAGUAGUCCUGACGAGAAUUGGACAAAUGGUCCACCGAACCCUUUGGUUCGUCUUAGGGAGAGGUGGGGCUGUCACAUUGCUCCUCUACUUAACCCACAAUAAGACAUUAAGGAAUUAUUUUAUUUUUGGUCAACACCAUCUUUAACGAUAAAUACAAACUGCCCCUAAUAUUUUAUCAAGUAAUUACUCCUACUUUCUCCUAUACGAUAACCAUGCAUGUCUUUCCUAAGUCUUUAGGACAAGAGGAAAAAAAGAAGACUACAUAAUAUGGAGUGUUAAAGGUUGUUAGAUUGUAGCAACAUCUUAAUUUGUAGCAUUCCCUGAGGGUAACUAAAAAAAAAGAUUAAAAUUUGGUUGUACACGAAAAAUUAGGUCUAAUUCUGAAAAAUUUUGGGAAAUUACAACUUGCCAUGUUUUAAAGCAUAUAGUUCUUUAAACAAUAUCUUUAACAACAAAUAUAAACUGUCCCUCAUAUUCAAUCAAGUAAUCGCUCCUACUUUCUCCAAUACGAUGAUCGUGUGAGUAAAUUCUAAGAUUGGUUAGCAAUUGCAUGUCUUUUCUAAGUCCAUCCGAAAAAAAUAGAAAAAAAAGGAGUACACAAUAUAGAGUGUUAACGGUUUGUUAGAUUAUAGCGACGUCUUAAUUAGUAAUAUCCCAUGAGGGUAAGCAAAUAAAAAGAUUAAAAUUUGGUUGUACAUGAAAAACAAGAUCUAAUUCUGAAAAAUUUGGCAGAUUGCAACUCGCCAUGUUUUAAAGCAUAGGAUUUUACACCCUAACCAAAAUUUAUUUUUUAUUUUCAACUUGUUUUUGUUACACUACGGGAUUUUCUGCAAUAAUGGUCAUAUACUUUGAUUAAGAGUUUAAUUUGGACAAAGCGCUUAACUAACCAAUAAAAGAAUGUCCAUGGCAGAAGAUUUCUAUAGGUGGAAUUUCAUUGAGAUUUACAUGUUAAUACUUUGCCAACUAUACUCUCUCGGAUGAUUUUCUUAUCAUCUCUUGAACUAUGAACAUGUCUUUUUGUAAGGAAUGCUAACUGAGUAGAACGAAAUACAAAGUAAGAAAUAACAUAAAUGAAUUCACAUUCGAGUGCAUCUCAACUUUAAAACUUAAAAGUUUUUUUAAAAAAAAGCAUUUACUUACAUUGGGUCAAACAUUCUAACUUAUCUUUGGAUUUACCGUCUUUACAUAUUUAAAAGUUUCAAAUUAAAAGAAUUAAUUACUUUGUAAUGCCAAAUAACAAUGGAGUUGUCAGGCACUUAUCCAUGUAAAUCUCCUUGGAUUAGUUUUGCAAAUAAGAUUUACCUUCCAAAUGUUGAUGAAAAAAAGGGUUGAGAAUGUUAUUGUCUUGUUGUAGUUGUUCAACAAUCUAUAACUUCAGUAAGAAAAGAGAGUGAGAUCUAAUCAAAAUAUGAUCUUUAGACAAAUUUCCUAAAACUUUUCAAUUAUCAUCAUUCUACAUAAUAUCAUGUUAUCUUUGAAAAAAUUAUAUGUAUGCAUGAUAAACGUUAUAUCUGUGGGAUAAUUAAGUUGUUGAAAUAAAUUUGUUGAAAAUAAUUAUGUAUUUCAUACCUUCACAAAUUAUAUUUAAUCGUGCCAUAGUGGUAAUAAUGAAAAGAAAAAAAUAAAAAGUUACAGAAACAAAUUCUUGGGCAACUGGACGGCUGUGCAACAAAAAAGUUAAACAAUUAAAAAUAACUUAUUCUACAAUUUUAACUACUUUAUCACGCCCACUUAUAACAUGGUUCCCCCUCUUGCACAGAGCAUAUUUCCCACUGAUUUUGAACAUUCAAAUUGCUACUCUACUUAUCUCACAAUAAGACAUGAAGGAAUCAUUUUAUUUUUGGUAGGCAACAUCUUGAAUGAUGCCCCUCAUAUUCAAUCAAGUAAUCACUCCUACUUUCUCCAAUACAAUGAUCAUAUUAUGUGAGUAAAUUCUAAGGUUGGUUAGCAAUUGCAUGUUUUUCCUAAAUCUGUCCGAAAAAAGAGGGAAAAAAGGAGUACACAAUAUGGAAUGUUAAGGGUUUGUUAAAAUAUAGCGACAUCUUAAUUAGUAACGUCCCAUGAGAGAGGUUAAAAUUUGGUUGUACAUGAAGAACAAGAUGUAAUUCUAAAAGAUUUUUGCAAAUUGCAACUCUCCUGGUUUUAAAGCAUCGGGUUCUACACCCUAACCAAAAUUUAUUUUUUAUUUUCAAUUUGUGUUGAUUACACAGUGGGAUUUUCUGGAAUAAUGAUCAUAUAGUUUGAUUAAGAGUUUAAUUUGGACAAAUCACUUAACCAACCAAUAAGAAAAUGUUCAUGGUAGAAGAUCUUCUACAUGUGGAAUUCCCUUGAGAUUUGCAUGUUAAUCUUUUGCCAAUUAUAUUUUUUGUGUGUGAUUUUCUUAUCAUCUCGAGAACUAUGCACAUGUCUUUCUGUAAGAAAUGGCAACUGAGUAGAACGAAAUUCAAAGUAAGAAAUAACAUGAAAGAAUUCUCAUUCGAGUGCACGUCAACAUUAAAACUUAAGGUUUUUAAAAAAGGCAAGUAUUUACAUUCGAUUGAACAUUCUAACCUAUCUUUGGAUUUACUGUCUGUACAUAUUUAAAAGUUUCAAAUUGAAAGAAUUAAUUACUUUGUAAUACCCAAUAACAGUGGAGUUGUCAGGCACUUAUCCCUGUAAAUAUCCUUUAAUUAGUUUUGCAAAAAAAAAUUUAGGUUCCAAAUGUUGAUGAAAAAAGAGUUAAGGAUACGAUUGCCUUGUUGUAGUUGUUCAACAAUCUAUAAGCUCUGUAAGAAAAGCGAGCGAGAUCUAAUCCAAAUAUAAUCUCUAGAAAAGUUUCCUAAAGCCUAUCAAUUAUUAUCUGUCCUACCUAAUAUCAUAUUAUCGUAUUAAAAGUUGUGUGUAUGCAUGAUGCACGGUAUAUCUGUGAGAUAAUUAAGUUGUUAAAAUAAAUUCUUUGAGAGUAAUUAUGUAUUUGAUACCAUCACACAUUAUAUUUAAUCGCUCCAUAAUUGAAAUAAAGGAAAGAAAAAAAUGAAAAGAUCUAGAGACAAAUUCUUGGACAACUGAAUGGCCUAUGCAACAAAAAAGCUAAAAAAUUAAAAAUAACUCAUUCUAAAAGUUCAACUACUUUGCCACACCCACUUAUAACAUGGUUCUCCUUUUUGCACAGAACAUGUUUACCAUUGAUUUUGAACUUUCAAAUUGCUCCUCCACUUAACCCACAAUAAGACACAAAAGAAUCAUUUUAUUUUUGGUAGACAACAUCUUUGACGAUAACUACAAACCGCUCCUCAUAUUCAGUUAAGUAAUCACUCCUACUUUCUCCAAUACGAUGACCAUGUUGUGUGAGUAAAUUCUAAGGUUGAUUAGCAAUUGCAUGUCCUUCCUAAGUCAGACCGAAAAAAAAGAAAAAAGAGUAGUGCACAAUAUGGAGUGUUAAGGGUUUGUUAGACUGUAGCGACGUCUUAAUUAGAAACAUCCCAUGAGGGCAACUAGUAAGAAGAUUAAAAUUUGGUUGUACAUGUAAAACAAGAUCCAAUACUGAAAACUUUUGGCAAAUUUCACACACCAUAUUUUAAAGCAUAGGGUUCUACAGCGUAACCAAGAUUAAUUUUUUUUAUUUUCAAUUCGUGUUUAUUUCACAAUAGGGUUUUCUAGAAUAAUUGUCAUAGAGUUUGAUUAAAAGUUUAAUUUGGACAAAGCACUUAACAAAACAAUAAGAGAAGGUCUAUGGUAGAAAAUCUUCUAUAGGUGGAAUUCCCUUGAGAUUCGCAUGUUAAUUCUUUGCCAACUGUACUUUCUUGGAUGAUUUUCUUAUCAUCUCUAGAACUAUGUACAUGUUUUUUUGUAAGAAAUGCUAACUGAGUAGAACGAAAUACAACGCAAGAAAUAACAUGAAAGAAUUCCCAUUCGAGUGCAUCUCAUCAUUAAAACUUAAAGUUUCUAAAAAAGGCCUUUAUUUACACGGGUCAAACAUUCUAACCUAUCUUUGGAUUUAUUGUCUAUACAUAUUUAAAAGUUUCAAGUUGAAAAAAUUAAUUACUUUGUAAUGCCGAAUAAUAGUGGUGUUGCCAAGCUCUUAUCCAUGUAAAUUUCCUUGAAUUAGUUUUGUGAAUAAGAUUUACCUUCCAAAUGUUGAUGAAAAAAGGGUUGAGGAUCUUAUUGCGCUGUUGUAGUUGUUCAACAAUCUAUAAGCUCAGUAAGAAAAGAGAGUGAAAUCUAAUCAAAAUAUAAUCUCUAGAAAAAUUUCCUUAAACUUAUCAAUUAUUAUCUGUUCUACAUAAUAUCAUAUUAUCGUCAAAAAAAUUACAUGUACGCAUGACGCAUGCUGUAUCUGUGAGAUGCAUUAGUUGUUGAAAUAAAUUCGUUGAGAACAAUUAUGCAUUAAUACCUUCACAAAUUAUAUUUAAUCGCGCCACAGUGGAAAUAAUGGGAAAAAAAUGAGAAGAUACAGAGACAAAUUCUUGGACAACUAGAAGGCCUAUGCAGCAUAAAAGGUAAAGAAUUAAAAAUAACUCAUUUUGAAAUUCCAACUACUUUGUCAUGCCCACUCAUAACAUUGUUCUCCUCUUUCCACAAAACAUGUUUAAUUGAUUUUGCAUAUUCAAAUUGCUCCUCUACUUAACCCACAAUAAGCCACAAAGGAAUCAUUUUAUUUUUGGAUGACAACAUCUUUAAUGAUAAAUACAAACUGUCUCACAUACUCAAUCAAGGAAUUACUCACACUUUCUCCAAUACGAUGACCAUGUUGUGUGAGUAAAUUCUAAGGUUGGUUAGCAAUUGCAUGUCUUUCCUAAGUUUGUCCAAAAAAAAAAAAAAAAAAGCAAAAAGAGGAGUACACAAUAAGGAGUUUCAAGGGUUUGUUCAAAUGUAGCGAUGCCUUAAUUAGUAACAUCCCAUGAGGGUAGCCAAAUAAAAAGAUUAAAAUUUGGUUGUACAUGAAAAACAAGAUCUAAUUCUGAAAAAUUUUGGCAAAAUGCAACUAACCAUGUUUUAAUGCAUAUGGUUCUACACCGUAACCAAGAUUUAUUUUUAUUUUCGAUUUCUAUUUAUUAAACAGUAGGGUUUUCUGGUAUAAUGGUCAUAUAGUUUGAUUAAGAGUUUAAUUUGGACAAAACACUUAACCAACCAAUAAGAAAAUGUUCAUGGUAGAAGAUCUUCUAUAGGUGGAAUUCCCUUGAGAAUUGCAUGUUAAUCCUUUGCCAAUUACACUUUCUUGGAUAAUUUUCUUAUUAUCUCUAGUACUAUGCACAUGUCUUUUUGUAAGGAAUGCAAACUGAAUAGAAUGAAAUACACAGUAAGAAAUAACAUGAAAGACUUCCUAUUCGAGUGCAUCUCAUCAUUAAAAUUUAAAGUUUUUAGAAAAGGCAUUUAUUUACAUUGGGUCAAACAUUCUAACCUAUCUUUGGAUUUACUGUCUAUACAUAUUUAAAAGUUUUAAAUUGAAAGGAUUAAUUACUUUGUAAUGCUGAAUAACAGUGGAGUUGCUAGGCACUUAUCCACGUAAAUCUCCUUGAAUUAGUUUUGUAAAUAAAAUUUGCGUUCCAAAUGUUGAUGAAAAAAGGGUUGAGAAUGUCAUUGCCUUGUUGUAGUUGUUCAACAAUUUAUAAGCUCUAUAAGAAAAGAGAUUGAGAUCUAAUCAAAAUAUAAUCUCUAGGAAAAUUCCCUAAAGCUUAUCAAUCAUUAUAUAUCCUACAUAAUAUCAUAUUAUUGUCGAAAAAAUUACAUGAACGUACGCUUGAUGCACGCUGUAUUUGUGAGAUAAAUAAUUGUUGAAAUAAAUUUGUUGAGAAUGAUUAUGUAUUUAAUACCUUCACAAGUUAUAUUUAAUUAUGCUACAGUGGAAAUAAUGGAAAAAAUGAGAAGAUACAGAGACAAAUUCUUGGACAACAGGAAGGCCUAUGCACAAAAAAAGGUAAAAAAUUAAAAAUAACUCAUUCUACAAGUCCAACUACUUUGCCACACCCACUUAUAACAUGGUUCUCCCUUUUGCACAAAACAUGUUUACCAUUGAUUUUGAACAUUCAAAUUGCUCCUCUAUUUAACCCACAAUAAGACACGAAGGAAUCAUUUUAUUUUUGGUAGACAACAUUUUUAAAGAAAAAUACAAAUUGUCCCUCAUAUUCAUUCAAGUAAUCACUCCUACUUUCUCCAAUACAAUGGUCAUGUUGUGUGAAUAAAUUCUAAGGUUGCUUAGCAAUUGCAUGUCUUUCCUAAGUUUGUCUGAAAAAAAGAAAAAAAAAAAAAGGAGUACACAAUUUGGAGUGUUAAGGGUUUGUUAGAAUGUAGCGACACCUUAAUUAGUAACAUGCCAUGAGGGUAGCCAAAUCAAAAGAUUAAAAUUUGUUUGUACAUGAAAAAUAAGAUCUAAUUUUGAAAAAUUUUGGUAAAUUGCAACUCGCCAUGUUUUAAAACAUAGGGUUCUACACCCAAACCAAGAUUUGUUUUUUUAUUUUCAACUUGUAUUUAAUCCACAGUGAGGUUUUCUAGAAUAAUGGUCAUAUAGUUUGAUUAAGAGUUUGUUUUGGACAAAGCACUUAACCAAUAAUACCAAUAAUAGAAUGUCCAUGGUAGAAGAUCUUUUGUAGGUGGAAUUCGCUUGUGAUUUGCAUAUUAAUCCUUUGCCAACUAUACUUUCUUGGAUGAUUUUCUUAUCAUCUCUAGGACUAUGCAUAUAUCUUUUUGUAAGGAAUGCUAAAUGAGUAGAACAAAAUACAAAGUAAGAAAUAACAUGAAAGAAUUACCAUUCAAGUGCAUCUCAUCAUUAAAACUUAAAGUUUUUUAAAAAAGGCAUGUAUUUACAUUAAGUAAAACAUUCUAACUUAUCUUUGGAUUCACUGUCUAUACAUAAUUAAAAGUUUCGAAUUGGAAGAAUUAAUUACUUUGUAAUGUUGAAUGAUAAUGGAGGUGCUUAGCAUUUAUCCAUGUAAAUCUCAUUAAAUUAGUUUUAUAAAUAAGAUUUACCUUCCGAAUGUUGAUGAAAAAAGGGUUGAGGAUGUCAUUGCCUUGUUGCAGUUGUUCAACAAUCUAUAAGCUCAAUAAGAAAAGAGAGUGAGAUCUCAUCAAAGUAUAAUCUGUAGAAAAAUUUCCUAAAGCUUAUCAAUUAUUAUCUGUUCUACAUAAUAUCAAAUUAUCAUCAAAAAAUUGCAUGUAUGCAUGAUGCAUGCUGUAUCUAUGAGAAAAUUAAGUUGUUGAAUCAAAUUUUUUAAGAACAAUUAUGUAUUUGAUUCCUUCACAAGUUAUAUUUAAUUGUGUCAUAGUGGAAACAAUGGAAAGAAAGAAUCGAAAAGGUACAGAGACAAUUUCUUGGACAACUGAAUGCAAAGACAACUCAUUUUACAAGUUCAACUACUAAUUUGCCAUGCCCAGUUACAGUAUGGUUCUCCAUUUUCCAUAAAACAUGUUUACCAUUGAUUUUGAACUUUCAAAUUGCUCCUCUACUUAACCCACAAUUAGUUGGAAGACAACAUUUUUAAUGAUAAAUACAAACAACCCUCAUAUUUAAUCAGGUAAUGACUUUAUUUUCUUCCAUAUGAUGACCAUGUUAUGUGAGUAAAUUUCAAGGUUUAUUAGCAAUUGCAUGUCUUUUGUAAGGCUCUCCAAAAAAAAGAAGAGUACACAAUCUUGAGUGUUGGGGGUAUGGUAGAAUAUAGCAGCAUCUUAAUUAGUAACAUCCCAUGAGAGAGUAACUAAAUAAAAAGAUUAAAAUUAAAUUGUACAUGAAAAACAAGGUCCAAUUUGGUUGGAUCAGGUUCUUUCGUUGAUUGCUUUACAAUUAUUCUCCCUUUCUCUUGUUUUGGGGUUAAUGUCUUUUUUACUUUCCAAAACUUGGCUUGUUUUUUGUCAAUUCCUCGUAAUGGCGUUGGAGGUAUGUGCCGGAGAACGGUGGAGUUGCCAGGUGCUUAUCCAUAUAAAUUUCUUUGAAUUGGUUUUGUAAAUAGAUUUACCAUCCAAAUGUUGAUGAAAAGUAAGUUUGUGGAUGUUAUUUCCUUGUUGAAGUUGUUUAACACUCUAUAAGCUCAGUGAAAAAAGAGAGUGAGAUCUAAUCAAGUAUAAUCUCUAAGAAAAUUUGCUAAAACUUGUCAAUUAUUAUCUCUUAUACAUAAUAUCUUAUUAUAGUGUAAAAAACUACACAUACGCAUGAUGCAUGCUAUAUCCAUGAGAUAAUUAAGUUGGUGAAAUAAAUUCUUUGAGAACAAUUUUGCAUUUGAUACCUUCAUGAGUUAUAUUUAAUCAUACCGUACAGGAAAUAAUGGAAAGAGAAAUUGAAAAGAUGCAAAAACAAAUUUUGGACAAUUUAAUGGCUUAUGCAACAAAAAAGGUAAUAUAAUUCAUGUGAUACAAGUAAAAGCUCAAACUUUCCCAUGCCCAUUUAUAGCAUGGCCCUCCCUGAUCAAUUCUUUGCACAAAAUAUGUUUCCCAUUGAUUUUGAACUUUCAAAUUGGUCCGAAACUUAACCCACUAGCUAUUGCAUGUCUUUCUUAAGUUCCCCCAAGAAAAACAAGAAUAUUACGCAAUCUGGAGAGUUAGGGGUUUGUUAGAAUGUGGGUUUGUCUUAUUUAGAAACAUCCCAUUUGGUAACCAAACAAAAAAGAUUGAAAUUUGGUUAUAAAUGAAAAACAAGGUCCAAUUUUGUACAUUAUUAAGGGUUAUCUUUGGACACCGUACAUUUCCCGUUUAUAAGAAAAUGUCCAUGGUGGAAAAUCUUCUAUAGGUGGAAUCCCCUUAACAUUUGCAUGAUAAUCCUUGCCAACUACACUUGCUUGGAUGAUAUUCUUAUCUUCUCCUGAACUAUAUACCUCUUUUUCUUAAAGGACUACUGAAUGAGUAAAUGAAUGCAAAGUAUUCAUUUAGUUAUACCUUGAACUAUAUACCUGUUUGUCUUAAUUAGUAACAUCCCAUUUGGUAACCCAAUAAAAAAGAUUGAAAUUUGGCUAUACAUGAAUGACAAGGUCCAAUUUUGAACGUUAUUAAGAGUUAUCUUUGGACGCCGUACUUUUUCAACCUAUAAGAGAAUGUCCAUAGUAGAAAAUCUUCUAUAGGUGGAAUUCCCUUAGCAUUUGAAUGAUAAUCCUUGCCAGCUACACUUGCUUGGAUGAUAUUCUUAUCUUCUCUUGGACUAUAUACCUGUUUUUCUUAUAGGAAUGCUAAAUGAAUAGAAUUAAUACAAAUUAAGAAAUAAUAUGAAAGAAUUUCCAUUCAAGAGGAAAGUUUUUGAAAGGCGUAUAUUCAUAUUGGGUCAAAUAUACUUACACGUCUUUUGAUUUACUGUUUGUACAUAUCUAAAAGCUUCAAAAUUGAAACAAUUUAUUAUUUCACAAUGCUUGUAAACUUAAUCAACACAAAUAUUUCUCUUAUUUCAUGAUAGAAUAAUAGUAUUUCAUUCUCAAUUUUCAAAAUGUUCUUAUCAUAGCCAAUAUUUUUAGGAAAAGAGCCGGAGUUUUUCGGGGUAGAGCUAGGUGUAGGUUCUGCCAUUUUGGUGAUUUUUGGUGUAUGCAAAAUAAAAACUGAAUCAAUCAAAAUUACCAAAUCACCCUCAAUGUGGUGUCUUCGUACGUUUCGUACUGGCACCAUGAUAGCGAGCCAAAUUACAAGAAACAUACCCAAUUAAUCCAAACAAAAUAACCGGUCCUCCACUAAAAAGCCACUGAAGUUCAUCUAAGUCACCAAUCAACAAAACCAAUCUAAAUAAAUGGCCAGAUCAAAUAAUUGCACCGCUCAAGUGCACCUUUUAAAUCAAGAGCAAUUGCAAUUCCAAUUGGGAAAAAGAAACCCACAACAAUUGCUCUAAAUUACCAAAUACCAAAAUCCGGUCAUAAUAAAUGGCCCAGUCAAAAUAAUUGAGCAGCUCAAUUCAACACCAAUUGGAAUUCCAAUUGAAAAUUGCUGCUUUUAGUAUGUGUGUAUAUGUAUAUGUAUAUAUAUAUGUAUACAUGUAUAUAUAUGUAUAUAUAUAUAUGAUAUAAACAAUUUAAUACUGUCAAUAUCUGGAUUUGAAUUUACAGUAAACAACCAUAUAAAGGUAAUCAUCCUAGAUACUUCUCAAAGUAUUAAUAACUGUUCUAAAUUUAGAUCUAAAUAAAACUAAAAAAAAUAGUAGUAAAUAAACUUACUCACCGUUCUAAAACUUUAAAAGAAUAUAGCGAGAUAUUAGUAAAUCUUACACUUAUAUGUAAGGAGUAAUUAUUGGACUGAAUUUUUAUAGAAAAUAAAAUUUUAUUAUUGUUUUAGUGUUUUGUUGUAGCUGAUAAAUUGAUAUUACUAAUGCGUAAAACAUAUGUACAACACUCCUGCUUAUUCUUAGUGAUCAUAAUAUAAUCACCCAUUUCCCUCAAAAACAAAUGCAUUCAUUUUCUAAAAGAAGAAUUCUCUCUCUCUCUCUCUCUCUCUAAAAUACCAAAAAUCACUCAAAAAGAGUCCUUUUGCCACCACCCCAUUAUUCUCCUCCUCCUGCAACUAAUGUCCAAAAUCCAAGUUGUCCUUUAAGGUUUUUUUUCUUUCCUAAAUUAGUCAACUUAUUUACAUGCUAUAUCUCCUGAUUUUCUUAUAAAGAUUUUAACAAAUCAAAUGGUGAUGAAUGUACAAUUUUCAAAUUUAUUUGUAUAUGAUACAAAGAAAGUUUGAAUUCAUUCAUUUAUCAAAAGAACCUAAAAUGCAGUUCAAUUUUUGUUCGUUAAUUUGAAAUAAUAUUCCAAUUUGAACUCAAGGUUAGCUCGUUAUACUUAAUAUAUUGAGAUCAAGUUUGAAAACAUUAGUUCACGAAAAUCCAUUUGCAAUUUACUAACUUGGUUCCAGAAAAUGAAUAAAACUAGUUUUAUGUGUAGAAAAAAUGCAAGGUGUUAUACAUGUGUUUGACAAUAUGCAACGUGUAUAUAUUUAUCUUUACUAUUUUUUAUUUAUGUAUGGAUGAGCGAACACAUUUGUUUAGUUCAUGAAAGUGUUCAAGCUGAACUCAAUUAUUAAAUGAGCCAUGUUCAUUGUUCGAGAUUAGUUCUUUUACAAUACGAACUAACCUUCAUUGAAUUUAAAUGAGCUUUAAAUGAGCUUUGAUCCUAAAAGAUCAUUUUUCUUGUGACUGAACGUUGAUAGGUCCGACGGGGACUCUUCCAAGUCAGAAUUUCACUUUCAGUUUUCCCUUUCCUUACUGAUCAAUCUCUAAUAAAAAUUUUCGUUUGACCUCUGUAAUUGUCUCUGCUAAAGAAAGCAUUUUCUAAUUGAGCUAGGACUUUGGCGUUAAUCCUUUCUAUGAUUGAAUUGUUACAACAAAUAAUUCUGUUCUUUUUGGGUGCAAUUAUUGAAUAUAAUCUGCGCACUAUAGCUGUCUUUUUUUAACACCCCUUGUAAAAUUGAAUUUAGGAAUCUGCAAUAUGAAGUUUUUCCCUUGUGAUCUACUUUAUAUUUUUACUUUUUGAUAGGUUAGGGAAUGAAGUAAAAUAGCUGAAGAAUCAUCAACAAGCUAACUCGGAAAACCCCAUCAGCUACACUAUGAAAUAGCUCAAGAAUCAUAAACAUAGAUUCUUGCUCGGAUACAAUGAAAUAGAGGUGGUACUAAGUCCCAAAGACCCAGUAAGAUCCCAUACUGAAACUUAAUUUGGAUGGAAUAAAUAUGUAAAAUAUGGAACUGGGUCUAAUUGAAAAUAUAUCCAAUAAUACCUAUCCAAAAUCUGGGUCUUAUUGAGACUUACUUAGAACUCUCAUGAAUCUUUCUUUUCCCCAAAACUUAAGAAUGCCUAAAAGUCGAAAACCAUCAAAUUUUCCAAAACAGUCAACAGCAGUGUAUGCAUCUAGUGGUAGCAGUAGUGUACUGUUAUUUGUGUGUAUUUGGCAGUAGAAGGAAAGACAAAAGUACAACUACUACUGUACUAGUGAGUGUGUGUGCUUAAGUAGUAGAUGUAGAAAGUGAAUGAUGGUAGUGGGGGAAUGGAUGCUCCACUAAUGGUAGAACGCUAGGAAUAUUACCGAUUACGUAGCAAUCCUAAUACAGUAGUAAAUAUAAAUGCUUAUAUCUUAGGAGGAGAAAUGGAGUGAAUGAUGUGGUAGUCGUAUUCUCAAUUCUAGACAUUAUUGUUGUUGGAUGGGGUGUGGUAGAUUUAGGAUAGACAGAGUGAAACUCGAGAGUUGAGGGAGUAGGAAAAGGAGUAUAGGACAAACACUGAAAAAAAAAAAAGGAAUGGUGUUGGCAGAUGGGGAUGUGGUUGGGUUUGCUUCACUUUUAGCCUUUAGUCAUUUAGUGAAGUUUCCUUAUGUUAAAGCUAGAAAGUUGAUCAUUAAUUGAUAUAAAGCACUGAACUGGUUCUUAUUUAUGUACUUUUAUUUGCAUGAGAGUUGGGGUUUAAAAAAUUUCAUAUCUAGUAAAUUUUGUUUAGUUUGAAAAAUUAUCGCACUACACACACACACACACAUAUAUAGAAAUUUGUAGAACUUUUACAAAGUUGAACAAACUAAUUAAAUGAUAUUAAAAAAUAAAAGCGAUAUUGAGACAUUUGAUUAGGGAAAAAAGAUUUAAAAAUAAAAUGUGAAUUAUUGGAUAUUUAGGCAGUAUUAAAAUGGGUCCAAUCCAUUUUAGUCCCGCUCAUAUUAGUCCCAUGACUAAUAUGGGACUGUUUGGAUAUAACCCAUAUUUGGUAGCUCCAAUUAAGUCUCGCCCAAAUCCCGUCUAUCUUGCCUAUUUACCAUCUCUAAAUGAGAAAGAUGGUGGUGUAACACUUUUGUUGGCCAUUCUACUUUGUUCUGUGACAGCCCCACCUUCUCCUAGGACGUACCUCAAGAGUUAGCGAACUGCCUGUCCAACUCUCGCCAGGACUACAGAGUCAAAUCACUCGAAAACCCUACAAAACAUACAAAAGAACUGCAAGAAAACGAACAAUUGGAAACUGAUCUAAACACGAUUACCAAACUAUACGGUACAAUAGGAUUUCGAUUAAACGCUCCAAUGAAAACGAAACGAGUGGAUGCCACGUUAGAAUCCGGCCGGAUUCAAGGCAGUGAGCAAACCAAAUUUUUUUUAAUCUCUCCUGUCAAUCCGGCCAACUAUCCAGCCAAGAACUAGCCGGAUAUACAGCCGGAUUGUCUGCAGUCAUUUCCCACCAGAUUUCUUGUCUUCCUUGUUCAAUUUCCACACUCGCCCGAUUUUCCAACGGAUAGUUUACAUUACCAAUAAAACAUACCAUCUCAACCAAAUACUAUUGAAAUCAUAUGAGCAAACACUUAUAUAUAUAUAUAUAUAUAUAUAUACAUUGGAGGGUUUAACAGUUCAACUAGCAAUACGAGUCGGACUAUACACAAUUUGUCAAAGUACACGUAGGGUUUGCCAGUACAGAGGAGCUUAAUCAAAAGAAUGUCUACAUCUAGCUCUACUCUUUUCUUCAAAACCACGAUUCCCAACAUUUUGAACCCUGUAAGGAAAACAAAGAUAACGGGAAGGGGUGAGCUUACACUCAAUGAGGUACCACAAGUUCAAGCAGUCAAGAAUCAUAGAACUUCACUUUUAAUCAGGCAAAUGUAUACACCAAAUAAGGAAAUGAACAAACACUUCAAAUAGAAAGGAUACAGGUGGCUCUCAAGAGCCAAAUUCCUUUGUCUUCACCAAAGCUUGAUCAAGUAGUAGUUGACACUCCGUCAACUUUCAAAUAAAGUAAUCAGUCCAGUAGAGCACCACUUUACACCAAAUUUCGUCCACCGAACAUACCCCUUACCGGACCUGAACGCCUCAACAGGAAUAGGGAUGGAGAUACGCGAGUAUACCGGAAAUCCAGAGUCUCCAAUACCCAAAGAUUCCCCAGACACAGGCCCCAUGGAUUGUCAAUUUUCCUCGACCAAGCCCGUGCUAGCUCGAUUCAAUUAACUACCCAUGAGAUUGAGCUCAGAUUUCAUAGGCACGGGAAGGUCGUUGGAUGCAAGCCUCCAAACGACAUCAUAUCAGGCACAAGUAACAGAUUCAAGUUUAUACAAUAAACAAGUCACACAGGCCAGAGAACGAGUGCGAUAAAGUAUACCCUCGUCUCGUACAGAAUAAUCAGAUGGUACAGUCAUUCAAAUCACAAAUGACAAGUACAGAUAAACCAUUUAAGCAACGAAUCAUGGGAGCGAUACACUCACCAGUUUAAGCAAAGAUAACUUCAAAAGUUUCCAUCCGAAGUAUGCCCUAGAUCACCGAUACGUCCUAAAACAACCAAGGAAAACAAAUAAGACUCGAUUACGAGUCGUAUGUCUAUCCAAAUGAACUACAAAUGUAAGGAUACAAAGGUGUGAUUUUGGGGUGAAAAAGAAACAUGAGAACCUAGGGGCUCGAACGACCCAAAGCCCUUCAUUUCUACCCAUGAUUAACCCAAUCUCGAAGGUAUCAAGUAAUCCCAAAAAUUGGACAGCACUUCCCCUUAGAUUCCUUUACUUUCCACCCUAUAAUCCAUCACUAAUCUCAACUCAAAUCAACAACAAUUGCACACACAAUACAUAAGUUAGAAAGCACACCUAAUUAGGGCUGCAAUACCCUUCAAUUUGAGCCAAUUGAUAGCUCCAAAAUGAAUCACAAUAAAGCCUCAAAUUGAAACCCUAAUCUGAAAUUUACUCCCAAAAUCUGAAAUUUUCUUUAAGCAAGUCCAUCUAAUACAUAAUACCCUAAUAUUUCACAUAAUAAAGCUAUCAAACCAUAGCCAAUCAUUACUCAUCACACGAGGGCAGAAAAAUCACCAUAAAAAUUGAAAAUUUCCGUGACACCACUUCAAACCAUCAUAUGUCUCAUAAAACUACCUAUUUUGCAACCCUAAAUCACAAGUAUGCUAAUAUUAGAAGUAGAGAGGGAUUUCUUGGCAAAAUUACCUAGUAACUUCAAGAAAGGUGGUAGUUUAGUACUUCCUUCUCCAAAAUCACUCCACCAACCCCUUCGAAUCUCCUUAGUUAGCACUUUUAUGGAGUAGUUUACAAAGUUGAUAGUUGGAACACAAGAUUGAAGCAAGAAAUUGAAGAUGCAAGAUGAAGUUUUCUCUAUUUGUUCCUCUCAAAGGGUUCAGCCAAGAUGGAUGAAAGAAUGAAGAAAUCUUGGUCAAAAUUGGUGUUUAGUAAAGGUAAGAAAGGUUGGUCAAAAUCCAACUUCAAAUAGUGUCGCGACACGUGGCGCCUUUAAGGUUUGAUCUAAUCCUCUUGCCUUCCAAUGGUUAAUCUAUUUGGUUACCCUCUAAUUAUCUCCUAACACCUUGUAAAAAUAUCCCUUUAUGCAAAACUACACUUAGGCGUCAAAAUUUUAUUGCACUUAACGCACUAGCGGGUCCCACGUCCAAUAUACACUACUAGCGUCACAUAAACUAACUUAUAUUAGGAAAAAUGAUUUAAACACUAUACUCACUUAUAAAAAUGUAUAGAAAAUUAAUAUAUUAAAGGAAAGUAUAAAAAAAUGUAGGUAAGAAAAUAAAAUAAUACUUAGAAAAUACGAAAAUUUUCGGGUUCUCACACUCUUUUCCCCUUAAAAGAAUUUCGUCCUCGAAAUUCUCCUCUUUUGCUCACAAAACUCAAUUCUACAGUGAUUUCUUCUACUUUUCAAGAGUUUCUCUUCACAUAUACCACUAUCACAAUCUAUCUAAAGAUAAAAUCGUGAUAAUGCAAUGACUAAAACGCCAUGCGAAGAAAAAUCAGUGAAGAUUUCAAAAAUUCCCACUUUCGAACCACAAACGAAAAAUUUUCACUUAGUUUCAAGACUAAACUAUAGUAAAAGAUUCAUGAAUCAGGAUCCAAUACUGUCCAAUCACCAAUAUUUAAUAUUACUUAUCAAAACAUCAGGUACCAGAUCCACUACUUCUAUCGGGGAUACACUUACUACAUAAAGUUUGCAUACACAUAGUUCCAUAAAUAUAAUUAUUUCAGCCAACACAUCACUAAUUGCUGACUCUAACUAUUACAACAACUACAUCAUCCAAAAAUUCAUUUGUCUUGGGCAGUUGGUGCCCUAGUUGGCCGCAUCUAAAACAUGCACCAAUUUUCAAAUAACAUAUUCCCGUAUGAAUUUUGUUAUAUGUUUCACACUCAGCAGCUACACGUCUCUUCUUGAAGUGUCCAUUCUUUUUCUUCUUCCUCCCUUUAUCCUUCAUAGCAAAUCUAUCUCCAUACAUUUAUUUAUGUUUCCCUUUGAUAUCACGAGAACUUCCUUCACCUCUUUUAUCUUUAUUACUAGGAAUGUCCAGAUAUGUUAUUCGACUAGACGAAAGCACUAACUCAAACUUACUCCGUACCUCUUCCGGGAUUCCUUCGUAUUUCUUUUUCAAUUCUAUGUUCUUGUGCAGUAGCUCAAUUUUAUCUAAAUACUCCUAUUUCCAUCUCUCUUUCCAGUACUCAGCUAAUUUCUUUUGGAACUCUACUUCCUUUCAGAUAAUCUCUAUUUUUGUAUACAUGUCAGCCAAAUGUGUCAUCUCACCAAUUCGCUUGAACCCAAGUGACAGCCUGUCAAGCAAAUUAAUGGAUCAAAAUAAGUAACUAAGUACACUUGGUAUCCUAACCACAUAACUGUUAAGUUUUCUCACUCCCAAUCCGACCAUGGAAAAUUACACAGAUAUUUCCAAAUAAAGUAGAUGAGAAAGUAGAACAUAAUUAGGGCAACAUCUUAAUAUAUUAUGUGACGAUCCCACCUGCCCCUAGGGUGUACCCCAGGGUUUAGCGGUCCUCCUGCCCAUCACUCGCCAGGACUCACUCAUUUAGUUCAAAUAAAAGAGGUUACAACUUCAAGAGUAAAGGAAAUAACUGUUCCCAAACUGGGAACGUAUACUUACAUACAUUUCUAUCUCAAAGUAAUACAAACCCAAAUAUAACAAAGGUUCUCAAUCUCAAUACUUCCAACCCUAUCCAGGCAUUAGAGCGAGUACAAUUGCAAAAAUUUGAACUAGACUAUGCUAUUCUAUACAAGUCUCUCGCCCUUACUCGCAUCCCUGUAAGAAAAACAAAACUAACGGAAUGAACUAAAAGCCCAACAAGGUUCCGUACGCAAUAAUCAAAUCAAUUAGACAAUGACAUUAAUCAGAUACUAACAAGUCGUCCAGAAAACAUUUACAAUAUAAAGCAAUAAUAACAUAUUCAUUACAAGGAUACAUGCUCACGUGGCGCCUUUCGUUCAUUCAUUCCACCAAUCAUUUCCUUAUUUCUCCAUCAUUAAAAUAAUUUCGUUUGUAAGUGAAAACCCCUCCAUUGUUCUUGCCAUUCAUUCAUUCAUUUCAUUUUCCCCUUAUUGGACAUUGGCCAGUCUCCACCCGACAACGUGGUAAUAUUCGAACAUACCAAACUUUCACCCAAGAUCACCAAAUCGCCCGACCGAGUCCGCUUCAGACUCGAAUCGACAGACAACGAAGGGCAAGGGCCCAGUUAAGCCACAAGGUUUACAUUCAUGCACAACUAGCAUAUAAUCAAAUAAUUAUUGAAAAUUUCAUAUUUAUUUAUGUCGACUGCGAUAAAGUACACACUCGCCUAGCAAAACUCAUUUUCGGCAAUCAUUGAAAGCAUUUAACAUUUAAUCAAACAUCCACAACAAGUUACAUAGUCAAUGGAAACAUAACGUACAAGGAACACUCACCUAUUUAAGCAAAAUAACGUCCAAAGUAUCCUUCCGGAUAAUACUCUCAAUCACCAAAGAACCCUAAUAAUAACUAAGAGAAAAUAUUACGGUUAAACCAUCCAAAGUUUAGGUGAACCAAAGAAAAUCUGAAUAACUACUAGUACAAACUAUAAAUAUGAUUUUGGAAGUGAAAAGAGUGCAUUUAAACCAAAGGACAUGAGUAAAAUAUUUGUAAAACUUAUGCUCGCUCAUAAGACUUUGAAAUCUCCAUUUGAGUCGAAGUGACAAAGAAAACGUAUUUCUAUUAGUCGUAAAUUUCAUUUUACCAAGGGUACAAAUUUCGGUCGAAUUCUAACUUAUAUACCUUGAUAAAAGAAGACGCAAAUAUCCUAGAUGGUUCAAGUGGUAUUCAUUCUAAAAUCCUUACCUAGUUCUCGAGUGUAAAUUUGGGCAGUACGCUCUUUGUAUUUACCUAUUUUCCAGCCAUUUAUGGAUUUAUUAUUUUUCUCAAUUAGUUCCAAAGUCACACACAGAUAAUCUCAUUACAAUAGCCAUUCAAUAGGCUCAACAAUCAUCCAAGUACAACACAAGUAUAAUAAUCCAAUCGAAAAUCAUAUUUUGAAGGCAAAAGCCUAAAUGGCAGGUUCGACAUCUUAUAAUAUUUUAGUCACAACUAGAGUUCCGUUUAUUGGAUUGGUGUGAACUUUAUACCGGCUCAAAACUAAGACAAAGGGCUACAACUUUCAUAAAGACUGCUCAAUCCAGUUCAUAAUUGAUCUAGGUCAAAAGUACAGAUUACAGAACCAAAAUGUCCUUGUUAGUACGGUUGCCAGUACUGAAUUCAAAUGACAAUAACUCAAGCUACACAAUUUCGUUUGAGGUGUUUUCAGUUGCGUUGGAAGACUGAAACAUAGGGCUAAAAGUUUCAUGUUUUGGCUAAAGGCUAAUUUGAUACGGAUCAAGGUGAAAAAAUGCAGCUAGAAUGAGGAAAUGUCAAAACUAUCCACAAAACUAUACCUAUGGUAGCAAGGGUAAUUUUGUCAUUUCUUGUGCUACAGUGCUCGAAUUAAGCCGAAAUUUUACAGGCAGCUAUAAUACAUCAUUUUCUACAACUUUUAUAUUUUAACCUAAGGCUGAUUCAGCCUCCAUCAUAGCCAAAUGAAACUGGGCAGAACAGGAUGAUACAAAAUUGAAAAACUGGAAUUCAUGCAUUCAAGUGCUAAUAUUCACAAUUCUAGCUUGAAACACUACUUCACCUCCUUAUCUAAGGUUAUUCACAUCAUAUUAUAUCUAAACAAGAAGAAAUAUAGCUGAACAAUUCAAAACCCUAACUCACAAAUUCUCCAUAAUCAUCAAAACUACUUGCAUAGCUAUCAAUUAACCAAGAAUAUGAGUUGUAUAGCAACUUAAGCAAGAUUAAGGGAACUAAAGAUGAUGGACAGCCAAUAUACCUCACUAUGAUGCUUGUAAGAGAUACCCCACUAUGUUUUUCCUAGUAAUUUACGAUAACUUGAAAACGAAAGGAAAAACCCUUGAUUCUAUAUUUAUUUGCACUUAUUGUGGGGUAAAUGCUAGUAAAGCUAUUCUAAAGUAAUAAAUUUCAAAUAAAAGGGAAUUUUAAGAAAAAAUAUAAGGAAAUUUUUCCAGUCGUCACAUACUCUCUCUCUUAAAGAAAUUUCGUCCUCGAAUUUUUUUUUUUUUUUACCUUCAAUUGUCUCAGAUGACUCUGGAGGUUGUUGGUUGUCUAAGGCAUAUACCUUUGCCAGUACUUUUGUUCGGUUCUCUUUUUCAUUUACUUGUUUCGGUUUGGUUCCAUCUAGUUGCUAAGCACUACUCUCUCGUGGCUGCUUCAUCGGGCAAGUACUAAUUUGAUGAUUGCUACUCCCACAAAUUAAACACUUUUGCCCUUUCCUCCAACAAUCAUUCUCAGUGUGAUUAGCCAUUCCACAAUAUCCACAGACCAAGUGAGAAGUCACUUUUUGACCUUCUUGAGAAAUUUCAUCAUGUCCUAUCUGACUUCCUCUUGUAGAUCUUUCAUCUAAUGCUCCUAAUGUCCAUGGUGGAUGAGGUAAAUUGUUCACUUUUUACACUUUGGAGGGCAUUAUCUUUUCUCUAGAUUUCUCAGGCAUGCUACUAGAUGAACCUCUUUUUCGUGUUUGAAAAGUUUUUACUUGUGCUUUCGCAUCCUCAAUUCUUUGAACCUUCUCAAGAGUCUCCGUAAAAGUAUUAACUUGAACCGCCACUAAAGCUUUCUGGAUUUCCAAAUUCAAGUCUUGUAUGAACCGUCUUACUCUCCUUUGCUCCGCAACUACCAAUUCGGACGCAAAUUUGGAUAGUUUAGUAAAUUUAGUCUCAUAUUCAGCCAUACUUUGGGUUCCCUGACGCAACCCAAUAAACUCAUGCUUCCUCCUUUUUUGGACCAAAGGUGGGAGGUACUUCUCAUUAAAUUCCCUUAUAAAGUUCGCGCAUAUCCAUGUAGUCUGUUCUCUCUCUCAUUUUGCCCAAAUAACAUUCCACCAUACUCGACCCGAUCUUUCGAAUUGGAAUACAGUAAAGUUCACCUGUGUUUGCUCCGUGUAGUUUAAGGCUGCGAAGAUGUUAAUCAUUGCCUCUAACCACUAUUCAACUAUAUUUGGAUCAUGCCCUCCAAGGAAUUUAGGAGGUACAAACUUUUGAAACCGCUCCAGAGCCCUAUUCUCUCCUAUCUCGGGAUUUUGGGGUUGAUUCACUGGCAUCUGGAUUUGUUGAUCUACCAAUCGCACUAAAAUAUUUGUCAUUUGUUGUAUCGCCGUCGCUACUUGAUCUCCGGCCUCAACCCUCGGUCCCCGAUCUUGUUCAACUACUGUUUCUCUUUUUUCUCUCGGUUCUUGAACUUGCCUAACCCUACGGCCACGACUAGCUCCCCAACCACGACUACGUCUCCCCUCCAUACCCUUUUCUCUCUCUUUUUUUUUCAAAAGGUAAUUUAGUAUGUAACAAAGUAAAUUGACUAAAAUAACAAGAUAUAACACACCAAAUUCACAUAGCUACAUAUCAAGUUGAACAAAAACAAAAUCAAGUACAACAAAUACCAUACACGUAAGUAUCAACAUACCACAAGCCAAAUACAUACGGUAGCAAUGCAGAGGCAAAACAAAAGAAAACACGACAUGCCAUUCCAUACUCGGUUAAAAUAUUUUCCGUCCAAUCUCUCACUUCUAUUACUAUCCGAACUAGACAUCCGUAGAUCCCUUGCACUUGCUCUCACCAAACACUAGCCCAUUCCUGUUCCUCGAAAUGAAGAUUGCAAGUCCUUGGUAUUGCUCUCAACUCCCGCGUACGCAGGUACAAGAAUCCGAGAUAAUUCACCACUCGAGUUGGCCAGCCCCAAGAGUAAAUUAUCUACCAUUGAAAUUCCUACCUGACGUACAUAACUAUUAUCCACAAGUACCAUGAGAAAAAUUUAAGACCUAUAACACUUUAUGGUUCAUAACUUAUGCUCAAAAGAGCACUUAGUCCUUCAUAUUUAUUCAAGAAAUCAGGGCCAUAACACCACUUGACCCAAACUCACUCUGCGUAGAGACCACGCGAAGUGGCUCCGAUACCACUUGUGACGAUCCCACCUCCCCCUAGGACGUACCCCAAGAUUUAGUGGUCUGCCUGCCCAAUUCGCGCCAUGACUCACUCACUUACUUCAAAUAAAAGAUGUUACAACCUCAAGAGUAAAGAAAAUAACAGCACCCAAACUGGGAACACUUACAUACAUUUCUACCUCAAAGUAAUACAAACCCAAAUAUAACAAAGGUUCUCAAUCUCAAUACUUCCAACCCUAUGCAGGCAUUAGAGCGAGUACAAUUGCAAAAAUUUGAACUAGACUAUGCUAUUCUAUACAAAUCUCUCGCCUUUGCUCGCAUCCCCUGUAAGAAAAAUAAAACUAACGGAAUGAGCUAAAAGUCCAACGAGGUUCCGUACGCAAUAAUCAAAUCAAUUAGACAAGGACAUUAAUAAGAUACUAACAAGUCAUCCAGAAAAUAUUUACAAUAUAAGGUAAUAAUAACACAUUCAUUACAAGGAUACAUGCUCACGUGGAGCUCUUUGUUCAUUCAUUCCACCAAUCAUUUCCUUAUUCCUCCAUCAUUAAAAUAAUUUCGUUUAUAAAUGAAAACCUCUCCAUUGUUCUUGCCAUUCAUUCAUUCAUUCAUUUCAUUUUUUCCCUACUGGACAUUGGCCAGUCUCCACCCGACAACGUGGUAAUACUCAAGUAUACCAAACUUUCACCCAGGGUCACCAAAUCGCCCGAUCGAGUCCGCUUCUGGCUCGAAUCGACCGGCAACGAAGGUCAAGGGUCCAGUUCGGCCACAAGGCUUACAUUCAUGCACAACUAGCAUAUAAUCAAAUAAUUAUUCAAAAUUUCAUAUUUAUUUAGGUCGAGUGCGAUAAAGUACACACUCGCCUAGCAAAACUCAUUUUCAGCAAUCAUUGAAAGCAUUUAACAUUUAAUCAAACAUCCACAACAAGUCACAUAGUCAAUGGAAACAUAACGUACAAAGAACAUUCACCUAUUUAAAGAAAAUAACGUCCAAAGUAUCCUUCCGGAUAAUAUCCUCCAUCACCAAGGAACCCUAAUAAUAACCAAGAAAAAAUAUUACGGUUAAACCAUCCAAAGUUUAGGUGAAUCAAAGAAAAUCUGAAUAACUACUAAUACAAAGUAUAAAUAUGGUUUUGAAAGUGAAAAGAGUACAUUCAAACCAAAGGACAUGAGUAAAAUAUUUGUAAAACUUAUGCUCGCUAGUAAAACAUUGAAAUCUCCAUUUGAGUCAAAAUGACAAAGAAAAUGUAUUUCUAUUAGUCGUAAAUUUCAUUUUUUCAAGGGUACAAGUUUCGACCGAAUUCUAACUUAUAUACCUCGAUAAAAGAAGACGCAAAUAUUCUAGAUGUUCAAGUGGUAUUCGUUCUCAAAUCCUAACCUAGUUCUCGAGUGUAAAUUUGGGCAGCACGCCCUUUGUAUUUACCUAUUUUUUAGCCAUUUAUGGAUUCAUUAUUUUUUUCAAUCAAUCCCAAAGUCACACACAGAUAAUCUCAUUACAAUAGCCGUUCAAUAGGCUCAAAAAUCAUCCAAGUACAACACAAGUAUAAUAAUCCAAUCGAAAAUCAUGUUUUGAAGGCAAAAGCCUAAAUCGCAGAUUCGACAUCUUAUAACAUUUUAGUCAUAACUAGAGUUACGUUUAUCAGAUUGGCCUGAACUUUAUACCAAUUCGAAGCUAAGAUAAAGGGCUACAACUUUCAUGAAAACUACUCAAUCCAGUUCACAAUUGAUCUAGGUCAAAAGUACAAAUUACAGAACCAAAAUGUUCUUGUCAGUACAGUUGCCAGUACUGAAUUCAAAUGACAAUAACUCAGGUUACACAAUUCCGUUUGAGGUGUUUUCAGUCGCGUUGGAAGGCUGAAACAUAGGGCUAAAAGUUUCAUGUUUUGGCCAAAGGCCAAUUUGAUACGGAUCAAGGUGACAAAAUGCAGCCAGAAUGAGAAAAUGUCAAAACUAUCCACAAAACUAUACCUAUAGUAGUAAGGGUAAUUUUGUCAUUUCAUAUGUUACAGUACUUGGAUUGAACUGAAAUUUUACAAACAGCUAAAAUACAUCAUUUCCUAUAACUUUUAUGUUUUAACCUAAGGCUGAUUCGGCCUCCAUCAUGGCAGAAUGAGACUGGGCAGAACAGGGUAAUACAAAAUCGAAAAAUUGGAAUUCAUGCAUUCAAGUGCUAAUCUUUACAAUUCUAGCCUGAAAACACUGCUUCACCUCCUUAUCUAACCUUAUUCACAUCAUAUUCUAUCUAAACGAGAAGAAAUAUAGCUGAACAAUUCAAAACCCUAACUCACAAAUUCUCCAUAAUCAUCAAAACUACUUGCAUAGCUAUCAAUUAACCAAGAAUAUGAGUUGUAUAGCAACUUAACCAAGAUUAAGGGAACUAAAGAUGAUGGACAGCCAAUAUACCUCACUAUGAUGCUUGUAAGAGAUAUCCACCACCUCUCCUUGUAAAGUUUUAGCACACCAAUCUUCCCAAGUGCUCAAAGAAAGGAUUAAUCGGUUUAGUUUCUUGAUUUUUCACUCAAAUGAGCUAAACCCCAAAGAUGGAAUGAAGCUUUCUUCUCCCUUUUUUUUUCUCUUAGGUUCUGCCAAGAUAUGUCAAAAUGGAGGAAGAAUGAAGCUUCAAGAAGGUCAAGGUGAUAGAAAUGAGCUUGGGUCAAAGAUGGUUUGAUUGUCUCCAAGUGUCACUCCAAGAUCUUUUCUCAAAUUUUUUCUUUUCCUUUGGUUUUUAUGGUCAAUAAUUUCGGCCAACAAGAGCUGAUUAGGGCUGAUAUUUUGGCUCUAAUAACAAUGAGAUUAAGUUAAUGAAGUGGUGUGUUCAAUCGAUAGUAAACGAUACCCGUCGGUUCAAGCCGAUUUUCCGUAAAUCGCGUGUACUAGGGCUUUUACUUACAAUUCACUGACUUAUUAUUAUUACUUCUAAUCAUACACUUAAUAUUAUCUAAAACUCACUCUAAAUCACUAAAUUUGAUACACACUCCGUGCCGAAUAAUUACACUGUGAAAAGGCACAAAAACCCUAAUUUACGAUAAUUUGAAAACGAAAGGAAAAACCCAUGAUUUAUGUUUAUUUGCACUUAUUGUGGGGUAAAUGAGUAGUAAGGCUAUUCUAAAGUAAUAAAUUUCAAAUAAAAGGGAAUUUUAAGAAAAAAUAUAAGAAAAUUUUUCCAGUCGUCACAUACUAUGCCACUUAUCGCUUAUAUACAUAACGCAACCCUAAAACCUACCUCGUAUCUCAAAAGUUCCACACCUUAUCUCAAGUUUUUUUUUCUUUUUUUUCAUAUGGUAUAGAAGCCAAAUCCCUUUUCUCAAAAUCUCUAUGCUUAAUUCCAAACUCUCGGUCUCGGCACGAUAAUAAUCAAGUCAGGUCCAUACGUUGCCAUUGAUGGAUAUGUAUCAAGAAAUACAUGCAAGAGUAGUUUAUCAAGAACCAAACUACGGGUAUCAAAUAUCGCAAGAGGGGUAGAAAUACCUAUAUAGUUGCAGUUAAACUGUCUCAAAGACAAGUAAACACUUAUCAAACCCUCACAAUCAUAGGAAAAAAGAACAAGUCUUCAAUGCAAAUUUCCCGACAUUCACUAUAAUCUGGUCACUGUUUAUAGAAACCCUAAUCAGACUAUUACUAAAUUAAUCCAUGAUAACAUUUCUAGAUCCAAUCCCUCCGAUCAGUCCAAUUUACUAGGCAAAUGUUAGAAUCUUCAGCGUCUUAACCUUUGCCAUCAAAACUCAUCACAAGUGCAAUCAAGAUACCUACCCUUAUUCUAGUGCUCUCCACUAUUUGGUACUCAAGUACAAAAAUCCACAAUAAGAUAAUUUACAACUCAAGCCGGCCGGUCCCAAGAAUAAAUCAUCCAUAUUAGAGAUUUCUACCCGACAUACAUAUAUAUCUUCCUCAAAUACCGCGAUAAGGGAUUUACACUUACAACAGACACGAUUCAUAGCUUACGCCCAAAAAGAGCAAUUAGUCAUUUACACUUAUUCAUAUAAUCGGGACCAUAACACCAUUUGGCCCAAACUCACUCCGUGCAGAGACCACGCGAAGUGGUCUGAUACUACCUGUGAUAGCCCCACCUUCCCUUAGGACGUACCCCAAGGGUUAGCAAACUGCCUGCCCAACUCUCGCCAGAACUACGGAGUCAAAUCACUCAAAAAUCCUACAAAACGUGCAAAAGAACUGCAAAAAAAUGAACAAUCGGAAACGGAUCUAAACACAAUUAUCAAAUCAUACGAUACAAUAGGACUUCGAUUAAACGCUCCAACGAAAACGAAACGAGUGGAUGCCACGUCAGAAUCCGGCCAAAAAUUGGCCGGAUAUCCCGCCGGAUUAGCGGCUGAAUUCAAGGCAGUGAGCAAACUAAUUUUUUUUCAAUCUCCCCUGUCAAUCCGGCCAAGUAUCCGUCCAAGAAUUGGCCGGAUUGUCUGCGGUCAUUUCCCGCCAGAUUUCUUGUCUUCCUUGUUCAAUUUCCACACUCGCCCGAUUUUUCAACAGAUACAAGAAAAGUUCACAUUACCAAUAAAACGUACCAUCUCAACCAAAUACUAUUAAAAUCACAUGAGUAAACACUUAUAUAUAUAUAUAUAUAUAUAUAUAUAUAUACAUCGGAGGGUUUAACAGUUCAACUAGCAAUAUGAGUCGGAAUAUACACAAUUUGUCAAAGUACACUUAGGGUUUGCCAGUACAAAGGAGCUUAAUCAAAUUAAUGUCUACAUCUAGCUCUACUCUUUUCUUCAAAAUCACGAUUCCUAACAUUUUGAACCCAGUAAGGAAAACAAAGAUAACGGGAAGGAGUGAGCUUAUGAUCAAUGAGAUAACACAAGUACAAGCAGUCAAGAAUCAUGAAACUUCACUUUUAUUCAGGCAAAUAUACACAUCAAAUAAGGAAAUGAACAAACACUUCAAAUAGAAAGGAUACAGGUGGCUCUCAAGAGCCAAAUUUCCUUGUCUUCACCAGAGCUUGAUCAAGUAGUAGUUGACACUCCAUUAACUUUCAAAUAAAGUAACCAGUUCAGUAGAGCACCACUUUACACCAAAUUUUGUCCACCAAACAUACCCCUUACUUGGCCCGAAUGCCUCAACAGGAACAGGGAACUGAACACCUCGAGUAUACCGGAAAUUCAGAGUCUCCAAUACCUAAAGAUUCCCCAAAAACAGGCCCCAUGGAUUGUCAAUUUUCCUCGACCAAACCCUUGUUAGCUCGAUUCAAUUAACUACCCAUGAGAUUGAGCUCAGAUUUCACAGGCACAGGAAGGUCGUUGGAUGCAAACCUCCAAACAAUAUCAUAUCAGGCACAAGUAACAGAUUCAAGUUUACACAGUAAACAAGUCACACAGGUCAGAGAACGAGUGUGAUAAAGGACACUCUCGUCUCGUACAAAAUAAUCAGAUGGUACAGUCAUUCAAGUCACAAAUGGCAAGUACAGAUAAACUAUUUAAGCAACGAAUCAUGGGAGUGAUACAUUCACCAGUUUAAGCAAAGAUAAUUUCAAAAGUUCCACUCGAAGUACGCCCUGGAUCACCAAUACGUCCUAAAACAACCAAGAAAAACAAUUGAAACUCGAUUACGAAUCGUAUGUCUAUCCAAAUGAACUACAAAUGCAAGGAUACAAAGGUAUGAUUUCGGGGCGAAAAGGAAACAUGAGAACCUAGGGGCUCGAACGACCUAAAACCUUUCAUUUCUAUCCAUGAUUAACCCAAACUCAAAGGUAUCAAGUAGUCCUAAAAAUUGGAUAGCACUUCCCCUUAGAUUCCUUUUCUUUCCACCCUACAAUCCAUCACCAAUCUCAACUCAAAUCAACUACAAUUGCACACACAAUACAUAAGUUAGAAAGCACACCUAAUUAGGGCCACAAUACCCUUCAAUUUGAGCAAAUUGAUAGCUCCAAAAUCAAUCACAAUAAAACCCCAAAUUAAAACCCCAAUCUGAAACUUACUCCCAAAAUCUGAAAUUUUCUUUAAGCAAGUCCAUCUAACAUAAUACCCUAAUAUUUCACAUAAUAAAGCUAUCAAACCAUAGCCAAUCAUUACUCAUCACAUGAGGGCAGAAAAAUCACCAUAAAAACUGAAAAUUUCCGUGACACCACUUCAAACCAUCAUAUGUCUCAUAAAACUACCUAUUUUGCAACCCUAAAUCACAAGUAUUCUAAUAUUAAAAGUAGAGAGGGAUUUCUUGGCAAAGUUACCUAAUAACUUCAAGAAAGGUGAUAGCUUAGUACUUCCUCCUCCAAAAUCACUCCACCAACCCCUUGGAAUCUCCUUAGUUAGCACUUUUAUGGAGUAGUUUGCAAAGUUGAAGGUUGGAACACAAGAUUGAAGCAAGAAAUUGAAGAUGCAACAUGAAGUUUUCUCUAUUUGUUCCUCUCAAAGUGUUCAGCCAAGAUGGAUGAAAGAAUGAAGAAAUCUUGGUCAAAAUUGGUGUUUAGUAAAGGUAAGAAAGGUUGGUCAAAAUCCAACUUCGAAUAGUGUCGCGACACGUGGCACCUUUAAGGUUUGAUCUAAUCCUCUUGCUUUCCAAUGGUUAAUCUAUCUAGUUACCCUCUAAUUAUUUCCUAACACCUUGUAAAAAUAUCCCUUUAUGCAAAACUACACCUAGGCGUCAAAAUUUUAUCGCACUUAACGCACUAGCGGGUCUCACGUCCAAUAUACACUACUAGCGUCACAUGAACUAAUUUAUAUUAUAAAAAAUAAUUUAAACACUAUACUCACUUAUAAAAAUGUAUAGAAAAUUAAUAGGUUAAAGGAAAGUAUAAAAAAAUGUAGGCAAGGAAAUAAAAUAAUGUCUAAAAAAUAUGAAAAAUUUCGGGUGCUCACAGUUUUGACCUUAAAUUUUCUCUCGUGCAAGUUACUUGAGCUUCCUUAAAAUGACUGAAGUGGACAAAAUUUUCUAAAUUGACAUAGUUCGGUUUUGUGACUAACAAUUGUCAAUAGAUGAAUGGUCAAAACUAUAAUUAGAAAUGGCAAAUAGGUGGGAUGCGCGAGAUUUGGGUAGGAGUUAAAUGGGGCUGAAAAAUAUGGUCCUAUGCCCAAGCAGUCCCAAACAGGUCAUGAGACCAAUAUGGAAGGGAUUAAAAUACGUUUGACUCAUUUUGAUACUGCCCAAAUACCCAAUAUACUCUAUUUUACUUUUUUUCUCUGUAAACCUUUCUCUUUUUACUUAUAAAAAAAGACUAUACUUCUCUUUAUUCCUCAUGCAAUAAUUUUUCAAAAUAAAUAUUUUUUGUCAAAUUCCAUUUUAGUAGUUUCCUUGAAUUAUUGGACCCAAAAAAUUAAUAAAUAUAUUAAUUUUAUAGGACAAUAUAAGAAAAAUCUAAAUGAGGUGCUUUUGGUUACCAAUUCAAAAAAUUUUUUACUGCUACCUUUUUAAUGUUGUACGAACUAGACUUAUUUCUUUUUUAUUUUAGUCUCAAAGUAUUCUAUGAGGACUUGAAAAAUUAAUCCAUAUAGUCCAUACUUUUAUUUAGAAAAUUGAAUGUGUUAUAUUUACUUUAUUAUUGAUUGAUUUAUGUGUUUAAUUGCUUUCCUUAUAAUUUAAGUGCAUAAGAGUACUUUAAACUAUUGUACGAUCAACCUUUAGGAAAUUAAUAUUAGUUAGAAUAAGAAUUUAGUGGGGUAAUAACAUAAUAGUGUAGAAAUGCAUGGCUCUUGUAGGAUAAAACUUUCUUAUGCAUGCAAGACAACACUUGUUAAAUUCAUGGACACUUGGCAAAAAUGACAUGCAAAAAAAAUUGAAUAAGAAUAAAACUCAUUUUGAACUAACAUUUCUUGCCAUUCUUCCACCUUGAACCUAAUAGAGAGAGAGAGAGAGAGAGAUAGAAACUUGGCUUCCAUUUCUUUCUUUUACUCUCAAACCAAGAGGGAGUUGAGGGUGAAGGAGAGAAUACAUCCUCCUUGCUUCCAAACCUGCUAAGUUGAGGGAAGAAAAUAAAGAAAUUUUGGUUCAUUUCUAUACUUGAAAAUUGAGAGAGAGAAAGAGAAGCUGCAUGCUCAUUUCCAACUUUCAUUUGUGAGAAAAGAGGAGUCAAUAGUGAGCAAGAGGGUAAUCCUAAAACCGAAAUGUCAUUUUUCACUUAGGGAUACGAGAGCAAAAGAAGUCAAGAUUAGCGAUAGCUCGAACCUAAAGUCUUCAUUUUGUAUUUAUUGUAGACAAACUUGUACUAUGAGAAUUAGUGGAUAAAUUCUUACUUUAACUUUAUUGCUUUGAAUGUAAGUGUGAAUGUCAUGGUUGAAUGGAUGGAGUAAAUGUUAUUUUGGGAGUUUAUUGUAGUGAGUUCUGACGAGAGUCAGGCAGGCGGUCCUCUAAACCCUACAAUGCCUUAGGGUGAGGUGUGGUUGUCAUAUAUUCUACUUAUAGGACUAAGACUAAACAUUAGAGACAAAAUAAUAUCUCCAAAUAAUUUACUCACACUAGCAACAAUAAAAAAAACUCAAAAAUUCAUCACACUAAAAACUUAAGCAUCAGAGAGAGUCAACACAUGAUAUUCACAUCUAUGAUGAAAAACAAGUGAGAACAUAAUAUGCCAGCAUCUAUAACAAUGCGACGCCAGCUAGUUUUUUAAUUCCACUGGGUUUAACUUGUUCACACUGGUCCCAUGGAAGGAAGAAAAUUCAAUCUUCUAUAUUUUUUGGAAUUUUUUUGGUAAAGAAAAAUUUGUAUGUGUUGAACUCCUGUUACCACUGAAUCAAAACAUAUUUCUUAGACCAUGAGCUCUUUAUGAAAAUUCUUAUAAAUCGUUUAUCAAUAUAGUUUUUACAUUCACAGUAAACUCAUAGAUUGCCCAUAAAAUGCACGAAAACUCCAAUUUCUCAUAAGUCACAUUCUAUGAAUUGAAAAGGGAAGUCUUACUAAUCUAUUAGUUCCUAGUAGAUUGCUGCAUUUGACAAUUAUAAGAAAUGCUACAUAAAUUAAUCCAAAAAAACAUGAAUUUUAUAAAAUAUUCAAUCUCGAUAUAUUAAUUAUUCAAGACUUUGAGUUAUGAGACAAUCUUGAUAUAUAAAAUAUUCAAGAUUUUUUUCAUGUUAAUCCCUAAAUGAUAAACACAUAAACUAGUUUUUGGGACAAGAUAAUUAAACACUUUGCUUAUAUAGCUCUUAAAAUGGAAAUUAGAUUUUAUAAGCAAAAUUAAAUCCUUAAUAUGUCUAGCACAUGUUUUGCAACUAAGAACAACUAAUGACAAGAUCAUAGGUUAGCAGAUAUUGGAAGCAUAUAGCCUGCGCUUUCAAAAUGUUUGGAAAUUAUUUGAACCAUUUAUUCUUUUGGGUUGAGCUCCAAGGCAAUUUAAAAUUGUAGUUAGCACAAACCUCACAAUCAUAUGCAUAAUGUUAAUACCAACUAAGUGCACUUGGGAAAAAGGCGGGCCUUAAGGAUUGAUUGGCAAAAGAACAAGAGACUCUAUUCGAUCUUGCAAUUAAGAGAGAGGAGAAGAUCGAGACAAAGGGAUUUAGGUUCAAAUUUCUUCUACAACCUUGUGGCAGACUAGGGAGACAAUUGUAUACUGUUGUUGUACCUACAACCGUGGCAGUUGACCAGUUAAACUUUAACUGGUAGAAUCCUUUUGUCAGGACUGCAAUUUAAGAGAUAAAUUGGAGCCACAAUGCAUUCGUGCUGUCAUUGAGUUAAGAUGAAGUUCUAAUUUAUGAAAUUCGUUUGAACUAAUGGAAAGAACAUUCUUCUGGCACAGUAGAUUUGUCGGCAGGUCUCUUGCUAAGAGUUAGAGAUCACUGAAAAGAAAGGCAUCUUAUGUCACAUAUUGUUCCAUUACCUAUGUGUUUGUAGAAUCAACUGUGUUUGAGUAUUUAAUUGCAUAAAAACUUAUCUUGAUUGACGUUCCUUUUGCCAGCACAAGAAGGCAUUGCAUGUCCUAAGCAAUGCGCUCUUGAGUACGAGACUUUAACUUCCAAGCAAAUUAGACGGAUUCUCUUCUUCCACACAGCGAAGGACUAUUACUCGAUAACAACAGUAACAAAACAAAGAAGAAGAACUUCUUUUGGCUUAAUUGGGCAAUUCUUCUCUUCGGAUUGUUUUGCAGUGGCAGACAAACAUGUAUAGCAUAUAUAAAGACCAUAGCAAAUAUUUAUACAAAAAUUCUGCUAUGAUUCCUGCCCUUUCUGUUGUCCUAACAUAUUUAAGAAACUUCUUCAUGGCCAAAUUGUAAAUGAACAAUUAGGUUGCAAAAUCUUACAUAUGCUUUUAUCUACUUUGUUGGCCUAGAUUAAGGAGUUUCGUGGGUGUAUGACUUGGACAUCUCGAGAAUUUUGAAAUAUCUAACAUGUUUUUCAUUAUUUUGUUGAUAAUGAUAUACUUAUUGGUAAUAAUGAAGGAUAAUAAACAACUAUUGCAGUUGAACAAAUGGUUAACUAUUGUAGCAUGAAACAGUCAUUUAAGUUGAUUGUUGAGUAUGAAUAUGCAUGACUUUAUUUUGUACUACUAUGGGAGCACGUGCAUUGAACGUUAUCAAUGUUUGUUCUCAUGAUGUAUACCAUAAUCAGCAUAUACCUAAAAUUAAUUACAAGAAUAGAUGUUCUAACUAUUUAAAGUGUUGUAGUGCUAUCAAUCUACUUCUUUGAUAAAAAAAAUUGCACAUCACUCAUGAUUUUUUAGAAGCAAUAGAGAAGUAAAUUAAAAAAGAAAGGAAAAUUACAAAAAAAAAAAAGAUAAUUACUUUCCUUCAAAUUCUAAAAUAAGCAAACUCCAAAAUAGUUAUCCUGGAUUGGUUGAAGAAUUGCUUUUGUUAAGCUAGAUUGUUUAUUAGUUUGAGUGCACUUGGGUUGCACAUUGUACACACACACGCGCGCGCACACACACAUGUAUAUAUACAUAUCUUUUUCUAAGAAAUGAUGUACAACCUAUGGGUGUAUUGGGCUUUUGGAUUUUUUCUAGUCUUCUUCAAAAAUUUGUGAUGUGCAACCUAUGGGUGUAUUGGGCUUUUGGAUUUUUUCUUAUCUUCUUAAAAAAAAUUUGUCCAUUUUCACUUUCAUUGCUAUGAAAAUUUUUUUCUCAUUAUUUUUCUUUUUCCUUGGUAGCGAAUCUAAGCAUAAAUUUAAGCUGGGUUUUGACUUAUAUUUGUGGAUUUUGAUUAAAGUGUUUGUCUUUGUUCAACUCAAUAAUUUUUAAUUAACCAAGAUUGUUUAGUGAUCCUUCAUUGUUGUUAAUUGAUCUUUCUCAACGAGGACAAGGUUCUUUAGUUGAUUUCUUUACAAUUAUUUUCCCUUGCUCUUUUCUUGGGUUAAUGUCAUUUUUACUUGUUAGAACUUGGUCUAUUCUUGUGACAGUUCCUUAUCAUGGAAUAACAGGUAUCUGCAGGAUAAGGGUGGAGUUGCCUGAUGCCUAUCCAUACAAAUCUCCUUGAAUUAGUUUUGUAAAACUAGAUUUACCAUCCAAAUGUUGAUGAAAGGUGAGUUUGAAGAUGUUGUUGCUUUGUUCAAGUUGUUCAACACUGUUUGAGAUUCCAAUGUCAAUUAUUUAGUGCAGCUUUGUCAUAUAAGCUUGCGGAUUCUAGGAAUACUCUCUAGUUUUCUCUAUGCUACACUGAAAUAUGACUUUUUGAAUACGUUGCCUAAAGUUACAAAUCAAGAUCAUACACUAAAAUACUACAAUUUAGCUCUCUUAUGCUAGAAAAUUUUGUUUAAAGUACUCCAUAUUGGUGCUAACAUAUUAAAGUAUGUCACGUCUUCACUCCUUUACUCUGAUAGCUAGUUUGGAUGGAAAGAUUUGAAUAGAAAAAAUAAGAAAGGAAGGAAAAGUUGACUUGUCAGAUGUUUGGGCGAUUUUCAGGAGAUAAAAAAGAAGGGAAGGGAAGGGAAUGGAUUUAGAAUGAUAAAACUUGUGCUACAGUUUAAAAAAAAUUCCAACCAAAUUCAGGUGGAAAACAAAAGAAACUCGUUGAAAGCCUACAAAAAUUUUUUAAAUACCCAUCUUGCCAUUAAUUAGCUAUUACAUGAAUUUGUAUUGACUUAUAUGUCCAAAAUCAUUCCACUUCUUUUCAAAACUCCCAAAUAACAUUAGAAUCACUUCAUUUCUCUUUGUUUUCUUUCUUUUCUCUCAUAAUUUAAGUUUUCUUAUCCUUUCCUUUUUGCCCUAACGUCACAAACUGGCUAUUUAAUCUCUUAAUUUUAGCAACCAGUGUGUUCAUUAGCCAACGCUCUAAUUAAAAUAAAUAGUAAAGAAACAAAAAAUAAUAAUAAAUUCUAUUAGUCUUUAUCUUGUUUCUCUAAUAGAAUGUAGGAUCUUACAAUGAUUUUCAUAAGAACUUUUUAGCUUUAUGACUUUAUCUCUUCCAACAUAUUGACGAAUACGACACAAUUAAAAAGUUUAUAGUGUAUUAUUAUAAAAUGUAUAAGUUAUCAAAUCUUUGAAGUGAGAUAUAAUAAAAGUAUAAUCUCCAGGAAAAUUUUCUAAAGUUUAUCAAUUAUUAUAUUUUCUACAUAAUAUGUUAUUGUAGUGUAAAAAAUUGCACGUACGCAUAAUGCACGCUAUAUCUGUGAGAUAAUUAAGUUGUUAAAAUAAAUUCUUUGAAAACAAUUAUAUAUUUGAUACCUUCACAAGUUAUAUUUAAUCAUGCCAUAGUGGAAAUAAUAGAAAGAAAAAAAUGAAAAGAUGGAAAGAUAAAUUCUUGGACAACUGAACGGCUUAUACCACACAAAAAAAGGUAAAAAAUUAAAAAUAGCGCAUUCUACAAGUUCAACUAUUUUGCCAUACCCACUUAUAACAUGGUUCUCCCUUUUGCACAAAACAUGUUUACCAUUGAUUUUGAACUUUUAAAUUGCUCCUCUACUUAACCCACAAUGAGACACAAAAGAAUCAUUUUAUUUUUGGUAGACAACAUCUUUAAUGAUAAAUACAAACUGCCCAUCAUAUUCAAUCAAAUAAUCACUCCUACAUUCUUCCAUAUGAUGACCAUGUUGUGUGAGUAAAUUCCAAGGUUGGUUAGCAAUUGCAUAACUUUCCUAAGUCUCUCCAAAAAAAAGAGAGAGUACACAAUCUAGAGAGUUAAGGGUUUGUUACAAUGUAGCGACGUCUAAUUAGUAACAUUCCAUGAGGGUAACAAAAUAAAAAAAAUUAAAAUUUGGUUAUAUAUGAAAAACAAGGUCUAAUUCUGAAAGAUUUUGGCAAAUUGCAACUUGCCAUGUUUUAAAGCAUAGGGUUCUACACCCUAGCAAGAUUUAUUUUUUAUUUUCAACUGGUGUUUAUUACACAGUAGGGUUUUCUAGAAUAAUGGUCAUAUGGUUUGGUUAAGAGUUUAAUUUGGACAAACCACUUUACCAACCUAUAAGAGAAUGUCCAUGGUAGAAGAUCUUCUAUAAGUGGAAUUCCCUUAAGAUUUGCUUGAUAAUCUUUUGUCAACUAUACUUUCUUGGAUGAUUUUCUUAUCAUCUCUAGAACUAUAUGUAGACAAUGAAAUUUUAAUUAAAUUCUAAAAAUUACCAUUGGUCUAUAAAAUAUUUUUGUCCAAUCGGAUAUUGUCAUAUGGCACGUACACUUGGAAAAAUUGGUUAUUAAAUGACCAAUUAUAUUUUGCCACGUGUCAAGGCGAGGUGUUCCAGAUCAAUUCAAAUUGCAGGGAUAUCUCCACCAAUCAGAUUAUAUCAUGUCACAUGUCCAUUGGAUAAAUAUCUAAAUAUUUAUUCCGUAUAAAAGAGAUAAUAUUUAGAGUUAUUUAAUCCAAGUAUAUCUCUUAUAUACUGCAAUAGUUUGGCCAAUCAAACGGCGCCAUGUCACGUGUCCCCACGAGUUUGGCCAAUCGAUAAAUUUCUUAUCUCUUUAUUAAUAAAUAUAAAAUGAAAAGAUAAUAUUUGACUGGUACAGUCCUAAUAUGACUGCACGUCUUGCAAGACAAGUAAAGUGGUACACAGGUUCUCAACCUCCACCUCUUGCUACACCUAUAAAUAGAGGUCUCUUAACCAAAUCAAACACACAGACAGAGACACAGAGAUAUCAAGAAGCAUCUCAUACACUCAAGUAUUGAAGCUUCAAGCUACGAAGGUCUGGGUCUCAAAGCUCCUCAAGUCUUCCGCAUAUCAAGGCUUGAGCCUUCAAGUAUUUUCAAAUCCUUCAAAUCUUCCAUAUCAAGAUUUGAAGGAGUCGGUGGUUGAUCCAAGAACAAGCUGCGAAACCCUUGGAUUGGUGUUCGAGGAGAAGAAUCGAAGGAAGCUCUCCAUAAGUUCGAGAAACUUCCAGAGAUUGUACCUACAUAUUUUUGCUAAGUUUAUAUAGUACAUAUUUGUCGUGUAUUUCUUUUUCUUGUCGUUUUGUAGAUUUGAAAUUUUUAUCGCGUACAAAUUUUUGGCAUGCCCGGUGGGACCAUCUCUGCCUUCCAUCUCUCCUUCUCGAAUAUUUGACUACGUAUAUCACCAAUGGCACCAAAGAGCGACAAAAUCAUGAUUGCACCUUCCAAGGCUAUUGAUGCUAAGCCUGUUCAAGAAGCUGCACAUGUCGCUACCAAUACCCGUGCUGUUGGUCCUGUGACAAGGAGCAUGACGAGAGCCUCCACCCAAAGUAGCAUGGAACCAUCGGCGCCAACUCCCGUCUUCGGGCCAAUAUCACAAAUGAGCUAUUCCUCCACGAUAGGGGUCCAAAACGUUUUCACCUCGAUUAAGAAGGCUCUUGCCAUGCUCGAAAUUGGAUCCGAACCCAAAUUUUAUAAGCAUGACGAUGAUUCAUCAAGCACUGGAUCAGCCUCUUCACAUGAAACUCUUCAUUCAAGAUUUUGUAUUGAAGAUUCUGCUGCUUCUUCUGCUGCAAUGCCUGCUAUGAUGACAAAUACUUUGAGUCUCGAAGAACAAGUUUCGAACAUGUCCAAGAUGAUGGAAACCAUGAUGAAACACAUCAAGGACCAAGAUGCUCUUAUCGCUCAACUGCUCACCCAAAAGGACCACGCUCCUGAGGGAAGCCAUAUGAAUUCUAAGGAGAACCAAGAGCGUGAAAAUCUCUCAUCUAAAGGUAAAGACAAGGUGAAAGAAGUACACGUGACCGCCGAGGGAACUAUCCCCGUAGAACAGUUGAAGGAACUUGUUGAAGGCGUGAUCAAGGACAAAAAUGGGGGUAGUUCAAGAUCGAGUUUUACCUACUCCAAACCCUACACUGCUAGAAUUGACAAUCUAGCAAUGCCUGCUGGAUAUCAACCGCCUAAGUUUCAACAGUUCGAUGGGAAAGGCAGUCCAAAACAACAUGUGGCACAUUUUGUCAAAACCUGCAAUAACGCUGGAACCUAUGGUGACCUGCUAGUCAAACAAUUCGUCCGAUCCUUAAAGGGCAACGCGUUUGAUUGGUACACUGAUCUCACUUCGGGGUCCAUCGACAGUUGGGAACAGUUGGAACAAGAGUUCUUGAAUCGCUUCUACAGCACUAGAAGAACCGUCAGUAUGCUGGAGUUGACUAACACUCGUCAAUGGAAGGAUGAACCUGUGGACAACUACAUUGAUAGGUGGAGAAGUCUGAGUCUCAACUGCAAGGACAGGCUGUCUGAACCCUCUGCCAUAGAAAUGUGUAUUCGAGGAAUGCAUUGGAGCCUAAGUUACAUUUUGCAGGGUAUACGCCCAAACACAUUUGAAGAAUUAGCUAUUCGUGCUCAUGAUAUGGAGUUAAGCAUCACGGCCAAUGCAACUGAUGGACUUCCUAUUCAAAUUCCGCGGGUACAGUCACCUCGACAAAACAAUGAAAGACAAGAAAAUAGAAAAGGGUGCAAGCCUCCUUCAAGAUUCAAUAAUAAGGAAUCCAUGGCAAUAAAUACAGCUCCCAUGAAGAUUGCUACCAAAGUAAGUCGAAAAGUCACCGAAAGAGUAGACUCUCCUCAAAAUAGGUCGGUAAGAAGACCUACUCUAAAAGAAAUGCAAGAGAAGGAGUACCCCUUCCUCGAAUCCGAUUUACAAGGAAUGUUUGAUGAUCUUUUCAAGGAGAAACUCCUUGAACUUCCCGACAUGAAGCGCCCAGAGGAAGUUGGUCAAGUCAAUGAUCCAAAUUAUUGCUGUUAUCAUCGCUUGAUUGGCCACCCUCUCACUAAAUGCUUUGUCUUUAAAGAUAAAAUUAUGGAAUUGGCCCGUCAAGGAAAAAUCCUUCUUGAGGAGGAUAAAGCGUCAGCAAACCAAACAACAAUAAUAUUUGGAUUAGUGUGUUGCCCGAUAGAAGUUCUACCCACAUCAAGCAGUGCUCUGUCUGUACAAACGGAGUUUGAAAAAUCGUCAAUUGAAGAUGUUGUCGAAGAUGAUAAUGAAGGAUGGACUUUAGUCACUCGAAAGAGAACUUGCAAGCCAAAAAUAAAGUACAUCUUUUCGAAAAGCAUCCAUUCGACAAAGCCAAAAGUAACGAUGAAACGACAAAAUGCAACCAGAAAAUAAAAGAGAGUGGCCAUAAAACCAAUUCUUUCAGAUUUUCAGCAGGUUCGGCAGCCCGUGACACUGAGAGAAUUUAUGCCCAAGGGGUAUUUAAGUGACGAUACCGAUGAUUUCACUUCUUGUAAUGUCGUCAAAACUGAAAAUCCUCAAAUCACACAAAUUGGCACUGAAUUUGAGGAAAAACUCAAAGUCGACGAUAAAUCACCGGUGGAUUGUGCAGCGACCAUCAUUUUUGAUGAUGAUGAUUUAACUGUUGAGUUCAAGACCCACAAUCGACCUUUGUUUGUUAGUGCAUAUGUUCGAGAACAAAAGAUGAGUCGGGUACUCAUUGAUAGGGGAUCUGCUGUCAAUAUCAUGUCCGUACGUGCUAUGAAAGAGUUAGGAAUCUCAAGUGAUGAACUCUCCCAGAGCCGCCUCAUGAUCCAAGGAUUUAAUCAAGGGGGGCAAAGAGCAAUUGGCCUCAUAAGGCUUGAAUUGCUCAUUGGUGAGCUGUCUUCAAGUGCGUUAUUUCAUAUCAUUGAAACCAAAACCUCUUAUAACAUGCUUUUGGGAAGGCCCUGGAUUCACGAGAAUGAAAUUAUACCAUCUACUCUGCAUCAAUGUUUCAAAUAUUGUCGAGACGGUAUUGUUAAGAAAGUUACUGCCGACGACAAACCUUUCACGGAAGCCGAAACUCACUUUGCCGAUGCCAAAUUUUAUCUUCACAAAGAAGCAAAAAGAAAGGAAUCAGUAAGGGAAGAAAGUCAAGAUUCCAAAGUACCCAUUUUGCGGUAUACUCCAAAAUCAAAGAGAGAAGAAGGCCAGUCUUCUUUUAUUAGAAAUGACACAUUAAAUGUUCCGCUCACCAAGAUAGAGCCUGUUAAAAUUGAGAAGGUGAGCUUGCAAGGGUUUGUUCCUCCCAAAGAAGAACCGGCAGUGGAACAUUACCCGCUACCAACUAAUCGGACUCAAGAAGGUUUUGAUCCAAACGCCUAUAGACUUCUUGCUAAGGCGGGUUAUAACCCAAAUGAGAAGAAUACAUUGGGCAAACUCCCUCCUGAAGUGACUGGCGAGAGGACUCACGGAUUGACACCUACGCAGAAAAUGUUGAAAGAAAGGGGCUAUAAUGUUGAAAGUUCAUCGAUGGGUCUUGGUUCUCAACCGCCCUCUCCUGUUCGUAUAAUGAUCAAAAUAGCGAGUUGUAACUAUGUGAACGAAGAAAUGGAGGUCACAAGCCGAAAGAGAUCUGUGUUCGACCGAUUGGAAAAUAAGUCAAAACGUACUUCUGUGUUUGACAGACUUGGCCCGCAGCCGAAAAAUCUGAAGUCGCCCGUCCAUGAGAGAUUAGGCAGUAAGAAACAAGAGUACCAAGUUGCCAGGGAAGAAAGUCUUACUCCAAUAAAGAAGAACAGACCAAGAAAGCGAGUCUCCAAUUUCUUCAUGCACUAUGGAGAUUUAUUCAAUGUAAGAAUUGAAACUAUUUUUGAAGAACAGGGUCAAGAAAGUACGGCUUCCUGUCACCAUAUUACGAUCAGUGACCUUGAAGAAGAAGGAGAAGAUGCAGAUGACGCUCUCGCUGAACUUGAACAAGGGGUAAAAAAUACGGUCGAUGAACUAAAGGAGAUUAACCUUGGCACAAGCGACGAUCCUCGCUCAAUUUACAUAAGCUCUUGUAUGACUCCUGAAGAAGAAAAAGAGUAUGUUGAUUUGCUGCUCGAGUUCAGGGACGUCUUUGCCUGGAAUUACUCAGACAUGCCUGGUUUGGAUCCAAGGGUCGCCGUUCAUAAUUUGUCCGUCAAGCGAGGAACAAAAUCUGUCAAGCAAACGCAAAGGCGCUUUCGGCCCGAAUUGAUUCCUUUGAUAGAAAAUGAGAUAAAUCGAUUGAUUGAAGCCGGAUUCAUACGAGAAGUAAAAUAUCCAACAUGGAUUUCAAGCAUUGUCCCUGUGAGGAAGAAGAAUGGGAAAAUCCGAAUUUGUGUUGAUUUUCGAGACUUAAAUGAGGCUUGUCCCAAAGAUGAUUUUCCGCUCCCCAUCACGGAAUUGACGGUAGAUGCUACGACCGGGCACGAAGCGCUAUCUUUUCUCGAUGGAUCGUCUGGCUACAAUCAAAUACAUAUGGCGUCCGAGGAUGAGGAGCUCACUGCCUUCCGCACCCCCAAGGGAAUUUAUUGCUAUAAAGUGAUGCCGUUUGGCUUGAAGAACGCUGGAGCGACAUAUCAAAGGGCAAUGCAAAGAAUUUUUGAUGAUAUGCUCCAUAAGAAUGUGCAGUGCUACGUCGACGACCUUGUGGUGAAAUCAAAGAAGCGAGAGGAUCAUAUUCAAGACCUUCGAAGAGUUUUUCAACGCCUUCGAAGAUACCAACUGAAGAUGAAUCCUUUAAAAUGCGCAUUCGGAGUUACUUCUGACAAAUUUCUCGGUUUCAUCGUUCAUCAACGGGGAAUAGAGGUCGAUCGAUUUAAAAUCGAUGCCAUCGUGAACAUGCCUGAACCGUGAAAUAUUCAUGAAUUGAAGAGCUUUCAAGGGAAGUUGGCAUAUAUCCGGAGGUUUAUCUCUAAUUUGACCGGGCGAUGCCAACCCUUCAGUCGACUGAUGAAGAAAGGGGUACCCUUCGAGUGGGAUGAAUCGUGUAGGAAUGCCUUUACAAGCAUCAAAACGUAUCUCAUGAGUCCUCCAGUUUUGGUUGCACCCAUCCCAGGAAAACCAUUGAUUCUUUAUAUUUCCGCCCAAGAACGGUCGGUUGGGGCCUUACUUGCUCAAGAAAAUGAUGAAGGGAAGGAGCAUGCGCUGUAUUAAUUGAGUCGGAUGAUGACACCUAAUGAGUUGAAUUACUCACCCAUCGAGAAGUUGUGCUUGGCACUUAUAUUUGUCAUUCAGAAAUUAAAACAUUAUUUUCAAGCACACACUAUUCGACUCAUAUCUAAGUCUAAUCCCAUUAAAUAUGUGAUGGCAAAACUUGUACUGUCUGAUCGGCUCGCGAGAUGGUACCUCCAGUUUCAGCAAUUUGAAAUUAUUUAUGUACCUGCGAAGGCUGUCAAAGGACAAAUAUUGACAGACUUUUUAGCCGAUCAUCCCAUACUUGCCGAGUGGGAGUUGACUGAUGAACUGCCCGAUGAAGAGGUAUUUAUGGUCGAAUCCCCGUGAUCAAUGUAUUUUGAUGGAGCUGCUCACCGUGAUGGAGCUGGUGCGGGAGUUGUCUUUUAUACUCCUGAAGCAGAUGUGUUGCCGUACUCCUUCACUUUAACACGCCGGUGUUCAAACAAUGUGGCCAAAUAUCAGGCGUUGAUUCUUGGUCUUGAAACGGCUGUAGAUAUGAAGCAGUUGCAUCUUAGGGUCUAUGGUGACUCAAAAUUGGUGGUAAAUCAACUUCUUGGUAUUUAUGAUGUCAAGAAACCUGAAUUUAUCCCAUAUUAUAAGUAUGCAAGACGACUCAUGGGAUAUUUGGAUAGUGUCACUAUAGAACAUAUCCCUAGAAAUUUUAACCAACAAACUGACUCUUUGGCAAGAGUAGCGUCCAUGAUCACUCUACCUUCUCAUCGAAAUCAGAUUUCAAUAUGUCAAAAUUGAGUCAUACCUCCGAUGUUUGAUGAAAGUAAUGAUAGUGAAGAAGAAAAUACUUAUCAUAUUUUUGUUCAUGAGAUCGAAAAGGAGGAUUGGCGUCACCUCAUCAUUGAUUAUCUUAAUCAUGGAAAGUUACCAGAAGAUCCUAAGAAAAGGGUUGAUAUACGUCGUCGAGCACCACGUUUCAUUUACUACAAAGGGACGCUUUACCGAAGGUCAUUCGAUGGGGUGUUUCUACGAUGUCUUGGAGAAGAUGAGGCCAUGCAAGCAAUGGAGGAGGCUCACUCGGGGAUAUGCGGUGCUCACCAGUCUGGCCCGAAAUUACACUUUCGUAUUAAAAGAAUGGGAUACUACUGGCAAACAAUGGUAAAGGAUUGCAUUGACUUUGCUAGAAGAUGUCAAGCAUGUCAAUUUCAUGGCAAUUUCAUCCAUCAGCCCCCUGAACCAUUGCACCCAACUGUGGCUUCUUGGCCGUUCGAUGCUUGGGGUUUGGAUAUAGUUGGACCACUUCCAAAAUCUUCUGGCGGACAUGUUUUUAUUUUGGCGGCGACGGAUUACUUUUCAAAGUGGGCUGAAGCGAUUCCUCUAAGAGAGGUCAAAAAGGAGAAUGUAGUGGAUUUCAUUCGCUUGCACGUCAUUUAUCGGUAUGGAGUCCCGCGUUAUAUCAUUACCGAUAAUGGUAAGCCUUUUUGCAAUGUAGCAAUGAAUAAACUUUGCGAGAAGUUUCAUUUCAAACAAUACAAUUCGUCCAUGUACUACGCUGCUGCAAAUGGACUCGCUGAAGCAUUCAACAAGACCUUAUGUAAUCUGUUGAAGAAAGUCGUGAAUAAAUCGAGAAGGGAUUGGCAUUUUCGAAUUGGAGAAGCACUUUGGGCAUACCGAACUACUUUUCGAACUCCCACGCAAGCGACCCCAUACGCGCUUGUUUAUGGUGUUGAAGCUGUUCUUCCACUUGAGUGUCAAAUACCUUCGCUAAAAAUUGCGAUUCAAGAAGGGCUCAGUGGAGAAGAUAAUGUCCGUCUUCGCCUUGAGGAGUUAGAAGCACUCGACGAAAAGAGAUUGGAAACCCAGCAACGGAUUGAGUGCUAUCAGGCCCGUCUUUCAAAAGCAUUCAAUAGGCAUGUCCGGCCACGCUCUUUUCAAAUUGGAGAGUUAGUAAUCGCUGUUCGGAGACCGAUCAUUCUCACUCAUGGAGGACAAAGAAAGUUCACUGCUAAGUGGGAUGGUCCAUAUGUCGUUCGAGAAGUAUAUACAAAUGGCUCAUACAAGUUGGUUGCUGAAGAUGGAUUAAGGGUUGGCCCCAUCAAUGGCAAAUACCUAAAAAGGUAUUAUGCGUAAUCGAAACCACGAGAAGCUCCUGGCCCGCAUGAGCUAAAACUGUGGAUGGCAACCACCAAUAGUGUAGCAUGUGGUUAAUCUGCUGAAACACUCCACCAAGUCUAAGGUGGUAAACAAAUAGAUACUCCUGGCCCGCAUGAGGUUAAAAUGUGAAAGGCAGGAACUACGUGUGAUUUGAUUCCCCUUGUUGGGAUACGUAGGCAGUUUGGAGGGCAACUUCUAAGUUCAGUUACACCACUUUAAAUCAAAUCCUUGUUCUUUGUAAAAAAAAAAAAAUUUUUUCUCUUUCAAAAAAAAAUAUAUAAAAAAAUAAUAAUAAUAAUAAAAUGCUCCAUUGAGUUCUUUUCUCUUAAAAAAAAAUAAGAGAUAAGAAAUUAAAAGCGUUCUAUUAUUAAAAAGAAAAAAAAAUUCAUUACAUAGAAAAAAUGAGUGGUUCAAGGAAAAGAAGAACAUGGUGGAAAGCCUAAAUAUCAAAUUUGUAUUCCACUACAGCUACUUUAUAUGAUUCAAGUGCAGACUUCUUGUCCUCAAGUUCCUUCACAGCAUCAUCAGUCAAGAUGCUAGUAUUUUCAAUGGAAGAUAGCUCAUCAUGCGCUUGGGUUAUUUCGGCUUGGAUUUCUUUGAAAUUCGCAUGCUUUUGAUCGAUAGUUGAGGUGAUUUCCAAGUUUUGUUUCUCCAAACUGAUGAGUUCCUGUUGUAAAAUCUUCUUCCUGGCUUCAAUGGAUUGCAACUCUUCUUCAAAACGUUGCAAAUGACAAGUUAGCUCUUCUCCCUUUGCCUUAACUUUCUCGAGUUGGACGGUCGCUUUGGAAAGGAGUUCUGCAUGUGUUUCUUUGCUCAUCCUUUCCCACGAUGAAGAUGCUAGAACAUCAUAAGCCUCUGCCUUGGCAAACAAUUCCAUCAAGUGGUCUUUUAAAGGGAGACCAUUGGCGGGAUCCGUUCUUGUGAUUUCUACAAUGAUUUCCUCUGCACACUCUUUUAAAGAAGAGAUCUGCUCAAUUGGAGUAUCAAGAAUCUGUCCGCGGAAAUCCAUCCACAAACUCUGCAAGUACUUUCUUCGAUGUGCCUGGAUCAACUUUUGGCCAUGAAAUUCCGAAACCAGUGCUACCUUAGGUUUUUUUCGAAUUUCGUGUGAACUAGUCAGCUCCUUCUUAUGCAUUGACGAAGUACCUCCACUGGGGGCAAGUUGUCUUGGAGUACUGAUAGCUACUUCGUCACUCUUGUUGUUUGAGAUUAUAUCAUCAGUUUCGAGUUCGGGUGAUGAAUUGUUACCAACACCUUCUUGACGGAAUUCAAGAAACGGGGGCUGAAAAGGAAAAAGUUAAAAAAAAAAUUUUUAAAAGGAAAAAGAUGGAGAGAUGAUUACCUUAAGUGGCGACACUCCAACCAACGGUGGUGUAAAGGAAAUCUCCUCCAAAUCAGAAGAUGUCCUCAUCUUCGAUCGGUUCCAAUGACGAUCUUGACUACUACUACCGCUCGCCAAUGAAUGGACCCCUUCUUGGGUAGAUCCGAUGUCCUGAACUUGAUUUCCUUCCUUUUCUAUAGCCUCGAUAGAAUCACGAUCGUCCACCGUUUCAAUUUCGAUAUCUUGUUCAGUACGAGUUGCCGAUAAGGAUUUCGAAACUUUGGGCGGCGUCUUUUUCGCUGGAACCGCUGGUUGCGCCUCUUUGAUGGCCUGCCGAGAGUCCUUGGAAGACUUAUUUUUUGCAGCAAUAUUUUUCGAGGGACUGCUAGUAGUUUUGUUCUUUCGCAGGGUGGAUGAGGCAAGACCCGUUACAAUCUUUAUAGCUCCAUUAUGAUGCACUGACUCGUUAGCGGAGGUAAUCUUACCCUUUUUCGAUGAUUGCUGAGGGAUCUUAACGGUGAAUUUAAAGGAAAUUGAAGAGACACUAUUUGACCGAGUCGACCACCAGGCGUCAUAGUCUUUUGUGAUCAAUGGAUGCUUCCUAUGCGCUGGUAUAGUCAUCCGAGAUCGCGUCUGUGUGCGAACUGAAGAAUCCCAUAGUUGAAUAGCCUCGCCCAAAGUGUAAGUAUGAGUGAUUUCUUUCAAGUUGUUGGGAAUGUCUUGACAAAAGCCGAAUUGUCUGCUAAACCUGCAAGGAUUAUAUUUUUCAAUAAUAAAAGUAUUGUCCUUACGUAGAGUUAAAUGGCAAGAGCGUUGACUAAUGAAAUAGCUCGUGAGUCUUGAUGAUAAGGAUCCGUCAUCGAUCAACGCCUUUUCUUCAUUCUCAGUCCAGCACAAUUUAGGGAGCAUCAAAGGAUUCACUUCUUUGAAAAUUUCCUCAUCUUCCAAUUGACCAUAAAAUAUUGUCAUUUUCUUACCACUAAAUCUCGUCAUGCGCGCGUGGUGGCUACUCACUUGAUUAUUCUCGUGAUAUACGUCAAAGUAUUGGCCAAUCCAAGCAUAGACGUAAUGGAUUGGAAAAGCUACCCCGCAUUCUCCAAGGUUAGGGGCGUAGACGAUCUCCCUCAACCCAUGAUAUAUGCUCGCAAGGACGGGAAUUGCAAGACAAAAUCUUUUCCCUGUAGCCAUUAAGCAUGCAACUUUAAAGACACUUGGGCGAAUGCGAUCGAUCUUUUUGCUUGGCAAAAGAAACUUGCAAAUCCAGCACGCUAUGAAUGCCGCAAUAUAGGUUUCCUUUCUUAAAUAUCCUGGAAUGUCCAGUGUGUCGAAAGGGACGUUGAAGUCCUUCGUAUCAGCAAGGUCGUAAGUCUCCACGCUUCCAGAAGGGUUGUAAGUCAUUUUUGGUUUAGAUGUGGUUUUCCUUCUAUUCGCUCUACUCGGAGGAGCACUAUACCUAGUCUCUCCUUUGAACCAGAAGCGAAUCCAGUCUUUCAUCCAUACCCCUUGGUCGUUCGUCCAAAGGUGGUAGUAGGCAGAAAAGAGGUGCCUGCAGCUCUCGGGGAGAAGUGGCUUCCCUUCUUUGUCACGAGUGAGGAGCUCCCGCGCCGAAGGAACAACUUCAUCGAAAAACGCGCCGUCAAUCGAAAGGCCACCAAGUCGAUAAAGGUCCCAAAGUGUGAUGGACAACUCCCCAAAGGGCGUAUGGAGCGUGUUCGUCGAGGGACACCAAUAUUUGAAGAAGGCCCGCAAGAUAUUUUCACAGCGAUCGUAGGAGUAUCUCGACGCGUAGACGGCUUCAAAUAUACCAGCACGUGUGAGUAUGUCUUUAUACCUUCCAAGCAUGUCCUCAACCCACUCCCAAUAAUGGGAGGUGAAACACGCCUCACCGAAGAAGGACGAAGGGAUUUUUCAUGUAGCUUUGUCAACAUUGAAUCCCACGAACGGAAGUGUGAACUUGGCUAUUUCCGGAUCUCCAUUAUGAAGAGACGAGUUUAACACAACCACUUCUUCUUCUCUCGACGUAGUAGAGAAAGUCGACGGCGCCACCACUUCCUUAGUCCACUUGCUAGUCCAAUUGUCAAGAUGAAAGCAUCCUUCGAGGGAUAUGAAGGAUUCAGCGAGCGGGCCAAUUGCGGGUUUGUAAACAUGUAGUGACAAGCUUUUUGACUGCGUGCCUCCCCGUUCAUCUGUCAGCGAAAUAUGUGACAGUGGCACGGCGUAGUCCUUAAUUUGCAUGGUUACUGGAAUUUUGAAAAAAAGGCACGAGGUGGGCUAUCUACGGGAGGACAAGUUAGUAAAAUUGAAAUAUUGACAUGAGGUGGGGUAAAAAAAAAAAGACAAAAAAAAAAAAAAAAAAAAAAAAAAAAAAAAACAAUUGAGGUCGGAGUUCUAGAAAAAAAAAGAAAAAAAAGGAAAAAAAAGAUAUUUCUUGUUCAAAAUAUCAUAUUGGGUAUUGUCCUAAUAGAUAAAAAAAAAAAAAAAAAAAAAAAAAAAAAAAAAAAAAAAAAAAAAAAAAAAAAAAAAAACGAGGCAAACAAAAAAAAAGGGGGCAAACGAAAAAAAAACAACAAACAAGCAAACAAAAAAAAAACAGAAAAACAAAAAAAAACAAAAACAGGGAAAAAAGAAACACUUAGCAAUUAAACAUUACGGACAGAAGAAAGGGAACUUCAAGUACCUGGUGAGCAAAAAGAAAAAAAAUUGUUCAAACACUACCAAUGGAUGACAGUUGAUGCUUGCGGCUCAGUGAAGAUCUUAAGCGUUAGACGCUGUCAAGACAAAUUAAAGCAAGUAUGGGUACCGUCGAUACAAGAAGGUAUGAAGGUGUGUGAACGAGAAUUAGAGCGACUACCUUCAAAGCUAUAGUGGAAGAAGCAACCAGAUCCUUCAAACGGCUUGCAACAUUGACAACGAAAAUGUUGUUUCCGAAUCUAUUGUUGCACAGACUACAAGGGUAAGCCGCGGUUCCAUGCAAAGUAGUAGAACAAGAAACACAAGCAGGGUGGUACCAUAGCUUGGAGGAGUAGUGCGUACCUUAAAAAUAAUCCUAGCGUAGCUCGGCACGUUCUGACCAACUCCAAAUUGAUUCUAUUAGUUUAAGGGGCGGCAAGGCCAAGCAAACUAGCAAAUUGUGAAUGACGGCAGUAGCAAAAAUAGGGGACGUAGCAGCGGCACCUCGUGACAACAAUAUUCGGGAAUCAAAAGGGAAGAGAAAUUUUUUUUUUUUCUUGAGCAAGUUCACGGCUUUGGACUUGGGGGAUUUAUAGGACGAAUCUCUACUACAAAUCCGGAAGAAAGUUGAGUUUAAAUACAACUAGCUUCCUGGUCCGCUUCAAUCGUUUGAAGGAUAUCUUCAGGGGUCCUAGCAAUUAAGUCGGCUGUAUAUUGGGAAGUGGAUUCUACACUGGUUUCAGGGGGCUUGCUUCUAAAAAGGACCAGUUUAUUAUCCCAUGCGAUAUAGCUUCCAUUCAUGUUGGCCUUGGAAGGAAUUCUUGUCGCAACCAACCCCUAUAAGCUGAGCAAGUCAUGUCGGCAUGGAAACUUGCGCAGCGGUGGAGUUCAUGAUUGAUCAAAGAAUAGGAUGUUUGUCUCGCAAUUGAAGUUGAAAACUCUAGGCAAACCAAAGAGUAAUUUGCAUGCAAGGUGCACCAGGACAAAUGCUUACGAGGUAGAGUUCAUGUAUGGUUUCUGUUCGGGUAUUGAAGGCUUGUUGCGGUCAGCUUCUUAUUAAGUGAUUUACCUCACGAGAGUAAUCUCCGCAAAACUUCAGAACUCCAGAAGAGCUAAAUCCUUUGAUCCAAGGAGUCCUUAAGGUGAGUUUGAAGUUGAUUAGAAUCUGGCUUCGGGACCUUCCUGAUUGGUCAAUUGAGAUUGGAAUGUGCAUGUCCCGUAGGCUUCUAGUGAAUUUCAAAUCCUAAUGGAUAUGGUGUUUACCAUCCGAAGCCGAAAUUGGUUUACCGAAGUCUUUGGGAUUGCGUUGGUGUUAGUGGAAUUUGUGAUAACAUAGAGUUUUAAAUCAAUGUGGAGUUGGGCAAGUGAGCAAGCAUGACUUGUUGUGUCGUGGGCUAUGGUUGUGUUUCAACAAAGCCGUGGACUGGAGGUAGUUGCACGUUUGGGUCUUGGAAAUUGAGAUCACUAAUUCACCAAGUUUUGUAUGCAUUUGAUAACAUAGCGGUGGAAUUUAUAAUGUCUUGCAUGACCACCUUAUGUCAAUGAAAGCAUCUCCUUUAAAGUAUCAUUAGUCUAUAUUGGUCUAUGAGGCACUUGAUAAUACCAUGUCGUAUGACUUUGCCGGUGGUUUAAUAGACACGGCAUUGCAAAGGCUUUGGAUAAAGUCCAUGAGUUGAUAUUUGAAUUGCAAAACUUUGAGCAAAGCCAUGACACUAAAUGGACUUUGCUUGGAUUGAUAUUCAAACGGUGGACAUAAGGCUUCCAAAUGGAGUGAUCCGGCCUCGGGAAAUUGAAGGCACUAGUGGUCUUGGAAAUUGAGAUCAAUAAGGCAUGAAUUGGUGGUAUUCCACGUAGCUAUCCUAUAUGAUGCAAGUCAUUGAUAUAAAGUUUGCAAAGCUUGGAAUUUAGCCCAUUUAGGAGUUUUAUUUGAAAGGCUAAAAUAUCAACGGUGUUCAAGUUGAAACAAAAAAAAAUGUCAAAACUUGUCCGUUCAAAAUUUGCUUCGGUCUUCAACAUUCACGAACAAGUUUCGAGAGGGCAUUUGUAGACAAUGGAAUUUUAAUUAAAUUCUAAAAAUUACCAUUGGUCUAUAAAAUAUUUUUGUCCAAUCGGAUAUUGCCAUAUGACACGUACACUUGGAAAAAUUGGUUAUUAAAUGACCAAUUAUAUUUUGCCACGUGUCAAGGCGAGGUGUUCCAGAUCAAUUCAAAUUGCAGGGAUAUCUCCACCAAUCAGAUUAUAUCAUGUCACAUGUCCAUUGGAUAAAUAUCUAAAUAUUUAUUCCGUAUAAAAGGGAUAAUAUUUAGAGUUAUUUAAUCCAAGUAUAUCUCUUAUAUACUGCAAUAGCUUGGCCAGUCAAACGGCGCCAUGUCACGUGUCCCCACGAGUUUGGCCAAUCGAUAAAUUUCUUAUCUCUUUAUUAAUAAAUAUAAAAUGAAGAGAUAAUAUUUGACUGGUACAGUCCUAAUAUGACUGCACGUCUUGCAAGACAAGUAAAGUGGUACAUAGGUUCUCAACCUCCACCUCUUGCUACACCUAUAAAUAGAGGUCUCUUAACCAAAUCAAACACACAGACAGAGACACAGAGAUAUCAAGAAGCAUCUCAUACACUCAAGUAUUGAAGCUUCAAGCUACGAAGGUCUGGGUCUCAAAGCUCCUCAAGUCUUCCGCAUAUCAAGGCUUGAGCCUUCAAGUAUUUUCAAAUCCUUCAAAUCUUCCAUAUCAAGAUUUGAAGGAGUCGGUGGUUGAUCCAAGAACAAGCUGCGAAGCCCUUGGAUUGGUGUUCGAGGAGAAGAAUCGAAGGAAGCUCUCCAUAAGUUCGAGAAACUUCCAGAGAUUGUACCUACAUAUUUUUGCUAAGUUUAUAUAGUACAUAUUUGUCGUGUAUUUCUUUUUCUUGUCGUUUUGCAGACUUGAAAUUUUUAUCGCGUACACUAUAGACCUGCCAUUUUGUAAGGAAUGCUAAGUGAGUUGAACGAAAUACAAAGUAAGAAAUAACAUGAAAGAAUUCCUAUUCAAGUGCAUCCCAUCAUGGAAACUUAAACUUUUUUAAAAAGGCAUGUAUUUACAUUGGUCAUUCUUACCUAUCUUUGGAUUUAUUGUCUAUACAUAUCUAAAAGCUUCAAAUUGAAAGAAUUGAUUACUUUGUAAUGCUUCUAAACUUAAUCAACACAAACAUUUCUCUUAUUACGUGAUAGAACAGUUGCAUUUCAUUCUCAACUGUCAAGAUUACCUUUUUCAAAAUCUAUAUGAAAAGCACAAUAGAAAGCAUUUGUUUGCAACUAUAAUAAAAGUUGGCUUUAGUUAUGAUUUUUUUUUUGUCAUCAAAGAACUACAUCUAGCCAGGAAAAUGCCACAGUCUCACAUCACCGUUUAAAGGCAAUAUCUAAGACCACAAAAUUCCUAGCUAAGGUUCCAGCAAAAAGAAAACAAAUCAUUUAAGAAAUUUUCUUUCCUCACUAAGCUUGUCAUUGUCUUUUGAAAAUACAACAAAAUGGAUAUAUCUACUUGUUUUGAAGUUUAAUUUAGUUUUAAAUUAUUUUGUUACUACACUAUCAUAAUCAUAACAUGAGAGAAAAUUCAACACAAUUGUUUACUAAUCUUUCUUAACGAGGACUAGGUUCUUUAGUUGAUAGCUGUAAAAUUAUUCUCCCUUUCUCUUGUUUUAGGGUUAAUGCCUUUUUACUUGUUAGAACUUGUUCUGUUCGUAUGGCAAUUCCUUAUAAUUGAGUAGGAGGUAUGUGCUGGAUAACAAUGGAGUUGCCAAGUAUUUAUCCACAUAAAUCUCCUUGAAUUAGUUUUGUAACUAAGAUUUACCAUCCAAAUGUUGAUGAAAGUGGAUCGAGGAUGUUAUUACCAUAUUGAAGUUGUUCAACAAUCUAUAAGCUCAGUGAGAAAAAAGAGUGAUAUCUAAUCAAAAAAUAUAAUCUCUAGGAAAAUUUCCUAAAGCUUAUCAAUUAUUAUCCGUCCUACAUAAUAUCUUAUUAUAGUGAAAAAUUGCACAAUAAUAAAAGCAGGCCUUAGUUUUUUCUUGUCAUUAUUUUCCUUGCUACAUCUAGCAAGGAAAAUGUCAUUGUCUCACAUCACAUUUAAAGGUAAUAUCUAUGAUAAUAAAAUUUCUACCUAAGUUUUUAGUAAAAGAAAACAAUUCAUUUAGAAAAUCUUCUUUCCUCAUUAAGCUUGUUAUUGUCAUUUGAAAAUACUACGAAAAGGAUAUAUCCACUUGUUUUGAAGUUUAAUUUAGUUUUAGACCUUUUUUGUUGCUACAUAAUCAUAAUUUGAGAGAAAAUGCAGCACAGUUGUUCACUAAUCUUUCCCAAUGAGGACCAACUUCUUUAGUUGAUUGUUUUACAAUCGUUCUCCCUUUCUCUUGUUUAAGGGUUAAUGUCUUUUAAACUUGCUGGAACUUGGCUUGUUCUUAUGGCAAUUCCUUAUAAUGGAGCAGGAGGUAUGUGCCGGAUAAUGGUGGAGUAGCCAGGCACUUAUCCAUGUAAAUCUCCUUGAAUUAGUUUUGCAAAUAAGAUUUAGCAUCCAAUUGCUAAUGAAAGUGGGUUGAGGAUUUAUUGCCUUAUUGAAAUUGUUCAACAAUCUAUAAGUUCAGUGAGAAAAGAGAGUGAGAUCUAAUCAAAAUAUAAUAAAGUUUAUCAACUAUUAUCCGUCCUACAUAAUAUCAUAUUAUAGUGAAAAAAUUGCAUGAACGCAUGAUGCACGCUGUAUUUGUGAAAUAAUUAAGUUGUUGAAAUUAAUUCUUUGACAACAAUUAUGUAUUUGAUACCUUCACGAGUUAUAUUUAAUCAUGCCAUAGUGGAAAUAAUAGAAAGAAAAAAAUGAAAAGGUGCAGAGACAUUCUUGGACAACUGGAUGGCCAAUGAAACAAAAAAGGUAAAAAAAAUUAAAAAUAACUCAUUUUACAAGCUCAACUACUUUGCCACACCUACCUAAAACAUGGUUUUCCCUUUUGCACAAAACAUGUUUUUCAUUGAUUUUGAAUUUUCAAAUUACUCCUCUACUUAACCCACAAUAAGGCACAAAGGUAUCAUUUUAGUUUAGGUAGACAAUAUCUUUAAUGAUAAAUACAAACUACCUCCCAUAUUCAAUCAAGUAAUCACUCCUACUUUCUUCAAUACGAUGACCUUGUUGUAUGAGUAAAUUCCAAGAUUGGUUAGCAAAUGCAUGUCUUUCCUAAGUCUCUCCAAAAAAAAUGAAAAAAGAAGAAUAUACAAUUUGGAGUGUUAAGGGUUUAUUAGAAUGUAGCGAUGUUUUAAUUAGUAAUAACCCAUGAGGGUAACCAAAUAAAAAAUUAAAAUUUAGUUAUAUAUGAAAAAAAAUAUCUGAUUCUGAAAGAUUUUAGCAAAUUCUAACUCGCCAUGUUCUAAAGCAUAGGAUUCUGCACCCUAACCAAGAUUUAUUUUUUAUUUUCAACUUGUGUUUAUUACACAGAAGGGUUUUCUGGAAUAAUGGUCAUAUAGUUUGAUUAAAGUUUAAUUUGGACAAAACACUUUACCAACCAAUAAGAUAACAUCCAUGGUAGAAGAUCAUCUAUAUGUGGAAUUCCCUUGAGAUUUGCAUGCUAAUCCUUUGCCAACUAUACUUUCUUGGAUGAUUUUCUUAUCAUCUCUAGAACUAUACACCUGUCUAUUUUUAAGGAAUGCUAACUGAGUAGAAUGAAAUACAAAGUAAGAAAUAACAUAAAAGAAUUCCCAUUCGAAUGCAUCUCAUUAUCAAAACUUAAAAUUUUUUUACAAAAAAAGCAUGUAUUUACAUUGGGUCAAACAUUAUAACCUAUCUUUCAUUUACUAUCUAUACACAUUUAAAAGUUUCAACUUGAAAGAAUUAAUUACUUGUAAUGCUUCGAAACUUAAUCAACACAAACAAUUCUCUUAUUUUGUGAUAGAAUCGUACCAUUUUAUUCUCAACUGUCAAGAUUAUCGGCUUCAAAAUCUGCAUGAACAACACAAUAAAAGACUUUUAUUUGCAACAAAUAAAAGUGGGCAUUAGUUUUUUUUCACCAAAGAGCUAUAUCUAGCAAGGAAAAUGCCACUGUCUCACAUCACCAUUUAAAGGCAAUAUCUAUGACAACACAAUUCCUAACUAAGUUUCUAGUAAAAGAAAACAAUUCAUUUAGAAAAUCUUCUUUCCUCAUUAAGCUUGUCUUUGUUAUUUGAAAUUACUACAAAAAGGAUAUAUCCACUUGUUUUGAAGUUUAAUUUAGUUUUAAACCUUUUUUGUUACUACUCUAUCAUAAUCUGAGAGAAAAUGCAGCACAGUUAUUCGCUAAUCUUUCUCAAUGAGGACCAGAUUCUGUAGUUGAUUGCUUUACAAUCAUUCUCCAUUCUCUUGUUUAAGGGUUAAUGUCUUUUAAACUUGUUAAAACUUGGCAUGUUCUUACGACAAUUCCUUAUAAUAGAGUAGGAGCUAUGUAUUGGAUAACAGUGGAGUAGCCAGGCACUUAUCCAUGUAAAUCUCCUUGAAUUAGUUUUGUAAAUAAGAUUUAGCAUCCAAUUGUUGAUGAAAAGUGGGUUGAGGAUGUUAUUGCCUUAUUGAAGUUGUUUAACAAUCGAUAAGCUCAGUGAAAAAAGAGAGCGAAAUCUAAUCAAAAUAUAAUCUUUAGGAAUAUUUCCUAAAACUUAUCAAUUAUUAUCCGUCCUACAUAAUAUCAUAUUAUAGUGAAAAAAUUGCACGUACUUAUGAUACAUGCAGUAUAUGUGAGAUAAUUAAGUUGUUGAAAUUAAUUCUUUGAGAACAAUUAUGUAUUUGAUAGCAUCACAAGUUAUAUUUAAUCGUGCCAUAGGGGAAAUAAUGAACAAAAAUGAAAAGAUGCAGAGACAAAUUCUUGGAUAACUGGAUGGCAUAUGCAACAAAAAAGGUAAAACAAUUAAAAUUAACUCAUUCUACAAGUUCAACUACUUUGCCACACCCGCUUAUAACAUGGAUCUCCCUUUUGCACUAAAUAUGUUUAUCAUUGAUUUUGAACUUUCAAAUUGCUCCUCUAUUUAACCCACAAUAAAACACGAGGGAAUCAUUUUAUUUUUGGAAGACAAUAUCUUUAAUGAAAUAUACAAACUGCCCCUUAUAUUCAAUCAAAUAAUCACUCCUACUUUCUUCAAUAAGAUGACCAUAUUGUGUGAGUAAAUUUCAAGGUUAGUUAGCAAUUGCAUGUCUUUCCUAAGUCUCUUAAAAAAAAAAAAAAAAACAGAAGAGUACACAAUCCGAAGUGUUAAGGGUUGGACAGAAAGUAGCGAUGUUUUAAUUAGUAACAUCCUAUGAGGGUACCAAAUAAAAAGACUAAAAUUUGGUUGUACAUGAAAAACAAGAUCUAAUUUUAAAAGAUUUUGGCAAAUUGCAACUCACCACGUUUUAAAGCAUAGGGUUCUACACCCUAACCAAGAUUUAUUUUUAUUUUCAACUUGUAUUUAUUACACAAUAGGGUUUUCUAGAAUAAUAGUCAUAUGGUUUGAUUAAAAGUUUAAUUUGGACAAAGCACUUUACCAACCAAUAAGAGAAUGUCCAUGGUGAAAGAUCUUCUAAAUGUGGAAUCCCCUUGAGAUUUCCAUGUUAAUCCUUUGCCAACUAUAUUUUCUUGGGAGAUUUUCUUAUCAUCACCAGAACUAUAUACCUAUUUUUUUGUAAGGAUUUCUCACUGAGUAGAAUGAAAUACAAAGUAAUAAAUAACAUGAUAGAAUUCCCAUUCGAGUAGAAUUCAUCAUUAAAACUUAAAAUUUCUAAAAAAAAAAACAAGUAUUUACAUUGGGUCAAACAUUCCAACGUAUAUUUGGAUUUACUAUCUAUACAUAUUUAAAAGUUUCAAACUGAAAGAAUUAAUUACUUGUAAUGCUUCUAAACUUAAUCAACACAAACAUUUCUCUUAUUUUGUGAUAGAACUGUACCAUUUCAUCAUCUUUUUUUUUUAUUUUUAUUUUUUUAACUUUAAUCUUUAUUUAUGAACUGAAAAGAGUACAAAGAGAGACAGCAACCAACUACUGCCUAACAAGCUAAAGAAGCUCUACUCCUACGAAUGUUCGGAACGCCUAACCGAUCAAGAUUAACAUCACCCCUCACCAGGCAAGGCAACUCAGAAAAUGAAACAUAUGUUGAGUUAAACCCAGCGUCCACACCCACAUUGGCCAAUCUAUCCGCAGGCCUAUUCGCUUCCCGAAAGCAAUGAGAAAUCUCUCUAAGCAACCCCUUAGCAUUCAACACCUCCUGUAAACCUCGUUGCAACUGCCAUGGACACCUCACCGUUCCCCGAAUAAUCUGAACUAACACCAAUGAAUCUGAUUCGAUGUGCAAAGCACUGUAUCCCCGAUCUACGGCCAACCGAAUCCCAUGAAGAAGCGCCUCCAAUUCCGCCUGCAAACUUGUUAGCUCCCCAAAAAAACAUGAGAACCCUAGCAGAAACCUUCCCUCAUAGUUACGAAUGAUGCCUCCCCCUCCACUCAUGCCAGGAUUACCUCUAGAGCAACCGUCAGAGUUUAGCUUCACCACCGACUGCUUCGGACACCGCCAACGAACAAUUUGCACAUGAUAACGACGUGCCAAACCAGCCACAGAUUCAAAGAACCUCGGCCACCCGCGGCAAGAAGAAACAGUAUUCUUAAACCUAAUCUGGAAUAGGUCUCGCAGAUCACAAAAAAUUCUAUCACUGACUAUAGCAACAGGCAAACUCUGACCCUCGAACACAAACUUAUUCCGCAUUUUCCACAAGUGCCAACAAAUCAAAGACGGCAGCACACGAAAAAGAAACUGAAGAAACGGGUUCCGAGUAGGCUUCAACCACCAACCAAUCACCUUAUGUCGUAUUGUCGAGAAAACACCAAACCCUCCCACCACCACUUCAAAAGACUCCCAGAUUUGCCGUGGAACCUCCCCAGUGCAGAAAAUAUGAUCCAGAGACUCCUGACAUGGGAAGGAACAACAAAAACAGCGAGACGGCCCGACAACCCCAAGCUUUUGCAAACUAUCCAUCACUGGCAAUCUAGCCCCCAGCAGACGCAGCAUAAAAAAGGACACAUUACUCGGCAAUUCCUGACCCCAGAGGGAGGAGUAUAGACAAGACCUGUUACCAACCCCACGAGCACUUUGGUAGGCCGACGAUAGGGAGAAAUCCCCUGAGGUACUGGGAGACCAGACCAUUCUAUCCGAAUGCGUCUCAGCGGGAGGUUCAACACACAAGAUCUGCCCCACCCACCAGCUGGGCAGCACAGAGCACAGCCUCUGCACGUUCCACCGACCAUGCUCCACGAAAUCGGAUACUGCAUAUUCCUGGAAAGAGUCGACCUGGCGACAUAAAGGACCUUGUCCUAACCAAUCAUCAUGCCAAAAACUUGCCGAUCCAUUGGACAAGACCCAGCGAAUCUGCUGCUCAGCAACCCCCUGAAUAGAUAUCAAUCUCUUCCAAGUCCAAGAACUCCCCGGCGAGACGUCCGCAGAGCAAGGGUGGAAAUUCGGGCAGUAUUUACAAUGUAAAAACUCAGCCCAUAAAGACUUCCGCAAUCUAAACUGCCACCAAAGUUUCAUCGAGAAAGCGUCGAACACAUCCCUCAACGACCUCAAACCUGCACCUCCCCUGUCAUAUGGCUGACACAACUGCUCCCAUUUGAUCCAGUGACGCCCUCUUCACCGCGUCAAAAAUGUUACCGAACUGCUUACGAGACCAAACUUGCAAGUCCCGUUUGACAUUCCUCAGUUUAGCGGUUAAACGACUCAAAGGGCGCCCAGAACAAGGAACUGCCCAACUCCAACUGUCAAGAUUAUCACCUUCAAAAUCUAUAUGAAUAACACAAUAAAAGGCUUUUGUUUGCAACAAAUAAAAGUGGGCAUUAGUUUUUUUUUACCAAAGAGCUACAUCUAGCAAGAAAAAUGCCACUAUCUCACAUCAACAUUUAAAGGUAAUAUCUAUGACAACAAAAUUCCUAACUAAGUUUCUAGCAAAAUAAAAUAAUUCAUUUGGAAAAUCUUCUUUUUUGACUAAAGUUGUCAUUGUUAUUUGAAAAUACUACAAAAAGGAUAUAUCCACUUGUUUUGAAGUUUAAUUUAGUUUUAAACCCUUUUUGUUCUCACACUAUCAUAAUCUGAGAGAAAAUGCAGUACAACUGUUCGCUAAUUUUUUCCAAUGAGGACCAGGUUCUUUAGUUGAUUGCUUUACAAUCAUUCUCUGCUCUCUUGUUUAAGGUUAAUGUCUUCUAAACUUGCUGAAACUUGGCCUAUACUUAUGGCAAUUCCUUAUAAUGGAGUAAGAGGUAUGUGCCGGAUAACGAUGGAGUUGCCAGGCGCUUAUCCAUGUAAAUCUCUUUGAAUUAGUUUUGUAAAUAAGAUUUACCAACCAAUUGUUGAUGAAAAGUGUGUUGGGGAUGUUAUUGCCUUUUUGAAAUUGUUGAACAAUCUAUAAACUCGGUGAGAAAAGAGACUGAGAUAUAAUCAAAAUAUAAUUUCUAAGAAUAUUUCUUAAAACUUAUCAAUUAUUAUCCGUCCUAUAUAAUAUCAUAUUAAAAUGAAGAAAUUGCACGUACGCAUGAUGCACGCUAUAUCUGUGAGAUAUUACGUUGGUGAAAUUAAUUCUUUGAGAACAAUUAUGUAUUAUAUUCCUUCACAAGUUAUAUUUAAUCGUGCCAUAGUAGAAAUAAUGGAAAGGAAAAAAUAAAAAGUUGCAAAGACAAAUUCUUGGACAACUGGAUGACAUAUGCAACAAAAAAUGUAAAAAACUAAAAAUAACUUAUUCUAUAAGCUCAAGUAGUUUGCCACACUCACUUAUGACAUGGUACUCCCUUUUGUACAAAAUAUGUUUAUCAUUGAUUUUGAACUUUCAAAUUGCUCGUCUACUUAACCCACAAAAAGACAUGAAGGAAUCAUUGUAUUUUUUAUAAACAAUAUCUUUAACGAUAAAUACAAAUUGCCCCUCAUAUUCAAUCAAGUAAUCACUCCUACUUUUUUCAAUAUGAUGACCAUGUUGUGUGAAUAAAUUUCAAGGUUGGUCAGCAAUUGCAUGUUUUUUCUAAGUCUCUCCAAAAAGAAAGAAAAAAAGAAGAGCACACACUCUACAGUGUUAAGGGUUUGUUAGUAUGUAGCGAUGCCUUAAUUAGUAACAUCCCAUGAGGAUAACCAAAUAAAAAGACUAAAAUUUGGUUGUACAUGAAAAACAAUGUCAAAUUCUAAAAAAUUUUGGCAAAUUGCAACUCGCUUCAAAGCAUAUGAUUCUACACCCUAAGCAAGAUUUAUUUUUUAUUUUUAACUUGUGUUUUUUACACAGUAGGGUUUUUCGGAAUAAUGGUUAUCUAGUUUGAUUAAGCGUUUAAUUUGGAUAAAGCACUUUACCAAUCAAUAACAAUGUAUCUCAUCAUUAAAACUUAAAGUUUUAAAAAAGACAUGUAUUUACAUUGGGUCAAACAUUCUUACCAAUUUUUGGAUUUACUAUCUAUACGUAUCUAAAACUUCAAAUUGAAAGAAUUAAUUACUUUGUAAUGCUUCUAAACUUAAUUAACACAAAAAUUUCUCUUAUUUUGUGAUAGAACAGUACCAUUUCAUUCUCAGCUGUUAAGAUUAUCUCCUUCAAAAUUUGUAUGAAGACCACAAUAAAAGACUUUUGUUUGCAACAAUAAUAAAAGUAGGCAACAGUUCCUUUUUUGUCUCCAAAGAGUUACAUCUAGCAAGGAAAAUGCCACUGUCUCACAUCACCAUUUAAAGGCAAUAUCUAUGACAACAAAAUUUCUAACUAAGUUUCUAGCAAAAGAAAACAAUUCAUUCAGAAAAUCUUCUUUCCUCACUAAACUUAUCAUUGUCAUUUGAAAAUACUACAAAAGGAUAUAUCCACUUAUUUUGAAGUUUAAUUUAGUUUUAAACCUUUCUUGUUACUAAACUAUCAUAAUCUGAGAGAAAAUCCAGCAUAGUUGUUCACUAAUCUUUCCCAAUGGGGUCAGGUUCUUUAGUUGAUUGCUUUACAAUCAAUCACCCUUCCUCUUGUUUAAGGGCUAAUGUAUUUGUUACUUGCUGGAACUUGGCCUGCUCUUAUGGUAAUUCCUUAUAAUGGAGUAGGAGGUAUGUACCGGAUAAUGAUGCAGUUGCUGAGCACUUAUCCAUGUAAAUCUCCUUGAAUUAGUUUUGUAAAUAAGAUUUACCAUCCAAAUGUUGAUGAAAAGUGGGUUCAAUAAUCUAUAAGCUCAAAGAGAAAAGAGAAUGAGAUCUAAUCAAAAUAUAAUCUUUAGGAAAAUUUCCUAUAGGUUAUCAGUUAUUAUCCAUCCUACAUAAUAUCUUAUAAUAGUAAAAAAAAAAUUGCAUGUACGCAUGAUGCACGCUGUAUCUGUGAGAUAAUUAAGUUAUUGAAAUAAAUUUUUUGAAAACAAUCAUGUAUUUCAUACCUUCACAAGUUAUAUUUAACCAUAUCAUAGUUGAAAUAAUAGAAAAAAAAUGAAAGGGUACAAAGACAAAUUCAUGGACAACUGAAUGGCCUAUGCAACAAAAAAAUUAAAAAUAACUCAUGCUACAAGUUUGACUACUAAUUUGCCAUGCCCACUUAUAGUAUGGUUCUCUCUUUUGCACAAAACAUGUUUACCAUUGAUUUUGAACUUUCAAAAUGCUCCUCUAGUUAACCCAUAAUAAGAUUCGAAGGAAUCUUUUUAUUUGGUAUACAACAUCUUUAACGAUAAAUAUAUACAAACAGCCCUCAUAUUCGAUCAAGUAAUGACUUCUAUUUUCUUCCAUAUGAUGACCAUGUUGUGUGAGUAAAUUCCAAGAUUGGUUAGAAAUUUCAUGUCUUUCCUAAGUCUCUCCAAAAAAAAAAAAAAACAAGAAGUGUACACAAUCUGGAGUGUUAGGGAGUCAGUAGAAUGUAGCAACAUCUUCAUUAGUAGCAUCCCAUGACGAUAACUAAAUAAAAAUAUUAAAAUUAGAUUGUACAUGAAAAACAAAGUUCAAUUUGGUAGGACUAGGUUCUUUAGUUGAUUGCUUCACAAUUAUUCUCCCUUUCUCUUGUUUUUAGGUUAAUGCCUUUUUUACUUAUUGGAACUUAGCCUGUUCUUGUCAAUUCCUUAUAAUGGAGUAAGAGGUAUGUGUCGAGUAGCGGUGGAGUUGCCAGGUGCUUAUCCAUAUAAAUUUCUUUGAAUUGGUUUUGUAAAUAAGAUUUACCAUCCAAAUAUUGAUGAAAAGUGAGUUUGUGGAUGUUAUUUCCUUGUUGAAGUUGUUCAAUACUCUAUAAGUUCAGUGAGAAAAGAGAGUGAGAUCUAAUCAAAUAUAAUCUCUAGGAAAUUUUUCUAAAGCUUGUCAACUAUUGUCUCUUCUAUAUAAUAUCUUAUUAUUUUGUAAAGAACUGCAUGUAUGCAUGAUGCAUGCUAUAUCCAUGAGAUAAUUAAGUUGCUAAAGUAAAUUCUUUGAGAACAAUUUUGUAUUUGAUACCUUCGCGAGUUAUAUUUAAUUGUACCGUACUGGAAAUAAUGGAAAGAGAAAAUAAAAAGAUGCAAAAACAAAUUAUGGACAAUUUAAUGGCUUAUGCAAUAAAAAGGGUAAAUAUAACUCAUAUGAUACAAGUAAAAGCUCAACUAUUACUUUGCCACGCCGAUUUAUAGCAUAGCUCUCCUUGAUCAAUUCUUUACACAAAACAUGUUUGUCAUUGAUUUUGAACUUUCAAGUUAGUCCUCAACUUAACCGAUUAGCUAUUGCAUGUCUUUCUUAGGUUUCUCCAAGAAAAACACGAAUAUUGCACAAUCUGGAGAGUUAGGAGUUUGUUAGAAUGUGGCUUGUCUUAAUUAGUAGCAUCCCAUUUAGUAACCAAAUAAAAAAGAUUGAAAUUUGGUUAUACAUGAAAAACAAAUUUCAAUUCUAAGAGUUAUUAAGGGUUAUCUUUGGACGCCGUACUUUUCCAACCUAUAAGGGAAUGUCCACAGUAGAAAAUCUUCUAUAGGUGGAAUUCCCUUAACAUUUGCAUGAUAAUCCUUGCCAACUACACUUGCAUAGAUGAUAUUCUUAUCUUCUCUUGAAUUAUAUAUCUCUUUUCUUUUCUUUUUUUUUAAAGAAAUGCUAAAUGAGUAGAACGAAUACAAAGUAAGAAAUAAUAUGAAAGAAUUUCCAUUCAAGAGGAAAGUUUUUGUGUGACAGCCCCAUCUCACCCUAAGGCAAACCAAAGGGUUCGGCGGACCGCCUGCCCAACUCUCGCCGGGACUCAGUCAUACCUCCAUCAAAAUCGGAAUAAAACUACAAGAAUUAAAACGAAAUGGAAGGGGCCGCUACCACGUCUCAGUCCAACCAAAUACAAGUAAACUUUGUUUGCUAUGAAAGAAUGUACAUUCCCGAAUCCGUAUGUCACCUAAAUAAGAGGAAACACUUUAAAAUAUUAGCAAAUUUACAAAUCCAAAAGGAAAUAUUAUAUUAAGAUACAUUUAGGGUUUCCAAAUUGUCAAGGAACUAUACCAAAAGAACAAGAGAAUUUCUACCUAGCUCAACACAUUCUUCAAAACAUUGAAGUUCCAAAAGAUGGUUCCCUGUAAGGAAAACAAGGAUAACGGAACGGGGUGAGCUAAAAACUCAAUGAGGUACCAACAGUAUAAAUAGUAGAAUCAGUAGAAUUCAUGAGAAAGCAUUUUGGAGGCACAUAUUCACAUCAAAUACGAGAAAUGAAUGAAUAUCACAAUGUAAAGGAUACAGGUGGCUCUCAGGAGCCAAAUCCCCGUUGCUAUACUUGAUCCAAUCUCGUUGACUCUCCGUCAACGUUCAAAUACAGGAACCAGUCCAAUAGAACACCACUUUAAUGCCAAAACCCCGUUCACCAAACAUACCCCUUACAGGGCCCGAACGCCAAACAGGAACAGGAAUGGUAAUACUCGAGUAUACCAGAAAUUCAGAAUCUCCAAUACCCAUAGAUUCCUCAGGAACAGGCACCCAUGGAUUGUCAAUUUCCUCGACCAAGCCCUCGCUGACUCGAUUCAAUUAACUCUCCAUGAAGUUGAGCUUAAGUUUAACAGGAAGGUCGUUGGAUACACUUCCAAACGACAUCAUAACAAGUGCAAGUAACAAAUUCAAGUAUAUAACAGGUACAAGUAAUAGAUUUCAGUUCGUUCAGUACAGGCAAGAGAACGAGUGUGAUAAAGUACACCCUCGUCUCAUACAAGAUAAACAGUCAGGAAAGACAUUCAAAUAGCAGUUUGCAAGUACAGAAAACCAGUUUAGCAAUAAUUCAGGGGAGUGGUGCACUCACCAGUUCAAGUACAGAUACUUCAAAAGUUUUCAAUUGAACCAAAGUAAAACAAUUGAAGAUUCCACAUCCAAAAUCGAGUAAAUAGAAUGCACAAGUGAGGCUCGACUGCUAGUCGUAUGCCUCGCCAAAUAAUUACUAAUGCAAGGUGCAAAACAUGAUUUUUGGGAACGAAAAGGUAACAUGAAGACCUAGGGUUCAAAUAACCCAAAAGGCCUUCAGUUCUACCAAAAGGCAACUCAAACUUAAAAGAACCAAACGGCCUAAAAAAUUGGACAGCAUUCCUCCUAAAUUUGCUUACUUUUCCGGCCAUCAAGGCUUCCUUUUUCCGUCAGUCAAUCCCAAAGUCACACACAAAAUAAUUUCAUUUCAAUAGCCGUUCAAUAGGCUCCAAGUAGUACAAGUACAAAUUCAAGCUAGUGAAAAGUUCGGAAAGGAAAACAGGUUUGACGUUGUUUUGCGUAACGGACACAACGGAGGCUACGCUUAUCGGAUUGGAAUGUAAUUUAUACUAUUUCGAAGCUAAGACAAAGGCCUAUAACUUUGAUGAAGACCACUCAGUCCAGUUCGUAGUGUAGCUAGGUCAAAAGUGCAAUAUAUGAAACCAGAAUCUCACAAAUAGGUUAGCUAACCGCACUAUGGUUAAACGAAAAUAACUUAGGCUACCGAAGUCCGAAUGAGGUGUAUCUUAUGGCGUUUCGAAACCAAGACAUAUACUUACAUUUCUUAUGAAGACCUACAAAGCCAAAUCAUGCAUUUUCAUGGUCAAAAAUGGAAGUUUCCACGAAAACAGAAAUCUGGGCGCGAAACAGGGUUCAUGGAUAGUCAAGGGUAUUUUGAUCAUUUCACAUGAUACAAUACUUGGAUUGAGCUGAAAUUUUUCAGGCAACUAGCUAACACCAUUUUCUACAACUUUCAUGUUUUAACCUAAGCCUGAUUCAUCCUCUAACAUGCUCAAAUAAAUCCGGUCAGAACAAGACAGAUUUGAAACCCUAACCUGAAAUUUUCCGCACAAGCUGAAAUUUUUCGCAAAUAACCGCAAUUAAUACACAAGAGCUUCAUUUAACACCAUAACAAGCUAUCAAUCCAAGACCAAUCCAUGAUUUUAAUAUAAAAUCAGAAAAUCCCCUCAUAAAUCAGAAAUUCACCAUAAAUUCCUUCAACCCAUGAAAUACUCCACAACAUAACAUACAUGACAACCACAAACCAUUAAUUAACCAAUACUAGAACAAAAGGAAACUUGUAUAUCCAACUUAUCUCAAAUUCAAGAAAGCUAUCAACUUAGAGCUUCCCUUCCAAAACCAAUCCAUCAAAAGCUUUAAACCACCAUAGUGAGCCCUUGUAUGAAAUAUUUUCCAAAAUCAUCGAUUAAAACUCAAGAUUUUGGCAAAGAUUGAAACUAGGAAAUUUGAGAGCUUUCUCUCUAUGAAGCUCGGUCAAGCCAGGUGAAAAAUGAAGAUAUUUUGGGCCAAAAAUAGGAUAAGUAAGAAAGAAACAGCCGGUCAAAGCCUCUGACCGACUGUGACAUGUCACAAUCCGGCCGGAAUCUAGCCGGAUUCGAGGCAGAGGCAAAACUCUUUUUUUUUUCAAAACUGCAAGGCAAUCUGGCCAGAAACUGGCCGGAUUUCCAGCCGGAUUUGGCCCCUUCCUCUUUUGAAAAAUUUUUUCUUCUUUUUUCAAGUUUAAAAACUGCGUUCCUCCGCUCGUCCAACAAAGAUUUAUAUAAAAGGAAAACCCUCCUUUUCGGGGCGUCACAUUUUGAAAGGCAUGUAUUCACACAGGGUCAAAUAUACUUACAUGUCUGUCGAUUUAUUGUCUGUACAUAUCUAAAAGCUUCAAAAUUGAAACAAUUCAUUACUUGACAAUGCUUCUAAACUUAAUCAACACAAAUCUCUCUUAUAUCAUGAUAGAACAAUAGCAUUUCAUUCUCAAUUUUCAAUAUUAUCUCCUUCACAAUCUUUGUGAAGGCCACACUAAAGAGUUUAUGUCGAUAUGAGAAAAGGCUUUUGUUUGCAACUAUAAUAAAAUUGGGUAUUAGCUAUGUCGUUUUUUUUUUUUGUCGCUAAAGACCUACAUCUAGCAAGGGAAAUACCACACUAGUCCCACAUCACCAUUUAAAGGCAAUAUCUAUAAUGUCAAAAUUCCUAGCUAAGUUUCUCACAAAAAGUAAUAAUUUAGUAAAGCAUUUUUUCUUUACUCACUCAGCUUGUCAUUUGAAAAUAAAACAAAAAGGAUAUUCCCACUUGUUUAGGUGUAGAUAGGGCUGCAAACGAGCUGAGUCGAGUCGAGUUUUGGCCUAAUCGAGCCGAAUCUUGACUUAAUUUUAUUGAACUCUAACUCGAUCUUGAGUUCGACGAGCUGACAAUUUAAAAGUUGAGCUCGAGCUCGAAAAAAUAAAAAAUAAUUAUUUUAUUUUUUAAAAAAUAAAUAAAAUAAUUUUUUUUAAUAAAUAAUAAAAUAUUAAGGAUAUAUAUGUAAUUUUACUAUUAAAAUAAAAAAUAUAUAUAUACUUAAAAUAAAAGAAUAAAUAAUAUAUAUUUAAAAUAAUAUAUAUAUAUAUAUAUAUAUAUAUAUAUAUAUAUAUAUAUAUAUACUCGAGCUUGCAAGCCGGGUUUAAUAUUUUGAACUCGAUUUCGACUCGAGCCAACUCAAUAUCGAGCUCGCGAACGGCUCGAUUCAUUUGCAGCCCUAGGUAUAGAAAAUAAACGGAUCCUGUUGUAUUUGGCGAGAAAGAUUCCUUACCAAAAUUCUAUACCUUACGGCAAAAAAAAAUCGAAAAACAAGAACUCCAAAAAUCUGGCCUUUUUAAAGAGCAAUAGAGGACGCUAGGUGAAGAUGUUGGUAAGUUUUUUUUUUUUUUUUUAAGAAAAUGAAAUUUUUCAAAGGAGAGAAAAUUGCAACUGUUAUGAUAUCGUACAUAAACUGAGAACUGAUAAAUUUUGGGAAAUUUUGUUAUGAAGUGGCUCUUUGCUGCCACUCAAAGUAUGGUGACAUCUAACAAACACAUCUCUAAUUGGGCUUGUCAAUUGGGUUGGACUGACCUAAGUUCAGUCCGUUCGGUCUUAAAUUUAUUCGAUUGAGUCUUAUGCAAUGCAAUAAGUUGGACUAAAAUAUUUUACUACUCGAUAUGAGUGUAAAUUGAAUUUGGUCUAUACUAAGGUUAACACACUUAAAAUUCGGCCCGACUAACAUAUGUAUAUUGAAAUGUAUACAUACAUACGUACAUAUAUAUAUUGUAAAUCUAAUUAUUUAUUUUUGGUAUCCACUACUAAAGUACUAUAGUGAUUGUAUUUUAAAUGGCUAAUUUUAUGAUAAAUAUUUUUUCUAUCUCUUAUGGAUGUUUUGGUAAAUUAUAGUACUUCUCAUCAUGAAAUUCAAACUAUUUUUUGUUUUGUUGUUGCAAUUUUAUUUAGAUAUUAUAUAACAUUUAUGAAUUUUCUAAUAGUUUCAUUUAACUAAAUUUCAUUAUCAUGAAAGACAUAUCUUUUUCUUUUUGAGUCAAACAGGAGUUACAAACUUGUGAGUGUAGCUGACUUGAGAUUAGGUUCAAAAGAAUGGUAUGUUAUGUGAAUUGAUUUUGAACGUGUCAAAACUCAACUCACAUAACCCAAUAGAAAAGCCUAUCCCCAACUUAUGAAGCAAAAAGAGUUUUUUUUUGUUAAUUGUGGCAUUUGUAUUAAGCUAUUUGGAAAAAUGGAAGCCCAAGUAAAGCAUAUAUGUGCUUGGUAUUCACUUCACACCGUAUUGGCUUGAGAAUUAUGCAACUUAGCAAAAGCUUGAAGACUUUCAAAAAGGAAGGUUGAUUUUGAAACACAUAAUAGGUGACACCACUGCAGGGCAAAUUUUUAAAGAUGACAUCAAUUUUCGGUCUAUACAUUUUUACUAAUGAAGAUUAUUUGUUUAUUUGUUUUCUAUAGCUUAAAACAAAUGAUCUAUUACUUGAUUGACCAUACAUGAAUUAUGAUGUGCAUACUACCCUGGUAAAAGGACAUGUCUCUGGCGAAAUAGUCUCUGCAACCACCAAAAUACAUCAAUCAGAAGGUGCUAGGGAGACAUCUCGAAGAGUUCUUUUUCAUUACUUAGAAGAUUCAAGUUUGAAAAUUCGUGAUGGAAAGGAAAAUGUUGGUGAAUGAGUGAUCUAUACAUUUCAAAGUACUUUUUCUUCAUCAUGGUGCUACACAACUGGCUGAAAAUUAGUGGAGAACUUCAAGUCAUAACUGAAUCCAAAAAUGAAUCUUGAAAACAUAAGAAUUUUGUCAAUCCACAACAAUCAAGAGACUAAAUUUCCUGUUCACUUUGAUCAGAAAUGAGAACGAAAAAAAGGAACAAAGGCAGAAAGAAAAUUGCUGUCCUUAUCAGUCAUCAUACACCAUGUUACUUUACAUUUUGACAAUUUCGCAAUUCGAUAACCUUACAAGACUAUGUUGACAGAGGCAUAGUUGAAAGAUCAAGAAAACAUUCUUGAAUCUACAUAAACUGCCAUAAUAAACGAAUACGGUAAAUUCAUGCAUACGGUUUCUGAGAGAAACAAAGAGUUUGUUUGGAUAAGAGUUUAUUUGGAUGAUUUAUUUGAGAUAAUUACUGUAGCACUUUUUGUGAUGUGAUAUAUGUGAGAUAAAAAGGUGAUUGGAAAGAUAAAAAGGUGAUUGAAAUUUGUGAAGUAAGUUUUUUUAUUUGAAAUCAAAGUUGUCCAAACAAACCCUUUCCAAUUGAAAACACUUUAAUGUCAUCACAAACAAGGAACUAGAAGAGAAAACAAUUAAAGUUGUCCAGUCAGGUUAAAAUCGCUCUAAUCUGUUAGCAAAAUGCAACUAAACUUUUUACGAUUCAUCUAACAUACAAAUACAACACCAAAAGGAUGUCAAUCUUUAACACAUGGAGGUUCAAUCCACACACUUUGCCGCUCCAUAUCUGCCUUCCAUGAAUCUUCAAUGCUCCAAAUGUUCUAGGCAAUUUGUUCCAUAUUUCCCUCAAUUGCAUUCCAUCCAAGGCUUUCAGGCAAUUUAUACCACUCAUCCCUCAAGGAAUAAAUCCUCCAAAAACUAUUCCGAAAGAAGUAGCAAAUGCAGUCGUCCAGGUCCUCUCCAGCCUCAGCAGCCGGUACACAAAGCGAAGCAUCACUGGCAAACAAUGUUCGCCCUGCCAAGCUUUUCGAAGCCCAUUUCCAGUCAGAAUUUUCAAAGCUAGACCUAUCAAACCCGUAAACCUUCCACAGAAUCUCUCUUGGAAUCCCGUAACCCCUAAUAUCAUCAUCUUGAUUAUAAACUACAGCAGUUGCCUACCGAAUCUCUCCCCAGAUUCAACCAAAUGAACGGAUUCAAUCAGGUAAGCCAACCCCGACCCCCCAAAAAUAUCUCUCAUUUUUUUAUCCAAAAAAUCGAACUAUCACAAAGUUCCAUCCUGGAAAACAAAAUAAAGCAUCGCCUCGACAUGAAUAUAAACCAUACUUUUCACCACUCUGAACUUAAACUCGACAGGGACCAAAUAAGUGCUCCAAGUUCCAACUCCAUUCAUCAUCCCCGAACCUAUACGUGUCAAUGUGGGUAUUUCCACGAUUACGGUGGAAAGAAACGAAGAAAACACAAUCAGGAGAAGUAGGAAUUUACUGAAAAAGUUGCAACAUCAACCUCAUAGCAAAACGUCCCGGGCAACGGGAUAACAUGGUUAGUGAAAGGGUUAUGCAAGUUCAGAAUUUGCGAAACUGGAGAUUCUUCCUCUACUAAAUCUAACCCUUUCUUGAAGCGAAAGCCCUUGAUUUAUACUGCAAUUUGUUAUUACGAGUGAGGUAAGAACUUGAUUUUGGAAGUCCAAAAUAAAUCUUGUGGGUUUUUCCUUCAUGUGGGUCGUAAAGUUUGUACUUCAUGAUGAAUUUCGGGGUGGUUUGUAGUCAAAAGGGGUUGCAGGAGUUGAGAACUGGCCAUGGCAGAUUGCUGAUUGGUCUUUUCUUGUUUGCCAUUUGACGCCAUCUUUUGCAGACUGCUCGGAAACGAAUUAAAGUGGAAGAAUGUAGUUUGUUCUUGAUAACCCUAAAAGAUUUCUUUCAGGAAGAUUAGCCCAGGAUCUGGUGGAGCUGUUGUUUUCGGCUUUCUGCAGUUUCUCCAACACCAUUUUUGGAAGGGCCAAAACUGUUUACUUGGGGGUUAAUCCUUGACCUGCAGAGGCUCUAUCUACAUGGAAAAGCGAUCCUACGGUGGAGAGUGGUUUUGAAAAAUAAGGGACAAAAUCGAUGGCUAAUAUAAAUUGGUUUUAGAUGUCAAAUUUUACAGAACUUCAAUUUUCCUAUCAUUAAGAAAUAGAUUUUUUUUUUGUUUUUUUGGAGAAUACUAGAUAGCCAUUUUUUUGGAAAAUUUUCUAUAUUUAUCACAAAAAUGUUUUUUUUUCUAAUUUCCUUUCUAUUUUUUUAAAUCACUAUAUAACUCGUAGAGAAAAAUGGAAAGAAGGGGGAAUAAUAAAUGAGUUCUUGCAGCAUAAGAUAAGAUAAGAAAAGAAAAUAACUUGCCAUAUACAAAAAAUCCGUGAACUGCAGAUCAAAUUCGUUAAAAGCACAAAACUCGUAUGCAUGCACGCGAACCAGGCAUAGAAGUGGUCAAUACGCUUGGCACUCAAUUAGAUAAUUUUACAUUUUUCCCUUUGGGUAAUUCAGUACAUAUUAAAAGGGUUAACUUGGCUUUUUGACCCUAAAAUACUACCCUUAUCACACUUUCACCCCCUAACUUUAAUCGCUUAUCGUUAUUUUUUUUCUUAUUUUGUGAGUAAGAAAAGAAUAAGAUUUAAGAAAUGAAGAGAAAGGAAGGGAAAUUUGAGAUUUUUUUUGAGUGUGUAUAAGAUUAAUAUCGCUUUUCUUUCUAAGUUGCAACUACCGACGUAUUAUUUCAUUCAAUUUACAUCACAGUUGAAAAGUUAACCAUUGAAAUUCGAAAUUUUGAGAGAACCUCUAAAGCAUAAGUUUCUAUCCUAGUCACUUAUUUUCUUCUACAUAUCUUGUCCAUUUACUAAAAAAGAAUUUAUAUAAGGCACACAUCAACUUAUUUUAUGGGAGCCUUUUGUUUUUACCUGUAUUAUUUUAUUGGAGGAAUGAGACUUAAGAAGUGGAGAAAGGAAGGAGAAUUUGAGAUUUUUGAGCGAGCAUAUAACAUUAAUAACACUUUUCUUUGUAAGUUGCAACUACCAACUUAUUAUUUCUUUCAAUUUGCAUCACAAUUGAAAAGUUAACUAUUGAAGUUCAGAAUUUUGGUAGAACCUCUAAAACAUGGAUUUUUUCGAUCCUAGUCACUCAUUUUCCUCUACAUUUCUUAUCCAUUUACUAAUAAAGAUUUUUAAAAAAUUUAUAUUAGGCAUACAUCAACUUAUUUUAUGGGGGCCUUUCGUUUUUACUUGUAUUAUUUUUUUUUAUGUGUGGCUGGAGUGUGGUUAGUGUCAAUUUCAUUUCCAUCAUCACUAAACGCAAGUGCAACAUGUCAUUAUCAUUUGAUUCAUAUAUGUGUCUCUGUGUGCUUGGAUUAAGUUACAAAUUGACACAAGCAAUGAAGCAAAAGUCAUAGAAACAUUCUUGGAUUCCUUCUCUCGAGGCAGAUGAAUGGACAUGCAGAGCCAUUUGUUUUCAUUACACUCGUGAGACUUUGACUGCAGCUAAAUUUCAAAUCACUACGGCUACGGCACUUAAGACUGGUUCUACUAGUUAAAUUCACGAGCAAUUCCCCACGUUAUGAUGGAUUUAAAAAAUCAUUCCACAAACGGAUUAUUUGUUGUGGCGGCUUCUUGCACCAAGAGCCCUCACACUUGCGGAAUGUGAGAUCUAAGAGUUCGCAAUCUUCAAAUGCGAGGAAAGCAGACCUUUUGCUCCAAAGAAGAGAAUGUAUUUCUUCCUCCUUUCUCUAACAAUUAUCAAUUAUAUCUGACUGAAUAAUUCAAGUUUCUCUUCAAUAGAUUUUGUCAUCUUCUGUAACAAAAGUUAGCAACCACAAAUGAGAAAAUGUUGUCCUUUUUAGAUGAAAUAUGAAUCAAAACUUAGUGAAUUCGGUUAUACCUCGCAUUUGAAAAAUGCAAGCUUAACGAAAAAUGCAAGCACCUCAAAAGCUCACAUUUUUGUGAAUACGAAGAUUCCUCUUGCUGGAAACAUACAUCACAAUCUGCCCUUUUGAAAAAUAAUUUUAGAAUUCAUCAUAAUCUUGGAAUUUUCUCUAAAUUCACAGGGAAGAAAAACUAGAUGAUUGCUGAACUCAAUAGAGAAUUAGAAAAACUCGUAAUAACGUACAUUGGCUUGAGACCUUAGAUGAAUUCUUGACAAAAUAGCACAUGUUUAACACUUACAAUGAAAUUUUUUUUCACACAAAUCUUUAAGGAGUAAGACAGAUAUCCAAUUCCAAGUUCUCAAAAUUACGAGCUUUUAUCAGACCUUUUAUUCAGAACAUUAUUGGCAGUGGAGCAGUACAUCCUUUAGUAUGACAAUUGGUAUCCAAAUAUGAUCCCAACAAGUAUGUUUUCUGAAAAUCUUUAGUGAGCGUUGGGGUGUAAUAUACAAAUGGUUUGUUUGGAUACCAUAUUAUUCCAAAUAAUAUAUAUUUUGCUUGCAUCAUAAACACAUUUCUCAACUCACCUUUUUAUAUUCCCAACCAAUUUUUUAUUUCACAUACAUCACAUCACAAAAAGUUCUACAGUAAUUAAUUCAAAUAACACUCUAUCCAAACAAACUGCAAUUGCUAAUAUUGUUGAUGGUCUCAGUGGAAAUGCCCUGUGGAAGACCGAGUCCAGCUGAAGUUAUUAAAUUAGUUCAUCCAUUCCAUCUCAUUCUCUAAUUCCUCGUGUUGAUCAGGCAGAUCAUUGCAAUGACUGCUUAUGAAAUUCUUCAAGAUAUUGUGCUGCAUGUGGACUAGUAUAACGUGGUGUGACAUAAAGAUGAUAUUCCCAUAUAUUUCGUGUAUCUUUUUUUCUUUUCGUAACAAAAAAGUUUAGGUAGGUUCGACUCCGAUCAUAUUACGAAUUAGAUUAUACCUCUAAGAUCAUAGGUAGUUUAUAAGAAUUCUUAUAAAUCGCCAACUAACGCAACUCUCAUAUCAGUAGCGGAAUUUUCAUAUAUCUUGUGAUUAAUAUGUUAACAUAGAUUCACAAUGCUACUUGUGUUUUUUUGUGGAUUAGAAUUAGGAAAUGAGUCCAUGAACCAUCUCUUCUUCCUCUUUCCCUACACUUGUGAAGUUUAGAGGACUACUCGGUAUAAAAAAAGGCCAUUUUCCAUAAGUUGAUCAGACCUUCAAGGUAUUGCAUUGUCACUGGCUUCAAGAACUAUAUUGUUGUGGGCUGGAAACAGAUGGCACAACCAAGCAAAAAUUGGCAGAAAGAUGGCCAUGCUAGGUCUAAAUUGUGAGUUACCCUAAAUAUAUAUUUUCUUGCUAGCUCUGUUGAUGUAGCAUGGGAUCUACUUUUUUUUUUUUGGGUCACUUAUCAUCAUCUACAUCUAUACCUACUCCUAAUCCUAAUCUAGCCUAUACUAGGGGAGGGACCCAACAGGGUCACGGGAAAUCGAUGGGGACUAAACCACCAUCGGACCAUACGGGUGCACAGCACCCACAUAGAUCUUAAGCAUGGGAUCUACGUCUAGGAGAAAGAUAUCGAUGGUCACACUGAUUGGGAAAUGGGAUCUGAGUCUAAAUUGUGAGUUACGCCAAAGAUUAUGUUCUAGCUAGUUCUGUUGAUGUAGCGUGCUUAGGAAUGGCAACGGGGCAGCGUGGUCCCCCAGCCCAAUGCCUCCCAGUCUUUCCCGCCCAGACUCGCUCUGUUGUCCCCGCGAGGCACUUGCGGGAACUAAUAAAAAUGUGUCCUAUAAUUGUAUUGUAAUCAAUAUUUUUUUGUCAAAAAUCAAGUACUUAAAAUACCAACAUAUAAUCAAAUCAUUAUUUAUUAUAAUUUCACAAUUGAAACCAAUAAAAACAAUCAAACAAAAGUUAUUUGAAUACAAUCCAACAACAUGAUGAGAUAAAUACAACUAGAGUAGUUAAGUUAUCACUUUUGAAUUUUAAGAAUCAUUCUAUCAAAACAUGCCAUUAGUCAUUAAGUCUUCAAUUUCCUUCUUUAAUUGCCAUUAAAAAUGUAAUAUAAAUGUAUUAGUAAAUUUAAUAUAACUAAUUAAUAAUUUUUAUUAGUAUAUAUGUAUAAUUAUUAAUGUUAUAUAUCCUAACAAUAUGUUUAUACCUAAUUAAAUUAUAUAUAUGUAUAGGAUUAAUCUUGUAUAUACUGUUAGUGUAUAUAUAAUCAUUGUUAGAUACAUGACACAUGCUCAAAAUUUGAAUUUGAAAUUAAAAUUUUGAUCAUAUGUCGUCCAUCUAAUGAUGAUAGUGUAUAUACUGACAGUAUAUAUAAGAUUUACUCAUAUAUAUAUACACACACGCGCACGCACACAUAUACAUCUAUAAAUCUAGACCUUUUUGGCAAGCAAGGUUUUUUGUCAAGUUUGUUUGUUACAAGUUUUUUAACAACUUUAGUUACAGUAAUCUCAAAAAUUUUAAACUAUAUACUUCAAAAUAUCCAAAUAUUUACACAUUUCAAAAAUUUUUUUACAACUUCUACAGUAAGUUACAGUAAAGUUUGGAUAAAAUCCAAAAAACUCACUUACCAAAUAGGACCCUAAUUUUUCUAAUGGAUGGUAGGGCAGGGAUGGAGUAAGGGUAUAUUCCCCCCCUCCCCCGGCCUUGUUUUUUAACCGAGAGGAAAAAUCCGCCCCUUCCCGCCCCACCUCCCGCGCCCCUAUUAGCCCUCUGCGGGACAGGUGCCCGCAAUUGCCAUCCCUAAGCAUGCUUACUUUAUUUUUAUUUAUUGUAUUCUUUGUCUAGAUUGUUUGUUUGCAACUUAGGGCAGAUAAGUCUGUAAUUUCGUUUUGCUCUUUGCAAUUAUUAUAUUUGUUAGGAAAAUUUGUUCAAAAAGUCUUUCACAUUUUUGUAAAUGAAUUUUUUCUUCAUUCACUUUUAAAAUGUCAUUUUUAUAUCCCUUACAAAUUCAAGUUAGCAAUAUAUAUUCCCAACCUAAGUUUUUUACCACUAUUUCCCCUAAAAUCAUCAUGUGAUUUACAUGCAAUUAUCUUUCAUAUGCAAAAAAGUUAGAUUCCACUGCUUUAAUGGAAAAAAUAAGUAUGAAUUGGGUCCAAACUCACCUUUUUAGGAAAAAUAAAUAUAAUUCGAUUAGAUCUUACUUUUUUAAAGCAAAAAUGAAUAUAAAUCGGGUUAUUUAUUUAAAUACAAAUAGGAUAUAGUAACAUUUUUAUCCUUAAAAAAAUGACUAUGGCCCUGUUUGGAAACUUGGUUUUUUACCAAAUUUGUAUAAAACUAGUUUUUUAACAACUUUUGCUACUGGAACCCCAAAAAACUUAUCAAAAAUUUUAACCUACACACUUAAAAUAUCCAAAACACAAAAAAAAAAAAAAAAUUCGCUUCCCCUUUUUUUCUUCUUCCUCCCCCACCACCACCUCCAUUGCCAGCUCCAUCACCAAUUUCCGGUGCCGGUCUUUUUUUUUUCCCUCUCCCCCUCUUCCUCCCCUGCCAUCAUCCUCUCUUGUCUUUUUUUUUCUCUCUACAUCCGGCGCAGAGAGGGGUGGUGCAGAGAGAGGCGGCGGGGGGGGCAGAGGAGGGAGGGGGAAGGCGGUAGGGAGGGGGAAGCGGGAGGUGGAGUUGCAGCUGGGGGUAGCGGAGGUAACGGGGAAGAAGAAGAAGAAGAAGAAGAAGAAAAAGAAGAAGAAAAGGAGAGGAAAGAAAAGAAAAAGGAAAGAAAGAAAAAGAAAAAGAAAAAGAAAGGGAAAGAGAAAAAAAAAAGUUUUUCAUCUUACAAAAACUUCUACAAAAUUUUUCACCUUACAAAAAUUUCUACAAAAUUUUUUUAAAAACUUCUACAGUGCACUACAGUAAAGUUUUAGACAAACUCCCAAAAAAUUCAGGUUCCAAACAGGCCCUAUGUGUGGAUCAUGUGAUGAAUUUAGAGUAAAAAGUGAGUGAAAAUCUAAGGUGGGACUAAAUUUAAUCAACUUGAGUUUAUAAGGAACAUAAAGUUACCAUUUUAAAAGUAAAAAAUGAAAAAAUUCAUUUGGCGUAAUGUGAUAGAUAUUUUGAAUGAUUUUUCCUAUUUGUUAUACUAUUUGGUAUAGAAUCACAAUUAUUUGUUGUAUUUGUGAACAAAAUAUAUAUAUAAUAUAAUGUGAUUAUAAAUUAAAGAUUAUAACAAAUGCAACAACAGCAGAGGAUUGAAUAUAACAUAACUGCUCCAGCCUCCAAGUUCGUUUAUUUGUAUCAGAUUGCAAUACCUUUACUGUAUCAAUGCCAGACAAGUUUUUUAGUAGGACCCAAAAAAAAAAAAUCUAGUCCCAAGUUGUAACAGAUCAUACAACACUUGUUAAUAUUAAUGAAAAAUCAGUGGCCAAGAGAGAGUAAACAGACCUACAUUUUUAUACUUUCAAUUCAAUAACAAUUAAUAAUUCCACCCAAAAAUAAUAUAUAUAAAUCAAAUCUGCAAAUCAAAAUAUCUGUUACACUUGUAUUAUUUAAGUCAAUUAAUCUAAUCCCUCCCAAUAUUUAAUCCGAAAAAAAAAAUCCAAAUAUGAGUAGUAUAUCACUAUAUCCCAAACAAGGAUAAAUUACAUAUAACCACCUAUGGAUUCAUUUAUUGUCACACGACUUCAUAAUAUUUUAAAAUAUCCAUUUCACCCCCUAUAAUUUUUAUGUAAAGUGAAAAUUUGAUGAAAAAUAGCCUAUGAAAGGUUGUUAGGUGAAAUACCAAUAGCGCCCUUUUUAAAUGUCAAAUCAAUCAAUGGCUUAACCACCAUAUAUAAAACAUAGGUGAAAUUAUGUAGAUAUAUGCAAAAAUUAAAGAGAGAUUAAGUGAAUAUUUAUACAAUCAAUAAGAGAGUUAUAUGAAUAUUAGCAUUUUAUCACAUGUGUUUUUAAAGUGCAUUUAGUAUAAAUAUCGUAACUGAUUAUACAUUCCAUCUAUGUUCUACUCUAUAUAUAUAAUCACAAAAGGAUUAUGUGAUUAUUUCAAAACUUUAAAGAGAUCAUUUGACAUUAUGUAAAACUAUAGGGGGUAAUGAGUACUUAUCCCAAAAAAAAACACACACACACACACACACAAAAGAAGAAAAGCGCUGAUAAUGCCUUCCUUCCUUCAGUUAACACUCACGAAGGUUGCCAAGUCAACAUUUCGUUCGGUUAGGGGCAGCUUCUUCUUCAACCUCCCUUCCCUCCUCCUACCCCACUAGCCCCGCCGGACCAAGCCCGAUAGGCGAAGACCAGAAUUCUUUUUAAAUUCAAAAUAAACAAAAAAAAAAAAAGAUACAGAGAAAUAAGCAGAAGAACCUUAUCAUACUAGGUAGUUCUGAUUUCUCAAUCGCCCGACCAAAUGGCACGGGCAAGAUUUACUCCGGCGGUCAAGACAAUAAUUCUGAUCCUCUUCUACGUCGUCGUAUUAAACUUCGGUGACGCAGUUUUCUCGCUUCAAAUUUCGCAGCUGGAUUUCAAUAAAACCUUUAUUUUUCCUAACUCCGGCGGUGAAGGUGGAACUGCCGACAAUACUCACCACACCACCAUGUUCCUCCCUCUUUUCCUCUCGCCUCCUCGGAUCAACCACUACUCCUCCUCUUACGAAGUUUCUGUCCAACAGUCCCG